RNAcentral lists this long non-coding RNA (365536 nucleotides) under Prunus persica (peach). RNAcentral describes it as "long non-coding RNA (PPER_LNC001496)". The stretch from base 292688 to 292794 matches the Rfam family "Plant small nucleolar RNA R71". Lineage: Eukaryota; Viridiplantae; Streptophyta; Magnoliopsida; Rosales; Rosaceae. The record is from RNAcentral.
GCAGAACUAUCCCUAUGCUGUGUUUUUCUGCCAUGCAAUAAAACAUACAGCAGCUUAUGCUCUCUCCCUGAAAGGCGAUGAUGGGGAGAAGGUUAAAGCAGUAACCAUCUGCCAUCUAGACACAUCAGAAUGGGACCCAGAGCAUAUGUCCUUCCAAAUCGUCAACGUUAAGCCCGGAACCAUUCCCAUCUGCCAUUUCAUUUCCACUGAUGCUAUUGCCUGGGUUCCGAACCACAAAUCUGCAUGAUCAUCACUUAGCACUGUACGUAUAAUUAUCUCCUUACUUAUUUCUGCCUCUUCAUCAUGUGGUGUAAGAUAUAUGAUGAGAUGAAGUUUUUGGGAUUAGUGGUUGGGUUGCCUGAAAAACACAGAUUACAGAAACUGCUUGAAAUUAACCCGAUCAUGUUUUCUCUUGUAACUAUAUAGACUUCAACUUGUACUCAUAAUAAAGCAUGCUAUAUUUAUGAAGAGAUAUUAAUCUAUAUAUAUUUUUUAUAUAUGCUUUGGCUUUGUGGUUCUACCCAAUGUUUGAGUGUUGAAUUGUUACGUUGGAAUAGGCUGCUAAUGCAUGUAGUUAGAGAAGCCUUCAUUUAUAUCAAAGUCCUCAAACUAUCAAGAACUAAUGUAUCCAGAAACAUAUACCAAGACGCAAAACAACAUAUUUUCCAUGCUCUGUCUGUAACACCAAAGCAAACUUCCUUGAUCACAAAAGGAUCAAAUUCCAGUACUAAUCUAAUCCAUCAUGUAAAGCAUACAAGUGCCUCCCUAAAUACUAUACUCUUUUUGUUAUUUCCUACUAUACUAUUUAAGUUUGCAUACUCAUAUAGCAUAUGCAAACACAAUUAGAAAUUCUACAAGAUACAAACAACCCCCUCAACUUUGACCAGUGUGUCAAUUUAGUUCUUGAAAUUUAGAUUACAAAGCAAAAUCAAAUCAUACCAUGAAACACAAGCGACUUAAACCUCCAGGCAAAUAGAUAUUAUGAACAUAUAUAGCAAUUUAUAGAACAAUACAUUAAUCCAGAAGAAAUAUUAUGAAAUGAAAAGAAUAAAAAGUAGAAAAACACAAGGAAAGGAAUUUGCACCUGCUCACUUGCAGAUUGCUUUCUCCGGCCGUAGAUGUAACAGAAAUUUUCUCUUAAUAAUACCACAAUGAUCGGGUAAUUGUAAGAACAAGUUGAUUUAAAAUUCCUUGACCCAAAAAAAAAAAAAGUUGAUUUAAAAUUCAGGUCAACCCAUAGAUUUCUCCCCUUUUUCUUCUUCAUCUCGUGGGGCUUGUCUUCUUCUUGAGGAUUGUAUAGGCCAAGGAAAUGCUUUGAGUUAGUUUUUACGCUUUUGCGUUUUGGGCCUUGGAAGUUGGGACCCAAACCAACUUCACAAAAAGAAAACGCUCAGACUAUAAUGAAUGGAAAGUUAUAAGGGGUAAGUUAUAAGGGGUUCACUUUAUAGCCAUCAGAUCAAUCCAAGGGCUGGGGAGAAUUGAGAUAAAGUUUUAAAAUCGGGUAGGUGAGGAACCCAAACCCGAAUUGAAUAUCCAGCACGUCCGAAAAAGAAGAAGAAGAGGCAAGCACGUCCGAAAAAGAAGAAGAAGAGGCAAGUUCGAAGUUUGAACAGAAAAAACUCAUCUCUUUAAAACCCAUAGCUCUGAGAAACGGUUGAAGGCAACGGUUAACGACGGUUAAAGGCAACGGUUGAAGCCACUCCGUUCUCCAGACCCUGAAAAAGUAUUUAUUUUGAGUAGAAGGGGCAAAGGUGUGGAUUCCGAAACAGUGAAGGGGCGAAGCAGUGGAAGGGGGAGGAGAGAAGCCGUAUUCGUUGGAAGUGGUAGGUUCCAUUUGUGGAGCAAAGCAACACAAAGACCCCGCACAGACACCUUGCGAUUGUUCAAUAACCAGCAUUUGGUGAGUAAUUUAUGGAAUUUGAGUUUAGGGUUAGAGUAAUGGUUUUCCCCAAUUUGUACCAUCAAUUUUGUUGGAUUUGGCAUCUCUUCUUUGUGCUUCAGUUGCAUGUUAAUUUUUGCUUGGGUAUAUGUUAAAAAAAGAAUGAAAAUCAAGUCAAUAACAAGUGAAUAACAUGUCAAUAAUGAUAUGAAUAAGAUAAUGGUGUUGAAUUGGAGGAGGCCCUCAAAACAUUCCACAUUUGAAGCAGUGCAUAGUGCAGAUUAUCUCUCUGGCGCUAGAAUAUAUAUAUAUUUUGAAAUAAAUAUGAUUUCCUUUGUUACUAAAUUUGCCUGAGAAACAUGAGAACAGAUAAUAAUAAACUCAUGAAUAGAAGUGCAAAGCAUUUGAUGAGUAAUUUAUGGAAUUUGAGUUUAGGGUUAGAGUAACGGUUUUUCCCAAUUUGUACCAUCAAUGUUGUUGGAUUUGGCAUCUCUUCUUUGUGCUUCAAUUGCAUGUUAAUUUUUACUUGGGUAUAUGUUAAAAAACAAAUAAAAAUCAAGUCAAUCACAUGUCAAUAACAUCUCAAUAACAUGUUAGUAAUGAUAUGAAUAAGAUAUAAUGGUGUUGAAUUGGAGGAGGCCCUCAAAACCUUCCACAUUUGAAGCAGUGCAGAGUACCUCUCUGGCACUAGAAUUUAUAUAUUUUUUUAAAUAAAUAUUAUUUCAUUUGUUACUAAAUUUGCCUAUGAGAAAUGAGAACAGAUAAUAAUAAACUCAUGAAUAAAAGUGCAAAGCAUUUGAAAUAAAGGUUGAUCUAUGACAAUUGUGGCUGACAGAAGAAAAAGCUAGAAAGAAAGAAGGAUGUGGCAAUUGCUUAGCAAGCAGAUAGCAGAGUAGAUGCUUUGCUUUGCUUCCUUCCACUAUAUUAUUUAUUUAUUUAUUUUGUGUUGUGUAUGAGAUGACAAUAAUUGUCAUGUGUGUGAAGUGCAGAACUUGCCUAGAUUGCACUCACACUCACUCAUGCAUCAACCAUUGAUUCGAAUUUGGAUCCAUGAAUAAAACACAUGAAAUUGUUUGUAAUUCACAUAAUCAUUGCAUUAACAGGUAUUUGCACAAAAUUUUUCAUAUUGCUUUGAUGAUGUUAAAGCCUGUGAUCAGUAAUCCCUAUGCUUAUGUACUUUGUAAAAUUUGUAAUGUGCCUGGUUGACUAGUUGUGUAAAUACCAAUGUGAUUGUGCAAAUACGUGGUAGUAUAUGUGUUCAUGUUAUUUCAUCUUGUAUUUCAGGAAAUGGGAUCCAAUGUGGAGCUGGUAUGGCCAGAGUCAGAGGCAUAUUCGUCACGGGUGAACAACUGCUCACAUGCAAAUUCAUCUCUAGCUGCAAUUCGAGCGAAGUUGAGUGCGGAACAAUUAGAACAAUUCAAGACAUCAUGCUUUGGCCAUCUUCUGAAUAUAGAUAAGAUUCAGUUUAGCGGGCAGAUUGUGCAUGGGGUUGUGUUGCGUAGAGUAGCGGGGCAGGGUGUGAAAGACUUGGAUGGACUGAGUUUCUUAAUAGGGUGUGACGUUGCUCAGUUCACUCGUCAAGAUUUCUGUUUGAUCACAGGGCUUCGUUUUGGGGAAGUGCCUGAAGUUUCCAGUGGAGAGAGUGAUGAAAUUAGACUUCAGAAAAGAUAUUUUAUAGACGAAUGAAUUACAUGCAAUGCUUUAGAAUAAACAUUUUUGAGGUGCACAGAGGAAGAUGACAUCUACAAGCUAGCUCUUGUUUACUUUGCUGAGUUAGUGGUUUUGGGAAGGGACAAACAUUUGAACAUCAAUCUAAAUUACCUGACCCUUGUAGAGGACUUAGAUGCGUUCAACAGGUAUCCGUGGGGUUCGGUGUCCUUUGACAAAACCAAAGACAGUCUAUUUUCUGCACCAACAAAGUAUGUGAAAAGCUUUGAAAAUGAAGAGGGAAGAGGGAAGGGGAAAAGUAAGGUAACAGGAACAAGCCGGAGAAAUGAAAAGGGCAAGAAGGAUAAGCAUGGUGAAGUGCAAAGGGGUGGUUGGAGUUUUAAAGGUUUCACGUAUGCUUUCCAGGUACAUGGUAAUAAUGUUCAUGUCAGUUAUGUCUUGUUUUUCUUUAAAACUUAAAUAAUGACUUUUGUCCUGUGAAUUGUGUAGAUUUGGGUAUAUGAAUUAAUUGCUAGAAUGGCAGACCUGAAUUACUGCAAGGUUGUUGAUCCGACAGCUGUCCCGCGUAUUUUGCGAUGGAGAACUACUACGUCUGUUCCUGAGAUGAGAAAGUUGAACAAUUAUUUUUUCCAGAGCAAAGAGGUUUGGUUUGCAGCCCUUAGAACUAUUUAUAAGAUUUAAUGAAAUUAUGAAGUAGAAUGAUUGAAUAUGACUCUUGUCUGUAUUCUGAAACAGUCAGUUCAGUUGCGGGCGCUAUGUCCGAGUGAAGAGGAAAUGAGACAACCAUAUUGGAGUUGGCCACAGGAUCGCCCUGCUGUUGUCUCGGCAGAGUCAAUUCCUUCUUCAUGUGCUGACCUUGAUGAGUUGAACAAGGUGGUAAGCUUGUUGAGGUCCGAGUUGUUUCAAGUAAAGUUGGAAAAAGACGUCCUUGAGUUAAAGGUCAUACGGAUGGAAAAACUUUUGGACCACUGUUUAGGUCCUCAAUUUGAGCAGGAAGUAAGGAGGGACCUAGCUUUACUGAAAGAGAGGACGAAUCUUUGUGUCAUCUCACAUCUAUUUAAGGGAAGUGAGGAAAUGGAUGACAUUCAAUGGGAUGAAGGGCCAAGUAACAGAAAUGAGGGAGAGGAAAAGGAAGAUGAAGGGAUUGAAGGGGGUGAAGGGCCAAGUAAUAGAAUUGAGGGAGAGGAAAAGGAAGAGGAGGGGAUUGAAGGGGGUGAAGUGCAAGGAAAACCAAGUGAGGUAGAGGAAGCUCAAAGGAAAAGAAGUGAAGGAGAGCAAGUGAAAAUAAAAAGCAGUAAGGGAGAGAAAACGCAAAGAAAGAGCAGUGAGGGAGAGGAAGUGAAAAGAAAAAGCAGUAAGGGAGAGGAACUGCAAAGGAAAAGCAGUGAGGGAGAUGAUCCGCAAAGAAAAAGAAGGGAGGGCAAGGAAGUGAAAAGACAAAGAAGUGAGGAAAAGGAAGUGUAAAGAAACCAAUGUGAGAAAGAAGAUAAUGAAGUUAUGUUGCUUGGCGAUGACAUUGGCGAGAGCACAGAGGGGACAAAGGUUGAGUUUAGUCUCGGGGACAUUGAUUUGGAUCAACCUACAGCUGUGCUAUCUCAGUUGAAUGUUUGGUUGAAUGAUAAAGGUAAAGCUGUGGAACAAGGGGUCCAAUUACGGAAGAGGAAGAUGAUCAUUCCUAUGUGGAAGAUCAUUGAAGGUAGUGAAUUGGUUUCAAAAACUUUGGCAGAGACAACCGGACUUCAGAUGUUAGACCCAACGAAGGCGAUUCUGUAUGAUGAUCUGGUGAAAUUGCUGAAACUUUGUUGGGAAUGGCGCCAUAACCCAAAGUAAGUCCCUUGUUUUUUGAGAUAAAAGGCAUGAGUGUAUAUAUUUUUUAAUUGUUGUGUUCUAAAACUUUUUUAUAUUCAUAGUUUGGUGAUGCAAUUUGGCAACAUGGAAGCUGAGAUUGAAUUCUUCGCUUCCCUCAUCAAAGCUGAUGGUUGGCUGAAAGGAGAUGUAAGUUUAAUUGAUUAUGCAUUUGUUUUAAUGUACAUAGAUUAUGAGAUUGACAAGAAAAACAUGUUGCAGCACAUUGAUUUGGGGUUGUAUCUCAUCCGGAAGCGACAACAAGAGUUGGAGGAAGUAGAAAUAUCGGACUGGACAAUGACCGAUGUAUUUUUUAUGGUAUGUCAUGGGCCUUGACCAAGUGCUGUUAAUAAUUACAAAUUAUCCAUACUUGUUUUGUGGAGGUGUUUAACCAUUGAUUGUUUUCUAUUUCACAGAAUCACAUUCGUACUUGCUUUGCGGAUAAUAAAAGAAAAAAAGAGCAGGUUUGGUGGAAAAUUAGAAACAGUUUACUGAACGUUGUAAAUGGCAAGGUUCCGGCGUGUGAGAUGGAUUGGCAGAACAUAUAUAAGGUGUAUGCCCCUUGUAUGUUGACGAAGUACAAGCAUUGGGUGGCUGUAAUGAUUGAUCUAGUUUUGUGUGAAAUCCAAGUGUACGAUUCAAAGGUUUCACUUAUUCCAGAUGAGAUCUUAAAGGAAGAACUCGCCCCGCUUUCAAUUACGAUUCCAAAUCUUCUCAACACCAUCGACUUUUAUGAAGAAGGUGUUUACGUAAACAAUUGCAGCCGAGAUUGGUGGUGUCCGUGGCCAAUAGAGCGUGUGGAUGUUCCACAACAGUCUAAUCAGUAAGCACAACUUUUUAUUUAAUUUUAUUACUUUAAAUUGUCAAUUACGUUAGAAUGUCAUUAGUUGAAUUGAUCGAGUUCUUGUUUUGCUUCAGAGGCGAUUGUGGCAUGUUCGUGUUGAAGUACAUUGAGCUUUUGGGCGCUGAGAUUCCGUUAGCUACUUGCACCUCGGAGAACAUGCCCUUUUUUCGGUUGAAAUUGGCUGCAAAGAUAACACGGGGAGAUGCUUACAUGCCAUGAUAUUGGUUGAACUUGGUUUAGGUACAUGAUGAUUAAAUAGGUUUUGGGAAUGUCCAAUUUCAAACUCAUGUAAAUACACAAUAGAGACCUACGGGUCCUUUUCGAAUUCUACCUCUGCUCCUCUAUUCUUCUUCGUCUUUCUCAAUCUUAGUGUAUUUUUGUACAUAAUUUGAGGUUUAAGUUAUUGGACGAUAACAAUUAGAACCAAAAUAGUGGCAAAUAUUAUAGCGGAUGCAUGCUUUCAUUUUGAUUAGUGUGAUACUACGCUACAUUUAUUCUCAUAUUGUGCUAAAUGUAUAUGGAGUUGGAUGCAGAGCAUAGACAGAAAAAUGAAGAAACUGAAAUGGAGAUGCUGAGGCUUGGUGAGGAGAAAAGUAAAUGGAUCUGUAAAUCUAUUGCACGUAGGCAAUCUAAAUGGAUAGGCAGAUGAGUUUUUGAAGUUAGACACUUGUCAUUCCCAUACAUAGAAUGUGCCUAUGGAGUGUAAAGUAUUUUUGGAUUUAAUGAAACAAACUUCUGUGUAAUAUUAGCCUAACUCCUUCACGACAUUUACAUAACCUUAACCAACUGCAUUGAAUUGGGAUUUAAAGACUGCAUAUGUGAAUUGGGAUUUGAAGAUGGCUUUUUAAGUGUAUUACAUCAUUGCAAAGUGAUAUGUCAUCGUUUAUGCAAGCCACCAUUAAUCGCAAUAGGUUGCAUCUUAAUAAGGUAAUUCUGUAAGGGGAAUAAGCGGCUAUGGCCUCGCCUCUAAUGUUUUAUUCAACCAUGCCCUCUUUAUAGAAACACAUGAAAAAAUGUCCCCAGGUGCAAUGCUAUAAAAACUUCCAGUUGGUUCUGUACCGCCCCUCGGGUUUGAAUCCCUCUCUCCUUUAUAAUCGGUUAAUAAAUUCAUUGAUUUUCUUUUUUUUAUUGGUUUUGGGCAGCUCAGUAGCAUAAAAGUAAUGUAUAUUGGUGCGUCUAUAUUGCAUGUCUGUUGCGUCUAUAUUGCUUCUCUAUUGUGUGUAUAUCUUACAUUUAUUGUAUGUGUAUUGAUUGUUUAUUGCUUACGAAGGAAAUAAACAACAAUACACAGGCAACAGACAAACAAUAUAUACACAACAGACAAACAAUAUACACACAAUAGAUACGCAAUAUACAUACAAUAGACAUGCAAUAUACACACAAUAGACAUGCAAUAUACAUCCGUCCCCAAUUACACAAACCAUAAGGAAGUCGUAUUGAAUAGGAAAUUAAACUUAACAGUUGUUCUUCCUACUAAAAGAAAGAAUAAGGUCCGUUUUCCCCCUUAAAUCUUACUUGAGUGGUACUUGUGCCCCCAAUAAACAUCCAAUAUUGGAGCAAUAACAUUCGAUAUACAUGCAGCAAACAAUCAAUAAACCUUUAAUAAACAUUCAAUAUCGGUUCAAUAACAUGCGAAAUACAUGCAGUUAAUAAUCAAUAAACCUUCAAUAAACAUGUAAACAAUCAAUAAACUUUCAAUAAACAUUCAAUAUCGGAGCAAUAACAUGCGAAAUACAUACAGUAAACAAUCAAUAAACCUUCAAUAAACAUUCAAUAUCAUGCGAUUUAUAUGCAGUAAACAAUCAAUAAACUUUAAGUAUACGCAAAUAAACAAUCUAUAUACACUAAAUAAUUAUGCAAUUUUCAAAAAAAAAAAUGUAUUGUCUUGUUAUUGCAUCGUAUUGGCCCUGUAUUGUGAUUUUAUCGUCUUCGUAUGAUUUUAUUUUUUUAAAGUAAGUCUUGGAAAGUUUUUGCUGGGUUUCAAACAAAUAAAUGCUUUUGUUUAAAUUCAAUGCCAAUCCACUUAUUUCAAGAACAAAAAUUACAAAAUGGGUUUGAAAACUCAUUGGUGGUGCGUGCAACAUGUCUUUUUGGGGAGAAAUUUCACAAUCCUUGAAACCGUGCACUUAAUUGAUCAUUAAAAGAACAAAUAAUAUGACAAUUGAUACAACUAAUAAAACUAAUACCAAGUCCUUAAUGGACUUCAGCAUAUUCAGCACUGUAGCAUCAUACGUGUCAUCUUGAUGUUCUGCUUCAGCGGAGGUUACAUCAACCCAUUCGAAUCCAUUGCAACUGGUGGAUCCCUAAUUGCAGGCAUCAUAUAUGCAAAAUAAUUCUGUCAGAGUUAGACAUAGGUUUUUUUUCCCCCACACACAUAUUCUUGAAAUGAAAACUUACAUAGGAGGUUAGACACUUCCAAAAUGGCUUCCCUCGAUUUUUAUCUGAUUUUGAAACCCGAACCACCAUUGUAGCUCCACAAUACUGACACCUUUUUGUUUGAGCAGGAGAUGAAGACGAAGACAUGUUGAAUCUUCUCACUUGUACCUCUUCUCACUCAGAUCUUCUCACUGAAACCUCUUCGGACUCAUACCUUCUCACUCAUAGUUCUCAGUCAUACCCCUUCACUCAUAACCCUAAAUUUCUCACUCAGCUCUCUCUCAUCUCUGCCCAAAUCAAAUUAUAUCCUUCUUUGCUGUGUGUGGGUGGGUUGGUCACGAUCUGGACACCUGUACCGUCAGAAUUGUGACAUCUUUUACCCCGAAAAGCAAUAUAAUAUUUCACUACCAAAUAUUAAUCUGAAAAUUGAGGGGACACUGCUUGAAAUAUAUUAUUUUAUUUAUAUUUCAUUAAGACAACUAGUUGGAUAAGAAUCCAUCAUCAUUGGUUUCAUUUUAAUAACAUUACUAGUGGUAGUUUGGUGUGGGAAAAUGAAAAAGUAUAUGAUGGGACCUUCUGUGACUAGUCAGUAAUCCAUCACAUUUGUAUCAAUGAAUUUGAUGGUGGGAAAAUCCUAAAAAUGGCUAUGCAAAUAGGUUAUUAAUUGAAUUUUUGACUGUCUGACUCUCUAUGCAAUUUUAUGACGUUUUCCCUUCUUUUGUCUCGAGUUUUAGGGUGUCGGGUUCAGUUUCUUUAAAAACGGUCAACUUGGAAAAACCCCAAGUGGAAACACCUUUUAAAAACACUAUAAACAGAGGCUAAAACAAAACCAAAACCCCAUAUAUUCUCAUUUCUGCCCUCUUCCACUCCUCAAAUCGUUCCAUUCCAAAAACAUUUCAAUGAAUUCGAAACAUUUCACUACACUCGGAGGAAAGAGAAGGAAGCAUCUCCAUUUGGAUAUGCCCCAAGCCUUCAUCCCGGAGUUAGCUUGGUUUAAAGUGAUGUUAUACGUGGCAACCCAAUCAUCGGAAGAUCUCUUCCGUAUGGCAUCUGUGUGCCCAUUGUUCCAUACUUUGGCAAACACUCCACAAGUGUGGAACACCAUUUCAGUGGCAAAGUACCCAAACCAUCCUAGCUGGUACCGUGCCAAUCCUGCGGUCCAGCAUUUCUUGCAACAAUGCAGGGCUUGCGAUAACCCUAAGUCGAUAUUUAGAGAAGCAUUCGAAGUGUUUUUUAAGCAGGGUAACGUGGAAGCAUUGUAUGGGAUGCGCAUUACAGCCACGGCAGGCCAUAUAGAAGCGGCAUAUCUAGUUGGACUACUUGACAUGUCCGGAAUUGGUCAGUCAAAAGAGGAUGCAUUAGAAUUCUUGUGUUCUUUGAAUCAAUGUAACAACAUUGAUAUGAAAGGAACCAGGGAUGCUUUGAGACAAAGAUUAAGCCGACCAACAGUUGCAAGACAUAUCCUAGAUAUGUUUGACUAUGGGAAGAUUAAGUUCAAUCACUGCAGCCCUUGUAACAACAAUGAAUGGUGUUUUGUUAUUCAAGGCUGGCCUACUGAAGAAAAGAUAAAUCCUGCCUUCUGGACUUGUUGCAAUCGAUGCAAAUGGCACCGUGAGAGUAUUUUUUGGUUCAAGGUGAUGCGUGUGUAUGUUGUGCGAGGGAAUCCAUACCCUUAUAAUUAGUUGUAGUAUGUUUUUACGGUUUUUAUGCAUUGUGGACUUGCUUCUCUUCAGUUCUAGGUUCGCUGGCUACGUUGUACAAAUGUUGUUUAAAUGUGGGGUUUUAAUCUAUUUUGUCUGGUAUUUGUGCUGUCAUAAACCGUUUUAUAUAUAAAUGUAUAAUAUAUAUUAUAUAGCGGAAUUAUUACUGACAUCAUAGACGGCUACGAAUGACAUUUUACUGACACAGAUAUUUUGCACAACUGCAAUCUUAAUAUUUGGUAAACGAAAAGGCAUGCAUGGAGUAAAUAGGUGUCUUUUCACCAGUGCUUGGGAAUGACAUUUUCCCACUGAGCAUAUCCCAAAUGAUUUGGUUACAAGUUUCUUAAGCAAAACUUGAAUAGUGAAUGACGUUGAAUAAUUUUUUCCUAAUGUUGUAGAAUAGAUGACUUGUAUAUUUCCAUUUUAUUUUUCAAAACAUCCCUUAAACCUAAAAAAUAAAAAAAUUAACAAAUUGAAGAAGAGAGAAACCGAUUAGCACCAGAAAUGGCCUAUUCGCACGGAAAAUAAAAAUUAAAAAAAAAAGUUGGAGUAAAUAUAAUUAACAAAUGGACAGGCUAAAAAGUAAUAUAAUAAUAAUAAAAAUAAUUUAGGAUAAUAAUAAAAUACUAAUGUAACAUAACCAUGAAACAGGGAAUUCAGUAGGAAGAUGAAAUCUCAAUAAGUUCGUAGCAAUUUUCGAAACAUUAUUGGGAUUUUUGUGUAUUUAGUUAUGAAUUUUCCAAGAAAAAGUAAUAAAAUAAUAAUUUAGGGUAAAAUGCAAGGAUGUGGCCAUGUUGACUGACGUACACUUGUGCAAGUGAUGAAAGUUGACGGGCUGAGAUCGUGCCAGGUGUCCUCUUGCAAUUAUUUUGGCUUUUUUAGUGCAAAAAUCUUUGAAAAAAGGUAAUAAAUAGUAGGUCUUGUGACGUUAUAAAACUAGGGGAACCUAUAAAUCAUCCGUCUCGCAAUGAAAAAAUCCAAAUUAUUUUAGAUAACUCACUUUCCUCUUAACCCUAAGUAUUUAUGUUUGUUAACUUUAACUUCAAUAACCUACUUGAACAAUCAUCUCCCGUUAAUGUUCGGAAUUAUUUUUUUAAAAUGUGUAACCAUGUAUCGGGGAAUUCAACAAGGGAGAUUGAGUGUCAAUGAGUUCGUAGCAAUUUUCGGAUCAUUUUUCUAAUUUUUGUGUAUUUAGUUAUGAAUUUUCUAAGAAAAAGUAAUAAAAUAAUAAUUUAGGGUAAAAGGCAAGGAUGUGGCCAUGUUGACUGACGUACACUAGUGCAAGUGGUGAAAGGUGAUGGGCUGAGAUCGCGCCAGGUGUCCUCUUGCAAUUAUUUUGACUUUUUUAGUGCAAAAAUCUUUGAAAAAAGGUAAUAAAUAGUAGGAAAAUCCUAAAAAUGCCCCGAAAAUUACUCGGACCUCCUUGUGAUGUUAUAAAACUAGAGGAACCUAUAAAUCAUCCGUUUCGCAAUGAAAAAAUCCAAAUUAUUUUUACAUAACUCACUUUCCUCUUAACCCUAAGUAUAUAUUUUUGUUCACUUUAACAAUUAUAUUUCCUUAAUAUUCGUUAUAUAAUUUGUAAUAAUACAAGAAUUAGUUUCCUUUCAUAUAUAAGGAUGUAAAAUAAUUUGUUUUGUUAUAAUAAUGUACAUAUAUAAUAAUUGCACAUGCUUUGAAGCCAUCAUUGCAACUACGCCUAGAGCUUUGAACACGUCAGAGGUAUUCAAUAAGUUGUCCAUAUGACGCCGCAUUGGGAAUCAGUAAUAUAUUUUCUAUCAUGUCCAAUCACAUAAAAUAAUGCCAUACUUUUUCUGAAAAACCUCACACAAGUCAAGCAAUUUUAAAAUAUUAGUGAAUAUUUGUCCUAGUCUAUAUGAGUGAUUAUAUAUUCAGUCUGCAUUUUUUCACAGUAUAUGUUAACUUUCAGAGGGAUUCCACAAACAUAUAAUAUAAAGAAAGAAAGAAAUAGUAGGAGAUGAACCAGUACAAAAAACAAUAUAUAAAUGGUACAUAAUAAUUCCAUAACCUUGUCACAAACGCACUCACAAAUGCUUUUCCAUAAACCUUGUCCUAACAUAUAAUAAAUAAAGGCAACAUUGCAUAUGAUGCAACCAUGUCCAAAUCUGAUACGUGAUCACAAAAAAAUGGACAUGGCAGCAACAUAUGACUGAAGUAGAUGAGCUCUUUGCAUCUUGUGUUAUCGUAAUUAAAGACAUCAAAAGAUUAAGGUUGAAAUCUUCCAUAGUAGUAAGCAUCAAAAUAGGUUUGAAGCAGAGUUUAACGAAAAUUCCAAUUCCACUUAUUGGCCUCUGCUCAAACACGAGAACCAAAAUGGUUACUUCCCUUGCUGAGUAUAUUUGUUAACGUCGGAAACAGUAACAGAUGACCAAUCAAACCCGGGUACGACGAGUUUUGCAUAGGAUCGGAAGUAGUCGAAUCCAGCUUGCAUCACACGCUUCUUUGACUCCACUGCAUUAGAUGAGUUCUUGUAUUUUUGAACAGCUACACUCCGAAGUCGUUUGUGUCUACGCUUCAUGCACUGCAAAUUCGCCCUAUCCAGAUUGGCCUGCCUUUUGUCAUCUUCAAUUUGGCCUUCAACAAAUUCCAAACGUGCCCUUGGCCUUUGGAUUUCAUCACCAAGUUGAAGAUGCCUCUCCUUCCAAAAAGCAAGAACUCUUUCAGAUUCAAAACUUCCAACAAAAUGGUCAUUCUGUCUAGGAAUGUGACAUUGCUUGUCUAGUGACUCACUUGCGUUUCGAAGGCAGUCUUUGUUUGGAGGGGUGUUUAUUAUGCUCACAUCAAACUUGGUUAGUAAAUCCAUUUUAUGGGGGGAGUGAGUUUCUAUGGAGGAGAGAGUUUUAGUAGAUGGAGACAGAUUCGGUGAAGGAGUGAGUUUUGUGUGGAGGGAGAAUUUCUAUGAAAGGAGUGAUAGUAAUAGCAAUAAAAGGGUUCCCGCCAAAAAAUAUUUGGUUGACAAUGUAUAAAUUAAUUUUUGGUCUGAUACAAUCUAAGUUUAAUCCUAACUAGUUUGGUUGAGUUCACUAACUAGAUGUCACUUCCAUUGAGUUUCUUUCAACCACUAUCAGUGGUGUAAGGAGAGUGUGAGGUUGACAUGCUUGAAAAGCAAAACCUGACACCUCUUUUUUUAAAAAUUGAAAGAAAGUACAUAUGUUGACUACACACAACCUUUGGUAUGUUGGUCUAUAAACCUAUGUUCCCUUUCUCAAAUGAAAUUGCAUAUGCAAUCCUCAUCCUCCCAAAACAAAUAGGAUUAUUCAAGCAUGUCAACCUCUUCAGGCGCCAACAACACAAUCGAAGAUGACAAAUUGGAGUCGCAGGUUCUAUUUCCACAUUGUACUCACCGACCCCUUCCUUUUUCAACAUCAUUUGGGAGUGAGGGGGACUCCGAUGAUCCAUUAGAGGCAAUACAUGCAGUCAGUAGCAAGCUGGAUUAUAAUUCCAAACUGAUCAAUUCAUGGCACGAGAAAUGUGUUGAAGACGAGGCCAUUUUGGCUGAUCUUAACAUUAGAGUGAACAAAGGGUUCUCCCAAAAGAACAAGUACUUGAAGCUGAGUCAUAAAAGGAAGCUGAAAGCUGAGGAGUUGGAUACAGUAAUAAAUGAUGAAAUUAAAGGUUGUUUGAUGAACCAUAUGCGAUGCAAAGAGCAUCAUAGUGAACUGGAGUUGGCAUUCAACGAAGGAUUUUUAAAAUUUCAAGCAUUUGCGGCAACUACUCAUACAAGUUAUAAUUGGGACUAUGUGUCCCCUGAUGCUGUGAGAGAGAUACUAGACGAUGAUGGUGACAUGAAUGAGCAUAAGCACGUCAAAGCUGCUCGGAAGAAGCCGACCGAUACGACUAAGUGAUUGCGGCUACCGUUGUUCAGUUGGUUGAGGGUGAUCAUGGUAUUGCACAAAUUAGAAGUAUAUUCCCUUAAUGUCAUUAUCUAAUUUAAAAUAACACAAAUAUCAGUUUCAUUUGCUUCAUAUAUAAUUAUUGGGACUAUGUAUUGCAAGUCAUCAUGUGUUCCUUCUGUCUAACAUUAUAUUUUGCAAAUAUCGAAAUAUUAUUCAAUAAGCAGUCAAUAUCACAGCAAGUUGGGAAUCAGUAAACCCCCAUUAUCAUGUACAUUCACAUUAAAGAGCUGGUGUACUUUUUCUCAAAAAACUGACACGUGAGUCAUAAGUAACAUAACAUGUGCUAUACAUUGUUUAGUGAAUGGUUUAUGAUUUAUUUAUAUAUAAUAAAAUUCCAAAUAUUGCUGAAUAUUUAUUUCGUCUAUAUCACUGGGGACAUGAGUGAACAUACGCAUGUGAGACCUGCUAAGAAGAAGCUGACCAAUACGACCGAGGGAUUGUGGCUACCAUUGUUCCGUUGGUUGGGGAGAUCGUGGUAUUGCUAAGAGGGAGCACAUAAUAUGUUUUGCAAUCAAAUUUUCUUUUGUGUGUGGAAUUUUCUUUUAUGUGUGGAAUUAUGAGUAGUUCAAAUGUUAGUGUACCCUUUAAUAUUCUCCAACAGUUCAAAAUGUGAUUAGCUGAAUGUACUUUUUUACACGCUGCUUUCUAAUCACUCUGUUCCAACAAAAGGCUUUAAGUAUCCUUCAGUUACAAAUGUUUACAAAAUCGUGCCCCUAAUAACCAGUCGAGCUUAGAUCUUAAUAACCAGUAAAACACUAGAACAUAACAUUCGGAAAAAGUGAGUACUGUUGGAAAUCAUUACUGGUAAUGGAAACAACAGCUGGCUGCUGGAAAUGCUGCAUUAGCAUGUGAUAUAAUCAAUGAAUCUCUGUUAAAACAUAAUUCACCAUAAACUACCCAUUUUACAUGGUAAAAGUCAUUGCUUCUUCACAUAACUCAAAAUUUGAUACUUUAUCAAAUGUCUAUGAAAAUUUCUAAAUAGGGAGAAGACGUAAAAUUAACAUGUGUCCAAAUUUCAUGCAAGAAUGAAACCAAGCAAAUUUUCAUUUCAAUUACCAGUGGACAUAGUAAGAGCUCAUGGGUGGACAUGAACAAAAUAAUAAUAAUAAUAAAAACUGAAUCUAGAAAACUUCACCUGAUCAUUAGUCUUCAUAACAACCGGAUUUCGUCUAAUAGAAACAUAAAUCAUUCAGUUGGUCCGUGCAUCCUGUCAAAUUCGUCGAAUAAUGGGUCACUACGAUCUAUUGGAGUUGAUUCGUCAUUGUUCGAUGGUGAUGUCCUGCAUAAACAUCAAACAAAAGCACAUAAAAAAUUUACCUAUUCAAAUUUUAGGUGUUAUUAUAAAUAGUGUUAGCAUCUUACGGUGUGUUCAAAUUUCUUGAGCAUUGUCUUCUAUCAUGGCCAAUGUGUCCACACUCCCGACAGUGUCUAAUCCUUCGCUUCAUUGCCUUUUCCUUUGCUCCCGUUACUCGUUUCGACCUUCCUUUGCACCUCACUCUCUUAGGGUCUUUCAUAUAUUGUGUUUGAGAGCUGGACUCUCCAACUUCGUUAUUACUUGGUCCAUCCUUCAACAACUUCAACUUCACCUACAAACUUUUUAGAGUCUCUGACAGUAGCUCACAUCCUUCUUCACUCAUUAAUGCAUCCUCAACCACAUCUGAAGCAAGUCGAGACAUUGUACUCCGCUUUAUUAAAAGACCAGGAUUUGCAGAGUCUUUAAUUUCGUUGCCAUUUGCAUCUGACACCAAUCCAGAUUUCGCAGUUUUCUUCCACCUCUUCAAAAUAUAUUUAUCGGGCAUAUAUUCAAUCUGGUCCCUUCUGAACAAUGCUAAGAUGUGCUUGCAAAUAAUUCCAACAAAUUCAAAUCUUUUGCAGCUACACGAUGCGUGGUCAGAAUCUUUGACAUAUACAACUUCUGCCACUCUUGUUUCCCAAUUUUUCCUUUCGCUCACGUUAAAGACAACUUUAGAAGCAUCCUCUGUUUUGAGCUCUAGGAAACAUGCUGUACUUUGUAUUAGUUCUUGCUCAAACUUUUGAAACAUUGUCCUUGUGUACAAGGUAGCCAUUUGUUUGUUUAUUGGCAUCGGUAGAAUACAUUGAGCCACUUCAAAUGCAUCUAUGUGAUCAGCAACUAACUCUUUUUGACGUUGAUGAGAAAGUGCCCUCUCAAAUCGUAUUAUGAAAUCCAUCAACGAAUUUCUCUUUGAUAUGUAUUGCUUGAAAAAACCAUGAGAACCUUCCGCUAUUUGGCUGCUUGAUAUUCCAGCGGCAAAAAAUUGUCGUGCGUAGGCUGGAACCCAAGAUUCCCUUAAAUCAAACAUUGAACUUAGCCAUGGAUGGUCAGUCAAACCAGCCUUUGUAACCACAAUAUUCCAUUUUGCAUCAAACUCAUCCUUAUUGUCAGUAUCCCAUAUGACUUUCUGAAAUUCACUCCAAUACUCCUUAUAAGCAGAAUGUGGUAACUUAACAGAGAACUUUGAUGUGAUGUGCCAUAUGCAAAGUCGAUGAAAUGUAGUCGGGAAGGCUAUUGAAAUCACUCUGGUCAUUGCCGCAUCUUGAUCUGUAAUGAUCAUUUUAGGUUCGCCACCUGGCAUGGGUUUCUUAAACUCCUCAAACAUCCAAAUAAACGACUCAGUCGUUUCCUUGCUAAAAAAUGCACAUGCUAAGACAAUUGUCUGACCAUGGUUAUUAACUCCCAACAUUGGUGCAAAUGUCAAGUCGUAUCGAUUCGUGUUGAAUGUGGUAUCGAAUACAACAACAUCUCCAUAAAACCCGUACGCCCGUCUAGAAGUUGCAUCUGCCCAAAAAAAUCGACUAAACUUGUCAUGGCCAUCUCCCUCAAUCUUGAAAUAAAAAGCCUCAUUUUUUUCUGUUCAGCCAUAAAAUACUCGGUCACUAGUUCAACAUCGUGGUUCCUCAGCUUCCCAUUCACACUACAUUCAAGAUUGUAGAUAUCUUUUUUGAUAAAUCUGAUUUUAUCCAUUCCUCCGGAUUGCACCUCGAAAAUACUUACCUUCUGAUGAAUGAGAAUAUUAACUGAACCCAACUGUUUUGUGAGUACUUUUGUAGAAUCUGAAAUACGACGGUGUGAUCUUAAUAAAUGCAUUCUUUCUGAGGGUGUCAUCUUAUGAUUGUGUCCCUCUGCAAAAAGAGAGAUGGUAUACUUCUUGCUCCCAUUUGCCUUCACAACUACAAUCUUAGCUUUGCAAUUGCAUCUACUUAUUCCCCGUUGUCUUUUUCUCUCUCAAGUUUCAUCUCUCAUGUAUGCACCUUGUUUGCAACAUACAAAUUCUUUCCUCAAAAUCUCUUUCUUAUUUUUCCCCCAAAAGCUGGAAUGAAGUCGAAUACCAAAGCCAGCCAAGAAUGCAUAUCUAUUAUAGAAAUUGUAAACGAGGUCAAGCGAGUCGAACUUCAUCCCAACUGCUGGUGUUUCCUCAUUUCUUACUUCAGGAAUAUAAACCCUCCCAUUAGCUGUUACACAGUCAUCACUCUCUGAGCCCCCAGACAUUUUAUCUACAUAUAUUAUUGAUCCACUUCUAUAUUACUGCAUAGCAAAUAUUAAUUCAUUAAUCAGUCAUUACUGCAUCACAACAUAUCAAUGCAUUCCACUUACACAAAACAUUGCCCAAAUUGACACAAAACACACAUAGCCUAACUUGUUGGAUUCCGAUUACACAAAACGCAAGCAAAAUUUAAUAAUAGUUACGUCAUCUCUUGUGAAAUAAUCUGGAAAAAAUAACAUUAGAACCAACAUGUUCAACUAAGAACACAAAUGUAAUUCAAACCACCAAUUACAGAACUUCACCCAAUAUCCUCUCCAAAUGCUUACUCCUAAUGUCAUUAAGCCUAAAUUUAGGAUCUUUUACCUACAUUUCAUAAUUUUCCACCCCCACCAAAAACAAUCAACUAAGUAUAUUGAAUAUUCAUAAAGAAAGGACACAUUAUUGACUCCACCAAUGACGCAUUAUUGAUGCCACAAAUGACGAAUUUCCCACCCUCACAAAAAAUAAACCAAAGCCAAUAAAAUCAAUCCAGCAAGUGAACUUACCUCUCAAAAUCAAUCGGGAGCUCCGAAGUCAGUCAGCUUGAGAGAAUGUGGUGGACAUUAGAGAAGACUCUUUGGUAUUUGAGACUCCAUCUCUACCAAAAUUGAGGAACAACUGCUGCUGCGGCAUCUAGCUACAAAAAGAGAUAUGCUACUUUACUUUCAUCUGGAAUCUUGUCUGCUGAAUGAAAAAGAGAAGGGGUUUUCACUUGAGCCAUAAAAUCAAAACAGGGCAACAGCUAGGUAAGAGCCAUUAAUCGCAAUACCGAGGAUACCAUAGAUCGCAGGCCUCCCAAGAAGCUGAUGACAAUGGAGUGACUAUAGGGUUUGGGAGCUUUGGAUCCUUCUAAUUGUGGGUUUUCUUUACAUUCAAAAAGAGAGGAUUAUGUUCUUGAGUUUUUCACAAAGAGGGAAAGAGGGAAAGAUGAGACUGAAGUUGGGUUUCUAACGGGUUAGAUUUCAACCCGAUUCUACAUGCACCCUUUUUAAAAACUCACCGUUGGAUGAAAUCCAACGGCUCUUACAUACCCCUCAAAAACACCCCUUAUAACUUUCCACUCACUAUAGAAGCUCCCAAAAGAAAACAGAUUUGCCAAAAAUCAAAUUUUAAGUCUCUCCUACGAUCGAAAUUUGGAUUUGAUGAACUAAAGUGGUUUUACUUUCUCCAUCAGUGUUUGAUGACUUAAUUUGUUAUUUACUUUUUUUAAAAAAACUUUAUCUUAUAUAUAUUAGUUUUCUUUUUUCCUUCAUAUUCACCACCUUUAUGUUGCUUAAGUAUUUCAGUCUUAACGGGUUUCCAUCUACCACUCAUCUUUGCUCUUCUCAGUGUAAGCCUUUUUUUUAAGCAUAAGAUUAGAGGGGAGGGGGGGGAGGGGGAUUUCUUAAUGUAAGCUUUGCAGUUUCAUAAUUAAUAUUUCCAAUAUCUCACUGUUAGUAAAAUACAAAACAUGAAAAGUAUGAAUAAAAUACGCACAUGUUACUAAUUUAUUGAGAUAAAAUACCAUUUUGCCCCUAGAAUAUUUUAUUAGGUUUAAAGUUGACUUUUUGACCAGGAAGGAAUUUGGGUAUUUCGACUAUAUCGUUGCAUAGAGCACGACGAGGUGAUUCCAUAGACACGUGGUAGGCUCGAAUCGGAGUUGUAAUGAGAGACAUACGAUCAAAAUACCUUCAGUGGCAUAAUCGUAAUUUUGGCUUAAAGGGUUUGAUAAAAUAUGAUUUUUCUUUCUUUCUCUCUCUCUCUCUCCCCGCCCAGUCUCUCUCUCGUGACGGCAGUGAUAGCCGGCCACAUUUUGGCCAGCCGUGCUCUCGUCCGGCCACCAAAGCUGAUGGGGCCGGUACCAAAAUGAUCAGGCCACCAUCCUUUUCCAACCUCAGCCAGGCCCCGCCGCCAGCAGUCGUGGUUUUGCCGGAAAAUGGAGAAGAAGCGGCCGGUUUUGUUCGAACUUCUCCGACUUCGUUCUCCCUCCUCUGGCCACCGAUUCCGAUGAAUGAGGUAUGGUUUCUCACCUACUUUUCAUGCUCUAGCUGCCUGUUGGGUAGGAUUCGAUCAAUCCCUAGUGUAGGUGGCUUGAUUUUCGAAUUGGGUUUCAGCCGAUUUUGGGAUCUCGAUUCCAGCCCCUUUCGAUCAGUUUUUAGGGUAGGUCCCAGAACAAAAGUGGUUCCAAAUAGGGUGUUAUACCUAGGUAGGAACCUUGAGCCGUGAUUUUGAGAAUUUUCUACGAUGCCUAAUCGCUUUGGACACCCACGCGCUACCGGCACGUGGGCACUGUAGAAAAAGGGCAUUGUGUCCCGAUGCGAUCCCCUUGUUGUCUUGAGUGCAUAGGUGUGCUCGGAUUUCAAUUGAAUACCGUUUGAGUCUCGAACGAAUAUCACAUAUUGUGCGUUAUCCGGAGUCGAUAGGUUUGAACCGUUGGAUAGUCUUAGAUUUAUAAUAUGUUAAUCUAGAUAUUCUUAGGAUCAAAAAGGAUUUGACGGAUCGUAAAAUGGAGUCCCGGAUACUCCGAAAAUGCCAACCCUAGGGCUAGGUUCCUAGUAACCGUCCGAUCGUGCAAUCAUGAGCAAUCCGACAGUCCGAUCCGGACCAAACUUGCAGGACGUGUAUCCUAAACCUUGUAGAACCCAUAGGAACUUUCAGAUUAGAAUUUGGAGGUCGUGGGCCCCUUGGGCCCGUUUGACUAAGUUUGGGUAGUUUGACCAUUGGCUGAUCGUGAGUCUUCAAAGGUAGUUUUACCUUCCUAGGAGGAUUAUAAAGACCCUAGUGACAGGUCUUGAGCGUUGUUGAGCUAUGUUGACUAGGUUUAGACUUUUAGAGUGUUUAUUAUUAUCGUAGGAAACUCUUGGAUAUUAUUUUAAUAAUUGAAAUUAUGAAAUUUAUGUUUAUGUGCAUGAUCGUUGGUCUAAAAAUAGCAUUAUUUUCCUGAUAAAAUUACGUUGCAGUAUACUAUAGAAUGGUAUCACUAAAUGGGGAUUACCUCUAUUAUUAGUUUAGAUAAUUAUGAGUAUGUCAGUUUGAAGUGCUAUACGCACUACCCUAAGUACCACCCUGUGAUUGUUAGGUCCCAUGUGGUGUAGGUUAUCCAGUGUAAGGACAGACCCCAUACGUGGCUUCAGAUGUUCUGAAGUAUUGGGGAGAUUAUGUGAUGGUUUUGUCACACGUGGCGUAGGUUAUCCGGCGUGUUGACAGACCAUAUACAUGGAGUUGGAUGUUCCGGCAUAUGGAGAGAUUUUGUGAUUGUUAGGUCCCACGUGGCGUAGGUUAUUCGGCGCGAGGACAAACCCUAUAUGUGGCUUUAGAAGUUCCGGCGUAUGAGGGAGAUUAUGUGAUGGUUAGGUCACACGUGGCGUAGGUUAUCCGGCGUGUUGACAAACCUCAUACGUGGUGUUGGAUGUUCCAGCGUAUGAGGAGAUUUUGUGAUUGUUAGGUCCCACGUGGCGUGGGUUAUCCGGCGUAAGGACAGACCCCAUACGUGGCUUUGGAUGUUCCGGCGUAUGGGGGAGAUCAUGUGAUGGUUAGGUCACACAUGGUGUAGGUUAUCCGGCGUGCUGACAGACCCCAUACGUGGCGUUGGAUGUAACGACCCGGUCCUAAAUAAAUUAGUAAAUAUUAAUUUAUUCAAAGAAAAUACCAUUUUGCCCAUAGAAUAUCUUAUUAGGUUUAAAGUUGAUUUUGUGAUCGGAAAGGAAUUUCAGAAUUUCGACUAUACCGUUGCGUAGAGCACGACGAGAUGAGUCCGUAGACACAUAGUGGGCUCGAAUCGGAGUUGUAACAAGAGAGAUACGAUCAAAAUACCCUCAGUGGCAUAACCGUAAUUUUGGCGAAAAGGGUUGAUAAAAUCAUAUUUCUCUCUCUCGGCCGGAAAUCCCAGUUGACAAAAUCCCGGCCGGAAACCUUGAAUUUCAGCCACAGCUUCGACUGGUUUGAACAGGGUUUUUCCCGGCUUUGCCCCAUCGCCUCCGCCGCCCAAUUCUGGUGAAACAGGUAUGGUUCCUCACCUAUUUUCCGAGAUCUAGCUGCUGUUGUGUAGGAAUUGGACAAUUUUCGUGUUUAGGAACUCGAUUUAGAAUUUUGGUUUUGCCCGAAUUUUCAAAGUGAAAUUUCGGCCACUUCUGCUAGUUUUUGGGGUAUGUCCAAGAACAAAAGUGGUUCCAAAUAGGGUGUUAUACCUAGAGUAGGAACCUUGAGCCAUGAUUUUGAGAAUUUUCGGCGAUGCGUAAUCGCUUUGGAAGCGCGUGGGCACUGUUGAAAAGGGGCAUUGUGUCCCGAUGAGAUUCCCCUGUUGUCUUUAGCGCGUAGGUGUGCUCGGAUUUCAAUUUGGAUACCGUUUGUGUCUUGAACGGAUAUCACAUAGUGUGCGUUAUCCGGGUUCGAUAGGUUUGAACCGUUGGAUAGUUUUGAAUUUGAUAUAUGUUAAUCUAGGCAUUUCUAAGAUCGUGUAGGAAUUCACGGAUCUUGAAUCGGAGCCCUGGAUGUUCCGAUUUAAUAACUUAAAGUUUAUGUUUAUAAUAACCGUCAGAUCGUGCAAUUGUGAGCGAUCCGACCGCCCGAUCCAGACCAAACUUGUUGGACGUAUAUCCUAAACCUUGUGGAACCUAUAGAAAUUUUCGGAUUAGAAUUUGGAGGUCGUGUGCCCCAUGGGCCCGUUUUACCAAGUAUGGGUAGUUUGACCCUUAGUUGACCAUGAGUCUUCCGAGGUAGUUUUACCUUCCUAGGAGGAUUAUAAUGACCCUAGUGACAGGUCUUAACCGUUGUUGAGCUAUGUUGACUAGGUUGAGACUUCUAGAGUGUUUAUUAUUAUUGUAGGAAAUUCUUAGAUAUUAUUUUAAUAAUUGAAAUUAUGAAAUUUAUGUUUAUGUGCAUGAUCGUUGGUCUAAAAAUAAUAUUAUUUUCCUGAUUAAAUUACGUUACAGUCUACUAUAGACUGGUAUCACUGAAGUGGGAAUACCUCUAUUAUUAGUUUAGAUAAUUGAGAGUAUGUCAGUUUGAAAUGCUAUACGCACUACCCUAAGUACCACCCUAUGAUUGUCAGGUCACCCGUAGCGUAGGAUUUUCUGGCGAGAUGACAUACCCCAAUUGUGGCGUUGGAAUUUCCGGCGUAUGGAGAGAUUAUAUGAUUGUCAGGUUACGCGUGGCGUAAGAGUUUUCGGCAUUAUGACAGACCUCAUACGUUGCGUUGGAAUUUCCGGCGUAUAAGGAGAUUAUUUGAUUGUCAAGUCACCCGUGGCGUAGGAUUUUUCGGCGGGAUGACAGACCUCAUACGUGGUGUUGGAAUUUUUGGCGUAUGGGGAGAUGAUAUGAUUGUUACGUCACAUGUGGCGUAAGUUAUUCGACGUGCUGACAGACCCCAUAGGUGGCGUUGAAAUUUCCGGCAUAUGGGGAGAUGAUAUGAUUGUUAGGUCACACGUGGCGUAAGUUAUCCGGCGUGCUGACAGACCCCAUACGUGGCGUUGGAAUUUCCGGCGUAUGAGGAGAUUAUGUGAUUGACAGGGAGAUGAAUAAAGGUAUUGUAUGUGUUUGGAAUGGGGAUUUAGUAGGAAGAACUACGUGUGGCUUGAUCCCUCAGUGAGGGUAUGUAGGUAGCCUAAGGUUAUUAGGUGCAGCCGCGGACAUAGAUGUGAUUGUGUUAGGAGGUUAAAACCUCGUAUGUUGGAAUUGGAAAAGUUAGAUGAUGUAUGUUGUAUUUAGUAUUCAUAAUUCAUAUUUGAGUUUAUUAUUUGCCUUGCUGAAAGCAAUAUGUGACUCAAGAGCUUUGUGGGUAGUUUGGGAUAUUAAAUGUGUUUUAUGCAGGUUGAAAAAUUUGGGGAAUGAUCAAUUUACAGGGGAGACUUUGCCGAAAUUUCGACAGAAAGUCCCGGUCUUUAGUAAGUGGGCCCGGCAUCGGGGUGAUGUCGAGAAUUCCAUAGGAUUCGUAUCGGGUUUCGGGAAAUCUGGGGCUAGUCUUGUCAUUGGAUGUUCCGGCGUAUGGGGAGAUUUUGUGAUUGUUAGGUCCCACGUGACGUAGGUUAUACGACGUGAGGACAGACCCCAUACGUGGCUUUGGAUGUUCCGGUGUUUGGGGAGAUUAUGUGAUUACUAGUGAGAUGAAUAAAGGAUUGUUUAUAUUGGGAAAAAUGUGUUUGUAGAAAGAAUUACGUGUGGCUUGAUCCCUCAGUAAGGGUACGUAGGCAGCCUAGGGUAGUGGUUAGGUGCAGCCGCUGACUAAACGUUAUAAUGUUGUUUUUAGGUUUGAUUAUAUGGUAUUAUGGGCCGAGGCCCCUGGGACUAUUGGUUAUAAUUCAUAGAUGGUAGUUGAUGCAUGCUAGAAAUUUGUAGGAAGUUAUUUCAUGUGGAUUGCAGUGGUACUCGUAAAAUUUAUUUGAGUUCCUGAAUUGCAUUGUUAGUAUAUUAAUUGACUUAAGAGUACUGCUAGUAGUUCUGCCUUGAUUUAUUUGAAGGUUGGAGGCCUUGUCUGUAAACUGUGUGCAAUUACAUUGUGUGUGCUGGCAGUUGGCUUUUUAAAUUGUGAAUUUUGUGCAUGUUGAAAUUUGGGAAAUGUUCAAUUUACAAGGGAGACUCUGUCAAAAUUUCGAUAGAAAGUCUUGUGCCCUUAUUCCUUUUUCGGAAAAAGGAUAUAUAGCUUUAGAAGUGGGCCCGACAUCGGGAUGAUGUCGGGAAUUUCGACAGAAUUCGUCUUAGGUUUCGGAAAAUUCGGGGCGGGUCCGAAAAAGUUGCUUCAGUUUUGGCAAGUAUCGGAAAAGACCAAAAUUUUCCGACUUUAUUAUUACUAGAAACAAAGUCGAAGUAUUCACCAAUCAUGUGGCCUUCCAAGUGCUCAAGGUUAAGCCAGGAACCGUUCCUAUCUGCCGUUUCCUUCCCAACUAUGAUCAUGUUGUCUAGGUUCCAACCCACAAAUCUACAUUGGGCUAUGUAUUUGAAUUUGUACUAAAGCGUGAUCUAUAGUAUGCAUUUAUUAGAUAAGUUUGAGAUGGCAGUGGCUUGGGUGUCCGCCGAGCUUGAACAAGUUUGGGUGUGCUGAGUGUUUCCAUGGGUGCGUUGAUGAUCAUGGUUAUUAGAUUUGUGAUAGUUUGGGCUCAAUUUCAACAGAACUUAUCUCAAGCCUAGUUAGUUGAUUCAUAAGUUUAUCAGGAAAAAAAAAUGAAAAAUGAAAAAUGAAAAAUGAAAAAAUCUUAAGUUAAGCCCAAGGACUUCUCACCAAAGUGUGCAUAAAUUGAAAUAUUUAAUAGAAGCCCAAGAUUUCUGAAGCACAUAAUAUCUACUAAAUUCUACAAAGUGUUAUACUUUACAAACUUCCUAUGUGUACCAAUUUUUACUAAAAUUAAUUUCUCUGCGGUGUUGAGAUUCAUCAUAAUUUUAGUAGAAAUUGGAAGUUUUCAUCAUUUUUGCUUUAAGUCUCUCCUCCACUCACUAAUAAAGAUUACUCAAGUGAGUUUACAAAACAUUUUUUUCUACUCUCUCCUGAAAACUACACUUCUUCUCAAAAGAUUAGAUCACUUCACAUCUUGCAUAUGUGAAAACUAAUGUAAAAAGUUGAAACUUUAUCAUAAAACCUCGACAAAAAUUAGCUCUACUUAAAACGUUAAAUUUGGAUUCGUUGAUUUAAAUGGCAAUUUGACACUUCAUAGAAAUUUUUACAUACAUGUGUUAGUGUUUGAUCACUUCACUUGUUACUUACUAUAUUUAUUCCAUGAUUCUCCCUCAAGUUAGGUAAAUAUUAUUAUCAAACAUUUCAAUUCAUUUGUGAUCUUUCUUGUCCAUCUUUUAAUGUACCCUGAAAUCCAUUAGCCACAUAUGAUGACCAAAAUCCAUACGUUCCUAUUUUUAAUGUAUGUUUACUCCCUAUAAUGUUCCAGUCUAGGGUAAUAACACUGCUAGUUUCAUAUGACAUCCUAUUUCUAAUGUGUAUCUACCCUUGUAAUGUUCCAGUUUAGGGUAAUAACACUGCUAGUUUACUAUCAUGUUGAUUAAUGCUUGUCAUGUUGCUAUUUCUAAUACAUGUCCAACAAAGAAAAGAUGAAGAAAGAACAAACCAGACCAACUCAAAAUAAGUUGAGUCCAAAUAGUUAAUACUAUUAUGUCGUAGAAGUACGUUGUUAAUACUCUGUAAUAGAAGUACAUGGUUAAUACUCUGUCAUAGAAUUACAUUGUUAAACAAAAAUAAGAUCCAUAACUGAAAUAGUAAUAAAAGAUAAGUCGAUCAUCAAAUCUUAAAAUACAUUUCGAAAAUCAACUAAAAUCCGAAGAGAAACACAUAAUUGAAGCAAAAGAUCAAAAAUCUCAAGUCCAAACCAAACAACGACGACGACGACAAUGAUGACGACAAUGACGUGGCGAAGAGGAGUAGAGCUCGAAGAUGAGGAGUAGAGCUAAGAGCAUUUGAUCAAGGUUCGUUUGAGGUCUCGAACAAUCCGAAAAAAAAAAAUCAAUAGAAGCAAGAUUUUAAAACAAGAAUCGAAUGUGAAAUAUUGAAAAUUGUAGAUUAAAGAUGAAGAAUAUAGUUGGACCUGAGACUGAGCUCCAAUGGAAGCUCCUCUUGCUCCAACACCAGAGAAAGCACCAACAAGAAAAGAGAAAAUAAAUAUGAUUUGGAUUUUUGGCAGAUUUGAAUUUUUGGCAGAUCUGGUUUUUUUGGCAAAUUUGAAUUUUUGGCAGAUCUGUGCAGAUUUGUUUUUUUGGCAGAUCUGAUUUUUCUCUCUCAAAUCCAUAUUGCAAGGGCAAUAUAGGUAUUUAACACACACAAAUAAACUAAAAAACAGCUAUUAAAUUGAAAAAUUUGACAGCUAUCAAUUUUGGGUGUGUUUGUAGUUUUUAAAUAGUAUAGGGUUUCUUUAUUAGACUAUGUCUACGAUUGGGUAUAUAAUUAAAUUUCUAUUAUUAAAAAAAAAGGACCCUAGUAAAGCCAUGGGACGAUACUCCUUUUAUAUAUAUUAUAUGAUAUAAAUAUUAUAAUAUAUUAUCUAAUAUUUGGAAUAUUUACUCUAAAAUAAACAAUAUAUUAGGUUCUUUUUGUCUACAAAUUGACCAUUAAACUUCUUAAUCACUCUUAUACUUUUAAUUAAAUCUACUAGGCUAGGUUACGAUAUUUGCACUAAAAACUCCUAAUUGUUUUUUCUUCUCUUUCUCUUGCUCUUUUUUUAACUUAAGCUGAAGUUUUGUAAUUUUUUUUCCCUCCCUUUUUACAUGUAUGAGUAGGGUACUUUAAUAUUGGGAUUUAUGAACUUUUUUUGUAUUUCUUCUCUAUGUUGGAAUAUAAAUUAGAGAUAUUUAGUCAUAUACCCAUUCUUAGCACUAAUAUUAUAAAUAAACCUUACAUCAUUCAAUUCCUAUAAACAAACCCAAAAAAUAAUAGCUGGCCCUAUUGAAUUUAAUUUUGACUAUUAAAUUACUUUGAUGCCCUAUUGAGUGUUUUGGGCUUUUUUUUAUGAGAUUUUGGAGUUGAGUUUGUUUUAAGAAAUCAAUGGCAAUUUUGUAAUUUAAAAAAAAUUAAAAGGCUUUUUGUUAUGUUGUAAAUAGGUUUCGAGUGUGUUUCUAAAGUCCAUUUCAUAUAGGUUUUUUAUAUAUAAUAAUUUGAACUCCUAUAUUGGGUAUAAUAGUGAAUCUCCAUUUAUUAACUUUUGAGUCUUUAAUAGUGUAGAUGAUGAGAUUAAUAUUCAACCAUUUUAUAAUAUGAAAUUAAGGACAAUCAUGAUUGUAAUGAAUGGAUUAUUAAUCAAUAUGAAAUGAUAUUAUGAAGUAGGCUAAAUGGAGUAGUUAGUAUCGUAUUAACUUAUUAACCGGUUAGCGCUUGAGCCCUCUAAUUCAAAUUAUUUUAUAAAAUUUUGUGAAGGGCCCCUUCUAAUGCAAAUUCCUGGCUGCGCCACUGCCUAUAGCAACUUGGUAAUGUGUGUGAAACAUCCCCUCCUUUUGUCGUUUAAACUAUCGGUUCGCUUGUAUUAAUAAAACAAAAAAUAAAAUAAAAGAUAAAAUUAUAAAUAAAACAAAACACAUAUUAAAGCCUAACUGUUAAUAAUGGAUCCAACAUAAGAUCCAGCCCAAGCCCAUGAAUAAAGCCCCCGAAAACGGUUGGUCCCUCAAUUAAAUUAUUCGUUCAAAUGGUCCAUCAACUCUAUAUUAUUCGCUCCAUUGGUCCUACCGUUAUAUUUUGUCAAUAUUUCUGUUAAAUAUGAGGGCAAAUUGGUCAUUAUUUAUCCUAAAAUUAGGUUAAAUCUAACAUAAAAUUAGACGGUAGGAAUUCGGGGCAGGUCAUGUCAAAAAGCUAAUUAGAGGGGCGAAAUUGACAAAUAAAUUUAAUACAAUAGCUAAAUUGGUUGAAAGAUUAAUUCAAGAUGUAGAUUUCAACAAGUGUGAUAAUUCAUGGGGUAUUCGGUAAUUUACUCCUUUUUUUCCCCUUGAUCUUCUAUAUUCAAGUAAUGGAAAUGUGUUCCACAUUUUCCAUUUAGUUGAUUAUAGAAAAGGAAGAGCAAACAUGAGUUAAGCCCAAGGCACCGAACUUAGGGUCAGUUUGGCAUUGUUAUGCUGUGAAAAUAAUCGUUGUCAGAUUUGCUGUGAGAGAAAAUAGUUUGGCGUUUGGUAAAAUUUUUGUUAAAAGUAUUAUUAGUAUUUAUUUUACGCAUAAUCAGAAAAUGAUUGCUGCAUAAUCAUUAAAUCCAGCGCCUUUUCGAAACUGAUUUUUGCAUAAUCAGAAAAUGAAAGCACAUCAUUAGCUGCUUUCCUUUAUAGCUUUCUCUCACAUCAAUUUUUAACAAUAAGUGAUUUUCUCACAGUUUACCAAAUGGAUUGGGCUUCUCAAAAUUUUAAAAAAAUCACUUAUCACCCCAAAUAAGUAAUGCCAAACGGGCACUUAGACUUCUCACCAACGUGAGGAAGAAAAAUAUGACAAAUUGAUAUAUUUAAUACAAGCUCAAACUGUGCACAAAUUAAUAUAUGCAACGGAAGCCCAAGAUUAUUUCUGAAGCACAUAAUUUCCGCAAAAUCUACAAAGUGGUGGGAGGCAGACCAACAAAAAAAAGUAGCGAAGGCUUAUAACUCUGGUAAAACAAGAGUGACUUGGACAGAAUAAUGUUAUGUCGUACUGAAGAUUUUUGGGUUUCUUUAAUUGGUUAAGUUUAUAUACCUUCAUUUGAAGAUUCUUUAUUUGGGUUGCUUUCAAGAUGAAAACCAUAUCCACAACCACAACCACAACUGGCAGACAAUCUUUGGCUGUUCAUCACAAUUGGGCGACAAUGAAGAAGACAGAAAUUGGAGUAAUGUAUGUUACCAGCAAUCCACGAGAAACUGACAUCUGCAAGCUUUCGUAAUAUAAGGAGGAUGGGGAGGCCGUGCAAUACUUAUCACCUUAGCCACCACCUACACCACAAGACCAAUAUGUUGUAGGCCAGGAGGCUUUCCAAUUUUAAUAUAUAUAUAUAUAUAUAUAUAAAAGUAAAGUGACAAAGAAAUUAAUGUAGGGUAAAGGUAGAAUAGAAAAGAGAAUGAACAAAAUUAAUAAAAAAAAGUUUUAAAAAGUAAAAGGGAGUGUAGAUGGAGAAAAGAGGAAUGGGGAAAUUAGCUCCCUAUAUAUAUAUAGAUUGAAAAAUUAAAAUUAAAAUCAAUCUAUUAUCUUAUAUAUUAUAAAAUAAAGAUUAUUGCUCCAAGGAAAUGAGAUCUUUUGUUUUCUGGGAAUUUUCUGAACCAAGAAGAAUCAAGUAAAAUUAAUAAAGCAUAAAUUGGAAAGGGAAAAGAUCCAGAGGAUGCAUUGUAAGAUUGCUGAUGCCAAUAAUUGUACCCUCUAAUUUUAUACAUGGACGGGCAUUCAAAUCGGCAAAUCAGAAAUCCAAGCCAAAUCGCACAGGAAAAAAUCGAGUUGACCAAAUAGUCAACAACCAAUCAAAAACCAUACCGGACCAGUUUGGACCGGUUUUGGAUCCAAUUCUAUGUCUUCAAAAACUGAACCAAGCGGAACCGAACCAGUCAAAUUAAAAAAUAUAUAAUUUCAAUAUAUAUUUAUAUUCAAUGCUAUAUUUUUAGUCUCAUAACUAAUAUUUAUGCAAGUUCAAUUUCAAAACAUCUCUCUUUUCUGGCUUUAAUAUUUAUUUUUAUAUAAAAUUAAAUAAUUUAUUAAUUUUCAAGUCAAAAAAAUAAAAUUUUAGUUGAAAUUUGUAUUAAAAAAUUAUUUGAAAAAAAUUAAUUUUAAUAAUCCAGUUCAAAACCAAAUCGGACCGGAACCUAAUCAAAAUCGGUUCAACCUGAACCGGACAGUUUUUGAAUUUUUUUUGUUAAAACCGAACCAAACCAAACCGGACAAAUAGUAUCGGAUUCGGUUCUAAUUUGAGACAAAAACCAGUCCAAACCGGACCGUGCCCACCCUAUUUUUUUUGUUUUCAAGUCUUAGAUGACAUGUCGACCUAAAAUUAUUGUUCCUAGCGGGCUCUCCACCCCCACUCAACCUAUUGUGUAUUAUUAUUUUCAAUAUUAUCUUAAAUUUAACUACUUAUGUCCAUUAUGAUUAGUCAUGUAUUUUAUGGACCAUCCAGCUGUGAGGCUUUAUCUCAAAAACAUUCAGUACCUUUUUCCCGCUUGCAACAAUUGUAUUUGAUUCAGAAUUAUGUCCUAUAUUGGUGGGUGGAGUGUUACUUCUGGGUACCCCUCAUCAUUCGUCUAUAAAAUGGUGAAGCCAGUUGCUACUGUUACCAUAAGAGCCAUCUCCGACUUUCUUUAAUUUCUUGCUUCAUAUCCACUAGCUACAUCUGUUGCCAAGUUAAUUUCAGUCCUAAUGGGGUUUCAUCUCCCACUCAUCUUUGCUCUUCUCAGUGUAAGCUCUGCAAUUUGAUUAACAUUUCCAUUAUCUCUCAUUGUACUCUAUAUAAACGAAAGUUUUGCAUUCCUAUAAUCCUCUCUGAUUUUAUUUACCACAUAAGUGUCGUCCACUAAUUAAUUACACUUUGUGAUUUGAUUUUAAUUAGAGUUCGAAUUAAUGUUGCAGCUAGCAGCGGUGGCACUGGCAAACCAUGCUGCUCAACCAGCAGCUCAACUUUACUGGAACUCCGUCCUGCCGAACACACAGAUGCCAAGAACUAUCAGUGAACUUCUGCAUCUUGGUUUGUGUUAAUCACUUUAGAAUCUUAGAUAUUUUUUCUACCUGCCAUUUUACUAAAAUUUGUUUGACCACAUAUUUAUCGGUUAACUACUGUUUUCCAAUUUAUUAUUAACCUCUACAUGAGUAAUUAUAGUAUGGUACUAGAGUACGUACGGCAACAUAUUCACAAAUGUCUCACUGAAUCUUCAAUCGGCUGAUCACUUAUUUUCCAUUAUGACGUUGAUAUAUAAUUUGCCGACUCCACAAAUGAAGAAAAGAGCACAAAUAUCAUGAAUGCUGUUGGGAAUGGAAAGCCAACUGACCACAAGGGAAAACCUGAAAUAAACGCAUUGUUUAGCGGAUACACAAUUCAAGUACAGUAUGCAGGAGUUCCUAAUUCUGACAAUCAACUCCAGUAUUAUAAAAACAUAACUAUUUUCUUCUUGGGGAAGGACAUGCGCCUUGGCGCAACAAUGAACUUCCAAUUCCCUAGAAAUUCAAACACGGCUACUUUCCUGCCACGCGAAAGUGCUCAAUCAAUCCCCUUCUCCUCUAACAAACUAUCAGAAAUUUUCAAACAUUUUUCAGUGAAGCCAACAUCUGUGGAAGCCAAAACAAUUAAGAAAACAAUCGAAGAGUGUGAAGCUCCAGGCAUUAAGGGAGGGGAAAGAUAUUGCGCCACAUCUUUAGAAUCAAUGGUUGAUUUUAGCACUUCCAAGCUUAGAACAAGAAACGUUCAAGCAAUCUCGACUGAGGUAUUGGAAAAAGGAACUGCCAUGUCCAUGCACAAGUAUACAACAAUGCCGGGACUGAAGAAGUUGGCAGGUGACAAAGUCGUUGUGUGUCAUAAGGAGAACUAUCCCUAUGCUGUGUUUUUCUGCCAUGCAAUAAAACAAACAGCAGCUUAUGUUCUCUCCCUGAAAGGCGAUGAUGGGGUGAAGGUUAAAGCAGUAACCAUCUGCCAUCUAGACACAUCAGAAUGGAACCCAAAGCAUUUGGCCUUCCAAAUCCUCAAAGUUAAGCCCGGAACCAUUCCCAUCUGCCAUUUCCUUUCCACAGAUGCUAUUGCAUGAACAUCACUUAGCACUGUACGUAUAAUAAGCUUGCACCCCUGUAUAAUUAUCUCCCUACUCUACUUAUUUCUGCCUCUUCUGUUGAGAUUUCAAUCAGAACUUGCACACACAAUGCAUCAGCUCACACAAAACCAGAUGAAUUUAAGAAAACAGAAAAAUGCAGAGAAAGAAUGGAUUGGCUACUCAGUAAUGCUCAAAGGUUCGUUGCUAUGCACAAAACAUGGCAGUGCACAAUACUCUCAUUUCUAACGGAACCAUUCCUUUUUACAAUGCUGAGAAUGUGAUCUCAGCCUUACAAUUGAUCCAGCAAUGUAAGCUGGACACUUGUCUUAAAUCUGAGUCAUAUAAGUUUCAUCCAACCAAAAUAUUACAUCUGUGAAAUAAAACUUAAACCAGCAGGAAUUUAUAAUUCGACAUUCCCUUCUAAAUUGUUGACUGGUUUAACACCAAGUAGACCUCUUAAGUAAUUGAAUCGAUCCUUAGACAAAGCUUUAGUGAAUAUGUCAGCUGCUUGCUCUUCGGACUUGCAGUAUCUUAGAUCCACCACACCUUCUUGCAAAGCAUCUCGAAUGAAAUGGUAUAUGCGGUUAAUGUGUUUGGUCUUUUGAUGGAAAACUGGAUUCCUUGUCAUUGCAAUGGCAGAGGUGUUAUCUACCAUUAAUGGAGUUGCCUCUGUUUGCUAUUCUCCAAAGUCUUCAAGCACAAACUUCAACCAUAUAGCUUGAGUAGUAGCUUCACUUACACUAACAUAUUCAACUUCAGUUGUGGAGAGAGCAACACUGGGUUGCUUGACAGAUGCCCAAGAUGACACGCCACUUCCAAAUGAGAAAGCAUAUCUAGAAGUGCUCUUCAUGUCAUCUUGACUCCCACUCCAGUCACUGUCACAGUAUCCAAUUAAUACAACUUCUUUUCCCUUCUGGUAUUCAAUACCAUAAUCAAUUGUGCCUUUGAUAUACCUCAACACCCUCUUAGUUGUUCCAUAGUGUUUCUUUUAGGACAAUGCAUGAAUCUAGCUAAUAAGCUAGCUGCAAACAUUAUGCCAGGCCUUGUAGCUGUUAAGUACAACAAACUUCCCACAAUCUGCCUAUAUUCAUUCUCAUCUGCUGGAUCACUUCCAUCUGCUUUGCAUAAUUUCUCACUUGCCACCAGAGGAGUGCUAACAGGUUUACAUUGUUUUAAGCCAAACUUGCUUAACAGAGUCAAAGCAUAUUUCUUUUGACUUAUGAAAAUACUCUUUUCAGUUUGAAUCACAGCCAUACCAAGAAAAUGAUACAAAAGACCUAAGUUAGUCAUUUCAUACCUUCUCAUCAUCUUAGACUAAAAAUCUGCAAUCAAUUCUUCACUGCUUCCUGUAUACACUAUAUCAUCAACAUAUAUCGAUACAAUGAGUGUUCUAGAGUUUUCCUUGGUCUUGCAAUACAGAGUUGCUUCACUAGAGCUCCUUGUAUAACCGCAGUCAAUAAGAUACGAGUUUAUUUCCUCAUCCCAUGCUCUUGGCGCCUGUUUUAGACCAUACAGAGCUUUCUUUAGUUUGUACACUUUGUCUUUAGAGUUCUUAAUCACAAAACCAUCUGGCUGGUCCACAUAUACUUCUUCCUUAAGCACACCAUUCAGAAAAGCAGACUUGACAUCCAAUUGAUACAACUUCCACCCCUUUUGAGCUGCCAAUGCAAUAAAAGUUCUAAUGGUGUCUAAUCGGACUCUGCACCCCUCUCGAUUGAAAACCUAUUGUGUAAAUCUUCAAUCCUAAACGAUGCACCUAAAACACAUGUUGCAAUACACAUCCACCCAUUCUCAGGCCAAUUAUUGCUCAUAGUGGGCUCCCGACCCCCUCUCAAAUUUAAGUGGUCCAUUAUUCUUAACCACAUAUUUUAUGGACCAUCCAGCUGUGAGGUUUUGUCUCAAAAACCUUCGGUACAUUUCUCCCACAUGCCACAAUUGUAUAUUCACAAUUACGUCUGAUACAUCACAUCAUGCCACUUGCCUCAAAUGAAUUUAAGUGAGUGAGGCAGUUGGAAGUAAUUAAGCUCUAUAUUGGUGGGUGGAGUGUUACUUCUGGGUACCCCUCAUCAUUUGUCUAUAAAAUGGUGAAGUCAGUUGCUACUGUUACCAUAAGAGCCAGCUCCGACUUUCUUUAAUUUCUUGCUUCAUAUCCACUAGCUACAUCUGUUGCCAAGUUAAUUUCAGUCCUAAUGGGGUUUCAUCCCCCACUCAUCUUUGCUAUUCUCAGUGUAAGCUCUGCAAUUUGAUUAACUUUUCCAUGCUCUCUCAUUGUACUCUAUAUAAACGAAAGUUUUGUGGUCCUAUAAUUCUCUCUCGAUUUUAUUUAGUACGUACUUAAGUGUUGUCCACUAAUUAAUUACACUUUGUGAGAUUUGAUUUUAAUUAGAGUUCGAAUUAAUGUUGCAGCUAGCAGCGGUUGCACAGGCAAACAAUGCUGCUCAACCAGCACCUCAACUUUACUGGAACUCCGUCCUGCCAAACACACAGAUGCCAAGAUCUAUCAGUGAACUUCUGCAUCCUGGUUUGUGUUGAGCUCUUUAGAAUCUUAGAUAUCUCUUCUACCUGCCAUUUUACUUAAAUAUGUUCGACCACAUAUUUAUCAGUUAACUACUGUCAUUACAUGAGUGACACAUAUUCACAAAUCGGCUGAUCACUUAUUUUCCAUUAUGACGUUGAUAUAUAAUUUGCAGACUCCACAAAUGAAGAAAAGAGCACAAAUGACGUUGGCAAACCUGAAACUUUCCCAUUGGGCAAUCAAAAUUACUCCAGUCAAAAAAAUUAUGGAACAGGCAAUAAACGUUACUGCAGUCAAAAAAGGUAUGGAAGAGGCAAGAAACGUUACUGCGAUCAAAAAAAGUAUGGAAGAGGUGCUUCUCCAUCUGACAAUCAACUACUCCAUUAUAAAGACUUAGCUAUUUUCUUCUUGGAGAAGGACAUGCGCCCUGGCACAACAAUGAAGUUCCAAUUCUCUAGAAAUUCAAACACGGCUACUUUCUUGCCACGAGAAAGCGCUCAAUCGAUCCCCUUCUCCUCUAACAAACUACCAGAAAUUUUCAACCAUUUUUCAGUGAAGCCAACAUCUGAGGAAGCCAAAACAAUUAAGCAAACAAUCGAAGAGUGUGAAGCUCCCGGCCUUAAGGGAGAGGAAAUAUAUUGCGCCACAUCUUUAGAAUCAAUGGUUGAUUUUAGCACUUCGAAGCUUGGAACAAGAAACGUUGAAGCAAUCUCGACGGAGGUAUUGGAAAAAGGAGCCACCAUGUCCAUGCACAACUAUACAACAAUGCCGGGACUGAAGAAGUUGGCCAGUGACAAAGUCGUUGUGUGUCAUAAGCAGAACUAUCCCUAUGCUGUGUUUUUCUGCCAUGCAAUAAAACAUACAGCAGCUUAUGUUCUCUUCCUGAAAGGCGAUGAUGGGGAGAAGGUUAAAGCAGUAACCAUCUGUCAUCUAGACACAUCAGAAUGGAACCCAGAGCAUAUGUCCUUCCAAAUCGUCAACGUUAAGCCCGGAACCAUUCCCAUCUGCCAUUUCAUUUCCACUGAUGCUAUUGCCUGGGUUCCGAACCACAAAUCUGCAUGAUCAUCACUUAGCACUGUACGUAUAAUUAUCUCCUUACUUAUUUCUGCCUCUUCAUCAUGUGGUGUAAGAUAUAUGAUGAGAUGAAGUUUUUGGGAUUAGUGGUUGGGUUGCCUGAAAAACACAGAUUACAGAAACUGCUUGAAAUUAACCCGAUCAUGUUUUCUCUUGUAACUAUAUAGACUUCAACUUGUACUCAUAAUAAAGCAUGCUAUAUUUAUGAAGAGAUAUUAAUCUAUAUAUAUUUUUUAUAUAUGCUUUGGCUUUGUGGUUCUACCCAAUGUUUGAGUGUUGAAUUGUUACGUUGGAAUAGGCUGCUAAUGCAUGUAGUUAGAGAAGCCUUCAUUUAUAUCAAAGUCCUCAAACUAUCAAGAACUAAUGUAUCCAGAAACAUAUACCAAGACGCAAAACAACAUAUUUUCCAUGCUCUGUCUGUAACACCAAAGCAAACUUCCUUGAUCACAAAAGGAUCAAAUUCCAGUACUAAUCUAAUCCAUCAUGUAAAGCAUACAAGUGCCUCCCUAAAUACUAUACUCUUUUUGUUAUUUCCUACUAUACUAUUUAAGAUUUAAAAUUCAGGUCAACCCAUAGAUUUCUCGCCUUUUUCUUCUUCAUCUCGUCGGGCUUGUCUUCUUCUUGAGGAUUGUAUAGGCCAAGGAAAUGCUUUGAGUUAGUUUUUGCGCUUUUGCGUUUUGGGCCUUGGAAGUUGGGACCCAAACCAACUUCACAAAAAGAAAACGCUCAGACUAUAAUGAGUGGAAAGUUAUAAGGGGUAAGUUAUAAGGAGUUCACUUUAUAGCCAUCAGAUCAAUCUAAGGGCUGGGGAGAAUUGAGAUAAAGUUUUAAAAUCGGGUAGGUGAGGAACCCAAACCCGAAUUGAAUAUCCAGCACGUCCGAAAAAGAAGAAGAAGAGGCAAGCACGUCCGAAAAAGAAGAAGAAGAGGCAAGGUCGAAGUUUGAACAGAAAAAACUCAUCUCUUUAAAACCCAUAGCUCUGAGAAACGGUUGAAGGCAACGGUUAACGACGGUUGUUGAAGCCACUCCGUUCUCCAGACCCUGAAAAAGUAUUUAUUUUGAGUAGAAGGGGCAAAUGUGUGGAUUCCGAAACAGUGAAGGGGCGAAGCAGUGGAAGGGGAAGGAGAGAAGCCGUAUUCGUUGGAAGUGGUAGGUUCCAUUUGUGGAGCAAAGCAACACAAAGACCCCGCACAGACACCUUGCGAUUGUUCAAUAACCAGCAUUUGGUGAGUAAUUUAUGGAAUUUGAGUUUAGGGUUAGAGUAAUGGUUUUCCCCAAUUUGUACCAUCAAUUUUGUUGGAUUUGGCAUCUCUUCUUUGUGCUUCAGUUGCAUGUUAAUUUUUGCUUGGGUAUAUGUUAAAAAAAGAAUGAAAAUCAAGUCAAUAACAAGUGAAUAACAUGUCAAUAAUGAUAUGAAUAAGAUAAUGGUGUUGAAUUGGAGGAGGCCCUCAAAACAUUCCACAUUUGAAGCAGUGCAUAGUGCAGAUUAUCUCUCUGGCGCUAGAAUAUAUAUAUAUUUUGAAAUAAAUAUGAUUUCCUUUGUUACUAAAUUUGCCUGAGAAACAUGAGAACAGAUAAUAAUAAACUCAUGAAUAGAAGUGCAAAGCAUUUGAUGAGUAAUUUAUGGAAUUUGAGUUUAGGCCCAGGAAAUUCCUUGACCCCAAAAAAAAAAAAAAAGUUGAUUUAAAAUUCAGGUCAACCCAUAGAUUUCUCGCCUUUUUCUUCUUCAUCUCGUCGGGCUUGUCUUCUUCUUGAGGAUUGUAUAGGCCCAGGAAAUGCUUUGAGUUAAUUUUUGCAUUUUUGCGUUUUGGGCCUUGGAAGUUGGGACCCAACCCAACUUCACAAAAAGAAAACAGAUUUGCCAAAAAUCAAAUUUCAAGUCUCUCCUCCGAUCGAAAUUUGGAUUUGAUGAACUAAAGUGGUUUUACUUUCUCCAUCAGUGUUUGAUAACUUAAUUUGUUAUUUACUUUUUUUUUAAAAAACUUUGGCUUAUAUAUAUUAGUUUUCUUUUUUCCUUCAUAUUCACCACCUUUAUGUUGCAUAAGUAUUUCAGUCUUAAUGGGUUUCCAUCUACCACUCAUCUUUGCUCUUCUCAGUGUAAGCCUUUUUUUUUUUUUAAAGCACAAGAUUAGAGGGGAGGGGGAUUUCUCAAUGUAAGCUUUGCAGUUUCAUAAUUAAUAUUUCCAAUAUCUCACUGUUAGUAAAAUACAGAAAAAGUACUAAUAACAUAUGCACAUGUUACUAAUUUAUUGAGAUAAAACACCAUUUUGCCCCUAGAAUAUUUUAUUAGGUUUAAAGUUGACUUUUUGACCAGGAAGGAAUUUGGGUAUUUAGACUAUAUCGUUGCGUAGAGCAUGGCGAGAUGAGUCCGUAGACACAUGAUUGGCUCGAAUCAGAGUUAUAAUGAGAGAGAUACGAUCAAAAUACCCUCAGUGGUAUAACCGUAAUUUUGGCUUAAAGGGUUUGAUAAAAUAUAAUUUUUCUUUCUUUCUUUCUCUCUCUCUCUCUCUCUCUCUCUCUCUCCUCUCUCUCACGACGGCAGUGAUAGCCGGCCACUUUUUGGCCAGCCAUGCUCUCGUCCGGCCACUAAAGUUGACGGGGCCGGUACCAAAAUGACCGGGCCACCAUCCUUUUCCAACCCCAGCCAGGCCCCACUGCCAGCAGUCGUGAUUUUGCUGAAAAAUGGAGAAGAAGCGGCCGAUUUCGUUCGAACUUCUCCGACUUCGUUCUCUCUCCUCCGGCCACCGAUUUCGAUGAAUGAGGUAUGGUUUCUCACCUACUUUUUAUGCUCUAGCUGCCUGUUGGGUAGGAUUCGAUCAAUUCCUUGCGUAGGUAGCUUGAUUUUCGAAUUGGAUUUCGGCCGGUUUUGGGAUCUCGAUUCCGGCCACUUCCGGUCAGUUUUUGGGGUACAUCCCAAAACAAAAGUGGUUCUAAAUAGGGUGUUAUACCUAGGGUAGGAACCUUGAACCGUAAUUUUGAGAAUUUUCGGUGAUGCCUAAUCGCUUUGGACACCUACGCUAUGCCUGCGUGUGGGCACUAUAGAAAAAGGGCAUUGUGUCCCGAUGCAAUCCCCUUGUUGUCUUGAGCGCGUAGGUGUGCUCGGAUUUCAAUUUGGAUACCGUUUGAAUCUCGAACGAAUAUCGCAUAUUGUGCGUUAUUCGGGGUCGAUAGGUUUGAACUGUUGGAUAGUCUUAGAUUUAUAAUAUGUUAAUCUAGACAUUCUUAGGAUCGAAUGGGAUUAAACGGAUCGUAAAACGGAGUCCCGGAUACUCCAAAAAUGCCAACCCUAGGGCUAGGUUCCUAGUAACCGUCCGAUCGUGCGAUCGUGAGCGAUCCGACCGUUUGAUCCGAACCAAACUUGCAGGACGUGUAUCCUAAACCUUGUAGAACCCAUAGGAACUUUCGGAUUAGAAUUUGGAGGUCGUGGGCCCCUUGGGCCGUUUGACUAAGUUUGGGUAGUUUGACCCUUGGCUGAUCGUGAGUCUUCAGAGGUCUUGAGCGUUGUUGAGCUAUGUUGACUAGGUUUAGACUUUUAGAGUGUUUAUUAUUAUCAUAGGAAACUAUUAGAUAUUAUUUUAAUAAUUGAAAUUAUCAAAUUUAUGUUUAUGUGCAUGAUUGUUGGUCUAAAAAUAACAUUGUUUUCUUGAUAAAAUUACGUUGCAGUCUACUAUAGACUGGUAUCACUAAAUGGAGAUUACCUCUAUUAUUAGUUUAGAUAAUUAAGAGUAUGUCAGUUUGAAGUGCUAUAUGCACUACCCUAAGUACCACCCUGUGAUUGUUAGGUCCCAUGUGGUGUAGAUUAUACAGCGUCAGGACAGACCCCAUACGUGGCUUUGGAUGUUCUGGCGCAUGGGGGAGAUUAUGUAAUGGUUAGGUCAUACGUGGCGUAGGUUAUUCAGCGUGUUGACAGACCCUAUACGUGGCGUUGGAUGUUCCAGUAUGGAAAGAUUUUGUGAUUGUUAGGUCCCACGUGGCGUAGAUUAUCCGGCGUGAGGACAAACCCCAUUCGUGGCUUUGGAUGUUCCUGCGUAUGGGGGAGAUUAUGUGAUGGUUAGGUCACACGUGGCGUAGGUUAUUCGGCGUGUUGGCUAACCCCAUAAGUGCCGUUGGAUGUAACGACCGGUCCUAAAUAAAUUAGUGAAUAUUAAUUUAUUCAGAGAAAAUACCAUUUUGCCCAUAGAGUAUUUUAUUAGGUUCAAAGUUGACUUUUUGAUCAGAAAGGAAUUUGAGAAUUUCGAUUAUACCGUUGCAUAGAGCACGGCGAGAUGAGUCCGUAGACACGUGGUAUGCUCGAAUCGAAGUUGUAACGAGAGAGAUACGAUCAAAAUACCCUCAGUGGCAUAACCGUAAUUUUGGCAAAAAGGGUCGAUAAAAUCAUAUAUAUAUAUUUUCUCUCUCUCUCUCUCUCUCUCUCUCUCUCUCUCUGCGAUAUUGUCCCUCUCUCUCUUUGAUUCACUGCCAUCUGCCCACGGCAGGACUUGAGACUGGUCACGUUUGAACCGGCUCGAUGUCCCGAUCACGUCGCACCCAAAAUGCAAAUGGAAACCUUGAAUUCCAGCCACGGCUUCGACUGGUUUGAACUGGGUUUUUCCCGGCGUUGCGCCACCGCCUCCGCCGCCCAAUUCCGGUGAAACAGGUAUAAUUCCUCACCUAUUUUUCGAGAUCCAGCUGUUGUUGUGUAGGAAUUAGACGAUUUUCAUGUUUAGGAACUCGAUUUAGAAUUUAGGUUUUGGUCGAAUUUUCAAAGUGAAAUUUCGGCCACUUCCGCUGGUUUUUCGGGGUAUGUCUAAGAACAAAAGUGGUUCCAAAUAGGGUGUUAUACCUAGGGUAGGAACCUUGAGCUGUGAUUUUGAGAAUUUCCGGCGAUGCGUAUUCGCUUUGGACACCCACGCGCCGACAGCGCGUGGGCACUGUAGAAAAGGGGCAUUGUGUCUCAAUGCGAUCUGCUUGUUGUCUUGAGCUCGUAGGUAUGCUCGAAUUUCAAUUUGGAUACUGUUUGAGUCUCGAACGGAUAUCGCAUAGUGUACGUUAUCCGGGUUUGAUAGGUUUGAACCAUUGGAUAGUUUUGAAUUUGAUAUAUGUUAAUCUAGGCAUUUCUAGGAUCAUGUAGGAAUUCAGGGAUCAUGAAUCAGAGCCCCGGAUGUUCCGAUUUAAUAACUUAAAGUUUAUGUUUAUAAUAACUAUCAGAUCGUGCGAUCGUGAGCGAUCCGACUGUCUGAUCUGGACCAAACUUGCAGCACGUAUAUCCUAAACCUUGUGGAACAUAAAAAAAUUUCGGAUUAGAAUUUGGAGGUCGUGGGCCCCGUGGGCCCAUUUAACCAAUUAUGGGUAGUUUGAUCCUUGGUUGACCGUGAGUCUUCCGAGAUAGUUUUACCUUCCUAGGAGGAUUAUAAUGACCCUAGUGAUAGGUCUUGACCGUUGUUCAGCUAUGUUGACUAGGUUGAGACUUCUAGAGUGUUUAUUAUAUUAUUGUAGGAAACUCUUAGAUAUUAUUUUAAUAAUUGAAAUUAUGAAAUUUAUGUUUAUGUGCAUGAUCGUUGGUCUAAAAAUAAUAUUAUUUUCCUGAUAAAAUUACGUUGCAGUCUACUAUAGACUAGUAUCACUAAAGUGGGAAUACCUCUAUUAUUAGUUGAGAUAAUUGGGAGUAUGUCAGUUUGAAAUGUUAUACCCUAAGUACUACUCUAUGAUUGUCAGGUCACCCGUGGCGUAGGAUUUUCCGGUGAGAUGACAGACCCCAUACGUGGCGUUGGAAUUUCCAACGUAUGGAGAGAUUAUAUGAUUGUUAGGUUUCACGUGGCGUAGGAUUUUUCAGCGGGAUGACAAACCCCAUACGUGGCAUUGGAAGUUUCAGCGUAUGGGGAGAUGAUAUGAUUGUUAAGUCACACGUGGCGUAGGUUAUUUGGAGUGCUGACAGACCCCAUACGUGGCGUUGAAAUUUCUGGCGUAUGGAGAGAUGAUAUGAUUGUUAGGUCACUUUGGAUGUUCUAGCGUAUUGGGAGAUUAUGUGAUUACCAGUGAGAUGAAUAAAGGAUUGUUAUGUUAUAUUGGGAAAAACAUGUUUGUAGAAAGAAUUACGUGUGGCUUGAUCCCUCAGUAAGGGUACGUAGGCAGCCUAGGGUAGUGCCUUGGUGCAGUCGCUGACUAAACAUUAUAAUGUUGUUUUUAGGUUUGAUUAUAUGGUAUUAUGGGGCAAGGCCCCUAGGACUAUUGGUGAUAAUUCAUAGAUGGUAGUGGAUGCAUGCUAGAAAUUUGUAGGAAGUUAUUUCAUGUGGAUUGCAGUGGUACUCGUAAAAUUUAUUUGAGUUCCUUAAUUGCAUUGUUAAUAUAUUAAUUUACUUAAGAGUACUGCUAGUAGUUCUGCCUUGAUUUAUUUGAAGGCUGGAGGCCUUGUCUGGAAACUGUGUGCAAUUAGAUUGUGUGUGCUGGCAGUUGACUUUUUAAAUUGUGAAUUUUGUGCAGGUUGAAAUUUGGGAAAUGUUCAAUUUACAGGGGAGACUCUGCUGAAAUUUCGGUAGAAAGUCUUGUGCCCUUAUUCCUUUUUGGGGAAAAGGAUAUAGUUUUAGAAGUGGCGAUGUCGGGAAUUUCCACAGGAUUCGUCUCGGGUUUCGGGAAAUUCGGGGCGGGUCUGAAAAAGUUGUUUCAGUUUUGGCAAGUAUCGGAAAAGACCAAAAUUUUCCGACUUUAUUAUUACUAGAAACAAGGUCGAAGUAUUUACCAAUCAUGUGGCCUUCCAAGUGCUCUAGGUUAAGCCAGGAACCGUUCCUAUCUGCCGUUUCCUUCCCAACUAUGAUCAUGUUGUCUGGGUUCCAACCCACAAAUCUACAUUGGGCUACGUAUUUGAAUUUGUACUAAAGCGUGAUCUAUAGUAUGCAUAUAUUGGAUAAGUUUGAGAUCAGUGGCUUGGGUGUCCGCUGAGCUUGAACAAGUUUGGGUGUGCUGAGUGUUUCCAUGGGUGUGUUGAUGAUCAUGGUUAUUAGAUUUGUGAUAGUUUGGGCUCAAUUUCAACAGAACUCAUCUCAAGCCUAGAUAGUUGAUUCUUAAGUUUAUCAGGAAAAAAAAUUAAAAAUUAAAAAAUCUAAAGUUAAGCCCAAGGCGCCGAACUUGGACUUCUCACCAAACUGUGCAUAAAUUGAAAUAUUUAAUAGAAGCCCAAGAUUUUUGAAGCACAUAAUAUCUACAAAAAUCUACAAAGUGUAAUACUUUACAAACUUCUUAUGUGUACCAAUUUCUGCUCAAAUUAAUUUCUCUGUGGUGCUGAGAUUCAUCAUAAUUUUAGUAGAAAUUGGAAGUUUUCAUCAUUUUUGCUUUAAGUCUCUCCUCCACUCACUAAUAAAGAUUACUCAAGUGAGUUUACAAAACAUUUUUUUUCUACUCUCUCCUGAAGACUACACAUCUUCUCAAAAGAUUAGAUCACUUCACAUCUUGUAUAUGUGAAAACUAAUGCAAAAAGUUGAAACUUUAUCAUAAAACCUCGACAAAAAUUAGCUCUACUUAGAACAUUAAAUUUGGAUUCGUUGAUUUAAAUGGCAAUUUGACACUUCAUAGAAAUUUUUACAUACAUGUGUUAGUGUUUGAUCACUUCACUUAUUACUUACUAUAUUUAUUCCAUGAUUCUCCCUCAAGUUAUGUAAAUAUUAUUAUCAAACAUUUCAAUUCAUUUGUGAUAUUUCUUGUCCAUCUUUCAAUGUACCCUGAAAUCCAUUAGCCACAUAUGAUGACCAAAAUCCACACUCUGUUGUUUGCAAACGUUCAAUAUACGACUUGCAUCCACAGUCCUGACCCAAAUGAAAUGCGGAAACUGUCAAGCUAACUGUAGGGAGGACUAUAUUUGAUUUUACCUUAAAGACUGAUCCGAAACCACCUUCUCCAAGUUUAUUGUUGUUUGAAUAGUUUUUGGUUGCACAAACAACAGCGGCCAAGUCAAAUAAUGGCAAUUCCAGAUCUUCCUUUUGGCCGGGCUUCAGUUCUCCUGUGAAGUACGUAGUGAAGUAAAUAAUGUAGCAUGGAACCUUAGCUUAGAAACCAGAGAGGCAACAGCAAAAAUUUUCUAUAGAACUGAACCUACCUAUCUUAGAAAAUGAAGGGGCAGAAGAGUAGAAAAUCAAAUAGCUUACCAUAUUUUUGUUGCUGGUUCUUCCUCACAUAUAAUAGCAGGGUAAGGCCCAGGGUCAGCAGUCCAGUAGACAACACAGUACUGGUUACUAUGAUCUUUGUAUUGUGUCCUUGAUCUAGGAAUGAAGUAUUUGAAAGCAGAAGAUUGAGGAGUCAGAAAUUCAUAAAGAAAAAAUCUCUACUUUUUAUCAUCCAACGAACAAUUAAUGCUAGUUUCUGAGACAGUUCUAAAGAAAUAUUUUUCUAACAAUGUCAAAAGUUUUCUGGCUCUAUCUUGUUUCUAAUCAUGUCACUGUUGGAAGAUUUCUUUCUUCUUUUUUCCUUGGUGGCUUUUAUUUUUCUUUCAAACUUUGUUUUAAACAGCAAGAUGAUUCCAUACCUAGUUCUGACGAAGCCAUUCUUAUGUAAAUAUCUUGCCCAUUUAUAUUGGAAUAUCUUAUAUCAACCAGAUCGCUGAACCACAGCAAGGACCCCCUUCCUCCAUCUCGGAUAUCCAAAUUUGAAAAAGCGGCGCAGGAGCAGUUGUUCAUGCACAUCAUCUCACAUUCCUUGAGGUUCAUAAUUGUGUUAUACUAGGAUUGUUCUGUACUUUAUUUCACCCCAGUGUACUUCUUAAAGAUGUCUCCACUGCAAUUCAGUUGGCUCUUUCUCACAGAUCUAUAUGACCAAUCCACCAAGUCCCAGUCUUGUUGAAAGUCGGUAUAAAUCCUUUCAAGCAGCUACGUACUGGGGACUUGUCAAUACAACAUGCACCAUUCGGACCACAUAUUCCAUAUUUGUCGCAGAUAUCAGUCGUUGCUCUUAGAUAAACAACCCAACCUUGGUUUCCAUCACUCCCGAUGUAGCUCAGCCCAAAUCCAUCUUGAGUUAACGCCAGCCUGAAAAGAGUUGAGCUGUUGAGAAGCUUAUAACCAUAAUAUACUUCAUCAUCAUUAUCCAACACAAAAUCAUAUGUUGGAUUUAAAUUAUGCAUCCCACUAAAUUGGAUUCCAUUCCAUGGUGCAGUCCGAUAUUUUAUAACAGAACCCUCCCUCAGAAUUAAUUCAUGGUACCCAUAAGGACCAAGUUGAUAUGGGUAAUGUCCUUGAGAAGGAUCCUGGGGGCUUUUCCAGGGUGUAAGAUGCCAAUUAAAACCUGUGAUUUUGUUCCUAACAAGCUUCAUACCUGGUAUUAAUGUAUCUCCUGGGUAAUCAAAACUCUGCCAUAAAAUAUUAUCAGAGUCAUUACGACCAUUGCCAUCUAUCACAACAAGAUUUCCGGAAUCCAAAAUCUGUGCCACUGGAUUCUAUGAAGAACUUGAUGUGUUGGAAGACCUGUAGUGUUCUUUGUUGAAUAUUUGGAUUGCAAAGGGAGCAAGAAAUGUACUGAGAGAGAAAGAGAGAGAGAGAGAGAGAGAGAGAGAGAGAGAGAGAGCAGUGAGCCUUAGAUUGUUCUAACAGUUUUCUUACUCUGCAUGAACAUAGCAGCAGAGCUUAUAUUCCUUCAUGACUGUUACAUGUUCUCUCUUACAUCAGUAGAUUCAAAUCUAACGGUUUGUAAUAGUAAGCCAAUGUGAGUAUGACACAUGGCAAUACACAGCUGUCCUAACAGCUGGGAAUUCAAAACAGACUCUAGCAUUGCACCUGGCAUAUAAGCACAAGGCACUCAGCUAACACAAAGAUUAAAAACAGAUUGAAUAUAAACUGACAUAGAACUUACUAACUAAUCUGAAAUUAGCUAGACAGUUUACAUUUUAACACUCCCUUCUAAAGUGCUAGCUGAUUUCACUCCAAGCAUUCUCCUCAAAUAGUCAAACCUGUCUUUGGGAAGAGCUUUGGUGAAGAUAUCAGCAAUCUGCUCUUCUCCUUUGCAGUAGAGCAGUUCAAUCACUUCUUCUUGUAUUGCAUCUCUAAUAAAAUGAAACUUCCUUUUAAUAUGCUUGCUCCGUUGAUGAAAAACAGGAUUUUUAGCCAUUGCUAUGGCUGAAGUGUUGUCACAAAACACAGUUGUUGCAGUGGUCUGUUCUUCCCCAAAAUCUUCAAGAACAAACCUGAGCCAAAUGGCUUGUGAUGUAGCUUCUGCUGCACUCACAUACUCUGCCUCUGCAGUAGAGAGAGCCACACUGUGUUGUUUGACUGAUGCCCAUGAAAAAGCACCACUUCCAAAUGAAAAUGCAUAUCCAGAAGUGCUUUUCAUAUCUUCCUCAGAUCCACUCCAGUCACUGUCACAGUAACCAACUAAGAGUGCAGAUUUUCCUGUCACAUACUCAAUUCCAUAGUCAAUUGUGCCUUGUAUGUACCUUAGAACCCUUUUAGCUGCCCCAUAGUGCAUCUUAGAAGGGUUAUGCAUGAAUCUUGCAAGCAGGCAGGCAGAGAACAUGAUAUCUGGCCUGGUUGCAGUAAGGUACAGCAGGCUGCCUACAAUUUUUCUGAACAAACUUUCAUCUGCAGCAUCACUUCCAUCCUCUCUUUUCAAUUUAUCAGUAGCCACUAAUGGAGUGCUUACUGACUUGCAGUCUUUGAGUCCAAACUUAUCCAAGAGAGUGAGAGCAUACUUCUUUUGAUGAAUGAAGAUGCUCCCUUCAGUUUGUGUUACUCCCAUACCAAGAAAAUGGUGGAGUAAACCCAAAUCAGACAUCUCAUACUUGCACAUCAUUUCAGCUUUGAAUUCUUUCAUCAUUUCAUCUCUACUUCCUGUGUACACUACGUCAUCUACAUAGAUUGACACUAUUAGUGUUCCCACCUUCCUUUGUUCUCACAUAGAGAGUGGCUUCACUUGGACUUCUGUGAAAACCACACUGAUUCGAGUAGGUGUCAAUUUCACUAUACCAGGCCCUUGGAGCCUGCUUCAACCCAUAGAGGGCUUUUCUUAACCUAUACACCUUAUCCUCAUCAUCUUUAACCACAAAACCAUCCGGUUGAUCAAUAUAAACUUCUUCUUCAAGGACACCAUUUAGGAAGGCUGACUUGACAUCCAAUUGCCAUAGUUUCCAGCCUUUCUGAGCAGCAAGAGCUAUGAGAGUUCUAAUGGUGUCUAACCUUGCUACAGGAGCAAAGGUUUCAUUGAAAUCAAUCCCUGGUUUUUGUGUGUAUCCCUUGGCAACAAGUCUUGCUUUAUGUUUUUGAAUGGAGCCAUCAAGAUUAAGCUUAAUUUUGAAUAUCCACUUCACUCCCACAAUUGGUUUACUACUUGGCCUGUCAACCAAUUCCCAACUGGAGUUUUUCUCUAUCAUAAGUAUCUCCUCAGUCAUAGCCUUCCCCCAAGCUUCAUCUUUGACUGCUUCUUCAAAAUUUUCAGGUUCAAUGAUGCUCAUCUUGCAUUGAGCAUACACUUCACUCAAACUCUUCCAUUUCUUUGGGGUGUUAUCAUAAGUUUCUAAUGGAGCAGAGUCUUGAGUAGCAUGCACAUCAUUACUUGUUUGUGUUUCCAUAGGAGACUGUACAAUCUGUUGCUGUAACAGAUUUGGUUAUGAAUCCAAAUCUGAUACAAUUGAACUUACUCCAUCACCCCAAGACAUAGGGAUUUGCAAUGCCUCAUUGGUUUCCCAAUUCCACAUUGCUUCUUCAUCAAAAAUAACACUCCUAGACAGCUCAAUCUUUUGAGUUCUCAAGUUGAGCACUCUAUACCCCUUUUCACAUACACCAUAUCUUACAAAUACUCCCUUCUCACCUGUGUCUUCCAGCUUGUGCCUUUUCUGUGUGGGGAUGUGAAUAUAGCAUAGAGAACCAAAUAUUCUCAAAUGCUUGACACCUGGUUUUCUUCCACCGAACUUUUCAAAUGGAGUGGAAUUGUCCAGUGCACUUGUAGGACAUCUGUUCUGCAAAUAUACAGCUGUAUUGACAGCUUCUGCCCAAAACUUCAAAGGGAUUUUCUUCUCAUACAUCAUGGCUCUUGCCAUUUCCAUCACAGUACGAUUCUUUCUCUCUGUAACUCCAUUCUGUUGUGGAGAGUAGCCUACUGNNNNNNNNNNNNNNNNNNNNNNNNNNNNNNNNNNNNNNNNNNNNNNNNNNNNNNNNNNNNNNNNNNNNNNNNNNNNNNNNNNNNNNNNNNNNNNNNNNNNNNNNNNNNNNNNNNNNNNNNNNNNNNNNNNNNNNNNNNNNNNNNNNNNNNNNNNNNNNNNNNNNNNNNNNNNNNNNNNNNNNNNNNNGGUGUGGUCAUCAAUGAAGGUGAGGAAAUAUCUGUUCCCUCCAAGAGUGAUGGUCUGCAUUGGACCACAAAUGUCUGAGUGAAUCAGUUCUAGAGGUUGAGUGGCUCUCCAAGCUCCUUCCUUAUCAAAAGAGCUUCUGUGAUUCUUGCUUUCAGCACAACCUGAGCAGACCUUCUCAUGUUCUUGUAAAUUAGGCAUUCCCUGAACCAUAUCUCUCUCUUGUAACAACUUCAAACUAAUAUAGUUUAGGUGCCCAAAUCUUCUGUGCCACAGCCAGGAUGUUUCUCCAACUGUUGCUCUGUUUGCCAUAGGAGGAUUAACAUAGUCAAGAUUUAAAGGAAAACAUUUGUUUCCCUUCAUUGGCACUCUUGCAAUGCAAUCUUCCAACUGCCUAUCUCCAUAGAUAUCAACUGCAUUAUCACCAAAUACAAGCCAAUGCCCAUGUUCUAUCAUUUGACCUACACUUAGCAAAUUUUCAUCUAAACUUGGUACAAUCAUGAUUUCUUUGAUAUAUCUAGUCACACCCUUCAUUUCUAUAGCCAAAGUCCCUUUGCCUAUUAACUGCACUAGAUCACCAGUCCCCAUUUUGACUUUACUCUUCAUACUUUUAUCAACAUUUACAAGUAAUGACUCAUGGGAAGUCAUGUGAUUGCUGCAUGCACUAUCAACAUACCACAUAUUCACAUUCUUUCCAAUUGUUGCAGCAUGACAUGCAUAGAACAUAAUGGCAGGUUCAGUUACCUGAUUUGCAAUGUUAGCAAGUUUCCCUGCCUUGUUUGCUUGGUCACAGUCCUUAACAAAAUGACCAAAUCGAUUGCAGCCAUGACACUUUGGUUUUCCUUUAAACCAACACUCACCAUAGUGUAACUUCUCACAAUGUUUGCAUUUUCCAGAUUUGUCUCCUUGACUUGGUUUUCCCCCUUGAUUGGCACUGUUUUGGGGUUUAGAAUCCCAUUUCUUAUCCUUGGACUUCCAAUUCUUCUUUGAUUUAUUAGAGCCAGAACUAGAACUUGAUUGAGAUCCUUUUGAGUUUAUGCUCAUGCUGCUGAAAGCUUUCUCAGUGGUGCUUUCUGCAUGUCUGUCAAGGCGCUGAGCAAAACCUCUUAAUGCUGCAAUUACCUCCUGCACUUCAAUGGUUUCAAUGUCUCUAGUUUGCUCAAUCACAUAGCAGACUGGAUCAAAUUCCUUGGUUAAGCUUAUUAGCAGUUUUUGAACUAUCCUCCCUUUGGUCAGAUCUUCCCCAUAUCCCUUCAUCUGAUUUACAAGCUCAAGUAACCGAGUGAUGUAUCCAGACAAGAUCUCAUCAUCCUUCAUCCUGGUGUACUCAAAAUCUCGACGCAGACCCUGCAACAUGAUGGAUCUGACUUGCUUAUCACCAUGAAACUCCUGAUGCAAGAUAUCCCAAACACCUUUUGAGGUUUCUUCAUUUGAGAUUCUGGGAAAGAUGUCAUCUGAAACAGCACCUUGGAUAAUACCAAGAGCCUUAGCAUCUUUCAUCAACAAGGACACCAUCUCUGAAUCUGAUGACCCUUCUUUAUCAGCUUUUGAAUCUGGAACUUGAAGGCCUUUCUCAACCAAAUUCCAGAUUCCAUGAGAUUUGAAAAUUGUUCUCAUUCGAAUCUUCCAAAACUCAUAGUUCUCCCCAUUGAAUAUUGGAGCUCUAAGAUCACUCCCUCCUGACCCAGCCAUCUGAGACCAGACUCAAUGAGUUGAGAGUAGGAAAUUUCCCGUUGGAUUUCCAGACUCAGCUCCCACAGCUUCAACGCCCUCUAUCCAGAUCCAACCUGCGCACCUGAUACCAUGUUGAAUAUUUGGAUUGCAAAGGGAGCAAGAAAUGUACUGAGAGAGAGAGAGAGAGAGAGAGAGAGAGAGAGAGAGCAGUGAGCCUUAGAUUGUUCUAACAGUUUUCUUACUCUGCAUGAACAUAGCAGCAGAGCUUAUAUUCCUUCAUGACUGUUACAUGUUCUCUCUUACAUCAGUAGAUUCAAAUCUAACGGUUUGUAAUAGUAAGCCAAUGUGAGUAUGACACAUGGCAAUACACAGCUGUCCUAACAGCUGGGAAUUCAAAACAGACUCUAGCAUUGCACCUGGCAUAUAAGCACAAGGCACUCAGCUAACACAAAGAUUAAAAACAGAUUGAAUAUAAACUGACAUAGAACUUACUAACUAAUCUGAAAUUAGCUAGACAGUUCACAUUUUAACAUUCUUAUGGUCGGCAGGGACAAGAAUUCCAGGGCUGCUCAACUUGAAUACACCUGAUGAACCAGUGAGGGGUGUGUUUCUUUUAGUCUGCACUAUAUAUGCAGGGUCUGACUCUAAUUAGAAGAUAAUUGUAUUAAUUUGGUAAAGCUUUGUCUGUAACUGUCUCGCACCUUAAAAAAAUUUCACAAUUAGCAGCAUUGGCAAUACUUGAUUAGAAAGCAGAAACCCUACAGUAUAUAGUUAAGUUGAGUAGCUGGGAAGACAAUUAGUAAGCUUUCAAUACUAAAGUUGAAUAUUGGGGAGACAAAUUACUAGAGCUUCAAGUUCAGAUAAAUAGGAUGAAUUUCUCUUAAGGGAUCCCCUUUCACUGUAGCUUGGAGUAGAAUUCAUUUUGACACAAUAUCAAUUAUCAAUGUAAACACGUUACUGAUGCACUAUUGACAAUAUCGAUGCACGUCAUAUCAUAUUUGUGGGAGUAAAUUUCCUCACGAGAAUAUUUGGUUCAAAAGAUUCCCCUUUUUUUUUUUUUUGCCGCCUCUUUCUCCUUGCAAAAUAGAACAAAUAAGAGGACCACACCCGGGGGGUGUUGGCCAAAGGCCCUCCGAUGCUAAAUUAGUUCAAGUAUUUGUAAGAAAAAUACUAGCUAACUAGGGUACAGAGGUGUAUUUAAGGUGUAAACCGGGCAGCCGAAGUCUUAUGUAAAAGAGAGAGAGAAAGGAGGUGGCUAGCGUUUGAGAGGAAUUUUCUGCAGAGUUUUUAGUAGAGAUUUCAGACGUACCUCAACCAUUGUGUGUGGCCAUCUUUUUAUAGUGGUCUUGGAGGCUAGGGUUUCAGAGGAAUAAUUCCGUAGAUGGAAAGGAAUUAUUCCUCCCCUAUUUGGAAUUGAUUUGAUUAAUUAGGGAUUUGAUUUAUUAGGGUAAAUCAAAUCCCUAAUUGUGGUAGGUAUCAAAUCAAAUCCUUUUUUAAUUAGGUAACUCCUCAUUUAAUUGGGAAUUGUGGUAGGAAUCAAAUCAAUUCUCAACCUAAUUAGGUAACGUUCAAUUUAAUUGGGUAAUUCCCAAUUAAAUUGAGUAACUCCCAAUUAGGUUGAUUAAUUCCCAAUUAGAUCAAAUAAUCCCCUAAUUGAAGGAAUUAUUUGACCUAGGGUCUGAUUUAAUUCGAUUCCCACAAAUGCCCCCCAGCUUCUGCAUGGUGCAUGGUGGCACGUAGGAGAUGUAAAUUAUCUGUUGGGCUGUCCAGCUGUAACUGGGCUUCCUUCGUGGACCUGGGCUCCCGAGUAGAGGAGGUGUUUGACUUGCCAAUUUUAUGAACACCCAAUUGGAAAGGGUUUGAGAUUCCUUGUAGGUCAAGGAAUUUUGCUCCUUAUAAAUGUAGGGCUCCUCCAAAUUAUUCUCGACAUCAGAAAUCUACUCCUCCAAAUUUGUUAGUGAGAGAGAGAAGACUUUGGAGAAUUUUUCAGCGUGCUUGAGACUUCAUCUUUGCAGCCCAUCCAAGGUAAUUUGAUAGGAAGAAUUUUAUUUUGAGUUGCUAUGACUUUUGGCAGCAAGCUGUGAGACUAAGGGCAUGUCUUGAGGUGCGCGCUAGGGCUUUAGGCAUGGCAAGAGACUCGGAAAGGCUAGCAGGUUCGUUUCCACCUACGCUGGGCUCAAGGAGAAGGCAACAGGGCUUCAGGCCUUGUGGAUGAAGUGGGCUUUCGCUGGGAGCAAGAGGCCUGGAGCUGAGGCAAGGAGACAAUGGGCCUGGUACGAGGUGUGGGCUGAGCAUGCCAGCUUUGGAGCAAGGGGGCCAGGACGACUGCUGGGCAGGAGGUGCGCUGGGCUGCAUGCGCGAGCUGCGCCGAGUGCUGGCUGGAGGAGCGAGCUGGGCUGCGCGCUAGGCCAUUCAUGCUGGGCUACUUCCGUUUUUUUUUUGUUUUUUUUUAAAUUUUAUUUGCUGUUGCUGCUUUUUUUUUUGUUUUUUUGUUUUUUUUUUGUUUGGUAUUCUAACUCGUAAUUUUUUUUUUCUUCUUACAGCUACUUGUUGAUCAACCAUGUCUUCCGGAGAUGGUAGCAAGGCUCCAAGCUCUUAGGUCCUUUUGUAUUUAUGGGGAGGCUCCAUAGUGCAUGGCAAGAAGUUUGUGGUCAACUUGCAUCGCGUCACGACUUAUGCUCAGUUCCAGAAGUGGCGGGCCACUUAUGCGUCUGCCAUUCCAGAUGACGUGCUGGUCAAGCUAUUGAAAUCUCAAACUGAUAACGAGCCUUUGGUGGACGUGAGUGAUCAUGAUGCUAGGAUCAUUACCUUCCGUCCUUUUUACUUCUCUUUAGGCUUCAAAUUCCCGUUGUCAAAGCUCUUCAAGAAGGUGUUCUGUGCCAUGGGGUGUGCUCCGAGCCACUGUACUCAUGUGCUUCAAGAAUUUGAGUCGUUUCUUCAUGUUGGAGCUGACGAUGCGAGAGUUCUUUUAUUUUUUUCGAAGUGAGGCACUUUGAGCGGUACGCCCAAGUUCGUAUCUACAAGGCCAAGCUGUUCCACGGUCUCAGUCAAGGAGAUCACGCUUGACAUGAAGAUGUGUUGGAGGUCAGCAGACGGUGGGAGGGUGACGUCGGUGACGGCCCACCUGUUCCCAUCACCUAUUGUGAUGGUAUGUCUCUUUACGAUUUUUGAUAUGCUCCUUUUAUUUGAAUUUCUUGAAGUGUGGCAGACUAACUUCUAUCUUCUGCUCGUAGUGAGUGACAUUAGCAAGCAAUUGGAGCUCCGACCAGACAUGGCUAAGGUCCGUCGUGCUUUGAACAUCCCUCUAAGGUUUCACGAGUGGCGCUGGCUGUUGAGUGAGUACCGGGAGGAAGACGGUGGUUUUCUCCUUGCCGAGGAUGUCGAAAGGUGGAAGCAGAACGAUCCUGACCCUGAUGAUCUGCUUGGCAGACAGGAAGAAUGUUCUGCUUAAUCGCUCUUAAAGAGAAAGGCUGCUGCCAAAUCUUUGAGAUGUGAAGCUACUUCUUCGCAUGCAAAGGAUGGGUCUCCAUCGAGGAAGAAACCAAGGCUCCCUUCUGCUGAGAAGACUCAAGUGGGGUCUGCUCCCUCAUCAUCUGCCAGGGUUAAGCAUCUCGUGGGUGCAGAUAGCAAGAAGGUUGGUGGUAUGCAUGGUACUCGGGGUGUUCUGCCCAAGCUUCCUGCUGACACGCUCGAAAACCAUGAUAUACUUCGUGAAGUGGCUCGUGCCCAACCUAGUUCUGCCAAGCGUCAAAGAGAUGUAGACAUUCCUCCUAGAAGUUCGAGUUGUCUGCAUCGGUCAAAAGAUGGAGACCGAAGCGGGAGGUCUGCUUAUGAUCCAGCAUUAUUGACUCAUUUGGAGAUGAGGUUGGCGAAGGCUAAGAAGGUGAAAGAGUCAUCUGCCCGGGUUAAGGGUUCUUCCUCGGCGUUGGUAGUUGGUCCCAAGAUGAACAAGUCUAGCUCUGUAGGGGAUGCAUGCGUAUCUGAUCUGCUCAAGAUGAACUUCCUAUCAAACCCGUCCUCUUGUGUUGAGUUGGUUGAUCACAUCCCUCAAGCGGGCGAUCUAGGCACUUUCUCGUGCCUUUCCUUAGAAAAAUGAAGGAAAAUGACAUUCCAUCUGAUUCAAAAAGGACUGGUUUUUGCUACUGAGACUAUUUGGAACUCAUCUGCUAUUGCCCCUCUUCUGUCCAACUCAGCGAGUUGGAGAAGAAGAAUGCUGAUUGGCUAGACAGCUUUCCGCCGAGCAGGCCCGUUACGAGAAGAAGAUGUCUGAUUUGAGGGCGAUGAUAUCUGAGCUGAAAAGCUCCCUUACCGAGAAGGAUUUCGAGCUCAACUCUUCUGCUGCUGAUUUGGCUAGUCGAAAAGAUACCUUCUUUCGUCUUGAGCAUAAGAAUGCUGACAUCUUCCUUAGCUAUAACAAACUCCUGGCUAGAUUUCAUGCCUACCAUAAGUCUGCUAAAGAAUCCAAGACAGAUGGAGCUGCUGAAGGCGUAGCCGGUCAGGUGGAUGCCGAAGAGGCUGCAGCUUAAAAGUCUUCUGCUGGCGUCUCAGAGUAGAUGAAGACUCUUUUUUGUUUCUUUUCAGCUUUUGUAGUUUGCUUUAUUGUUUAGAAUAACUGGUCUUAUUUGACCAUCUUCUUUUUGUUGAACUUGGCUGGUUGGUCUGUUUGUUAGGGAAAUUUCAGUUACAUUUUCCAACUUCAAUUUGCAUAUUUGACUUGUGAACUGCUUAAGUAACCAGCCUGUGUUUUGAUUGCACAUCCCCCUUUAGAGAUUUGUGAGUACCAGGGUCCCCCUUGGAGGACUCCGGCCAUGCACAGUAUAUCUCGUAGGAUGGUUCCCCUUAGGAAGUUGGCGAGUACCAGGGUCCUCUUUGAGAGACUCCGGGUGUGUUCUGCACAUCCCGUAUGAUGCCUUAAUCGUCGCCUUGCUUCUCCCGUAGGACGCUGCUUAUAGGCAACUAUAUGACUAUCCUGCCUUUCUUAGGAAACGGAUAGGAACCUGGAUAUUUCCCGCAUGAAGCAUGGAGACCUCCUUUUAAGAAAUUUUUGGUGCACCAUGCUUCUCCCUUAGGACGCUUUUUUCGCAGGCUGGGUCUCCAAAUGGACGCUUUUAGUCGUUGCCCUGCGUCUCCCUUAGGACGCUCCUUAUGGGCAACUGUGUGACUAUCCUGCCUCCCUUAGGAAAUGGAUAAGACUUGAAUAUUUCCCGCAGUAAGCAUGGCGACCCCCUUUUAAGAAACUCCUGGCGUACCCUGCAUCUCCCUUAGGAUGCUUUUUAAGAGGGCUGCUUCUCCAAACGGACGCUUUUAGUCGUUGCCUAUGUCUCCCCUAGGAUGCUCCUUAUGGGCAACUGUGUGACUAUCCUGCCUCCCUUAGGAAACAGAUAGGAAACUAGAUAUCUCCCUUAGGAAAUUCCUAGCGCACCUUGCGUCUCCCGAAGGACGCUUUUUUAGCUGGCUACGUCCCGAAACGGACACUUUUAGUCGUCGCCCUGCGUCUCCCUUAGAAUGCGCCUUAUAGGCAACUGUGUGACUAUCCUGCCUCCCUUAGGAAACGGAUAGGAACCUGGAUAUCUCUCUUAGGAAAUUCCUGGGGCACCUUGCGUCUCCCGAAGGACGCUGCUUAUGGGAAAAUAUUGUGUUUCGUGGGCAGAUGAGACAUUUUGGAAUGAGAAACUGAACUUAUAUUGAUAUUCAUAAGAUUACAGUCCUUUAUUUGAAAAUGGAAAUAACUUGGUUCAAAAACUUAGAACUUCUAGCAGCUACGAGGAAGCACUAUGGAUAAUACUUUCGGAGAUGGUGAGCAUUCCAUUGUCGUGGUAUUUCCUUCCUAUCCAUGGUGUCCAGUGUGUUGCUUCCUCUGCCCCGGACCUGCUGAUCACAUAAACGCCCUCCCAGUUAGGAUUCACUUUUUUUGACCCGUGUCUUGGUGCAGUAAUGAAAGCCUUAGCACGAGGUCGCCUGGUUGAAACUGUUUGACCUUAGCUCUUUUGUCGUAGUAAGACUUCAACUGCUAGUGAUAGGAGGCGACCCGAAUAAUGGUCUUCUCACGCCUGCCCUCAAGUAAGUUGAGGUUGAGCCUCAUCUGCUCGGAGUUCUGAUCAACACUGCCUACCUUAAGACUUAUAGAGAGGACAGUGAUGUGAGGUGGUAUGAUCACUUCUGUUCCAUAGGCGAGAGAGAAUGGGGUUUCACCAGUCGAUCUUCGCUUGGUGGUGUGAUAAACCCAUGGUACUCUGGGGAGUUCAUCCACUCAUUUCCCUUCAGCGCCUUCCAGCCUUUUCUUUAAGCAGUCCAAUAUGACUUUGUUGGAUGCCUUGGCUUGUCCAUUUCCUUGUGGAUACCUCGGGGUGGACAAGUGUUGUUUGAUCUUGUAUUUCACAAAAAAAGCGGUGAUCUGCUUGCCAAUGAACUGUGAGCCAUUGUCGGUAACCAACGACUGUGGGCAGCCAAACCGGCAUAUGAUGUUUCUCCAGAUGAAUCACUCCACAUCGGCUUCUUUAGUAAAUGAUAGAGCUUCGGCCUCGAUUCAUUUAGUAAAGUAGUCGGUGGGGACGAUCAUCAUUUCUUUCUUGGCGGGCGCUAGUGGCAAGGGAUCCACUAGGUCGAUGGCCCAUUGCAUGAACAGCCAUGGACUGUUUUGCGGAUGAUAGACUUCGGCAGGCAAGUUAGGGAUCGGCUUGUAUUGCUGACAGCGUCACAUUUCUUGGCACAUUCAGCACAGUCGUGACGUAUGGUAGGCCAGAAGUAGCCUAUGUUUAGAACUUUCUGGGCGAGUGACCUGCCCCAGAAUGGUUGCCAUACUCGUCGUCGUGAAUUUUACAGAUAAUCUCAAGUGUUUGAUGGUACUUUAUGCAGGUGAGAUGAAGGCCGGAGUAUGAUCUGUGGAUGAGCUUGUUGCCGUGCAUGUAGUAUCUCUCGGCCUUUUGCUGGACUUUUCUAGCUUCGGACUUGUCCGUUGGCAGGUUUCCAUUCGUGAAAUAGUCGAUGAUGAGGUCUUGCUAGCUGGGGUCCUCGUCAAUCUGCAUGGUAUUAAUCGGCUCUAUUUCUUCAAUGCUUGGUCGGUCAAGGUGUUCGACCUAGAUGGAGUGUUUGAACUGGGUAUCCAGCGUUGAACCUUGGCUUGCCAGUGCGUCUGCAUGCGCGUUCUUUGCCCGGGACACUUGUUGGAUAGUGAAGGUAGGAAAUGCCUUCAACAGCUCUUGGACUCUAUCAAGGUAUAAGAUCAUCCUUGGGUGCUUUGCCAUAUAUUCACCUGAGGCUUGAUUCGUGAUCAACUGUGAGUUUGAGUAGAUGGCUAGCUUUUUGAUUGCGAGCUCCUUUGCCAAGCGUAAGUCGGCGAGUAAUGCCUCGUAUUCUACCUCGUUGUUCGAGACCGAGAAGCCAAGCGUAAUAGCUUGCUCUAACAGGGUUCUAUCCAGGGUGGUGAUAACGACCCCUGCUCCAGCUCCUUUUUGGUUCGACGCUCCGUCUACACGCAACUGCCACAUGUCUCUGGGAUGGCUUGGUUCUGCGGAGGUCCUGUCUGCUUUUGAACUUCCCUCCUUUUGGUUGACUAACUUCUCUUUUUUGGCUGAUGGGGUGAAUUCUGCGACGAAGUAUGCUAAAGCCUGGGCUUUUAUUGCAGUUUUUGGCCCGUAGAGGAGGUCAUAUUGGCUUAGCUCUAUAGCCCACUUCAUGAGUCGCUGAGAAGCAUCAGGGCUGUGGAGGAUUGAUCUCAAAAGAAAGUCAGUCAUGACUAUGACUCGAUGAGCUUAGUAGUAGGGUCGCAGCUUUCUCGCAGAAACUACAAGAGCCAAAAUAAGUUUCUCCAAUUUCGGGUAACGAGUCUCUGCAUCGAGGAGAGCUUUUGACGUGUAGAAUACCGGAUAUUGGGCCCCUAUCUCUUCUCGGAUGAGAGCUGAACUGACAGCUGAGUUGGACUUACCUCACUAGGGACUGGAUUUGAGAGCAUGGAAGGUGAGGUGAGGUAAGUCUUCAGAUUAUGGAAAGCUACUUUGCAGUCCUCAUCCCAUUUCUCUCUUUGUCCUUUCUUCAAAGCUUUGAAGAGUGGUCUGCACUUGUCGGUUGAUCUCGAGAGGAAUCGGUUGAGAACCGCUGCUUUGUCCGUCAGACUUUAUAUCUCUUUCACCGUGGAAGGCGACUUCAUCUCUAGAAUGGCUUUGAUUUGACGUGGAUGUGCCUCGACACCUCGUUGCGUGGCUAGGUAUCCCAAGAAUCGGCCGGAGGAUACACCAAACAGGCAUUUACUUGGAUUCAACUUCAUGCGAUACUGGCGGAGCAAGCUGAAUGAUUGGGUAAGACUUCCGAUGUGAUCUGCACGUUUUGGGGCUUUGACCAGCAUGUCAUCCACGUAGACCUUCAUAGUUUUGCCGAUCUGCUUAUUGAAGAUUUUAUUCCCGAGCCUUUGAUAGGUUGCUUUGGCGUUCUUCAGCCCAAAGGGCAUGACCUUAUAGCAGCAGGUCCCUCUCUCGAUGAUGAAAAAAGUUUUUGCCUUGUCAUCCUCGUGCAUCAGGAUUUGUUUAUAGCUGGACUAGGCGUCCAUGAAGCUAAGCAGUUGAUUGCCAGAAGUGGAAUCCACGAGUUGGUCGAUUCUCGGCAAUGAGAAGUUGUCUUUAGGGCAUGCUUUGUUGAGGUCUGUGUAAUCGACACAAACUCUCCAUUUGCCAUUUUCUUGUUUUGCCACCAAAACAACGUUGGCAAGCCACUCUGAGUAGGAGGCCUCUUCGAUGAAGCCGACAGCUAGGAGUUUGUCAAUCUCGGCCUCGAUGAUAGCAAGUCGCUGGGGUGCGAAGUUGCGUCUCUUCUGCGCCACUGGCUUGCAGGCAGGGUUGAAGUGGAGUCAGUGACAGAUGAUGUUCUUGUCGAUGCCAGACUUGUCUGACGGCAACCAUGCGAACAUGUCUCUGUUGCUCUGGAGGAAGGUGGUAAGCUCCACAUUCUCUUCUGGCCUUAGGCGCGAACCGAUCCACUCUUUCCUAUCUGGUUGGUCAGGAUCCAAGGGUAUUAACUCGACGUCCUCCUUGGGUUUCCAUCCUUCUUCAGGAAAGACCUAUGGACGGAUUUCCUCGACUUGGUCCUGACGCUUUAAUUGCUAUAAGAUAGCAAGAUCCAGUUGCUCAACCUCCUCCAGAUCUGCCUGGCUCACAGGGAGAAACUGCGCUUGUUUACCUUUCUUUAGCCCUUGGGCGGAGCAUUUCCUCGCCAUUGCCUAAUCGUUGUUGAUUUGGCCGACACCGCCCCCAAGGAUUGGGUACCGAAUUUUCUAAUGUGUGGCGGAGGUGAUUGCAUUAAUUUUGCCAAUCGAUGGUCUGCCCAGAAUGCCGUUGUAGGGUAAGACCUUAUUAAUGACCAUGAAGGUUAUGAGCUGAUUAUAAGUGGGGAGUAGACGUCGAGGUCUAUCAUGCCCACGGUAACCGUUGUUGCACCAUUAAAAUCGCUCAGCAACCUAGCUAAUUUGUAAAUCUUUGUCUCCAAUCCCAUCUGUUGAAUGACCUCCAGUUGCAGGAUAUUGGCUGCGCUGCCCUCGUCUGUGUGGAUUCAGUCUACCAUGACCUGAGCAAUUUGAAUGCUGAUGACAAGGGCUUCGUUAUGUGGCAUGUAGAGGCCGAUCAGAUCUUUCUUUUGGAAGCCGAUUACAGGAUCGUCUUCUGCUGGUGGAAGGUCGGUCGAGAUUUGGGAGAUCACAGUGGUCUGUUUGAUCUUCCUCUUUUUUUCCUUUCUGGUCAGCCCAGACUCCUCGGAGUCAGCUAGGAUUGUGUUAAUUCUUAUGACCUUCUGAGGCGGCUCCUUGGCGAUGUCACGAUCUUCUAUCCGCUGGAUGACCUUCUUUGCAAUGAAUUCUGUGCAGUGACCUUCUCUCACGAGUUCUUCAAGAUGUGCUUUCCAAGCGAAGCAGUUGUUCAUAGUGUGUCCGUGCAUUUCAUGGACGGCACAGUAUUUGCUAGUAUUCCUUUUGUCCGGAUCUUCUUUCAAGGGUGGUGGUCUUCUUACCCAAGGUUGUUCUUCACUUGGGCUAAGAUUUGAUGUAUGGAGAUGGUGAACUUGGUGUAGUUCUCUCCUGCCGUAGCAUCCCCUUAUGGGUGCGACCUGCGCUUGUCCUUGUCCCUGUUGCUAAAUCCGUCGCUUCUUUGGCCUGCCCCCUUAGUCGGCUGAUCUUCCUGCUUAGUAGAGUUCUUUGCGGCGAUUCGAUCGUCAUCCCAAAGCGCAUAGCUUUCCGCGGUCUCGUAGACCUCUGCCAAAGUUUGGCUGGGAGUGAUGGUCAGCUCGUGGUACAAGUCGUGCUCAGUCGAAAGGUCUUUCUUGAAAGCAGAGGACGCAAUUUGGUCAUCACAUCCUACAAUGUUGGCCUUUUCUACUUUGAAUCUCUUGAUGUAAUCUCUAAAGGAUUCGUCGAACUUCUUGCGCAGGUUAUACAGGUGGUCAGGGUUCUUCUUGAUUGUUCGGUAAGAGGUGUAUUCUUUGGUGAAUAAGUAAGUCAGCUCCUUGAAGCUGCUGAUCGACCUGGAUGGCAGAGUAUGGAACGAGUCUUGGGCUUCCUCACAAGGUCAUUGCAAACACCUUGCACAUCAGCGCGUCGUCAACCUUGUGGAGGAUCAUGACACUUUUGAAGUGUUUUAGAUGGCUCUCAGGAUCGGAAUCCCCCUUGAAGUGUGUGAAUGUGGGCGUUGAGAAUCGCUUCAGGAGAGCAGCCUGCUCGAUUUUGGCAGUGAAAGGUGUAGAGUAUGCCUGGUCUACCUCAUUUCGUACAUCUUCGAAAUUUCCACCGGUCUUCAAGUCUCGAAGUUGGUCAUUCACAAGCUUCUCUACGUCUUCCGCACACAUUGCUUGUCGGCCACAUUGGCGACCUUCACGAAUUGUUCGAUGCUGACUGACUUCCUCGUUGAUUUCCGAGGAUCGACCUUCUUGUCUGCAUUGCCUAGGUGGAGUGUUGGUGGAUUGCGCCUACGAAAGAUUCUCUGUGGCUUGUCAAUGAGAAUCGGUUCUUCGAGAGUGAGUAACGAAGUGCCUUUCCUCAUGGUCCUUAUUGUGAGGGUUAUCCAGCUGACCUCCCUGGGGCCUAGCCUUUCCUGAAUGCUUCUCUGCGAGUAGACAGUUGAAUGCUUUUCUUCACGAUCCUCGUUGUGAUGGUUGUUUGGCUGACCUCCUUAGGGUCUUAGCCUUUGAUGUACAUUUCCCUGCCUGCCCAAGUAGGUGCGGACGUCGAGUCGUGGGCCCAGCCUUUCGUGCACGUCGUUCCUUAAACUCAAUCUGCUCUGAGUGUGGCUUGCAGAUGCUUGCGACAUGUCGGCAGGUCGAUCACGUUGUUGUCCCUCGACUUGUCUGCCCACUCUUGCUUGACCUGCUUGGUACUCGUUGAGCUGUCUACCGGCCCGUUCAUCCUUCCUUCUUUCCUCGCCUGGUUGUCCAAGGCCAAGGUUUUGAGCAAAGCUUAUUUGGUUGAGGAGCUGCCUCAUUAGAUUGUUUUGGUCGUCCAUUCUUUAAGCUAGCUGGUCAACUCUCAGAUUAAGGUCUGCUUGAUUUCAUGGAUCAGGAGGAGAGAAGUGUGUGGAGCUCAACUGCACAUAGGCUAGGGUUUCAUUAGAGGUGUAUGCGGGAGCGUGUGUCGAGCGUGGAGGCAAUAGAGGGAAUGCUUGGAGUUGCUCCAAGACCGGCCCUAGGUCGGCGGUGGUAACGAGUCCACCUUGAUGGGAAGUUCCACCAUGUUUGGCGGCAGUGACCGAUGCAGUGGUGAGAGGUGGUGGUGCCACCAUGUCGAUCGCGGGAUCGUUGGUGGAGUGGCUUUGGGCCGUCGCAAAUCUAGCCAUCAUGGCGGCUUUGCCUCUCGUGUUCAUGCUUCCAACCAUGGUUGUUUGGAAGGCUUAGGUGGAUUGGAAAAUUAGAGGAACGGAUUCCUUGAGCACGCAUUGAGUAUAACUCGUGCUCUCAAUGAAAGCACCAAUUUGUGGGAGCAAAUUUCCCCACGAGAAUAUUCGGUUCGAAAGAUUCCCCUUUCUUAUUCGCCGCCUCUUUCUCCUCGCAAAAUAGAACAAAUAAGAGGACCACACCCGAGGGGUGUUGGCCAAAGGCCCUCCGAUGCCUAAAUUAGUUCAAGUAUUUGUAAGAAAAACACUAGCUAACUAGGGUAUGGAGAUGUGUUUAAGGUGUAAACCGGGCGGCCGGAACCUUAUGUAAAAGAGAGAGAGAAAUGAGGUGGCUAGGGUUUGAGAGGAAUUUUCUGCAGAGUUUUUAGUAGAGAUUUCAGACGUACCUCAACCAUUGUGUGUGGCCAUCUUUUUAUAGUGGUCUUGGAGGCUAGAGUUUCAGAGAAAUAAUUUCGUAGAUGGAAAGGAAUUAUUCCUCCCCUAUUUAGAAUUGAUUUGAUUAAUUACGGAUUUGAUUUAUUAGGGUAAAUCAAAUCCCUAAUUGUGGUAAGUAUCAAAUCAAAUCCUUUUUUAAUUAGGUAACUGCUCAUUUAAUUGACAAUUGUGGUAGGAAUCAAAUCAAUUCUCAACCUAAUUGGUAACGUUCAAUUUAAUUGGGUAAUUCCCAAUUAAAUUGAGUAACUCCCAAUUAGGUUGAUUAAUUCACACUUAGAUCAAAUAAUCCCCAAAUGGAAAGAAUUAUUUGACCUAAGGUAUGAUUUAAUUCGAUUCCCACAAUAUUUAGAUGCAUAAUUGAAUGCGAAUAAACAUCACUCUCUCCAGUGUGAAAUGGCGAAAAUUCUCUUCAAUCAAAAGUGGGCUUACUUCAAAUUUAGUUGAAGAAUGAUGGUGUGUCUUGCCUGACAAUUGACAAUUAGGUUUAGGAGCGUUCCUCUAGUAGAAAAAUCUAAAUCAUUUGUGGUCAUCCACUCACUUGGUUAGUCUUCCAGAAUCAAAUACCAAAUCAACCCAAAGGAAGCUGCAAUUUUCUGAAUUGUAUACUUGUUUUAAUUCUUCCUAUCUUUUUCUCUCUUUCAUUUUUUUUGUCUCCCUCAAGUUAAUACUUAAGUGAGUUGCCAAAUGGGGGUAAAAAAGAGAGUAGAAGAGAUGAACCCCACAUUUGACUUUAAUAGACAAAUGCCCAAGAGAAGUACCAGUAAGAGCAUCUCCAAUUGGGAGGUGCUAUCCUAUAAUUUGACACACAUUUCUUUUUUCUUUUUUUUCAAUUCUAACAACAUGUCAUCUAUAUCGCAAUAGGCCGUUGUAGUUAAAUUUUCAAAUAACCAAGUUGCUCUCUAUUUUCCAAAGAAGACUAGAAAACAACUUACCAUCUAUCUGGUGCUGCUUCUUCCAAACAUUAGAAAAAACAGAGCUACACCCAGGAGGAGCCCAGGAGAUGACACAAUACUGCCUACUAUGAUUCUUACUUUCUUCACAUUCAAUGAGACUAUAAAAUAUAACCCAAGUGGUCUAACCCCCCAGGGCGGAAAUUGGGUUUAGCAAGUUUAGCACUGAUUGUUGUAUAGUCUUAAACAGUCCUGAUCUCUUGGACCCCUGUAGUCCAAGAGAUUUAUGGUCACCCACCGUUGGAUGUAAAUUCAACGGUUGACUUGAAUCGGGUAAUAAUAAUUUAUGUCAUAUUGCAUUUAUAUAUAUCAUUUUGAACCAUUGGAUUAAUAUCCAACGGUGGGUGACCACAAUCUCUUGGACUCCUGUGGUCCAAGAGAUCGGGACUGUAGUCUUAAAAUAAGUAGUUUAGCGAGUGCAAACUUCGACUUAAAAAAACUCUCAUGUAUAGCCGCGCGGCUAUACUAUUUACAUAUAAAUAUAUAAAAAAGCACCCCCUAGUCACGUGUCACAAAUAGUAUAGUCGAAAACAGUAGAGCCGCGCGGCUAUACUGUUUUUAAAAUAAAAAAAACCAUAUUCGAUUCUCCUUAUAUUUAAAAGGGGUAUAGCCGCAUGGCGAUACUAAUUUUUUUUUUUCAAAAAAAGGGACCCCAGUACUCCUUUUAUAUAUUAUAAUAUAUUGUCUAAUAUUUGGAAUAUUUACUCUAAAAUAAACAAUAUAUUAGGUUCUUUUUGUCUACAAAUUGACCAUUAAACUUCUUAAUCACUCUUAUACUUUCAAUUAAAUCUACUAGGCUAGGUUAUGAUAUUUUCACUAAAAAACUCCUCCUUUUUUUCUUCUCUUUCUCUUCCUGUUUUGUUUAACUUAAGCUUAAGUUUUGUAAUUUUUUUUCCCGCCCUUUUUACAUGUUUGAGUAGGGUACUUUAAUAUUGGGAUUUAUGAACUUUUUUUGUAUUUCUUCUUUAUAUUGGAAUAUAAAUUAUUAACUUUUGAGUCUUUAAUAGUGUAGAUGAUGAGAUUAUUAUUCAACCAUUUUAUAAUAUGAAAUGAAGGACAAUCAUGAUUGUGAUGAAUGGAUUAUUAAUCAAUAUGAAAUGAUAUUAUGAAGUGGGCUAAAUCGAGUAGUUAGUAUCGUAUUGUUGAGACCCAAAAAAUCCAAGGCUAGGCCCAAAUAUAUUAUGAAGUGGGCUAAAUCGAGUAGUUAGUAUCGUAUUGUUGAGACCCAAAAAAUUCAAGGCUAGGCCCAAAUAUAUUUCCGGUCCAAUGCGAUACCUUACCGAGAAGAAACCUUAUUUGGGCACGCGAAAGUUCGUCAUAUGCUCUUGCACACAUGCCAUGCCAAGCAAAUAAGCAACAUGCCACGCUACAAGCUUAAGUGGGCCCAAGCCACGUGAAUGCCUAGGGCCUGCUGAGUGGGUUGUGGUAUGGAUGGUUAUGAGUAUUCACGAGGCCCAUUGAUGGUCUAAGGAGUGGAAGUUUUGGGCUACUUGGGAGCACCAAAACUCAAGCCCAUUCAUUGAGCCCAAACAUAUGGGUAAGCAUGAGAUAAAACCUAGUAGCCCAUCACCUUAAGAAAUCCUAAUAGCCCAUAACAUGUGAGAAAAUCCCACAUCAACCAAAGCUUCCAGCAGUCUGACGAAAUCAAAGGGAACUCACAAGCCGUUGGAAACAAAACAACCCAACACUGUAACACCCCGACCCCAAAUUUCCCCAAAUUUAACCCUUAUUUAAUUAUUUAAGGGUAUUUUAGUCAUAUUUUUAACCGGAGAGAGUUUGGGGCAAUGACUAGUAUUUUUGGAUAGGUCGUACUGAGACGAGUUUAUGGACACGCAGUGAGCUCGAAUCGGAGUUGUAACGAGAGAGAUAUGGUCAAAAGAAGCCCAGUGGCACAAUCGUAAAUAUUUUGAAAUGAGAUUUUUUAUAAAAAUCUGGUUUUCUCUCUCUCUCUCUCUCUCUCUCUCUCUCUCUCUCUCUCUCUCUCUCUCUCGCUAGCGACCUCUCUCUCUCUCCCCCGUCGGUCUCUCCCCUCUUUCUCCUCGUAACUCCGGCCACCGGCCCCGGCUGUGGACGGGGCCGGUACCAAAAUGACCGAGGCGUCGUCCUCUUCCUACCCCAGCCACCUCCCACCGCCAGCCGUCGCGGAUUCGCCGGAAUCUGGAGAUGAAGCGGCCUACGUCGUCCAAAUUUCAAAGCUGCCGAUCUCCCUCCUCCGGCCACCAAUUCCGUCGACCCAGGUAUGGAUUUUGAACUUCUCGAGCUGCUCUAGCUGAUGGUUGGGUAGGAUUAGAUCGAUUCUUAGCUUAGACAACUCGAUUUUCAAAUUGAAAAUCGGCCGAACUUCGGCUGCCGUGAUCGGCCAUUUCCGGCCACUUUUUGGGGUAGGUCCAAGAACAAAAGUGGCUCCAAAUAGGGUGUUAUACCUAGGGUAGGAGUUUGGAGCCGUGGUUUUGAGAUUUUCCGGCGAAGCGUUAUCGCUUUGGGCACCCACGCGCUGCCGGUGCGUGCGGCGGCGCGUGGGCACUGUAGAAAAAGUAGCACUGUGUUCCGAUGAGAUCCUUAGGUUGUCACGAGUGCGUAGGAUUUUGCGGAUCUCAAUUCGGACGUCGUUUGACUAUCGAACGGAUAUUCGCAUAUUGCGCGUUAUUCGGGUUCGAUAGGUUGGGACCGUUGGAUGGACCCAAAUUUAAUAUAUGUUAAUCUAAUUAAUUCUAGGAUCGUGUAGGAAUUCACGGAUUGUGAAUCGGAGCCCCGGAUGUUCCGAAUAAUAAUUUUAAAGUUUGUAUUUUAUAUUAAUUGUCAGAUCGUGCGAUCGUGAGCAAUCUGACCGUUCGAUCUGAACCAAACUUGCAGGACAAGUGUCCUAUACCUUGUAGAACCCAUAGGGACCUUCGGAUCGGAAAUUGGAGGUCGUGGGUUCCGCAAGUCGGUUUGACCAGGGUUAGAGAAGUUUGACCCUUGGUUGACCGUGAGUCUCCCGGAGUAAUCUCACCUUUCUAGGGGAGAUUAUCGGGUACUAGAUGAUUGUGGACACAAUAUUAGAAUUAAUUUAUAUAAUUAUAAUUAUAUAUGGUUGUACAAGGGUACAACAGAGUCUAGAAUGUCAGUUUGGAGUGCUAUACGCACUACUUUAGGUACCUCCCCGGAUGUUGGGAUUUACUACAAGUACCACCAAGUGAAAUUGAGGUCCCGCGUGGCGUAGGUUAUCCAGCGUUGGGAUAGGUCUCAUACGUGGGGUUGGUUGUACCGGCGUAUGGGGAGAUUUGUGAUAUUAUGUUCAGGUCUCACGUGGCGUAGGUUAUCCGGCGUUGAGACAGGCCCCAUACGUGGUGUUGGUUGUACCAGCGUAUGGGGAGCUAUGUGAUAUUGUGUUGAGGUCGCACGUGGCGUAGGUUAUCGGGCGUGUCGACAGACCCCAUACGUGGCGUUGGUUGUACCGGCGUAUGGGGAGAUUUGUGAUAUGAAAUUGAGGUCCCACGUGGCGUAGGUUAUCCGGCGUUGGGACAGGCCCCAUACGUGGCGUUGGUUGUACCGGCGUAUGGGGAAAUAUGUGAUAUGAUGGCAUGGUCGCACGUGGCAUAGGUUAUUCGGCUUGUUGACAGGCCCCAUACGUGGCGUUGGUUGUACCGGCGUAUGGGGAGAUUAUUUGAAAUGCAGAGAAACGAAAUAUGGUAUCGCCCAAAUGUGGAAUUGGGUUUUAGGGAAGAACUACGUGUGGCUUGAUCCCUCAAGGAGGGUACGUAGGCAGCCUAAGGUUAAUAGGUGCAGCCGCAGACUAAAUGUUAGUCAUAAUUGAUAUUUGAAUUGUUUGGUAGUUGGUUAAGAAUUAUUGGAAGGCCGAAGGCCAUUUGUGUGAAUUGCAUGAAAUUAUAUUGUGCAUGCUGCCAGUUGGGAAUAUUAAAUGCGUUUUUAUGCAGGUAUAAAUUUUAGGAAAUGUCCAAUUUAUAGGGGAGACUCUGCCGAAUUUUCGGCAGGAAGUCUCAGUUUUUAGUAUCUGGGCCUGGCAUCGGGAGGAUGUCGGGAAUUCCAAAGGGUCGUCUCGAGUUCUGAAAAAUUCGGUGCGGGUCCUUUCAAACACCUUAUAAAAUAUCCAACGCCGUGCAUCUCUGUUAAAACCAGAUCACAGCCAAACCACCAAAACCAUGCAAACCCAUAUGCUGAUCACCAUUUUUACUAGCACCCUUACCCAUUCUUUCCUCUUCAAGCUUUGGUGAGAAAACAAGAAACAAAAGUGGGCGGAUCUUCACCCACAUGGAGAAAUCCAGCUGCCUGAGGGCCCUGGAACUCCAAAAAACUUCUUACCUACAUGCUCAGGCUAGGGAAGUUUCACCAAAUAAGCAAGAAUGGAAGAAAGUGAAGGAAAAGGGGAAAGGGUGGCUUGACGAAAUUAAGGUUUUCAGCACUUAUAAAAGGAAACACUUUCUAUCCAGCAAAAACAACUCACCCUGGUUGCUGCAAGCCUCCUAGCAACCAUGAGAAUUCAUUGAAGGCAAGCAUCCCCUUUGGAACCCUUCAAUUUCAUGCUUUGUUCUUCCAUCUUCCUCCUUUCUCUCUCUCUCAAAACCCACAUCCAGAGAGAGCAAGCAUCAUCUCUCAUCUUUGGAACCCUUCGAUUUGAAGCCUUGUUCUUCCAUUGCUUCCCAUUUUCUCUUCUGUCAAAUCACCUAGGAGCUUGACGAAACUUUCGUCAAGCUGCUGGAAAUAUGGUAAAGCCACCCAUGCUUCCAUCUUCUUCCUCUCUUUCCAUAAACACACAUCCAAAGAGCAAGCUUCAUCUCUCAUCCUCUAAACCUCUGCAAUUUCAAGCCUCAUUCCUCUAUCUUCUCCCAUUUUCAGCGGUAGUGAGAAUGAUUUCUGCGUGUGCAUGGGAAGGAUUGUAACUCAGAUGAGGAGGAGAUGGUUUGGAGUGGGGUGAGGCAGUUGGAUAGAGCUCUUGGCCUUUUCAAGUUUGGAUGGGAAAGAGCAGGGAUGAAAGAAGCUUUACAACUGCAAGGGCAUAUAUGGUGCGUAGGGGCUGAAGGCAGAACACUUACAUAUAGAGGAAACACAUUUUUUGUCCAUGGGAUUCAUGUUUGACAAACACUUGUCUUAGACUAUGAGUUCAAAUUUCAAAACCUUUUUUUUUUCUUUCUGAAAUCAGGACCAGUGUGGAGAACUAGCAAGGAUUGGAGAAACAGAUUUUUGGGCGUCACUUGACCACAGAUUGUUGAUUGCUCAAAUGUGUAGAAUUGGCCAUCUUAAAUGUCAAAAUGAUUUAUCAAUUGGGGUUUUUUUAGAAACGUUUAUGUUUGUCAAUAGAGACAGAAGUCAGAGAACAUAAACCUUUCUCAGCAAAUUGAAAUUCUCAGUGCAUGCUCUGUUCUUCCAUGGCUUUCAAACCUUCUCUGCCACGGUGAAAUGGAUCGAUAGAGAUAGUUUAGGCCGUUCCAUUUGUUUGAUGAAGCAUUCGUUCUAGGGAUUCUGUAUAUUCAUAACAAAAUCACUAGAAUGAUUCUUAGAAAUUCAUCACUGCUAAAGGCAAUGGGUUCAGCAUAAUAACUUCUUAGUCUUGCUUCUUGGUCCUUUAUUUUCUUUGCAUAAUACUCCAAGUUUACCUGGGUUCUACAGAGAAAAUCUCGUAGAUACCUCUUUUUGUGGUCUUCCAUGGCAUUUAAGUGCUGCUUUCCAUGGUGAAGUGGGCCUAUAGAGACUACCUGAGGUGUGUAGGCUUUGUCAUUUCCACGCCGUAAUCGCUCAGGAACUCUGUAGAUACACCUUCAAGGGGGACAAGGGAGACAAACUAUCCAAUUCCUUGCGCCUUACAAAUAGAUCGCAUGGGUUUUCUAUUUCAUCUGCAGCUUCAUCAAUUCCUUCCAUUUUUCUCCUGAUCAUCAUGCGCGGUGAUUCAAAUAUUUCAUAAUGAACAUUGAAAUGAGAUGCUACAAGCAAACUUAUGAAAAGAAACAGAAAUACCAAAAAGACAAAUCAAUGUAGAUGGUUUAGAAAAUCUAAACAUUGCAAUUAUACUCCUUUGCCCAACUUCUAGGAGCAAACGUACACAAAGACCUUAUUGCUUCCAACUUUUCCAACAGAAUUUCAUAUGAAUUGCUCCAAGUGAAAUCCGUAUGAAAAAUCGGUAGUUGGAUUUUCAUCCUGCUUUAAUAUGAUUAUUUAACUUCUAACAAAAAAACUCUUAUUACUUGAGCAAGUAAAAUACUAUUCCAGGUUUCUCCUAGUUCUAUAUGCGCUUAUAAUUGGUAUACUCUAUAAAUACCAUAAUCUGAAUUUCUCUGUUUUGAUUACUUUAAUUUAUUACUUAUGUUUUAAUUAUUGUUUACUUAGUGAAUUAUUAGUAUUUAAGAGAAGGCCUUCCAUCGAUUAGGCACCACGUGUCUAUAAUAAGUAAAGCCGUCCGGCUAUACUUAAAAAAAAAAAAAAUUGUAGUAUAGCCGACCGGUAUAGCCGCGCGGCUAUACUAUUUAAUACAUUAUAUUUAAACGGUAUAGCCGCGCGGCUAUACUAUUUAAUAAAAUAAAAAACAAAAGAAAAAGAAAAAUUACCCUCCUAUUUCAUUAGUUUGUACUUUAUAGAUACUAGCCCCUUGACACAUGCUCACGCAUGUGCCAAUUGGUUUUCUUUUUCUUUUUUAUUUUUAUUUUUAGAAUUAAGAAAAAAUAACAGGAUAGUUAUGUUCCAUAAAAGUAGGACCUAUUAUCUUAUUUUGUUUUUAAUUUUAAUUUUUUUAAUAUUAAAAAAAUAUGAAUUUACGAUAUUAUCCUCAUUUAAUUAAUAAUUUCAAUUCUUAAUGUUUGAAUUAACAAAGGGCAUUUUCUGGUAUUUUGAAUGUUUCACCAUUCUCUGCCUUUUGCUUUAUAUAUAUAGAUUAAUUUGCCAGUUUCAAGAUAUCCAAAGUACAUAUUAGACUUUCACUAUAUAAAUUUCAAUAUAUAUUUUUUAUAACAUGUGUUGUUCUUAUUCAAUAAUAUGUGAGAAUUAUUUGUAUAAUACGUGAAUUUUGUGUGUCUUACUGAAUUUUUUUAAAUACGUGUAUUAAACGUUACAAAUACGUACAUAUAUGUACAACACGACUAUUGUAAGUUUGCUAUAUAAAAAAAAGUGAGAUGUAUCUAGAACACGAAUGUAUUAUCGAAAAAUAUAUAUGUAUGUAUAUAUAUAUAUAUAUAUGUAAAAGCCUAUAGCCUCUCACCUAUACUAUUUAUUAAAGACAAUUUAAAAAUUACAACAACAAAAAAACCAGUACAGCCACAAAGCUAUACUAUUUUAAAAAAAAAAAAUAGAAAAAAUAUCAAGUACUACACAGGGCAAAGGCCCAGUGUAAAAUAGUAUAGCCGUACGGCUAUACGUUUUUAAGAAGAAUUUAAAAAACUAAGUAUAGCUCACCGACUAUACUAUUUUUUAAUAUAAAAAAACAACCCCAUCCAUUAGGCGCCACGUGUCAACAGAAGUUUAUUUUUAAAAAAAAAAAUUAAAAGACAAGGAGUAUAGCCGGGUGGUUGUACUAUUUUUUUAUUUUAAAAAGAAGACAGUCCAUCGAUUAGGCGCCACGUGUCCAUAAUAAGUACAGCCGCUCGGCUAUAUGUUGGAUAUUUUGAAACUAGCAAAUUAAUAUCAAUAGCCGGUCGUAACCUAUGCUGUCCACGUCACUCAUGUUUUACCAGAGUUAAAGCAUCCACAAUGAGCUCCCCAAACCAUCUCUUUAGACAAAUUUUAGGGAGAAAUUGGAAAAGUACAACUCCAACCAUGCUCCCUAUCCACCAACUAAAAUAGGGAGACCUCUAGGAGCUCCUAAAUCUGAGGAGAGGGAAAGGACUCUUAGUGACUCCCUAUAAUUUAAUGUUGCUUUGUUUUAUGCAUAUUUUAAACUUUUAAUUAAAUCAAAUUAUUAUUUUAUAUUAUUUUGUAUACAGAUGGACCAAUUAUAUUAAAUUAAAAAAUAAUUAAAGUAUUUGUGACUCUCUAAACUAAGGAGUAUGAUUAGAGUUCAAAUUUUAUAAAAAGCUCUUAAAAUAGCUUUUGUGUGUUUUUAGCUAAAUUUUAACUAAAAAAUUUGAAGAUUCUUUAUUUGGGUUUCUUUCAAGACGAAAACCAUAUCCACAACAGACAUCUUUGGCUGUUCAUCACAAUUGAGAGACAAUGAAGAAGACAUAAGGGAGAGGCUGCCAAAUACUUAUCACCUUAGCCACCACCAACACCACAAGACCAAUAUGUGUAGGCCAGGAGGCUUUCCAAUUUUAAUAUAUAUAUAUAUAUAUAUUAAAAAAUAAAAUAAAAAUCAAUCUAUUAUCAUAUAUAUUAUAAAAUAAAGAUUAUUGCUCCAUCCUCCAUGCACUUGCGUGCCCUCUUACAAAGUAUGAAGUAGAUUUUGUUAGCUGGAUUUAUAAGAUCUUUUGUUUUUUGGAAAUUUUCUGAAAUAAGGAAAAUCAAGUAAAAUUAAUAAAGCAUAAAUUGGAAAGGGAAAAUAUCUAGAGGAUGCAUUGUAGGAUUGCUCAAGCCAAUAAUUGUACCCUCUAAAUAUAUAGGGACAUAUUUUUUUUGUUUUCAUGACAUGUCGUCCUAAAAUUAUUGUUCUUAGCGGGCUCUCCACCCCCUCUCGAUUGAAAACCUAUUGUGUAAAUCUUCAAUCCUGAAUUAGAAAAGUACAACUCCAACCAUGCUCCCUAUCCAUCUCCUAAAAUAGGGAUACCUCUAGGAGCUCCUAAAUCUGAGGCGAGAGAAAGGACUCUUAGUGUCUCUUUAUAAUUUAAUGUUGCUUUGUUUUAUGCAUAUUUAAACUUUUAAUUAAAUCAAAUUAUUUUUUUAUAUUAUUUUGUAUACAAAUGGACCAAUUAUAUUGAAUUAAAAAUAAAUUAAAGUAUUUAUGACUCUCUAAACUAGGGAGUAUGAUUGGAGUUCAAAUUUUAUAAAGAGCUCCUAAAAUAGCUUGUGUGUGUAGGGGUCUUUUUCUUCUGGCAACUACAGAUGGGUUGGGCUACCGUAAGGAGCAAACUGAAGAAAAUAUCCCCUGUGUCUGAGUUCAAAGAUUCGGCCCCAAAAUAUUUCGAAAAGGCAGUAAAGCCUUAGGAAACACCUUAGUUACCUUCACCAACGAAAAUGACGGCUGCUUACAGGUAGAUUCUUAGUGCUUACAGAUGAAUUCUUAGCUUAGCAUGAGGAGAUCGUGGCAUGGAAGCAAAGUUAGCAUGAGUUUAGCACUAAAGAGAAAAUUAUGUGUUCUUGGGAGGAAGAAGGGGUGUCCAGGUAAAUGGGAAAAGGUUUUGCAAGUAGAUUUGGCUAAGAGAGAAGGGAGAGAGAGAAGAGGGUGGCUAGAGUGCUUCUUCCGGCAGCUUGACAGUGACUCUGUCAAAUGUUAGAGCAAUCUGCCAUAAGAGGGAAAAUGGGGAAGAAGGAUGAACAGUGCACAAAAUUGCUAGGUUUUUGCAAGUAAGAGAGGAAGCUUGCUCUCUGGAUGUGGAUGAUCCGUUGGGUAGAAGAGGCCCCAUUUUAUAGCCGCUGGAAACUAUCAUUUCUCAAGAAACCCUAAUAGUUUCUACCCAAUUUGGUCAAGCUUUUCCCUUCCUUUCUCAUCUCCUCCCUUGACUUUUCCUAUCUUGGUGAAAUUUCCUCUGUCUAUUUGCACAAAAUCAGGAGCUCAAGGCCUCCCUUUCCCGCAACUGUUCAAUGGGAGACUCCAUUCUUAGCUAUUUUUCUUCUUCUUUCCUUCCUCCUUCCCUGACCAAAUCUGAUGAAGGAAAGCAAAUAGGUGCACACAUUGGUUUGAAGGGUGCUUCUCCUUCUAGCAGCUUACAUGCCAAUAUCCCUUGGGUCCUUGCAUGUUUUUUGCUUUGAAACUUGUUUCUUCCUUCCCGUCAACUCACGUGGUCUUCCAUGCUUCUUCAUGGCUUUAUCUUUCAGCCAAAAGAUGGAGUUUUUACUGCUUGCUACUUUUAAUUGUAUGGGUCUUCUAGGAUAGGAAGUCAACCUACCAAACAAAUGGGCCACCUUUAUCAAAUAUUGGGCUGUUGGGGUUAGUUUUAGUGGGCCAUUUUGACUGGGCUUUUUGGUUGGGUUAUUUAAGUUAUUUUCCCUUUUGUGCUCACCCAUGUAUUUAGGCCUAAGAAAUGGGCUUGGGCUCCGAGUCUCCCAAGCAACCCGGAACCUCCAUUUCUUGGCCCAUUAAUGGGCCUCAUGACAACCUAUUACCAUCCAUACCACAACCCACUCAAGCAAGCCCCGGGCAUUUGAAUGGCUUUGGCCCACUUUAGGCUUGUAGUGUGAUUGGGUGUGGCAUAACGAUUUCUCGCUUGGCAUGGCAUGUUGCUUGGCAUGUUUUUUCAUUACGAUGCUUGAUGGAUUUGUAGAGCUACCUAUUUUUAUGAUCUUAAUCUUGAUUCCUAGCAUGACAAAUUUAUUUAUUUGGCAUGGCAUGCGGAGCGUGACUUGUGCGUGGCGAGUUUUGUAUGCUCCAACUUGGGCCUUUCCUAAAUAAUGUAUCAUUUUGGGUUAUGAAUUCUUUCGGGCCCAACCGUGAAUUUUUUGGGUUUCAACAGUGUGUUUUUAGCUAAAUUUUAACUAAAAAAUAGGGAGCAUGAUUGUAGAUCAUCUUAUAUACCUUAAUUUGAAGAUUCUUUAUUUGGGUUUCUUUCAAGAUGAAAACCAUAUCCACAACUGGCAGACAUCUUUGGCUGUUCAUCACAAUUGAGAGACAAUGAAGAAGACAUAAGGGAGAGGCCGCCAAAUACUUAUCACCUCAGCCACCACCAACACCACAAGACCAAUAUGUGUAGGCCAGGGGGCUUUCCAAUUUUAAUAUAUAUAUAUGGAGUGAAAAAAAUAAAAUAAAGAUUAUUGCUCAUCCUCCAUGCACUUGCAUGCCCUCUUACAAAGUGUGAAGAAGAUUUUGUGUGCUUCAAGUCAUUGACUAGAGCUGAAACAUGGUUAGCUGGAUUUAUAAGAUCUUUUGUUUUCUGGGAAUUUUCAGAACCAAGGAAAAUCAAGUAAAAUUAAUAAAGCAAAAUGGAAAGGGAAAAGAUCUAGAGGAUGCAUUGUAGGAUUGCUCAUGCCAAUAAUUGUACCCUCUAAAUAUAUAGGGACAUAUUUUUUUUGUUUUCAUGACAUGUUGUCCUAAAAUAUUUGUUCCUAGCGGGCUCUCCACCCCCUCUCGAUUGAAAACCUAUUGUGUAAAUCUUCAAUCCUGAACGAUGCUCCUAAAACUCAAGUGUCCCAGGCCAAUUAUUGCUCUCAUACCACUUGUUGCAAUACACAUCCACUCAUUCUCAGGGAAAGAAACCCAUCGAUAUUAUCUCAAAUUUAACCACUUUAGUCUAUUAUGAUUAACUAUGUAUUUUAUGGAUCAAUGCAGUUGUGAGGUUUUAUACCCAAUUAGAUCGACCAAUACAGAGAUCACAUGUGGACUGAAAAGCGCCAUCGGUAGGGGAGUGUUUGGCACCCUUUACUGCCGAGUGCAACACAAGACCCCUUACCAGGAACUUAUCUACUAGGACACGUGAAGCCACCACAAGUAAUAUCAACAGUCCCACAUCGAAGUUUAACAUAACAUGUACACUCCCCAGGACUGAUAAAAGUGGGCACAAGUCCCAAAAAUGGGGGAACUUGGACUUUCAGCAAUUCAUCCAUUAUUAUGUCCAAAUUACUAUACACUCCGUACUUAUUCUUACUUAAGCAUUGGAGAGCCUUCGGCCGGUACCACACCAGUGCCUAAGGGCUUACCGAGCGUUCUCUAUCUUGCAUAUUGAUCGCUCUACUGAAGCCCAUAAAGAGUUAAAGGUCAAGACAUCACUAAGUUGAGCCCAAAAGUGCUGAACCACAUCAAAAAUAUGUAUAGAUUGAAAAAAUAAAAUAAAAAUCAAUCUAUUAUCAUAUAUAUUAUAAAAUAAAUAUUGGAUAAAUUACUCAAAUGGUCCUCAAACUUAUACUCGAUUUACAUUUUGGUCUCUCAAUUAAAUUAUUUGUUCAAAUGGUCCAUCAACUCUAUAUUAUUUCUGCAAAAUCUACAAAGUGGUGGGAGGCAGACCAACAAAAAAAAUUAGCGAAGGCUUAUAACUCUGGUAAAACAAGAGUUACUUGGAUAGAAUAAUGUUACGUCGUACUGAAGAUUUUUGGGUUUCUUUAAUUGGUUAAGUGAAGAUUCUUUAUUUGGGUUUCUUUCAAGAUGAAAGCCAUAUCCACAACCACAACCACAACUGGCAGACAAUCUUUGGCUGUUCAUCACAAUUGGGCGACAAUGAAGAAGACAGAAAUUGGAGUACUGUAUGUUAUCACCCACACCACAAGACCAAUAUAAGGAGGAUGGGGAGGCUGCGGAAUACUUAUCACCUUAGCCACCACCUACACCACAAGACCAAUAUGUUGUAGGCCAGGAGGCUUUCCAAUUUUAAAUUAGAUAAAUCGGAAACUGUUUCGAUAUCCAAUUGUAUUCUAUAAAAUCAAUGAACACGGUGCUUCAAGAAAGUAAUAAAAUUUCAAUAAUUCAAUUGAGUGGUCAAAUUCAAGUGAUUUUUUGUAGUGAUGAUCUUUGAAUGAGUAUCUAUAAAAGAGACGGUUUGGAUUAGUGAAAUACAAUAUGGAGUGGGCCCUACCAGCAAUCCACGACAAAAUGUCUGCAAGCUUUCGUAAUAUAAGGAGGAUGGGGAGGCUGCGCAAUACUUAUCACCUUAGCCACCACCUACACCACAAGACCAAUAUGUUGUAGGCCAGGAGGCUUUCCAAUUUUAAUAUAUAUAUAUAUAUAUAUAUAUAUAUAUAUAUAGGGAUGUGAUUUCUCUACUCCCCUUUUCUCUACUUAUACUCCCUUUUGCUUUUAAAUACUUUUUAAUCAAUUUUUUUUCCGCUUUCCUAUUAAUAUUCUACCAUUUCCCUACAUUAAUUUCUUUUUACUUCACUUUUAUAUUAGUUCUUUUUCUUUAUACUUAAUUUUUCAACUUGCACUCCAUUUUCAUUAUUUUUUUCCUAAUCGAGUAAGAAAUUAAGUUUUUUUUCCCCAUUUAAUACUGAAAAUGGAGUGUAAGUUAGAAAAUUAGGUAUAAAGAAAAAGAAAUAAUAUAAAAGUAAAGUAAAAAAGAAAUUAAUGUAGGGUAAAGGUAGAAUAGAAAAGAGAAUGAACAAAAUUGAUAAAUAAAUAAAAAAGGUUUAAAAAGCAAAAAGGAGUGUAAAUGGAGAAAAGGGGAAUGAGGAAAUCAGCUCCAUAUAUAUAUAGAUUGAAAAAAUUAAAAUUAAAAUCAAUCUAUUAUCAUAUAUAUUAUAAAAUAAAGAUUAUUGCUCCAAGGAAAUGACAUCUUUUGUUUUCUGGGAAUUUUCUGAACCAAGGAAAAUCAAAUAAAAUUAAUAAAGCAUAAAUUGGAAAGGGAAAAGAUCUAAAGGAUGCAUUGUAGGAUUGCUGAUGCCAAUAAUUGUACCCUCAAAUUAUACAUGGACAUAGGGGUGGGCAUUCAAAUAGGCAAACUAGAAAUCCGAGCUGAACCGCACCUAGGAAAACCGGAAAAAAAACCGAGUUGACCAAAAAGUCAACAACUGGUCAAAAAUCGAACCGGACCGAUUUGGACUGGUUUUGGAUUCAGUUUAUAUGCAAUGCUACAUUUUUAGUCUCAUAACUAAUAUUUAUCCAAGUUCAAUUUCAAAACAUCUUUCUUUUUUAGCUUUAAUAUUUAUUUUUAUAUGAAAUUAAAUAAUUUAUUAAUUUUCAAGUAAAUAAAAUAAAAUUUCAGUUGAAAUUUAUAUUAAAAAAAUAAUUUUAAUAAUCCAGUUCAAAACCAAACCGGACCAUCCAGCUGUGAGGUACAUUUCUCCCACAUGCCACAAUUGUAUAUUCACAAUUACGUCUGAUACAUCACAUCAUGCCACUUGCCUCAAAUGAAUUUAAGUGAGUGUGGCAGUGGAAAGUAAUUAAGCUCUAUAUUGGUGGGUGGACUGUUACUUCUGGGUUCCCCUCAUCAUUCGUCUAUAAAAUGGUGAAGGCAGUUGCUAUUGUUACCAUAAGAGCCAGCUCCGACUUCCUUUAAUUUCUUGCUUCAUAUCCACUAGCUACAUCUGUUACCAAGUUAAUUUCAGUCCUAAUGGGGUUUCAUCUCCCACUCAUCUUUGCUCUUCUCAGUGUAAGCUCUGCAAUUUGAUUAACUUUUCCAUUCUCUCUCAUUGUACUCUAUAUAAACGAAAGUUUUGUGUUCCUAUAAUUCUCUCCGAUUUUAUUUAGUACGUACUUAAGUGUCGUCCACUAAUUAAUUACACUUUGUGAUUUGAUUUUAAUUUGAGUUCGAAUUAAUGUUGCAGCUAGCAGCAGUGGCACUGGCAAACCAUGCUGCUCAACCAGCACCUCAACUUUACUGGAACUCCGUCCUGCCAAACACACAGAUGCCAAGAUCUAUCAGUGAACUUCUGCAUCCUGGUUUGUGUUGAGCUCUUUAGAAUCUUAGAUAUCUCUUCUACCUGCCAUUUUACUAAAAUAUGUUCCACCACAUAUUUAUCAGUUAACCACUGUUAUUACAUGAGUGACACAUAUUCACAAAUCGGCUGAUCACUUAUUUUCCAUUAUGACGUUGAUAUAUAAUUUGCAGACUCCACAAAUGAAGAAAAGAGCACAAAUGACGUUGGCAAACCUGAAACUUUCCCAUUGGGCAAUAAACAUUACUCCAGUCAAAAACAUUAUGGAAGAGGCAAACCUGAAACUUUCCCAUUGGGCAAUAAACAUUACUCCAGUCAAAGACAUUAUGGAAGAGGCAAACCUGAAACUUUCCCAUUGGGCAAUAAACAUUACUCCAGUCAAAGACAUUAUGGAAGAGGCAAACCUGAAACUUUCCCAUUGGGCAAUAAACAUUACUCCAGUCAAAAACAUUAUGGAAGAGGCAAACCUGAAACUUUCCCAUUGGGCAAUCAGCAUUACUCCAGUCAAAAAAAGUAUGGAAGAGGUGCUUCUCCAUCCGACAAUCAACCACCAAUUCCAUAGAAAUUCAAACACGGCUACUUUCUUGCCACGAGAAAGCGCUCAAUCGAUCCCCUUCUCCUCUAACAAACUACCAGAAAUUUUCAACCAUUUUUCAGUGAAGCCAACAUCUGAGGAAGCCAAAACAAUUAAGCAAACAAUCGAAGAGUGUGAAGCUCCAGACCUUAAGGGAGAGGAAAUAUAUUGCGCCACAUCUUUAGAAUCAAUGGUUGAUUUUAGCACUUCGAAGCUUGGAACAAGAAACGUUGAAGCAAUCUCGACGGAGGUAUUGGAAAAAGGAGCCACCAUGUCCAUCCAAAACUAUACAACAAUGCCGGGACUGAAGAAGUUGGCAGGUGACAAAGUCGUUGUGUGUCAUAAGCAGAACUAUCCCUAUGCUGUGUUUUUCUGCCAUGCAAUAAAACAUACAGCAGCUUAUGCUCUCUCCCUGAAAGGCGAUGAUGGGGAGAAGGUUAAAGCAGUAACCAUCUGCCAUCUAGACACAUCAGAAUGGGACCCAGAGCAUAUGUCCUUCAAAAUCGUCAACGUUAAGCCCGGAACCAUUCCCAUCUGCCAUUUCAUUUCCACUGAUGCUAUUGCCUGGGUUCCGAACCACAAAUCUGCAUGAUCAUCACUUAGCACUAGUACUGUGCGUAUAAUAUGCCUGUAUAAUUAUCUCCCUACUUAUUUCUGCCUGUUCAUCAUGUGGUGUAAGAUAUAUGUUGAGAUGAAGUUUUUGGGAUUAGUGGUCGAAAUUAACCCGAUCAUGUUUUCUCUUGUAACUAUAUAGACUUCAACUUGUACUCAUAAUAAAGCAUGCUAUAUUUAUGAAGAGAUAUUAAUCUUCAGGCAAAUAGAUAUUAUGAAAACAUAUAUAGCAAUUUAUCCAGAAGAAAUAUUAUGAAAUGAAAAGAAUAAAAAGUAAAAAAACAGAAGGAAAGGAAUUCGCACCUGCUAUGUAUGAAAGGACCAAGAUUGUUUUCCCUUUGGUUAAUGACUAGAAAAGCUCACUUGCAGAUUGCUUUCUCUGACCGUAGAUGCAACAGAAAUUUUCUCUUAAUAAUAGCACAAUGAUCGGGUAAUUGUAAGAACAAGUUGAUUUAAAAUUCCUUGACCCAAAAAAAAAAAAAAAAUCAUUUCAAAUUCAGGUCAACCCAUAGAUUUCUUGCCUUUUUCUUCUUCAUCACGUUGGGCUUGUCUUCUUCUUGAGGAUUGUAUAGGCCCAGGAAAUGCUUUGAGGUAGUUUUUGGCCUUGGAAGUUGGGACCCAACCCAACUUCACAAAAAGAAAACAGAUUUGCCAAAAAUCAAAUUUCAAGUCUCUCCUCAGAUCACUAAUACAGAUCAAAUUUUGGAUUUGAUGAACUAAAGUGGUUUUACUUUCUCUGUCAGUGUUUGAUGACUUAAUUUGUUAUUUACUUCUUUUUUUUUUUUUACUUGAUCUUUGUAGGGGUUUUUUUCUUCCGGUAACUUAAACGGGCUGGGCUGCCGUAAAGGGUAGAUUGAUGAAAUUGUCUCCUUUGUCUGAGUUCGAAAAUCAAGCCCCAAAAGCGCUUCGAAAGGGCAGUAGAGCCUUAGGAAGCGUUCUAGUCAUCUUCACCAACUAAAACAACAGCAACUUACAGAUGAUUUCUUAAGGCUUACAGAUAAAUUUUCUAGCUUGGCAUGAGAGGCUUGUGACAUGGAAGCAAAAUCAGCAUGAGUUUAGCACCAAAGAGGAAAAUAUGGCUUCCUAGGGAGAAAUGGGAGUGUUUAAGGUGAGGAAGAAGAGGUUUGCAGGCUGAUUUGGCUGAGGAGAGAGAAAGAAAGAACAAUGUUCUUCCAGUAGCUUGACAAAGCUUCUGACAGAUGUGAAAGUCGUCUGCCAUAAGAGGAAAAUGAAGAAGAAUGGUGAAUAGUGCAUGAAAUUGCUGGGUUUUUGCAGGUAAGAGAGAAAGCUUGCUCUCUGAAUUUGAGUUGGUUUUUGGUUGGGUAGAAGAGGCCCCCUUUUAUAGCUGCGGGAAACCAUCUUUUUUCAAGAAACCCUAAUGGUUUCUAUCCAUUUUGGCCAAGCUUUUCCCUUCAUUUCUCUUCUCCUCCCUUGACUUUUCCUAUCUUGGUGAAAUUUCCUCUGCCUAUUUGCACAAAAUUAGAGAUUUUGAGGAGCUCAAGACCCCUUUCCCGCAGCUGCCUCAGUGGAGAAUCCCCAUUUUCAGUCAUCUUUCUUCCUUCUUUUCUCCCAUCUUCCAAGGUUAGGUCUGAUGAGGGAAAGAAAUGGGUAUGCACACUGGUUUGAAGGGUAUUUUUGCUUGAAACUUGUUCUCUCCCAUGUGCUGGAGCUUCCCAGCAACUUACACACAUGGAUAUUUUGGCUUUCAUCGUGGCUUUUGUUUUCAGCUAGGUGCUGGAGAUUUCGCAGAUAUUUUCAUGAGUUGCUUGGGCCUUCUAGGACAAUAGGUUGGUUUAUCAAGUGAAUGGGCUAACUUCAUCAAUUGUUGGGCUAUUUUGGUUGAGUUAAUGGACUAUUUUGGUUGAAGUAAUGGGCUAUUUUGGUUGAAUUAAUGGGCUAUUUUUCUCUCUUUGUGCUCACCCACAUAUUUGGGCCUAAGAAAUGGGCUUGAGUUCCGGGGCUCCCAAGCAACCCCGGGACUUCCAUUUCUCGGCCCAUCAAUGGGCCUCAUAUCAACUUAUUACCAUCCAUAUCACAACCCACUCAAGCAAGCCCUGGGCAUCUUGCGUGGCUUGGGCCCACUUAAGCUUGUAGCGUGACGUGUUGCUUAUUUGCUUGGCAUGGCAUGUGUGCAAGCGCAUAUGACGAACUUUAGCGUGCCCAAAUUGGGUUUAUUCUCGGUAAGGUAUCGCAUUGGGCCGAGAAUUUAAUUGGGCAGAACUGUGGAUUUUUGGGCCUCAACAAUCUUAUAUAUAUUGGUUUUCUUUUUUUCCUUAAUAUUCACCACCUUUCUGUUGCAUAAGUAUUUCAGUCUUAACGGGUUUCCAUCUACCACUCAUCUUUGCUCUUUUAAGUGUAAGCUUUUUUUUUUUUUUUUUAAGCACAAGAUUAGAGGGGAGGGGGAUUUCUCAAUGUAAGCUUUGCAGUUUCAUAAUUAAUAUUUCCAAUAUCUCACUGUUAGUAAAAUAUGGAACAGGAAAAGUAUGAAUAAAAUACACACAUGUUUUAUUUAGCAAAAUUUUGACAAGAUACAACUGAAAAGUUUGGCCACUAUAUAAUAUUUUGAUAUAAUUUCUACACUUCUUCUCAAAAGAUUAGAUCACUUCACAUCUUGUGUAUGUGAAAACUAAUGUAAAAAGUUGAAACUUUAUCGUAAAACCUCGACAAAAAUGAGCUCUACUAGAAAAUGUUCAAUUUGGAUUCGUUGAUUUAAAUGGCAAUUUGACACUUGAUAGAAAUUUUUACAUACAUGUGUUAGUGUUUGAUCACUUCACAUGUUACUUACUAUAUUUAUUCCACUCAAGUUAGGUAAAUAUUAUUAUCAAACAUUUCAAUUAAUUUGUGAUUUUUUUAUUAUUUAAUCAAUUAUGAAUUAAUGGAUUCUUCUUGUUGUUUUGAAGACCAAUAAAAAAAAAAGGGUAAGGAUGGCUUAUAACUCUGAUAAAACAACAGUGACGUGGACAGCAGAUGUUACACCGUACUGAAGAUUUUUGAAGAUUCUUUAUUUGGGUUUCUUUCAAGAUGAAAACCAUAUUAUCCACAACCACAAUGAAGAAGACAGAAAAUGGAGUAAUUCAGAUGUUACCAGCCAUCCACGACAAACUGAAGUCUGCAAAGCAUUCGUAAUCUAAAGGGAGACUUUGGAAAAGCCCAAAGGAGAGAGAAAAUUUUUAAAAGAAGCAAAAAUGGACAAAAUUGCCCUUAUUUAUUUUUUGAUUUCCUAAGAAAUCCUUUACAUUUGCAUGUCUUUGGUUUGAAAGUUGAGAGGUUAUUCUGUCUUUUUUCAAAAAGCUUUGGCUUUUUCCAAAAGUGAAAGUUUUUUUAUGGGUAAAACCUAAAUUUACUUAAUCCCUAAAAAGGAUGGGGAGGCUGCGCAAUACUUAGCCACGUGUAGGCCAGGAGGCUUUCCAAUUUUAAUAUAUAUAUAAAUUGAAAAAAUAAAAUAAAAAUCAAUCUAUUAUCCUAUAUAAAAUAAAGAUUAUUGCUUCCAUGGGCAGUGCUAUGCACAGGACAGUGCCUGCCCAGCACAAAUUUUUUUUAAAUAAAAAAAAAAAAUCUACAUAUGUUAUAAGCUCAUCCAAAAAAAUAAAAUAAAAUAAAAGUAAAUUCUACAUAUAUGUUGCCCAUCUAGGUGGUUCCAUAUCUUCUCUCUCCUUCUCUUUUGGCUAUUAGACUUCUUGUUUCUCUCUCUCUCUUUGCUACCUCACAUCAGCAAGUUUCUCCCUCUCUUUUUUUGGGGUCAAAUUCUUCCUCUAUUGACAAAAUCUUCUAUUAUCUUGGGUGGGCAACUUGGCAACAACAUCUUCUCUUCUCCUUUUGUCAACAACAAGUAUUAUUCUCAUUCUCUCAUUUGCUAUAUAUCUUUAAUUAUAGUUUUAAUUUAAAAUUGAGUAUUCUAGGGUUUAAUUAGGGAUGAAUUAUAAUUUUAGAAUUUUGUUGAAAUUAAUUAAGGCUUCGAUUAGGGGUGAAUUAUUCUACUGCUUUGGUUUGGAAUUUUGUUAAAAUUGAGUAUUAUAGGGUUUAAUUAUGGAUGAAUUAUAAUUUUUGAUUUUGGUAUUAUUGAGAUGUUAUUAUGAGAAUUUGUUUCAUUUUUUUAUUGGUAUAUUUGAUUAAAAUUCUUUCUACAUAUUAUUCAUAGGCUAUCUUUUAUUAUGUCGGAUCACAAUCGGAAUCCCAAGAGAACAAAGAAUUUGAAUAGUGUUGUUUUGUAUUGCAUUGCAUUUACUUUUGGUUUUAGUUUUGCUUUUAGUGUAAAUUACUCAAAUGGUCCUCAAAUUUGUACCCGAUUUACAUUUUGGUCCAUAAACUAAAUUAUUCAUUCAAAUGGUGCACCAACUCUUUAUUAAUCAGUGCUUUGGUCCUACCGUUAUGUUUUCUAUUAAAUUUAGUCAUGUGAGCAGCACAUGCUACAUUUGUAGGGGUAAAUAAGACUUUUGACCACUUUAUCACCUAUGUAUCACCACUUUAUAACCUAUUUGGAGAACAUAGGUCAGUUAUGGACGGUUUUACAAUUAUAUUUGACGGCAACAUUAACAUAAUGUAACAGUGGGAUCAAUGGAGCGAUUAAUAUAGAGUUGAUGGACCGUUUGAACGAAUAAUUUAAUUGAGGGACCAAAACGUAAAUUGAGUAUAAGUUUGAGGACCAUUUGAGUAAUGUACCCUUCGCUUUUAUAUUUGUUGAACUUUUAUUUAUGGAUAGAUAUGCAUUUGAGGGUAAGACCCAUUAUGUUCCCCCUGACUUGGUGUAUCUUUUUAUGUUUAUUAAUGAAAUUCACUCGAACUGUUGAGUUUAGUAUGUAAGUUUUGCCUAACCGGCUUUUGAAUCCUAGAACCGCCACUGUUGCUCCAUCCUCCAUGCACUUGCAUGUGCUCUUACAAAGUGUGAAGUAGAUUUUGUGUGCUCCAAGUCAUUGACUAGAGCUGAAACAUGGUUAGCUAGAUUUAUAAGGACCCAUCUCUCUAUUUCCUAGACAUAUACCCAUCUCUCUAUAAAUCUAUAUGUAAAACUCAAUUUCAAACUUAAAUGACCAGUAAGAUAUAAGAGGUCAUAGUAUUCCUAUGUUUUUACAUCGUUGCCACCAGACUUCUUAUUUUAUUUAUAAUUUAUUUCAAGCAUUUCAUUAACUGCCAUAAUUGUAAUUAAUACUCCAUAUUAAUAGCAUAUCAAUCACCCCAUUUCUUUUGAUUGCCAUUCCCUCUAACAUAUCGCCCCUUAAAAUUGAAAACCAAAAAAAAAAAAAAUGUAAAUUACAUAUCCAAUAAUGUACCUAUGAAAAAUAUAAAUAUAAAUAUAUACGUAUAAAAAUAUAGGUUUAUUAUUUACCAAAUAAAAAAUAUAAAAAAACUAGGUCAGUUGCUUUGUAAUUGAAAUUUCUAUACAUUUUCCACAAAUUAAAAAUAGGUACACAAUAAUUUAUAGAAAAUAUAGGUGCAUUAUUUAUCCAUAGGUAAAAAUACCUAUAAAUGCACAUAGGUAAAUUAUUUACCCAUAUAUUAUUUUUUUGCUAAGGAUUUACCUUAGUUUUUAGUAGAUUAAUUUACCUACCUAGAGGCAUAGGUAGCUUAAAAAAAUUGUAGCACCUUAGUUGGUUGCAUACUAAUUUACCUACCUAGAGGCAUAGGUUGCUAAGAAAAAAUGUAGGUAAAUUCAUGUACCUAAACACAUAGGGGUCAAAUAGAGAAUAACAUGUUAUUUCCCUUCGAACAAAUUAAUUUCAAACCAUAACAAUAAUUGAAUUCGGAAAUUGGUAUAAAUAAAAGGAAAUAAAUAAGCUAUCAAUUUGAAAAUUAAAAUAAGAAAUGAUCAAGUAGUCAUAUUUGAAAAAAAAGAAAAGAAUAUAUUCUUGGUUUUUAUAGGAACAACGUGUAUAUUCAAACCAAAUGGCAGUAACUACACCAAGCUUUAAUUACUUUUUUUUAAGGCCAAAAGUCACUUUUGGUCUCUGUAGUUUGACACUUCUAUUACUUUUGACGCUGUAGUUUCAAUUCCGUCAAUUUUGCCAUUGUAGUUUCAUAUUUGUAGCAAUUCAAGGACAUGUUAAUAUUAAUGUCAAUUUGUUUAAUGAUGCAAGGGGUAAUUUCGUCAUCCCAAAAUCCUUGAGCAUAAAAGCUUGUCUGAAAUUCUCCCCAUUUCAUAUUAGGGCUCGAAAUUCAACCACUAAUCCCAAUUUUUGAAGAACCCUAUACCCAAAUGACCAAUUUCAAGCCCUAAUAACAAAUUAGGGAAGUUUUAGAUGAGCUUUUAUGCUCAAGGAUUUUGAGUUGAAGAAAUUGCCCCUUGCACUGUCAAAGAAAUUGAUAGGAAUACUGACUUGUCCUUGAAUUGCUACAAAUACAAAAAUACAGGGUCAAAAUUAACAGAAUUUAAACUAUAUGGUCAAAAGUGGUUAAAGUGCCAAACUACAAGGACCAAAAGUGACUUUUAGCCUUUUUGUUUAAAUAAGGAAAAAACUUACCUAUUAAAUCCUUGGAAUCUAUACAAAAUUGAAACACAGUUAAUCAGCAUUGAAUUGCAGCUAAUUUCUUAAACAAGGGUAUUAUAGGAAUUUAAAAAGUAUAACAUUUAAUCCAUUGAGCUUGAUUAGGAAUCUUGAUGAGUUGGAUCCUAGUUAUAUAGUUUCUCUUAUAAAAAUCGGGUUUUAUUUAUAGACAAAUAAAACAAUGGGUUGUAGGUAAGAAAAUAUUAAUUUGAAGGGAAAGUGUCACAUCCUGGGAUCGGCUCCGCCGUAGCACGAUAUUGUCCGCUUUGGGCCCCCCUCUCUGCCCGCACGGUUUUGUUUCUGGGAGCUCACGAGCAACUUCCCAGUGGGUCACCCAUCCUGGGAUUGCUCUGGCCCCCAACUCGCUUAACUUCGGAAUUCCUAUGACUCCGAAGCCAGUGAGCUCCCAAAAGGCCUCGUGCUAGAUGGAUGCGGGUGUGUACAUAUAAGACACAUCACCCCCUCUCCGUUGGUUGAUGUGGGAUCUUACAGAAAGAGUCAAAUUUACUAAAUUAAUAAAGCAUAAAUUGGAAAGGGAAAAGAUCUAGAGGAUGCAUUGUAGGAUUGCUCAUGCCAAUAAUUGCACCCUCUCGAUAUUGAAAAACCUAUUGUGUAUUAUUAUCUUCAAUCAUGAAUGAUGCACCUAAAACCCAAGUGUCCCAAGCCAACCAUUGCGCUCAUACCACUUGUUGCAGUACACAUUCACCCGUUUUUAAAGAAAGAAAUUCUACCAAUCGAUAUUGUCUCAAAUUUAAUCACAUAGGUCUAUUAUGGUUAACCAUAUGUACUUUUAUCGGCCAUAUAGAGGUACCUUUUUCCAACGUGCAACAAUUGUAUUUGAUUCACAAUUAUGUCUGAUAUACAUCACAUCAUGCCACUUGCCUCAAAUGAAUUUAAUUGAGUGAGGCAAUGGGAAGUAAUUAAGCUCUAUAUUGGUGGGUGGAGUGUUACUUCUGGAACCCUCAUCAUUCGUCCAUACAAGGGAACAAUUCCCUUCCUUCUAUAAAAUGGUGAAGCCAGUUGCUAUUGUUUGUUAGAGUUUUAGGAUCUGAGUGUUAGAUUUUGUGAGAAGAGAGAAGAGAAUUUAGUGAAAACUUCCAAUACUGCUCUGCUAUACGUGUAGCAGAGAGAACAUUCUGUUUUGUUAUAUAUUUUCAGUACAACAACACACACUUGGUGUGAGAAGAAAAAUGACUGUUAUGCACAGUACCAGCUGGAUGCUUUCCAUCAAAGUAAUCUCAGCCAUUCACUAUCUAACCAAUCAAGCUAUGACACCUGGACUAAGUAUAAAGAAAUACAACUAAGCAGAAAACAAGACUCUUAAUCCUGAAAUCAACUUAAGCACUUAUAAUUCAACACUCCCCUUUAAGUCUUGAGGUGAUUUCACUCCAAGCAUGCCUCUGAGAUAAUUGAAUCUGUCUUUGGCCAGAGGUUUGGUAAAAAUGUCAGCCAAUUGUUCAUUUGUAGGACAAUAUUCCAGAUUGAUUACCCCUUCUUGCAAUGCAUCCUUGAUGAAGUGAUACCUCCUGUCAAUAUGCUUUGUCUUCUGGUGGAAUACAGGGUUUUUAGUGAUUGCAAUUGCUGAGAUAUUAUCACAAUGCAAUGGAGUAGCUUCAGUUUGAAGCUCUCUAAAGUCUUCUAGCACAAAACGGAGCCAAAUAGCUUGAGUAGUAGCCUCAGCUGCACUGAUGUACUCAGCUUCUGCAGUAGACAGUGCAACACAGUUCUGUUUCACUGAGGCCCAAGAAAAUACUCCACUUCCAAAACUAAACGCAUACCCUGAUGUGCUCUUGCAAUCACCAACUGAUCCUCCCCAAUCACUGUCACAGUAACCAACUAGAAUUGAUCUUUUGCCUUUCACAUAUUCAAGACCAUAGUCCAGAGUUCCUUUGAUGUAUCUCAAAACCCUUUUAGCUGUUCCAUAGUGUCUAUUUGUAGGACAGUGCAUGAAUCUAGCUAGCAAGCUUGAGGCAUACAUGAUGUCUGGUCUUGUAGCAGUUAAGUACAGCAAGCUACCAACAAUGCUUCUGUAUUGUUCUUCAUUUGCAGCUCAACUCCCAUCAUCCUUAGCUAGUUUCUCAGUGGCAACAAGGGGUGUUGUCACAGGUUUGCACUCAGUCAAACCAAACUUGCUCAACAAGGUGCUAGCAUAUUUCUUUUGAUGUAGAAAUAUACUAGACUCAGUCUGAAUAACUCCCAUGCCAAGAAAGUGAUGAAGUAAGCCCAAAUCAGUCAUCUCAUACUUAGCCAUCAUGUCUUCUUUGAAUUCAGCCAACAAUGCUUGACUGCUCCCUGUAUACACAAUAUCGUCUACAUAGAUAGACACAAUUAGAAUCUCCUUAUCUCCCCUUACUUUGGUAUAUAAGGUUGUUUCACUUAAGCUUUUCACAAAACCACAUUGAGUGAAGUAGCUGUCUAUCUCUCCAUACCAAGCCCUUGGGGCUUGCUUCAGACCAUAAAGGGCUUUAUGCAAACGAUAAACCUUGUCUUCUUUACCUUUAAUUACAAAACCUUCAGGCUGACUGACAUAAACUUCCUCUUGCAGCACACCAUUAAGGAAAGCAGACUUCACAUCAAGCUGGAACAAUUUCCAAUCCUUUUGAGCAGCUAGAGCAAUAAGUGUUCUAAUGGUGUCCAAUCUGGCUAUAGGUGCAUAAGUCUCAUUAUAAUCCAGUCCAGGCUUCUGAGCAUACCCCUUAGCCACUAAUCUUGCUUUAUUCUUUUGCACUGAGCCAUCCAAAUUCAGCUUUGUCUUGUACACCCACUUAACUCCAAUCACUGGUUUUUCAGUUAGUCUAUCUACCAAUUCCCAUGUUUCAUUCUUUUCAAUCAUCUGCAGUUCAUCUUCCAUAGCCUUAAGCCAAGAUUCAUCCUGAGCAACAUCAGCAUAUUUUUCUGGUUCCAUGAUACACAAGUUACACUGAGCUAGAACAUCAUCUAGCCUUCUCCAUUUUAGAGGGGUGUGAUCAUAAGCUUGAGUUCUCCUUUCUUCACUGCUUAUAUCACCUGGAGUUGAUGAAAUGCUCUCUUGCAUAUCCAAAGUUUGAGGUGUACCAGUAGAAUUCUCAUUAGAACUGUCAGAUUUCAAGUCCAAAUCAACUUGGUUUUCAAUUGAGUAUGUUGUCAUAACUGAACCAUUUUUGUUUGUCCAAUGCCAAGCAUUUUCUUCAUCAAAUGUCACAUCCCUUGAUAGUAAAAGCUUGUUAGAAACAGGAUCAAAAACUCUAUAUCCUUUUUCACAAGUUGCAUAUCCCACAAACACUCCCUUUGUACUCUUAGGAUCCCGCUUGUGUCUCAAUUCAGUUGGCACAUGAACAUAACACAGAGAACCAAACACUUUCAGAUGUGCAAUUCCAGGCUUCCUUCCACUAUAUGCUUCGAAUGGAGUAAUGUUGUUGAGAGCUUUGGUAGGACAUCUGUUCAGCAAAUAGAUAGCUGUAUGCACAGCUUCUGCCCAUAGGAAAUAAGGCAUUCCCUUCUCAUGUAACAUUGAUUUUGCCAUCUCAAUGACAGUUCUAUUCUUCCUCUCAACUACUCCAUUCUGCUGAGGAGUAUAGGCCAUUGUAAGCUGCCUUUGAAUGCCAUUAGCUUCACAAAACUCCAAAAAAUCAGUAGACAUAAACUCUCCACCCCUGUCACUUCUUAUGCACUGAACCUUGUGUCCAGUUUGUAAUUCAGUCAUGGACUUGAACUUCUUGAAACAAAAGAAGGCUUUUGACUUGUUUCUCAAGAAGUAUACCCAAAUCAUUCUUGUGAAAUCAUCUAUAAUCAGCAUGAAAUAUCUGUUCCUUGCAACAGACUCAUUUCUCAUGGGACCACAGAGAUCCACAUGUAUUAGCACUAGUACUUUGCUUGCUCUUUGAGCUUGAUCUUUUGGAAAAACAUUUCUGUGCUGUUUUCCAAAUUGGCACCCGUCACACACACCACUUUGUUCUUCCAAUUUUGGUAAACCAUGUACCAUUUCUUUAUCACUUAGCUGCUUCAAUCCUCCAAAAUGCAGAUGACCAAAUCUCUUGUGCCAAAUCCAUGUGGAUUGAAGAAAACUAGUCUUCAUUAGUAACUGUUUUUCAGCUAGAAAAGAGACAGGAUAGCAUCUGUUACUCUUCAUUUGCACCUUUAUGAUGAGAUAAUCCAUGGAUGGGCUAUCAAAUACCCUGCACAUCCCUUCUCCAAACACUAGACAGUACCCAUGUUCAUCCAUCUGCCCAACACUUAGCAGAUUUUCUUUCAAUCCUGGCAGAUACAUUACUUCUCUGAUGUAUUUCCUGCCCUUUGCUGUAUCAAUACUCAGUGAGCCAAUACCAGCUACACUCACUAAUGCACCAGUUGGCAUUUGUACUCUCCCAGCUACAUUAGUUCUCACAUCAACCAGCAAAUCUAAAUUUCCUGUCAUAUGAUUGCUGCAGCCACUGUCAAUGUACCAUUCAUUGGUUUUGAUCUCAGUGGUUGAGCAAUUGGCAUAAAACAGGUUUCCUGUAACCUCCAUUUGAUUUACACAAUUAGCCUUCUGCACAUUUUUGCUCACUGUACAGUCUCUAGCAAGAUGUCCAACUCUGUCACAGUUAUAGCAUUUUGGUUUUCCCUUAUACCUGCACUCACCAAAAUGAUGCUUUGAACACACCUUGCAUUGAGGCUUUGUGUUUUCCUGAUUUGAGAACUGUGUUGAAGUGUGGUUCUGUGCAGAAUAAUUAUUCUGCUGUGUCUUGUCUUUUGCCUCCCAUGACUUCCCUUUAGAGUUCCAGCUUCUCUGUGACUUAGAUGAACCAGACUGAGAAGCAUUUUUGUUCUGACCCUUUGAAUUCACAGUGAAUGAGGCAAAUGCCUUCUCAGCUGUAUCAACACUAUGCAUUUCAAGCCUUUGCUCCCGACUCUUCAAAAUGGCAGUUACUUCCUGCAAAUCCACAGUUUCUAGUGUCUUUGUGUUUUCAAUCACAAUGCAUAUAGGGUCAUACUUCUUACUUAGACUAAUUAACACCUUCUGAACCUACCUCUCAUUUGACAGAACUUCACCAAAUGUUUUCAUUUGGUUAAUCAAUUCAGUUAGUCUAGUAAGAUAUUCAGAUAAGGUUUCACUAUCACGCAUCCUACUGUAUUCAAACUCACGUCUAAGGUUUUGAAGCUUUACCGAUCUAACAUGCUCUCCACCAUGAUAUUCUGAGUACAGCAGAUUCCAAGCCAUCUUUGCAGAGUCAGCAUUGGCAAUUCUGGGAAAAAUCUGAUCAGAAACAGCAUUUUGAAUGAUACCCAAGGCCUUCGCAUCCUUCAUGAGAAUCGCAGCUGUUUUCUCAUCAACUUCUUCUUCUGAACCAUCCUCAGAUUCCUGCUUCGUCUUUGAAUCUGGGAUUAAAAACCCCUUCUCUACCAAACCCCAUAAACCAUAUGAUCUGAAUAUGGUUACCAUCUUAAUCCUCCAAAAUUCAUAGUUCUCACCUGAGAAAAUGGGGAUUCUAGCCUCUGAACUUCCAGAUCCAGCCAUUACGAAUUUCAGAUUCGCCUGGAAACAAGAUGUUUUCAGAUUUGACCCUUGAUCGAGCUCAAUCAGCUUCGUGAGCUUAGAAUGAGCUCACCUCGAUCGAUUUUCUUCACAGAACAACGCCCAGCUUCAGAUAAUCAAACUUGGCUCUGAGGCCAUGUUAGAGUUUUAGGAUCUGAGUGUUAGAUAUUGUGAGAAGAGAGAAGAGAAUUUAGUGAAAAUUUCCAAUACUGCUCUGCUAUACGUGUAGCAGAGAGAACAUUCUCUUUUGCUAUAUAUUUUCAGUACAACAACACACACUUGGUGUGAGAAGAAAAAUGACUGUUAUGCACAGUACCAGCUGGAUGCUUUCCAUCAAAGUAAUCUCAGCCAUUCACUAUCUAACCAAUCAAGCUAUGACACCUGGACUAAGUAUAAAGAAAUACAACUAAGCAGAAAACAAGACUCUUAAUCCUGAAAUCAACUUAAGCACUUAUAAUUCAACAUUGUUACCAUAAGAGCCAGCUCCGACUUUCUUUAAUUUCAGUCCUAACGGGGUUUCAUCUUCCACUCAUCUUUGCUCUUCUCAGUGUAAGCUCUGCAAUUUGAUUAACUUUCCCAUUAUCUCUCACUGUACUCUAUAUAAAGGAAUAAGUGUCGUCCACUAAUUAAUUACACUUUGUGAGAUUUGAUUUUAAUUAGAGUUCGAAUUGAUGUUGCAGCUAGCAGCGGUGGCACUGGCAAACCAUGCUGCUCAACCAGCACCUCAACUUUACUGGAACUCCGUCCUGCCAAACACACAAAUGCCAAGAGCUAUCAGUGAACUUCUGCAUCCUGGUUUGUGUUGAAUAAAUAUAGUAUGUUACUGGAGUACGUAUGGCAACAUAUUCACAAAUGUGUCACGUAUUUUCCAAUAUGACGUUGAUAUAUAAUUGCAGACUCCACAAACGAAGAAAAGAGCACAAAUGUCAUGAAUGCUGUUGGGAAUGGAAAGCCAAUUGACCACAAGGGCAACCUGAAAAUACUGUACUACCACAGCUUGCACGACGCCCAUUUUCUUACAAGAGUGAUGAUCGUCCCACUGACAAUCAACUCCAUUAUAAAAACGUAGCUAUUUUCUUCUUGGAGAAGGACAUGCGCCCUGGCACAACAAUGAGCUUCCAAUUCCCUAGAAAUUCAAACACGGCUACUUUCCUGCCACCAGAAAGAGCUCAAUCGAUCCCCUUCUCCUCUAACAAACUACCAGAAAUUUUCAACCAUUUUUCAGUGAAGCCAACAUCUGUGGAAGCCAAAACAAUUAAGCAAACAAUCGAAGAGUGUGAGGCUCCAGGCAUUAAGGGAGAGGAAAUAUAUUGCGCCACAUCUUUAGAAUCAAUGGUUGAUUUUAGCACUUCGAAUUUUCGAACAAGAAACGUUCAAGCAAUCUCGACAGAGGUAUUGGAAAAAGGUGCCACCAUGUCCAUGCACAAGCAUACAACAAUGCCGGGACUGAAGAAGUUGGCAGGUGACAAAGUCGUUGUGUGUCAUAAGCAGAACUAUCCCUAUGCUGUGUUUUACUGCCAUGUAAUAAAACCAACAGCAGCUUAUGUUCUCUCCCUGAAAGGCGAUGAUGGGGUGAAGAUUAAAGCAGUAGCCAUCUGCCAUCUAGACACAUCAGAAUGGAACCCAAAGCAUUUGGCCUUCCAAAUCCUCAAAGUUAAGCCCGGAACAAUUCCCAUCUGCCAUUUCCUUCCCACUGAUCAUAGUGUCUGGGUUCCGAACCACAAAUCUGCAUGAUCAUCACUUAGCACUGUACGUAUAAUAAGCUUGCACCCCUGUAUAAUUAUCUCCCUACUCUACUUAUUUCUGCCUCUUCAUGUGGUGUAAGAUAUAUGAUGAGAUGAAGUUUUUGGGAUUAGUGGUCGGGUUGCCUUAAAAACACAGAUUACAGAAACUGCUUGAACUUAACCCGAUCAUGUUUUCUCUUGUACUCGUAAAGCAUGCUGUUGUGGUUCUACUUAAUUUCGUUCUCCCCAAUGUUUGAGUGUUUAAUUGUUACGUUGGAUAAUGCUUGUAGUUAGAGAAGCCUUCAUUUAUAUCAAAGUCCUCAACUUGUAAAGAUAUCAAUGGUCCUAGUGCUGCCACGUGUAAGAAGAUUGAAGAAUAAAGCUGUUGAGAUAUUGUUAGACCUGUUAUGCAGUUUAGGAAAACUGUUAGUAUUGAUAAGAGAAGGUUAGAGAUGUUAGAGAGGUUAGAAAACACGUGAACAAGGCUUUAACUCAGCUGAUAUAAAGUCUGUAGUUGUGCUCAGUUGAACUUAAUGAGAAAUACAACAAGUCUCUUCUCUAUCUCUGAAAUUCUCUCUGCUCUCUCUGCUUUACUUCUUUUGUCUCUGCUCUACAUUUUUUUUCAAUCUUCCUAUCUUAACAAAACUAUCAAGAAUUAAUGCAUCCAGAAACAUAUAUACCAAGACGCAAAACAACAUAUUUUUCAUGCUCUGUCUGUAACACCAAAGCAAACUUCCUUUAUCACAAAAGGAUCAAAUUCCAGUACUAAUCUAAUCCAUCAUGUAAAGCAUACAAUCUACAAGUGCCUCCCUUAAUUUGUCCAUUGGAUAUAUAUGUCACUUUUUGGUAAUUUGGUAUAGCAGCACCACGUAGUCUUGAAAUAGUAGUGCGGCUAUACCAAAUAUACCAUUUGCCCCUGCAUUUAACAGAAAAGUAAACAAAAUUGACGGUAGAACUAUUUGUCCUAACGAAACUGCAGUUGAAAGACCAUGAGAACGAUUUUGAAAAUUGAGGGACUCAAAUGAAAAUUGGGUCUAAGUUCAAGAACCAAUAAAACGAUUAACCCAUAGAUUUUGGAUCCAGUACCACAUCCCAAAGAGAAAACCACAAGUUUGCAAGCAAGUUUGUCCAUAAUAACACUACGUACAGUAUGGGCAGUGCGCUAGACUCAUCUCACUUUCUCAACCUAUCCUAUAGUUGUCUAAAAGAGUUUCUAAUUUAAUGUACUGAGAUUUACGAAAGAAAUAUCAGAGAAACAAUUUUCAGGCAAUAAAAAAAUGUCUUGGCAAGAAAAUGUACAAUUUGUUACAUAACUUAUUAAAUAUGAACAGUUGAAAGAAAAAAGAAUCUGGAUGAGGGAUUUGCAAAUUCCUAUGGCCCAAUUACCUUUUUUUCUUUGUUGUUUUUUUUUUUUUUUUUUUGGUUCUUUUGAUCCAGUAGCAUAUUCCAAAGAAUGAAAACCACAGGCAUGCAAUGCAAGCUCUUUUCCCACGUUUUCCUCUGUUUUUCUCCUAUCAUGGAAGUGAUUAAAACACACCUCUAAGCUUGUUUUGCGUUUGGUAGCCGAGUGUAAAAGCUCAAUGCAAGAUAGUUUGAGGUAGAAUUUUCUCCUAUUUUAUUAGGACAAUGAUAAUUAAAAAAAAGUGUGAUUCAUUGAAUAUUUGCGGGGUUUUGUUCAGACCUGACAAAGUUCUAAGUCAACACAUCAAAUUCCUUUUUCCAACAUGCAACAAUUGUAUUUGAUUCCCAAUUUUUUCUGAUAUACAUCACAUCAUGCCACUUGCAUCAAAUGAAUUUAAUUGAGUGAGGCAAUGGGAAGUAAUUAAGCUCUGUAUUCGUGGGUGGAGUGUUACUUCUGGAACCCUAAUAAUUCGUCCCUACAGGACUCUAGAACUCUCAAACUUCUUACAAGGACUACUUAACUCUAUAGCUUAAUGCAUAUAGCAUAUAUAUGCAAACACAAUUAGAAAUUCUACAACAGAAGCAAGAUCAAUCUCACUAUGCCUUCUAAACAAACAAACAAAUAAAACAAGCAUAUUAAUUGCUUUAAUCACUCUACUAACAUCAACACAGCACACUUAGUUUACUAACAGAUGAUAUAGAAAGGAAAAAAAAGGACCAAUAGGGAGAAAAUGGUGAACUAAGGAGAGACUAAUACUUCUGGUCCUUAGAAGGCAUAACAGAAAUAAUAGAGCACACUGCUUGAAUGCAAGUCAGUAUUAGGAGCAAAACAGCUGCAAUGAAAGAAAUAGUUGCCCAAGGUGUAUUGAAAUAAUGUUGCCUCAAAUUUGCCUUCCAUUUGUUCCAAGGCUUUCUGCAGUAGCUAUUAAGGCGCUCAGAAAGAAUAGCAAAGUAGAAGCUUUCACGAUACACUGCAAUUCCUUUUCCGAGGUUGUUAAUCAGAGUGCACACCUCAUUGUAGUCACCAAGCAUAUUUUUGACAAUCCCAUCCUUCAGAAGGAACUCCACAUCCUUUUCGGUGUUCACAAACUCAUCCAUGAGUGAAACAUAAUCACUUAUGUAAUUCUUACGGCAAUGGCACUAUUCAAAGGCAAUGAGGUUACGGAGUGUGAGCUCUGUGUAAUCGUGUAUUUUUAGUUUUGGAAUUUCUAGAAUCCCAUCGUUGAAUUGUGUUAACGCAGCUUUCCUUUCCUAGCCUACACGGAAGUCAACUUCACAAUCUCCUCCUAGCAAUUAGUCUUUCCUGCUGUAAAUCAGAUUUCCUACUGUAAAUCGGAUUGUAUUCAUGUCUAUAUUAUUUCCUACUUUAAGUAGAUAUCUUGUACUAGUAUAAAUAGGGACUUUGUGUAAUCUGUUAAAUACAAGGAAAUAUAUACUCUGCAUGGUAUCAGCCUAACCUAGGGUUCUCUCUCUCUCCCUUAUUCGAUCCUCUUCUCCUUUAGGUCCACCUCAUGGCUUUGUCUGAAUCCACCAUCUCCCUCCCAAGCCCCAACUCUUCUAUUUUAUCAAGCUUAUUGACUCCAACUAUCUUCUUUGGCUCCGCCAACUCAAACCCUUUUUAGUCGGCCAUGACCUCUGGAAAUUUAUCGAUGGCAUUCAUAAACAACCUUCUGCCCACACCUCCACCUCUACCACCGCAACACCCACAACCACCACCACUCUUACCCAAAUCAAUCAUGCCCAUGCUCAGUGGUACCAACAAGACCAACUCAUUGUUAGCUACAUCACCAAUACACUCUCUGAGUCCAUUCUCUUUCUCACUGUUGGUUGCACCUCUGCCCGGGAUCUCUGGGAGUGUCUCCAACGCCACUUCUCUCAAUCCAGUAUGGCCAGUGAAUCUACUCUUCGUUUUAAACUCAUGGAUUUGCAAAAAGGCUCUGAACCCACUUAUGCUUACAUUCGUCAUGCUAAGUCCUUUGCCGAUUCACUGGCUGCCAUCAAUGAACCUGUCUCCCCAAAAGAACUUGUCACUACUGUGCUUUGGGGUUUAAGACCCUAUUGCAACAUCCUCGUCACAGCAAUUCUCAAUUUCCCUCUGCUUCCUAACUUUGCUAAUCUUCGUGCUCGUUUGUUAGCAUUUGACGCACAGACUCCUUGAAUCUCUCCUGAUCAAAACACAGCGCAAAUGGCCACCCAAUCCUCUCCUCACACCACCGGUCAUACUUCCUUCCCUUCUCACCGUGGUGGUGGCUCUUCCAACAACAGGCGUGGUGGCCUCGGUGGCUGGCGCAAUAGCGGCCGGGGUGGCUGGCGCAGCUUCUCAUCUUCCUGGAGCAACCCGUGGAAUGGCUUCCAGCAGCUCCAAUGACCUAAUCAACCAUGGCCUCCUUUUGCUCCAAGUUCUGGAUCUCAAAGCAACUGGCCUUCCUUUCAGCCUCCUUGGGCCUAAUCUGCCGCUUCUAUCAAACACUUUGCCCGGCCCAACUCAGCUCCUGGUGUCUUGGGACCCGCUUGGUGCACUACCUGCAAUACCAAUCACAUACUACUACAAUAUGUCCUCAUCGCUACAAUGGCCCAGAAUCCUUUCUUUGCUAGGGCUCAAUUCAUGUAGCCACCUGACUCUACUUGGUACCCUGACACAAGUACCACUCAUCAUAUGAUUGGUAGUCCUUCUAAUCUCCAAAAUCAAUCCUUCUAAUCUCCAAAAUCAACAGCCAUAUCAGGUUCAUAAUUCUGUAUUUCUUGGUAAUGGAGAUUCUCUCCCUAUCUCUCAUACUAGCUCUCUCUUUUGUCUUCCAUCUCUUCGUACUAAUCUUCUUUUUGUUGCCCAUUUUACUUGUGAUAAUUUAGUUUUCUUUGUCUUUACUCUUGACUUUUAUCAAAUCUAUGACUUAUGUACUGGUUCGUUACUCUUUCAGGGCCCUUCUAAAGAUGGUCUUUACCCACUUUCCAUCUCCUCUCACUCAUCCAUAGUCCCCCAUGCCCUUACCACCGUGCACUCUCCUGCUUGGCAUCAUUGCCUUGGCCAUCCAUUCCAUCGUGUGCUCUCUCAUUUAGCGCCAUCUCUAGGCUUUAAAGUUUCUCAUGCUUUCUGUAAGGAUUGUGCACUUAGCAAAUCCACCAAACUGUCAUUUCUUAGUAAUAAAACCUUUGCCCCAUCUCCCUUUUAUUUAAUUCACUCUGAUGUAUGGAUGUCCUCGGUCAUUUCUGUCACUGGUUAUCGCUAUUAUGUCUUGUUUACAGAUGACUUUUCUCGUUACUCCUGGAUCUAUCAUAUGCACCGUAAAAAUGAGGUCUUUUCUCACUUUCAAACCUUUCUUGCUAUGGUUAAAAAUCAAUUUCACACCACUGUACAAAUUCUUUAAAGUGACAAUGGCACUGAAUAUGUUAAUAAUGCUUUCUCUGAUCUUUGCAGUCAACUAGGCAUCCACCAACGUUUCACAUGUCCCCACACUCCCCAACAAAAUGGCCUAGCUGAACAUAAACACAGACACAUUGCCACCAUGAUCUGUCCCCGGUCAUUUAUUCAACCAUCUUGACCUUUUGCUUGAUCAUUUUCCACAAGCAACCGUCCACGUACCCCAAUAAUUUAAAAGGGCUGAUGAUCUUUAAUUUGGUGAAAGCUUCUAUCUACCUACCGUGCUAUAUAUGAGCUAUGCAAUCGUGACCGUGUUACAUGACGUCCCAAUGUCGUAGGGAUAAAAAAAUAAUAGUCAUGGUUUUCUUAUUAAUGUCAAUACAUUCAUAGCAAAGAGCUUGUAGCUCUAGUGGUUAAGAGCAAUUACCCAUGCACUUGAGAUAUUUUGUGUUUAAAUCCCCUCUUCCCCAAUAUUUCUUGUAUAAAAAUAAAAAUAACAAUAAUAAUGACAUUAAUGUUGUAUUCUAUAAAGUGUUGGACAUGUUUUAUACCCCUUUCUUGCAAAUUACAGUUUGCCACGUGUACAAAAAUAAUAGAUAAGUGUUGGACAUCAAGAGCACUUACAUAUAGGUUUAAUAGGUAAGUUUUGAAUAUUUCUGUAUUUAGCUUUAAAUAUUGAAAAUCAACCUAUUAGCAUAUUAAAGAUUUGUCCAUAUUCGACGUACAUUCUCUUAUUUUUCUCUCAUUGAAGUAAAUACAAAACUAAGCACAUAGUGGGAAAGUGCGUCACGAUUAGGGGUGGGUUUAGUCUAGGUUGGUUCAUUUUUGGGCUCAAUUUGAACACCGAACUGUAAGCUUCGGUUUGGCUAUUUUGGAAACCGAAACCAAACCAUAAUUGAUGAAAACCGACCACUUCGAUUACCUUCUGGUCUUCCAACCAGAAGAAAACUCAAAACUUUAACCAUACCAAGUGCAACAGAAUUACACCAGGCUGGAUUCAAGUUUAUGAUGGUUAAAGAUAAAAACUUAUUUGACAUACAAUUUGAGAAUGGAAUCCUCAAAAUUCCACACCUGCGAAUACGGGGUUUAACAGAAAUUUUCUUCCGCAAUCUUAUUGCCUAUGAGCAGUGUGAGCUUCAUGAUCAUUACAUCAACGACUAUGUCUUCAUCAUGGACCGCCUGGUCGACAGUGCCAGGGAUGUGGAAUUGCUUGUGAAGAGUGGAAUUCUUGAAUCUAUGCUACCGGACAGCGAGGCAGCAGGGGAAUUUAUUAAUUCUCUUGACUUGGGGCCUAUUUUAGGCAAGCUUGAAACAAGACUAUUUCAGUUCACCAUGGGCUGGCCUGUCUAUUAUUGUAGCCGCUAUACUAGUUGUGCUCACAUUUAUUCAAACAGUGUGCUCCGUAAUGGCGCUGUAGGUUCUUCAUUUCCUCAAUUUCAUGUUUAGUGGUUGCAGAUUUGUUGCUCAUGUACGUGUUUAUCUAAAGUUAAAUAAGAGUGAUUGACUGGAUUGACUGUUAGUCUGUUAGUUUGUUUUUCUGGGGUUUUUCCCCCCUGUUCGUCAAAAAAAAAAAUAAAAGAGUGAUGGCUUGUGCCUAUGAAAAUUACUUAGGAGUAUGCUCCACAGAGCCAAAAUAAAUAAACUAGGGAAGUGGAGGUUCUUCUGUUUGUAUAUAAAUGAGCAAUUCAAACUCUCAGUGCCAAGGGAGUUACCCUUGAUACAUUUGUUAAAAAUUAUAUAUUUGGUCUUACAUCAAACAAAUAAUUUGAAGGGCUUUUUUGACAACUGCUGACAGCGUUUGGCAGAAAAGUUUAGAAGCGCUUCUACGCUUCUAGAUCAUAAAAGUGCUUUACCAAAAAGCACUUAGAUUUCUUAUGAAAAUUUCAACAUUUUUAUAAUAAAAGCGCUUGCUAGAAGCACUUAUAAGCAGAAGUGCUUCAUAGAGAAGCAGUCCCAAACGAGCUUGAUUUUCAAAUGUGCUGCUUAAGAAGAAAUUUAAUACGUUUUGAAAACAAAAAAAAAUACGAAAUUUAAUACGUUUGUUUUACAAAUUGUAUUAAUUGUUAUCAAUAAUACUUGUGCACACCCACAACAUACUUCUUUCUUUCUUUAUUUUCCUUCAGUACAGUUCUGCCUUUCUUUAAUUAUUUUUAACGAAUGCAAAGAGUUUGUCACAAAAUCAAGGAUUGAAAAAAAAAGAGAGUAAAUUAUGUGCUAGAGAAACUUUCCUGCAGAAAUUGAAGAACAACUCUAGUUUCUCUCUUUCGCCUUGUACUCCCGCACUGAGGUUAGUAUUGUUAUAAUGUGCAGAUUAUACGGUCACUCUUGUAUAAUGGCGAGAAGGCUCUAAUUAUAUUUUUGAACCUCUUUGACAGGACCCGCCCCGAAUUUCCCGAAACCCAAGACGAAUUCUGUGGAAAUUCCCUACAUCACCCCGAUGUUGGGCCCACUUCUAAAACUAUAUCAUUUUUCCUAAAAAGGAAUAAGGGCACGAGACUUUCUACCGAAAUUUCGGCAGAGUCUCUCCUGUAAAUUGAACAUUUCCCAAAAUUUCAACCUGCAUAAAACACAUUUUAUAUUACCCAACUGGCAGCAUGCACAAAAUAAUAACAUGCAAUUCACAUAAACGGCCUCUGGCCCUCCGGUAAUUCAGAGCAAUGCAAACUAGCAACUCUAAACCUAAUAAAACAACAUAAGUAACAUUUAGCCAGCGGCUGCACCCAGGCACUACCCUAGGCUACCUACGUACCCUUACUAAGGGAUCAAGCCACACGUAGUUCUUUCAUACAAAAUUUCCAAAUCCAUCAACAUGCAAUCAAUUACAGAAUCCCAAACAAAAUCUUUCUCAAACAUCAUUAGUUCCCAACUCAGUAUAAUAAUCCUUAAUUCAUCUCUGUAAUAAUCACAAUAUCUCCCCAUACGCCGGAACUACCAACACCACGUAUGGAGCCUGCCUGUACGCCAGAUAACCAACGACACGUGGGACCUCAUCAUCAUAUCACAUAAUCUCCCCAUACGCCGAAACUACCAACACCACGUAUGGGGUCUGUCAACACGCCGGAUAACCUACGACGUGUGACCUCAACAUCAAAUCACAAUAUCUCCCCAUACACCGGAACUACCUACGCCACGUAUGGGGUCUGUCCACAUGCCGGAUAACCUACGACACGUGGGACCUCAUCAUCAUAUCACAUAAUAUAUUAACGAUCAAGAAAUAUCACUACGGUCAUUUAAUCCUCCUGGGAAGGUAAAACUAUCUCAGGAGACUCACGGUCAACCAAGGGUCAAACUACCUCAUACUUGGACAAACGAGCCCACGGAGCCCACAACCUCCGUUUUACUAUCCAAGAGUUCCUAUAGGUUCUACAAGGUUUAGGAUACACGGCUUGCAAGUUUGGUCAAGAUCAGACGGUCGGAUCGCUCACGAUAGGACGGUUACUGCAAACCUAGCCCUAGGGUUGGCAUUUUCGGAGUAUCCGAAACUCCGUUUUACGAUCUGUCGAAUCAUAGACGAUCCUAAGGAUUUGCAGACUAACUAUAAUAAAUUCAAGACCAUCCAACGGUCUAAACCUAUCGAACCCGGAUAACGCGCAAUAGGCAAUAUCCAAAUUGAAAUCCGAGCACACCUACGCACUCGUGAGGACUAGGAGAUUACAUCGGGACAUAGUGCCCUUUUUCUACAGUGCCCAUGAGCCGCCGCACGCACCAGCAACGCGUGGGUGCCCAAAGCGAUUAUGCAUCGCCAAAAAAUCUCAAAACCACGGCUCAAGACUCCUACCCUAGGUAUAACACCCUAUUUGGAACCACUUUUGUUCUUGGACCUACCCCAAAAACUGAUCAGAAGUGGCCGGAAUGGCUGAAAUGUAAUUCAAAAAUCAAGCUACCAACGCUCAAAAUCGAUGCAAUCCUACCCAACCAUCAACUAGAUUAUGAAGAAUGGAUAAAUUUCCAUACCUUGAUCGCCAACAAUGGCGGCCGGAGGAGAGAGAUCUGAUCCGGCGAAGUUCGAGUGAAAACGGCCAAAAAUCAUCUUUUUCAGGCGGCUGGAGGGCGACCGAUGUCAGGGAAGGGCAGGGUCGUGACGCUAAGGCUGAGCCUGUCCUUUUGGCACCGGUCCCUUCCGCAGCCGUGUCCGGUGGCUGGAGUUUCGAAGAGAGAGAGAGAGAGAGAGAGAGAGAGAGAGAGAGAAAUCUGAUUUUUAUCAAACCUUUUUGCCAAAAUUACGGUUAUGCCACUGAGGGUAUUUUGAUAGUAUCUCUCUCGUUACAACUUCGAUUCGAGCCCACCACGUGUGUACGGACUCAUCUAACUGUGUUGUACGCAACGGUAUAGUCGAAAUUCCCAAAUUAUUUCCUUGUCAAAAAGUCAACUUUAAACAUUAUAAAAUAUUUUAGGGAAAAAAUGGUAUUUUCUCUCAAUAAAUUAGUAACUAAUUUAUUUAGGACUGGGUCAUUAUACUCUUUUUCGCUUCAAUGGAUGGGAAAAAAUUUUAUGUAAUAUCCCACAUCGACCAACGAAGAGGGGGCGAUGUGUCUUAUAUGUACAUGCCCGCCUCCAUCUAGCAUAAGGCCUUUUGGAAGCUCACUGGCUUCAGAGUCAUGGGAACUCCGAAGUUAAGCGAGUUGGGGGCUAGAGCAAUCCCAGGAUGAGUAACCCACUGGGAAGUUGCUCGUGAGCUUCGAGAAACAAAACCGUGAGGGCAGAGAGAGGGGCCCAAAGCGGACAAUAAGGCCUCGUGCUAGAUGGAGGCGGGCAUGUACAUAUAAGGCACAUCACUCUCUCUCCGUUGGUCGAUGUGGAAUGUUAGAAUGGAAUUGUUACCUUUGGUGUGGAGGUGUUCUAUCAUUUGAGCAAGAAAUUCCCACAUAUUCUUCAACUAUUUUUCAAGCAUGCAUAUUCCUCCCUAUCAAUCUUUGGUUUCUUCCUUUACUGUGCAUAGUAAGGAUCCAGUCAGGGACGGACCGUCGCUAUGACUAUCCUGGGCUAUAGCCCAGGCAAAUUAUUUUUUUUUCUAGUCUAAAAUAGCAAUCCCACCGCUUGCUGUAGUACUUGUUCAGUUCGUCACAAACAUGAGCAUAAUAGAAGUUAUCAACAUCUAUAUAGGAACCCCAAUGAAAAGGCUGUUAACUAAUAAUGAAGUUAACCCGUCAAUUUUUCCGCAUAUCAGAUAUCUCUCAGAAUAUGCGAUUCCAUAUUCAAUAAGCCACUCCACAUGCCCUGAGGUUUUCAUCAAACCACCCAUUAAGGAAACAUACUGACUCAUGUAAUUAUCAUUACUCAUCGGGUAAUGCAAUUGUUCAAAGGCAAGGACAUUUCUCAUUAUUUAUGUAGCGAACCCCAAUGGAAAUGGUGGGAUCUUCAGAACCCCAUCGGUGCUACUGAAUUGUAUGUCAAAUAUGUUUUCACCUUGUCACGCCUCAAACUUGACUCCAGCGUGCUGUAAUUCUGUCAAGCUGGGUAUGGAUGAUGGGAGUUUGAUGCAGGAGCAUAGGGGUGGAUCAAGAUAGAUAUUUACUAUUUAAUUAGUUAUUUCAUGAUAUAUUGUUAUUUUCUUAUUUAGGUAGUUUUAUGAUAUCUUUUAUUAUUUAUGUGUGAUUUUAUAAUUAAUUAGUAUACUUUUGGACCAAGUAGCCUUGGUGCUCAAGUCUUGUAAAGCCUAUAAAUAAGGCUAAUGUAAUAGUUGUAGAAUAGAUGUCGAUGAUUAAUAAAAUCGUUUAUUUGUGGCAUGGAUUUGCUACGAUAUAUGUGAGUUUGCACUAGCCCUAGAUUUCAGUGCUCGUGUAUGUGGUUGGUGACCUGUGUCCGGAUCCCGAUCCCCAUCAAUUGGUAUCAGAGCUAUGGCUCAAGAUCUGCUAUAUCGGGGAGGUUUUUGGAUGGAGGGUCGUUUUAACAACUACAACGACAUGGAGGAAAUUAGGAGGAUGCUACGGCAACUUAUGGAACACAUUGCUCGCAUUGAAGCUCGAACCCAGAUAGGUAAGAGUUCUGACGGGGAGGGAUGUGUGAACCCUUAUCUGAACCGAGUAGCUCGCAUCGACACUCUAAGCCGUGAGAGUCUCGACGGGGAGUACGAGGGAGAUAGCCCUUUUCAUUAUUGUGCUCCGCUGUGUGAGUCAAGUGAAGAGGGGCACGGUUAUUCUCAUUGUGUCUUUGAAGGUAUAAAUGAAUUUAGUAAUUUUGGUGCAUCUUGUUAUUCAUCAAAGUUAUUAAAUUUGGAUUUACCUCCAUUAUUUGAUCCUUGCAAUUGUGAAAAUUGCAAUAAAAAUUGUUUGGGUGUUCAAAGCAAUUUUGAUAAGCAAUUUAUUGACCAGAACAGUGAAGAGAUGAGAAUUGAGAAAACUUUCGAAGAUAUUAUUGAUUUUAUGGGCAUUAAUAUUUUCACUUGGAAGGUUGCCAAAAAUCUGGUUGAUUUUGUCAAUCGGUUGAAGAUUCUAGAGAGAAACAUUUGCAUUGCUAGAGGGAGUAAGAAGUCAAGAAUAACGAAAUAUUCCAAAUAUCUUUUUAUUUGGAAAGGAAGGUUUCAAUUGGAUGCUAAAAGAUCCAAAAUUAAUAUGCAGCAAUUGAAGAUUCUACUCGGAUUUUCCUUAAUCAAAGGCUUGAAUUCGAGGACGAAUUCUUUCCAACUAUGGGAGUCUGAUGCAGGAGCAUAGGGGUGGAUCAAGAUAGAUAUUUACUAUUUAAUUUGUUAUUUCAUGAUAUAUUGUUAUUUUCUUAUUUAGGUAGUUUUAUGAUAUCUUUUAUUAUUUAUGUGUGAUUUUAUAAUUAAUUAGUUUACUUUUGGACCAAGUAGCCUUGGUGCUCAAGUCUUGUAAAGCCUAUAAAUAAGGCUAAUGUAAUAGUUGUAGAAUAGAUGUCGAUGAUUAAUAAAAUCGUUUAUUUGUGGCAUGGAUUUGCUACAAUAUAUGUGAGUUUGCACUAACCCUUGAUUUCGGUGCUCGUGUAUGUGGUUGGUGACCUGUGUCCGGAUCCCGAUCCCCAUCAGAGUUCCCCUCCAGCUUUUGAUUCCAACGGUUGAUAGAGUUUAAAUAUUUUCCUGAAAAGAUCAAUAAUAUGUGCCACUGAUCUAAAAGUCUCCAAAUUGUCUUCCAAUUUGUCAACAGGCAAUAGAUGUUCGAAGAAACUGAAAGAAAUACAAAUUAUUGAAAGCCCCUCAGUAAUGCUGUUAUUGUCAGCAUUAGCAGGGAGUGUAAUUUUCUGUGGGUCGAAAAGAUCCUCGAGAAUGAAGAAUGGCAACUGAUUUUCAAGCAACCACGUAUCUGUCCAUGCAUCUUGCAACAUACCUGGUUUGUCAAAUAUGCGGUCAUUUUCGUCCCAAAAUUUGAAGUAGUCCUUCAAUAAGGGCUCAAUAACGAAGGCGGCGCCCACUAGAAUGAUUGUUACAAAUUCAUCACUGCUAAACUUGAUGGGUUCUCCAUAACAACGUCUCAAUCUUGCUUCGUGGUCCUUUAUUUUCUUAAUAUAAUCCUCCAAACUCACAUUGGUCCGACCUAUAAAAUCUUGCAGGUAUCUCUGUUUGUUCUCUUCCAAUACGACAUUCAAGCCUUCCUUUCCAUGGUGAAGUGGACCUAUAGAGACCGACUGCCUGAGGUGUGCAGAGCUUUUCAUUCACACAUACGUAGAUAAAAUGUCUGGGGGCUCAGAGAGUGAUGAAUGUGCAACAGCUAAUGGGAGGGUUUAUAUUCCUGAAGUAAGAAAUGAGGAAACACCAGCAGUUGGGAUGAAGUUUGACUCGCUUGACCUCGUUUACAAUUUCUAUAAUAGAUAUGCAUUCUUGGCUGGCUUUGGUAUUCGACUUCAUUCUAGCUUUUGGGGGAAAAAUAAGAAAGAGAUUUUGAGGAAAGAAUUUGUAUGUUGCAAACAAGGUGCAUACAAGAAGGAUGAAACUCGGGAGAGAAAAAGACAACGGGGAAUAAGUAGAUGCAAUUGCAAAGCAAAGAUUGUGGUUGUGAAGACAAAUGGGAGCAAGAAGUAUACCAUUUCUCUUUUUGCAGAGGGACACAAUCAUAAGAUGACACCCUCAGAAAGAAUGCAUUUAUUGAGAUCACACCGUCAUAUUUCAGAUUCUACAAAAGUACUCACAAAACAGUUGGGUUCAGUUAAUAUUCCCAUUCAUCAGAAGGUAAGUAUAUUCGAGGUGCAAUCCGGAGGAAUGGAUAAAAUCGGUUUUAUCAAAAAAGAUAUCUACAAUCUUGAAUGUAGUGUGAAUGGGAAGCUGAGGAACCACGAUGUUGAACUAGUGACCGAGUAUUUUAUGGCUGAACAGAAAAAAAAUGAGGCUUUUUAUUUCAAGAUUGAGGGAGAUGGGCAUGACAGGUUUAGUCGAUGUUUUUGGGCAGAUGCAACUUCUAGACGGGCGUAUGGGUUUUAUGGAGAUGUUGUUGUAUUCGAUACCACAUUCAACACGAAUCGAUACGACUUGACAUUUGCACCAAUGUUGGGAGUUAAUAACCAUGGUCAGACAAUUGUCUUAGCAUGCGCAUUUUUGAGCAAGGAAACGACUGAGUCGUUUGUUUGGAUGUUUGAGGAGUUUAAGAAAGCCAUGCCAGGUGGGGAACCUAAAACGAUCAUUACAGAUCAAGAUGCGGCAAUGGCCAUAGCGAUUUCAAUAGCCUUCCCGAGUACAUUUCAUCGACUUUGCAUAUGGCACAUCACAUCAAAGUUCUCUGUUAAGUUACCACGUGACGCUUAUAAGGAGUAUUGGCCUGAAUUUCAGAAAGCCAUAUGGGAUACUGACAAUAAGGAUGAGUUUGAUGCAAAAUGGAAUAUUGUGGUUAUAAAGGCUGGUUUGACUGACCAUCCAUGGCUAAGUUCAAUGUUUGAUUUAAGGGAAUCUUGGGUUCCAGCCUACGCACGACAAUUUUUUGCCGCUGGAAUGUCAAGCAGCCAAAGAGCGGAAGGUUCUCAUGGUUUUUUCAAGCAAUACAUAUCAAGGAGAAAUUCGUUGAUGGAUUUCAUAAUACGAUUUGAGAGGGCAUUUUCUCAUCAACGUGAAAAAGAGUUAGUUGCUGAUCACGUAGAUGCAUUUGAAGUGGCUCAAUGUCUUCUACCGAUGCCAAUGAACAAACAAAUGGCUACCUUGUACACAAGGACAAUGUUUCAAAAGUUUGAGCAAGAACUAAUACAAAGUACAGCAUGUUUCCUAGAGCUCAAAACAGAGGAUGCAUGUAAAGUUGUGUUCAACGUGAGCGAAAGGAAAAAUUGGGAAACAAGAGUGGCAGAAGUCGUAUAUGUCAAAGAUUCUGACCACGCAUCGUGUAGCUGCAAAAGAUUUGAAUUUGUUGGAAUUAUUUGCAAGCACAUCCUAGCAUUGUUCAGAAGGGACCAGAUUGAAUAUAUGCCCGAUAAAUAUAUUUUGAAGAGGUGGAAGAAAACUGCGAAAUGUGGAUUGGUGUCAGAUGCAAAUGGCAACGAAAUUAAAGACUGUGCAGAUCCUGGCCUUCUAAUAAAGCGGAGUACAAUGUCUCGACUUGCUUCAAAUGUGGUUGAGGAUGCAUUAAUGAGUGAAGAAGGAUGUGAGCUACUGUCAGAGACUCUAAAAAGUUUGCAGGUGAAGUUGAAGUUGCUGAAGGAUGGACCAAGUAAUAACGAAGUUGGAGGGUCCAGCUCUCAAACACAAUAUAUGAAAGACCCUAAGAGAGUGAGGUGCAAAGGAAGGUCGAAAGGAAUAACGGGAGCAAAGGAAAAGGCAAUGAAGCGAGGGAUUAGACACUGUCGGGAGUGUGGACACAUUGGUCAUGAUAGAAGACAAUGCCCAGCCUUGAACACACCGUAAGAUGCUACCACUAUUUGUAAUAAUAUCUAAAAUAUGAAAAGGUAAAAUUUUUAUGUGCUUGUGUUUGAUGUUUAUGCAGGACAUCACCGUCGAACAAUGACAAAUCAACUCCAAUACAUCGUAGUGACCCAUUAUUCGACGAUUUUGACAAGAUGCACAGACCAACUGAAUGAUUGAUAUUUGUAUUAGACGAAAUGUGGUUGUUAUGAAGAUUAAUGAUCAAGUGAAGUUUUAUAGAUUCAGUUUUUGAAUGUUAUUGUGUUUUUGUUCAUGUCCACCGAUGAGCUCUUACUAUGUCCACUGGUAAUUGAAAUGAAAAUUUUCUUGGUUUCAUUCUUCCAAGACAUUUGGAGACAUGUUAAUUUUACGUCUUCUCCCUAUUUAUAAAUUUUCAUAGACAUUUGAUCAAGUUUGAAAUUUGUAGUUAUGUGAAGAAGCAAUGACUCUUACCAUGUAAAAUGGGCAGUUUAGGGUGAAAUUUGUUUUAACAGAGAUUCAUUUUUCAAUUCCUCAGGGUAAUGCAGCAAUUACAGCAGCCAGCUGUUGUUUCCAUUACCAGUAAUCAUUUCCAGCAGCAGCCACUUUUUCCGACUGGUUAUUAGGGGCACGAUUUUGUACACUUUUGUAAGUGAAGGAUACUCGAAGCACUUUGUUGGAACAGAGCAAAUAGAAACCAGCGGGUAAAAAAAAAACAUAACAUUGCAGCUAAUUACAUUUCGAUACAUAGGUGAAAAAUAUUAAAGGGUACACUAACUUACAUAAAUACUCAUAAUUCCACACACAAAAGAACAUUUGAUUGCAAAACAUAUUAUGUGCUUCCUCAUAGCAAUACCACGAUCUCCCCAACCAACUGAACAACGGUAGCCACAAUCACUGGGUCGUACUCGUCAGCUUCUUCUUAGCAGGUCUCACAUGCUUAUGGCCACUCAUAUCCCUAGUGAUAUACACGAAAUAAAUCUUCAGCAAUAUUUGGAAUUUUAUUAUAUAUAAAUAAACCAUAAACCAUUCAGUAAACAAUGUAUAGCACAUGUUAUGUAACUUAUGACUCACGUGUCAGUUUUUUUUUUAACACAUUAGUACUCCAGCUCUUUAAUGUAAAUGGACAUGAUAAGGAGCAUUUACUGAUUCCCGGCUUUCUAUGAUAUUGACUGCUUCUUGAAUAAUAUUUCCAUAUUUGCAAAAUAUAAUGUUAGACAUUAUAACACAUGAUGACUUGCAAUACAUAGUCCCAAUAAUUAUAUAUCAAGCAAAUGAAACUGAUAUUUGUGUUAUUUUAAGUUAGAUAAUGACAUUAAGGGAGUAUAUGUGCAAUACCACGGUCACCCUCAACCAACUGAACAGCGGUAGCCGCAAUCACUUAGUCGUAUCGGUCGGCUUCUUCCGAGCAGCUUUGACGUGCUUAUGCUCAUUCAUGUCACCCCCAUCGUCUAGUAUCUCUCUCACAGCAUCAGGGGACACAUAGUUCCAAUCAUAACUUGUAUGAGUAGUUGCCGCAAAUGCUCGGAAUUUGUCGAAUCCUUCGUUGAAUGCCAACUCCAGUUCAGUAUGGUGCUCUUCGCAUCGCAUAUGGUUCAUCAAACAACCUUUGAUUUCAUCAUUCAUUACUGUAUCCAACUCCUCAGCUUUCAGCUUCCUGCUAUGACUCAGCUUCAAGUACUUGUUCUUUUGGGAUAACGCUUUGUUCACCCUAAUGUUAAGAUCAGCCAAAAUUGCCUCGUCUUCAACACAUUUCUCGUGCCAUGAAUUGAUCAGUCUGGAAUUAUAAUCCAGCUUGCCACUGACUGCAUGUAUUGCCUGUAAUGGAUCAUCGGAGUCCCCCUCACUCCCAAAUGAUGUUGAAAAAGGAAGGGGUCGGCGAGUACAAUGUGGAAAUAGAACCUGCCACUCCAAUUUGUCAUCUUCGAUUGUGUUGUUGGCGCCUGAAGAGGUUGACAUGCUUGAAUAAUCCUCUUUGUUUUGGGAGGAUGAGGAUUGCAUAUGCAAUUUCGUUUGAGAAAGGGAACAUAGGUUUAUAGACCAACAUACCAAAGCUUGUGUGUAGUCAACAUAUGUACUUUUUGGCGGGAAUUUUUUAAAAAUAGGUGUUAGGUUUUGCUUUUCAAGCAUGUCAACCUCACACUCUCCUGACACCACUGCUAGUGGUUGAAACAAAGUCAAUGGAAGUGACAUCUACUUAGUUAACUCAACCAAACUAGUUAGGAUUAAACUUAGAUUGUAUCAGACCAAAAAAUAAUUUCUACUUUGUCAACCAAAUAUUUUUUGGCGGGAACCCUUUUCUUGGUAUUACUAUCACCCCUUUCAUAUAAAAUCUCCUUCCACACAAAACUCACUCCUCCACCGAAUCUGUCUCCAUCUACCGAUACUCUCUCAAGCAAACAAACUCAUUCCCCCCAAAGAAUGAGCAUAAGCACAACCAAGUUUGAUGUGAGCAUAAUAAACACCCCUCCAAACAAAGACCGGCUUCGACACGCAAGUGAGUCACCGGACAAGCAAUGUCACAUUGCUAGACAGAAUGACCAUUUUGUUGGAAGUUUUGAGUCUGAAAGAGUUGUUGCUUUUUGGAAGGAGAGGCAUCUUCAACUUGGUGAUGAAAUCCAAAGGGCAAGGGCACGUUUGGAAUUUGUGGAAGGCCAAAUUGAAGAUGACAAAAGGCAGGCCAAUCUGGAUAGGGCGAAGUUGUAGCGCAUGAAGCGUAGACACAAACGACUUCGGAGUGUAGCUGUUCAAAAAUACAAGAACUCAUCUAAUGUAGUGGAGUCAAAGAAGCGUGUGAUGCAAGCUGGAUUCGACUACUUCCGAUCCUAUGCAAAACUCGUCGUACCCGGGUUUGAUUGGUCAUCUAUUACCGUUUCCGACGUCACCAAAUAUACUCAGCAAGGGAAGUAACCAUUUUGGUUCUCGUGUUUUAGCAGAGGCAAAUAAGUGGAAUUGGAAUUUUGGUUACACUCUGCUUCAAAGCUAUUUUGAUGCUAACUACUAUGGAAGAUUUAAACCUUAAUAUUUUGAUGUCUUUAAUUACGAAAACAGAAGAUGCAAAGAGCUCAUCUACUUCAGCCAUAUGUUGCUGCCAUGUCCAUUUGUUUUUGAUCACUUAUCAGAUUUGGACAUGGUUGCAUCAUAUGCAAUGUUGCCUUUAUUUAUUAUAUGUUAGGACAAGGUUUAUGGAAAAGCUUUUGUGAGUGCGUUUGUGACAAGGUUAUGGAAUUAUUAUGUACACUUUAUAUAUUGUUUUUUGUACUGGUUCAUUUCCUACUAUUUCUUGCUUUCUUUAUAUUUUAUGUUUGUGGAAUCCCUCUCAAAGUUAACAUAUACUGUGAAAAAAAUAUUAUGCAACUGAUUAUAUAAUCACUCAUAUAGACUAGGACAAAUAUUCACUAAGGGUUUUAAACUUGCUUCACUUGUGUGAUGUUAUUGACAAAAAGUAUGGCAUUAUUUAUGUGAUUUGACAUGAUUGAAAAUAUAUUACUGAUUCCCAAUGCGGCGUCAUAUGGACAACGUAUUGAAUACCUGUGACGUGUUAAUAACUCAAGGUGCAGUUGCAUGUGGACAACUUCUUGAAUACCUCUGACGUGUUGAAAACUCUAGGUGCAGUUGCAUGUGGACAACUUAUUGAAUACGAACUGACGUCUUCAAAGCUCUAGGCGUAGUUGCAAUGAUGGCUUCAAAGCAUGUGCAAUUAUUUUUUAUGUACAUUAUUAUAACAAAACAUAUUAUUGUAUAUAGUGAAACUAAAUAUUGUAUUAUUAGAAAUUAUAUUUCGAAUAUUAUCCGAAAUAUACGUGUUAACGUGAAUUUGGGUUAAGAGGAAAGUGAGUUAUGUACAAAUAAUUUUCAUUUUCUCAUUUUCCGGGCAUUUUUUGGAUUUUCGUAGAAUUUAUUACCUAUGUCCACAGAUUGUUGCACUAAAAAAGCCAAAAUAAUAGCAAGAGGACACCUGGAGCGAUCUCAGCCCGUCACUGAUGACUACUUGCACAAGUGUACGUCAGUCAACAUGGCCACACCCUCCCAUUUUACCCUAAAUUAUUAUUUUAUUACUUUUCCUUACAAAAAUCAGAACUAAUUACACACAAAAUAAAAAAAUUAUCCGAAAAUUGCUACGAACUCAUUGACACUCCAUCUCCGUUGCUGAAUUCUCCGAUUCAUUGUUACGUAUUUGUAAAAUUAAUUCCCAACAUUAACGGGAGAUGCUUGUUGAAGUAGGUUAUUCAAGUUGAAGUUAACAAACAUCAAUACUUAGGGUUAAGAGGAAAGUGAGUUAUGUAACACAAUUUGGAUUAUUUCAUUGCGAGACGAAUGAUUUAUAGGUUCUCCUAGUUUUAUGACGUCACAAGUAGGCCGGAGUAAUUUUUGGGGCAUUUUUACGAUUUUCCUACUAUUUUUUACCUAGUUUCAAAGAUUUUUGAACAAAAGAAUCCAAAAUGUAAAAGAAGAUGACACCUGGCGCGAUCUCAGCCCGUCACUUUUCACUACUUGCACAAGUGUACGUCAGUCAACAUGGCCACAUCCUCUCAUUUUACCCUAAAUUAUUAUUUUAUUACGUUUUGUCUUGGAAAAUUCAUAACUAAAUACACAAAAAUUCAAAAUUAUUUCUGAAAAUUGCUACGAACUCAUUGACACUCCAUCUCCGUUGCUGAAUUCUCCGAUUCAUUGUUACGCAUUUUUAAAAUUAAUUCCCAACAUUAACGGGAGAUGCUUGUUGAAGUAGGUUAUUCAAGUUGAAGUUAACAAACAUCAAUACUUAGGGUUAAGAGGAAAGUGAGUUAUGUAACACAAUUUGGAUUAUUUCAUUGUGAGACGAAUGAUUUAUAGGUUCUCCUAGUUUUAUGACGUCACAAGUAGGCCGGAGUAAUUUUUGGGCCAUUUUUACGAUUUUCCUACUAUUUAUUACCUAGUUUCAAAGAUUUUUGAACAAAAGAAUCCAAAAUUAACAAGAAUAUGACACCUGGCGCGAUCUCAGCCAGUCACUUUUGACUACUUGCACAAGUGUACGUUACCGAACAUGGCCACAUCCUCCCAUUUUACCCUAAAUUAUUAUUUUAUUACCUUUUUUCUUGGAAAAUUCAUAACUAAAUACACAAAAAUUAGAAAAACGAUCCGAAAAUUUCUACGAACUUAUUGCGAUUUCAUCUUCCUACUGCAUUCCCUGUUUAAUGGUUAUGCUACAUUAGUAUUUUAUUAUUAUUUAUCCACAAUUAUUAUAAUUAUUAUGAUAUUACUUUUUAGGCUGUCCAUUUGUUAAUUAUACCACAUCCAACUUGUUGAAAACAAUUUUAUUUUCCGUGCGAAUAGGCCAUUUGUAGUGCUUAUCGGUUUCUCUGUUCUUCAAUUUGUUAAUUUUUUUAUUUUUUAGGUUGAAGGGAUGUUUUGAAACAUAAUAUGGAAAUAUACAAGUCAUCCAUUGUACUCCUUCCACACAAAAAAAUAGUCUACGUCAUUCACUGUUCAACACCCUAGGUUAAGACACGUGUAACCAAAUCCGUUCGGAUAUGCUAAGUGGGAAAAUGUCAUUCCCAAGCACUGGUGAAAAGACACUUAUUUACUCCAUGCAUGACUUUUGGUUUACCAAAUAUGAAGAUUGGGGUCGGUGAGCAAAAUAUCUGUGUCAGUAAAAUGUCAUUCCUAGCCAUCUAUGAUGUAAGUAAUAAUUCCGCUAUAUAAUAAAUAUUAUACAUUUAUAUAUAAAACGGUUUAUGACAAAAUACCAACAUUUGAACAACAUUUAAACUGAGAUAGGUAUAACGUAGCCAGCCAACCUAGAAGUGAAGAGAAGCAAGUCCACAAUGCAUCAAAACUGUAAAUUCGUACUAAAACUAAUGCAAAAAUACGUGAUUCCCUCGCACAACUUACUCACGCAGGAUUUUGCACCAAAAAAUACUCUCACGGUGCCAUUUGCAUCGGUUGCAGCAAGUCCAAAACGCAGGAUUUAUCUUGUCUUCACUAGGCCACCCUGGAAUAACAAAAUACCAUUCAUUGUUGUUACAAGCGCUGCACCGAUUGAACUUAAUCUUCCCAUAGUCAAACAUAUCUACGAUAUGUCUUGCAACAAAUGCUCCGCGACAUCUUCCUGUUAAAGCAUCCCUGGUUCCUUUCAUAUCAAUGUUGUUACGUUGAUUCAAAGAACACAAGAAUUGUAAUGCAUCCUCUUUUGACUGACCAAUUCCGGACAUACCAAGUAGUCCAACUACAUAUGCCGCUUCCAUAUGGCCUGCCGUGGCUGCAAUGCGCAUCCCAUACAACGCUUCCACCUUACCGUCUGUGAAAAAACCUUCGAAUGCUUCUCUAAAUAUGGACUCAGGGUUAUCGCAAGCCCUGCAUUGUUGCAAGAAAUGCUGGACUGCAGGUUUGGCACGGUAGCAGAUAGGAUGGUGUGGGUACUUUGCCAUUGAAAUGGUGUUCCACACUUGUGGACUGUUUGCCAAAAUGUUGAACAAUCGGCACACACAUGCCAUACGGAAGAGAUCUUCCGAUGAUUCGGUUGCCACGUAUAACAUCACUUGAAACCAAGCGGACUCCGGGAUAAAGGCUUCGGGCAUAUCGAAAUGGAGAUGCUUCCUUCUCUUUCCUCCGACUGUAGUGAAGUGUUUCGAAUUCAUUGAAAAGUUUUUGGAAUGGAACGAUUUGAGGAGUGGCAGAGGGGAUAAAUGAUAAUAUUUGGGGUACACGUUCUACUUCCGAGCCUCUGUUUAUAGUGUUUUGAAAAGGUGUUUCCAGUUGGGGUUUUUCCAAGUUGACCCUUUUGAAAGAAACUGAAUCCAAGUGAAUUAAAACUUAAGACAAAAGAAGGGAAAACGUCAUAACGGUGCAUACAGAGUCAGACAGUUAAAAAGUUAAUUAAAUGGCUAUUUGCAUAGCCAUUUUUGGGUUUAUCCCACUAUCAAAUUCAUUGAUACAAAUGUGAUGGAUUACUGACUAGUGACAGAAGGUCCCAUCAUAUACUUUUUCAUUUUCGCACACCCAACUAUCCCUAGUAAUGUUAUUAAAAUGGAACCAAUAAUGACGGAUUCUUAUCCAACUAGUUGCCUUAAUGAAAUAUAAAUAAAUUAAUAAAAUUGAAGCAGUGUCCCGUCAUUAGUCAGAAAAUAUAUUUGGUAGUGAAGUAGUUUCUAUUGCUUUUCGGGCUAAAAGAUGUCACAAUGCUGACGGUACAGGUGUCGACAUCGUGACCAACCCACCAAAUGAUCCCAAAAAAAAGUAAUAUAACUCGAUUUGGGCAGAGAUGAGAGAGAGCUGAGUGACAAGUUUAGGGUUAUGAGUGAAGGGGUAUGAAUGACAACUAUGAGUGAGAAGGUAUGAGUCCGAAGAGGUUUCAGUGAGAAGAUUUGAGUGAGAAGAGGUACAACUGAGAAGAUUCAACAUGUCUUCGUCUUCAUCUCCUGCUCAAACAAAGAGGUGUCAGUAUUGUGGAGCUACAAUGGUGCUUCGGGUUUCAAAAUCUGAAAAAAAAUCGAGGGAAGCCAUUCUGGAAGUGUCUAACCUCCUAUGUAAGUUUUAAUUUAAAGAAUAUGUAUGUGGGUGAAAAAAAACCUAUGUCUAACUCUGACAGAAUUAUAUUCCAUAUAUGAUGCCUGCAAUUAGGGAGCCACCAGUUGCAAUGGAUUCGAAUGGGUUGAUGUAACCUCCGCUGAAGCAGAACAUCAAGAUGACACGUAUGAUGUUAGAGUGCUGAACAUGCUGAAGUCCAUUAAGGACUUGGUAUUAGUUUUAUUAGUUGUAUUAAUUGUCAUUUUAUUUGUUCUUUUAAUGAUCAUUUAACUGCACGGUUUAAAAGAUUGUGAAAGUUCUCUCGCACAAGACAUAUUGCACGCACCACCAAUGAGACCCUAAACCCAUUUUGUAAUAUUUGGUAACUGCAUGUAUUUCGCAUGUUAUUGAAUGUUUAUUGAAGGUUUAUUGAUAGUUUGCUGCAUGUAUAUGGAAUAUCAUUGCCCCAAAAUUGGAUGUUUAUUGGGGCCACAAGUAUCACUCAAGUAAGAAUGAAGGGGAGAAACGGACCUUAUUCUUUCUUAUAGUAGGAAGAACAACUGUUAAGUUUAAUAUCCUAUUCAAUACGACUUCCCUAUGGUUGGUGUACUUGGGGACUGAAGUAUAUUGCAUCAUUAUUGUGGGCAAGGGCAUGUCUAUUGUGUGUGUUAAGGGAGUAUUGUGUGGGCAAGGGCAUGUCUACUGUGUGUAUAUUGCAUGUCUACUGUGUGUAUAUUGCAUAUCUAUUCUCUGUAUAUGGCAGGCCAAGUUUGUGUAUAUUGUUUGUCUGUUGUGUGUGUAUUGCUUGUCGGUGCGUUUGUGAAUUGUGGUUCAUUUUGUGUAUAUUGUCUUUGUUUCUACUUUUAUGCUACUGAGCUGCGGAAAACCUCGCAUGUUUAGACACCUAUUAUGAUGCAACACAUUGCGAUUAAUGGUGGCUUGCAUCAACAAUGACAUAUCACUUUGCAAUGAUGUAAUACACUUAAAAAGCCGUCUUCAAAUCCCAAUUCACAUAUGCAGUCUUAAAAUUCUAAUUCAAUGCAGUUUGGUUAACAAACAUGUAAAUGUCAUGAAGGAGUUAGCGGUAGAAUUCGAUAAGGACCCGUACGUCUCUAUUGUGUAUUUACAUUAGUUUGAGAAUGGACAUUCCCAAAACCUUCUCAUGUACCAUUUGUCAUCUUCAACCAAUAUCAUGGGAAGUAAGCAUCUCCCCUUGUUAUCUCCGCAGCCAAUUUCAACCGAAAAAAAGGCAUGUUGUGCGAGGUGCAAGUAGCUAACGGAAGCUUAGCGCUGAAAAGCUCAAUGUACUUUAACACAAACAUGCCACAAUCGCCUCUGAAGCAAAACAAGAACUCGAUCAAUUCAACUAAUGACAUUCUAAUGUAAUUGACAAUUGAAAGUAAUAAAAUUAAAUUGCAAGUUGUGCUUACUCAUUAGACUGUUGUGGAACAUCCACACGCUCUAUUGGCCACGGACACCACCAAUCUCGGCUGCAAUUGUUUGCAUAAACACCUUCUUCAUAAAAGUCGAUGGUGUUGAGAAGAUUUGGAAGCGUAAUUGAUAGCGGGCCGAGUUCUUCCUUUACGAUGUCAUCUGGAAUUAGUGAAACCUUUGAAUCGUACACUUUGAUUCACACAAUACCAGAUCAAACANNNNNNNNNNNNNNNNNNNNNNNNNNNNNNNNNNNNNNNNNNNNNNNNNNNNNNNNNNNNNNNNNNNNNNNNNNNNNNNNNNNNNNNNNNNNNNNNNNNNNNNNNNNNNNNNNNNNNNNNNNNNNNNNNNNNNNNNNNNNNNNNNNNNNNNNNNNNNNNNNNNNNNNNNNNNNNNNNNNNNNNNNNNNNNNNNNNNNNNNNNNNNNNNNNNNNNNNNNNNNNNNNNNNNNNNNNNNNNNNNNNNNNNNNNNNNNNNNNNNNNNNNNNNNNNNNNNNNNNNNNNNNNNNNNNNNNNNNNNNNNNNNNNNNNNNNNNNNNNNNNNNNNNNNNNNNNNNNNNNNNNNNNNNNNNNNNNNNNNNNNNNNNNNNNNNNNNNNNNNNNNNNNNNNNNNNNNNNNNNNNNNNNNNNNNNNNNNNNNNNNNNNNNNNNNNNNNNNNNNNNNNNNNNNNNNNNNNNNNNNNNNNNNNNNNNNNNNNNNNNNNNNNNNNNNNNNNNNNNNNNNNNNNNNNNNNNNNNNNNNNNNNNNNNNNNNNNNNNNNNNNNNNNNNNNNNNNNNNNNNNNNNNNNNNNNNNNNNNNNNNNNNNNNNNNNNNNNNNNNNNNNNNNNNNNNNNNNNNNNNNNNNNNNNNNNNNNNNNNNNNNNNNNNNNNNNNNNNNNNNNNNNNNNNNNNNNNNNNNNNNNNNNNNNNNNNNNNNNNNNNNNNNNNNNNNNNNNNNNNNNNNNNNNNNNNNNNNNNNNNNNNNNNNNNNNNNNNNNNNNNNNNNNNNNNNNNNNNNNNNNNNNNNNNNNNNNNNNNNNNNNNNNNNNNNNNNNNNNNNNNNNNNNNNNNNNNNNNNNNNNNNNNNNNNNNNNNNNNNNNNNNNNNNNNNNNNNNNNNNNNNNNNNNNNNNNNNNNNNNNNNNNNNNNNNNNNNNNNNNNNNNNNNNNNNNNNNNNNNNNNNNNNNNNNNNNNNNNNNNNNNNNNNNNNNNNNNNNNNNNNNNNNNNNNNNNNNNNNNNNNNNNNNNNNNNNNNNNNNNNNNNNNNNNNNNNNNNNNNNNNNNNNNNNNNNNNNNNNNNNNNNNNNNNNNNNNNNNNNNNNNNNNNNNNNNNNNNNNNNNNNNNNNNNNNNNNNNNNNNNNNNNNNNNNNNNNNNNNNNNNNNNNNNNNNNNNNNNNNNNNNNNNNNNNNNNNNNNNNNNNNNNNNNNNNNNNNNNUUUUCCUCUCCCUCAUCUCUAUUAUUUGGCCCUUCACCCCCUUCAAUCCCUUCAUCUUCUUUUUCCUCUCCCUCAUUUCUGUUACUUGGCCCUUCAUCCCAUUGAAUGUCAUCCAUUUCCCCAUAUCCCUUAAAUAGAUGUGAGACGACACAACGAUUCGUCCUCUGUUUCAGUAAAGCUAGGUCCCUCCUUACUUCCUGCUCAAACUGAGGACCUAAACAUUGGUCCAAUAGUUUUUCCAUCCGUAUGACCUUUAAGUGAAGGACGUCUUUUUCCCGCUUUUCUUGAAACAACUCGGACCUCAACAAGCUUACCACCUUGUUCAACUCAUCAAGAUCACCACAUGAAGAAGGAAUUGACUCUGCCGAGACAACAGCAGGGCGAUCCUGUGGCCAACUCCAAUAUGGCUGUCUCAUUUCCUCUUCACUUAGACAUAGCGCCCGCAACUGAACUGACUGUUUCAGAAUACAGACAAGAGUCAUAUUAAAUCAUUCUACUUCAUAAUUUCAUUCAAUCUUAUCAAUAGUUCUAAGGGCUGCAAACCAAACCUCUUUGCUCUGGAAAAAAUAAUUGUUCAACUUUCUCAUCUCUGGAACAGACGUAGUAGUUCUCCAUCGCAAAAUACGCGGGACAGCGGUCGGAUCAACAACCUUGCAGUAAUUCAGGUCCGCCAUUCUAGGAAUUAAUUCAUAUACCCAAAUCUACACAAUUCACAGGACAAAAGUCAUUAUUUAUGUUUUAAAGAAAAACAAAACAUAACUGACAUGAACAUUAUUACCAUGUACCUGGAAAGCAUACGUGAAACCUUUAAAACUCCAGCCACUCCUUUGCGCUUCACUAUGCUUAUCCUUCUUGCCCUUCUCAUUUCUCCGGCUUGUUCCCGUUACCUUACUUUUCCCCUUCCCUCUUCCCUCUUCAUUUUCCAAGCUUUUCACAUACUUUGUUGGUGCAGAAAAUAGACUGUCUUGGGUUUUGUCAAAGGACACCGAACCCCACGGAUACCUGUUGAACGCAUCCAAGUCCUCUACAAGGGUCAGGUAAUUUAGAUUGAUGUUCAAAUGUUUGUCCCUUCCCAAAACCACUAACUCAGCAAAGUAAACAAGAGGUAGCUUGAAGAUGUCAUCUUCCUCUGUGCACCUCACAAAUGCUUCUUCUAAAGCAUUGCAUGUAAUUCCUUCGUCUAUAAAAUAUCUUUUCUGAAGUCUGAUUUCAUUACUCUCUCCACUGGAAACUUCAGGCACUUCCCCAAAACGAAGCCCUGUGAUCAAACAGAAAUCCUGACGAGUGAACUGAGCAACGUCACACCCUAAUAAGAAACUCAGUCCAUCCAAGUCUUUCACACCCUGCCCCGCUACUCUACGCAACACAACCCCAUGCACAAUCUGUCCGCUAAACUGAAUCUUAUCUAUAUUCAGAAGAUGGCCAAAGCAUGAUGUCUUGAAUUGUUCUAAUUGUUCCGCACUCAACUUCGCUCGAAUUGCAGCUAGAGAUGAAUUUGCAUGUGAGCAGUUGUUCACCCGUGAUGAAUAUACCUCUGCCUCUGGCCAUACCAGCUCCACGUUGGAUCCCAUUUCCUCAAAUACAAUGUGAAAUAACGUGAACAUAUAUACUACCACGUAUUUGCACAAUCACAACUAGUCAACCAGGCACAUUACAACUUUUACAAAGUACAUGAGCAUAUGGAUUACUCAUCACAGGCUUUAACAUCAUCAAAGCAAUAUGACAAUUUUUGUGCAAAUACCUGUUAAUGCAAUGAUUAUGUGAAUUACAAACAAUUUCACGUGUUUUAUUUAUGGAUCCAUACUCGUGUGAGUGCAAUGUAGGCAAGUUCUGCACUUCACACACAUGACAAUUAUUGUCAUCUCAUACACAACCCAAAAUAAAUAAAUAAGAAAUAUAGUGGAAGGAAGCAAAGCAAAGCAUGUACUCUGCUAUCUGCUUGCUAAGCAAUUGCCACAUCCUUCUUUCUUUCUACCUUUUUCUUCAGUCACCCACAAUCGUCAUAGAUCAACCUUCAUUUCAAAUGCUUUGCACUUUUAUUCAUGAGUUUAUUAUUAUCUGUUCUCAUUUCUCAUAGGCAAAUUUAGUAACAAAUGAAAUAAUAUUUAUUUCACAAAAUAUAUAAAUUCUAGUGCCAGAGAGGUACUCUUCACUCUGCACUGCUUCAAAUGUGGAAGGUUUUGAGAUGUUAUUGACAUGUGAUUGACUUUAUUUUCAUUCGUUUUUUAACAUAUACCCAAGCAAAAAUUAACAUGCAAUUGAAGCACAAAUAAGAGAUGCCAAAUCCAACAACAUUGAUGGUACAAAUUGGGGAAAACCAUUACUCUAACCCUAAACUCAAAUUCCUUACAUUACUCAUCAAAUGCUUUGCAGUUCUAUUCAUGAGUUUAUUAUUAUCUGUUCAAAUGUUUCUCAGGCAAAUUUAGUAACAAAGGAAAUCAUAUUUACUUCAUAAAAUAUAUAUAUAUAUAUAUAUAUUCUAGCGCCUCUUCUUAAUCUGCACUAUGCACUGCUUCAAAUGUGGAAGGUUUUGAGGGCCUCCUCCAAUUCAACACCAUUAUCUUAUUCAUAUCAUUAUUGACAUGUUAUUCACUUGUUAUUGACUUCAUUUUCAUUCUUUUUUUAACAUAUACCUAAGCAAAAAUUAACAUGCAACUGAAGCACAACGAAGAGAUGCCAAAUCCAACAAAAUUUAUGGUACAAAUUGGGGAAAACCAUUACUCUAACCCUAAACUCAAAUUCCAUAAAUUACUCACCAAAUGCUGGUUAUUGCAAGGUGUCUGUGUGGGGUCUUUCUGUUUCUUUGCUCCACAAAUGGAACCUACCACUUCCAACGAAUACAGCUUUUCCCCUUCCCCUUCCACUGCUUCGCCUCUUCACUGAUUUGGAAUCCACACCUUUGCCCCUUCUACUCCAAAUAAAUACUUUCUCGGGGUCUGGAGAACGGAGUGGCGAAUCGUUGCCUUCAACUGUCGUUAGCCGUUGCCUUCAUUGGGUAUCUCAGACCUCUGUGUUUUAGAGAGAUGAGUUCUUUCUGUUCAAACUUCGAACUUGCCUCUUCUUCUUCUUUUUCGGACGUGUUUCCCUCUUCUUCUUCUUUUUGGACGUGCUGGAUAUUCAAUUCGGGUUUGGGUUCCUUACCUACCCAAUUGUGAAACUUUAACUCAAUUCUCCCCAGCCCUUGGAUUAAUCUGAUGGCUAUAAAGUGAACCCCUUAUAACUUACCCCUUAUAACUUUCCACUCAUUAUAGUCUUGGCCAGGUAUGGCGGCCAUGCUAGUAAGUGUUGGGUCUUUGACCCAACUUAAGCUAAAUGGGUCAUAAGAUGACCGAUCAUCUUAUCUCAUAAGGAUAUAUAAGUCAUGUUAUGAUUUAGGAUUUUAUAGGGUUUCCUUUGUAAGAGGUAAGAGAGAAACAAGCUCUCUCUCUCUCUACACAAGGAGGUCAGCCAUAGCAAGGGAAAGGCUCCUAGCACUCUCCUCUCUCUUAUUAUAUCAUCCUUCCAAGGACAGCUUUGGUAUGGUAAAGUUGGAGGUUGCACACUUUGUGCACUUUGGUAAGAACUCAUCCAAGGGAGCCAAGAUUAAAUUGGUUAGCUGUUGGAUUAAAUUGGUUAGCACGAUUCAACGGUUAAUAGAUAAAACUUCACAUAAAAGUCAUAUAUAAGGCCCUCACUAUAGAAUGACUCGUUAGUUUAGUCUCUUGUUACAUAUCAAAUGUUAGAGAUAUUUUUUAAUAAGGAUCUGCCAUACCACAUAGUUGGAUAAGACAUUAUACACGGCUUUUGUAAGAGCAUCUCCAGCGCUCCAAACUAGCCCAAGCAGCAGGGGGGCCUAAGUCUAGGAAGCAGCUCCAGCUCGCAAGAUUCAACCCAGGCAAGGUGUGGAACCCACGAGGAGAUCUAGCCCGUCACCUUGCCUUUGGGUUUCAGUCAAGCUGAUGUCAACGAAAGAAUUUCAAAUUUUUUUUACCGUUACAAUGUACGCGCCAACGAUAAAUUUUCUUUGGAUUUCUUGCAUUGAUCCACAGCUACCAAAAACCAACAGCUACAAGCCACGUGGCUUCUCCAGGAGCCUCCGAUCCAAAAAUCAUGUCAAAUCUAACGGCAGUCCAUUUUUUGGCUAAAAAUAUCAAAAAAUUAUGGAAACAUGUUCUAUAAAUUCCUACAAAUAUUAUUCACUUCCCACACCAAAUCUUCAUACAAAUUCAUAUCCUUUCAAUAUUUUUCACUUUCCAUACAAGAUUUUCUACUACUAAGUUUCGUUUGUGUAAAAAUACAAAUGACCUCUUCUAUCGAAGCCGGAGGCGCGUGUACAACCGUGGAAGAUAUUUUGUUGCGUGAGUGUUGGGUCAAAGUUGGUCAUUCCCUGAUCACGGGCAAUGAGAUGAAGUCCUCUCGUAGGAGUUUCUGACAUCGCAACGAAAGUAAGAUGUGAUAUGAAAAUGUAAGGAAUUUGAUGAGAGGAAUGGGAUUUGAGGAGUUUGAUGUAGGAAUUGAUGUAGGAAUUGAAUUUGGGAGGUAUGUAUAUAAGAUUUGAGGGUAUGUGUUUAGGGAUUUUGAUAAGAGGAUUUGAGGAAUUUAGAUUUGAAGGAUUUGGAUUUGGGGAAUUUAAAUAUGAGGAAUUUGAUUAGGGUUUGGGUUUGAAUAUGUGAAAUUUGAUAUGAGAGUUUAGAGACAACAGAUGAUCGAUUGCUCUGAUACCAUGCUAAAAUAUGAUAUGGUUUGAAUACUUUAGGUUGAGUUUUAUUCUUUUCCAUAAAAAGGUAUAUAUAGGAGUUUACAUGAGUGCUUUACAAAGAAAUAGAUACAAUAAUCAAUUAGGAUAAUAUCUCCUAAUUAUACAAUAAUUUGUCAACUAUAUAGAAUAGGAAAGUAAAUUCCUUAAUUAAUCAAGAAAAUAAAUCUCAUUGAUUAAUUAGGAGACUAACGUCAACAUUUAUAAGCCAUAAAAGAGCAGAAAAAGAGGUACUUAGGAGAUUUUAUACGUCGGACUAAGGUAAGCUUAAAGGACUAUAUCAAAAAAAUAAGGGACCAAGAAGCAAGACAGAGAAGUUGUUAUGCAAACCCAUUAAGUUUAGCAGUGAUGAAUUUGUAAAAAUCAUUCUAGUGGAUUCUGCCUUCACUAUUGAGUUCUUAUUGAGGUUCUAUCUGAAAGGAUCUGGACAUGAAGGAGACCGCUUAUUAAACAAACCGUGGAUGUUUACAGCCUGACAUGUGGUUGCUUGAAAAUCAGCUCCCAUUCUUUAUUCUUGAGGAUCUUUAUCACACAUACAUAAUAACCGACUCUUUUAGGAAUUAUUACAGUACUCAUGAUCAUGAGAGGCUUUCAAUAAUUAAUAUUUCUAAGAAUUUCUUCACAGCCGGAAUAUUGAAUUUGGAGGGGAAGGGAGACAAAUGGAACAGAAUAUCAUCUUCUUCUAGUGUUGGAAAUUUUAUAUUAUUUAAUAAUAUUUAAUUUCUAUUGUGAAUGAAAAAUAAGUUUCUUUAAGAAACGUGUGUCUUAGGCCAGUUUUUCUAACUGGUCGGCUUCCUUAGAUUUGUGCCUAUUGCUUUUCAAAGUAUAAUGAUGCAAUGGUUGUAUCUCGUUCAGGCAAAUGGAAGGUAUAUAGCAAUUUAUAGAACAAUACAGUAAUCCAGAAGAAAUAUUAUGAAAUGAAAAGAAUAAAAAGUAAAAAAAGAGAAAGAAAGGAAUUCCCACCUGCAAUGUAUAUGUAUGAAAGGAAGGACCAAGUUUGUUUUAAAAUGGUAAGAACAAGUUGAUUUUAAAUUGGGUUCAGAUCAACUCAUAGAUUUCUUGCCUUUUCUGUUCUCCUUCCUUGGACAUGAACUGUUUAAUCUUGGACUCUUCCCCAUCAUGUUGGGCCUGUCUUCUUCUUGAGGAUUGUAUAGGCCUAGGAAAUGCUUCGGGGUAGUUUUUGUGUUUUGGGCAUUGGGACCCAACUUCACAAAAAGAAAACAAAUUUGACCAAAACACAAAUUUGAAGGACAUUGAAAUUGUACCCGUAGGAUAGAUUAAAACACUAUAAGGGAGGUAAAUAGUACGUUUACAGAGUUUAAGUGUAAUAAAGGAAUAAAAACAUGCCCAGAGAAUUGAUAAGUGAUAUCAAUUCUUGAAUAUACGUGAAAAUUAUUUUAUGUGGUUAAACCCCACCUCUGGGGAAAAUCCACGGAACUUCUUAGUCCAACUUCUAUCACUUAUCCUAGACACAUUCUAGAUAAUGUUUGCCAACCUCUUCGUAACUCAACUUCUGUCACGAGAUGAUCUUUCAACACUUUAUGUCGAACGCAAUACUGGUCACGAUUUCUUCAAGCUCGCCGGAGUUCUUCCAAUUCUCCUUAUAUUGAAUCUGAUACUAGUCACGAUCGAUUCAAGCUCAUCGGAGAAAAAUCGCCACAACAAUCUUGGUGCCCUCAACCGUAUGAGUCACUGAACAUGCAAAUGAAUACAAUAUGAAUGAUAAAAGUGUUUGAUAAAUCACCAAGUUAUGGAACACUUGAUGAUUUAUCUCAAAUAAAAAUUCAGCUUUCCAAAGUUUAUGAAUUGAAAAUAUGACCGUUAAAGCUCUCUAAACAAAGAAGACGAAGGUCUUAUUUUAUAGACUUUUACUUUACAAGAAAGAAAACACGUUGAAAACCAAAUCUCCAAUUUCCAAGGCUUGACAGAAAAUCACAAAAUUAUCUUUCCUAUUCUAGAGAUUGGUCACAUGAAGUCCAACCAAUAGGAAAUGAGAUAUUUAAGAAAGGAAGAUUUUGAUCAAUAUCAAUAUCAAAUGAAUUCUUAUACGCCUAGUCAAUUGUUAUGGGUAUCUUGACUCCUUGAUAUUGUGAUAUGAUUGAAACAUGAUUUCCACGUUAGAAAAUUAAGGGGAUGUUAAAACAUGAAGGUAAUAGGAGAAUCAAAUUGAUUUGGGCCAAAAUUGCCUAAAAAGAAAACACUCCUUAAUAAACUUCAAUUUACUUUUAAAAAUAGUAAAACGUGAUUGAAUCGUUCUUUAAAACAAUUCCCUAAUAUACAUGCAUGAUAGUGAUAUCACUUACCUUUGAAUCAGAUGGCUUUCACGGGUCAAGCCACAAGUUUUUGUCUUGGGGAUUGCUGAGCUUCAUCAAUCCUGCCAAUGUCAAUUUUGCCCCUAAGCUCUCUCAAAGCACGUUUACAACCUAUGCUAACAUAUAUUAGAGUUUAUGUUAGUAUCAAGAAAAUGCCAACACUAAUUUCGUAACACGUAGAAAUUGUUAGAGAUUGAAGUUUUUAUCAUUUUUUCUUCCAGACUCUCCACCACUCACUAAUAUAGUUUACUCAUGUGAUGAGUUUACAAAACCUAUUUCUCUACUCUCACAAAGACUAUACUUAGGGGGGUGUAUUCAAUUAGGAUUCUAAAGCGUUUAAAAAGAUUUUGUUUAAGUGCCAGCUUUCAUAGAACUUGAUGGAACUUUAUAAUUCGUAUAGAACUUGAUAGACUUUCAGAAGACUUCUGUAUAAUUUUUUAAUAAAACUUUCUUAAGCUUUCAUAGAACUUGAUAGGCUUUCAUUCCAAACUUAUGUAGAUGGUAUAUUUCAUUUUAUCCCCAUCCUUGACAUUUAAAGAAAGAAACUUGAAUUUUUUCAAUCAAAUUUGUUUUUGUUACCAAAGCAGCAAAAACAAAAAGUACUUGUUUGCGAUGGAAGAACAUAUGCACAGUUCAAAAUGAAAAGAAUAAGAAGCAAAGUACCUAUUUGACCAAUGAAUGCUGUGUCAACUAGAGAAGCAAUUGGAUCGGCUGUCAAAGCCAAUGCUGCAGGCAAUGCAUCGAUGGUCCAAAUUGCAAUAAAAAAAUAUUUUGAAUAAUGGCUCUUGCAGACAAAGACCACAUAAAUUCUGAACUGGUCUAGCUUGAAUAAUAAGGUUAGAUUAGCCAAUUGAUGAGAUUAAAAGCAAAGCAAGUUGAUGAAUUUAUCAUCAACUAUUUAAUAACCACAGUCCUGAUCUCUUGGACCCCUGUAGUCCAAGAGAUUUAUGGUCACCCACCGUUGGAUGUAAAUUCAACGGUUGACUUGAAUCGGGUAAUAAUCAUUUAUGUCAUAUUGCAUUUAUAUAUAUCAUUUUGAACCAUUGGAUUAAUAUCCAACGGUGGGUGACCACAAUCUCUUGGACUCCUGUGGUCCAAGAGAUCGGGACUGUUAAUAACCAAUAGAGUAUUUAAACAUAAACAACAAUGUUUGAUCAACAAAACAAAUAGUCCAAAUAUCAUCCAAAAAACAAUAACAAAAAAUCAAUCAUUCCAAACAAACUAGUCAUUCUCAAAAACUCUCAAAAAACCCACUCAUUCCAAAUUGUAGGAUAUCCAAUUUGAGCACUCCUCAGGAGACAUUUUCAAAAAUGCAUCCUUUUUUGUGUUACUAUGCAACAAAGAGAGUGCUUUAUAACGAGCAUGUUCAUCCAAAUUUGGGGUCUCCUUAAUGGCAUCCCAUAUAUAACUCCGCUGCUCUCUCUCUUUUUCCCUUUUUGCCAAUAGGUUAUGGACCUCCCGGAAGUCGAUGACAAUUGAAUCAAUGCUAAGGCUAAUUCUUCCCAUAGCUUGCUGGGUGGUCACAUUUGAGAUAGCAUUCCCUUCCAAAUAUGUUCUAGUUCGUUUCCUCUAGUAACAAGCAUAAAUCCUAGUAACAAGCAUAAACCCUAACCCCAACCUAUAACCUAAUAACAAGAAGAAAACCCAACGAGGUAUUGAUCAAAGAAAAAUUAGGGAGCAUACCUUCACAGAUGGAGGAAGGAAGCUGUUCGUCUUCGCAGAGAGAAAAUCUAGGGAAAGAGAAAAACGUCUUAUGAAAUACUUGGGGGGGAGGUUGGAUUUAUUUUGGUCUUUUUUAUUUAUAACUCUCCCCUUAAAACCUACGUAAAUUUAUCACUUAAUGAAAUCCUUCCAAAUAUAUGACCUUUCGAAUACACCUAGAUUUGAUUCAACUUUUUUAUAAUCAUAAUUGAAUACACCCAUAUUUGAAUGGACUUUUUAAAAGUUCAUAUAGGUCCGAAAUGAAUAUACUCAAACUUGUAAAACCUCUUUUAAAGUUUGUAUAAAUCCAAAUUGAAUACACCUGGAUUUUUAAAAUCUUUUUAAACACUUUAUAAUCCUAAUUGAAUACACCCCCCUUAUUCUCAAAAGACUAUAUUACUUUACCUCUAUCUCUGUGAAAUGUAAAAAGUUGAAACUUUAAUGUCAAACCUCAACAAAAGAUGAACUUUCAUCAGUUACGUUGAAUUUGGAUUUGUUGAACUUAAGUGGUUUUAUUUUCUUUGUCAGUGUUUGAUGACUUAAUUUGGUAUUUAUUUCUUCUUUUUUUUCCUUGGAAAUGUGUUCCACCAACGUGAGGAAGAAAAAUAUGCACAAAUUAAUAUAUUUAAUAGAAGCCCAAGAUUUCGGAUGCAUAUAAUUUCUACAAAAAUCUACAAAGUUUUUUACUUUACAAACUUCUUAUGUCUACCAAUUUCUACUAAAAUUAAUUUCUCUGUGGUGCUCAAAUUCAUCAUAUGUGUGUCGUUAAUUUUAUUGAAAAUUGGAAGUUCCCAUCAUUUUUGUUUUUUGGGAAUUUUCUGAACCAAGGAAAAUCAAGUAAAAUUAAUAAAGCCUAAAUUGGAAAGGGAAAAUAUCUAGAGGAUGCAUUGUAGGAUUGCUCAUGCCAAUAAUUGUACCCUCUAAAUAUAUAGAGACAUAUUUUUUUUGUUUUCAUGACAUGUGGUCCUAAAAUUAUUGUGUAAAUCUUCAAUCCUGAACGAUGCACCUAAAACUCAUCCACCCAUUCUCAGGCCAAUUAUUGCACCUAGUGGGCUCUCGACCCCCUCUCAAAUUUAACCACAUAUUUUAUGGACCAUCCAGCUGUGAGGUACAUUCCCCCCACAUGCCACAAUUGUAUAUUCACAAUUACGUCUGAUACAUCACAUCAUGCCACUUGCCUCAAAUGAAUUUAAGUGAGUGAGGCAGUUGGAAGUAAUUAAGCUCUAUAUUGGUGGGUGGAGUGUUACUUCUCGGUUCCCCUCAUCAUUCGUCUAUAAAAUGGUGAAGGCAGUUGCUAUUGUUACCAUAAGAGCCAGCUCCGACUUCCUUUAAUUUCUUGCUUCAUAUCCACUAGCUACAUCUGUUACCAAGUUAAUUUCAGUUCUAAUGGGGUUUCAUCUCCCACUCAUCUUUGCUCUUCUCAGUGUAAGCUCUGCAAUUUGAUUAACUUUUCCAUUCUCUCUCAUUGUACUCUAUAUAAACGAAAGUUUUGUGUUCCUAUUGUUCUCUCCGAUUUUAUUUAGUACGUACUUAAGUGUCGUCCACUAAUUAAUUAUACUUUGUGAUUUGAUUUUAAUUUGAGUUUGAAUUAAUGUUGCAGCUAGCAGCAGUGGCACUGGCAAACCAUGCUGCUCAACCAGCACCUCAACUUUACUGGAGCUCCGUCCUGCCAAACACACAGAUGCCAAGAUCUAUCAGUGAACUUCUGCAUCCUGGUUUGUGUUGAGCUCUUUAGAAUCUUAGAUAUCUCUUCUACCUGCCAUUUUACUAAAAUAUGUUCCACCACAUAUUUAUCAGUUAACCAUUGUCAUUACAUGAGUGACACAUAUUCACAAAUCGGCUGAUCACUUAUUUUCCAUUAUGACUUGAUAUAUAAUUUGCAGACUCCACAAAUGAAGAAAAGAGCACAAAUGACGUUGGCAAACCUGAAACUUUCCCAUUGGGCAAUCAACAUUACUCCAGUCAAAAACAUUAUGGAGGCAUACCUGAAACUUCCCCAUUGGGCAAUAAACAUUACUCCAGUCAAAAACAUUAUGGAAGAGGCAAACCUGAAACUUUCCCAUUGGGCAAUCAGCAUUACUCCAGUCAAAGACAUUAUGGAAGAGGCAAACCUGAAACUUUCCCAUUGGGCAAUAAACAUUACUCCAGUCAAAAACAUUAUGGAAGAGGCAAACCUGAAACUUUCCCAUUGGGCAAUCAGCAUUACUCCAGUCAAAAAAAGUAUGGAAGAGGUGCUUCUCCAUCCGACAAUCAACAACUCCAUUAUAAAGACUUAGCUAUUUUCUUCUUGGAGAAGGACAUGCGCCCUGGCACAACAAUGAAGUUCCAAUUCCCUAUAAAUUCAAACACGGCUACUUUCUUGCCACGAGAAAGCGCUCAAUCGAUCCCCUUCUCCUCUAACAAACUGCCAGAAAUUUUCAACCAUUUUUCAGUGAAGCCAACAUCUGAGGAAGCCAAAACAAUUAAGCAAACAAUCGAAGAGUGUGAAGCUCCAGACCUUAAGGGAGAGGAAAUAUAUUGCGCCACAUCUUUAGAAUCAAUGGUUGAUUUUAGCACUUCGAAGCUUGGAACAAGAAACGUUGAAGCAAUCUCGACGGAGGUAUUGGAAAAAGGAGCCACCAUGUCCAUCCAAAACUAUACAACAAUGCCGGGACUGAAGAAGUUGGCAGGUGACAAAGUCGUUGUGUGUCAUAAGCAGAACUAUCCCUAUGCUGUGUUUUUCUGCCAUGCAAUAAAACAUACAGCAGCUUAUGCUCUCUCCCUGAAAGGCGAUGAUGGGGAGAAGGUUAAAGCAGUAACCAUCUGCCAUCUAGACACAUCAGAAUGGGACCCAGAGCAUAUGUCCUUCCAAAUCGUCAACGUUAAGCCCGGAACCAUUCCCAUCUGCCAUUUCAUUUCCACUGAUGCUAUUGCCUGGGUUCCGAACCACAAAUCUGCAUGAUCAUCACUUAGCACUAGUACUGUGCGUAUAAUAUGCCUGUAUAAUUAUCUCCCUACUUAUUUCUGCCUCUUCAUCAUGUGGUGUAAGAUAUAUGUUGAGAUGAAGUUUUUGGGAUUUGUGGUCGAAAUUAACCCGAUCAUGUUUUCUCUUGCAACCAUAUAGACUUCAACUUGUACUCAUAAUAAAGCAUGCUAUAUUUAUGAAGAGAUAUUAAUCUUCAGGCAAAUAGAUAUUAUGAAAACAUAUAUAGCAAUUUAUCCAGAAGAAACAUUAUGAAAUGAAAAGAAUAAAAAGUAGAAAAACAGAAGGAAAGGAAUUCGCACGUGCUAUGCUAUGUAUGAAAGGACCAAGAUUGUUUUCCCUUUGGUUAAUGACUAGAAAAGCUCACUUGCAGAGUGCUUUCUCCGACCAUAGAUGGAAGAGAAAUUUUCUCUUAAUAAUAGCACAAUGAUCGGGUAAUUGUAAGAACAAGUUGAUUUAAAAUUCCUUGACCCAAAAAAAAAAAAAAAGUUCUUUUCAAAUUCAGGUCAACCCAUAGAUUUCUUGCCUUCGUCUUCUUCAUCACGUUGGGCUUGUCUUCUUUUUGCGUUUUGGGCCUUGGAAGUUGGGACCCAACCCAACUUCACAAAAAGAAAACAGAUUUGCCAAAAAUCAAAUUUCAAGUCUCUCCUCCGAUCACUAAUACAGAUCAAAUUUUGGAUUUGAUGAACUAAAGUGGUUUUACUUUCUCUGUCAGUGUUUGAUGACUUAAUUUGUUAUUUACUUUUUUUUUUUUACUUGAUCUUUGUAGGGGCUUUUUUUUUUCCGGCAGCUUAAACGGGCUGGGCUGCCGUAAAGGGUAGAUUGAUGAAAUUGUCCCCUUUGUCUGAAUUCGAAAAUCAAGCCCCAAAAGCGCUUCGAAAGGGCAGUAGAGCCUUAGGAAGCGUUCUGGUUACCUUCACUAAUUAAAACAACAGCAACUUACAGAUGAUUUCUUGAGGCUUACAGAUAAAUUUUCUAGCUUGGCAUGACAUGGAAGCAAAAUCAGCAUGAGUUUAGCACCAAAGAGGAAAAUAUGGCUUCCUAGGGAGAAAUGAGAGUGUUUAAGGUGAGGAAGAAGAGGUUUGCAGGCUGAUUUGGCUGAGAAAAGAGAAAGAAAGAACAAUGUUCUUCCGGCAGCUUGACAAAGCUUCUGACAGAUGUGAAAGUCGUCCGCCAGAAGAGGAAAAUGGAGAAGAAGGAUGAAUAGUGCACGAAAUUGGUGGGUUCUUGCAGGUAAGAGAGAAAGCUUGCUCUCUGAAUCUGAGUUGGUUUUGGUUGGGUAGAAGAAGCCCCCUUUUAUAGCUGCGGGAAACCAUCUUUUUCCAAGAAACCCUAAUGGUUUCUAUCCUUUUUGGCCAAGCUUUUCCCUUCCUUUCUCUUCUCCUCCCUUGACUUUUCCUAUCUUGGUGAAAUUUCCUCUGCCUAUUUGCACAAAAUUAGAGAUUUUGAGGAGCUCAAGGCCCCUUUCCCGCAGCUGCCUUAGUGGAGAAUCCCCAUUUUCAGUCAUCUUUCUUCCUUCUUUUCUCCCAUCUUCCAAGGCUAGGUUUGAUGAGAGAAAGAAAUGGAUAUGCACACUGGUUUGAAGGGUGUUUUUCCUUGAAACUUGUUCUCUCCCAUGUGCUGGAGCUUCCCAGCAGCUUACACACAUAGAUAUUUUGGCUUUCAUCGUGGCUUUUGUUUUCAGCUAGGUGCUGGAGAUUUUGCAUAUAUUUUCUUGAGUUGCUUGGGCCUUCUAGGACAAUACGUUGGUUUAUCAAGUGAAUGGGCUAACUUCAUCAAUUGUUGGGCAAUUUUGGUUGAGUUAAUGGACUAUUUUGGUUCAAGUAAUGGACUAUUUUGGUUGAAAUAAUAGGCUAUUUUUCUCUCUUUGUGCUCACCCACAUAUUUGGGCCUAAAAAAUGGGCUUGAGUUUCGGGGCUCCCAAGCAACCCCGGGACUUCCAUUUCUCGGCCCAUCAAUGAGCCUCAUGUCAACUUAUUACCAUCCAUACCACAACCCACUCAAGCAAGCCUCAGGCAUCUUGCGUGGCUUGGGCCCACGUAAGCUCGUAGUGGCAAUGUUGCUUAUUUGCUUGACGUGGCAUGUGUGCAAGUGCAUAUGACGAACUUUCGCGUGCCCAAAUUGAGUUUCUUCUCGGUAGGGUAUCGCAUUGGGCCGAGAAUUUAAUUGGGUAGAACCGUGGAUUUUUUGGGCCUCAACAAUCUUAUAUAUAUUAGUUUUCUUUUUUUCCUUAAUAUUCACCACCUUUCUGUUGCAUAAGUAUUCCAGUCUUAGCGGGUUUCCAUCUACCACUCAUCUUUGCUCUUUUAAGUGCAAGCUUUUUUAUUUUUAUUUUUUUAUGCACAAGAUUAGAGGGGAGGGAGAUUUCUCAAUGUAAGCUUUGCAGUUUCAUAAUUAAUAUUUCCAAUAUCUCACUGUUAGUAAAAUAUGGAACGGGAAAAGUACGAAUAAAAUACACACAUGUUUUAUUUAGCAAAAUUUUGACAAGAUACAACUGAAAAGUUUGGCCACUAUAUAAUAUUUUGAUUUAAUUUUUUUUAUUUUUUUAAUAUAUAUUAUUUUUAUUCAAUAAUAUGUGAAAAAUAGGUGUACAAUAUAUGAAAUUUGUAUGUAUUAUUGAAAAAUUCGUAAAAAAAAAACAUGUUAUUAAAUGUGAAAAAUAUGUACGUAUAUGUAUAAAACAUGUAUUGUACAUUACUUUUUAACAAACUUGUAUUUUACCUAGUCUUUAAACCGUAUAUGGAAAACGGAAGUAUUAUUGAAAAAUACAUAUGUACGUAUAUGUAUAAAACAUGUAUUGUACAUUACUUUUUAACAAACUUGUAUUUUACCUAGUCUUUAAACCGUAUAUGGAAAACGGAAGUAUUAUUAAAAAAUACAUAUGUACGUGUAUAAUAUGAGUAUUAAACAAAAAAAUGUGCUAAGUACUUAUCUUUUAAUUUAAUAAUUCAUUUCAUUUUGUGAUCUCAUACGUAGUAAUGAGAGUUCAAAUUAAUGUUGCAGCUGACAAUGGUGGCUCUGGCAAGCCAUGCUUGAUGCAGGAGUAUAGGGGUGGAUCAAGAUAGAUAUUUACCAUGUAAUUAGUUAUUUCAUGAUAUAUUGUUAUUUUCUUAUUUAGGUAGUUUUAUGAUAUCUUUUAUUAUUUAUGUGGGAUUUUAUAAUUAAUUAGUUUACUUUUGGACCAAGUAGCCUUGGUGCUCAAGUCUUGUAAAGCUUAUAAAUAAGGCUAAUGUAAUAGUUGUAGGAAAAGAGAUGUCGAUGAUUAAUAAAAUCGUUUAUUUGUGGCAUGGAUUUGCUACGAUAUAUGUGAGUUUGCACUAGCCCUAGAUUUCGGUGCUCGUGUAUGUGGUUGGUGACCUGUGUCCGGAUCCCGAUCCCCAUCAAUGCUGUUCUCCCAGUACCUCAACUUUACUGGAACUCUUUCCUGCCAAACACAAAUGCCAAGAGCUAUCAGUCAACUUCUGCAUCCUGGUUUCUAUUAAGGGACUUUUCGUGAGCUUAUCAUCUACCCAAAUUUUACUCAUCCGACGUAAUUUUAAAAGUGAUUUGAUCCUUUGGCAAAGUAAUCUUGAACUACAAAAAAGGAGGGCACUCGAAUAGGCAUGCCAUUUGGUAUUACCCACCUCUAAUUUCUUUUAAAAUUUUAGUAAUUGAUUUUUAAGAUUAGAAAAUGGGAAAGUUCAAAACCGAAAAAGUUGUUUCAGUUUUGGCAAGUAUCGGAAAAGACUAAAAUUUUCCGACUUUAUUAUUACUAGAAACAAAGUCGAAGUAUUCACCAAUCAUGUGGCCUUCCAAGUGCUCAAGGUUAAGCCAGGAACCGUUCCUAUCAGCCAUUUCCUUCCCAAGUAUGAUCAUGUUGUCUGGGUUCCAACCCACAAAUCUACAUCAGUACCUGAACUAAUCAGUUCUACAUGAAUAUUCAUUCAUGGCAACCUUGGGCUAAGUAUUUGAAUUUAUGCUCAUAAAGCUUUAAUGCUUUUGAGGGCCAAUCGUUGUCUACAUAUGGUAUUGUAGCAUCUUUAGAUGGAAGAGGUCAGGGGUUCAAUUCUUGUUUUCCACUUCUUUAUUUGUUGGUUUAUCGAGUGUAGAGUGGAGUUGCACCUAUAUGUUCGUCUCUCACCCCAUCAUUUACCAUUGAUAUAUAUUUAAUAGAAGCCUAAGAUUUCGGAAGCACAUAAUUUCUACUUUACAAACUUCCUGUGUCUACCAAUUUCUACUAAAAUUAAUUUAUCUGCGGUGCUGAGAUUCAUCAUAAUUUUAAUAGAAAUUGGAAGUUUUCAUCAUUUUUGCUUUAAGUCUCUACUCCACUCACUAAUAAAGAUUACUCAUGUGAGUUUACAAAACAUUUUUUUUUUCUACUCUCUCCUGAAGACUACACUUCUUCUCAAAAAAUUAGAUCACUUCACAUCUUGUGUAUGUGAAAACUAAUGUAAAAAGUUGAAACUUUAUCGUAAAACCUCGACAAAAAUGAGCUCUACUACAAAAUGUUAAAUUUGGAUUCGUUGAUUUAAAUGGCAAUUUGACACUUGAUAGAAAUUUUUACAUACAUGUGUUAGUGUUUGAUCACUUCACAUGUCACUUACUAUAUUUAUUCCACUCAAGUUAGGUAAAUAUUAUUAUCAAACAUUUCAAUUAAUUUGUGAUUUUUUUAUUAUUUAAUCAAUUAUGAAUUAAUGGAUUCUUCUUGUUGUUUUGAAGACCAACAAAAAAAAAAAAAAGGGUAGUGAUGGCUUAUAAUUCUGGUAAAACAACAGUGACGUGGACAACAGAUGUUACGCUGUACUAAAGAUUUUUGAAGAUUCUUUAUUUGAGUUUCUUUCAAGAUAAAAACCAUAUUAUCCACAACCACAAGCACAUCCGGCAGACAAUCUUUGGCUAUUCAUCACAAUUGGGAGACAAUGAAGAAGACAGAAAAUGGAGUAAUUCAGAUGUUACCAGCCAUCCACGACAAACUGAAGUCUGCAAAGCAUUCGUAAUCUAAAAAGGAUGGGGAGGCUGCGCAAUACUUAGCCACGUGUAGGCCAGGAGGCUUUCCAAUUUUAAUAUAUAUAUAGAUUGAAAAAAUAAAAUAAAAAUCAAUCUAUUAUCAUAUAUAUUAUAAAAUAAAGAUUAUUGCUCCCAUGGGCGGUGCUAUGCACAGGACAGUGCCUGCCUAGUCCAAAUUUUUUUUAAAUAAAAAUAAAAAUCUACAUAUGUUAUAAGCUCAUCCAAAAAAAAAAAAAAAAAUAAAAGUGUUGUAAAUUAUAAGGUGGAGCCCACAUGUUGGAAGGCUUUGCCUACAAAAGGGUUCACACCCUCCCUUUGUAAUUAGACAUUGAGAAUACUAAGGAAGACAGAAAUGAAUAGAGAGAAAACAUUCCCUUCUCUCCAUCUCAAUUCCCUCUCCAAUUCCUCUAGAUUUAUAACACGUUAUCAGCAGCACGAAUCGCUUUCAAACAAUACCAGCUGAAUUUUAUGAUGAAACCCAGAUCUCUCAUCCAUCUCUGCUGCUCCACUACUUCAAAAUAAAUCCCACAGAAAAAGAAAAAGCCUCAAUGCUCUCUCUCUCUCUCUGUCUCGCUUGGGAGACUUGGACAAUUCCUCAUCCCCGUUACUGACAAUUUCAACAGCUUCAGGGGAAGCUAGUUUAUCUUCCUCUGCUCACGAAACCAUGACUCUUUCAGAGCCAAACAACAACACAAUAGACAACGCAUGGAGACCAGACUGGAGCUCGUCGGCUAAGGCACCGACGAUCCGACCCUACCCGUAUGGACCUUCCGGAUGUGGUUCCUGGGUCUUGUCUCAUGUGCCCUCCUCUCAUUUCUCAACCAAUUCUACAAGCAGCAGAGCUUCAAAUCAAACAGAUCAUGGCAUCGCUUUCACACCUCCCCAUCUUCCUCUUCCUCCUGUUCACCGCUUUCUAUUCUACAGCUUCGCAGUCCUUCAUCGGCGCAUCCAAAGGCGACAUACCGGCGCUCGCCUCAGAUCCGAACGCGGCGGCUCAGUGGGUGAACUCGAAUGUCCUCGCCUUCUACUCGGCCAGCAACAUCGACCUCAUCAACGUCGGCAACGAGGUCCUUUUUCUCCAACGACCAGGGCCUCAUCUCGCAGCUCCUCCCCGCCAUGCGAAAUGUCCAAUCUGCCCUCUCCGCCGCGUCCCUCGGCGGCAAGGUCCGUGUCUCCACGGUCCACUGCCUCGCCGGAUCGGGAUCCUUCCUUCAAGUGUUUCUCUGUCUUCGACUUGAAAAAGAAGGUCAUGGCAGGCCUAUGUAAAAAUUGCGAAAAGGAAGGCAAUCUUCAACCUUUUCUCCUGUCUCUCUCUUGAUCAAUUCAUGGAAGGCACAUUUGGGUCUUCCGGGGGCUCAUCAAAUGAGUCAGCAAUGUCAAAGGUGGAGGUGGUGGAGCAAGACUACGUGGGGAUGUCAUAUGAGGCAACCUCAUACCCAGCUGAGGCAGAGCUUGUGCUGGGCCUGGGCCUUGGCCUGAGCCUUCGUGGUGGUGGUGCAGGGAAGCAGCCAAAGCCAUGUGCAUGGGGUGAGCGUGGUAGAAUCUUGACUGCUAAAGUUAGGUGCUGAGUUACACUGUGUUCUCUGCUACUGACCCUAAGAGGAGUGCUAGAAACUUCCAUGUUCCGCCAUCAUUUCGCUUUCACUGUUACAAGGCACUGGAGUAUGUUUAAUUGAAAAGUGAGAUACACAGCAAGUUGAUCAGCCUAGUGGAAAGCAAAGGAUUAUUGCCAGGGAUAUGAACACCCACCGAAAUAAAGGGAUAAGUACUCUUUUUCCCUUCGACCAGUUUUUUUUUGUCCCACUGGGUUUUUACUGGCAAGGUUUUUCACGAAACAUAUUCCGUAUCAUUUGUGGUCUCUAAGAGGGAGUGUUGUAAAUUAUAAGGUGGAGCCCACAUGUUGGAAGGCUUUGCCUACAAAAGGGUUCACACCCUCCCUUUGUAAUUAGACAUUGAGAAUACUAAGGAAGACAGAAAUGAAUAGAGAGAAAACAUUCCCUUCUCUCCAUCUCAAUUCCCUCUCCAAUUCCUCUAGAUUUAUAACAAAAAGUAAAUUCUACACAUAUGUUGCCCAUCCAGGUGGUCCCAUAUCUUCUCUUUCCUUUUCUUUUGGCUAUUAGACUUCUUGUUUCUCUCUCUCUCUUUGCUACCCCACAUCAGCAAGUUUCUCCCUCUCUUUUUUUGGGAUCAAAUUCUUCUUCUAUUGACAAAAUCUUCUAUUAUAUUGGGUGGGCAACUUGGCAACAACAUCUUCUCCUCUCCUUUUGUCAACAGCAAGUAUUAUUCUCAUUCUCUCAUUUGCUAUAUAUCUUUAAUUAUAGUUUUAAUUUAAAAUUGAGUAUUCUAGGGUUUAAUUAGGGAUGAAUUAUAAUUUUGGGAUUUUGUUGAAAUUAAUUAGGGCUUCGAUUAGGGGUGAAUUAUUCUACUGCUUUGAUUUGGAAUUUUGUUAAAAUUGAGUAUUAUAGGUUUAAUUAUGGAUGAAUUACAAUUUUUGGUUUUGGUAUUGUUGAGAUGUUAUUAUGAGAAUUUGUUUGAUUUUUUGUUGGUAUAUUUGAUUAAAAUUCUUUCUACAUAUUAUUCAUAGGCUAUCUUUUAUUAUGUCGGAUCACAAUCGGAAUCCCAAGAAAACAAAAAAUUUGAAUAGUGUUGUUUUGUAUUGCAUUGCAUUUACUUUUGGUUUUAGUUUUGCUUUUAGUGUAAAUUACUCAAAUGGUCCUCAAAUUUGUACCCAAUUUACAUUUUGGUCCAUAAACUAAAUUAUUCAUUCAAAUGGUCCACCAACUCUUUAUUAAUCGGUGCUUUGGUCCUAUCGUUAUGUUUUCUAUUAAAUUUAGUCAUGUGAGCAGCACAUGCUACAUUUGUAUGGGUAAAUAAGACUUUUGACCAGUGGCGGAUCCACGUUGGGACAAGAGGGGUCGGACGACCCCUUGGAAGGCUGGAAAUUUGGCAAGGGAGUCCAUGAAAGCCCCCUUGGACAGCUGCUGGAAGCCCCCUUGUAUGCACACAAUGUGCUCGACGAAAUGCCCCAACGAAAUGUCCUGCGCAGCUGUGCUGCGCCUUGCGCGUAAUUUUUUUUUAAAACCAGCCUUGCCAAACGACGUCGUUUGGUCAAGGCUCAGUCAAAUUUUUUUUUAAUUAACCUGGCCUCAAAACGACGUCGUUUUGGGCCAGGUUUAAAAAAAAAAAAACAGAACAGUACACACGCACAGCAGCUCUGCACAGAUUCAUUUUCUCCAAACCUUUCAUUCCCAAUUCCACAGCCCCUCUUCCCAUCCUCUCAAACCCUAACCUCCCAACCUCCCAACCUUGGACAACCUCCAUCAACUCUUCACCGGUGGCCCAAUGCCGAUCACCACCACCUUCUACCGCCGUCCGCCGCCCAUUUUUUAAACUACAAGUAAGUAAGCAUGGAAAAUCUGAUAUUAAUAAUUAUAGUGAUAAUAUAUAUUGUUGAUAUUGAUAUUUUUUUUUUAUGUAAUGAAAUUUAUGGAUAUGAAUCAUAUUGAUUGAUUGAGUUUAUGCUUGAAAUUUAUGGAUAUGAAUCAUAUUGAUAUUUUUUUUUAUGUAAUUAAAUUUAUGGAUAUGAAUCAUAGUGAUAAUCAUAUUAAUGUAGAUUGAUUGAGUUUAUGCUUGAUUGAUAAUAUGAAUUGAUUGGGUAUAUUAAAUAUUGAUUGCUAUUUGAUAUGAUAAUUUGGUAUAUUGAAUAUUGAUUGAUAUGGGUUUAGGGAGUAUAUUGAAUAUUGAGAGUGGGUUAUUGAAAUUUUCAUAUUCAUAUGAUAAUUAGGAUAAAAAUUAAUGAUUGAUUGAAUUAAUUGAUUUGUAGAUUUAUGGAACGAUUCUUUAAAAGAAAAUUAUCUACGGAUAGUUCUUCUCUGUCUAAUCCGGGUAGUUCAAAUGCAAGACCAAUUGAAGUAGAUGAGAUCUUAGCUAAUCUUCAAGCAGACCCUGGACUAAGAACUCGAAUGGCGGAUUAUAGUCCUAAUAUUAGGGAUGAGAUCCGAAGAGCAUAUCUACAAAAGGGACCUUGUCAACCUAGAAGUUAUAAAUUCCCACAAACUAAUCAAUCAGGAAUUAAUAGACGCUUCAUUGCUCAUUGGUUUGAUGAUCAUGAUUGGUUGGAAUAUAGUAUUGCUAAAGAUGCUACGUUUUGUCUUCAUUGUUAUCUCUUCAAAUCUAAUUUUGAUCAAGUGGGUGGUGAUGCAUUCACUGGGGUAGGCUUCAAUAAUUGGAAGAAGGCGAAAGAAAGAUUUAACCUUCAUAUUGGACCGGUUGGUAGUGUUCACAACCAAGCUAGAGAAGUUGCUUACAAUUUGAUGCAUCAAACUACACACAUUGAAACAAUUGUGCUCAAGCAAACAAGCCAAGCUCGCACGGCUUAUCGCACUUGCUUGAAUGCAUCACUUAAGUGCACUAGGUAUUUGUUGCGGCAAGGGCUUUCUUUUCGUGGUCAUGAUGAAAGUGCACAAUCAAGUAAUAAAGGGAAUUAUUUAGAGCUCUUGCAAUUUCUUGCGGAUCAUGAUGAAAAAGUUAAGGCCGUUGUAUUGGAAAAUGCUCCGGGAAAUUUAAAGUUAAUAGCUCCUUCAAUUCAAAAAGAUCUUGUCAAUUCUUGUGCCAAAGAAACCAUUGAUCUUAUCUUGAGUGAUGUAAAAGAUAGAUAUUUUUCAAUAAUGGUGGAUGAAGCACGUGAUGUUUCAAUAAAGGAGCAAAUGGCAAUGGUGUUGCGUUAUGUGAAUGACAAAGGACAAAUAAUUGAAAGGUUUGUGGGGGUUCAACAUGUAACCGACACUACUUCAAGUGCACUAAAGGAAACAAUUGAUGAAUUCUUUUCUUCCGCGAAUUUGAGCUUUUCCAAGCUACGAGGACAAGGUUAUGAUGGAGCUAGCAAUAUGAGAGGUGAGUUCAAUGGCCUUAAGAGAAAGAUUUUGAGAGAACAACCUUGUGCAUUUUAUGUUCAUUGCUUUGCUCAUCAACUUCAACUAGCUCUUGUUGCGGUAGCAAAGAAAAACAUUGAUGUCAACUCUUUUUUCACAACGGCUAAUAGUUUGGUUAAUGUGGUUGGAGCAUCUUGUAAGCGUCGCGAUGCACUUAGAGCACAAUACCAAGAAGAGCUUGUGAGAGCUUUUGAAGAUGAUUGUCUUAUAACGGGGCGGGGCUUAAAUCAAGAAAGGACUCUCAAACGUGCCGGCAAUACACGAUGGAACUCACAUUAUGGUACGUUGAUUAGUAUCAUUUCUAUGUUCCCAUCUGUGGUGAAUGUGCUUCAAAUGAUUGUUGAUGAUAAUCUUAAUGAUAGUUCGGGUGAAGCCUAUAAGUUAAGGAGAGAAAUACAAUCUUUUGAGUUUGUGUUUCACUUAUUUGUAAUGAAAGCUAUAUUGGGAAUAACAAACACUUUGUCUCUAGCAUUGCAAAAGAAAGAUCAAGACAUUGUGAGUACAAUGAAUUUAGUGAAAACAUGCAAGGAAAACCUGCAGUUGAUGAGGGAUAAUGAGUUUGAAGAAUUGGUUGGGCAAGCAUCCUCGUUUUGUUACAAAUAUGAUAUUAUAGUUCCUACCAUGGAUGAGGAAUAUGUAAUUCCAGGGAGAUCAUGGCGUAAUGCUCCAAUGAAGACAAAUUAUCAUCGUUAUCGUGUGGAGAUCUUUAUUCAUGUAAUUGAUGGGCAACUUGCGGAAUUAAAUGAUCGCUUCAACGAGGUAAGUACUGAGUUACUUACUUGUUUGGCAUGCUUGAGUCCAAAAAAUAACUUUGUGACUUUUGACAAACGAAAGCUAGUUCGUCUUGCUCAAUUUUAUCCUUAUGAUUUUUCGGAUAGAGACUUAUUGAUGCUUGAAGAUCAACUUGGUGUUUAUGUUCAUCAUAUGCGUUCGAGUAGUGAUUUUUCUCAAUUGGAAGGGAUUAGUAGUCUUGCGGAAAAAAUGGUGGAGAAAGGAAUGCAUGAAAUAUUUCCUUUUGUAUUUGCUUCUUACAUUGGCUUUGGUUUUACCGGUUGCAACUGCAUCAGUGGAGAGGGCAUUUUCCGCUAUGAAUAUUAUUAAAAAUCCACUUCGCAACAGAAUGGGAGAUCAAUGGUUGAAUGAUAGCUUGCUUGUUUACAUUGAGAGAGAUGUUUUUGCUUGUAUUGAUAACGAAAUUAUAAUGCAAUGUUUUCAGAAUAUGAAAACUCGUCGUGGACAAUUGUAACUUGUAUUAUUGGUUUUGUUAUGAAUUAUGAAUGAAAGUACUAUCUUUCUAUCUUUUUAGCAUUAUUUUCUUUGUAGAAAAAUUUCAGAACUUUUACACUAAGCCCCCUUGGCUACAUAAUCCUGGAUCCGCCACUGCUUUUGACCACUUUAUCACCUAUGUAUCACCACUUUAUAACCUAUUUGGGGAACAUAGGUCAGUUAUGGACGGUUUUACCCUUACAUUUGACGGCAACAUUAACAUAAUGUAACAGUGGGAUCAAUGGAGUGAUUAAUAUAAAGUUGAUGGACCAUUUGAAUGAAUAAUUUAAUUGAGAGACCAAAAUGUAAAUCAAGUAUAAGUUUGAGGACCAUUUGAGUAAUUUACCCUUCGCUUUUAUAUUUGUUGAACUUUUAUUUAUGAUAGAUAUGCAUUUAAGGGUAAGACCCAUUAUGUUCCCCUGGCUAGGUGUAUCUUUUUAUGUUUAUUAAUGAAAUUCACUCGAACUGUUGAGUUUAGUAUGUAAGUUUUGCCUAACUGGCUUUUGAAUCCUAGAACCGCCACUGUUGCUCCAUCCUCCAUGCACUUGCAUGUGCUCUUACAAAGUGUGAAGUAGAUUUUGUGUGCUCCAAGUCAUUGACUAGAGCUGAAACAUGGUUAGCUAGAUUUAUAAGGACCCAUCUCUUUAUUUCCUAGACAUAUACCCAUCUCUCUAUAAAUCUAUAUGUAAAACCUAAUUUCAAACUUAAAUGACCAGUAGGAUAUAAAAGGUCAUAGUAUUCCUAUGUUUUUAUAUCGUUGCCACCAGACUUCUUAUUUUAUUUAUAAUUUAUUUCAAGCAUUUCAUUAACUGCCAUAAUUGUAAUUAAUACUCCAUAUUAAUAGCAUAUCAAUCACCCCAUUUCUUUUGGUUGCCAUUCCCUCUAACAUAUCGCCCCUUAAAUUUGAAAACCAAAAAAAAAAAAUGUAAAUUACAUAUCCAAUAAUGUACCUAUGAAAAAUAUAAAUAUAAAUAUAUACAUAUAAAAAUAUAGGUAUAUUAUUUACCAAAUAGAAAAUAUAAAAACCUAGGUCAGUUGCUUUGUAAUUGAAAUUUCUGUACAUUUUCCACAAAUUAAAAAUAGGUACAUAAUAAUUUAUAGAAAAUAUAUGUACAUUAUUUAUCCAUAGGUAAAAAUACCGAUAAAUGCACAUAGGUGAAUUAUUUACCAAUAUAUUAUUUUUUUGCUAAGGAUUUACCUUAGUUUUUAGUAGAUUAAUUUACCUACCUAGAGGCAUAGGUAGCUUAAAAAAAAUGUACCACCUUAGUUGGUUGCAUACUAAUUUACCUACCUAGAGGCAUAGGUUGCUAAGAAAAAAUGUAGGUAAAUUCAUGUACCUAAACACAUAGGGGUCAAAUAGAGAAUAACAUGUUAUUUCCCUUUGAACAAAUUAAUUUCAAACCAUAACAAUUAUUGAAUUUGGAAAUUGGUAUAAAUAAAAGGAAAUAAAUAAACUAUCAAUUUGAAAAUUAAAAUAAGAAAUGAUCAAGUAGUCAUAUUUGAAAAAAAAGGAAAGAAUAUAUUCUUGGUUUUUAUAGGAACAACGAGUAUAUUCAAACCAAACGGCGAUAACUACACCAAGCUUUAAUUACUUUUUUUUAAGGCCAAAAGUCACUUUUGGUCCCUGUAGUUCGGCAUUUCUACCACUUUUGAUGUUGUAGUUUCAAUUCCGUCAAUUUUGCCAUUGUAGUUUCGUAUUUGUAGCAAUUCAAGGACCUGUUAAUAUUAAUGUCAAUUUGUUUAAUGAUGCAAGAGGUAAUUUCGUCAUCCCAAAAUCCUUGAGCAUAAAAGAUUGUCUGAAAUUCUCCCCAUUUCAUAUUAGGGCUCGAAAUUCAACCACUAAUCCUAAUUUUUGAAGAACCCUAGACCCAAAUGACCAAUUUCAAGCCCUAAUAUGAAAUUACGGAAGUUUUAGAUGAGCUUUUAUGCUCAAGGAUUUUGAGUUGAAGAAACUGCCCCUUGCACUGUCAAAUAAAUUGACAGGAAUACUGACUUGUCCUUGAAUUGCUACAAAUACAAAACUACAGUGUCAAAAUUAACAGAAUUUAAACUAUAGGGUCAAAAGUAGUUGAAGUGUCAAACUAUAAGGACCAAAAGUGACUUUUAGCCUUUUUGUUUCAAUAAGGAAAAAACUGACCUAUUAAAUCCUUGGAAUCUAUACAAAAUUGAAACACAAUUAAUCAACAUUGAAUUGCAGCUAAUUUCUUAAACAAGGGUAUUAUAGGAAUUUAAAAAGUAUAACAUUUAAUCCAUUGAAUUUGAUUAGGAAACUUGAUGAAUUGAAUCCUAGUUAUAUAGUUUUUCUUAUAAAAAUCAGGUUUUAUUUAUAGACAAAUAAAACAAUGGGUUGUAGGUAAGAAAAUAUUAAUUUGAAGGGAAAGAGUCAAAUUUACUAAAUUAAUAAAGCAUAAAUUGGAAAGGGAAAAGAUCUAGAGGAUGCAUUGUAGGAUUGCUCAUGCCAAUAAUUGCACCCUCUCGAUAUUGAAAAACCUAUUGUUUAUUAUUAUCUUCAAUCCUGAAUGAUGCACCUAAAACCCAAGUGUCUCAGGCCAACCAUUGCGCUCAUACCACUUGUUGCAGUACACAUUCACCUGUUUUUAAAGAAAGAAAUUCUACCAAUCGAUAUUUUCUCAAAUUUAAUCACAUAGAUCUAUUAUGGUUAACCAUAUGUACUUUUAUCUGCCAUCCAGAGGUACCUUUUUCCAACGUGCAACAAUUGUAUUUGAUUCACAAUUAUGUCUGAUAUACAUCACAUCAUGCCACUUGCCUCAAAUGAAUUUAAUUGAGUGAGGCAAUGGGAAGUAAUUAAGCUCUAUAUUGGUGGGUGGAGUGUUACUUCUGGAACCCUCAUCAUUCGUCCAUACAGGGGAACAAUUCCCUUCCUUCUAUAAAAUGGGAGCAAUUCUCUCACUGUACUCUAUAUAAAGGAAUAAGUGUCGUCCACUAAUUAAUUACACUUUGUGAGAUUUGAUUUUAAUUAGAGUUCGAAUUAAUGUUGCAGCUAGCAGCGGUGGCACUGGCAAACCAUGCUGCUCAACCAGCACCUCCACUUUACUGGAAUUCCAUCCUGCCAAACACACAAAUGCCAAGAGCUAUCAGUGAACUUCUGCAUCCUGAUUUGUGUUGAAUAGAUAUAGUAUGUUACUGGAGUACGUAUGGCAACAUAUUCACAAAUGUGUCACGUAUUUUCCAUUAUGACGUUGAUAUAUAAUUGCAGACUCCACAAACGAAGAAAAGAGCACAAAUGUCAUGAAUGCUGUUGGGAAUGGAAAGCCAAUUGACCACAAGGGCAAACCUGAAAAUACUGUACUACCACAGCUUGCACGACGCCCAUUUUCUUACAAGAGUGAUGAUCGUCCCACUGACAAUCAACUCCAUUAUAAAAACGUAGCUAUUUUCUUCUUGGAGAAGGACAUGCGCCCUGGCACAACAAUGAGCUUCCAAUUCCCUAGAAAUUCAAACACGGCUACUUUCCUGCCACGAGAAAGAGCUCAAUCGAUCCCCUUCUCCUCUAACAAACUACCAGAAAUUUUCAACCAUUUUUCAGUGAAGCCAACAUCUGUGGAAGCCAAAACAAUUAAGCAAACAAUCGAAGAGUGUGAGGCUCCAGGCAUUAAGGGAGAGGAAAUAUAUUGCGCCACAUCUUUAGAAUCAAUGGUUGAUUUUAGCACUUCGAAGCUUCGAACAAGAAACGUUCAAGCAAUCUCGACGGAGGUAUUGGAAAAAGGUGCCACCAUGUCCAUGCACAAGCACACAACAAUGCCGGGACUGAAGAAGUUGGCAGGUGUCAAAGUCGUUUUGUGUCAUAAGCAGAACUAUCCCUAUGCUGUGUUUUACUGCCAUGUAAUAAAACCAACAGCAGCUUAUGUUCUCUCCCUGAAAGGCGAUGAUGGGGUGAAAGUUAAAGCAGUAGCCAUCUGCCAUCUAGACACAUCAGAAUGGAACCCAAAGCAUUUGGCCUUCCAAAUCCUCAAAGUUAAGCCCGGAACAAUUCCCAUCUGCCAUUUCCUUCCCACUGAUCAUAUUGUCUGGGUUCCGAACCACAAAUCUGCAUGAUCAUCACUUAGCACUGUACGUAUAAUAACCUUUACCCCUGUAUAAUUAUCUCCCUACUCUACUUAUUUCUGCCUCUUCAUGUGGUGUAAGAUAUAUGAUGAGAUGAAGUUUUUGGGAUUAGUGGUCGGGUUGCCUUAAAAACACAGAUUACAGAAACUGCUUGAACUUAACCCGAUCAUGUUUUCUCUUGUACUCGUAAAGCAUGCUGUUGUGGUUCUACUUAAUUUCGUCCUCCCCAAUGUUUGAGUGUUUAAUUGUUACGUUGGAAUAGGCUGCUAAUGCAUGUAGUUAGAGAAGCUUUCAUUUAUAUCAAAGUCCUCAAACUAUCAAGAAUUAAUGCAUCCAGAAACAUAUAUACCAAGACGCAAAACAACAUAUUUUCCAUGCUGUGUCGGUAACACCAAAGCAAACUUCCUUUAUCACAAAAGGACCAAAUUCCAAUACUAAUCUAAUCCAUCAUGUAAAGCAUACAAUCUACAACUGCCUCCCUAAAUUUGUCCAUUGGAUAUAUAUGUCACUUUUUGGUAAUUUGGUAUAGCAGCACCACGUAGUAUGCAUUUAACAGAAAAGUAAACAAAAUUGACAGUAGAACUAUUUGUCCUAACGAAACUGAAGUUGAAAGACCAUGAGAACGAUUUUGAAAAUUAAGGGACUCAAAUGAAAAUUGGGUCUAAGUUCAGGGACCAAUAAAACGAUUAACCCAUAGAUUUUGGAUCCAGUACCACAUCCCAAAGAGAAAACCACAAGUUUGCAAGCAAGUUUGUCCAUACUAACACUACGUACAGUAUGGGCAAUGUGCUAGACUCAUCUCACUUUCUCAACCUAUCCUAUACUUGUCUAAAAGAGUUUCUAAUUUAAUGUACUGAGAUUUACGAAAGAAAUAUCAGAGAAACAAUUUUCAGGCAAUAAAAAAAUGUCUUGGCAAGAAAAUGCACAAUUUGUUACAUAACUUAUUAAAUAUGAACAGUUGAAAGAAAAAAGAAUUUGGAUGAGGGAUUUGCAAAUUCCUAUGGCCCAAUUACCUUUUUUUCUUUGUUUUUUUUUGGUUCUUUUGAUCCAGUAGCAUAUUCCAAAGAAUGAAAACCACAGGCAUGCAAUGCAAGCUCUUUUCCCAUGUUUUCCUCUGUUUUUCUCCUAUCAUGGAAGUGAUUAAAACACACCUCUAAGCUUGUUUUGCGUUUGGUAGCCGAGUGUAAAAGCUCAAUGCAAGAUAGUUUGAGGUAGAAUUUUCUCCUGUUUUAUUAGGACAAUGAUGAGCUAUAUGUGACAACAAAUUGCUUUAAUAAUGAAAAUUAAAAAAGUGUGAUUCAUUGAAUAUUUGCGGGGUUUUGUUCAGAGCUGACAAAGUUCUAAGUCAACACAUCAAAUUCCUUUUUCCAACAAUCGUAUUUGAUUCACAAUUUUGUCUGAUAUACAUCACAUCAUGACACUUGCAUCAAAUGAAUUUAAUUGAGUGAGGCAAUGGGAAGUAAUUAAGCUCUAUAUUGGUGGGUGGAGUGUUACUUCUGGAAUCCUAAUCAUUCGUCCCUACAGGACUCUAGAACUCUCACACUUCUUACAAGGACUACUUAACUCUAUAGCUUAUUGCAUAUAGCAUAUAUAUGCAAACCCAAUUAGAAAUUCUACAACAGAAGCAAGAUCAAUCUCACUAUGCCUUCUAAACAAACAAACAAAUAAAACAAGCAUAUUAAUUGCUUUAAUCACUCUACUAACAUCAACACAGCACACUUAGUUUACUAACAGAUGAUAUAGAAAGGAAAAAAAAGGACCAAUAGGGAGAAAAUGGUGAACUAAGGAGAGACUAAUACUUCUGGUCCUUAGAAGGCAUAACAGAAAUAAUAGAGCACACUGCUUGAAUGCAAGUCAGUAUUAGGAGCAAAACAGCUGCAAUGAAAGAAAUAGUUGCCCAAGGUGUAUUGAAAUAAUGUUGCCUCAAAUUUGCCUUCCAUUUGUUCCAAGGCUUUCUGCAGUAGCUAUUAAGGCGCUCAGAAAGAGUAGCAAAGUAGAAGCUUUCACGAUACACUGCAAUUCCUUUUCCGAGGUUGUUAAUCAGAGUGCACACCUCAUUGUAGUCACCAAGCAUAUUUUUGACAAUCCCAUACUUCAGAAGGAACUCCACAUCCUUUUCGGUGUUCACAAACUCAUCCAUGAGUGAAACAUAAUCACUUAUGUAAUUCUUACGGCAAUGGCACUAUUCAAAGGCAAUGAGGUUAUGGAGUGUGAGCUCUGUGUAAUCGUUUAUUUUUAGUUUUGGAAUUUCUAGAAUCCCAUCGUUGAAUCGUGUUAACGCAGCUUUCCUUUCCUAGCCUACGCGGAAGUCAACUUCACAAUCUCCUCCUAGCAAUUAGCCUUUCCUACUGUAAAUCGGAUUGUAUUCAUGUCUAUAUUAUUUCCUACCUUAAAUAGAUAUCCUGUACUAGUAUACAUAGGGACUUUGUGUAAUCUGUUAAAUACAAGGAAAUAUAUACUCUACAUGGUAUCAACCUAACCUAGGGUUCUCUCUCUCCCCCUUAUUCGAUCCUCUUCUCCUUUAGGUCCACCUCAUGGCUUCGUUUGAAUCCACCAUCUCCCUCCCAAGCCCUAACUCUUCUCAUUUUAUCAAGCUUACUAACUCCAACUAUCUUCUUUGGCUCCGCCAACUCAAACCCUUUUAGUUGGCCAUGACCUCUGGAAAUUUAUCGAUGGCAUUCAUAAACAACCUUCUGCCCACACCUCCACCUCUACCACCACAACACCCACAACCACCACCACUCUUACCGAAAUCAAUCCUACCUAUGCUCAGUGGUACCAACAAGACCAACUCAUUGUUAGCUACAUCACCAGUACACUCUCUGAGUCCAUUUUCUCUCUCACUGUCGGUUGCAUCUCUGCCCGGGAUCUCUGGGAGUGUCUCCAAUGCCACUUCUCUUAAUCCAAUAUGGCCAGUGAAUCUGCUCUUCGUUUUCAACUCAUGGAUUUGCAAAAAGGCUCUCAACCCAUUGAUGCUUACCUUCGUCAUGCUAAGUCUCUUGCCGAUUCACUAGCUGCCAUCAAUUAACCUGUCUCCCCAAAAGAACUUGUCACUGCUGUGCUUCGGGGUUUAGGACCCGAUCACAAAAUGCUCAUCACAGCAAUUCUCAAUUUCUCUCCGCUUCCAGACUUUGCUGAUCUUCGUGCUCGUUUGUUAGCUUUUGAUGCACAGACUCCUCGAAUCUUUCCUGAUCAAAACACAACGCUAAUGGCCACCCAAUCUUCUCCUUACACCACCGGUCAUACUUCCUUCCCUUCUCACCGUGGUUGUGGCUCUUCCAGCAAUAGGCGCGGUGGCUGGUGCAGUAUUGGCCGUGGUGGCUGGCACAACUUCUCAUCUUCCUAGAGCAACCCGUGGAAUGGCUUCCAGCAGCCCUAAUGACCUAAUCAACUGUGGCCUCCUUUUGCUCUAAGUUUUGGAUCUCAAAGCAACUGGCCUUCCUUUCAACCUCUUUGGGCCCAAUCUGCCGCUUCUAGCAAACACUCUGCCCGACCCAACUCAGCUCCUGGUGUCUUGGGACCCGCUUGGUGCACCACAUGCAAUACCAAUCGACAUACUACUACAACAUGUCCUUAUUGCUACAAUGGCCCAGAAUUCUUCCUUUGCUGGGGCUCAAUUCAUGCAGCCACCUAACUCUACAUGGUACCCUGACACAAGUGCCACUCAUCAUAUGACUGGUAGUUCUUCUAAUCUCCAAAGGAAAUUAAAUGAAGGAGUCCUACGAAGGCUCAAGGCUCGAAAGCACACGAUCCGGCUCUGCUGCGGAGCUCACUCAACUACUGGCUGAGGGGGCGCAAAACAGAAAAUUGUGAGUGGACAAAAAUAAAAAUUCAGUUCAGUGUAAACCAACGUAAUAUAACCCCACCGUUUAGAAAACCAUGCAAGAAAUCCAAAUGCAUCUCAAAACCAUCAUAAUCAUCAAAUCAAAAUCAAAUACUGGAUGCCAAGUCCGAAAUCCAUAAAGAAAGCUUUACAAACCCACCAUCCAAAUCUUACAAUCCCACAACUAAACUCUCGAAAGCGUACCCAUUGGCAGUACCAGCAAGGAAGUAUCCUCACCGAGAAACAAGAACAAAAGAAUAGCUAUAUAUAUAAUUAUAUAAUAUAACCACACCUAGUUGUACCGGGAAAACAAUCCAACCGGGGGAUUGUUUGACUAGUCACCAUGGCAGAGUCAAAGUAAACAAAUUCCUCAAUUCACCAUGUGACUAGGGAACGAGCUGUCCAACUGGGGGACCAACUCUCAGCCAGCAUGUACCGUCGAUAGCCUCAAAACCCGUACGUCUGUGACCAGUCCUACGCGUGCAGACUACCCAAUCAAGGGUUUACAGCAACAUCCCAUCAAGGAUGCCCUAGGUUCCCACAAUUCCAAGUAUCUCAAGUUUGCGUAUCCAAGUUCCAAAUCCGGGGAGGUACAUAGGGUAGUGCUUAUAGCACUCCAAAUUGACAUUCUAUACUCAUCACUUUCCACAAUCUCAUCUCAACAACCUAAGUACCCCACACAUAGCCAAACAUAUAUAGAAAUUCUCAAAAUCCAUAUAUACAUACUCAAGAUACUCAAAUAUGUCAAAAUCCAAAAUAUAUUUCCAAUGCAUCAUAAAAAUAUCACUUUUAACAAUUGAAUAAAUAAUAUAUAUCCAAUAUACCAAUUAAAACAUCAUGCAUAAUAUUUCCCAUCAUAAAAUCAUGCAUAAGAUUUGAAAACAAAGUCCACUCACAAGUAGUCCCACACUGCUUGACCUUGAGAGGGUCCCGCCUACUGCGUAUGCGUGGUUGGAGUACCUAUUUCAGAAUACGUAUACGAGAUUAAUAAGAAGCGUUUCGAACGAGAACUUUGAAUUAAAUAUCCUAAUUUCCCAGGUUUCUAGUAAGUGUACUAGGAACGAGACGUUCUAAGGUUCCACUACCCAAUUCGAACCAUGGAAGAGCUUCGGGAGACACUCGGUCAACCGGCGGUCAAAUUCCCAAAUCGGGUCAACUGGCCCACGGGACCCACGACCUCCGUUUUUAAAAUCCGUAAGUUCCUAAAGGUUUCACAAUGUCUAAGAUACUACUAUCACAAGUUUGGUCCGAAACGGACUGUUAGAUCGCUUACGAUCGCACGAUCAGACGGUUAUUGUAAAACGUAAACUUUAAGUUAUUGAAUCAGAACAUCCGGGGCUCCGAUUCACGAUCCGCGAAUUCCUACACGAUCCUAGGAAGGUCUAGAGUAACAUAUAUUGGAAUGGAGUCGAUCCAAAGGUCCGAACAUAUCGAACCUAGACCGGAUAACUCCUAAUAUGUGAGAUUCGUUCGGGGUUCGAACAUCAACCAAAUUGGAAUCCUAAGGUACCUACGUGCUCGUGACAUUAAGGGGAUCAAUUGGGACAAAAAUGCCCCUCUGCUACAGUGCCCACGUGCCACCACACGCGGCGGUAGAGAGUGGGUGUCCAAAGCGAUUUCUCUUCGCCGGAAAAUCUCCAAAUUACAAGCCACUCUCCUGGCUACAGGUUCUACUCAACGAGUGGAACACUUUAUUCAACUACAGCCAAGUCCAAUUCGGACGGCAAGUGGCCGGAAACUCACGGUUUAACCCGGAACUUCAUGGCUUGGAUUGGGCGACCAUCGUCACCAUUGUCGUGGCACAACCUAGGAAAUAGCUAAAAGGAGAGGAGGGCUACCUAUUCCAAGCGAUGGCGCAGCUCGCGGUAGCCGAAAAUGUAGCCGAUGACGUUGGCAGUUUUGGCCGGUUUUUCACGUCGUUGCCAUCGCCGUUUGUCGAGUUUUCGAUUGGAGAAAAGGGGUGGGGUGAGUAGAGGAGGAAGAGAGGAAGCUUUUGCAAGAAAUGACACUUGUCAGGGAGGGGGGGGUUGGGGGAAGAGAGAGAGAGAGAGAGAGAGAGAGAGAGAAAAAAAAAAAAUUUCAGAUUUUCAUCCAAACCCUUUUCGAAAUAUUUACAAGUUUGCCACUAAACUACUUUUGGUUGCCAAAUCUUCGUUAUAACUCCGAUUCAAGCCUACCACGUGUCUACGGAUUCGUCUCAAUACAACCUACCCAAAAAUACCAGUCACUGCCCCAAACUCUUUUUGGGUAAGAAAAUGACCAAAAUACCCCUACCCCAAGGGUAAAUUCAUAAUUUCACUUCAAUAAUUUAAUAAAGAAUUAAAUUUGGAGUCGGGGUGUUACAUUAACUACCUGUUUAGUAGGUGUGGGGUUUUAUACAAAAAGCAUCGAUGUUAUUGGGAGUGGAACCACUUAUUAUAAGUUGUGAUUUAUUUAGUCAAGUUUCCUAUGUGGGAUUUUCUAUUCUUCAACAAGCCCCCUCAUGUGGGACCACCACAUAGUGGGCCACAUGUAAAGCUAAGUCCACAUCGGAGUCAAUCAUUCAAGCCCAAUACCUAAACACCACGUAUUGUGUGAGGGGUAGGGGUAAACAUUCAAGCCCAACAUGUGAACCACCAAAUAUUAAGUAAGGGUAAAGGCUCAAUUCAGGCCCAAUCAAUGAACCCAUUAUGAUAUCAUGUUAAAUUUCAGAUAGACGGGACUGUGGCCCACCACUAGCAACAUUGAUAUUGUCCCCAACUUAACUACAUGUUUAGUAGGUGUGGAGUUCUAUACAUAAGGUCUCGAUGUUUUUAGGAGUGGAACCACUUAUUAUAAGUUAUAAUUUAUUUAGUCAAGUUUCCAGUCAACCUGACUUUGAUACCAUGUUAAGAUUUUAAAGGGACGAACUCUUGGCACUAUUAGUAACAUCGACAUUGUCCCCAACUUAACCACCUGUUUAGCAAGUGUGGGGUUUUAUCCUAAAGGCCUCGAUCUUAUUAAGAGUUGAGUCAUUUAUUAUAUGGAACUUUCUAUUUUGUUAACUCUGUGUAUUCUUCAUCAAUGUGAACACCCCUAAACCAAUCAUACCUGAUACGAAUUGAAACACAAGUUUGUUUUUUGCCUUUGGUAGAUGAGUAGCUAGAAAAGCUCAAUGCACUUGCUCUUCUGCUACAUUUCAAUAUAAGAACAAGGUUUGGAAGUCAGGUCAACUCCUCAUAGCUUCCUUGCCUUUGCUUUGACAUGUCUAUGCACUUCUUGGGGAAGUUUGAAUAAUCCAUUGCAGGCCCCAUGACAACUAAGGAACCAACAUUUUGUAGAAGGUUUUGUCUAUACCUUUUGACUAUAAGUAAAAUCUUUUGUAUCUGCUCUUAUGUUUCGGUGAAGUUUCUAUGUGUCCUUUGUGCCGAGUUUCUAUGCGUCCUUUGUUGAACCAAAAAAUGAGGUUGUUUCUUACUAGAUUCAAAUACUUAAAAGAAAAAAAGAAAUUGUUGUUUCUUAAUGGAUUUUAUGAUGAACAAUAUCAAACUCUCCUCUUAUACGUCUGUUGGUAAAUUUUAACAACAAUAUUAAAACCUUGCAAGUGCACAAAUCAAAUGAUAGUAUAGUAAGCAAGCAAGGGUCGAUCCCACGGAGAUUGUGAUCUAAAGAGAUGUUUAUCAAUGUCACGCAAUGAAAAUCAAAACAAAGGACUUCCAAACACACGCCAACACCAAGGGGGGUUUUGAUUUGUUUUUGUGAAUCAAACAAAAUAAGGAAAAGGAAACAAAAGAGAAUUUAAAUUAGAGUUUAAGAGAAAUUGGUUUAAAAUCAAUCAAGAUCAAUAGCUAGGACUUACUAUCCACCUCCAAACAAUCAAUCAAUCCAUAAACAACAAUAGAUAAUCAAUUUCUAGUAAGCACACUACUACAAAAAAGCAAAAAGACGACGGUAAAUCACCGUCGUGUAUUCGGUUUUUCAAUGGUCGUGGAAUCCACCGUCAUCUUUUCCCUCAUAAACCACGACGCUAAAUCACCGUCGUUGUUACAAUAUACAACGUCAUCAACAAAUACAAAACGACGUCUUUGUACUGCAAAAAGAUCUAAAAAAGCAAUCGAUGAUGAGAAAAGACGACCAACUCUCUAAACAAACCGUCGUUAAAAAGAAAAAAUAUGACACAUAUUAACAGAACAUGGCCGCAAGAUAGACAUACAACGACGAAAAUUAAAAUAAGACGCCGUUAAAUAUCAUUUUCACGACAAUAAAAAAUAUGUCGUCUUUAAAUACAUUAGAAGACGACGUUAUUGAUACCUACUACGUCGCCUAUAUAAAAAUAACCGUCGUAAAAUAAAUUUUCCACUUCGAUUUUUCUAUAAAAGAUGACGUGGAAAUAGUUGUCAGUGUCAUUAUUUACGACGUAUGUAUUUAUAGAGUAGACGUUGAACAACGAAACAACGUCGGUUACAAAUAUAUGAGAGUCGUAUUACAAAAUUUAUACGUCCUAUUUUCAGAAACAAACAACGACGAUAAAUAUUAGACGUUGUUAAAUAAAACAACGUCGAAAACAAAUAAAAACAGACGUGUUUAGUCUGCUAAAGUUCUAAAAAAUAGUCGAGGAUGAGAAUAGACGACCAACUCAAACAAAUCACCGUCGUUAAAAAGGAAAAAUAUGACACAUAUUAAAAGAACAAGGCCGCAAGAUAGACAUACAACGACGACAACUAAAACACUACGCCGUCAAAUAUAAUUUUCACGACAAGAAAAAAUAUGACGUCUUUAAAUACAUGAGAAGACGACGUUAUUGAAAUAUACUACGUUUCUUAUUUACAAACAACCGUCGUGAAAUAAAUUUUCCACUUCGAUUUUUCUAAAAAAGAUGAUGUGGAAAUAGUUGUCAGUGUCAUUAUUUACGACGUAUGUAUUUAUAUAGUUGACGUUGAAAUGCGAAACAACGUCGGUGGCAUUUAUAUAGUCGACGUUGUAUUUAUAUGUAUUCAUUACUCACGACGCACUUAUUAAUAUAGACGACGUUGAACUUCUAAACAACGUCGGUUCCAAAUAAAUGAGAGCCGUAUUACAGAAAAUAUAGAUGGCGUUGAUUAUGAUGAGAGCCGUAUUACAAAUAACGUCGUUUAAUUGAUAUUAGACGGCGGUUAUAAUGAAUUACCGUCGGAAUUCAUUUCGUUCCUCUUCGUUUAUAAAAGAACUUGCGACGUGGAAAAUGUAUGAUGACGUCGUAUUUUUUAACGUUCAGAUUAUAUAUCUCGUUUUUUAGACGUCGGUAUUAUGGGAUUGGAGUCGUGUUAUUUUGAAUUACAUGGCGGUUCUUAAUCCUUCCCCGACGUGAUAUCCUGAAUAAUUGCUUCAUAAUAGCGUCGUGGUUCUUCAUUGUUACGUUGCUUUAAGACGUCGGUAAAUAUGCUGAAUAACUGGUUCACAAUAACGUCGUGUUUUAUUUGAACGUAGAAAGUGAAGAAAUCACAUUACAAUAUAUUACAAAAUUAAUGUCAUACACUGCCAAUUACAUAAGCAUCAUUCAAUCCAUAUAUCUUCACACCCAUCUCGAAUAUUUUGACCGCCUAACUCACCCACCAGUUCAUCAAAUGUGUCAACAUUUGGCAUCCCUCUAGUAAAUGGCUCACACUCAAUUAUCACAUCACCUAAGACUUCAUCACCAAUAACAUUAUUAUAUUCUCUAUUAGGCAUUGAUAACACUACCGACCAACCACGAUGCAUCGGGUCGUCAACAAAAAAUAUUUGUUUGACUUGAGAAGCCAAAACAAAUUGGUCAUUCCUAUGUCCAAUUUUACUCAAAUCUACAAGGGUAAAUCCAAGUUCGUCGACUACAAGACCAGAACUAUCUAUCCAAUCACACCUAAAGACUGGGAUUGUAAACUUUUGGUAGUCAAGGUCCCAAAUUUCUUGAAUGACACCAUAGAAACCCAUAUUUGAGAGAAUUGAGUUUUUAUCCUUGGCACUAGCAACUUGCAUGGUAUGUGCAAGUAAAUAAACUCCACUAUUUUGAGUUGUCCGCACAUCAUCUUGUGCCUUGAUAUUGAAUUUAAUACCUUUAAUAAGAUAGCUCCUAUAUAAUGGCACAGCCAUGUUUGGACCAGCUGCUAGCCACCUUAAAUUUUCUGAUACGCCAUGAUUGUCUUCCUCAAGUUCACUUUGAACCUGCAAAUUAAUCAUAUAUCUUAAUGCAAUCUAACAUAGAAAUAAGAAGAAAAUUAAAAGAGAAAUAUGUUAUUCAACAACAUAUACCUUGAAGCGUAGCCAUUGAAUGAAAGUGUUAUUGUGCUUAUCCUGCAGCCACUUUGUGAUUUAAGGUAUGACAAUCAUGUGAUUUAAGGCCAAGAAGUCUUGAAUCUUGUAAAGAUACAAGAUUUUUAAUAUUUGAAGAAUAACCUUCAGGGACCUUCAUACCAUAGAAAGAAUUGCAAACCUCUCUCUUCUCUGCUCUUGACAAAUUCCAAGGCCCAGGAGGCAAACGAGUACGUCUUUCUCCAUACUCGGGUUGCAAAUCAGUUUUGACCCCCAUGUUCAAUAAAUCUAAUCGAGCAGCAAUCCCAUCUUUAUUUUUUCCAGGGAUCUCCAGCAAUGUACCAAUGAUACUAUCGCAAACAUUCUUCUCAAUGUGCAUAACAUCUAGGGCAUGCCUCACAGGAAGGUAUUUCCAAUACUCGAGAUCAAAGAAUAUUGAUUUCUUCUUCCAACAAACUCUGUCACCAUUUUCAACCAUGUGCAGCACUUCUUCUCCGGUUAAUGGCUCGGGAGGUAUGCCAUAUUCAGGUUUCCCAUUAAAAGCUGCACGUUGCCUCCUAUAUGGAUGAUUGAUUGGUAACCAUUUUCUAUGCCCAAUGUAACAAAUUUUGUGGCCAUUUUCAACCUGUGACUAGGUGUAUCAUCGCCGCAUAUUGGACAAGCUUUAUAUCCUUUAACAACACAACCAGAUAAGUUUCCAUAGGCGGGGAAAUCAUUAAUUGUCCACAUUAAUGCAGCUCUGAGUGUAAAGUAUUCUCCAUUAUGUGCAUCAUACACUCCUCUAAUCCCAUCCCACAAAGAUUUUAAAUCAUCAAUCAAAGGCUCCAAGUAGACGUCUAUAUCAUUUUCGGGUUGUUUAGGACCGGAAAUCAAUAAGGUUAACAUCAUGAACUUUCGUUUCAUGCACAGCCAUGGAGGGAGAUUAUAUGUAACUAAGAUAACCGGCCAACAACUAUAUCUGCUACUUAGAGAACUGUGGGGAUUGAAUCCAUCAGAUGAAAGAGCCAAUCUCAAGUUUCUCGGCUCAUUACCAAACUCAGGCCAUUUAUCAUCAAGAAGUUUCCAAGACGGGGAAUCCGCCGGAUGAGACAUCUGACCGUCAAUUGAUUUUCUAGCAGCAUGCCAAGUCAAACUCUUAGCUGUCUCAUGUGAUUGAAACAUCCUUUUAAACCUUGGAAUUGGAGGAAAAUACCACACCACCUUCGCUGGCACAUCCUCUUUCAAGAUUGAAUCUUUGCCUUCCUUCCACCUUGAGAUACCACAAGUAGGACAAUUAGUUGAAUCCUCAUACUCCUUCCUAUACAAGAUGCAAUCAUUGGGGCAUGCGUGCAUUUUCUCAUAACUCAGCCCCAAUGCACACAAAGUCUUUUUUGCCUCAUACAUAGAGGUUGGUAUUGUAUUUCCUUCUGGAAGCAAAUCGCCUUGAAGUAUCAAUAAUUCUGUAAAACAGACAUCACUCAUCCCAUGUUUUGCCUUCAAAUUAUACAACUUCACUAAUGCCGAUAACUUCGUGUACUUUCUACAACCAGGGUACACUGGUUGAUCUCCAUCCCCAAUCACAUUGGCAAACUCAUACGGAUCGGAACCAAAAUCACCAAAAUCAUUAUCAUCCAUAUCAAUUUCUUCAGACACAAAACUGUACCUACUAUGGCCAUCAUCUUCUUCAACAUUUCUACUAGCAUUAGUAGUUGCUUCCCAAGGUUCUCCGUGAAAUGUCCAAUUCUUAUAGCUUUGGUCAAUUCCAUUAAAGUAUAAGUGAUCCCUUAUAAUUCCAACCCCAAACAACUUCAAAUUAACACAUUUAACACAUGGACAACGGAUAUGUGUUGUAGUUAGAAGAUUUUCUACAGCAAAGUUCAAAAAUGCUUCCACCCCAAACUCAUAUGCCUUCGAUCUUCUAUCCGAGUGCAUCCAUGACUUAUUCAUCUCCGACACUAUAACCUAUUAUCUAUAAUAAAGUGAAAAUACAGGCAAUGACCAUCACUAUAGCAGAUUAUACAAAGAUCUAAUAGCAAGUAAUACAUAACAGAGACGACGGGUUUUAAACAAAAACAGACGUAUUUGGCAUAUAUAGACGACGGAUUUUCAACAGACGUCGUCUAAUAUAAGUAAUACAAACGACGGUUUAUGAAAAAACCGUCGUGUAUAAGUAAUACAACGACGGUUUUUUCAUAAACCGUCGUGUAAUCGUCGUCGUAUGCCUAAAAAGGCGUCGUGUCUCAGUUUAUUUUCAAGAACCCAAAACCCAUUAAGAACACAACAUAUAUAUGAAACCAAGCAAGAAACCAACAUAUACAUGAAGCCAAGCAUGAAAACAAUAAAUCCAUUCCCAAUUCAACAUAACAUAGGGUGAUUAAAAGAUCCGACAAAAUUAAAACCAUUCCCAAUUCAACAUAACAGAUAAUGUAAUCCAUGAACCCAUUAAACAGAAAAUCCAUGAACCUAUACCUAUAAGCACAUUAUUAACAGAUCGCAAAGCAUAUACCUAAAACCCUUUAACAAAACAACCUAAUAUCAUUCAAUGAAUUUACAAAGGGAAGAUAGGGUUUGUACUUACAGGUUGGACGAGCUCACAGAUUCGACGAAGCCUGGAGAGUGCAACUUUUAAUUAGAGCAGAAGUGAGAGAGCGAAUGUUAUGUUGCGCGAAAUCUGAAAAUUUUAGGGUUCAGGGUUAGAAGUAUAAGAAUAAGAGCCAAAUAUAAAAAAAUUUAGGGCGCGCGAAAAUUUUUAGAGCGCGCGCUCUUUAAAACGUCGAAAGAAAAACCAUGGCGAAAGUUCUACAAGAACCGACGUAAAUGUAAUAUUCCACGACGAAAACACUUAACGUAACGCCGUUUAUUUUGACGUUCAUUUUUCGGAUUAAUUUUAAAUUUAUUUUGAAUAUUUUGAUAUAAAGACGACUGAAAAACCACGUCGAAGUUAAGAAAUUGAAAACGUUGUAAAUUAUAAUAGACGACUUACAUAUUAAAAUGACGUCGUUUAAAGUGGAAACCAUGUCGGAUAUUUUACUGCACGACGUAACAUAUGUAUUCCACGACUCAACCACCGUCGUUAACAAUUAAUACCCUAAACCCUUAAAACUAAAUUAUAUAAUUUUAAAAAUUAAGUUUAUAAAAGGGUUUAUGGUUUUACAGCCUAAUAUAUACCCUAUACUACCCAAAAAUUAUACUUUAAAAAUAAACCCCAAUAAAUAACAACCCUAAUCUCUAAACCCUAGACUCUAAACCCUAAACCAUAAAACUAGAAGUGAUUUUAUGACUCAUCAAAACAAUUUUGUUUUGGAUGGUCAUUUUAAAUUUUUUUUAUUCAAAAUGAAUUUUUUCAAGGUUUAGGGGGAAGAAAAUAUAUCAAUGACUUCAUAGGAGUUGACUUUUCAUUUUUCUGAUUUAUUUUAAAUUUAUUUUGAAUAUUUUGAUAUAAAAAUAAUAAAAUAUUCUUAUCACAAUAACAAACCACGUCGGUGUUAAUAAAUUUUAGACGUUGUAAAUUGUAAUAGACGACUAAGUUGUUAAAAUGACGUCGUUUAAAUGAGAAACCAUGGCGGAUAUUUAACUAUCCGACAUAAAAUAUAUAUUCCACGACUUAACCGCUGUCGUUACAAAGUACUACCCUGAACCCUUAAGAAAUUGAAGACGUUGUAAACCAUAAACGACUCAAUUGUUCAAAGAACGUCGUCUAAAUAUCCUUUUACGUCGGAUUUGGUUAAAACGAAACAACAAAAAACGACGGCUUUUGACUUUAUUACGUCGUUGGAAAAGUAUUACACGUCGGUUACGCAAUUUGUAUGUUUGUUUUUUUUUUUAAUUUAAGAAAACCUCAACAAAUUUUUACAUUAUAUAUUAUAGACAAAAUUUGUACAUUAUACAUAAAUAUCAAGUGUUCAAUAAUUCCCCUAUUCCAGGUGAAGGCAAACAAACUCUGACCAUUCAUUCCGGACUUCAUCAAUUGCUUCUUGGGGGUAUGGCGCUUCCUGUUUUCCCUUGGCAUACUGCAUAAACAAUGACUAUUAGGGUUUAUAAAUAAAAAGAAAUUCAAUCACAGACGACGAUAUUUUUCAUAACCGACGUACUAUAUCUAUUCAACGACGGUAAUUUUACAUGACCGUCGUUGAUAAUACAAAAAACGACGUAAAAUGUAUGAAGGUAAUUUCUUCUUACCUUCUUCUCAAACCCCAAGGAAGGAUCCAUGAUGAUGUCCCUCAUGAAGCGCAUCACAUAAUACCCGCAUUCGACAUUGCUGGGUUGCUUUGGUGUCCCUGACAGAGUUUUCCAAAUGGCUGCCUUACGGCCUGGUCUGGCUAUGUGAGAAUUAUAAAUUUUUAUAGCACUGUUCACAAUGUUUUUGGCCUCUUCAUCGACCACACGAUUUCCUGGCAGAGGAUCCAGAAAAUAGACGGUUUCUCUCUUUGCUCUUACAAUCAGCAAGAUCCAAUGACGGCUGCACAAAAUUAAUAUAAAAACGACGGUUAUUUACAAUAACGACGUAUUAUAAUGUUUCACACGACGAAAUAAAGUAGCAAUCGACGACAUUUUACAUUUAUCACGACGAUAAAUAACUACCGACGUGGUUAGUAGUUUCAAACGACUCAAUAAAAUAAAACACCGACGUGGUUAGUUUAUACGCUGUAAUUUAUUGAAAAUCAUAAAAACAAAAUCCUGUUAAGGAGACUAACCCUGGAUUGUAAGGCAUCAGGAAAAUCUGUUCACCGUCAGUCUUUUGAAGUCGAGCUGCUAGUAAGCGUGAUCUGUCAGCUAUUGUGCCAGAGUUGGCACUAACUGUAGCAAGGUCGAUAAAGCCAACCAUAUUGCACAUAUUUGCUCGUUUCAAAACAUCGUGCAAGUGCCUAAAUAUAUAAAAUAAUAUAAACAAGUCAGCACAAAAAAACACACGACGGUUAUGUAUAACAAAACGACGUAUUAUAAAAUUUCACACGACGUACUGAAAUAGACAACGACGUUAUAAUAUAUUUAUCACGACGGUAAAUACUAACGACGUGGUUAGUUAGUUAAGACGACGUAAUAAAUAAACCAACGACGUAUUAUUUUAGAAUGACAAACCUCAUAUAUACAAAAAAACACGACGGUUAUGUAUAACAAAACGACGUAUUAUAAAAUUUCACACGACAUACUGAAAUAGACAACGACGUUAUGAUAUACUAACGACGUGGUUAGUUGGUUAAGACGACGCAAUAAAUACACCAACGACGUAUUAUUUUAGAAUGACAAACCUCAUAUAUACAGCAAUGACAGUGGCUCCUAUUUCUUCCAUGCCUGCAAAUUGUGUAAUAUCUUCAGGCAGGAGGAAGGUAUCGCGCUCUAGACCAAACACCUCCUUAUCAAUUGUAAAGUGCAGGGUCUUAUCCUGAGGCACGAGUGUCGUUUCCACAUAACGACAAAGGGAGUUUAAAGAAGAUGGCGCCUCCAUAUUUGAAUAAUCAACAACUUUAAUAACCUGUUUAAAGAAAUAUAAAAAAUGACGUGGUAAUUCAAUAAAAACGACGGUUUAAGGAAUAAAACGUCGUCUGAAAAGAAUUUAAACGUCGUCUGAAGAAACCGUCGUGGUGAAUAAUUUAUUACGUCUUAAAAAAAAUUCCGCCGUCUAAGUUGUAAACAAACGACGGUUUAAAGAAAAAUAUCGACGUCUGGAAUUUUGAAAAACAAAUAAAAAAGGCAAAGUUAUGUGAACAUACCUGGUCGUCAUCUUCUUUCUCCUUUUCAUCAUGUUUUUCUUCUGUCUUCCCUUCAUCUAUUACGUCGAGAAUGACUAACUCCGUCGUCUAAAAACCACAAAGUUUUAAAAUAACGACGUUUAAUGGCGUGUAAAACAAGUAAACUAAAUACGACGUGGUAUUGAAAUACAAACGACGGUUUAUGUUUAAAAUCGUGGUGGUAUGUAUUUCAAACGACGGUUUUAUUAAUAAUAACGACAUCUAAUGGUUUUUAAAAAAACAGAGAAUUCAAAGUUCAGAUAUGUUACCUUUUCUUCCUGAUGUUUCCCAUUUUUGGCAGUAUCAUCCUCAAAAUGCUGGGAUCUCACAUCACCUCCAGAGCAGCUUGCUUUGUCAGACAUUGGAUUUUUGGGACUUUGGCUAAUUCUGGGUUUAAGCAUGCUUGGAUCAAAAUUGGGAAUUAAUUGGGAAAGCUGACUCAGGAAAUGCUCCCUCUCAGCCUCUACCAAUUGUUUCGUUCUAGCCUCCAUCCUUAAAGCCUCUUCCCUUGCCUUAGCUUCCAUCUUUUUAGUCUCUUCUUGAAGGAGAACUCUUAAACUGUCCUUCAAACGGUCGUCAAAGCUCACUCUCUGUGGUUUGGGUAAAUUGAAAUAUUGCCUUGGUGAGAUCCCAGCACCUACUCCUCUCACUCUGCCUGGAUGCUCGGGGCCCAAAGCCAUGGUCAGCACAUCAUUGCUGCCAGAAACAGUGACUUUGCCUUCCGAGACUUGUUUUUGCAAUUCAUCCUAAAACAAAGAUAUAUAAAAAAGUAAGAACAAAAACACACGACGGUUAUUUAUAUACAAACGACGUAUUAUAUAAUUUCACACGACGCAAUAACAUAUAAAUCGACGUUAUUAUAAUUUAUCACGACGGUAGUUUUUAAACCGACGUGGUUAGUUUUUAAAACGACGAAAUGAAUAAACCACCGACGUCUUAUGCUUUAUUUACAGAUAACAGAGGGAUGAUUCAAUAUUCACACCUUUAACGACCUUGUUUAAAAUAUUUCGACGUAGUAAUUCAAUACAAACGACGCGAAAAUGAACCACCGACAUCUUAUGCUAUAAUUACAGAAAACAGAGUAGUGAUUCCUGAUUUAGACCUUUAACGAUGUGGUAAUAUCAUUCACACGACGCAAAAUAUAACAUAAGACGUAAUAAGAAUUAUUCACAGUUUAAUAAAAAUUUAAAACAGAGUGAGUAGGCUUACAAUUAAUUUUGCUUUCUCUGCCACCUUUGGAUCCGGGAUGUUACCAUGUUUGUCCUGUCUAGCUCUCUUCCAUAAGGUAGAUCGAUCAAUUUCUACCCCAGGCAUGGUUUCCUCCAAUUGAUCCUCCAAACCAGCAUAUCCUUUUCGAGACAAUCGAUGAUUGUACUCAAGUUUCUCCCUAAUCUGUGCAUGUUGAGAAUGCACAGACUCAAAAUCUUUGGAUAACCUUGAAGCUACAAAGGCAUCCCAUUGUGCUUUCUCUAUGAAUUUAUAUAUUUCAGGGGGUUGGCUUAAUCUCUCCCUGUCAUUAGUGUAUGGAAGGAUAUAUUGCCUCGUUAGUGUAGACUUGAAAUCCUUCCAUUUCUUGGCAGCAGAAGCUAACACAGAGCUCUUGCCCCCUUGACCUACCACAAAAGCAAUGUCAACUGCUUCCCAAAUCUGCUCCUUUAUAUCCUUGGAGAUUUGAGCCUAUUUCAUGUCCACAAGUGGAACUCUGGAGCGUGCCAACACACCAAUGUAGGACUGCAUCUCACUAUGUGCUUGGCCAAUUCCUUUCCCCCUUUUAUUGUACUCAACAAUUGGCCUCAGUUUCUGAAGUUUUCUCUUCACAACAUGAGGCAUUGUGCUCAUACCUCGACCAGACUUUGAAUCAUCAGAGAUUGUUGUCGUGCUGGUUCGUUCUGUCUCAGCAGAUGAUGAAGCAAACUUCAUCUUCUUCGAAGGCUUCACUUGAGGAGGUACCAUUCCAAGGUCCUUACCUCCAUUUUUCUUGGAGCCAGAAUCCUUACUUUGGUCUUAGUGAGAAACCAUUUUUACAGACAAAACUGCAAGUGAAAAUAUUUCAGGAAAAGAUUAAGAACACAAACGACAGUUAUUAAUAAAAUACGACGUAUGAUAUGAUUUUAAACGACGCAAUGAAAUAAUCUCAGACGUAAUAAAUGUUUAAAACCAAGGUAAUUAAACAACGACGAAAUAAUUAACUAUAAACGACGUGAUAAUUAACUAUAAACGACGAAAUAUUUAUAUAACGUCGUGGUAUUGAUGUUCACACGACGUCAGUCGUAAUAUACCGUCGUCUAUAUAAGGAUCCAAAACCCUUCUUUCUUUCUCUGUGAAUGUUUGAUUGCAGAUUUGAUUUUUCUGAACCAUGGUUUUUGUUUUCUAAUUUGAUAAAAUACAAGGCCAAGAAAGAAAGUUUUGGAAUCUUAUAUAGACGACGGUAUUUUAAUAUGACGUCGUGGUAUUAACAUUCACACGACGUAAAACAAUAAGAUACUGUCGUCUAUAUUAGAUACCAACCCUACUUUCUUUUUCUUUAUAUUUUAUCAAAUUAGGGAAAAACAAAAACCAUUGUUCAGAGAAAUCAAACCUGCAAUUAAACAAGCAAAUAAAAAAAAGACUAUAAUUUUAAAAACAACUUUGUCAAUUUUCAGACGACGCUAGAACGACUGACGAACCGUCGUGGUCUACAUAUUUAACCACGUACAUAAGAAGCUACCGUCGUCUUAUUUAGUUGAGGUAGUUGUCUUCAAAGUUGGAAACUUUCCCUCUUUGUCUGUAUAUUUUAUUGAACUUGGAAAGAAGUAAAAUGAUUUUGGCCAGAAAAAAGGUAAAAAGAUUUUUCAAACAAAAAACGUAUGAGCAUGCAAAACAACAACCAAAAUAGUGAAAAUGAAAGCUUACCUUUUGCGUGCAAUGAAAGCAAGAGGAAGAUUAUGUUUAAGUUCAGAGACGACGAAGAAGAAGAGAGGAAGACGAUGAGAUACUCUGACAGUGCUCUGACAAGGAAAAAAGUCUAAAAGUUUUCUCUGGGAGAUUGAACUUUUUAAUCGGGUUUGAAAACGGCGCAUGUGUAUGUCAGGUAGACGAAAAGUUGCUUACAUAUAAAACCAUUUCAAAAAAAUAAUACGGCGGUUACAUAUAACUACGACGUAUAAAUUACAAAAUACGACGGUACAUUUAACUUCGGACGUGGUAAAUAAAUACGACAGUAGUGUUGUAGGUACCGUCGUAGUAAACUCAAAAAUUAAAGUACAUAAGUAAUAACUCGCGUCAUGGUAGAUUAUUUAACACGUCGUUUUUAUUAAUUUACCGACGUGGAUUUCUGUAAUAUACGUCGAUAAUACCGACGUUGAUUUUACAAUUUAAACGGCGGUUUUUUUGUAAGGACCGCCGUUGGUUUUAAAAAUUUAUUCUAUAAAUUUGUCGCUUUCAUUCAUUUUCGGUUUACAUUUAAGGUUCCAAGUUCUUCCUCUCUCAGUCUCUCACGUCUCAAAGACAAUAAUUUGGAUGUCUUUCUCAAAGAGAAAUUGAGCUUACUCGCAUCAAAUAUAUGUCCACAAGAAGAAGCUUGUCAACUAGCCUUCUCACUUCCUUGAUCAAGCCUGAUAGGACACUUAGUGCUUCUGAAUACUCCUUGCUUUCCAUCAAAAGAGAUGCAAGCCUGGCCUCCACUCGCUGUCGAAGGAAAGUUCGCUUCUCAGGGAAAUCUUCUUGAUUUUCUUGGCUAAGAAGAUCCGUCAGAUUUGUGAUAGCCUCUUCCUUUAUCCGUAGAGCUUCAGAAGAAGAAGAUGGGUUUCAAGAAUGCGAUAAAGAAUAGAAAUGGCUUCAGAUGGCCUCUAAAGCAUGAGCAAUCGAAUCAGUAGUUGUUGGGAGAUAUGAUGAAGACAUUGUCAAUGCUUUGAACUAUACAAGUCCUGCAGAAAGAUAAAGGACCAAACUGUUAAAGAAACUGAAACAAUGGCGGUUUUCUGUUCUACCGUCGUCUUUUCUCGUCGUCUAUAUUAAGGUAAGAUGGCGGUAGAUUUAUAAUUACCGACGUAGAUUAUUUUGUUAAACGUCGUUAAGUGUACUACAACCGACGUGGAUUUUAUUUUUAAAUUAUAAAUAGAGUUUUUUUUCCCCUAUUCUUUCAGUUUUAGUUUUCAAUUACAAAGCGUGAUAAAUAGAUUUUUCUUUCCCGAGGAAAUUUAAAAUGAGGGAAAUUAAUGUUCUAGAAUUUGUAAACUAACACGACGCAAUAUUUGCAAAUCUGUGUCAUCUGUUAAGAUUAUGAUGUGGAACAGAGUUCCAUCUGGUAAGAUUUCGUAACCCUUGGGAUCUCAGACAAAUCUGAUUAUGUCGGCGGUUUUCUAUAUAAAUCGUCGUGGUUAUUUCAAUUCUUGUCAUUAAGUAGAUCUACCGACGUAGGAUAAGAAAAUCAAAGAAAAAAAUUGUUAACAAAAAUUCUUAUUAAGACGACGGUUAAAAUUAAAGGUACGACGUAUAAAAUGAAUAAAUACGACGUUAAAUUUUAUUGUACGAUUUAAAGAUAACGUCGUAGAACUAUAAGAGAAUGACGUCGAUAUAUUUAUAUUUUCCGUCGUUGUACAUUAAUUUAAUACGGCGAUAUUUUGUAUUUUAAAGCCGUGGAUUUGUUUGUAAUUAUACGGCGUCUUAUACGAAAACCUCGUCGUGUUAUUUUAUGAGUAAAAACGGCAGUUUUUAUUGAAAUCGUCGUCUUUACUUUCUACGUCGGUCGAUUCAUAACUUCUGCCGUUCUUUGUUGGCAUUGAUUUUACACUGCGAAAAUCUGUUUCAAAUAGACGUCGGUUGUUUAAUUAUGUACGUUGUUGUUUUUGAACAGCCAUUUGAAUCUCCAUUUUUUAGUUGUCUAAGGUUGUAUUACACGACGGUGUUUUUAGAACCGUCGUCUUUUUAAAAACCACGACGGUUUUCACUUAGACCGUCGUUGUUUUCUGGUCGUCUUUUUCACUUUUUGUAGUAGUGGCAUAUGAUGACGACACUCACAACAAGAUCAUGGCAUUUGACUCGAGUUGUAUGAUUCUCUCUUAAGUGUAUGUAAAGUGUAUGACAUUUACAUCAAUACGUGUAUUCUUAAUUGAAAUCUACUAUGGCAUUUACUCAAAUUAACAAUCAAGAAUCCAUUAAGAUCAAAGAGAAUAUGAGUGUCACAAAAACCCUAAAACAUGGCAUUUGUUAUUAGGAAUUCAAGAAUCGAUUUCUCAUAACUAGUUCUUAACCCAAUUAUUCGUUGCAAAUAAGAACACAUUCAAUAUGGCAAUUGACCUAUGUUCUACAACAAUUUAAUUCCAAUACAUGCUUCUAAGUUAGCUACUCAAAGAAACAAAAUAUCAGAAUUCACAUAACAUAUAGAAACCGAAAACAUCACGCUUGUAGAAACUAAAAAUCCAUUAACCUUGUUUAUAAAAUUGAAAUCAUGUUUAGGGCUUCAAGAUUAAGCCCUAACUAACAAGAAAUUAGUUACUCAUGGUCUUGGAUGAACUCAAAAAUAAAUACAUAAGAACUGAAAAUUAAAGAAGGAAGGAAAAGAAAGAACUCGUUCGCAGCUUUCUCCUCUUGCGCUGUUGAUCUCUUUAGGACGUGAAUCCUUUUUAUCAGCCUUGCCUCGUCUUUUAUAUCACUUAUAUCAGAGUUCUAAACCCUAAAAUUGACUGAAAAGUCGUCCAAGAAGUCUUGGUAAACAAGGAAUCCAAAUAGGAAAGUAAAAAUCACAAUUCCUAACUCCACUGGGAAAUACAGCUCAGCCCAAUGUUCACACGAUUUUGGGAUCUUCGACCUUGUAGAAAAAUCAUUAAAAAUAUAUUUUAGAAAGAUAAAUGUCUUAUCUUUCCAACCAUAUAUAGCACGUAACUUGAAAAAUUCGGAAAGGCUUCCGUUUCUUCACAUUCACGUAGCAUGUACGAAACUGUCCUGUCUGCACGUGGGCUAACUUUACUUGUAAUACUGUACCAAUUGGCUCGGUAGAAAAUUCUAGAAAAAUCAUAGAUUGAACUUCAAGAUGUUAGCUUUCAUCUCCAAUCAGGGGCGGCCUUGGGGAGGUGCAAGUGGCGCCACCGCACAGGGCCCCCGAAAAAAAAAAUAUUUAUAUUAUAUAUAUAUAUUAAUAUUAUAUGAAUCGUAUAUAUAAUAUAGCGUCUGGAUAUUUGCACAACAGCGUGUUCAGGGGAGUUGGAUGGAGCACAUCUCUCUUUGGCAAAAGGGCCCGAGUUCGAUGCUCCUUGAUGUCGUUCUACUGGCUAGCCUUUUGUGAUAUUAUUUUUGCAUUCAAACUUUACAUAAUUAUUGAACCAUUGGAUUAAUAUGCAACGAUGGGUGACCACAAUCUCUUGGACUCCUGUGGUCCAUGAGAUCGGGACUGAUAUUACAUGACUUAUUUUAUUAAAUUAUUAUCAUGUUGAUGAUUGGUUGUAUGAGAAUAUAGUUUGUAGAAAUAUUUAUCUAUUUCUUGUUGGGGUUUUCUUCCAGGUUAUAGGGUUUUGGAAUUUUUCUUUGUAAUCUAAACAUGCCACCUACUAGAAAAUACGUUUAUGGAUAUACAAAACGGCUUAGAAAAAGAAAAUUCGAGGAAUUGACUCAAUCUCAAAGAGGAGCUCUUGAUAGAUUCAUUGUUAGAGAAUCACAUGCUACAAUUGAUGAAAAUAUUUAAAUUUUUAUGAAUUUAAUUUCUGAUUUUCAUUGCAUAUUUAUUGAUGGUGAAUUUUAGUUAUAAAAAAAAAUUGUUUAUGACAUUAAGUUAUGGCAAAUUUUUAUAGUAUUUUCGUAUUAGAUUAUGCAAGGCCCCAAUUUAAGUUUCGCACAGGGCCCUCAAAAUCUCAGGGACGGCCCUGUCUCCAAUUGGUCUUGUGCUAAAAUUCCUCCGAAAAGUUGAUUUUCCCUUAAAAACCUUCUAAGAGUGCAGAAAAGCUGAAAAUCAGAAAAAUAAAGUAAUAAGCCAUUUUUAAAUCUAAUUCUCUUACAAAACCAAAGUAAAAAGAGUACAUAAAUGAGUAUAUUUAUGGACUUAUCAACGUCUUCUUCGUUGGACUUGGGGUUGUUUUCCUUAUAUGUCCCCUAUAUAUAUAUAUGGCCUUUAGUUGAGCCCACAAAUACCUUCAGUUAGUUUUUGGGUUUAGGGGCCUACAGAACCUGCACUAAACAAUAAAAGAAAAUACCUAAUUAGUUUAGUACGAAUUUAUAAUGAAGGCUUUAUUAGGUGAAGUUUUAUUUCUUAAUCGUUAGAUCAAAUUGGUUAGCAUCUGAAGUCGCCCAAAGAUUUGAGAGGGAUUCCACAAACAUAUAAUAUAAAGAAAGAAAGCAAUAGUAGGAGAUGAACCAGUACAAAAAACAAUAUAUAAAUAGUACAUAAUAAUUCCAUAACCUUGUCACAAACGCACUCACAAAUGCUUUCCAUAAACCUUGCCCUAACAUAUAACAAAUAAAGGCAACAUUGCAUAUGAUGCAACCAUGUCCAAAUCUGAUACGUGAUAAAAAAAAAAGGACAUGGCAGCAACAUAUGACUGAAGUAGAUGGGCUCUUUGCAUCUCGUGUUAUCGUAAUUAAAGACAUCAAAAUAUUAAGGUUGAAAUCUUCUAUAGUAGCAAGCAUUAAAAUAGGUUUGAAGCAGAGUUUAAAGAAAAUUCCAAUUCCACUGAUUUGCCUCUGCUCAAAGACGAGAACCAAAAUGGUUACUUCCCUUGCUGAGUAUAUUUGUUAACGUCGGAAACGGUAAUAGAUGACCAAUCAAACCCAAGUACGACGAGUUUUGCAUAGGAUCAGAAGUAGUUGAAUCCAGCUUGCAUCACACGCUUCUUUGACUCCAUUGCAUUAGAUGAGUUUUUGUAUUUUUGAACAGCUACACUCCGAAGUCGUUUGUGUCUACGCUUCAUGCGCUGCAACUUCGCCCUAUCCAGAUUGGCCUGCCUUUUGUCAUCUUCAAUUUGGCCUUCAACAAAUUCCAAACGUGCCCUUGCCCUUUGGAUUUCAUCACCAAGUUGAAGAUGCCUCUCCUUCCAAAAAGCAAGAACUCUUUCAGACUCAAAACUUCCAACAAAAUGGUCAUUCUAUCUAGGAAUGUGACAUUGCUUGUCUGGUGACUCACCUGCGUUUCAAAGGCGGUCUUUGUUUGGAGGGGUGUUUAUUAUGCUCACAUCAAACUUGGUUAGUAAAUCCAUUCUAUGGGGGGAGUGAGUUUCUGUGGAGGAGAGAGUUUCAGUAGAUGGAGACAGAUUCGGUGGAGGAGUGAGAUUUUUGUGGAGGGAGAAUUUCUAUGAAAUGGGUGAUAGUAAUACCAAUAAAAGGGUUCCCGCCAAAAAGUAUUUGGUUGACAAUGUAUAAAUUAAUUUUUGGUCUGAUACAAUCUAAGUUUAAUCCUAACUAGUUUGGUUAGUUUGGUUGAAUUCACUAACUAGAUGUCACUUCCAUUGAGUUUCUUUCAACCACUAUCAGUGGUGUAAGGAGAGUGUGAGGUUGACAUGCUUGAAAAGCAAAACCUAACACCUCUUUUUUUUAAAAUUGAAAGAAAGUACAUAUGUUGACUACACACAAGCUUUGGUAUGUUGGUCUAUAAAGCUAUGUUCCCUUUCUCAAACGAAAUUGCAUAUGCAAUCCUCGUCCUCCCAAAACAAAUAGAAUUAUUCAAGCAUGUCAACCUCUUCAGGCGCCAACAACACAAUCAAAGAUGACAAAUUGGAGUCGCAGGUUCUAUUUCCACAUUGUACUCGCCGACCCCUUCCAUUUUCAACAUCAUUUGGGAGUGAGGGGGACUCCGAUGAUCCAUUAGAGCUAAUACAUGCAGUCAAUAGCAAGCUGGAUUAUAAUUCCAGACUGAUCAAUUCAUGGCGCGAGAAAUAUGUUGAAGACGAAGCCAUUUUGGCUGAUCUUAACAUUAGAGUGAACAAAGCGUUCUCCCAAAAGAACAAGUACUUGAAGCUGAGUCAUAAAAGGAAGCUGAAAGCUGAGGAGUUAGAUACAGUAAUGAAUGAUGAAAUUAAAGGUUGUUUGAUGAAUCAUAUGCGAUGCGAAGAGCACCACAGUGAACUGGAGUUGGCAUUCAACGAAGGAUUCGAAAAAUUACGAGCAUUUGCAGCAACUACUCAUACAAGUUAUAAUUGGGACUAUGUGUCCCCUGAUGUUGUGAGAGAGAUACUAGACGAUGGUGGUGACAUGAAUGAGCAUAAGCACGUCAAAGCUGCUUGGAAGAAGCCGACCGAUACGACUAAGUGAUUGCGGCUACAGUUGUUCAGUUGGUUGAGAGUGAUCGUGGUAUUGCACAAAUUAGAAGUAUAUUCCCAUAAUGUCAUUAUCUAAUUUAAAAUAACACAAAUAUCAGUUUCAUUUGCUUCAUAUUGUAACACCCCGACCCCAAAUUUCCCCAAAAUUUACCCUCAUUUAAUUAAUUAAUUAUUUAAGGGUAUUUUAGUCAUAUUUUUAACCGGAGAGAGUUUGGGACCAUGACUUGUAUUUUUGGAUAGGUCGUACUGAGACGAGUUCAUAGACACGUAGUGGGCUCGAAUCAGAGUUGUAACGAGAGAGAUAUGGUCAAAAGAAACCCAGUGGCACAAUCGUAAAUAUUUCAAAAUGGGAUUUUUAUAAAAAUCUGGUUUUUCUCUCUCUCUCUCUCUCUCUCUCUCUCUCUCCCGCGACUUCUCUCUCUCUCCCGUCGGCUCUCUCUCUUUCUCUCCUUGUAUCUCCGGCCACCGACCACGGCUGUGGGCGGGGCCGGUACCAAACUGACCGGGACGACGUCCCCUUCCUUCCCCGACCAUUCCCCGCCGGCAACGCGGCCGUUGCUGGCCGGAAAAUGCAGAAAACCGCCGGGAGGUCGUCGAAACUUCAACGCCGUCGAUCUCCCUCCUCCGGCCACCAUUUUCGUCGACCCAGGUAUGGAUCUUGAACCUCUCGAGCUGUUCUAGCUGUUUGUUGGUUGGGUUUUGAUCGAUUCGAUCUCUAGAUCACUCGAUUUUCGAAUUGAAAAUUGGCCGAAACUUCGGCCGCCGUGAUCGGCCAUUUUCGGCCACUUUUUGUGGUAGGUCCAAGAACAAAAGUGGCUCCAAAUAGGGUGUUAUACCUAGGGUAGAAGUUUGGAGCCGAGAUGUUGAGAUUUUCCGGCGAAGCGUUAUCGCUUUGGGCACCCACGCGUGCGGCGGCGCGUGGGCACUGUAGAAAAAGUAGAUGUGUUCCGAUGAGAUCCUUAGGUUGUCACGAGUGCGUAGGAUUUGGCGGAUCUCAAUUCGGACGUCGUUUGACUAUCGAACGGAUAAUCGCAUAUUAUGCGUUAUCCGGGUUCGAUAGGUUGAGACCGUCGGAUGGUCCCAAAUUUAAUAUAUGUUGAUCUAGGUAUUUCUAGGAUCGUGUAGGAUUUCACGGAUCGUGAAUCGGAGCCCCGGAUGUUCCGAAUAAUAAUUUAAAGUUUAUAUUUUAUAUUAACCAUCAGAUUAUGCGAUCGUGAGAAAUCCGACCGUCUGAUCUGAACCAAACUGGCAGGAAAAGUGUCCUGUACCUGGUAGAACCCAUAGGGACCUUCGGAUCGGAAAUUGGAGGUCGUGGGUUCCGCAAGUCUGUUUGACCAGGGUUAGAGUAGUUUGACCCUUGGUUGACCGUGAGUCUCCCGGAGUAAUCUCACCCUUCCAGGGGGAAUUAUCGGGAGCUAGACUAUUGUGGAGGGUUACACAAUAUUAGAAUUAUUUAUAUAAUUAUAUAUGGUUGUACAAGGGUACAACAAAGUCUAGAAUGUCAGUUUGGAGUGCUAUACGCACUACUUUAGGUACCUCCUCGGAUUUUGGAUUCGCUACAAGCACCACCAAGUGAAAGUUAGGUCCCGCGUGGCGUAGGUUAUCCGGCGUUGGGACAGACCCCAUACGUGGCGUUGGUUGUACCGGCGUAUGGGGAGAUUUGCAAUAUGAUGUUCAGGUCUCACGUGGCGUAGGUUAUCCGGCGUUGAGACAGGCCCCGUACGUGGCGUUGGUUGUACCAGCGUACGGGGAGAUUAUGUGAUAUGAUGUUGAGGUCCCGCGUGGCGUAGGUUAUCCGGCGUUGGGACAGGCCCCAUACGUGGCGUUGGUUGUACCGGCGUAUGGGGAGUUAUAUGAUAUGAUAGUAUGGCAUGGUCGCACAUGGCGUAGGUUAUCCGGCGUGUUGACAGGCCCCAUACGUGGCGUUGGUUGUAUCGGCGUAUGGGGAGAAUAUGUGAAAUGCAGAGAAAGGAAAUAAGGUAUCACCGAUGUGUGGAAUUGGGUUUUAGGGAAGAACUACGUGUGGCUUGAUCCCUCAAGGAGGGUACGUAGGCAGCCUAAGGUUAUUGGGUGCAGCCGCAGACUAAAUAUUAGUCAUAUUUGGUAUUUGAAUUGUAUGGUAGUUGUUUGAGAAUUAUUGGAAGGCCAAAGGCCAUUUAUGAGAAUUUGCAUGAAAUUAUAUUGUGCAUGCUGCUAGUUGUGGAUAUUAAAUGUGUUUUUAUGCAGGUUGAAAUUUUGGGAAAUGUCCAAUUUAUAGGGGAGACUCUGCUGAAAUUUCGGCAGGAAGUCUCGGUUUUUAGUAAGUGGGCCUGGCAUCGGGGUGAUGUCAGGAAUUCCAAAGGGUUCGUCUCGGGUUUUGAGAAAAUUCGGGGCGGGUCCUUAAACAUAUAUAAUUAUUGGGACUAUGUAUUGCAAGUCAUCAUGUGUUCCUUCUGUCUAACAUUAUAUUUUGCAAAUAUCAAAAUAUUAUUCAAUAAGCAGUCAAUAUCACAGCAAGUUGGGAAUUAGUAAAGCCCCAUUAUCAUGUCCGUUCACAUUAAAGAGCUGGCGUACUUUUUCUCAAAAAACUGACACGUGAGUCAUAAGUAACAUAACAUGUGCUAUACAUUGUUUAGUGAAUGGUUUAUGGUUUAUUUAUAUAUAAUAAAAUUCCAAAUAUUGCUGAAUAUUUGUUUUUUCUAUAUCCCUGGGAACAUGAGUGACCAUAAGCAUGUAAGACCUGUUAAGAAGAAGCUGACUAAUACGACCGAGUGAUUGUGGCUACCGUUGUUUAGUUGGUUGGGGAGAUCGUGGUAUUGCUAAGAGGGAGCACAUAAUGUGCUUUGCAAUCAAAUUUUCUUUUGUGUGUGGAAUUAUGAGUAGUUCAAAUGUUAGUGUACCCUUUAAUAUUCUUCAACCGUUUGAAAUGUGAUUAGCUGCAAUGUACUUUUUUACACGCUGCUUUCUAAUCACUCUGUUCCAACAAAGUGCUUUAAGUAUCCUUCAGUUACAAAUGUUUACAAAAUCGUGCAUCUAAUAACCAGUCGAGCUCAGAUCUUAAUAACAAGUAAAACACUAGAACAUAACAUUCGGAAAAAGUGGGUGCUGCUGGAAAUCAUUACUGGUAAUGGAAGCAAGAGCUGGCUGCUGGAAAUGCUGCAUUAGCCUGUGAUAUAAUCAAUGAAUCUCUGUUAAAACAUAAUUCACCAUAAACUACCCAUUUUACAUGGUAAAAGUCAUUGCUUCUUCACAUAACUCAAAAUUUGAUACUUUAUCAAAUGUCUAUGAAAAUUUCUAAAUAGGGGAAAGACGUAAAAUUAACAUGUGUCCAAAUUUCAUGCAAGAAUGAAACCAAGCAAAUUUUUAUUUCAAUUAUCAGUGGACAUAGUAAGAACUCAUCGGUGGACAUGAACAAAAAAAUAAUAAUAUUAAAAACUGAAUCUAGAAAACUUCACCUGAUCAUUAGUCUUCAUAACAACCGAAUUUCGUCUAAUAGAAACAUAAAUCAUUCAGUUGGUCCGUGCAUCGUGUCAAAUUCAUAGAAUAAUGGGUCACUACGAUCUAUUGGAGUUGAUUCGUCAUUGUUCGACGGUGAUGUCCUGCAUAGACAUCAAACACAAGCACAGAAAAAAUUUACCUAUUCAAAUUUUAGGUGUUAUUAUAAAUAGUGUUAGCAUCUUACGGUGUGUUCAAAUUUCUUGCGCAUUGUCUUCUAUCAUGACCAAUGUGUCCACACUCCAGACAGUGUCUAAUCCCUCGCUUCAUUGCCUUUUCUUUUGCUCCCGUUACUCGUUUCGACCUUCUUUUGCACCUCACUCUCUUAGGGUCUUUCAUAUAUUGUGUUUGAGAGCUGGACCCUCCAACUUCGUUAUUACUUGGUCCAUCCUUCAACAACUUCAACUUCACCUGCAAACUUUUUAGAGUCUCUGACAGUAGCUCACAUCCUUCUUCACUCAUUAAUGCACCCUCAACCACAUCUUAAGCAAGUCGAGACAUUGUACUCCGCCUUAUUAAAAGACCAGGAUCUGCAGAGUCUUUAAUUUCGUUGCCAUUUGCAUCUGACACCAAUUCAGAUUUUGCAGUUUUCUUCCACCUCUUUAAAAUAUAUUUAUCGGGCAUAUAUUCAAUCUGGUCCCUUCUGAACAAUGCUAGGAUGUGCUUGCAAAUAAUUCCAACAAAUUCAAAUCUUUUGCACCCACACGAUGCGUGGUCAGAAUCUUUAACAUAUACGACGUCUGCCACUCUUGUUUCCCAAUUUUUCCUUUUGCUCACGCGAAAGACAACUUUAGAAGCACCCUCUGUUUUGAGCUCUAGGAAACAUGUUGUACUUUGUAUUAGUUCUUGGUCAAACUUUUGAAACAUUGUCCUUGUGUACAAGGUAGCCAUUUGUUUGUUCAUUGGCAUCGGUAGAAUACAUUGAGCCACUUCAAAUGCAUCUACGUGAUCAGCAACUAACUCUUUUUGACGUUGAUGAGAAAGUGCCCUCUCAAAUCGUAUUAUGAAAUCCAUCAACGAAUUUCUCCUUGAUAUGUAUUGCUUGAAAAAACCAUGAGAACCUUCCACUCUUUGGCUGCUUGACAUUCCAGCGGCAAAAAAUUGUUGUGCGUAGGCUGGAACCCAAGAUUCUCUUAAAUCAAACAUUGAACUUAGCCAUGGAUGGUCAGUCAAACCAGCCUUUGUAACCACAAUAUUCCAUUUUGUAACAAACUUAUCCUUAUUGUCAGUAUCCCAUACGGCUUUCUGAAAUUCACGCCAAUACUCCUUAUAAGCAGAAUGUGGUAACUUAACAGAGAACUUUGAUGUGAUGUGCAAUAUGCAAAGUCGAUGAAAUGUAGUCGGGAAGGGUAUUGAAAUCGCUCUGGUCAUUGCCGCAUCUUGAUCUGUAAUGAUCGUUUUAGGUCCGCCACUUGGCAUGGCUUUCUUAAACUCCUCAAACAUCCAAAUAAACGACUCAGUCGUUUCCUUGCUCAAAAAUGCGCAUGCUUAGACAAUUGUCUGACCAUGGUUAUUAACUCCCAACAUUGGUGCAAAUGUCAAGUCGUAUCGAUUCGUGUUGAAUGUGGUAUCGAAUACAACAACAUCUCCAUAAAACCCGUACGCCCAUCUAGAAGUUGCAUCUGCCCAAAAACAUUGACUAAACCUGUCAUGGCCAUCUCUCUCAAUCUUGAAAUAAAAAGCCUCAUUUUUUUUUUCUGUUCAGCCAUAAAAUACUCGGUCACUAGUUCAACAUCGUGGUUCCUCAACUUCCCAUUCACACUACAUUCAAAAUUGUAGAUAUCUUUUUUGAUAAAACCGAUUUUAUCCAUUCCUCCGGAUUGCACCUCGAAAAUACUUACCUUCUGAUGAAUGAGAAUAUUAACCGAACCCAACUGUUUUGUGAGUACUUUUGUAGAAUCUGAACUAUGACGGUGUGAUCUCAAUAAAUGCAUUCUUUCUGAGGGUGUCAUCUUAUGAUUGUGUCCCUCUGCAAAAAGAGAGAUGGUAUACUUCUUGCUCCCAUUUGUCUUCACAACCACAAUCUUAGCUUUGCAAUUGCAUCUACUUAUUCCCCGCUGUCUUUUUCUCUCCCGAGUUUCAUCUCUCCUGUAUUCACCUUGUUUGCAACAUACAAAUUCUUUCCUCAAAAUCUCUUUCUUAUUUCCCCCCCAAAAGCUGGAAUGAAGUCGAAUACCAAAGCCAGCCAAGAAUGCAUAUCUAUUAUAGAAAUUGUAAACGAGGUCAAGCAAGUCGAACUUCAUCCCAACUGCUGGUGUUUCCUCAUUUCUUACUUCAAGAAUGUAAACCCUCCCAUUAGCUGUUACACAGUCAUCACUCUCUGAGCCCCCAGACAUUUUAUCCACGUAUAUUAUUGAUCCACUUCUAUAUUAUUGCAUAGCAAAUAUUAAUUCAUUAAUAAAUCAUUACUGCAUCACAACAUAUCAAUGCAUUCCACUUACACAAAACAUUGCCCAAAUUGACACAAAACACGCAUAGCCUAACUUGUUGGAUUCCGAUUACACAAAACGCAAGCAAAAUUUAAUAAUAGUUACGUCAUCUCUUGUGAAAUAAUCUAGAAAAAAUAACAUUAGAACCAACAUGUUCAACUAAGAACACAAAUGCAAUUCAAACCAGCAAUCACAUAACUUCACCCAAUAUCCUCUCCAAAUGCUUACUCCUAAUGUCAUUAAGCCUAAGUUUAGGAUCUUUUACCUACAUUUCAUAAUUUUUCACCCCCACCAAAAAUAAUCAACUAAGUAUACUGAAUAUUCAUAAGGAAAUGACGCAUUAUUGAUGCCACAAAUGACGAAUUUCCUACCCUCACAAAAAACAAAUCAAACCCAAUUAAAUCAAUCCAGCAAGAGUGAACUUACCUCUCAAAAUCAAUCGGGAGCUCCGAAGUCAGUAAGCUUGAGAGAAUGUGGUGGACAUUAGAGAAGACUCUUUGGUAUUGGAGACUCCAUCUCUACCAAAAUCGAGGAACGAACUGCUGCUACGGCGUCUAGCUACAGAAAAAGAUAUGCUACUUUACUUUCAUCUGGAAUCUUGUUUGCUGAACGAAAAAGAGAAAGGGUUUUCACUUGAGCCAUAGAAUCAAAACAAGGCAACAUCUAGGUAAGAGCCAUUAAUCGUCAUAUCGAGGAUACCAUAGAUCGCAGGCCUCCCAAGGAGCUGAUGACAAUGGAGCGACUAUAGGGUUUGGGAGCUUUGGAUCCUUCUAAUUGUGGGUUUGCGUUACAUUCAAAAAAAGAGGAGUGUGUUGUUGAGUUUUUCACAUAGAGGGAAAGAGGGAAAGAUCUUCAACUGAAGUUGGGUUUCCAACGGGUCAAAUUUCAACCCGGUUCUACAUGCACCCUCUUUUAAAAACUCACCGUUGGAUUUCAUCCAACGGCUCGUACAUACCCCUCAAAAACACCCCUUAUAACUUUCCACUCACUAUAGAAGCUCUCCCCAGGAAAUGCUUCGAGGUAGAUUUUAUGUUUUGGGCCUUGGGACCCAACUUCACAAAAAGAAAACAAAUUUGACCAAAAAACAAAGUUGAAGGACAUUGAUAUUGUACCUGUAGGAUAGGUUAAAACACUAAAAGGAAGGUAAAUAGUACGUUUACAGAGUUUAAGUGUAAUAAAGGAAUAAAAACAUGCCCAGAGAAUUGAUAAGUGAUAUCAAUUCUUGAAUAUAUAGAACGUAAAAUAAAGGAAUACGUAGAAAAUUAUUUUAUGUGGUAAAACUCAAUCUAUGGGGCCACGGGACUUCUUAGUCCAAAAAAAAUCCAUUGAACGAUGAUUACAAGAAGUACUCACACACUUAUCCUAGACACAUUCUAGAUAAUUUUUACUAACAUCUUUGUAACUCAACUUCUGUCAUAGGAUGAUUUUUUGACACUCCUUAUGUUGAACGCAAUACUGGUCACGAUUUCUUCAAGCUCGCAGGAACUCUCCUUAUAUUGAAUAUGAUACUAGUCACGAUAGAUUCAAGCUCAUCGGAGAAAAACAGCCACAACGGUCUUGGUGCCCUCAAUGGUAUGAGUCACUGAACAUGCAAAUAAAUACAAUAUGAAUGAUAAAAGUGUUUGAUAAAUCACCAAGUUAUGGAACACUUGAUGAUUUAUCUCAAAUAAAAACUCAGCUUUCCAAAGUUUAUGAAUUGAAAAUAUGAUCGUUAAAGCUCUCUAAACAAAGAAGACGAAGAUCUUAUUUUAUAGAAUUUUUCUUUAUAAGAAAGAAAACACAUUGAAAACCAAAUCUCCAAGGCUUGACAGAAAAUCACAAAAGUAUCUUUCCUAUUCUAGAGAUUGGUCACAUGUAGUCCAACCAAUAGGACAUGAGAUAUUUAAGAAAUGAAGAUUUUGAUCAAUAUCAAUAUCAAAUGAAUUCUUAUACGCCUAGUCAACUAUUAAGGGUAUCUUGACUCCUUGAUAUUGUGAUAUGAUUGAAACAUGAUUUCCACGUUAGAAAAUUAAGGGGAUGUUAAAACAUGAAAGUAAUAGGAGAAUCAAAUUGAUUUCGGCCAAAAUUGCCUAAAAAGAAAACACUCCUAAAUAAACUCAAUUCACUUUUAAAAACAGUAAAACGUGAUUGAAUUGUUCUUUAAAACAAUUCCCUAAUAUACAUGCAUGAUAAUGACAUCACUUACCUCUGAAUCAAAUGCCUUUCAUAGGUCAAGCCACAAGUCUGUGUUUUGGGGAUUGCUGAGCUGCAUCAAUCCUGCCAAUGUCAAUGCUGCCCCUAUGCUCUCUCAAAGCACGUUUACAACCUAUGCUAACAUAUACCCUAAACCCUAGUAUCAAGAAAAUGCCAACACUAAUUUCGUAACACGUAGAAAUUGUUAGAGAUUGGAAGUUUUUUUUCUUCAAGUCUCUCCACCACUCACUAAUACAGAUUGCUCAUGUGAUGAGUUUACAAAACCUAUUUCUCUACUCUCACAAAGACUAUACUUCUUCUCAAAAGACUAUAUCACUUUACCUCUAUCUCUGUGAAAUGUAAAAAGUUGAAACUUUAAUGUCAAACCUCGACAAAAGAUGAACUUCCAUAAGUUACGUUGAAUUUGGAUUUGUUGAACUUAAGUGGUUUUACUUUUCUGUCAGUGUUUGAUGACUUAAUUUGGUAUUUACUUCUUCUUUUUUUCCUUGGAAAUGUGUUCCACCAACGUGAGGAAGAAAAAUAUGCACAAAUUAAUAUAUUUAAUAGAAGCCCAAGAUUUCGGAAGCACAUAAUUUCUACAAAAUUCUACAAAGUGUUCUACUUUACAAACUUCAUAUGUCUACCAAUUUUUACUAAAAUUAAUUUAUCUGCAGUGCUCAAAUUCAUCAUAUGUGUGUCCUUAAUUUUAGUGAAAAUUGGAAGUUUCCAUUAUUUUUGUUUUACGGGAAUUUUUUGAACCAAGGAAAAUCAAGUAAAAUUAAUAAAGCAUAAAUUGGAAAGGGAAAAUAUCUAGAGGAUGCAUUGUAGGAUUGCUCAUGCCAAUAAUUGUACCCUCUAAAUAUAUAGGGACAUAUUUUUUUUGCUCAUACCACUUGUUGCAGUACACAUUCACCCGUUUUCAAAGAAAGAAAUUCUACCAAUCGAUAAUGUCUCAAAUUUAAUCACAUAUUUUAUGGACCAUCCAGCUAUGAGGUUUUAUCUCAAAAACCUUCGGUACAUUUCUCCCACAUGCCACAAUUGUAUAUUCACAAUUACGUCUGAUACAUCACAUCAUGCCACUUGCCUCAAAUGAAUUUAAGUGAGUGAGGCAGUUGGAAGUAAUUAAGCUCUAUAUUGGUGGGUGGAGUGUUAGUUCUGGGUACCCCUCAUCAUUCGUCUAUAAAAUGGUGAAGCCAGUUGCUACUGUUACCAUAAGAGCCAGCUCCGACUUUCUUUAAUUUCUUGCUUCAUAUCCACUAGCUACAUCUGUUGCUCUUCUCAGUGUAAGCUCUGCAAUUUGAUUAACUUUCCCAUUAUCUCUCACUGUACUCUAUAUAAAGGAAUAAGUGUCGUCCAUUAAUUCUCUCCGAAAGUGUCGUCCUGAUUUUAAUUAGAGUUCGAAUUAAUGUUGCAGCUAGCAGCGGUUGCACUGGCAAACCAUGCUGCUCAACCGGUACCUCAACUUUACUGGAACUCCGUCCUGCCAAACACACAGAUGCCAAGAUCUAUCAGUGAACUUCUGCAUCCUGGUUUGUGUUUGAGCACUUUAGAAUCUUAGAUAUCUCUUCUACCUGCCAUUUUACUAAAAUAUGUUCAACCACAUAUUUAUCAGUUAACUACUGUCAUUACAUGAGUGACACAUAUUCACAAAUCGGCUGAUCACUUAUUUUCCAUUAUGACGUUGAUAUAUAAUGUUGGGAAUGGAAAGCCAAUUGACCACAAGGGAAAACCUGAAAAUACUGUACUACCACAGCUAGCACGAAGCCCAUUUUCUUACAAGAGUGAUGUGGGGACCAAAUCUCAUGUAUCAUAGCUUAACCCAUAUGCCACAACUAAAAGACGUGGGAUGAUCGAACAGCAUACCCACAUGGUCAUGGAUCUCUUCAGAUAAUCAAUAUUAAACAACCCAUAAACUUCUCCCUUUGAAGAACAAAUUAAAACCAAUUUCUAGAGGAAGGUUACAAAACAUUUUAGCCCGUGAAGAACAAAUCAAGACAAUAUAACCCAUUUGAUAACAAAAUCAAAAUGAGAUUUACCAAUACUAGAUGACCACGGCGCCAGUAUAAUGGUACGACGGCGGCGUUAUUGUAACGGUGGAGAAGUGGAUGGUAUGACGACGGUGUUAGUGUGACGGUGGAGGAAACGAUAUUAUGAAGGAGGCGUUGCUAUGUUCGGUGGAGGAGUCGUGUGUUUCACAGUUCAAUAUAUCCUUUUUAGUCAUUUUAUAUUAGGGUAAAUCAGUAAUUCAAUAAAUAAUUUGAUAGUAUGGUGUACUCAGUUAAUAUUAGGGUUCAUUUAACAGCACUCAAAUUAACUAGUGUAGAGUCUAUCUAUAUUAUUAAUACUAAAAAUAAAUAUAUGACUAAAUAACUCAAAAAAAAAAUAAAUCUACAAUCUUUUUUUUAAAAAAUUUUUUUUAUAGAAUUUUAUUAGAUUAAUAGGCACUACUAAAAAAUCUCCUUAUAAACUACAAAUACACGCAUAACUUAUACUAAUGUGAGCUACUGACACCACCUGCCACAUGACAGUUGUCCAAGCAUAGUGUUGUCAUUCAUUAUUCCCCACAGCAACUAACAUCCAAUAAAGGGUUGGGGCCCACCCAUACUCCACCUCUCUGUAUGUAGCUCUUUGAGAAUACAGAAGAAAUAUUUUUUAGGGAAAUAGCUUAAAAUGAUACCCAUUUCAUAAUUUUAAUUAAAAAUACCACCCCUUUCCAAUUUUUGUACAACUAUCACCUAUAAAUAUAAAAUUAUUGUCCACUUAUUGCUGAUUUUUCACAAGUUCAGAAAUUUUGGAAAGAAGAAGCUCACACAGCUCUCUCUCUCUCUCUCUCUCUCUCUCUCUCUCUCUAGCACAACUCUCUUUCUUUGGUAUCUGUCUAUCACAGCUCUCUGUGUCUCUCUUGGCUCUCUCUAUCUUGGCUCUCUCUCUCUCUAGCACAACUCUCUGUCUCUCUCUUUGCUCUCUUUCUCAUAGCGCAGCUGUUUCUCUCUCUAGCUUCGUUAUGUCUCUUUCUCCCCUAUUCGAUCUCUUGCUUUCUGUUUGGAAUCGCGAACCCCUCCCUUUAGCUAUGUCUUCUGAAUAGCUGCUUGCAACCUUGAAGCUCUAGUGGAUUGCCGACCUCGAAAAGGUAGUGUUGAUGGUUAUUUUCUUAAUAUCAGUGGGAUUAUGUGAAAUGGGUUAUAGUUUGAUUGUUUGGGUUUGUGUUAAAUUCGUUUUGGCUUUAAUUUCUUUGGGUUAGGUUUUGUUGAAUAUUCAUACUCAUUCAUCUGGGUUUGUACCAAUUGCAUUUAGAUUGGUCUGGAUAUGUGAAUCUUGAAACUUGGGAUUUUCUAUUUGAUGUAGUAGAUCUGUAUAGUGUGAUUCUGUUGUGUUCCUCUUAUUUUACAGUCGUAUUGCUGUUAUAUUGUCAUUAUAUUGCUUAUAUAUUGCUGUUAUAUUGUGGUUAUAUUGCUAUUGUAUUGUUUGGUUAUUGUGGUUAUAUUGUGUUAAUGAAAUGUUGUUUUGUCAUGGUCAGAAAUGGAGACAAUUGUUAUUCUCGUGUGCUACAAUGGAAAAUGGGUCACCUCGAAGAAGAUGUGCAAAUACGAAGGGGGUGACUCAAAAGGCUUAAUAGUUCCACGGACCAUCAAAUUUGUUGAACUGUUGGACCGUGUGCAUUAGAUUGGUAAUACAAACAGCAGGGAAGACAAGGUUUGCUUAAAAUUCUCAGUUUUGGUGGCCUCGAAUGAGUGGAAGCACAUAAAUAUUGAGGACGAUGAUGAUAUCAAUUUUUUUAUGAAGUACAAUUCCGAGGUAACACCUUCAAAACUAGCUCCCUUACUCGUGAGUAUAGAAGAUAAAGGAUUGACAAAUGAUGUAGUUCAUAGUAUGCAUAUCACGACAGAUAGUAGUCGGAUGGGUCAUUCUUCAGUUGCCAUUGUUGAAAGCAAUGAAGUAACUUGGAAUAAUACGAAUGUCACUGAUGUGGGAGGUGAAGUAGGGACAGAUUUUGUGGAUAUGAUUGAUUUUAGCGAGGUGUAGGAGAUGCAUGGUGGUGAUAAUAGUACUGAAAGAAAUGAAGUGUCAGUGUACUCUGCCCCUCCUAAUUUGGGCUGCUUCAACAUAGCUGCCCAGUUGCCAAUAAUGCGUUUAGGAGGAGAAUCUGAACCCACUCGUCAACAUUAUUGGAGUCAAAUAGGUGAACAAAAUCGGUACAAUGCAGCCGGUGUAAAUGAUGAAGAAGCAUAUUUGGACAGCGGGUUUUCACGAAGUGAUUGGAAUCCGAAAAUUACAGUUGGGCAAAUUUUCUCUAGUAAGAAAGCAUUGUUGACGGAGUUACGGUUGACGGCAUUAAGAGGCCACUUUGAAUUUAAGGUGCAAUUCUCUUGCACUAAAAGGUUGCUUGUGGUUUGUUGUCAACGUCCAUGCCCAUGGCGGGUCCGAGCAUCGAGAAUUGGAGAAUACAGCUUCAUGAUUGUGAGGUGUACAACUGUCCAUGAAUGUGAUUUGAGGUUCGUAAGUGACAAGCAUCGUCAAGCAACCGCAGCACUUGUAGCCACUUCACUUAAAAGGAAGUGACAUUAUGAGAGAUGUGAAACACAACUUUGGUUGCACCAUCCAUUAUUCGAAAGCUUGGAAAGCAAAGGAGUUAGCUCUAUUGUCCAUUAGAGGAUCAGCGGAGGAGGCAUAUUAUAUCCUUCCAGCUUAUUGCUAUGAAUUGGAGCGUAUGAAUCCCGGCACAAAAACACACAUCCAAACUGAUGAGAACAAUCACUUUGUGUAUUUAUUUAUGGCGGUUGGCGCAUGUAUUAGAGGGUUCCGUUCUUCCAUGCGCCCAGUGAUAGCCGUGGAUGCCACUCAUUUAAAAUCCAAGUACAAGGGUGUUAUGUUUGUAGCAAAUGCAUUCGAUGGUAAUUGAAAUAUAUAUCCUCUUGCUUUUGGGAUCGGGGAUUUGGAGACGGAUGCAUCAUGGCAUUGGUUUUUCACUAAACUUCAUGAAGCCAUUGGUGAGUGUCCCAAUCUUGUUAUUAUUUCUGAUCGCAAUGUUAGCAUAGAGAAUGUGUGGAACAAAAUUUUUCCAACUGCACAACGUGGCAUAUGCUUUUAUCAUAUGAAGGGGAACAUGAAACGCACUUGCUAGUUGAAAAAGCGUGAUCACAUACUUAUGCACUUUGAGCAGGCUGCGAAAUCUUAUUCCAUUGCUGAAUUUGAUUGUCAUUUUUGCAAGAUCAAGCGAAAGGAACAUGUUGCUCAAUAUCUUGAAGAGACAGGGUUACAUAAGUGGUCUAGAGCUCACAUGGAUGGACGCCGCUACAAUGUAAUGACAACAAAUAUUGCAGAGUCAAUCAACUCAGUCCUUAGGUUUGCAAGGAUGCUGCCAGUGGUUCAUUUGAUAGGGGAAAUUGUUAAUCUCCUUGUGAAAUGGUUCACCGAACGUUGUGAGUUGGUUUUGAAUUGCACAACAACAUUGUGCCCCAAUUUUGGAGAGAAGAAGUUGAGGAACAGGUUGGAGGAUGCUGCAAGGAUGAAUGUGGUUAAAGUAAAUAAUGCACAGUUUAAUGUUUUGGACGGUGAUAUGGACGGCCUCGUAGAUUUGGCGAACAGCAGUUGUAGUUGUAGAAAGUUUCAGCUUGAGCAGCUACCUUGCAAGCAUGUAGUUGCAGUUUGCCGCUUCUUGAAAGUAAAUGUAUACGCAAAGGCUUCUCGGUAUUACACUCAGAAAACCUGGAUGAUGCUUAUUCGGAUAGCAUCUACCCGGCACAACCUCACGGAAUGUGGGAUAUUCCUGAAGAUGUUCGAAGUCGAGUUGUGCUGCCUCCCAUGGCAAGGGUCAUGCCAGGCAGACGAAAGAAGAUCAGAAUUCCCUCGCAAGGAGAGGGCACCAUUAGAAGAAAGUGCUCAAGGUGCGGUUCCGCAGGCCACAAUAAAAGCACAUGUAAAAACAAUAUUCCAUUGCGCAAUGUAUCUUAGACAAUAUGAUUUGUGUUGCUUUGGUAGGUCAUGUAAACUCUACUUUUAUUUGUGGUGGGUUUCGUGUUAUGUUGAAUGGGAAUUCUUUUAAAUUUGCAUAAUUUGGGUUGCAUUGCUACAGCAUGCUGUAUUGCUGACAGAUUGCUAUUAUAUUGGACUUUUAUUGUACUGGUAUUGCUUCCAGAUUGCUAUUAUAAUUUGAGUGCGAAAUUAAAGGGACUGGAAUGUAAUUCCAAAUGGAUCCAAAUCAUUAAAGUUCUUAGAAUUCCUAUAUUACACAGUUACUGUGAUACUCCGACUAUACCUUCUUUUAUGAUUACAAAUUCGGCCAAUGCAUAGGCCAGAUGUGGGGCAAAUACAAGGUGAAAUGUCCUAUGUGUUUGACUACAUAUACUUGUUGAAGGAGCAUUACGAAUGCUAACCUCAAUAGAUUGCUCAUGUCUUGCCAAGAACACUCUUGAAUUUAUGCAAUGUGCCCAAGCCAGUCCCAAAGCUGGACUCACCCGUCUGCCUGAUGUGUCCAGGGACUCCAAGUUUCCCAACCUCACCUCAUUCACUUUAUCAUGUGGCCCAAUAAAAUCCACCACUUGGUUGGUGACAACCACCGCCAACCCAAACUUAUUUGCUAAACCCUUCAAUGUCCCAGAUAUGUUGAAAAAUAUUUCAAACCGCCAUUUCAAAUCUGCUGGUGUUGUCUGAUACUGUGAUCGGAACAAUGCAGCAAUGGAAUCAAUGACAAUGAGUUUCACAGGUAGGUGGGUGUGAUCAAUGGCAAUAAAUGCUUCUAUGUCUCCAAGGACAUGGAUGAGUUGUUGAGCAUCAUGAACACCAUGAACAUAUAUGUCUUCCAAUGGCUCCAACCUUAUUAAGUUGGGGUAUGAUGCAUGAUAAAGGUUGCCUAGUUGUUGCAAUCGACGAAAUGGGAAGCUGAAUUCUGUGAAUAUGUAGACGGUGGAGCCCUCUAGUCCGCCAUGUGAGGGUGGGAGCUGAGCUGGUACCGUAAGUUGGAGACAAAGUUGCGUCUUCCCAGAACCACUCUCCCCUACCAAUUCUGUUAUAGAGUUGCAGGGUAUCCCACCCCCCAAGCAGUCAUCUAGUAUUGGGCAUCCAAUGGAUAAUUGAGGGGUUGAAAGAGGAAGGAGCAUGAGGUUUUAGGGUGUCAUAUUUGUGUAAUUUAGGGGGGGAUGUGAUGGUGCUACAAGGCAUGCAUUAUAUAUAUAUAUAUAUGUAGAGUUCAUUUUGAAGGUCUGUAUUGUAGGCCAUAUGUCUUUUAAGGGAUGUAUAAUCCAUCCUUUUUUCAGGUUGUAAUUAAUUUUUUGUUUAUUUAUUAGUAUUUUUUUGGACCAAAUAAUUUAAAAAACAUUAUGAUGCAGUACGUACUGUAAUAGGAUCAUAUUGUAACUCUAUCAUCACUCUAUUGUACUCUUAUUGACAUAAUAUUGCCGUUAUAUGCAUGUUUAUUAUAUAGUUAUUACUGCUAUAUCGCCACUGAACUGGACACCGAUAAACUGUAUACGCACAAAUACAAAAAGAGGCUUCAUCAUUCCAUAAAAUCCUAUUUCCAAACUUACAUAAUACAACAACAGGCCACCCCAUCGUUACAUAAUACAAAAAUACGCCACCUCAUAGUUCCAUUUCCCUACUGUUGACAAAUUCGAAGUUGCAUACUCUUCAAGUGCGGUGACCGCGACGCAUGAAAUUCAUGACCCCGGCCACAGUGAUGUUGGCCUAGUUUCCUGCCGGAUCCACUAUUUUUGCAAACUUACGAAAUAGUUCGAAUCCGCUUUCCACUUCUUCUUGCUUCAACUUGGCCGUUGCUUCUGAUUCCUUGAAUACCAUAAUUGCAGUGGUAGGGGCAAUUUCAAUUUUUGCUUUCAUUGUCUUUAUAUGUAGGAGAUGCAUGCGCGCAUGAUAACGAGAGCGAAUUGUGCGGUUUUUUAUGACACCCCAUCUAGUUUGGCCCUCCACAAUUUUGAAACUAUGUCUGCAUGAAGAUUUUUCCAAAACAUGGUAUUGCCUCGACAUUGCUGCAUGCCAUGGACCAAGUCUGCAGGGAGUGAAUUGGGUGACUUGGCUUGUGUUUCAGUCUUCUCUCCUUCAGUAAUUGAAAGUGUUGGGUGUGGUGUGAGGUUAUGGUCCAUGGUCUUCGAUAUUUAUUGUAGCCUAGUGUACAACUUAAUUGGAAAAAAAGGGGACUAAAUGCGAUGGGAGUGAAAUCAGUGGGGAAGGUAGUGGCUGUAAGCAGGAGUUAAUGUGAUGGAAGUUUUCAUUUCAAACAACUGGGUUGAUUAAUAUAGGCAAGUUUUAAUGACCUGGAGUAACUCAGAGAGUUAUUGGUGGGAGGGAUUAGAGGGAGUAAUUGGCGGGAGGGAUUGGCGGGAGUCUUAGGCGGGAUAGUAUUGGGCGGGAGUUAUUACCCAGUUGACUGUAUGCCUUUUUGUAAUAUAUUUGUAUGUUGGACGUUCCAAACUUGGUAAUUUUCCCAUUAUGUAAUUCAAAUAAGGGAUUUGCCUAUUUGCCUAAUUGACCAACUCAUUCAAAUUGACCAAUAUGGUUAUUGUCUUAUUUCUCAUUUCAGCAAUCUCAAUUCGUUUCCAUUUUUCCAUUCUUCAUAUUUUCCUAUUUUCCAUGUGUCAUCCAAUUUUCCAAUUUUCCAAUUUUUCAUUAUUUUUGCCUAUUUUUUCCUAUUCCCUAUUUUCCUAUUGUGCAAUUUCCCAAGUUUCCUUUUGUUGUAUUUCUAGUUUUCCAAUUUUUCAAUGUUCCCAUUUUCCCAUUAUGUAAUUUAAAAAAAGUUGCCUGCUUUGCCUAAUUCAGAAAGUAAUUAAAAUGGUCCAAUAUGGUAAUUGUCUUAUUUUCCAUUUCCACAAUUUCAAUUCGUUUCCAAUUUUCUUAUUUUCCAUGUGUCCCUAUUUCCUAUUUCCAUUUUUCAAAUUUUAAGUUUUUGUCCAAUUAUCCAAUUAUCUUUUUUCCAAUUGGACUAUUUUCUAAGUUUCCUUUUUUUCCUAUUUCCAAUUUUCCAAUUUUUCAAUUUGCUAACUUUCCUUUUGUUCUAUUUCCAAUUUUGCUAUUUUCCAAGUUGCCUUAUUUCCUAUUUUUCAAUUAUCCAGUUAUCCAAUAUUCCAAUUUUCCAAUUAUCCAAUUUUCAAUUUUCCAAUUUGCGAAUUUGCCUAUUUUCCAAGUGUCCUUUUUUCCUAUUUCCUAUUUCAAAUUUUCCAAUUUUCAUGUUUUCAGAGUUUCCUUUUUUUUUCCUAUUUUCCAAGUUUCCUUUUGUCCAAUUUCAAAUUUUCCAAUUUUCCAAGUUGCUUUAUUUUCCAAUUACCCAAAUUUCCUAUUUUCCAAGUGUCCUUUUUUCCUUUUUCCAAUUUUCCAAUUUUCCAAGUGUCAUGUAAUCCUAUUGCCUAGUUUCCUCUUUCCAAUUUUUCCUUUUUUCCUAUUUCCAAUUUUCAAUUUUCCAAAUUUCCCAAAUUUCCAACUUUCCAUUUUUUCGUAUUUCCGAUUUGCCAAUUUUCCUUUUGUUCUAUUUCCAAUUUUCCAAGUUUCCUUAUUUCCCAUUCUCCAAGUUUUCACUUUUCCUAUUUUUCAAUUUCGCUAUUUUCCAAUUUUCUGUUCUGAAAUUCGCAAUAAAUGCUUAGUUACACAGUCCUAUUUUGGGUUGAAAUCCACAAUUUUCAAUUUCCCAUUAAGGUUUGCUUUUUUGUCGUUUGGAAGCCAAUUUUAUUGUUGUUAAUGUAAUGUUGUACUGUUGUAAAUUACAGCCAAUGAGUUAAUGAUGUAGUUUGCAAUCCCAUCAAUUGAAUGCACCAACUAAAUACCCAAUAUACUUCAUAUAAGUUCGUACAUAUAACUCAACCUUCCUAUACAGAACUGCAACAGAGGCACCUUCUUAACGGGAAAGGUAAUUAGUCUUACUAAAACGCAAAUAUUCUCCACUACAGCUAACCAAUUGUCGUUUACAACUGGAGACUGAAUCUACCUUUAUUUGUUUUGUUGCAGGCAACAGCUGUGAAUUGUCCCCGGCAAUACUUAAAGAUGUCGGAUGUACGCCCUCCAAAUGAGCAUGUCACAGUUACCCGGGGGACCAGCCGUGGCAUGUGCCAUUCCCAUCUCCACCUCGGACUCCCAAUCAUGAUCCCACUUCAUCUGGAAGUGAGGCUGAGAGCAAUGAUCCGCUUGACAAAAUCUCUGCCGUCAAGCACCACCUCCAAUAUAUGUCAAAGGCAACGGAUUGGUGGGAGAGUAAGUGCGAUAUUCAUGGCCAAGUUAUGGGAAACUUGGCCAACAAGUUGAACAAAGCAUACGCUGGAGAGGUGAAGCAAACUCUAAAAGCAAAAAGUCGGAGCAAAGAGUUAGAGUCCUUGAAGUUGAAAUUGGAAGAGAGAAAGAAAAAUGCUGUCGAAAAAUUCACACAAUCUGAAGAAUAUAACCAUGAAAUGGUUGAAUGUUUCAACAACGGCUUUGAAAUGUUCCGAGAUUAUGCUUCGGUCAUCUCACCAGACUACAAUUGGAGUGAAAUUGAUGUAGCUGGUGUUUGGCAGGUGCUGAAUAUGGGUGCUGAGGGAAUGGCUCAUCAUAGCCUCGUGCAUGCAGCAAGGAGAAAGGACAAAGACUUGGAUCUUUUGAUGGACCUGUAGUAACAGUGAGUGCUGCUUCAGUUCAACUCACCUGAGUACAUGGAUCUUUUGUUGCCUUCAUUUUCCCUUCGCAGGCUAGUAUUGUUAAGGUUCGGUGGCGAUUUCUUUUGCAUGUGUAAAAUGUUGUCUGUAAUGUGUAUGUAUUGUAUGUAGAUUGACUUAAUAUUGUAGUUCUAUUGUAUGUAUAUUGCCUUAAUAUUGCCUUUGUAUAGCAUAGAUAGUGUAUGCAUAUUGCCACCGUAUUGGAUGUAUAUUGUAAAACUAUUGGUAUCGUAUUGCCCUUAUAUUGCUCUAAUAUUGCCUCUAUAGUGCACCUAUAUUGACCUAAUAUUGCUCUUAUAUCGUAUGUCAAUGGCAUGUGCUCUAAUAAGUCUCCAGUUCGUUGAAAGUAAUCCUGAAUUCAAAUAUGAUGGACAAGACAAUUGUUAUCCAUCCUUAUAUUACCAUGAAUUGAUUUGGACCUUUCAAAUGAUAGUUGGAGUUGCACAUGGAUUCAUAUUCAAAAGGAAAGUAAUUCUCUCCCUCAAUGAAUUGUCGUUCAAAAGAAGGCAGCUAUCAAAUUUUGGGUACAAAAAGGCAACAUCCACGGUAAAUUAAUUGGGCACAAACCACAUAUUACAAAACCAGGAUGAUUUUUGGCAUGCUUCAAAAGAGAAGGGCCAAAUACAACAGAAAAGAAAAUCCAUUCAAGCUUGUACAAUAGAAUGCACAAUAACCCUUUUACAUGUCCUUCCAACACCAGUGUUUUGCCUACUUUAGAGUCGCAGGAGGAGAGCUUAUUGCCAUUGUGCAAUUCGAGGGGGCAGUCAAUUUGGAAUGGUGGCAUAAACAUGUUUACUCCACGGAUCACCUAUAUGGGACAGAGCUUCCUUCUUCCCUUGUCGUCUGUAGGUUUCAACUUCACACUUUUUAUAUACAUGUAUGAGAACUUGUGGCUAUUUAUUUAUGGCCUUCUAACACUUGUUCUGCCAUUCCAAAGUGGGUUGGAGACUUUUUGAGUUGAAUGACUGGAAAGACUUCAGAUGACAGAAACUAGAGAGUUUGAAGAAAAAGGGUUACCAAGAACAGCAGUCAUGCCCACGACAUAAACUAAACAUGCUAUAAGCUCCACAGUAAUAUUUACUUCAUCUCCAUAAUCAGAAUAUUGGGAAAAAAAUACCACGGAGAAAUACGUGAAAUGAAAAACAACUCGGCAGUUACUGUGAGAUUGUGUACAUAAAACUUGGAACAACCAAACCAAUUAAAGCUAAGCCAUCUCAUACGUAUACCUACAUCAAAUAACAGUGUAUGGUCAUCUUGUUUAGAAUAUUGCAAUCAACACUUGGUUGAGACCGACCUGCAAAAACAACUGGGUUAAGUACAGAUGAAGCCAUUUAUGAAGGGCAGUUCCAGAAUUAAGACCUACGUUAAUUUGUAACUGCCACCGAAUCAGUUCAUAGUGCCAAAUGCAUCUACCAAGCACACAGAUAUGACCAGCCAAAAGAAAAAAAAGCAAAGUAAAAAAGAUAAAAGAGGCAUGCCAUAAAUGGGAACCUCAGCAGAAAUCAUCAGAUAUGCAUACAAGCAGAUUGAGUAACAUCUCACUAAGUAGAGGUCAUGUUGGUAAUCGCAUGUUGUGUUUGCACACAGACAUUUGGUUUUUGCAAACACAACAUGCAAUUGCAUUCCAUGAUGUGUGUGUUGUGUUUGCACACAGACAUUUGGUUUUUGCAAACACAACAUGCAAUUGCAUGAUGUGUGUGUUGUGUUUGCACACAGACAUAUGGUUUUUGCAAACACAACAUGCAAUUGCAUAUUGUGUGUGUUGUGUUUGCACACAGACAUAUGGUUUUUGCAAACACAACAUGCAAUUGCAUAUUGUGUGUGUUGUGUUUGCACACAGACAUUUGGUUUUUACACACACGAUAUGUAACAUUUAGUUUUACCCUUUUAUUCUUAUUUUCUUCGUUCAAACAUGGUGGUGAGAAAAGCACCAAACCAUCCCAUCAUAUAAAGCAAAACUCAUACAAUAUUUUAGAUGCAAAAGUUAUAUAUUUUAUAUAAAUGCAUCAUCCGCAUGGCUUGAAAUUACAAAUUCACGUUCACAUAUUACUUUUCACAAGCGCACAGACUAACAAUAAUAAUAAUCAACCAAGUAGUUGCGACAUUCAUCCUAUUACGUCCAUAUUGAUAAUGUCAGAAGUUUCAUCGAUAAGCCUCAUCAAACUACAAGUUUUUUAAUUUGAAUUAUGAAUUCAGAACUAAAAGCUCAUGAUAUGCAGAAAAUGACAUACAUUGUCCACAAUCGACUUUUCGAUAUAUUUCUGCUCUAGCAAUUUAUCGUCCAAAUUCUGGACUCUCUGUGUCAGGUGCUUCUUUGUGUUCUAUCCAGCAUAAGAAUAUUUAAUAGUGUGAUUUCAAUUGUUUAUACAAAUUCUAUAAGUAAUAUUGAUGAGUGCUGUAAAUCUAUUUGAUAUUGGGAACAAACAUGGUCCCACUAACAGAAACUCAAACAAAACAGGAAUUUUUUUUUAUUUUUUUUGGCAUAGACAGCCGAAAAGAAACUUACAGCAAUAGCCUCUGUCACGCUCUCCAGACGUUUAUGCAAUUUUGAAACAGCAGCAUUCAUACUACGCUUUGUCACAUACAGAAGAUCUGAGAAUUUUAGACCCUAACCAUUUGUGAAGAGCAAAUAUUAGAUUUGCUUAAAGAAGACAACAACUCACAGAACCAAUGGAUGAAAUAAUAUGAACAUAAAUAUAUCAUUUGGAUACCUUCCACCACAUGUAACCAUAACCCAAUGCCCCCAAGGUAGCUGUUGGCAUUAUUAGUGAUGUCAAACCUAUUAAAAAAAUCAAAAAAAAAAAUAUAACCAAGUAUAAAAUGUUUCUAUUGCAUUAUGAAAUACAUACGUGUAAGGAAUUAAUCGUUUUACAACUUAACCAAAAAGUCAAGGCAGGAGCAUGCAUUCAUUGAGUGGUUAUAAGCAAGAGGAAAAAGCACAAAGCAUGCUAAGAAUUCAUUUGAACACAGAAGAGAAAGUAAGCUACCUUGGAAUUUGGCUGUCAUUCCCCUUCAGGACGGCUCUCUGUAGUGACGAGUCUAGUUGUCGGACCUCAGCUGCCAGUCGGCGCACCUAAAACAAAGUAACACAGGAAAAUUGAUAUCCAUUACAAAAAACAAAAAUUGAACACGAGAAAGCAUCCUUCGACACUAAAUUUAUAGCAGUUUUUCCAAUACCUGUGAUGCGAUCGCAUAAAAGUCACCUUCUGAUUGUUCUCCGGUUCCAUUGAACAAAGGCUGCAAACAAAACAGAAAUAGACACAAAUCCAUCAAUUUUUUGAGCAACAAGACACAAGCUCCGAAAUAAAUAAACUAUCUAACUGAUCAAAACCCUAGUUUACCAAAUGCAUUACAAAAUUAAAAACUCAUACAAAAAUAACACCAAAUACAAAUGUUCUGCGAGUUCCACUAGCAAAGCAGAGUACAAAUCAUGAAAAUGGUACCUGAAGUUCACCGAUCAAUUCAGAUAAUUGACCAUUCUUACGCAGGAUGGUGCUCGUAUACCCUGUAGAAAGAGAACAAUCACUCAGAUCAAAUGUAGCUAAAUACACAAGGAAACUAAUCCAGUAUGCAAGAUGAAAGAGGAGUGAUUGGUACCUACUCCAGCGAAGAUCAGCAAACACAGUAUGAGGUUCCAAAUUCAAAUAACAACAUAAUGCUAAGCAGAGAAGUAGAAUUGCUGCCGAAAUUAUUUAAAACGAACUAAGUCAAAACUAAAUGGAGAAAUGUUAACAAAGUUGUAUGCUUCAGUAAGUCCAGUAACAGAUUCCCAAAACCACAGAGACAAAAUGUGAACAAUGGCUACAAAAGCAUCCAUAAAGAGCAACUAUGUUUAUAUAUGGAGGUGUACAAAAUAGUUAACCUUCAAAAUCGAAACAGUGUGUGUGCCAUGUAAGGCAAUUAGCCACUGCUUCUAGACUAUACAAUAUUACACCUCACAAUAAUAACUAAACCAACUAGCUCUAGCAAAAAGGCAGGAUGACCAUAUAAAGUACCCCCAGCAAAGCAUCUACGUCUGCAUCUUCAUAUCAAGGAGUUCCUGACAUAAGUAAUGAGCAAAGUGAAUUCCCAAGUCAUAAGUCCAGAAUGAGGUGAAUUCACGGACAUUAAAACAUUUACCUCAUAAAUAUGCCUCCCCCCUUAAACCCUCAAUUGCAAGCCUCAGCCGGUAAUAUUUGAUCUUCAAAGGGUCAACUUUAUCUACCGAAAUCCCAGCACUGAGAUGCUCGAUGAAUUUGACGGUCAUGAUUCCGCAAGACGUACUGUGAGACCAAUAAGUUGGGAAAUUAGAACUGCAGUUAUGUAAGAUUUGGAUAAACUGCACUAAAUUCACAAAGCUUACCCAUCUCGUUGUUGUGGCACAUCUGCAAUGCUGCAAACUGAGAAUGGCGUAAACGUCAACAUCUUCAGCCCCUUUUGCUUAACCUUUUCAACCUCAGAAUCUUCAUAAAAGUGCAUAUCGUACAGCACUCGUGCCAGCGUAUCGCUAAUAGGGUGCAGAAGUGUAACCAGCUUCGAACAUUUGGUAAAAGCAACAUAUGAGUCAUACACAGUUGCAGUAUGUCAGACGAAAUCAAUUUCGAUUGCAACCCAGUAAGACCCUUUAAGAUUAUAUGGAAUAUAGACCUUCCGGACUUUUGUCCAAGCUUGGCCAUACCCGUGUUGCCACGUACCGCGUACAAAGUAAUGUAUAUUCUGCAGCUUGCUGGGUGGAAGGUCAACGGUGUUUGAAGCAACUGCCUUCUUCGAUCCACGUUUCUUGGCAGUCGGUUUGAACGGAUCUAGAAAUUGCUGCAUAAAUUGAAAUGAAGGCAUAUUAGAAAAUCACAACCGAAAGCAAAUGAAGCAGCGAAUGUAACAUGGUAACAUGUUUACCUGCAAGCAACAAUCUGCUGUUGUCCAGUCAGUUCCAAAUACCAACGGAUGAGAGAGUUGCCUUUUCCAGAUAAGAAAGGUUGCCAUGUCCAGGUGCUGAAAGUUGACACACAUAAUAUCAGCACAAUUUCAUACAACUGUACACUUAAAAAAGGUGAGAAAACAAUUUAAUUAUCGCAAUAAAGUAGAGCUUUGUGUAUUCUUACCCUUGAGCUAAUCCAUUCCGUUUCAUCGAUAAGUCUGUAGAAAAAAUCAGCGCCCACUGAAAAUAAUUCCAGCUGCACCUCCGCACUACAAAAGGCAAACUUGCAAUGGUUACUUUUAUAGUCAUCUCAUAAUUCUGACUUUGUUGAUGACAAAAAUACACAUGUAUAUUAAAGCAAACUCUACGUUUUCUCAUUAGUCUAUGACUACAUACUAGAAUAGGAUGAAGAUUGGAAUUCAAAGGUAAAGAAUCCUAACCUGAUAUCGUUUUUCCAGGCAGUACAAAACUCUAUUACUGCCUUCACAUCUUCAAUGGGCACGGAUUUUGAUGGAUCAAAACAUGGCGGGGUUGCAGUCGCAGCCAACACACUCAUCGUCCUCUUCUUCCUCAAAGGAUCAGUAAAUGGGCUCAACAAUGUCUGCGCCGGGCGCUUCUGUCUGCACCCUUUACCUUCCACUUCUUUUUUUUCCACACUCGAACUACCUUCUUCAUCACCAGCCAUACUAACUGUGGGUAGACUUGGAGGAUUCAUCGGACCUCCCGAUGGCAUACUCUUAGUCACUUUCCAAUCUUCUAACAGAGACAACACUUUUUGGCAGAUUUCGUCACACCCGGCCACAUCUUCCGGGGUAGGCAGCUUCUCGGAUUGUGCCUGCUCAGCUGCUUCAUGCACUUGUAAGUGAGGAACUGAAGCGGCCAUUUCUGCCUCUUCGACUACCAUGGCUGCGGAAGGUUCGGCUCCAUCACCGGGAACUUGUGUUUCCAUUACCGCCGGUUCUGUAGGCGGACUAACAUGGUCAUGUAAUGGCGACAAGUGAUUGUCGCCUCCUUCAUUCAUAUGAGGACUACUGAGGUCCUCAUGUCCUUUCCCACCUUCAUUCACCCCACCAUUUCGUUUUUUCAGCUGCUCUAUCUCCACAUUAAAAUAAUGCUCCAUUAAAGCCAGGGUGUUGCGGAAAUCCUCCACACACUUUUUAUUUUUUUCGAACUCUCUUUCAACUUUCAAUGACUCCUUCCGUACCAUGUCUUCCAACUGAUGCACUCUGUUGCGAAGCGCUCGAUUUGAUAUGGCAACUUUGGCCAAUUCAUCCUUUGUCCUUUGAAAGUCACGCUUCAAAGUGCGUAACUCUCUGGACGCGACUGUACCCUGCAUUCAGUUAUAAUGCAAGUGUUACAAUAUUUUCAAAAUAUAUUGCAACAAUACAGCAGUUAUUUUCCUAUUGUAUUAUGACGUAUAUCUUGGAAAAAAAUGUAAUGCUUGCCUUAGAAGACGACGGAAGGCUAGCAGUUUCGUCAAUGUCCUUAUCUUUUUCUUCUACAGAGGCAGAAGUGCUGGUUUUUUGUUCAGCGUCAUCGCCAAACAACUGAACAAGUUCUUCAGUGUCGUCAACACUGUCACCCCAAGUCCAAUACGGCUGCUGCUUGUCGAUUACAGAUGGCCGGAGAAGUUGCACAUCAACCUGCAAUUUACACAUACAAUAUACAUAUCAGUAAACUUAUUAUAUUAUAUUUUCAUAUGCCUAACAUUAUCAUUAAAAACUUAACUAACCUCACGGUUCUCGAAUACUUGGCUCAUUAGCUCAUAAAAACACGGCGAACUAUUGCUCCUCCAAUGUAGUAAACGAGGGAUGUAGGCAUUAUCUUCGUGCACCACCAAAUGUAGUGCAGCCAACGCUGGAAAAACCUCAUAAGCCCAAAUCUGGUUUGAGGAAUAAAACGUGAGUCACUGUAAACAAAUGAAAUUUAACUUCAACAUGAAUGGAAAUUUGCUCACCUGAAGUGCAUAGGCAAAACCUUUGAGGUGGUACUCUCUUGGUCUACCAGUUGCCGUUGUUUUUGCUUUCUUUUCAGAUUUUUUUGUUUUUGCAGCUUUUUUGGGCACUUUCACUCGCUGGUAAUCUGUACAAAGUGCCCUCAGAAGUGACACAAUUGUCUUGGCAUAACACACAGCACCCCAUGGAUACUUCCCAAACUCUUCAAGGUCUUCCACCAACUUCAAAUAUCGCAUGUCAAUCUGGACAUGUUUUUCACUGCCCAACAGCACAAACACAGCAAAGUAUACAAAUCUGAGCUUCAAUACAUCGUCCGCAUCAACGCAUUUGAGGAAGGCCUUUUCUAAUUCCAAAACAUUGACAGUUUUAUAGUUGCCAAAGUACUUCCUUUUCAAUGAGCAGUUCUCAUUAGUGGGAAUCGGAAUAAAGGGAAGGUUUCCAAACCUUAGCCCUGUCACGAUGCAAAAUUGCUGCGCCGUGAAUUGGAUCACCUUAUUGCCAACGAUGAAUUUGAUCCCGUUGAGUUGGGAAACUGUCUUUGGAUCAGCUUUCCUCAGCAGCAAGCCGUGGACAAUUGGCGAAGUCCACUUGAGGUCCUCAAUCAGUAGGAGAUGCCCAAAACAACUCUCUUCAAACCUUUGUAGCUGUUGUUCACUGAAUUUCUCCUUUAUCGUGCUGAUUGCAGUCUUCGUAUGGGAUAGGGACAAUGCUUUUCCUUGGAACUUUUCUUCCUCUGCAAUCAUCAACUUCAUUUGAGCAACCAUCUUUCCCUGCAUGCCAAUAUUAUAAAAAAAAAUUCAGUCCGUUGCAAUCUAGACAAUAACAAGCAAUAAACAAUCAGCACUUAUCUACAGCCUAUUAUAGGAUAUUAAGUGAAAACAAAAAAACAAAAAAUACAGGGCAUAAACAAAACCCCAGCUAUUUACAACUGACCUACUAAUUCAAUAGCUCAAAGCCACAUCCCAAGACACCCAGUACUCUACCACUCUUGCAUAAUAUAAUAUCUAAAGACACAUCUCAACACACCAGAUAAUCAUGACACAGCUUCAGCUAGAAUGGGAAUGUGCGGUAGCACAAGCCUAAUUGAGAACAAUUCAAGACUAACGAUAGAAAUCUAUCUGACUAGAAAGAGUUUUAAAAAAACAAGAAGACAUCGGGAAAGAAUUGAUUGACUUCAAGGUAUAAUGUAAUGGAACAUCCUAUGAAUUAGUGGCAACCAUAAUAAUGACUCCACUAUGGCCCUCCUUUCAAAUGUAAGAAAAUGAAUGAAAUUGGCACCAUCCCUUCAGUUUUUUCUUAACAAAAUAAGAGAUUUGUAUGUAUUCUCUGCUUUAUCGAUAUCAAAGAUAAAUUAAUAAAUAAACCAUCAAAACUGUAUAAAAUGUUUGUUAGACAUGUACAAUUACAAAAUUAUAAGUUCUCCUCAGAAACAAAGUUCUCUAAGUACGCAAACAAGAAAAGCAAAAGCUUAAAGAGUUAGCUUAUAGCAAAAUCAAUGUCCCCAUUUCUCUAAACCACACCUGCUGGUGGUAGGUUCCCAUCUUCACUCAUUUCCCGCUUUCUUUUAAACAGACAAUGAUCAAGCACAAAAGAGCAAACUUUUAAAUAACUCAUAUUACACCACAAAUAGUUCUAAAGAAAACUUAUUCAUAUCCAAUAUGCAACCCCUAAAGUUAGUAAACAGAGUUAUAAAAAAAUAUGUCAAAUUAACAAGCAUUAUUCUCAAACAAAAAGUAUGAUAUGGUUGGGAGUUUACAAGUUCAAAAUGAUAUACACAGGUUAAUUGUCUUAGACUUUAGAUAUCAUCUUCAACAAAGAAAAUAGAUACCGAUUAGACUUGUAAGAAGGUUAAAUGCAAUGGUCAUAAAGACCCAUAGUAAGCCACCAAAUACCAAUCAAUAACUGCUAUAAAAACCAUAAUAAAACCAUAAUAAACUAAAAAUACAACAGCACUAAAAUGCCAACACAACAUCACUACAUUAGCAAUAUAGUAGCAACAAAACCACAAUACGACAUCAAUAGCAACAGCAAAACAACAGCAGUGCAAGCAUCAGUCCACAAAGAACAAACCCAUUCACUGUUUCAAACAAGGAAUCAUCAUACUAAGAUCAUUUCAGAGAAACCCCAAAACCAAUUUCAGUGAAACCCCUAAACCAAUUUCAGAGAAACCCCUAAACCAAUUUCAGAGAAACCCCUAAACCUUCAACCAAUUUCGAACAAAUCCCUGAACCAAUUUCAUAGAAAUGCAUAAACCCUAAACCAACUUCAAAGAAACCCUAAACUGUAAGAAAAUGACGAUGAACAGUACCUGUUCAAGGUGAACGAUGGAGUUGAGCUUCGAUGAACAAAUUUCGCUCGGAGAGGAAGAGAGAAGAGAGAGUCAGAGCUGAGCGACGAGAGAUUAAGGGCUGAGCGACGAGAGAGUGAGAGCUGAUCGACGAGAGAUGAGAGAGUGAGAGCAAAGUGACGACAGAGUGAAGAGAAAUUGAGAGAAGGAGCCAAGAGAGAGAGCUGAGAGAGAACUUCAGCAAAACUGAUAGAGAACUUCAGCAAAAGUGAUAUGUGUACAAUAAGGGGACAAUAAAUAUAUAUUUAUAGGUUAUAGUUCCAAAUUUUUUUAAAAAGAGUGGUAUUUUCAGUUACAAUUAUAAAAAUGGUGGCAUUUUGAGCUAUUUCCUUAUUUUUUAUUCAACAUGGACGCAGAAACUGUUGCUAAACUGCAAACUUCUUAAAAUAUUUGUCUCACUUUCUCAACCCUAUAUUUGUCUAACUUUCUAGAUCCAUGUACUGAGAUUUAUUAGGGAAAUAUUGUAGAAACUGAUUAUUUUGAAAUAUUAAAUGUGAAAAACUGAACAAAAAUUUGAUGGGUUACAUAUUUCAACUCAUUUCAGCAGCUUAGAUUUUGAAGACCUCGGAAGAGGCCAUGCAGUGAGCCUAGCUAGUGCACUGUUGAUCACUUCAGUGUCUACCGAUCUGUAAUUUUUCCAGAUUGGUUAUAUUUUCCUUUACAUAUUCUUAUAUUAUUCCCAGCUGUAAGUGUUUUACACACUUGUCUAUUAGAAAAGGGGAGACUUAUAAAUAAAUCCAAAAUGGGUACAGUAUUUAUAAAGAAUGACAAAAUUAAAGUGUUUGGGCAAUAAUGCCCUUAUUCAUUUUGAGAUUGCCUAAGGAAUAUUUUUUCUGAUUUUCAGAAGAUGCCAAAGGACCGUUGUUUGAUGAUUGCCGUAAGGAGCUAAGAAAACUUGCUUUGAUAGUUUUGGACAGAUGCAUGCUACUGUUGCUGGGAUGAUCUCUUCACGUGAAAUGAGGAUGAUGAUGCUUCUACACUACACAAUCCAACGAAUUCACAUGUCUAUUUCAGAUACAAGUAUAAACUAACAAGGCUUUAAAAUAUGGGCUGAUGCACUGUUGUUGAUGUUGCUGACACUGUUACUGUGUUGUUGAUACUGUCACUGCGUUGCUGUUGGAAAAAGCACAAGGACUUCACAUGUUGCUUUCGUCUUUUGUGGAGGAGAGAGACCUAGGACUUGCAUGUCUUAGAUAUUUAAGAUAAGGGGCUUUCGUUCCAUUUUGAAAAUACUUUGGGUGUUUUUGAAAGGUGAUUGUUUCUUUUGGGUUUCUCACUAAAUUUCGCUUUAGAAGGGAAAAUAAUAAUAAUAAUGUCAAACAAAGUAGGGUAAAUAUUCAGAUAUGCUCAUAUUAUUAUUCUUCUCCAAUAUUGAGGUAUUUAUACAAGUACAAAGAUGUGUUAACCCUAAAUAAAAUAGGAAAUAUAUCUAAAUUAUAAUAGGCAGUAAAUCUCUAUUACAAUAGGACUAAAUAAUAAUUGGUAAGUAACCAAAAUUCUAAUGAAAUAAGGAAUCAAAAUCCUAACUAAGUAAGGACUCGCCAACACUCCCCCUCAAGUUAGGGCAAACAUAUUUCGCAUGCCUAACUUGACAAGCGAGUCAUAGAACACCAUACUUGAGAAGCACCAAUUGUAGAGAAGGUCUUUUCGUCAACCACGAGUGAAACAAGUGACAAACUAAAGCAAAGUUCGCAGCGGAAACACAAGAGCGAAUCCUAAAAAAUAGGGCACAUAGCAGAACACAAAAAUCCUGGAGCACGACAGUAGAUAAGGCAGAACACAGAAACCCUGUUAGCACGGCAAUAGGUAAGGCAGAAAAAGUCAAGAGCAAAGGCAAGGUCAACAGGCGUGACCACAACGAAAACACACCAGCAAAGACAUGAGCAACAAUAUUAGCACCAUAAUAGACAUGAGCAACAAUACUGGUACCAACAACAGCAAUACAAGGCACUGGCACCAGCAAGAGCAACAAGGCAUGGACAUAACAUGCAUAAUCAAUAGUAAUCAACAUUGUCCCCAACAAGAGUCAUAAUAGGCAUGAGCAAUAACAUUGUCCCCACUAAGAGACUUAACAGGUAUGAGUAACAGUACUGGCACCAGCAAAGGGCAUAGUAGUCAGCAGCAAUAACAAUGACAAAUACUUCUAUUAUUGCAGAGACAACUUCUCUUCACUCCCCAUCUCCCCUUGAAGAGAAGGGGUCAUCGGAACCAUAAGAAAAGUGGCACUUAAGAAACAGAAGUUGACUGACGCUCAAAUGUAGAAGAAUCAGCCAUGGCAAAUAGGUAGCUGAAUUGCAGCGGAAUAGAUGAGCAGCGGUGUCACUCCCCCUCAUAUCUGAUAAUGUAUGAGAGUCGAGAUUUGGAGAAAGCAAUAUCGAAAAAUAAAGUUGCAGAACCCAAAUAAAGUUGCAUCUAUCUCCCCAUCAAAUCCGACACUGGUAAAGGGUCGAGAUUUGAAAGAGGAGAAAUUGAAAUAAUAGUAAAGAGACUCAAACAUGCAGUCUCAUGGCAGAAACAAAUGCAAGAGGGGAAGAUGGUAGCAUACGGUUGUCCCAUGAAGAAAAAACUUCAGAAAAGGAGAAUAGUAAGGGAGGAAACCUAGCAAAUCAUGAACAGAGACAAAGACAAAGAUGCUCAAACUGAGAAGCGGAAAGGCAACUCAAGAGAGCAACCGAAGAAGACAGAGGCCCGCAGAACAGUCAAAGUUAAGGCUCGGCGAGUGGUGACGAUGCUCGCGGAGGAAAGCAACGGCUCGGUGAGCGGUGAUGAGGCUCACGGAGUAAAGAGACUUGUUAUGAAGUUUCAAAGAUAGAGAAGCUGAGACAUCAAGAAAGACCAUCUGGCAUACAAAGAUGAAAAAUAAAAAUUUUGGAACAGUAGCAAAGAAGCAUGUGAAGGCUGGUGCGGUGAAAACACAUAUGAAAGGAUGAACAAAAGAAGAUGACUAUACAAGAUGAAGACCCAUGAUGGGUUAGGAAUGAGGAGUGCCAACGACUCUCAAUUUGGCAGAGGUUAUCGCAGGUUAGGAACCUGGCUCUGAUACCAUGUCAAACAAAGUAGGGUAAAUAUUCAGUUAUGCUCAGAUAUGCUCAUAUUAUUAUUUUUCUCCAAUAUGGAGAUAAUUAUACAAGUACAAAGAUGUGUUAACCCUAAAUAAAAUAGAAAAUAUAUCUAAAUUACAAUUGGAAGUAAAUCUAUAUUACAAUAGGACUAAAUAAUAAUUGGUAAGUAACUAAAAUUCUAAUGAAAUAAGGAACCAAAAUCCUAACUAAGUUAGGACUCGCCAACAAAUAAUAGUACAACUCUUAUUAGCAACAGGUUACAAACUUCUUCUACAACACACCAACAUGAAUCUAGCCCUGAUCCACUCUUUUACAUACUUGAAAACAAAACAAAACACGAAAAACAAAAAACAAGAAACAAGAUAGGGAGAAAAUGGCUACGGAGAGACUUCCUGCUAAUCAGGGGCGGCCCUGGGGUGGUGCAAGUGGCGUCACCGCACAGGGCCCCCGAUUCUUAAGGGCCCCCAAAAAAUAAUUCUUUAUAUUAUAUAUAUAUAUAUUAAUAUUAUAUGAAUCGUAUAUAAAGUAUAGCGUCUGGAUGAUAAAGAGACUCAUUAUCAUUAUCUUAGUCAUAAGAUUCAAAAUGAAUUGAUACUUUUGUUAGCUUCUGAGCUCAAAAGUGCAAUCAUUAAAAAGAUUGAAGAAGCUAAAUAUUUUUCUGUGAUUCUUGAUUGUACUCCAGAUGCUAGAAACCAAGAACAAAUGAGUUUGAUAGUAAGAUGUGUGGAUGUCUCUACUAAUUCAAUAAAGGUUGAAGAAUUCUUUUUGGAAUUUUUGAUUGUGAAUGAUACAACAGGACAAGGACUUUUUGAAGAGUUGCAAACGGUGUUGCAAAAACUUAAGCUUGAUAUUGAUAAUGUGAGAGGACAAGGCUAUGACAAUGGAUCAAAUAUGAGUGGGAAAUAUCAAGGUGUCCAAAGAAAAUUUUUGGAUGUAAAUCCUAGAGCAUUGUACACACCUUGUGGUUGUCAUAGUCUUAAUUUAACACUUUGCGAUAUUGCAAACUCUUGUGGAAAAGCAAAAGAUUUUUUUGGAAUCAUACAACGUAUUUAUACAUUGUUUGCUAAUUCUACAAAGCGGUGGAAGAUAUUGAAAGAUAAUGUUAAACACUUAACUCUGAAAUCAUUGUCAGUUACACGUUGGGAAAGUCGUAUUGAAAGUGUGAGAGCAAUAAGAUUCCAAGCUGCAGAUUUAAGAGAAGCUUUACUUCAGUUAGCAGAAAGUGACGGUGACUCCAAAAUAACAAGUGAAGCUAAUUCUUUGGCAACAUAUGAACUUGGAAAUUUUGAGUUCUUAUUGGGCAUGGUUAUUUGGUAUGAUAUAUUAGGUGGUGUCAAUGUAGUGAGCAAAAACUUACAAUCUGAAGACAUGCUUAUUGAUGUUGCUAUUGAUAAAGUGAAAGGGUUGAUUACUUUUUUUUUGAAAAGUAUAGAGAAAAUGGGUUUACAGAAGCUAUGUGUACUGCUAAAAAAAUUGCUACUGACAUGGGAAUUGACCCGGUGUUUCCUGAGAAGCGAAAAAUUCGUAGAAAAAAACAUUUUGAUGAGAAUACUUGUGAGCUAUCCCAAUCAGUUCCUGAAUCAACUGAAGAAAAGUUUAGAAUUGAUUAUUUCUUGUAUUUAGUGGACCAAGCUAUUGGUUCUUUACGAAGAAGGUUUCGACAAUAUCAAGAGUAUGAGAAUUUUUGGGUUUUUGUUUACUUCAGAGAAGUUAAAUUCAUUGGAUGAUUGCGAUUUGAAGAAUAGUUGCAGUCAUCUGGAAAGCAUUUUGAAAAAUGACAAGUUUUCUGAUGUCGAUGGGGAGGAUUUAUUUGUUGAGUUGAAAGUUUUACAAGAGCUUUUACCAAAAGUAAAUACCACAGCUACUGCAAUAUUAAAUUUCUUGAAAAGAUUAAAUUGUUUUCCAAAUGCAUUCAUUGCAUAUAGAAUCCUAUUGACUAUUCCUGUUACUGUUGCAUCUGCGGAAAGAAGUUUUUCAAAAUUAAAAUUGUUAAAAUCAUACUUGAGAUCAACUAUGUCGCAAGAAAGAUUAAAUGGACUAGCUUUGAUUUCAAUUGAAAGUGAACUUCUUGAAAAACUUGAUUAUGAACAUUUGAUUGAUGAUUUCUCUUCUAAAAAUUCAAGAAGAUCAAUUUUCAGACAUUAGUAUUGUACUAGCUGUGUUUUUUUUUUUCUUCUAGGGUAAAAGCUCUCAUAAUAAUUUUAAUUCUUCAAAUAAGACAGCAAAUACAAUGUGAUGAAUUUUGGAUAAUCAGGUAUGUUUUUGUUGUUGCUUUUGUGUUUAAUGCAAUAUAAUCUAAUUUUUUUAAUGACAUUUGUGUGCAACUACUCUUUGAUUUGUGAUUGCCAAUUUUUUUUUCUUUCUAUUAAACACAGAUUGCUUAUUGGAGGCAGCAAGAGACCUUAUAGGGGCACAAGGAGCUUAUUUUUGUACAAAACAUUUAACUUUAUCAAAUGGAAACAUUUAAAUUUUUAUGAAUUUGAUUUCUGAUUGUCAUUGCAUAUUUAUUGAUGGUGAAUUUUAGUUAUAAAAAAAAAAUUGUUUAUGACAUUAAGUUAUGGCAAAUUUUUAUAGUAUUUUCGUAUUAGAUUAUGCGAGGUCCCAAUUUAAGUUUCGCACAGGGCCCUCAAAAUCUCAGGAACGGCCCUGCUGCUAAUACUUGAUCAAUAACAGAGAUAAUAGAGCACACUGUUUGUAUGACAAUGAGUAUCAGAAGAAUAAUAGCUGCAAAGAGAGAAAUAGCUGCCCAAGGUGUGUUGAAAUACUUUUGUCUCAAAUUUGCCUUCCGUCUGUUCGUGGUCUUCUUGCAGUACUCGUUUAGUUUGCCAGCAAGAUCACCAAAAUAGUAGUUUCCGUGGUUCGGAGCAACUUUACUGCAAAGCUUGUUAAUCAUAAUGGAAACCUUAUUGUUGUCACCUAGCGUGUUUACAACAAUUCCAUUGUCAACAAGCAACUCUACAUCCUUUGGGGUGUUUACAAAUUUAUCCAGGAUGAAAACAUAAUCGCUUAUGUAUUUAUCCACGCAAUGGCCUUGUUCAAAGGCAAUGAGAUUUCUAUGUGUAAGCUGUGUAAUCAUGUAUUUCAAUUUUUGGAAUUUCCAAGGUGUUUUUCUUGAACUGUAUAUCGAAUAAGUUCUUGCUUGAUCCCACGUUAAACUUAACUCCGGCCUGGUGUAGUUUUGUCAUGCUGGGUGUACUUUGGAGCCCUCCAUUUUUUUUUCUUUUGGCAGAUGUAAAGUUCUAAUAAAAUCAACAAAAUGUAAAGGUUUUUUAGGAUCAGGAGGCAUAAAAGACUUACGGAAGGCUGGUGAGUUCUCCAAGUUUUCUAAACGCAGUGCCUGUUGGAAGAACUUGUAAGAGAGUUCAAUUAUUGAAGGCUCCCCAGUCUGAGCACCUGUGAGAUUGUAAAGAUCCUCGAGAAUGAAAAAUGGCAGCUGAUUUACGAGCAUAAGCAUGUCAGGCAAUAUAUUUUGUAGCACCCAUGGUUUUUUAAAUAUCCAAGCAUCAUCAUCCUGCAAUUUUUCUUCCUGAAAUUUUUCUUCGGAUUUAUUCCUCAACAAUAGCUCAAUGACAAAGGCGGCAUCAACUAGAAUGAUAUUCACAAAAGUAGCAAUGUUAAACUUCUUAGGGCUAGUUUGGCGGCGUUGUGCUUUUAAAAAAAUAUGCUUCUGCUGUGCUGUGAAAAUAAUUAGCUGUGAAAAAAAGCUACUAGGCGUUUGGUAAACUGUUUUUGAAAAACUGCUGUGAGUAGUCAAAGUGUUUGGUAAAUUUUUAUCAGAAGUACUUUUAGUGUGUAUAAUGACCAAAAAGGACAUGAUGAUGAAAUUGUUUGUUAUUUUCUUCAUUCUUUUUCUACUUUAAAAAAAAAAAAAACCCAAUUUCACUACAUAAAUUUUUAUUCUUUUUUAAUUCACACCUUUUUAUCAAAAAAUUUAAUCUACAAUUAACAUACAUAUUUUACCAUAAAUUAUAAAUUACUAUUAUAACAAAAGUAAUUCUAAAUAUUGUUAUAUUAAUAUGGGCUUCGGACAUGACAAAAAUACAAAAAUUGUUCAAUUUUAAAAUGCCCCAAUAGAUCACUACAAUAUAAAAGAAGCUAAUUAGAUGCAUUCAUUAAACUUGUAGCGAUGCUAUUUCUUAAUGCAUUCAUUAGCUUCUUUUUUUGGUUUCCAAUGGUUCUCUAACAAUUUUAACUAAAAAAACAACCAUAAUGCUUUGUGAACAAUAAAUUCAAGUCCAAAUCUGCUAUUGCCCACACCAUACAUAUAUACAUAAUUGUUCCUUUCAUAAAACUUGAAGAUUCAAUAGUAAUUACACAGUUUACCAAUCUUGAUUCCAACUAUAUCCAUAAAAUUAAACUAUAAUUAGAAAUAGAGGAGCUACAUGUGAUUACUCAUAAAUGCUUCCCACUCUCAUCAUCAUCAUCAUCAUCAUCUUCCUCCUCUGUACUUUGCCUUUCACAAAUGGACAAGACCAGAUGGUAACGUACACGACAUGGUCCACAUAUAGAUAAAUUUUGGGUUCACUGGAGAACAUAAAAGAGUUUUUACACGAAUACAAAGUUAGUUAAGUAGUGAAUAAAGUAAAACUAUUCUGUACAAUUCUAGCUGAUGCAGUCCAAAAAGAAUAUAUGUCUAAUAACUUAAAUAACAAUAAAGAGAAACAAAAGCCUCAUGAAAAAUGCUAGAGUAAAAGUUACAUAACUGAAUCGAUGGACAGAGAACUCCACAGGCAGAGAAACAGCAACAAAAAUUGUCAAAACAGUAGCAAGACCAUGUUGGAGUCAAGGCCAAAGAUCAUAUUUCCUGUGUAUCUUCUUCCAUUCUGAAUUAUUCUCGUAUUCAAAUACUGUAACUCUAUUUCAAGUGCACCCCAAAAUACUUAUCUAAGGCCAGUACAUAGGACUUCAUAAAGGGUGCGAUAAAAAAUAUUGCCCCUUAAUUGAUAAACAGAACCAAGAUCCCAACAGCACACCAAAACUAUACCAACCACACCUACAUAAUAUGGACAGAAAAUCCUGUUGUUCCGAUCUCUAACCACACCAAUGACAUUCAUUAGGAAAAUACAAAAGAUGGGUACCCUGCAUUUCUAACAUUUAAGAUAAAAUUCACUGCCAGCUAAUCACAAAUUUGAAAAGAUGGCAAGAAAAUUGGCUAAGCUUUAACAAAAACCAGAGCAGUCCUUGCAUAGACCUGACUUUUUGCUCCAAGCUUUAGCAGAUCACUUACUGGUAGAGAGCAGAGAACAUGUAUGUGAAUAUCUGAAGUUGGAAGGGUAAGCCAUCACAAACACCAAGAGAUCUGAUUCUCAUCUCUUGUUACAACAACAAAUCACAAACACCAAUACAUCUGAUUCAGAAUCUCAUAAACAAUGGAGGAACAAACACAUAUUCACACACAUAUAAAUCCCUAAACAGAAAAAAUAAAAAAUAAAAAAAAAACCAUGAAAGUCAUAGGAGAAUCAAAUUGAUUUGGGCCAAAAUUGCCUAAAAAGAAAACACUCCUAAAUAAACUUCAAUUCACUUUUAAAAACAGUAAAACAUGAUUGAAUCAUUCUUUAAAACAAUUCCCUAAUAUACAUGCAUGAUAAUGACAUCAUUUACCCCUGAAUCAAAUGCCUUUCACUGGUCAAGCCACAAGUCUGUGUUUUGGGAAUUGCUGAGCUGCAUCAAUCCUGCCAAUGUAAAUUCUGCCCCUAGGCUCUCUCAAAGUGCGUUUACAACCUAUGCUAACAUAUACUAGAGUUUGUUUUAGUAUCUAGAAAAUGCCAACACUAAUUUCGUAACACGUAGAAAUUGUUACAUAUUGGAAGUUUUUAUCAUUUUUUCUUCCAGUCUCUCCACCACUCACUAAUACAGAUUACUCAUGUGAUGAGUUUACAAAACAUAUUUCUCUACUCCCACAAAGACCAUACUUUUUCUCAAAAGACUAUAUCACUUUAUCUCUAUCUUUGUGAAAUGUAAAAAGUUGAAACUUUAAUGUCAAACCUCGACAAAAGAUGAACAUCCAUCAUCAAUUACAUUGAAUUUGAAUUUGUUGAACUUAAGUAGUUUUACUUCUCUGUCAGCGUUUGAUGACUUGAUUUGUUAUUUACUUCUUCUUUUUUCCUUGGAAAUGUGUUCCAUCAACGUGAGGAAGAAAAAUAUGCACAAAUUAAUAUAUUUAAUAGAAGCAAAAAUUAAUAUUUACAAAAAUAUGCACAAAUCAAGUAAAAUUAAUAAAGCAUAAAUUGGAAAGGGAAAAUAUGUAGAGGAUGCAUUGUAGGAUUGCUCAUGCCAAUAAUUGUACCCUCUAAAUAUAUAGGGACAUAUUUUUUUUUGUUUUCAUGACAUGUGGUCCUAAAAUUAUUGUUCUUAGCGGGCUCUCCACCCCUCUCGACUGAAAACCUAUUGUGUAAAUCUUCAAUCCUGAAUGAUGCACCUAAAACUCAUGUUGCAAUACACAUCCACCCAUUCUCAGGCCAAUUAUUACUCCUAGUGGGCUCUCCACCCCCUCUCAAAUUUAAGUGGUCCAUUAUUAUUAACCGUAUAUUUUAUGGACCAGCCAGCUGUGAGGUUUUAUCUCAAAAACCUUUCUCCCACAUGCCACAAUUUAUGUCUGAUACAUCACAUCAUGCCAGUUGUCUCAAAUGAAUUUAAGUGAGUGAGGCAGUGUUACUUCUGGGUACCCCUCAUUAUUCGUCUAUAAAUUGGUGAAGCCAGUUGCUACUGUUACCAUAAGAGCCAGCUCCGACUUUCAAAAUAAAAAUUCCAACAACGGUCUUAGUGCCUUCAAUUGUAUGAGUCAUUGAACAUGCAAAUGAAUAAAAUAUGAAUGAUAAAAGUGUUUGAUAAAUCACCAAGUUAUAGAACACUUGAUGAUUUAUCUCAAAUAAAAAUUCAGCUUUCUAAAGUUUGUGAAUUGAAAAUAUAAUCGUUAAAGCUCUCUAAACAAAGAAGACGAAAGUCUUAUUUUAUAGAAUUUUUCUUUACAAGAAAGAAAACAUGUUGAAAACCAAAUCUCCAAUUUCCAAGGCUUGACAGAAAAUCAAAAAAAUAUCUUUCCUAUUCUAGAGAUUGGUCACAUGUAGUUCAACCAAUAGGAAAUGAGAUAUUUAAGAAAGCAAGAUUUUGAUCAAUACCAAUAUCAAAUGAAUUCUUAUACGCCUAGUCAACUAUUAAGGGUAUCUUGACUCCUUGAUAUUGUGAUAUGAUUGAAACAUGAUUUCCAUGUUAGAAAAUUAAGGGGAUGUUAAAACAUGAAAGUAAUAGGAGAAUCAAAUUGAUUUGGACUAAAAUUGCCUAAAAAGAAAACACUCUUAAAUAAACUUCAAUUCACUUUUAAAAACAGUAAAACAUGAUUGAAUCAUUUUUUAAAACAAUUCCCUAAUAUACAUGCAUGAUAAUGACAUCACUUACCCCUAAAUCAAAUUGUCACGCCCCGGACCUGGGGGUCAGUGGAAACCCCACGUUCGGUGCGUGAGAAAAUAAAAAGUAAAAUAAAAUAAAAAGAAUGCCGAAACAAGGGUUUAAAAUAAACUUCUCUUAUAAAAAUAACUCCAAAAUCUUACAACUUUACAAGAAAUAAAUAAAGCCCUAUCAUUCUUAUCUAAUUCAGCCUCAACUGGUUUAGUCCUUGUCUUGCCCACUAAUUCAUCUAAAAAAUGAAGAGUGUUGCUAAACGAACCCUAAAAUUAAUUGAGUACACCCUACUACCAAACGAUUUAUUGAAUUUGUCACAUCUCGGGAUCAACUCCGCCGUAGCACGAUAUUGUUCGCUUUGGGCCCUCCCUCUCUGGCUCGCAUGGUUUUGUUUCUGGGAACUCACGAGUAACUUCCCAGUGGGUCACCAAUCCUGGGAUUGCUCUAGCCCACAACUCGCUUAACUUCGGAGUUCCUACGACUCCGAAGCCUGUGAGCUCCCAAAAGGUCUCGUGCUAGAUGGAUGCGGGUGUGCACAUAUAAGGCACAUCACCCCCUCUCCGUUGGUUGAUGUGGGAUCUUAUAGAAUUACUAAUUUAUCCUAAUAUAAAAUGACCAAAGAAGAUAAAAUAAUAUUGGUAUCUAUUGCUUUGAAUCCAUGCCUUCAAACAAAUUGACUUAAUUUUUAACAAACAACACGGAGUCCAGGAGAAGUGUAUUGAUCCAAGUUGAUUUUUGUAUGCGUAAAACUUAAACAAUCAAUAACACAAAGCAGUUCAUGCUGAAAUAUUGGAAACCCACACCCAAAGAGUUCUCCGCUGCGAGGUUGAAGGCAGGAGAGAUGGGUGACAGAUUUUACUUCCACUGCGAAGUUGGAGGCUAGGAGAGUCUGUGACUGCCAUGGUUGAGGGAGAAGAUGCGUUCAAAAUGCCUAUUGAUAUUUUACAUUAUUGGCUUUUUUCAAAAGUGAAAGUUUUUUUAUGGGUAAAACCUAAAUUUACUUUUUCUAUACAAGUUAACAGUGUUUGUGUAUUGUGAAAAGGUGGAGAGACGUGUCAAAAUUUUAGACAAAGGACAGGAGGAGAUAGGGAAUUUGGGGACAGCAGAUCUCAACUCCCUUGAGACCCUAUUCUCUACGCCACCCCUCCCCCUCAACAACCCUAGUCACCAUUUCUCCUUCAACUCCAACGGCAACUCAUUAAAACCCAAUUCUCAAAUGCAACAAUCUAAUCCCAAUCCCAAUUCAGAUGUUUCUAAAAAACCCAUUGUCGUGGUGGAGAACUGCAAUUCCAGGUGGUGGUGGUGGUACCACAUGGGAGAGAGAAAAAAGAAGAAGAAGAAGCAGGAGAGAGAGAGUUUUUUAUUUUAUUAUUAUUUUACUGUAAUUUUUUAAUUUAAAUAAUUAAAAAAAUUAAAAGUUAAAGAGGAUGUACCAUGGGUAUUUUUGGUAGUUAAAUAAGGUGUACUUAGGGUCAGUUUGGCAUUGCUGUGCUGUGAAAAUAAUAGCUGUCAGAUUUGCUGUGAGAGAAAUCAGCUGUGAGAGAAAUCAGUUUGGCGUUUGAUAAAAUUUUUGUUAAAAGUGUGUUGAUAUUGAUUUUAUGCUUAAUCCGAAAAUGAUUGCUGCAUAAUCAUUAAACCCAGCGCCUCUUCGAAACUGAUUCCUAUAUAAUCAGAAAAUGAAAGCACCUCAUUAGCUGCUUUCCUUUAUAGCUUUCUCUCACAGCAAUUUUUAACAAUAAGUGAUUUUCUCACAGUUUACCAAACGGGUUGGGCUUCUCAAAAUUUUUUAAAAAUCACUUAUUACCCCAAAUAAGCAAUACCAAACGGGCACUUAGUUAAUUUUACAUUUUAAUUUAAACAUUAGGGUGUACUCAGUUAAUUUUAGGGUUCGUUCAGCAGCACUCAAAAUUAAACAAGGUGAGGGAUGAGCAAGUAGGGACAUGAGACAUUGCCACAGUAGAUUGAUAUAACUAAAUAUUAUUAUAAACAUAGAAAUAUAUAAGUAUUAUUAUAAUAGGAUUCAUAAUAAUUAAUAUAAAAGUAUAACAACAAUAUUUACAUUUAUGUACCAAGAUAAUUACACAUAUAAAUAUAACCAAUAUAUAUUUUUAUAUAUUUUAAAAUAUAAGUCUUUACGUAAAUGCCUUUCACGGGUCAAGCCACAAGUCUGUGUUUUGGGGAUUGCUGAGCUGCAUCAAUCCUGCCAAUGUCAAUUCUGCCCCUGAGCUCUCUCAAAGCACGUUUAAAACCUAUGCUAACAUAUACUAGAGUUUAUGCUGUAUCUAGAAAAUGCCAACACUAAUUUCGUAACACGUAGAAAUUGUUAGAGAUUGGAAGUUUUUAUCAUUUUUUCUUCCAGUCUCUCCACUACUUAUUAAUACAGAUUACUCAUGUGAUGAGUUUACAAAACCUAUUUCUCUACUCUCGCAAAGACUAAACUUCUUCUCAAAAGACUAGAUCACUUUACCUCUAUCUCUGUGAAAUGUAAAAAGUUGAAACUUUAAUGUCAAACCUCGACAAAGUGUUCUACUUUACAAACUUCUUGUGUCUACCAAUUUGUACUAAAAUUAAUUUCUCUACAGUGCUCAGAUUCAUCAUAUGUGUGUCCUUAAUUUUAGUGGAAAUUGGAAGUUUCCAUAAUUUUUGCUUUAAGUCACUCUUCUGAAGGAAGUUGAGGUUCCACUUCAUAAUCCAAAAUGUCAGGUUGACUUAUGGCAAACAAUGUAAAUAUGUAGGAGUACUAUGACCUUUUAUAGCAUUUUUAGUUUGAAUUUGGGUUUUAUACAUAGAUUUCAAAAUUAAUAGGUUGAUGCCUAGGAAAUAGAAAUUGUAAGGGCCUAUAUUAGAGUAGCCCUCUUAAAAAUAAUAUUAAUUAAUGAAUAUUUGUUCUUCUUGUUGUUUUGAAGUAGUGGUGGGAGGCAGACCAACAAAAAAAAAAUAUAGUGAAGGCUUAUAAGAGCAUUUACAAUCAUGCUCCCUAUUUUUUAGUUAAAAUUUAGCUAAAAAUAGAAAAAAAGUUAUUAUAGGAGCUCUUUAUAAAGCUCCUUUAUAAAAUUUGAACUCCAAUCAUACUCCCUAGUUUAGGGAGUCAAAAAUACUAUAGUUAUUUUUUAAUUCAAUUUGAUUUUGGUUAAUCUCUAUAAAUAUGAAAAAAUAGUUAGCAUUAAUUAAAAGUUUAAACUAUGCAUAAAACAAAGAAACAUUAAAUUAUAGGGAGCCACUAUGAGUCAUUACUCUCUCCUCAGAUUUAGGAGCUCCUAAAGGUCUCCCUAUUUUAUGAGGUGGAUAAGGAGCAUGGUUGGAGUUGUAUUUCUUCAAUUUCCUCCCUAAAAUUUGUCUAAGGAUGUGGUUUAGGGAGCCCAUUGUGAAUGCUCUAACUCUGGUAAAACACGAGUGACAUGGACAACAUAUGUUACGUCGUACUGAAGAUUUUUGGGUUUCUUUAAUUGGUUAAGUAGCAUCCACACAGCUUCCUAAAUCAUCUCCUUAGACAAAUUUUAGGGAGGAAUUGGAAAAGUACAACUCCAACUAUGCUCCCUAUCCACCAACUAAAAUAGGGAGACUUCUAGGAGCUCCUAAAUCUGAUGAGAGAGAAAGGACUCUUAAUGACUCCCUAUAAUUUAAUGUUGCUUUAUAUUAUUUUGUAUACAGACGGGUCAAUUAUAUUAAAUUAAAAAAUAAUUAAAGUAUUUAUGACUCUCUAAACUAGUGAGCAUAAUUGUAGAUCAUCUUAUAUACCUUAAUUUGAAGAUUCUUUAUUUGGGUUUCUUUCAAGACUUAUCACCUUAGCCACGCCACCUACACGUCUGCAAGCUUUCCUAACAAGGAAGGGGAGGCUGCGCAAUACUUAUCACCUUAGCCACACUACACCAAAUUGACGUCUGCAAGCUUUCGUAAUCUAACAAGGAAGGGGAGGCUGCGCAAUACUUAUCACCUUAGCCACACCAACACCACAAGACCAAUAUGUGUAGUCCAGGAGGCUUUCCCAUUUUAAUAUAUAUUAUCAAAUAAAAUAAAAAUCAAUCUAUUAUCAUAUAUAUUAUAAAAUAAAGAUUAUUGCUCCAUCCUCCAUGCACUUGCAUGCCUCUUACAAAGUGUGAAGUAGAUUUUGUGUGCUCCAAGUCAUUGACGAGAGCUGUAACAUGGUUAGCUGGAUUUAUAAGAUCUUUUCUUUUCUGGGAAUUUUCUGAAUCAAGAAAAAUUAAGUAAAAUUAAUAAAGCAUAAAUUAGAAAGGAAAAAUAUCUAGAGGAUGCAUUGUAGGAUUGCACAUGCCAAUAAUUGUAUCCUCUAAAUAUAUAGGGACAUAUUUUUUUGUUUUCAUGACAUGUGGCCCUAAAAUUAUUGUUCCUAGCGGGCUCUCCACCCCCUCUCGAUUGAAAACUAAUUGUGUAAAUCUUCAAUCUUGAAUGAUGCACCUAAAACUCAAGUGUCCCAGGCCAAUUAUUGCUCUCAUACCACUUGUUGUAAUAAACAUCCAUCCAUUCUAAAGGAAAGAUAACCAUCGAUAUUAUCUCAAAUUUAACCACUUAAGUUCAUUAUGAUUAACUAUGUAUCUUAUGGACCAAUCCAAUCAUGAGGUUUUAUACCCAAUUAGAUCGACUAAUACAAAGUUCACACGUGGAUUGAAAAGCGCUAUCAGUAGGGGAGUGUUCGGCACCCUUUACUGCCGAACGCAACACAAGACCCCUUGCAUGCCUUCACUAAGUUGAGCCUAUCUAUUUUUUAGCAUUAACAAUAUAUAUAGAUUGAAAAAAUAAAAUAAAAAUCAAUCUAUUAUCAUAUAAAAUAAAUAUUAUUGCUCCAUCCUCCAUACACUUGCAUGCCCUCUUACAAAGUGUGAAGUAGAUUUUUUGUGCUCCAACUCAUUGACUAGGGCUGAAACAUGGUUAGUUGGAUUUAUAAGAUCUUUUCUUUUCUGGGAAUUUUCUGAAGCACGGAAAAUCAAAUAAAAUUAAUAAAGCAGAAACUGUACCCUUUAAUUAUAUAUGGACGUAUGUUUUUUUGUUUUCAAGUCUUAGAUGACAUGGGGACCUAAAAUUAUUGCUCCUAGUGGACUCUCGACCCCUCUCAAAUUUAAGUGGUCCAUUAUUAUUAACCACAUAUUUUAUGGACCAUGCAGCUGUGAGGUUUUAUCUCAAAAACCUUCGGUACAUUUCUCCCACAUGCCACAAUUGUAUAUUCACAAUUACGGCUGUUACGUCACAUCAUGCCACUUGCCUCACAUGCAACAAGUCUGUGUUUUGGGGAUUGCCGAGCUGCAUCAAUUCUGCCAAUGUCAAUUCUGCCCCUGGACUCUCUCAAAGCACAUUUAAAACCUAUGCGAACAUAUAUUAGAGUUUAUGAUGUAUGUAUCUAGAAAAUGCCAACACUAAUUUCGUAACAUGUAAAAAUUAUUAGAGAUUGGAAGUUUUUAUCAUUUUUUCUUCCAGUCUCUCCACCACUUAUUAAUACAGAUUACUCAUGUGAUGAGUUUACAAAACCUAUUUCUCUACUCUCGCAAAGACUAAACUUCUUCUCAAAAGACUAGAUCACUUUACCUCUAUCUCUGUGAAAUGUAAAAAGUUGAAACUUUAAUGUCAAACCUCGACAAAGUGUUCUACUUUACAAACUUCUUGUGUCUACCAAUUUGUACUAAAAUUAAUUUAUCUACGGUGCUCAGCUUCAUCGUAUGUGUGUCCUUAAUUUUAGUGGAAAUUGGAAGUUUCCAUAAUUUUUGCUUUAAGUCACUCUUCUGAAGGAAGUUGAGGUUCCACUCCAUAAUCCCAAAUGUCAGGUUGACUUAUGGCAAACAAUGUAAAUAUGUAGGAGUACUAUGACCUUUUAUAGCAUUUUUAGUUUGAAUUUGGGUUUUAUACAUAGAUUUCAAAAUUAAUAGGUUGAUGCCUAGGAAAUAGAAAUUGUAAGGGCCUAUAUUAGAGUAGCCCUCUUAAAAAUAAUAUUAAUUAAUGAAUAUUUGUUCUUCUUGUUGUUUUGAAGUAGUGGUGGGAGGCAGACCAACAAAAAAAAUAUAGUGAAGGCUUAUAAGAGCAUUUACAAUCAUGCUCCCUAUUUUUUAGUUAAAAUUUAGCUAAAAAUAGAAAAAAGUUAUUAUAGGAGCUCUUUAUAAAAUUUGAAUUCCAAUCGUACUCCCUAAUUUAGGGAGUCAUAAAUAUUAUAGUUAUUUUUUAAUUCAAUUUGAUUUUGGUUAAUCUCUAUAAAUAAAUAAAAAUAUGAAAAAAUAGUUAGCAUUAAUUAAAAGUUUAAACUAUGCAUAAAACAAAGAAACAUUAAAUUAUAGGGAGCCACUAUGCCAAUAAUUGUAUCCUCUAAAUAUAUAGGGACAUAUUUUUUUUGUUUUCAUGACAUGUGGCCCUAAAAUUAUUGUUCCUAGCGGGCUCUCCAACCCCUCUCGAUUGAAAACCAAUUGUGUAAAUCUUCAAUCUUGAAUGAUGCACCUAAAACUCAAGUGUCCCAGGCCAAUUAUUGCUCUCAUACCACGUGUUGUAAUAAACAUCCAUCCAUUCUAAAGGAAAGAUAACCAUCGAUAUUAUCUCAAAUUUAACCACUUAAGUUCAUUAUGAUUAACUAUGUAUCUUAUGAACCAAUCCAAUCGUGAGGUUUUAUACCCAAUUAGAUCGACCAAUACAAAGUUCACACGUGGAUUGAAAAGCACUAUCAAUAGGGGAGUGUUCGGCACCCUUUACUGCCGAGCGCAACACAAGAUCCCUUGCAUGCCCUCACUAAGUUGAGCCCAACUAUUUUUUAGCAUUAACAAUAUAUAUAGAUUGAAAAAAUAAAAUAAAAAUCAAUCUAUUAUCAUAUAUUUUAUAAAAUACAUAUUAUUGCUCCAUCCUCCAUACACUUGCAUGCCCUCUUACAAAGUGUGAAGUAGAUUUUUUGUGCUCCAACUCAUUGACUAGGGCUGAAACAUGGUUAGUUAGAUUUAUAAGAUCUUUUGUUUUUUGGGAAUUUUCUGAAGCAAGGAAAAUCAAAUAAAAUUAAUAAAGCAGAAACUGUACCCUUUAAUUAUAUAUGGACAUAUGUUUUUUUGUUUUUUUGCUCUCGACCCCUCUCAAAUUUAAGUGGUCCAUUAUUGUUAACCACAUAUUUUAUGGACCAUCCAGCUUCGGUACAUUUCAAAAAGCUUCGGUACAUUUCUCCCACAUGACACAAUUGUAUAUUCACAAUUACUUCUGGGUACCCCUCAUCAGUCGUCUAUAAAAUGGUGAAGCCAGUUGCUACUGUUACCAUAAGAGCCAGCUCCGACUUUCUUUAAUUUCUUGCUACAUCUGUUGCUAAGUUAAUUUCAGUCCUAAUGGGGUUUCAUCUCCCACUCAUCUUUGCUAUUCUCAGUGUAAGCUCUGCAAUUUGAUUAACUUUUCCAUUCUCUCUCAUUGUACUCUAUAUAUAUAAAUGAAAGUUUUGUGUUCCUAUAAUUCUCUCCGAUUUUAUUUAGUACGUACUUAAGUGUCGUCCACUAAUUAAUUACACUUUGUGAGAUUUGAUUUUAAUUAGAGUUCGAAUUAAUGUUGCAGCUAGCAGCGGUUGCACUGGCAAACAAUGCUGCUCAACCAGCACCUCAACUUUACUGGAACUCCGUCCUGCCAAACACACAGAUGCCAAGAUCUAUCAGUGAACUUCUGCAUCCUGGUUUGUGUUCAGCUCUUUAUAAUCUUAGAUAUCUCUUCUACCUGCCAUUUUACUAAAAUAUGUUCGACCACAUAUUUAUCAGCUAACUACUGUGAUUACAAGAAUGACACUUAUUUUCCAAUAUAAUUUGCAGACUCCACAAAUGAAGAAAAGAGCAAACCUGAAAUUUUCCCAUUGCAGGGCAAUAGAGUUUACACUCAAAGCCAUUAUAAAAAACGUCCUCCUCCUCCAUCUGACGAGGGCAAACCUGAAACUUUCCCAUUGGGCAAUAGCCAUUACACUCAAACCCGUUAUAAAAAACGUCCUCCUCCUCCAUCUGACGAGGGCAAACCUGAAAAUUUCCCAUUGGGCAAUAGCCAUUACACUCAAACCCGUUAUAAAAAACGUCCUCCUCCUCCAUCCGACGAGGGCAAACCUGAAAAUUUCCCAUUGGCCAAUAGCUUUUACACUCAAACCCGUUAUAAAAAACGUCCUCCUCCUCCAUCUGACGAGGGCAAACCUGAAAAUUUCCCAUUGGCCAAUAGCUUUUACACUCAAAGCCAUUAUAAAAAACGUCCUCCUCCUCCAUCUGACGAGGGCAAACCUGAAAAUUUCCCAUUGGCACGUUCUCCUCCAUCUGACAGUCAACUAAAGCAUUACAAAGACUUAGCUAUUUUCUUCUUCGAGAAGGACAUGCGCCCGGGCACAACUAUGAAGUUCCAAUUCCCUAGAAAUUCAAACACGGCUACUUUCCUGCCACGCGAAAGUGCUCAAUCGAUCCCCUUCUCCUCUAAGAAACUACCAGAAAUUUUCAACCAUUUUUCAGUGAAGCCAACAUCUGAGGAAGCCAAAACAAUUAAGCAAACAAUCGAAGAGUGUGAAGCUCCAGGCCUUAAGGGAGAGGAAAAAUAUUGCGCCACAUCUUUAGAAUCAAUGGUUGAUUUUAGCACUUCGAAGCUUGGAACAAGAAACGUUGAAGCAAUCUCAACGGAGGUAUUGGAAGAAGGAGCCACCAAGUACAUGCACAACUAUACAACAAUGCCGGGACUGAAGAAGUUGGAAGGUGACAAAGUCGUUGUGUGUCAUAAGGAGAACUAUCCCUAUGCUGUGUUUCUCUGCCAUGCAAUAAAACAAACAGAAGCUUAUGUUCUCUCCCUGAAAGCCGAUGAUGGGAUGAAGGUGAAAGCAGUAACCAUCUGCCAUCUAGACACAUCAGAAUGGGACCCAGAGCAUUUGUCCUUCCAAAUCCUCAACGUUAAGCCCGGAACCACUCCCAUCUGCCAUUUCCUUACCACUGAUGCUAUUGCCUGGGUUCCAAAACACAAAUCUGCAUGAUCAUCACUUAGCACUGUACGUGUAAUAAGCUUGGUCGGGUUGCACCCUAGGCCUGCAUAAUUAUCUCCCUACUUAUUUCUGCCUCUUCAUCAUGCGGUGUAAGAUAUAUGAUGAGAUGAAGUUUUCUCUUGUAACUAUGUAGACUACUUCAACUUGUACUCAUAAUAAAGCACGCUGUUGGGGGGUUCUACUUAAUUUCGUUCUCUCCAAUGUUUGAGUGUUGAAUUGUUACGUUGGAAUAGGCUGCUAAUGCAUGUAGUUAGAGAAGCCUUCAUUUAUAUCAAAGUCCUCAAACUAUCAAGAAUUAAUGUAUCCAGAAACAUAUACCAAGACGCAAAACAACAUAUUUUCCAUUCUCUGUCUGUAACACCAAAGCAAACUUCCUUUAUCACAUCAUUUAAAGGAUCAAAUUCCAGUACUAAUCUAAUCCAUCAUGUAAAGCAUACAAGUGCCUACCUAAAUUUGUCCAUUGGAUAUAUAUGUCACUUUUUAUUUUUUGAUAGAGAUAUAAAUGUUGAAAAAAUUAGAGUACACAACUCUUAUAGACACUACUACGAUUUACUAUUUGCGCGACGGAAGUUUGCGCGACGAACAUUGUUUCGUCGCGCAAAAAGCACUAUUGCGACGAAAAAAAAAUACCGUAGCGCAAACAACAUAACACAAGCGCGACAAACAGUUUCGUCGCGCAAACAAUCUAUGCGCGACCAAUAUUAAUUUCGUCGCGCAAAGGUAGGGGAAAAAAACCCGGUUUUUUUUUUUUGGCGCCAUAAUCUUGCGCGACAACAACAAUCGUCGCGCAUGACAAUAUUGCGCGACAAUUCAAAGAAUUCGUCAGGUAAAGAUGGACAGAAAAUUGUCUCAUUUUUUUGGCGGUAAAAAACUUUGCGCGACGAAAUUUUUCGUCUCAAAAGACAACUUAGCGCGACGGAAAUAUGUACCGUCGCGUAAAAAAACGAGGGAUACUUAUUUUUGGCGCCAAAAUGCAGGGUGGAUAAAAAAAAUUUUGCGCGACGGAAUUACCUUCGUCGCGUAAAGUGUAAUGCCGGUGCUUUCUUGCGCGACGAAAUAAAUAAUUUGCGCGACGUAAUUUAAACCUUGCGCGACGAAAAGUAUUAUUUGCGCGACGAAAUUUUGUGCGACGAAUAAUAUGUUUCGUCGCACAAAAAAGCAGAUGUCGACAGGUAAUUGCGCGACGGAAAUGUUGUUUUGUGCGAUGGAAAAGUGGGUUUUCGCGACGGCAUUUUGCGCGACGGAUAUUGGUGUUCGUCGCGCAAAGUCCUUCUUCUUCAUAUUAGUAUCUGCCAUUGCAGAGGCAGAAUGCAGAAAUUGCAUUCUGCCUCUCUCUCACUCUCCCUGCCGCUGCUCUGCUGUGAAUUCAAUACGUUCAUUGGGUAUGUAUUUUUUGUCGUUAGUUUAAAUGUAUUAAUGUAAAUUCGUAGUAACGCUAUUAAUUUUGUUAUCGUUAGGGAUAUUUGUGAUUAGUGAUUGGUGGAGAACGAUUGAGAAGGUAUGUUAUUGUAAAAGUUUGUUUGUUAUGUUUGUAAUUUUUUUGUGAAGUUAUAUGUAUAUAAUGUUGUGAAAUUGUGCGUGACAUAGCACAAUGUGUUGUGAUGUACGAAGUUAAUUGAAAUUAACUUCGUACUUUUAUUUUUAUGUUUAGUAACACGUAGUUUCCCGUUCGAGAUUAGUUGGAUUUCGUGCAUGGAUGAGUAAUGCAUGACUGCGGUCCAAUUAAUUCUUGAAUUGUCCCAUUAUUUGGACAGUUUGGUAAUGCAUAGUGUUGUCACAUAAUCUUCGGCUACAGGAUUAGGUUUCGAUUGUGGAGAUUUCGGUGUCAUCUCGGUACGUUCUUCGAGUGGUACGUAGGUAUUUAUACCUAUGCCCACUUCAAGAACUGUGUCGAGAUGCUGCCGAAAUUAAUCCACGUCGAAAUCUAAUCUCAUGUAGCCGUAGGUUACGUGACAGGACUAUGCAUUCCCGAAUGGGAUAGGGCCCUUACCGGAGGCAUAAGGUGACAUUAUAACUUCGUAUGAAGUUGUUGUGAUUGUUGUGUCGUGAUUGUGGUUUCAUGAAUUAUGAGCAGAAGGUGGAUACAUAACCCGAAUAGAUGCGCAGACGAAUACUUGGAUGGAAUCGAGGAUUUUAUUGAGUUUGCACAUAGACACAACCCGGGUGCAAGUAGAAUCCGUUGUCCUUGUAGGAGGUGUAACAACACGUUGUGGGAGACAAUUGAAAAUGUUGGAUUUCAUUUAGUAAGGAAUGGAAUGAUUGAAACAUAUAGCAUUUGGAACCUUCACGGCGAACAUGUAGGCCAUGCUUCGUCUUCAAAUGCCCCAAGAGUGGACAAUGUUGAACCUAUUGUGGAUCCUAAUGAUCAAGUCAUGGGUAUUAUACAGGAUGCUUUUCCAUUCGCAUCGACCAACAUCAAUCAGGAAGGGGAAGAUAACGUGCCUACACCAAUAGACAGUGCGGAGUUUGAACAGUAUGAAAAACUGUUAAAAAAUGCCAACCAAGAGUUAUACCCGGGGUACGAGAGCUUUUCCGUUCUCACUUCUAUUGUGGAGCUAAUGCACGGAAAAAUAAAGUAUCGUAUGUCGAACUUGUGUUUCGAUUACUUUUUGGGGGUUUUCAAGAGAAUGCUUCCGACGGAUAAUUAUUUGCCGAAAGACCAGAAACAUGCACAGAAGGUGUUGCAUGGUCUUGGAUUGGGUUAUGAAAAAAUCCACGCUUGCAAAAACAAUUGCAUGUUAUUCUACAAAGAGCAUGAAACGUUGGAUACAUGCCCUAUAUGCAAUGAGUCGAGGUUCAAAAUGACAUCCCAGAAUAGAACGACUAAGAUACCACAAAAAGUCAUGCGUUAUCUGCCCCUUAAACCUGGGUUGCAGCGAUUGUAUAUGUCGACGCAUACUGCCACAGACAUGAGAUGGCAUAAGGAAAAACGGGUAGACGAUGAUGUGAUGCGGCAUCCUGCAGAUGGGGAGGCAUGGAAAGAGUUCGAUCGAACGUUCCCCGAGUUUGCUGCUGAUCCCCGAAAUGUAAGAUUGGGACUUGCCACUGACGGAUUCAAUCCGUAUGGGGUUCUAAACCAACACCACAGCACUUGGCCGAUUUUCGCAUUCCCAUAUAAUUUGCCGCCUUGGAAAUGCAUGAAAAAAGAAUACAUGAUGAUGACUGUUUUGAUAACUGAGGAUCCUGGCAGGUCAAUUGAUGUGUACUUAAGGCCUCUGGUUGAUGAGCUGAAAGAUUUAUGGACAAACGGUGUUCGCACGUACGAUAAAUCAACUGGGAGGAUGUUCACUUUGCGAGCAGCAAUUAUGUGGACUGUGAAUGAUUUUCCAGCAUAUGCAAUGGUUUCUGGGUGGAGCACAAAAGGUUAUAUGGCAUGUCAUGUAUGCAAGGAAGAUGUAACUUCUGGUUGGCACGCGGGAAAAGUUUGUUACCUUGGUCAUCGGAGAUGGUUGCCAUGGGACCACGAGUGGCGAGAAAAAGAUAAAGAGUUCAACGGGAACACAGAGCGUCGCCUCAGACCUGGAGAAUGGUCCGGUGAUGAGAUCUUGGAACAGCUGAACCGUUUGGAUUUUGGUCCGUUCGGAAAAACAAUUAGUCGGACCAGACCUUCUACACAUUUGAACUGGACGCACAAGCCUAUGUUUUUUGAGCUCCCAUAUUGGUCGAAACUGAAAUUGAGGCACAAUCUAGAUGUGAUGCAUGUUGAGAAAAAUGUAUUCGACACAUUGGUGGGCACGAUUCUAGAUAUCGAGGGGAAGACGAAGGACACGAUCAAAGCUCGUCUUGAUUUGGAAAGAAUGGGCAUACGAAGGGGUUUAUGGAUGAAUAGGGACAGUGAUAAAGCUAGAAGGGAUCUUGCAUUCUUUUCUAUGAAACCGAAUGACAAAAAGGAGUUUCUAAAGUUUGUAUCGUCUGUCAAAUUUCCCGAUGGGUAUGCUUCUAAUAUCGCACGUUGCGUGAAUGUCGAUGGGGGUAAAUUUACUGGACUUAAGAGCCAUGACUGCCAUGUUCCUGUGGGUAUUCGACACCUACUGCCGGAAGAUGUGGUGAAGCCAAUCAUGUUGUUAUCCAGAUUUUUUUCCCAACUGACGGCAAAAACAUUGCGAAGGACAGACAUGUUUCAGUUGCGCCAUGACAUUGUCCAAGUCCUAUGCAAGUUUGAGAUGAUAUUUCCUCCGGCUUUCUUUACAAGUAUGAUGCACGUAAUGGUUCACUUGCCAGAAGAGGCAUUGCUUGCUGGUCCUGUCAACUAUCGCUGGAUGUAUCCAAUAGAAAGGUAUAUAAUCUUUAUCAUUUGUGUAUGCAUCAUUAUCGACACUUUGCUAAUUUGUAUCAUAUCGUUUUAUUUUGGCAGGCUUCUCGGAGAGCUGAAAAAAAGUGUACGCAACAGGGCAAAGCCCGAAGGAUUAAUUAUAGAGGCUUGGGUUCAAUAUGAGUCGCUUACUUUCUGUGGAAUGUAUUUAAAAGAUGUGGAGACGGUUUUCAAUCGUCCUCAACGCAAUAAUGACGGAGGUAUGAGAAAUGAAAAACUUUUUGUUUUUGCCCAAAGCGCAUGACCAUUUGGAGAUCCUGGACGAGGAGAGUCGUUUUCUAGAAAUGACAUGGAGGUAGCGCAUUGGUUCGUACUGAACAAUUGUGAUGAGAUAAUGGCCUACUUAGAUGAGCAUGAACAGAUGAUGAAGCGAGAACAUCCAUCACAUUUGGUUGCCCGGAAACAUCGUGAAUUAUUUCCACAAUGGUUUUUGGAUUCUGUAAGUUAUAACUGUUUUGUAAUUGACAAAUAUAAAUUGUAGUAUUUAAUUUUGUCAGACUAACAUGUAAAUGAUUUUGUAUACUAUUAGGUGAAUAAAUUGAAAUCAUCGAAUUCCCCCACUUACAGUGAUGAGUUAUAUAACUUGGCGUUCGGCCCAAUUCGUGCUGAGUUGUUCUCGGGUUGUAAUGUUAACGGCGUCAAAUUUUUGGGGGCCGCACGAGAUGACAAGUUGUGUAUGCAAAACAGCGGUGUCCAUGUCCCAGGUGGAGGCGAAAGUACGGACAUUGAUUUCUAUGGCAAACUGACAACUGUCGUGCAAUUGCUUUAGAAAGAUCGAUACCAAGUCAUCAUGUUUAAGUGUCGAUGGUUCGAUACCAACCCAAAUAGGGCGGGAAGUGUUAAAAUCGACCAUGGAGUACUGUUUGUGAACAUGGCGUCCCAAAUUGUGUAUCUAGAUGACCCUAAAGCCGGGAGCGGGUGAAAAGUUGUGCAGAAGAUGGAUCAUAGGAACGUGUAUGAUAUACCAGAACUAGACCCAAGUGACAACGACGUCGACAAUGUGGCUGACCAACGUUUAGAAUCUUCAAUGGAAAAUGAUGCGGAAACACUUCGAGAUACAAAUGUUAUACAAGAACCGUUUCAAAUAGAAGGAGUGUCUUCAGUAGAAAUACCGAUUCAGUCAAUUACAAUUGACCUCGGUGAUCUUCCCCGAUACGAUGUUGCAGUGGGUCCUAGCAACGCCGAUGAUGCAGUUAUAGAGGAGGAGGAGGAAGAAGAUUGGGAGACCGAGAGUGAUGAUAGCGAUGAUAACGAAAGUUAUUAUAGUUCAGAUGAUGAAUAAUGAAUUUAUUUGUAAAGUUAUUAUGUUAGUGUAUUCAUUUUGUGUAAUACAAAUCUUUGAAUAUAUGUAGUUGUCCAUAUGUAGUUGUGUAUUCAUUCUCCAUAUUUCAUCACAAACUUCAUUGGAAUGUCAAUACUUUAGUCAAUACUUAUUACGACCCCAUGCUUGUCGAUUGGUUUUUAUUUAUUUAUUUAUUAAUGUCUUUAACUCUUCAAUUAUUAUUUUUUUCUUUUGAGAUAUAGUUAUUUCUUCAUGUUUAAACAAAAAAUAUAAGUUAUUUCUCCAAUAUUAUCUGUGUGCCACUUAUUUUUCUUCACUUUGGUUCAUGAUUAGUGGCAUCAAUCUAGUCAAACCGAUAAAAUCGGUCGAUUCAAAUCUUAAUUAUCAAUUUAGUUUGGUUUUGAUGAAGAAAUACAAAGCCUUUCCAAAAAAUACAGAGCAUAAAAAAUGAUGAAUACAAAACCUUUCCAAAAAAUACAAAGCAUACACAAUUUGAAUUAAAUGAGGAUUUAUGGCGCCAAAUCCUUGCGCAACGAUAAGGAGCCCUUCGUCGCGCAAAUAUAUAUUAGGUAACGUUAUAGUAUAAUAUAUACCCACAUAUAUAUUUAAAAUUGGCGAUCGAAGUAGUUCAUUGUAUUCAUAUGAAGUGUAGGACUGUAGCUGCAAAAAAUCAUCAACAUCGGAGUUAAAAUAACCGUUCAAUCAUCACUUUUUAUUUAGAACCGUCGAAAAGUUUUACCCCGUUACUUAAUCUCUGAAUGUUUUUUUUGUCUGAUUUUUGCUGUCUAUGAUCUCGAAGUAUAACAAAACAAGUUUGACGGCUGGAUGACUGAAGCUAGUUUCGUAGACUGCGUGUGCUAUCAAAAUCAUAUAUUCACCAAAAACUCAAAAAUUUGUUCAUACAUUUGUGAAAAUGUAACUUAAUGUUUAUGUGGUAUCCCCUAGUGUAAAAAUAUGAAAUUGAAGAUCAAAUUCAGUCAUUGUAUUCAUAUAGGGUCAACAAAUGUUGCUGUAAAAAAUGAUCAAAAUCGGAGUUAAAAUAACCGUUAAAUCAUGACUUUUCAUUUAUAACCGUCAAAAUAUUUUGUCCUGUUCCCUGAUAUCUGAAUGUUUGGUCGUUUUGAUUUUUGGCGUAUACGAUCUCCAAGUAUAAACAAAUAAGUUUGCCGGUUGGAUCAUUGAAACUAUUUUAGGGUUUAGGGUUUAGGGCUUAGGGCUUAGGGUUUAGGGUUUACAUUUUAGGGUUUAGGUUUUGCGCGACGAAUAAACAUUCCUUUCGUCGCACAAAGUGAAAGUGACAAAGAUUGCGCGACGGAUAAGUCUUCCAUUCGUCGCGUAAUCUGGGACACACAUUUCACCCCUCCAUACCCUUUGAACACUUAGUGAAAAUUUCAACCGAAUGAAAUUCUUGAACCCGCGCGACGAACAAAGCAAAUACGUCGCGUAAAGUGGACGUGAACAAGAUUGCGCGACGGAUAAAUCUGGUAUUCGUCGCGCAAUCUGGGCCACACUUUCACCCUUCCAUCCCCUUUGAACACUUAGUGAAAAUUUCAACCGAAUGAAAUUUUUGAACUCGCGCGACGAACAAAACAAAUACGUUGCGCAAAGUGGACGUGAACAAGAUUGUGCGACGGAUAAAUCUAAUUUUCGUCGCGCAAUCUGGGCCACGCUUUCACCCUUCCAUCCCCUUUGAACACUUAGUGAAAAUUUCAAGCGAAGCAAAAUCUUCAACUCGCGCGACGAAUAAAAGUAUUCGUCGCGCAAAAGGCACAGGCCUCUGAUUUUUGUUAGCAAACAUUGCGCGACGUUUACUGUCUUCGUCGCGCAAAAGGCACAGACCCUUCAGUUUCAGCCUCCCGCUAAACCCAAAAUUUUCCCAAAAUUUUGGCGGAACGACAGCGUUUUGCGCGACGAACAUAUGACUUUCCGUCGCACAAGGUUAACCUUGCUCGACGUUUACUAUCUUCGUCGCGCAAAAGCACAAACCCUUCAGUUUCAGCCUCCCGCUAAACCCUAAGUCCCAAAAUUUGGGCGGAACGACAUCGUUUUGCGCGACGAAUAUAUGAUUUUCCGUCGCGCAAGGAGAACCUUGCGCAACGUUUACUAUCUUCGUCGCGCAAAAUCACAGUUUCAGCCUCCCGCUAAACCCUAAAUCCCAAAAUUUUGGUGGAACAACAGCGUUUUGCGCGACGAACCAUGUAUUUUUCGUCGCGCAAAAGGCACAGACCCUAAUCCCCAUUCAAAAUUUGGCGUUCUGGGAGACCUUGCGCGACGGAUAUUUCAUCGCGCAAGAUUCAUUAAUACCAUUUUGCACGACGCAUUCUGUUCUUCGUCGCGCAAAGUCGAAUAAAUUUGCAGAAACGGCCCGAUGCCUCCUUCUUCCCCAUUUUCUGGUUUCUCUCCGUUUCUUCCUCUCUCUCCGCCGUCACCUUAGCCCUCUCUCUCUGCCAUCACCUCAGCCACCUCCGCUCGUUCCGUAGCCUCCCUGCCGUCACCGUCGAGCCUGCCGUCGCAAUUUCGUCAGUUUUUCCCGAUUCUUCGCCGGCCGAUUUCUCUCUCCUCCGGCCACCAUUUUCGACGCCUAAGGUAUGAUUUCUCGACUAUUUUUUGUGCUCUAGCUGAUGGUUGGUUAGGAUUUCUUGAAUUUUCGCUAUAGGAAAUAGGAAUUAAAACCCUAGGUUUUGGCCGCUUUGGGAAUUUCAAAUCCGGCCACUUCCGGCCAUUUUUCGGGGUAGGUCCGAGAACAAAAGUGGCUCCAAUUAAUGUUUUCAACCUAGGGUAGGAACCUUGGCCCUUAGUUUUUAGAAUUUUCCGACGAAUGUUAUCGCUUUGGACACCCACGCGCUGCCGGCGCGUGUGGUGGCGCGUGGGAUGUUGUGGCAGUGGGGCAUUGGGUCCCAGAGCAAUCCCCUGUUUGUCACGAGCGCGUAGGUUUGCUCGGAUUUGAAUUUGGUUAUCGUUUGAGUCUUGAUCGGAUUUCGGCUAUUGUGCGAUUUCCAGGUUUGAUAUGUUCGGACCGUUGGAUCGAACUCAAACUCACGUAGUUGUACCUUUGUGUUUCUACGAUCGUUUAGGAUUCGACCGAUCGUUGAUCGGUGUCCCGGAUACUUCGAAAUUCCAAACCCUAGGUGAAGCUAUGCUUUUAAUUAAUUAGUUUAAAUUCUUAAUGAAAUUAUAUGUGCAGAUGUCAGAUUUGAUUAGACGUGGUAGGUCGAUGAUGACUGCACCGAGUUCGGAUCCCCCUGCUCAGUCGGCAUAUGCUGCCACUGCUCCAGCUUUGAUGGAGCACGUGCUGGUUGGUCCCGGGGCGUCCCAGGCGCCUGCGUCAUCUGCGUCAUCCGUCGCGCAGCCAGCUAGUGCUAGGCGGCGGCACCGGCCCGCCGACACGACAUCGACCGACGGUACUGGUGCCUCGGGAUCACAGCCAGAUAUAACUACCAUUUUGUAUUGUUAAUUUUAUAUUGAAAUUUGACAAUGUUGUUUAUUUAACAUUAAUAUCUUUUUUCUUUGCAGCGAAGAAGAACACCUGAGGGCCGUGUCGUCAGCUGAAGACGGCGAAGGUCACCCGGGUGACCAACAGUCGUAUCAGCAUCGGAUACGACGAGCGCCAUCGGGCUGCACCGACGGCGGAGUUGCAUAGCUCCUUGGCCCACGACAUUGGCCACGUCGUGCGGACCCAUUGCCUGAUGCAAUGGAAGUCUUGGAGGGUCAUGCCUGACGAGAUCAAGGUGGAGGUUCGCGGCCAGUUGUCGGUAUGUACCUUACAUUUUCAUUAAUUUUCUUUAAAAUUGUGUAUAUUUCUAUUACUUAACGUAUCUAAUUAAUUGAUUGCAGACGAACUAUAACUUGGAGGAUCUCGACGAAGAGUCGUUGGCGUACGUCAACAGACUCUUCGCUGAGAGGUACAAGCAGUGGAAGAGCGACUUGCACCAUCAUUUUCAGGCCUUUGAUGAUCCGCAAGUCGCUCUUCAGGAGGGUUGCCCGAAGGAGCUUGAGGGGCGGGAGGAUAGUUGGGAGUGGCUCUGCGCUCAUUUUCAAGCGUCCGAAUAUGUGGUAUUUUUUUAAUAAUAUUUGUUUAAUUAUUACUUAUUUCUUAUUAAUGUUUAUUUCAUUUUUUUUAUUUCAUUAUUAUUUAAUUUGUUAUGUUUUAACUAAUACGUUUCAUUUUUUGUAUAACAGAAUAAGGCCCAAGUGAAUAAGGGUAAUAGGAAGAAGAAGACCCUUCUCCACCAUUCCGGCUCCAGGCCCUUUUCGUAUAGGAUGGAUGCCCGGCGACGGGUAAUAAUCACAUAAUUUAUAUUUCAUUUUUAAUGUCAUUUUUAUUAAUUUAUUUUUUUCAUACUAAUAUUUUUCUUCUCUUGUUCAAUUUAGGAGGGGUCCAAGUUCCCAGAGAUCGACGUCUUUGGUGACGUUUAUGUUCGACCCGGGAAUGAGUUGGCCGAGUCCCUUCAUGUAAGUAUUAUUUAAUUUUAAUUCUUAUGUUACGCAUUCAAUUUAUAUGCAUGUUUAAAUUUAUAUUUUAUGUUAUGUUCAACAGACGACGAUGGUGGAGAGGAGCCAGUUGGUUCUUCAGGAGUCCGCCUCCCAGCUUCCUCCCGAGACUCCGAUCGAGUCUGUGGCUCCUCCACAGGAUGCUGGAUUUCAGAUCUUGACGGAGACGUUGGAUCAGACUCUCGGGAGGAGGCCGGGGACAUAUUGUCGAGGGAUGGGGAAUGCCCGGCGGAGGGAACCUAGACCUCGUUCAUCGGCCCAGUCAAACAGUCAGGUGACUGCUUUGACAGCACAGGUGGCCGAGCUUCAGGGUCAGAUGUCGGUGAUUCUACAGUCCCUCGCACAGAGCGGCUUUCCAAUCCCGCAGUUUCGUGCGUCAACCUCCCAGCCCGUCCACCCCGAGUAUGCCCACCAGACCACUGCCCCGGUGGACGCCCAGACCUCCGAGCCGCAUACUGGCGACGACCCGAUUGAUUUUGCUUCAUUAUUUGAUUAGUGUAUUUAUUUUCAUCAUAAACAUUUAUUUUAUUUGUAAUACAUUUAUUUUAUUUUAUAACAAAAUUUUGUUCUAAUUUAUUUUUAUUGCAAUUUCAUUGUUUAAUCAAUAAAAAAACCAAUUUUAUUUAAAAAAAAUAAAAAUAAAUAAAAAACAAAAACAAAAAAAACAAAAAAAAAUUGUAAUAUUAUUUUUGCGCGACGGAAGACAUUUCGUCGCGCAAAACCACAUGUAACAAAAAAAAUUAAAAAAAUCAAUUUUUUAUUACUUUAAUUCUUGCGCGACGAAUACAUACGUCUCGCAAACAUUUUUUGCGCGACGAAAUGUUUCGUCGCGCAACAGCUUUUGCGCGACGACUGAAAUUUUCGUCGCCAAAUAGAUGAGCGACGAAAACUUUCUCAUCGCGCGAAUAGUUCUGCGACGAAUAUAUACGUCUCCCGGACUAGUUUUGCGCGACGAAUUAUUUUCGUCGCGCUAUUCGUUUCGUCGCGCAAAUAUACGUGCGCCGAAUACUUUAUCGUCGCGCAAAUAUUUAUGCGACGAACAGUUGUUUCGUCUCCACACCGUUGGUGCAACGAUGGUUUACCCGUCGCACAAUUAUGCGCGACGAAGUGUUGUACCUCGUCGCGCAAAGGCUUUCUUCACGAUCUUCGCGCGACGGAAGGUGCGCGACGAAUUUUUUGUCGCGCUGAAAUUAGGGCGACUAAAUAAGACUUUGCGCGACGUUUUGUUAUUCGUCGCGCAAAGAGUAAAAUGUAGUAGUGAGACUUGUUGGAGACAAAACAGGUAAACAAAUUACUUGUAUUAGACUCACAAAAUAUUACAACAAGACAACUCUCAAAGAAAAGACAAACUCUCACACUUCUCACAAGGACUACUUAACUUUAUAGCUUAUUGCAUAUAGCAUAUGCAAACACAAUUAGAACAUACCUACGUACACUAUGGGAACACUCGUGUAUAUUUCAACACAAGAAAACAUGUGCACCGUGCACGGUUCACAUGAAGUAAGAAAUGAAGAGGAAAUAAAGAAGAAGAAUACAAAAGAAAAUGGAGAUGAGAAAAAAAAAAAAACCGAAUAAUGAAAAAUGAAUUGACAAUUAUAUAUGGUUGACAUUAGAUCUAAUAUUAUAUGUAACAACUAUUGAUCUAAAAUAAACAUUAAAUCAAACAAUAAUUAAAAGAUUUGACAAUAUAAAAAUUUAUUGAGGACAAAAAAAGGCAAAAACUUAUGAAAAAUGGAAACAAUAAAUAUGAACUGAGUCAUCAACUCACCAUGGUAAGUUUGCUGACGUAUAAAAAUAGUCAAUGGACAUCGAAAAGUAAUUGGCUUACAUCAAAAAUUAAAAUCACGUGGGUUAUUCCUAAGAAACCUUAAUAUUUGCCUUCCAUUUGUUCCAGCAAAAUAAAAGUCAUUGCUACUUAUUGUAACCCCUUUUCCAAGCUUAUUAAUCAAAGUAGACACCUCACUGCUGUCACCUAGCCAAUUUUCAACAAUGUCAUACUUAACAAGCAACUCCACAUCCUUUGAGGUGUUCACAAAACGAUCCAUGAGACUAACAUAAUCACUUAUGUACGUCUCCUCGUAGUGGCAUUGUUCAAAUGCGAUGAGAUUUCUAAUUAAUACCUCUGUAUGAUCGCUUAUUUUCAAUCUUGGAAUUUCAAGAGUCCGGCCAGCAAAUCUAAUAAGGUAUUCAUUGAUCCCUCAUUCAACUUGAACCCUGCCCUGUGUAGCUCUGUGAUGCUGGGUGUGUUUAUAGUUAUGAGUUUCCCGUCAUUAGUUUUUAGGGUUAUUCGUUAUAUGAGUCCCUGAACUUAGACCCGAUUUGCAUUUUAGUCCCUCAAUUUCCAAAAUCGUUCCAGUGGUCCUUCAACUUUAGUUUCGUUAGGACAAAUGGUCCUGCCGUCAAAUGAUUAUAAAGUGGAAAAAACAAGAACAAAAAAGGAAGUGAGUUAAAUUUGCACCUGCUAUGUUCAAACGACAAAGUUCGUUUCCGUUUGGUCGAUUACAAGAGAAGCUCAAUGCAGCUUACUUGGUUCCUCUUGGUAGAUGGAAAUAUAAUUUUUCUCCUAAUAACAAAGGUUUAGUGCAAUCAAUGAUGGGCUGUAUAGAACAACUUUUUUGUUUUAUAUGUUUAUGUGAGACAAGUUUUGCCAGAUUGAAUUAAUGUCUUCUAGCUAUGUACCUUAUCUUUUUGCCGGGCCAUGAGUUGAAUGUAGAGGCAGAGCAUGGCCUUGGGUUUGUAAAAGACAAAAGACUGAACCAGACGUAAUUAUUUAGAUUUUGGAUCCAGUUCCACAUCCCAAAGAGAAAACCACAAGUUUGCAAGCAAGUUUGUCCAUAUUAACACUACGUAGAGUAUAGGCAGUGUGCUACUCAUCUCACUUUCUCAACCUACCCUAUAUUUGUCUAAAAGAGUUUCUAAUUUCGUGUACUGAUUCACUACUACAUUUUACACUUUGUGCGACGAAGAGAAUUUCGUCACGCAAAAUACAUUGGUCGCGCAAAGUUUAAAAAAAAUUUUAAAAAAAUAAAAAAUUCCCGCGUCCAAUUUUUGGUACUUGUCCAAAUUUUUUGAGUUUUGCGCGACGAAUACUAACAUCGCGCAAAUAUUUGCGCGACGAAAUAUUUUUUGUUUUAAAUUUUUUUAAUUUAAAAUAAACUAAUUUAAUAGUUUGCGCUACGAAAUAUUUUGUCGCGCAAGGUUUUUGACUUUUUGUUUUAUUAUUUCUUUAAUAUGAAUUUAUUUAUAUGAAUUUUUUGAAAUUUUUACUUUUUAAAUUUAAUUUAAUUGUAUGAUUUCUUUUUAAAAUUACUUUAAUUUAAAUUGAUAUUAAUUUUUACUUUUUAAAUUUAAUUUAAUUGUAUGAUUUUUUUUAAUUACUUUAAUUUAAAUUGACAUAUUCAAAAUAAAAUUACAUAUGAAAAAUAGUGAUUAAAUUAUCCAAUAAAUAUAUAUAUAUAUAUAAUAUUCAAAAUGUACACAUAAAUUAACAAAGCACAAUAAUAAAAUCCUAAUACAAGCGUAUUGUGGUGGUAGUGUCGGAGGAUAUGUUUUGAUAGCUUCCUAAUCCUCAACUUUAGCCGUCAAAGUCUCGAUGAUUCCCUACAAAAAAAAUAAAUAUGGUCAAAUAACCACAAACAAAAAAAAAAAAAAAAAAAAAGGCAUAAUCUCCCCUAAAAUUGUUAUACCACAAAUCCAACCCAAACUCCAAUCCCUCCCCUUUACUCAACCCCAAAACCCACACAAACUCAAAAUUAACUCCAAAAACACAUAUUAAUGAAAAAAAUUUAAAAUUUGGAGAGAAUAUACCUUUUGGCAAGAUUGAGAGUGAAUGAGAGGGAGAAGUGAGUGUGAGAGAAUUAGAGAAGAUAGUGAUAGAGAGAUGAGAGAGAUGAGAGAGUGAGUGAGAGAGAGUGAGAGAUAGUGAAGAGAGAGAUGAGAGAUUAAGUGAGAGGAGUGAGUGAGAGAAAUGGUGGGAUUUGGGGAGAGGGAAAGAGAAAGGAGAGGUAAGAGUAGAGAAAGGCAUUGAGAAAAUGGUGGAUGAGUUAUUUCGGUUUUAAAAACCGUAUCACUUUGCGUGACGAAAAAUAUUGUUGGUCGCGCAAAGGUUUGCGCGACGAAAAAUAUUGGAAUAUUGAUCGCGCAAACUUUUGAGCGACGAAACAUAUUGGUCGCGCAAAGUCUAAAAAAAUUAUUUAAAAAAAAUAAAAAUCCCCGCGUCCCAUUUUUGGUACCCGCCAAAAUUUUUAAAUUUUUGCGCGACGAAUAUAGGAAUAUUGAUCGCGCAAAGUCUAAAAAAAUUAUUUAAAAAAAUAAAAAUCCCCGCGUCCCAUUUUUGGUACCCGCCAAAAUUUUUAAAUUUUUGCGCGACGAAUAUAGGAAUAUUGGUCGCGCAAAGUCUAAAAAAAUUAUUUAAAAAAAUAAAAAUCCCCGCGUCCCAUUUUUGGUACCCGCCAAAAUUUUUCAAUUUUUGCGCGACGAAAAAUACAUAUUGGUCGCGCAAAGUCUAAAAAAAUUAUUUAAAAAAAUAAAAAUCCCCGCGUCCCAUUUUUGGUACCCGCCAAAAUUUUUAAAUUUUUGCGCGACGAAAAAUACAUACUGGUCGCGCAAAGUCUAAAAAAAUUCCCGCGUCCGAUUUUUGGUACCCGCCCAAAUUUUUGCGAGACGAAAAAUAUAUAUUGGUCGCGCAAAGUUUUGAGCGACAAAAAAUAUUGGUCGCGCAAAGUCUAAAAUUUUUUUAUUUUUUUUUUAAAAUCCAGCGUCCCAUUUUUGGUACCCGUCCAAAUUUUUAGAGUUUUGCGCGACAAACUGUUGGUUGCGCAAACUUUUGAGAGACGAAAAAUUGGUUCGUAACACAAUAUUUAUAAAAAUAAUUGUUAUGAAUAAUAAAAAUAAAAUUAUUUUAUUUUACAAUUUAAAAUAUAAAUAAGGUUAAAGCUGCUUAAGAAAUAUAUAUACUAUUCAAUUUCUUAAGUGUUAUACGUACAAAAUAAAUAAAUUUAAAGGUACUUAAUAAAUAAAUAUAUAUACACACACCAUUCAACGAUCCAACCGUCAGACUUAUUUGUAUAUACUUCAAGAUCGUAUACCCCAAAAAUCACAAAAAACAAACAUUUAGAGAUCUAGUAACGAGACAAAACUUUUCGAUGGUUAUAAAUGAAAAAUUACGAUUUAACGGUUAUUUUAACUCCGAUUUUGAUGAUUUUUUUUUACAGCUACACUCCUUGACCAUAUAUGAAUACAAUGACUGAAUUUGAUCUUCAAUUUAAAAUAUUUACACUAGUGGAUACCACAAAAUCUUAUGUUAUAUCUAACGAACGUAUAAAUAACCUCUUAAUUGUUAGUGAAUAUAUUGUUUUGAUGGCAUAUGCAUUCACCAAAACUAGUUUCAACGAUCCAACCAUCAAACUUGUUUGUUUAUACUUCGAGAUCAUAUACGCCAAAAAUCAGAAAAAAUAAACAUUCAGAGAUCAAGUAAUGGGACAAAAAUUUUCGACGGUUAUAAUGAAAAAUCACGAUUUAACGGUUAUUUUAACUCCGAUUUUGAUGAUUUUUUACAGCUACACUCCUUGACCCUAUAUGAAUACAAUGACUGAAUUUGAUCUUCAAUUUAAAAUAUUUACACUAGUGUAUACCACAAAAUCUUAUGUUAUAUUUAACGAACGUAUAAAUAAACUCUUAAUUGUUAGUGAAUAUAUUGUUUUGAUGGCAUAUGCAUUCACCAAAACUAGUUUCAACGAUCCAACCGUCAAACUUGUUUGUUUAUACUUCGAGAUCAUAUACGCCAAAAAUCGGAAAAAAUAAACAUUCAGAGAUCAAGUAAUGGGACAAAACUUUUCGACGGUUAUAAUGAAAAAUCACGAUUUAACGGUUAUUUUAACUCCGAUUUUGAUGAUUUUUUACAGCUACACUCCUUGAACCUAUAUGAAUACAAUGACUGAAUUUGAUCUUCAAUUUAAAAUAUUUACACUAGUGGAUACCACAAAAUCUUAUGUUAUAUUUAACGAACGUAUAAAUAAACUCUUAAUUGUUAGUGAAUAUAUUGUUUUGAUGGCAUAUGCAUUUACCAAAACUAGUUUCAACGAUCCAACCGUCAACCUUGUUUGUUUAUACUUCGAGAUCAUAUACGCCAAAAAUCGGAAAAAAUAAACAUUCAGAGAUCAAGUAAUGAGACAAAACUUUUCGACGGUUAUAAUGAAAAAUCACGAUUUAACGGUUAUUUUAACUCCGAUUUUGAUGAUUUUUUACAGCUACACUCCUUGACCCUAUAUGAAUACAAUGAACUAAUUCGAUCGUCAAUUUAAAAUAUAUAUUUUCUAACAAAAACCCAAUCUGAACAACAAUAAUAUAUUUUUCUAACAAAAAUCCGAUCCGAUCUAAAAUAAUAAAUUUAAAGCUACUUAAUAAAUAUAUAUACUGUUUAAUUUCUUAAGUGUUAUGCAUACAAAAUAAAAAACAAAAAUAAAUUAGUAUAGGCGACAAAAUGUUUGGAUUACGUCAUGCAAAGAUUUUAAAAUAUAUAUAUAUAUUAUUUUUAUAAGGACUUUGCGCGACGAAGUUCAUUGUUUCGUCGCGCAAAGUCACUUUGAGCGACGAUGUAUUGUUGUCGCGCAAAAGUUUGUCGCGCAAAGUUACUUUGCGCGACGAAUUUUUUUUCAUCGCUCAAAAUUUGGUCGCGCAAGACUUUGAGUGACGAUGUAUUGUCGUCGCGCAAAAGUUUGUCGCGCGAAGUGACUUUGCGCUACGAAUUGUUUUUCGUCACGCAAAAUUUGGUCGCGCAAGACUUUGAGCGACGAAGUUUUGAGUUUCGUCGCGCAAAGUGACUUUGAGCGACGAAUAGUUUUUCGUCGCGCAAAAUUUGGUCGCGCAAGGGGUUUUUUUUUACUAGUAUGAGUUUUAUAUACAAUUUAUAACAAUAUUUUCAGGCAAAAAAAUGUCUUGGCAAGAAAAUGUACAAUUUGUUACGUACUUAACUGGAACGAUUACCUUCAAAUUCCUAUGGCCAAUUACCUUCUUUUUUCUUCCUUUUUUUUUUUUUUUUUUUUUUGGUUGUUGUUGUUCUUUUGAUCAAGUUGCAUAUUCCAAAGAACGAAAACCAGUACAGGCUCUUUUCCAAUGCAAGCUCUUUUCCCAUGUUUCCCUCUGUUUUUCUCCUAUUUUUCUUAUAUGGAAGUGAUUAAAAUACACCUCUAAGCUUGUUUUGCGUUUGGUAACCGACUGUAAAAGCUCAAUGCAGAUAGUUUGAGGUAGAAUUUUCUCCAAUUUUACUAGCACAGUGAUAAGCUAUACUAUAUGUAACAACAAAUUGCUUUAAUAAUGAUAAUGAAAAAAGUGUGAUCCAUCGAAUAUUUGCGGGGUUUUGUUCCAAGUCAACACAUCAAAUUCUUUUACACCAUGAAAUUAAAAAAAAUUUAUUCAACCAUCUCGACCUUAUGCUCGAUCAUUUUGCACAAGCAACCGUCCACGUACCCCAAUAAUUUAAAAGGGCUGAUGAUCUUUAAUUUGGCGAAAGCUUCUAUCUACUUCUACCGCGCUAUAUAUGAGCUAUGCAAUUGUGACGGUGUUACAUGACGUCACAAUGUCGUAGGGAUAAAAAAAUAAUAGUCAUGGUUUCUUAUUAAUGUUAAUACAGGCAUAGCAAAAAGCUUGUAUUUCUAGUGGUUAAGAACAAUUACCCAUGCACUUGAGAUAUUAUGUGCUUAAAUCCCCUCUUCCCCAAUAUUUCUUGUAUAAAAAUAAAAAUAAAAAUAAAAAUAAUAAAGAUAUUGAUAUUGUAUUCUAUAAAGUGUUGGACAUGUUUUAUACCCCUUUACUGCAAAUUACAGUUUGACACAUGUACAAAAAUAAUAGGUAAGUGUUGGACAUCAAGAGUACUUACAUAUAGGUUUAAUAGGUAAGUUUUGAAUAUUUCUGUCUUUAGCUUUAAUUAUUGAAAAUCAACCUAUUAUCAUAUUAAAGACUUAUCCAUGUUCAACGUACAUUCUCUUAUUUUUCUCUCAUUGAAGUAAAUACAAAACUAAGCACAUAGUGGAAAAGUAGGUCACGAUUAGGGGUGGGUUUGGUCUGGGUUGGUUCAGUUUUGGGCUCAACCCGAACACCGAACCGUAGACCUCGAUUUGGCUAUUUUGGAAACCAAAACUAAACCAUAAUUAAUGAAAACCGACCACUUCAAUUACCUUCUGGUCUUCCAACCAGAAGAAAACUCAAAACUUUAACCAUACCAAGUGCAACAGAAUUACACCAGGCUGGAGUCAAGUUUAUGAUGGUUAAAGAUAAAAACUUAUUUGACAUACAAUUUGAGAAUGGAAUCCUCAAAAUUCCACACCUGCGAAUACAGGGUUAAACAGAAAUUUUCUUCCGCAAUUUUAUUGCCUAUGAGCAGUGUGAGCUCCAUGAUCAUUACAUCAACAACUAUGUCUUCGUCAUGGACCGCCUGGUCGACAGUGCCAGGGAUGUGGAAUUGCUUGUGAAGAGUGGAAUUCUUGAAUCCAUGCUACCGGACAGCGAGGCAGCAGGGGAAUUUAUUAAUUCUCUUGACUUGGGGCCUAUUUUAGGCAAGCUUGAAACAAGACUAUUUCAGUUCACCAUGGGCUGGCCUGUCUAUUAUUGUAGCCGCUAUACUAGUUGUGCUCACAUUUAUUCAAACAGUGUGCUCCGUAAUGGCGCUGUAGGUUCUUCAUUUCCUCAAUUUCAUGUUUAGUGGUUGCAGAUUUGUUGCUCAUGUACGUGUUUAUCUAAAGUUAAAUAAGAGUGAUUGACUGAUAGUCUGUUAGUUUGUUUUUCUGGGGUUUUUCCCCUGUUCGUCAAAAAAGAAAAAGAGAAAGAGUGAUUGCUUGUGCCUGUUUGGGCCUAAUUUGACACACCCAAUCCAAAAUCAAAAAGUCCAUGUCAAUUUUGGACAGCCACCAGCAUUCCCUUUGUAAUUAGGCCAAAAACUGCACACCCAACCUAGCACUGGAGCCUAGAACAAACAAGGUAAACUCAGGACCCAAGCAGUUUGAUUUUUUCAUUUAAAUUGGAAUCAAGGGCCCCAAGUCAAAAAAGCCCAAGCCCAAGGCAGAUUUUUUACCAAAAAGACCCAAGGAAGCCCAGUGCAUGCGAAUUGCUUAGCCCACAAUCCCAAAACUCAAAACUAAGUUUGGCAUGAUUAAAUAAAGAUAGAGAGAAGCCCAAAAUUGAAGAAACCCAAAACAGUUUUAUCAAAAUUGUCAGCUCUCUACCCAAGACCUAAAAAGGGUCAAAAAUACCACUAUUGGCAAAAUUGACGCACUCAGCCUUGGAUCACAAAGAAAUCCACGUGACUAUUUGACUUUGAGAAGUCAACAAUUUCAACUAGUCACAAGAGAAGUUGAUUGGAAUUAAUGUAGGCAGGUCAUUACAGAAAAGACUUCUUUGAAACUCUGUAGCCAAAAGAUCAAAAUCCCUUUCUAUAUAAUUCUGCAUCAGAGUAGGUGGUCUUUCCAAGAGAUAAGCAGACUACGUUUUCAAGAGAUAAGUAGAGAAUGAGGGAGUUGUUCAACAAGAAAAGCAAACUAACCAUCAUGAUAGGUUGUGUUCUUUCUCUCUACAAAAAACAAUAGGGAACAAAGAAGAGUUGGUUUUUCUUUCAGAAAAAGGAAGGAAAAGACCUACAUGAAAACUAAUUAUUGAUGGUUCUUCUCUGCCAGAACAGAUAACUUCUCAUUUUCUUUGACAUUUAAAAAUGAAAGGUCUCGCUUUUACAAAAUCUGCCGCCCAUUAUUUAAAGAUUAGAAAACCCACUCCAGCAUUUCCUAUAAAUAUGAGAGGAGGUGAUGUCACAUCACGGGAUUGGCUCUGCCGUAGCACGAUAUUGUCCACUUUGCGCCCCCCUCUCUACCCUCACGGUUUUAUUUUUGGGAACUCACGAGCAACUUCCCAGUGGGUCACUCAUCUUGGGAUUGCUCUAGCCCCCAGCUCGCUUAACUUCGGAGUUCCCAUGACUCCGAAGCCAAUGAGCUCCCAAAAGGCCUCGUGUUAGAUGGAGGCGGGCAUGUACAUAUAAGGCACAUCACCUCCUCUCCGUUGGUCGAUGUGGGAUGUUACAGGUGAACAUAUCAAAGGACAGCCAAAAAAUCAAUCAAAGACAAAAACUCAAAAUGAUCACUUGAUCUCAAAAGCCUUCAAAACACUGAAGCAAGCAAAGCUCAUUGAGCCACAACGAACAAGUCAGCUAGAAUUCAGAAUCUUUAGAGUCAGUUCAGUUUCAGAGAAAUAAUCAAAGAAAGCGAGAUCUCUCUCGUUACAAAUUUGGUUCAGCUUAAAGCCAAAACAAGCAGAGUUCAGGUUCUUACAAAUAUGAAAACCUCAAUAAAUUUAUGGAGAGCCCUGAUCAAGCAAAACAGGUACUACAGUGCAGUUCUAGCUUAGUAAUAAUCAAAUCCACCCACUUCUGCCCCUUCCAGAUUGAGAAGGUCCCAAUUCUGCCCAUUCAAAAAGCCUUCCAAGACUUGAAAUAGAUUAAAGCUCUGCCAAACUCAAAUGUUGGAAUCAAUUCGCAGCUGAAACAUGACAGUUGAAGGUGUUGAUAGUCCAGUCCAGCACAGACAUACCCAGUCUAGCCCAGAUCAGAAGCAUUCACCGAGGCAGAAAUUGAAGUCCAAAGCUCUUUUUGUCUUUUUAGAGUUGGUCUUCCUUUUCUGAGCUUUGUAAAAGGCAAUUCUGCCUAAAACAGUUCACUUUCUUAUCAUUUAUUCUGGCCAGAACUACCAGUUUUGUACUGUGAAAAAUUAUGAAGUCCUCACCAGUCUAAGGCAAGAAAAGAACUUACUUGGGAGAUAUUCCUCACCAAAUUCACAACCGUUUGUUUAGAAAUCAGUAACUUGGUGUAACGACCCGGUCCUAAAUAAAUUGGUAAUUAUUAAUUUAUUCAGAUAAAAGACCAUUUUGCCCAUAGAAUAUUUUAAUAGGUUUACAUGUUGACCCGGGAGGCUUCGGUGAAAUUGUUACAUCUCGGUCCGAAAAAGUGUUAAAAUAAUUAAAGUAGAGUGCUGCUAAAAGAACCCUAAAAUUAACUGAGUACACCCUAUGAUCUAAGUACACCCUAAUAUUUUAAUUAAAAUAUAAAAUUAACUAAGUACACCCUAUAAAACUAUCAAAAAUAACACUGAUACACCCUAAUACUUGUAGCAUUAUUUUAUAGUUGAUUAUUUUAAUAGUGUUUAUAAAUCUUUGACUUUUCAUAUGGAUUUAUGCUUCUACUAAAAUUGUUGCCACUUUUUUUCCAAUUCCAAGUUCUUGCAAUCACCACAUCUUUCGUUAAAAACACAAUAGGACAAGCAAUCUCUUGAUUAGGGUUGAAUAUGGUUAGUAGGGUGUACUUAUUAAUAUUAUAUUUGUUUCACAAUUCCAUAUAUCCUUUUUGGUCAUUUUAUAUUAGGGUAAACCAGUAAUUCAAUAUAUACUUUUAUAGUAGGGUGUACUCAGUUAAUUUUAGGGUUCGUUUAGCAGCACUCUUAAAGUAAGAGAGAAUAAAAUGAAAUAAACAUUAAAAUAAAAUGAUUUGAAUUAAUUAAGGUUUUUGAGAAAUUAAAAUAUUAUUUAAUAUUAUAAGGGGAAAAAGAUCAUUUUAAGUUUGGGAAGGAAUUUGGAAAUUCCAAUUGUACCGUUGUGUAGAGCAUGUCGAAACGAGUCCGUAGACACGUAGUGGACUCGAAUCGUAGUUAUAACGGAGAAAUGGCGAUCAAAAGAAGUUCAGUGGCAUAGCCAUAAAUAUUUCGAAGUUCAGUUUUUUUAAAACCCAAAUUUCUUCUCUCUGGGGAGUGGGAGAGCCAACUUCAAAUGGUGAUUUCUCCCAACUCCGACCACCACACUUCCCUCUUCCUUCAGUUUUGGCAUCAUGAUGGGUUCCAUCCCGGAAUGACACAUUUUCGACGCUAAGGACGUCACAAAUGGUAUUUGAGAUGCUUUGUAAAUUUGUAACCAUGGAAAACACAAUGAACUUUAUGUUCGGAGUUGCAAGAGAACAUUAAGGGGAAUAUGGAGAGUGGGAAAAUAGUAAUAAGUGGAGAUCUGUAUGCUUACUUACUACUGAACUUCCGUCGUGGUGGUUAGUAUGAAAAAGUGUUAGAGAUUAUAGAUUUUAUGGAGGAACAUGGUUGUACACUGAUAAGUAGUCGGUAGGAGUUGAUUUAAGUUCCAAGAGAAAUUCAUUAUGAACUGGGAUGAAUUACUGCAAGAUUCUUGCUGUUUUGAAGUUAUUGAUUUUAGGGGCAUCACCUCUGAAUGAUCAUAAUAACCAUGCGUGGGCUCUGCAUGAGGUUUCUUUGACAUUGUUUGAUUUUGUGUAUUGAUAAUUACACUUAGGGGUGUCACGUUUCUAGAAACGUGUCUAUCCAAAUUGUUGUAUCUCAAUAUCCUAUGGAAGGAAAGCUGAGAAGCUGAAAAUACUGGAUUUAUGGUGGUGAGAUAAAAAUUGUCAGGAACUUUCAAAAGUCAAAUUAUUUCACAAAGGGAAAUACUGGAGAGAAGUAUUAGAGAAUUUUCUUUGGAUAAGUUAUAUAGGAGUGGAGGAGUUGCGAGUUUAACCAAGGAGGGUUGUGACAAUUUAAAUUGAGAAGUAGUGGUGUUGGGUGAAGUAUUAUUUCAUUCGCGUGGGCUUGAAUGCCGCGAUUGACAGGAAUGGAACAUUAGGGUUCUUCUUCCUUGCUCUCUCACGCGAGCUCGCCAUAGAGAGUAUUUCUUGGCGUGGUACUGGCUUCGUCCGACCUCCGAUUACUGUGAUUUUUGAAAGGACCCGGCCCAAAUUUCUCAAAAUCCGAGGCGAAUCCUGUGAAAUUCCCGACAUCACUCCGAUGCCAGGCCCACUUACUAAAGACCGAGACUUUCUGCCGAACUUUCGGCAGAGUCUCCCCUAUAAAUUGGACAUUUUCCAAAACUACCACCUGCAUAAAACACAAUUUAUAUCCCCAACUGGCAGCAUGCACAAGAUAAUUUCAUGCAAAUCACAUAAUCGGCCUGCGGCCUUCAAAUAAUUCAAAACGAAACCACCAAGCACACUAUCAAAUUAAUUCCUACCUUAAACAAGGCAAACAAUAAAUUUAAAUAUGAAUUAUGACUACUAAAUUUCAACAUACGAGGUUUUAACCUCCUAACACAAUCACAUCUAUGUCCGCGGCUGCACCUAAUAACCUUAGGCUGCCUACGUACCUUCACUGAGGGAUCAAGCCACACGUAGUUCUUCCGUAAAACCCAAUUCCACACAUAGGCAAUACCUUUAUUCAUUUCUCUGUAUUUCACAUAAUCUCCCCAUACGCCAGUACUACCAUUGCCACGUAUGGGACUUGUCAACAAGCCGGAUAACCUACACCACGUGCGAUCUCAACAUAAUAUCACAUAAUCUCCUCAUACGCCGGUACAACCAGCGCCACGUAUGGGGCCUGUCAACACGCCGGAUAACCUACGCCACGUGCGACCUCAUCAUACUAUCACAUGAUCUCCCCAUACGCAGGUACAACCAACACCACGUAUGGGGCCUGUCUCAACGCCGGAUAACCUACGCCACGUGAGACCUGAACAUAAUAUCACAUAUCUCCUCAUACGCCGGUACAACCAAUGCCACGUAUGGGGCCUGUCAACACGCCGGAUAACCUACGCCACAUGCGACCUCAAUAUACUAUCACAAUAUCUCCCCAUACGCCGGUGCAACCAACGCCACAUAUAGGGUCUGUCUCAAAUUGGAUAACCUACGCCACGCUAGACCUCAACAUCAUAUCACAAUAUCUCCUCAUACGCCGGUACAACCAACGUCACGUAUGGGGUCUGUCCGCAUGCCGGAUAACCUACGCCAUGUGGGACCUAACUUUCACAGAGUGGUACUUGUAGUGUAACCAAAAUCUGGGGAGGUGCCUAAGGUAGUGCAUAUAGCACUUCAAACUGACAUUCUCUCACUUAUCUAAACUAAUACUAGAGGUCUUCCCAUUUUAAUGGUACCAGUCUAUAGUAGAUUGUAACGUAAUUUAAUCAUAAAAAUAAUAUUAUUUCUAGACCAACGAUUAUUCACAUAAACAUGAAUUUCAUAAUUUCACUAUUUAAAAUAAUAUCUAAAAGUUUCCUAUAAUACAAAUAAACACUCUAAAGAUCCCAACUUAGUCAACACAGCUCAACAAUGCUCAAGACCUGUCAUUAGGGUCAUUAUGAUCCUUCUAGGAAGGUAAAACUACCUCGAAAGACUCAAGGUCAACCAAGGGUCAAACCACCCACAAUUGGUCAAACGGGCCCACGGGGCCCACGACCUCCAAAUUCCAAUCCGAAGGUUCCUAUGGGAUCUACAAGGUAUAGGACACUCGUCUUGCAAGUUAAGCCUAGAUCGGAUGGUCAGAUCGCUCACGAUCGCACAAUCUGAUGGUUAAUAUAAAACAUAAACUUUAAAUUAUUUAAUCGGAACAUCCGGGGCUCCCGAUUCACGAUCUGUUCCUACACGAUCCUAGAAAUACAUAGAUUAACAUAUAUUAAAUUUGAGACCAUCCAACGGUCCUAACCUAUCGAACCCGGAUAACGCGCAAUAGGCGAUAUUCGUUCGAUAGUCAAACGACGUCCGAAUUGAGAUUUACGAAAUCCUACGCACUCGUGACAACCUAAGGAUCUCAUUGAGACAUAUUGCUAUCCCAAAACCGACCGAAAUCCAAUUCGAAAAUCGAGUUACUUACGUUAAGAAUCGACCGAAUCCUACCCAACAGGCAGCUAGAGCAUGAAAAGUAUGUGAGAAACCAUACCUCACUCGUCGAAAUCAGUGGCCAAAGGAGGGAGAUCGACGAUAGAGAAGUUCGGACGAACUGACCGCUUCUUCUCCAUUUUUCAGCGAAACCACGGUAGCUGGUGGCGGGACCUAGCUGGGGUUGGAAGAGGAUGACGCCCCGGUCAUUUUGGUAUCGGCCUCGUGGUCAUCGGUGGCCGGAUGAGAAAACAGCCGGCGAAAAUGUGACCGGCUGCCGUUGCGCACGCGAGAGAGACCACGAGAGAGAGAGAGAGAGAGAGAGAGAGAGAAAUCUGAUUGUGCCACUGAGAUUCUUUUGACCAUAUCUCUCUCGUUACAACUCCGAUUCAAGCCCACCACGUGUCUACGGACUCAUCUCGGUACGACCUAUCCAAAAAUACCAAUCACUACCCCAAAUACUUUUUGGAUCAGAAAGUGACCAAAUUACCCCUACCUCAAUGGUAACUUUGUAAUUUCACUUAAAUAAUUUAAAUAAGGGAUUAAAUUUGGAGUCGGGGUGUUACAAUUUUUGUUGCUAAAUGUUGUCAUCAUUUCUCCUCUACAUCACUCAGUGAUCAUUCACUCCCAUUUCUCUAGUUUACACGGUGAAUUUUAUUUCUAAAAUUUCUUAAAAUUCCGGCCACUGUGAGUUUGACCAGCGACUUGGGUUACUUUUGCCCAUCUUUUUGGAAAUGGAACCGAUUUGAGGAAGAUUAGGAGGAAAGAUACAUAGGCCGCUGAGGCAGAAGUAAAGCCGGAGCUUUACCAUAGACAGAAGUUGUUUUAGAAGUCCUGGAAGAUUGUGAACAGGAAUUGGAAGUUUGCAUGGGGUGAUAGGAUUUUUAGUACUUGUGCAAACAGUGUUAAAAAUCACAUAAAAUACUUGCAAGAAUACAAGGCUAUUGUAGUCUAGAUGCUCAUGCAAGGUCGUUUUCCUCAAGGACUAAUUAGCAAUUUAUGUAAAAAUAAAUUCCAAUUACUACUUAAAAUAAAAAGUCAAGAAAGAUGAUUAUAAAUUUGGUUGAUUCUAAAAAACAAAUAUUAAACAAAAACAAAUACGAUUGAAAGAAAGAGUUUUGAAUAUCAAUUUAUAAAAACACUAGGGUUUCACCAUCACCUAGCAAUCCUAUGAACUUUUACCAAUUACUUAUGAUUUGCACAUGCCACUUUGAAGGUUAGGUUUUCCUAAUGUAUAUUCUACUUAGAACCUCCAACACAGAAUGUAUAUCCAACAUGCAACCCGUCCGGACGUUCGGAUCAAAUCUGAACAUGAAAGACUCAUUAAGUUUUGUGAAAACCCUUUGAAAAACCAUGCAACCCUUAAGACGUGGUGUUCAUCUUAAGUGAAAUUACAAUUAUUAAUCAGAAGAAGCUAGCAUCAAUUUCAGGGAACCUUCCGACCAAAAUUGCAUCCAAUUACUUUUCUAAAGAUCCUAAUGGUGAUCAGGCAUUAAGACAAUUAGAUAGUUUAAAACAGUGAUUAACAAUUCAAAAUACGCAUGCACUCAUCAUAAGCAAUUAAAUAAAAAUCACAUAUUCAUGCUAAGGUUCAAGGCUUCACCCUAGCAAAAGAAAUUUAGUUACGCAUACUCAUAAUUGAAAUCCAAGAAAAUAUCAUUAAGAAGAAAAGAACGAAAACACCUGAAAGUUGUGAAAACCCAAAACCCUAGCAAUUGCUCUCCACAAUGCAAAGUUCAAAAGUGAAAAGGGAGUCCUCCAUUCCUUGUGAGAAAGAGCUUAAAUACCCCUUAAAACCUAGCUGCCAAUGUACAGCUUUUCUAUCCCCACAAGGAAACUAAUUAAAAUAAAAUAAUACUAGGAAAUAAAGUCCAAAUUGGAAUAGGAGAAUCUGCUCAAAAUCUGCCCAGCCACGUUUUGGCCCCAAAUCUCCUCCAAAUCUGGCCCAAGAUAGCUUGUUUUAAAGAUAAAAAAUGUUCUGAACACUUCUUUAGAAGGCCACGAACCCAUCCGAGGUCAUCUUGGGCUCCAAAAACGCAAUAAAAGCCCAACACGUCACUAUUCCAGCACCGCGCACUGCUCCUUUAUUUUGUUGCCAGAAAAUAACCGCUUGGAAGAAAAAUCUGAAAUUUUGAUACGAUCAAGCUAAGUGACUCAAGAACGUCCUCCAACUGGAAUUACUCCAAAAUUCCUCAAUUUGAUUAUGUUUUGCUCCAGAGAGAUUCGAAAGUCCUAUAUUGGAAAUAUAAUUCAAAGUAUCAAAAGUCUUCCAAAAUAAUAACCAAAAUAUACUAAGAAUGAGGUUAAAUAUAUAAUAUAAAAUAUGUCCAUCAAAAUACCCCCAAACUUAGCUUUUGCUUGUCCUCAAGUGAAACAAGACUCAAACAAAAAUAAAAACUUAACAGAUUAGACAUCUGGCUAACACUUAACUAGGACAAAAUUUCCACCUUCAAGUUGCAAUCCAUAGAAAAUUUUAAAAACUAGAACAUCCUUUCAAUAGAUCUAAGUAAUCCCACCACAAAGUCUAAGCUAUUUAGACUCAAUUAGAAAAGAAUUCACAAACUUCUUUCGGUGCAAAGUGAACCAUUAUGGUUAUGGAGACUUGACUAAAACCCUUAACUCUCAUCCCUUUUAUUCAUACUUCACACACUCCACACUUUUUGUUUUUUUUGUUUUUUGUUUUUUGUUUUUUUGUUUUUUUUUCUUUUUGUUUUUAUAGUAACAGUAGUGGUUGUGCAAUGUUGGUUCCCUUAAGCUUUCAAUCCAACCGUGUAGCCAGCUUUAGGUCAAUGUCUCCCAAACCACUCGGGUUUUAGGGCACUAGGUGUAGAACACCCCUAAGGACUUAUUAACUCAAGCUGAAAAGGCUACGAAACCAACUAACCACCCUGCCUCAUGCCAAAACUCUACCUUUUGUCUCGAGAAUCACUGCUGAUUAGGCAGGAUUGACCCGGUUACUAGCAAAGCUUCGGGUGAGGUAAUUAUUACUUUAUAACACAAACUAACUUUAUUUAUAUUGAACAUAAAUUAAAACACAUUUGGACAAAAAGUAAGUAUUCCAAUCUCACUCCCCAAAAACCAUGUUGGUGUGAUGUGCAAAUUUCAAAGUAUAAUUCAUGAAUUAAUGUCUAAGCAACAAUAAAUAGAAAAUACUCUACCGUGGGAUUGAUUUUCACCAUGUCCAUUUGUUCUAACGUUUAAAAUAAUCUAUGGAUAUUGACUGAAAAACGAAAAUUUGUAAACAAGACUCAAAAAAUGAAAAAUAAAAAAAAUUACGUUCCCACCCCCUAACUUAAAUCACACAUUGUCCUCAAGGUGGGGUAAAUAAUCAAAAGAAACAAGAGCAGAAACAAAACGACUAAAACUUAGAAAAUGGAAAUCAAAAAUAAAGAAAAUACUCUAAGAAAAGAAAUUAGGAAGGCAAAGGAUGAGAUCCAGAUGGAUCUGGUAAUCCUAUCCGUAGAGAUGGAAAGAUUCUAUACACGCCAUUGAGACUGGAUUUGGAGAUGAGGAUUUGACCCUACCUUGUUCGACGAAUUCCCUCAAGGGGAAUUAUAGCAAUAAAAUACAUAUGCUUCUACAAACAUUUAAUUGCACUGCUACGACGUGGAAAGAGUGCUUUGGGGUCUCAUCUCAUGUGAACCCGUUCGAGUAGAAAUCUUUCAUUAGAAUCAGAAAUGGGUCAUGGUAAAGAGAGGUAGAUGAUGAUUACAGUUCGGUAAAAAUGAUCAUUUCUGACAUUCCUCUCAAAGAACCGUGUUGGCAAUGUCGUUUAUCGAUUCUAAAGAAAGAAGAAAAAUAUCAACAAGUCAAAGAACGUGGAUUUCUUUUAAGGGGAGAGCUAGAACAAAAUCAAAUCACGAAUGGAAGAGUUUAGCUUUCAGAGGAAGAUUGAGCAUUACAGCAGCUAUUAAAGGAUAUUUUUAGUUGAAGAAUGAGAUUUUUCUUCCUCUGAUUGUUUAGCUAGAGCUUUUGGCUUGACUGCCAACGUGGUUGUGGAGGAAGAAACUUGGGAACCCGAGUAGUAGAUGCGAGCCCACUACCCAUACCCCUUUUGAGUGACAGGUAUGAAAUUUCAAGGAUGAAAUUUUUAUAAGAGGGGUAGAUUGUAACGACCCGGUCCUAAAUAAAUUGGUAAUUAUUAAUUUAUUCAUAUAAAAGACCAUUUUGCCCCCAUAAUAUUUUAAUAGGUUUACAUGUUGACUUGUUGACCGGGGAGGCUUUGGUGAAAUUGUUACAUCCCGGUCUGAAAAAGUGUUAAAAUAAUUAAAGUAAGAGAGAAUAAAUUGAAAUAAACAUUAAAAUAAAAUGAUUUGAAUUAAUUAAGGUGUUUGAGAAAUUAAAAUAUUAUUUAAAAUUAUAAGGGGCAAAAAGAUCAUUUUAAGUUUGGGAAGGAAUUUGAAAAUUUUGAUUGUACCGUUGUGUGGAGCACGUCGAAACGAGUCCGUAGACACAUAGUGGACUCGAAUCGGAGUUGUAACGAAAAAAUGGCGAUCAAAAGAAUUUCAGUGGCAUAACCGUAAAUAUUUUGAAGUUCAGUUUUUUUAAAACCCACAUUUAUUCUCUCUGGGGAGUGGGACGUGCCAACUUCAAAUGGUGAUUUCUCCCAACUCCGGCCACCAAUUCAAGUAAGACCGGCCCCGUUAGAACCACCACACUUCCCUCUUCCAGUCCCAGCCCAUCUCAGUCUCGAUCCGCCGUCGUAGUCGCCGAAAAUCGCCACGAAACAAGGUGGUUUGGAUAGUUUUUGUCGAAAUUUCGUGGAGCUCGUUCUCCCUCCUCCGGCCACCGUUUCAGGCGAGUGAGGUAUCAUUUCUCACCUAUUUUCUAUGAUAUAGCUGAUGGUUGGAUAUGAUUUGAUAAAUUUUGAGCGUUGAUAGUUCGAUUUUCGAAUCAAAGUUUGGCCGAAUUUCGGGAUGAAAUUCCGGCCACUUUCGAUCACUUUUUGGGGUAGGCCCAAGAACAAAAGUGUCUUCAAUUGAUGUCCUGAUCCCAGGGUAAGAGCAUUGGUCGAAAAUUUUGAGAUUUUCCUGCUGGUGGUAUCGCUUUGGGCACCCAUGCGCUGAUGGCGCGUGUGGCAGCGUGUGGGCACUGUAGCAGAGGGCCAUUGUGUCCCAAUGCGACCCCCUUGUUGUCACGAGUGCGUAAGGGUGCUCGGAUUCCAAUUUGGUUGAGGUUUGAACCCCGAAUGGAUUUCGUAUAUUGUACAUUAUCCGGGUUUGAUAGGUUUGAACCGUUGGAUAGUCUUGAAUUUAAUAUAUGUUAGUCUAGACAUCCCUAGGAUCAUAUAGGAUUUCGCGGAUCAUGGAUCGGAGCCCCGGAUGUUCUGAUUUAAUAAAUUAAAGUUUGUGUUUUACAAUAACCGUCCGAUCGUGCGAUCGCGAGCAAUCCGACAGUCCGAUCCGAACCAAACUUGCAGGACGGGUAUCCUAAAUCUUGUAGAACCCAUAGGAGCUUUCGGAUAAGAAUUUGGAGGUCGUGGGCCCGGUUGACCAAGAUUAGGUAGUUUGACCCCUCGGUUGACCAUGAGUCUUCCGAGGUAGUUUCACCCUUCGAGGAGUACUAGAAUGACCUUAUUACAUAGUCUCGACCUUUAAUUGAGCUAUGUUGACUAUGUUGAGAUUUUUAGAGUGUUUAUUAUUAUCGUAUGAAAACUCUUGGAUAUUACUUUUAAUAAUUGAAAUUAUGGAUUUGAUGAGCGUGGGUAAAUUGAUUUGAUGAGUGGUGAAAAGAAGUCGUGGGCUUGGCUAUGACUAUUAGGAAGUGAGGGGACAUUUAUGUUGAAUAUGCAUUAAUUUCAACAAUUGAAAGAACAUGCAUGGAAUGGGUAUAUAUAUAUAUAUAGAUAAAUUGGAUUAAAGAUUGAGAAAUUAAUAAGUUGAGAUAUUAGUAAUAUUUAAUUGAGAAAUGGAUUUUGAGGUGGAAAUUGGAAGGUUGAAUUUGGGGAAUUUUGGAAUUGAGAAUUAUGGGUUAAUACUGAAAGAUGUAGGAUUAUACUAUGUAAGUACCAUCCCCUAGUUACUAGGCUUCCCAUACGUGGAGUUGGAAUUUCUGGCGUGUGGGAAGGAUAUAUGAUUAUUAGAUCUCACAUGCCGUUGGAUUUUCCAGCGUGAGACAGACCCCAUACGUGGGGUUGGAUUUUUCGGCGUAUGGGGAGAUUAUGUGAUGGUUAGGUCACACGUAGGGUGGGAUUUUCCAACGUGUUGACAGACCCCAUAAGUGGCGUUGGAUUUUCCGGUGUAUAGGGAGAUUAUGUGAUGGUUAGGUCACACGUGGCAUAGGAUUUUCCAGCGUGUUGACAGACCCCGUACGUGGCGUUGGAUUUUCAGCGUAUGAGGAGAUUAUGUGAUGGUUAGGUCCCAUGUGGCGUAGGAUUUUCCGGCGUGUUGACAGACUCCAUACGUGACGUUGGAUUUUCCGACGUAUGGGGAGAUUAUCUGAUGGUUAGGUCACACGUGGAGUAGGAUUUUUCAGCGUGUUGACAGACCCCAUACGUGACGUUGGAUUUUCCGGCGUAUGGAGAGAUUAUGUGAUGGUUAGGUCACACGUGGCGUAGAAUUUUCUGGCGUGUUGACAGACCCCAUAUGUGGCGUUGGAUUUUCCGGCAUAUGGGGAGAUAAUGAGAUGGUUAGGUCACACGUGGCAUAGGAUUUUCUGGCUUGUUGACAGACCCCAUAUGUGGCGUUGGAUUUUCGCGCGUAUGGGAAGGAUAUGUGAUUAUUAGGUCUCACAGGUGGCGUUGGAAUUUCCGGCGUAUGAGACACUAACAGUGAGAAGAGAAUGAGAUUAUUUUUCUAUAUCAGAGAAAGGUUAGAGUAUAAAAAGAAAUAUGUUUGGUGUGUGGUAAUUUAAAUUAAAACAGGGAAAGAUAACUUACCUGUACUACUGAAACAGUUGUGUAACAUUUGGAGCAUGAUUAUGGAGUGAAAGAACUACGUGUGGCUUGAUCUCUCAGUAAGGGUACGUAGGCAACCUAGGUGCAGUCGUAGACUAAACGUUAUUUAUGUUGUUUUAUUGAGAUUGGUUCUGACCCUGUCGUUGGUCCUGAAAUUCGGUUGAAAACUAGAUGCGAGUAAAUAAUUGUUCAUACUCCCGUUUCGUUGAGGGAGGAUUGUGUAAAUGUGUUCUGGUCAAGACAGGUAUAAGAACUCGUUUAGGAUUGAUGUACGAUUUGGGCUAAGGCCUUAAACUACUUGUUGUUGUAUUAGGAGAUUAAAACCUCGCAUGUGGGAUAAUUGGGAAAGUUAGAUGAUGUAAAGUGCACUUAGGCAUUCAUAUAUAUGUUUAAAUUUAUUAUUUGUCUUGCUUAACGUAAUUGUUUGACUUAUGGGCUUUAUUGGUGAUUUGCUUCAGAUUAUUUAAAGGCCGAAGGCCGUUUAUGUGAAUUGCAUUUUGAUACAUUGUGCAUGCUACUAGUUGUGGAUAUUAAAUGUGUUUUAUGCAGGUUGAAAUUUUUGGGAUUGUUCAAAUUACAGGGGAGACUGCCAAAAUUUUGAUAGAAAGUCUCGGUCAUUAGUAAGUGGGCCCGGCAUCGAGGUGAUGUCGGAAUUUACACAAGAUUCCUCUCGGGUUUUCAGGAAUUCGGGGCGGAUCCUGUUACUUGGGGUGCAAAUUAUCCAUUUGUUCACCCGUUUUCGUGUUUUACUUCUGAGGUGGAAGGGCGAAGUUUCCCACUGGCUUGGAGACCACUUGUUGGUCGACAAGUCAGCUUUCUUUGGUGUGUGUGAGCGUGCCACUGCUAGCAAUGUAAAUUCUAGCAGACUUAUUUUUUAGAGUGGAUAACUUGCGCCUCAAGUUACUGACUUCUAAAACAAAUGAUUGUGAAUUUGGGUGAGGAAUAUCUCCCAAGUAAGUUCUUUUCUUGCCUCAAACUGGUGAGGACUUUCACAAUUUAUCUCAGUAUCAAAUGGUUGUUCUGGCCAGAAUAGAUAAUAAUAAAGUAGACUGUUUCAGGCAGAACUGCCUUUUACAAAAUUAAGAAGGGAGAAAUCAACUCUAGAAAGGAAAAAAGAUGGCUGGAAUCCCAUUUCUGCCUGGGUAGAAACUUCUGAUCCGGGCUGGACUGGGUAUGUCUAUGCUGGACGGUGCUGUCAACAACUUUAGCUUGCUCGGCUUUAGUUGUAAAUCGAUACCAAAGUUCAAUUUUGGCAGAGCUUCAAUCUACUUCAAGCCUUGGGAGACUUUUGAGUGGGCAGAACUGCAGCUUCUUCAGUUUGAAGGGACAGAAGUGGCUAUUCUCGAGGAUUUAGCAAGCUGGAACUAUGCUAUAAAAUUUGUUGAGGUUUUCAUAUUUGUGAAAACUCAAACUAUGUUUGUCUUGGCUUUUGCUGAACCAAAUUUGUAACGAGAGGGAUCUUGUUUUCAGAAGACUUAUUUUCUAAGUCUGAACUUUGGAAUUCUGAUCUAAAGCUGUUUUCUUGUUUGUUUUUUUUUGAUUGACUGAUGAAUUGAGUGUCCUUUGUUUCUUUGCCUUCUUUCGCUUUUAUAAGAGAUCCUCCUAAGGAGGUCAUUUUUAAUCCUAAACAAUGGGCGGCAAAAAGAUCUCUUAUAAUGUAAAGUAAGAAGGGUUUCUUAUCAAUCAAGGCAGAUAGGUUCUGAGCAGUCACCUCCUAAAAACAGUCCAUUCCCUGGUUUCCUGGGUGGCAGCUUUCUAAUUCAACCAACGCCACCGUCUGUGUGGGCUUUUUAUGGCAGUUUUGGCUCUUUUCUUUUGUAUUUUCUGAGUGGUUCCCUGUUUCCCGUUCUAAUUUAGAAAGCGUGAUUCGUGAAUUCCUUGGGAGAUGGUGUAUUGAUUUGGAGCAAAAUCUUGAACACAGAUGGGUUUUUGAUCUUCAAUUGGCAGUGUUUCAGAGACGUCCCUCUCACAUUUUUAAACUUUAGUUGGAAUUGCUGACUUUUCCAAAGUUGAGGCAAUCACGUGGGUGUGUCUUUGAUCCCUUGGUUUUGAAUCUAUCGAAAAUUACGGGCUGAUCUUUGAAGCCCAUUUCGAAAGUUUCCACAUCUGGGCUUUCUUUGGGCUGAGGCUUUAUUUCCAACAUUCUUGGUGUGAAGCCCAAACUGUCUGGGUCUUAUUUUCGUUUUUCUCAAGUCUCUGGGCUGGGCAGGCAAUUUUAUCAUGGGCCUGUCUUCUGGUCUUGGGCGUGCCGAAUUUGGGCCCAAACAAUGCCCCCUAAGUCUGAAUCGUUUUGGAAUGGUUUCAGACUUAAUGUUUUGCCAUUUAAUUCACGUGCCAGUUUCUUCCGUGUUUUCGCCCACGUCUGCCACGUUUGCCUGCUACGAACUAGAGUUCGUGGGAAAACGGCUAGUUAUUAUCUAGUUACUAGCUAAUAAUCAUCAGGUGCCGUCCCAUCUUCUUCUUCCCACGUUUUCGAGCCCCUCUUUAAAAGAAAUUCAAAUUCAUAGCUUCUGAAAAAAGAAACCCUAAACCUUCCAGCUCUUGUUCCUGCGAGUUCUUUCUUCGAGAUUUCCAAAGCCUUCUUUAGACCUUCCUUUCUUCUGCUUCUUCCCUUGAAUCAGAAAUGUCUUCCCCAAGGUCCCGCGCUCAGUCUUCUUCCGCUUCAGUUCCUCCCGAUUAUAUCACUGGGAGCGGGAUUGAUGCUCACGCGAUAGAAAUCAGGAGCAAGCUUCAUCCCUUUGCCCAGAAGAAUCUGGACGAGAAUGUCCUCCAUUUGUUUGAGAACACCCUGGUGUUAGGGCCUCACUGGUUUGGUCCUGUUCCAGCUGAGAUGGCAGAAUUGCUAAAAAAGGAUGCCGAGGCUCCUUUGUGUUUUGAGAGCUCUUCUGCCCUGGCUUCUUAUUCUUGGGUUAGCAAGAAUUUGAGCCGGUCCUUCCCGUCCAGCGAGGUGAGGAAUAGUCUGGUCAAAUGGGCAGACUGGAUUGAUAGACUUCUCCCGAGAUAUGGGGGUCACUGGAGGAGAGCUGGGAUUUAUGACGCCAUUUUUCUGUCCAAACAAUCGAUUAACAGAGAUGAGAAUCUGCUUGCUGCUGCUUUAUGCUUCUGGAAUUCUGCCAGCAAUACAUUUGACUUCCGCGUGGGUCCUAUGGCGCCAACCUUGCUGGAUAUGGCUCAGAUUUUUGGGUUCAGGCCCCAUGGUAGGCCUGUUGAUGCCAUUGGAGAUUAUCACAGGCGAAGGAAUCAAGAGAAAGUGGCCACCCCUUUUACUAUCCCUCCAGCCGUGAUCAACCAGAACUGCUCUUUCUCCAACUAUCUGAAGAAGUUCAGUGCUGAUAAGGACAAGGAUCAGCAACAUAUGUUGUUCCUUCUGUAUUGGCUGAAUUGGUUCGUUCUCCCCAAUCGGUCUUCUGCAGUUCUGCUAGAGUACAGACACUUGGCAGAAGCACUCCACAAUCACACUGAUGUGGGGCUCGGGCCUACAGUUCUGGCUCACCUUUUCAAGAAUCUGCAUACUUCCACCCUGGAGAACCCAUUGAACCUGUCAGCCCCUGGCGCAUUCUGGAUGAUCCAGAUCUGGCUGCAGGUUUAUUUUCCAGAACUAAGGUUCCCAGACAUAGUUCUGCCUGAAGAUCAAGUCCUGGCUCUUCCUCUGAUGUCGGCAGAAGUGCCCAAGCAUUCUAUUGAGGAGUAUUUGAUGCUCUUCAGGCAUUGUACAAAGAGGUCGGCAGCUCAGUGGCAAGUGGUGAUCAGGAGGACCUAUCCUUGGUUCCAGACCGGAUUUCGGUUGUUUGAGAAGGAGCCAGAAGAUGAAGCUGCCAGAACAGAUUUCAGGAGGAAAUUUCUGAGCAUUACUCUGCCCAGAGAUCUACCCCAUGGUGGGGGCAAACCUCCAAACUAUCAUCUGGGGGCAGAAGUCUACCAUCCCAACUUCUGCGCGAGGCAGCUUGGUUGUCCCCAACUCAUUCCGCUGAAAUCAUAUCGGAGUUGUAACCGGGCCUCUUCUUGGAGGGAUGCAGAUGAUCUGGAGGUGCACAAGGAUGCCCGGUGUGCAGUGAACAAAAUCAACAACAGCACGGAUGCCCUCUAUCCCUCGUGGGAGCUGAAUUCCUGCAGUUCUGCCGACUUUGACGCAUGGUGGAAAGCCAGAUUCCAAAGUCUGCCUGCUUCUGUCACUGCCCUCAAGGUGCUGUUUGAUGGUUGGGAAAACUGGGUCGUUUUUGCGAAUGGGGAUGCCAAGACGCAUAUGAUCCAGACCAUCAAGGAUAUUAACGCGCAAAUUAUAGAAGGUAGAUUUCUGAUUCUGUAUGGGGUUCGUUCUGUCCUGAUGAUUGAUUUCUAAUGUCUAUUCUGCCUGUAUCAGAUCCUUCUUUGACCAGCGUAGGUGGGCAGUCUGUUCAUGCUGGGGAAGUGAUUGGUAAGUCUUUUCUUUUAAUUCUAUUCUGUCUUUUCCUGCUGGAUUGGUCUCUAAUGUCUAAUGCCUUGGUGCAGUCUCUUCCGUUAUUGCUGCCGGGGACUUGGAGCUCCCUUCUGCGGAUGAAGGAGAUGAGGUCCAGACAGAACAAACACCUACCGAGGCCGCUCUUUCUGGCAGAAGAAAAAGGAAAGGACCUGCCCCUCCUUCGGAUAAUCCCACGCGGCCUGGUAUUUCAGGUAAGCUCGUGAUGUUCCAACCAUUCUCUUUAAAUUUAUUAUGUCUUGCCUUCUUUUCCCUAAUACUGCUUUUUGUUCUGUGCAGCUGGAAGUCCUUCCCCUCCUCCUACCAAGUUGAAAAAACUUAAAAAGAGGAGUGAGGAGGAGUAUGUCGCCGCGGAAGAGACGGCAGCAAUUCCCACCACUACCUCCGGGACGGAUGAAGAGCUGCGAGAGGCUUUUGAGGAGGUGGAGCAGGAAAAAGAAUUGGAAGAGCUGGAAGAAACGCCUCAGGAAAAAACGGCAGUGGCGGAAGGAGAGGUAAGUUUUAUUUCUGUGAUUCGCAUCAGUUCCCUUCUCGCCCUGUUUCUUCCGUUCUGACCCUUAUUUUGUAGGAGAAGAUCCCUGCUGAGGUGAUUGCAGAGAGCAUUGCCUUGGCGCAGAAGCAACAAGGGGGUCCAAGGGCUGAGCGGACUAGCUCAGAACUAGCCCUAUUUGAGGAUGCUGAGGCAGAGCAUUCUACUGCCGUUCCAGCGGCUGAGGAUCAGGCGGAACGGUCUGCAUCAGAGCCUGUGGAUCAGGCAGAGCUGUCUGUUGUGGUUCCGGAGGCUGAAGUGGAAACAACCGCCGCUGCCCCUGUGGUUGUGGUAACUUUCUUUCUUUAUCUGUCCACACUCUCCUGCAUUUCUGCCUUGUUCUUUAUUUUUAACUGUUGUAGCCUUUUCAGGUAGAAGUGCCUAAAGCUGUUGGCGUCCUGGCAGCGGUUACCAGUCCCCAGAAGCCUCCCAUUGUUGCUGUAAGUUUUCAUAACUUUUGGGCCUUUAUUUUCCACUUUCUGCCUGGUCUUACCUUAUGCUUUCUUCUUGCAGAUGCCAAUUCAUUCCCUUCCAGGAUCAUCUGCCACGGCUUCUUUUGCUGAUCCAGAACUCGAAGAGUUUGAAGCCAUGGAUCUGGAUGCCCAAUUGGACAGAUUGGAGAAACUCAGCUCUCCUCCAGGCAAGGCAAAAUCUAGGGCAGUGGAGGAGGCCAUGGAGAGGUUGAAAAUCUGGCAGUCUAAUGAGCUGGAGUUUGAUCAAGACAAUGAAGCCUUAAAUCAGCUGAUGAAGGACCUGGACCUGCUUCACAGACAGAACAUGGCUCCAAAACCUAUCCUUGAGAUGGGCCUAAGCUUGGCCAGAGAUGUGCUCAAUCUGCAUGAUCGCUAUGAGGAUCUCAGGCCUACUUUCAAGACUUCUGAAUUCUGCAAGGCCACUCAUGAAGCCAACCUGGCUGAUUUUGCAAAGCAGAAAGCAGAACUGGAUCAGAUGGUGGCCGGAUAUAAGGAAGCCAGGGCCACUGCGGACAAGCUGGAGAAGCCGAUGGAAGAGCUCCAAAAACAACUGGCAGAAUGCAGGGAGGUGCAGAGCAGGCUUGGGGCUGGACUGAGUUCUAAAACUAAGGCCACUUUCCUUGUGCAAAGUAUGGUUGCAGCUUCCAGGACAGCCUUGGAGAUUGCAGAGGCUUCAAUUCACCAGGGGGUGCUGCUCCAGAAAGAGCUUUCUGUCAAGAAAGCGAACCUGCAGGAGACUCUUAGAAAACUAGGAUUUUAGCUUCUUCUUUCCUUUUAUUGUUCGAAUAAUUUGCCGCAAAGGUGGCUAUUUUUAUAUAAGCUUUCAAAGCAUUUUACUGCUUUUCAUUUAUUCUUGAUGCAAUAACUGGAUACGGCUUUGAAAGUAAAAAACAGAACAACUUUAAAGCAAAAAUAAAUCUAAACAAAAUUCUUUUCAAGAAACAAAAAGGUCAAACUUGUUCCUCUUCUAUCCCGGGAUCUGUUUAUACAGCCUGCGAAUCCCACGUGGUUGGAUAGAACUUCUUUAACCAUUUACCAUUGAUUGGGGCAAAAUGAACAACUCCAUCUCGGUCCUGCAACCUGUAUGCCCCCAUUCCGAGGAUUUGGUUAAUUAUAAAAGGGCCUUCCCAUGUAGGUGACCAUUUCCCAUAUCCAGCUAUGUGUGCUCCAAGGGGCAGAAUUGCCUUCCAGACUAUCUCUCCCUCUUCAAAACUCUUGUUUUUGACUCUUUUGUUGUAGGCCCUUGAUACAGCCUGUUUUCCUGCUAAGAGUUUGUUGAGGGUGUCAAUUCUGCUUGCAUCCAAUUCUUCCAAUUCCAGCAACAUGGCUUGAGAGUAAUCCUCCCCAGUGAGACCAUGCUGGUGAGCAAUUCUAAGAGACUGGACCGCUAUCUCCAUGGGAAGAAUUGCAUCGUGGCCGUAGGUUAGAGCAUAGGGGGUCAUGCCAGUUGCUUCUCUCUUUGAAGUUCUGUAUGCCCACAAAGUUUCUGAUAACUUCUCAUGCCAUUACUUUGGAUUCUUCUCUAGCAUCUUUUUGAUGAUAUUGAUAAUCACCUUGUUACUUGAUUCCACCUGUCCAUUAGCUUGAGCAUAGUAAGGAGUAGAUUGAAGCAGUUUGAACUUGAACGUUUCUGCCAUAUCUAGCAUGUCCCUAGAUAUGAAAGAAGAACCCCUAUCGGUUGUGAUUGAUUCUGGAAUGCCAAACCUUUGUAUGAUCUGUUCUUCUAUAAAGGUGAUGAUCUCUUGAGAUGUUGUGGUUUUUACUGGCUUGGCCUCUACCCACUUGGUGAAGUAAUCUGUGGCAACGAUAAUGAAACAGUGCUGCUGGUUGCUGGCUGGAUAGAUUUUGCCAAUGAGAUCCAUUGCCCAUCCCCUGAAAGGCCAUGGUUUUACUACUGGAUUCAUGGGAACCGAAGGAGCCUGCUGGAUUGGGCCGUGCCUUUGACAGGCUUCACAUCCUUUGGAGUAGUUGAUGCAAUCCUUCAUCAUGGUUGGCCAGAAGUAGCCAUACCUUCUGAUUAACCAGCACAUCUUUCUUCCCCCUUGGUGAGCUCCACAGAUCCCCUCAUGGGUUUCUCCCAUGGCUUUCAUAUAUUCUGUCUUCCCGAGGCACCUUAAUAGUACCUCAUCCUUACUUUUUCGGACCAAAUCUUCAUUCCACAUGAGGUAGUUUGUAGCCAUGAUUCUGACUCUUUUCUUAGAGGGCAGAGUGGGAUAUCGUAAGUAAGUCAUGAUAGGCUCCCUCCAAUCAUCUUCAGUGAUCAAGGCAGAAUUGACUUCUAUCUCCAUUCCUCUCGUCAAAACAGAUGGUAGACUUUUCCUUCCUAUCUUGAUGAUCCUUUGGACGCAGUCUUCGGGCAUUUGUAUGCCUGAUGCCACCUGAGCCAGUUCAUUGGCUGCAAAGUUUUCCUCCCUUGGGAUGUUCUCCCAAGUAGCUUCUCUAAAUUCUGUUAGCAGAUUUCUAGCUGCUACUAGAUAUACAGCCAGAGAAGGAUUCAGACACUUAUAUUCUCCAGCAAUCUGUUUUAGGACAAGCAUGGAAUCUCCCAAGAUCUCCACGGACUGGACUCAUAAUUCUACCAACAUCUCGAGCCCUAUAAUCAAAGCCUCAUACUCGGCCAUGUUGUUGGUGCAUUGGAAAUCUAGCUGGAAGGAAUAGCAAUGUCUGACCCCUAAUGGUUCUUCCAGAACAAUCCCUGCUCCUGAAGCCUUGUCUGUCUUUGAUCCAUCAAAAUAUAACUUCCAAGGUGUGAGAUGAAUCGAGUAGAUUGGAUUGUUAAGGCAAACAUGAGCUCUAGUUAGCAGAUCUGCAUUUGCUAUGUCCAAAGAAUCCAUGUUUUCAAUUUCCUCUCCCGAGUGAUCUACCAAGAAGUCUGCCACAGCUUGCCCUUUGACAGCUUUCUGGGGGACAUACCUGAAGGUGAAUUCUGUCAAAGCCAAAGUCCAUUUCCCAAUUCUGCCCCUCAGCAUUGGUCUUGUUAGCAUGUAUUUGAUUAAGUCUGUUUUGGCAAUGAUGUAGAUAGUAUGUGGCAGCAUGUAGUGCCUGAGCUUUACAGCAGUGAAAUAUAAGGCCAGGCAAAGCCUUUCUAUUGCGGAAUACCUUCUUUCCACUUCUGUCAAUGUUCUGCUUAGAUAGUAGGCUGCCUGUUCUUUUCCUUCUUUGUUAUCUUGAACUAUUAGACUUCCAAUGGAUACUUCUGAUGCAGAUACAUAAAGCUUGAGGGGUCUGCCCCUUUUUGGUGGGGACAGAACUGGUGGAUUUGAGAGGUAAUGCUUUAUUUCCUGGAAAGCCUGUUGGUGCUGUUCUUCCCAUUUGAAUGUCUGUUCCUGCUUCAGUCUUAACAGGGAAGAAAAAGGUUGGAUUUUUCCUGCAGAAUUGGAUAUGAAUCUCCUUAGAAAAUUGAUUUUUCCUAAGAGACUUUGAAGUUCCUUCUUGUUCUGAGGUGGUAGAGCUUCUAUGAUGGAUGUUGCUUUAUUUCUGUCAACCUCUAUACCUCUCUGGUGGACCAAGAAUCCUAAGAAAUUCCCUGCUUGGACUCCAAAAACACAUUUUUUGGGGUUCAUUUUCAGUUUGUGCUGCCUCAUUCUUAGGAAUGCCCUUCUCAGGCUUGCUACGUGAUUUCCUUCCUCAGGGGAUUUAAUCACCACGUCAUCUAUGUAUACUUCCAAGGAAUGUCCUAUCAUAUCAUGAAAAAUAGAAUUCAUUGCCUUUGGUAGGUGGCUCCCGCAUUUCUCAAACCGAAAGGCAUUACAGUAUACUCGAAAGCACCUAUAUGUCCUGGACACAUAAAGGCUGUCUUGUGGAUGUCCUGUUCUGCCAUCAUGAUCUGGUUAUAACCUGCAUUGCCGUCCAUGAAAGAUAGCAUCUGGUUAUGAGUGGCUCCAUCCACUAGCAUGUCUGCCAUUGGCAUAGGAUAUUCGUCUUUAGGAGAUGCCUCAUUCAGAUUUCUGUACAAUAUUUGCUAACCAAUCGGAAUAGACGGCUGGCCUGAUGAAUCCUGCCUUGAGCAGCCUUUCUAUCUCUUCUUUGACCUUUAGUUCUGUGUCCAUAGACAUUCUUCUUCUGGCCUGUUUGACUGGAAGGUAGCCAUCUUUAAUUGGCAGCUUGUGCUCCACUCACUGCCUGUCCAAUCCUGGCAUUUCGUGGUAAUGCCAGGCAAAACAAUCUCUGAACUCCUGUAAAAGUGCCAUGAGUUCAGUCUUGAGUGGUUCCUUCAAAAGUGUGCUGAUGAAAGUAGGCCUUGGAUCUUCUUCUGUUCCUAAGUUUAUCUCCUGUAGAGGAUCCUCUACUUCUGGCAGGGAGUCAUCCAGUGCUGCUGGUGCAAAAUCUAAUACUUCCUCCUGUAAAAUUUCCUCCUCUUGCUCUUUUGUGCUUUCAUGGGUGAAUUCUGCCAUAUUGAUGGCUGGAUUCUGUAUGAAAAGCCUCCUUUCUCCCCAGUAUAUCAACAAUCUUUUUGUGAUGGAUCGGAUUGUUGCAGCUCGAUCCUUGUCUAGUUGAUUCGGACUAAACAUCAGAGUUCUGGAAGUUCAGCACAAAAAGGUCUAUUCCAGUCCUCUAGAGAACUGGCUAAACCUUCUUCAAUGAGUCUUUGGGCCGUGACACCAUGUGGACGGCCGUUCUGAUUGACUCCAAGGAAAGUGAAAGGACCGAGGUCAUCAUGAUAAUACCUUGUUUCAAAGCACAUGGCAGAGGGCAGGAAUGGCCGUGGAUCAGCCUCUAUAAUCUCCAUGCAGCCUUCUUCAUUCCAUAGUGCUAACUGCGGGUGGAGGGUGGAAGGAAUACAAAGGCUCUGGUGAAUCCAAUCCCUGCCAAGUAGUGCAUUGUAGGUGGUGGAAGUAGUGUCUAUAACAAAGAAUGCUAUUUUCAACUCUUUGCUUCCGAUUAUGACAUCCACAUCUAAGAUGCCAUGUAUUUUGGUGAUGCAACCAGAAGUUGGUGACGGUCAAUCGUGUUGGAAUCAGAUCUUUCUCUGUCCUGCCCAGCUUGGUCAGCAUUCUGUGGGGUAAUAGAUUAAUGGCUGCACCUCCAUUUACCAUGAUCUUGGAAAUAGGAAUACCCCCAAGAUUUGCCGUUAUAAACAAAGGUCUGAGGUGAAACAAGGUUGCUCUGUAGCUGGUUUAUUGGCUGUUCUGCCUGUCUUGGGGUUUUCUGCUUGUGGUUCUGGUGGCUCCUCUGCUUCUGCCAAUCUACAUUCAAAGCUUUCCUGAGAGAAAACAUCCCCUUCCAGAGUGCUUUCUUGUCCUUCGGCUGCCCUGAAUUUACUUGGUAGGAUGAAUACCAUGUUAAUUCCCAGAUCACCCUGUAGGAGGUCUUCUAAUUCUGCGCCAAAAGCUUCUGUUUCUGGGUCCAAUUCUACACCAAAUUCCAUUAAUUCUUCCCCGUAUUCUUCCGUCCAGUCAUCCUGUUCUGCUACUUCGAGGGGCUCUUUCUGAUCAUCUGCGGAAGGUUCAUAGUCCAAUUGCUCUUCUUCAUAUUCCUCAGUGUAGUCGUCUUCUCCUUGUAACGGGGUAGACCCAGAUUUCUCUGGUGUCUGCGUGGUGUCAGGACGGCUGCUGGACGACGAGGCCACAUGGAUAGGAGACCUGGCUGGGGGUUCUGUUUUCAGCAAUUCCCUUGACUGGCAAGCUUUCUGUUCUGUCUGGGGAAGUGUUUCAGGAUUUUUUCCUUUCCUAGCAGAACUGGGUUGUGAACGUACCUGCGUAUUAUCUUGGCUCUUAAGAUAUGUGCAGUAUUGCCUCUGGAUUCUCCUUUUCUGGGUUCUGGUUAGCUCCAGAGUCGGUCUACCGCUUCUUCCUACGGAAUACCAUCUCCCUUCUAUGAUCGUUGCCAAGGAUCUUUCGUUUCUGGGCAUCUUGACUGGUAUUUCCUUUCUGGGUUGCUCCAUCCUCCUCUCGCUGUAUUGUGUAGGCCUAAGACAGCUCUUCUGCCUUGUUUUGUCUCGGGAUGAGGUUCCAAUUCUGUCAAAGACACUAGGUGUGGGCUGAUUUUGUCUGUCUAGAACCACCUCUAGCUCUGUUUCACAUUUGCACCUACUGCAGAGCACUACCCCAGCCGAGAUGGUCGCUCUUGGUAUUUGACUGGUCUCCCUUAUGAUUCUUCUGCCUCUGCUGCAACCAGCAUCUGUGAUUGGCUCGGUUUUCCUCUGUUCUGGCCAAUUUAAGUUGACCAUAUUGACUUGUGGUUGAGGAAAAGGAUCCGUUGUGACGGAUGGUGGUUUUUCUGCCAGUUUCAACCUUCCUGCCGUUAUCCCUUCUUGUAUUACGUCCCUGAAAACAACACAACUAUUGGUAGAAUGGUUCCAAGAGUUGUGCCACCUGCAGUACUGUCUGCCCUUGAGUUCUUCCGGCUUCGGUAUUCUGUGAGGCGUCUCUAUUGCCUUCUACAGUAGCAUUUCGUGGAACAAGGCAUCAACCUUGGUUAAGUCAAAAGAGUAAACCUUGUUUUACGUUGGUUUGUUUGGAACGAAUCCUCCUGUGAAUGGUGGUGGCUUUUGGUCUUUAGGUGGCUUUGUGAGGGCUUUGCAACUAAUGGGAUGUUUUAGUUUUGCCAUUUCUGCCACUGAAACCUCUUUCUCUUCUGAUUCUUCUGCAUCUUCUUGUGAUUCCACCUCGAUCAGGUGGACUGAAGAAGAAGGGGUUUUAUAGUAUGUACCUUUGGAGGAGUUCCUCCUUUGCUGUUCCUCCCUGAGUAACUCCUCAUAUUUGGAUGCCUUAUCAGCCAGUUCUGCCAGAUCUCCGAACAAUAUCCCGUCGAACCUUUUCCUGAGAGAGAUUUUAAGGGCAACUUGGGCCAUCUGGAUGAAGUGUCUUUCUUCCAUCGGGAUUCGGCACUUCAUUUUGAGCUUUCUGAACCUGGUUAUGAAAUCUUGGGCCGGUUCAUCUUCACUUUGCUUGAGGGCAGCUAGAUCACUGAUGGUGACUUCUGGCUGAAUCCUGUAAUAGUAGUCAUGGAAGACAUUUUCCAUCUGUUCCCAGGUUUGAACAGAGUUAGCUGGCAGGCUGGUGUACCAGGUAAAAGCUUGCCCAAAAAGAGAGUUGCCGAAAAGCCUUAAUUUCAGCAGAGGGUUGCUUUCUAUAGCUAUGCAUUGGACGGAGAACCUGCCUAUAUGUUCAACUGAGGAAGAAUGGGGGUCUUCCCCAUUGAACAAAGUGAAGUUUGGCACUUUGAAACCUGGAGACAACAGUAUUUGAUCGAUAUAGGCUGGGUAUGGCUUUCUGUAAGUAGGCCUUUCCCCUAUUCUAGCCUCGGGUUCCAUGAUUUCUCUGAUCAUUCUUUGCAACGCUCCUAUGUCAUUCAAAGCAUUGACUGGGGGAAGAUUUUGUCCCUGUUCUGGCUGAACGUAAUCAAACCUGGGCUCUGCUCUGUGUGGUCUGGGUGGAACUUCCUCCCUGUGUUCUUCCUGCUCUUCGACUUCUGGAUGAUUCCUCCAGUUUGCCCCCGGUCUAUUCCUGUCAUGAUUAGCAAAAAGGUUGUUCCCUCCUCGGCCUCUCCUCCUUCUUGCAAGUGGAGGGAAUGGAUUAGGGUCCAUCCUUCUGGGUCUAUAUGGCAAUACUGCCGGUGGUUCAGGCAGAAGCGCCAAAGGUUGAUCAUGUGGGAGCACAUGAAGUGGAAUGGGCUGAGGUUCUGGCUGGUUCUGAGCCAGUGCCAGGUUAUCUGGUUGAGCUGGGGCUUCAUGUUUUUGAUUAGGAAGGGCUCCUUCCCUCGGACCAGCCUGAAUUUCUCCGUGGUCUGGCACUCCAGCCAUCUGUGCAACUAGGAAAUUUUCCUGGUAUGGCCAUAUUAGUCCUGGCGGAGGGCCAUAAGGGAGAUCCAACUGCUGGAUUACAGGAUCUGGGUUUGGGUUUCUGGCCAUGGCGGAUUCUCGGUCCUUCCGGAACUGUCUGUUUACCUGCCAUUACAUCAUGGCUGUCAUGUUAUUGAGAGUGUCCUGGCUCCUUCGUACUGUGAUCUCUUGUCGGAGUACUGACUCCUGUAUUUGAUUCAUCCUUUUGGAGCCAGUCCUGGAACGUCUACUUCCUGUACUGCCGUGGGCAGAUUGCCUAGCAUCGCUUUUUUCUGAUUCGAGGCCUUCCCUGAGAACCAUCUUGUUUUUCUCCAUAUCUGGUGUGGGUUCUGACUAGAUCUUCCGGUAUUUGUGAAUCUGUGAAUGAUUCUGUCAGAGUAUAUAUACUGAGAAGUCCCACUGGGUGUGCCAAAUUAUUCACCCGUUUUCGUGUUUUACUCCUGAGGUGGAAGGGCGAAGUUCCCCACUAGCUUGGAGACCACUUGUUGGUCGACAAGUCAGCUUUCUUUGGUGUGUGUGAGCGUGCCACUGCUAGCAAUGUAAAUUCUAGCAGACUUAUUUUUUAGAGUGGAUAACUUGCGCCUCAAGUUACUGACUUCUAAAACAAAUGAUUGUGAAUUUGGGUGAGGAAUAUCUCCCAAGUAAGUUCUUUUCUUGCCUCAGACUGGUGAGGACUUUCACAAUUUAUCUCAGUAUCAAAUGGUUGUUCUGGCCAGAAUAGAUAAUAAUAAAGUAGACUGUUUCAGGCAGAACUGCCUUUUACAAAAUUAAGAAGGGAGAAAUCAACUCUAGAAAGGCAAAAAGAUGGCUGGAAUCCCAUUUCUGCCUGGGUAGAAACUUCUGAUCCGGGCUGGACUGGGUAUGUCUAUGCUGGACGGUGCUGUCAACAACUUUAGCUUGCUCGGCUUUAGUUGUAAAUCGAUACCAAAGUUCAAUUUUGGCAGAGCUUCAAUCUACUUCAAGCCUUGGGAGACUUUUGAGUGGGCAGAACUGCAGCUUCUUCAGUUUGAAGGGACAGAAGUGGCUAUUCUCGAGGAUUUAGCAAGCUGGAACUAUGCUAUAAAAUUUGUUGAGGUUUUCAUAUUUGUGAAAACUCAAACUAUGUUUGUCUUGGCUUUUGCUGAACCAAAUUUGUAACGAGAGGGAUCUUGUUUUCAGAAGACUUAUUUUCUAAGUCUGAACUUUGGAAUUCUGAUCUAAAGCUGUUUUCUUGUUUGUUUUUUUUUUAUUGACUGAUGAAUUGAGUGUCCUUUGUUUCUUUGCCUUCUUUCGCUUUUAUAAGAGAUCCUCCUAAGGAGGUCAUUUUUAAUCCUAAACAAUGGGCGGCAAAAAGAUCUCUUAUAAUGUAAAGUAAGAAGGGUUUCUUAUCAAUCAAGGCAGAUAGGUUCUGAGCAGUCACCUCCUAAAAACAGUCCCUUCCCUGGUUUCCUGGGUGGCAGCUUUCUAAUUCAACCAACGCCACCGUCUGUGUGGGCUUUUUAUGGCGGUUUUGGCUCUUUUCUUUUGUAUUUUCUGAGUGGUUCCCUGUUUCCCGUUCUAAUUUAGAAAGCGUGAUCCGUGAAUUCCUUGGGAGAUGGUGUAUUGAUUUGGAGCAAAAUCUUGAACACAGAUGGGUUUUUGAUCUUCAAUUGGCAGUGUUUCAGAGACGUCCCUCUCACAUUUUUAAACUUUAGUUGGAAUUGCUGACUUUUCCAAAGUUGAGGCAAUCACGUGGGUGUGUCUUUGAUCCCUUGGUUUUGAAUCUUUCAAAAAUUACGGGCUGAUCUUUGAAGCCCAUUUCGAAAGUUUCCACAUCUGGGCUUUCUUUGGGCUGAGGCUUUAUUUCCAACAUUCUUGGUGUGAACUGGACUAAACAGUUAGUCGGACCAGACCGUCUACACAUAUGAACUGGACUCACAAGCCUAUGUUUUUUGAGCUCCCAUAUUGGUCGAAACUCAAAUUGAGGCACAAUCUAGAUGUGAUGCAUGUUGAGAAAAAUGUAUUUAACACAUUGGUGGGCACGAUUCUAGAUAUCGAGGGCAAGACAAAGGACACAAUCAAAGCCCGUCUUGAUUUGGAAAGAAUGGGCAUACAAAGGGGUUUAUGGAUGAACAGGGACAGUGAUAAAGCUAGAAGGGAUCUUGCAUUCUUUUCUAUGAAACCGAAUGAUAAAAAAGAGUUUCUAAAGUUUGUAUCGUCUGUAAAGUUUCCUGAUGGGUAUGCUUCUAAUAUCGCACAUUGCGUGAAUGUUGACGAGGGUAAAUUUACUGGACUGAAGAGCCAUGACUGCCAUGUGUUUAUGCAACGCCUACUUCCUGUGGGUAUUCGACAUCUAUUGCCGGAAGAUGUUGUGAAGCCAAUCAUGUUGUUGUCCAGAUUUUUUUCCCAACUGACGGCAAAAACAUUGCGAAAGACAGACAUAUUUCAGUUGCGCCAUGACAUUGUCCAAGUCCUAUGCAAGUUUGAGAUGAUAUUUCCUCCAGCUUUCUUCACAAGUAUGAUGCACGUGAUGGUUCACUUGCCAGAAGAGGCAUUGCUUGCUAGUCCUGUCAACUAUCGCUGGAUGUAUCCAAUAGAAAGGUAUAUAAUCUUUAUCGUUUGUGUAUGCAUCAUUAUCACAGACUUGCUAAUUUGUAUCAUAUCGUUUUAUUUUGACAGGCUUCUCGGAGAGCUGAAAAAAAGUGUACGCAACAGGGCGAAGCCCGAAGGAUCAAUUAUAGAGGCUUGGGUUCAAUAUGAGUCGCUUACUUUCUGUGGAAUGUAUUUAAAAGAUGUGGAGACGGCUUUCAAUCGUCCUCAACGCAAUAACGACGAAGGUAUGAGAAAGGAAAAACUUUCUGUUUUUGCCCAAAGUGCACGACCCUUUGGAGAUCCUGGACGAGGAGAGUCGUUUUCUAGAAAUGACAUGGAGGUAGCGCAUUGGUUCGUACUGAACAAUUGUGAUGAGAUAAUGGCAUACUUAGAUAAGCAUGAAGAGAUGAUGAAGCGAGAACAUCCAUCACAUUUAGUUGCCCAGAAACACCGUGAAUUGUUUCCACAAUGGUUUUUGGAUUCUGUAAGUUAUAAGUGUUUUGUAUUUGACAAAUAUAAAUUGUAGUAUUUAAUUUUGUCAGACUAACAUGUGAAUGGUUUUGUAUUAUAUUAGGUGAAUAAGUUGAAAUCAUCGAAUUCCCCCACUUACAGUGAUGAGUUAUAUAACUUGGCGUUCGGCCCAAUUCGCGCUGAAUUGUUUCGGGUUGUUAUAUUAAUGGCGUCAAAUUUUUGGGAGCCGCACGAGAUGACAAGUUGUGUAUGCAAAACAGCGGUGUCCAUGUCCCAGGUGGAGGCGAAAGUACGAACAUUGAUUUCUAUGGCAAACUCACAACUGUCAUUCAAUUGCUUUACAAAGAUCGAUACUAAGUGAUCAUGUUUAAGUGUCGAUGGUUUGAUAGCAACCCAAAUAGGCCGGGAAGUGUUAAAAUCAACCAUGGCUUACUAUCUGUGAACAUUAACAGAACUUGGUAUGAUGACGACCCUUACAUUUUGGCAAACAUGGCAACACAAAUUGUGUAUCUAGAUGACCCUAAAGCCGGGAGCAGUUGGAAAGUUGUUCAGAAGAUGGAUCAUAGGAACUUGUAUGCUAUACCAGAACUAGACCCAACUGACAAUGACGUCAACAAUGUGGCUGACCAACGUUUAGAAUCUUCAAUGGAAAAUGAUGCGGAAACACUUCGAGAUACACAUGUUAUACAAGAACCGUUUCAAAUACAAGGAGUGUCUUCAAUCGAAAUACCGAUUCAGUCAAUUACAAUUGACCUCGGGGAUCUUCCAAGAUUCGAUGUUGCAGUGAGCCCGAGCAACGAAGAUGAUGUAGUUAUAGAGGAGGAGGAGGAGGAUUGGGAGACUGAAAGUGAUGAUAGCGAAGAUAACGAAAGUUAUUAUAGUUCAGAUGAUGAAUAAUUAAAUUUUUUAUAUUUUUAUUAUGCUAGUGUACAGACUUUGUGUAAAACAAAAGUUUGAAUAUAUGUAGUUGUGAUAUCCAAACCUUAUAUAUGUGGACAACUGAAACAUUAUUAAAAUAAAUUUAGUUAUAAAACAUCGGUAAAUCAAUAUAUCCAAACCCUUUUAAUAUUCAUUUAAAAUUUUUUUUUUUGACAAAAACGUUUACAAAAUGAAAAUGAUAAAAUAUUUGUUAUAAAACAUUGAUAAAUAAAUAUAUCCAAACCAUUUUCAUACAAAGUUUGAAAAUUAUUGACAACAAACAUUUUUCAAAAAUGAAAAUCCUUGCGCGACGAAGUACACCUCGUCACGCAAAGUUUGCGCGACCCAGUAAACAGUCGUUGUGUAAAGUUAAAACAUUGCGAGACAAAUUAUCAUCCGUCACGCGAUAGAAUUUUGCGCGACGAAUAUUUACUCUCGUCGCGCAAAUGUAUAUUCUUUUAUAAUAUAUUUUAUAUACACAUAUAUAUUCGAAAUUGACGAUCGAGUUAGUUCAUUGUAUUCAUAUAGGGUCAUGGAGUGUAGCUGUAAAAAAUCAUCAAAAUCGGAGUUAAAAUAACUGUUAAAUCAUGACUUUUCAUUUAUAACCGUUCAAAAAUUUUGUCCCGAUACUUGAUCUCUGAAUGUUUUUUUUUUCCGAUUUUUGGGGCCUAAGAUCUCGAAGUAUAAACAAACACGUUUGACGGCUGGAUUAUUGAAACUACUUUCGUAGAAUGCGUAUGCCAUCAAAACUAUAUAUUCACCAACAAUGAAUAGUUUACUUAUACUUUCAUUAAAUAUAACAUAAGAUUAUGUGGUAUCACCCUAGUGUAAACAUCUUAAAUUGAAGAUCAAAUUCAGUAAUUGUAUUCAUAUAGGGUCAAGAAAAGUAGCUAUAAAAAAUCAUCAAAAUCGGAGUUAAAAUAACCGUUAAAUCAUGACUUUUCAUUUAGAUUCGUCGAAAAGUUUUGUACUGUUACUUGAUCUCUUAACGUUUUUUUUGUCAGAUUUUCGGCGUAUACGAUCUCGAAAUAUAAAAAAACAAGUUUGCCGGUUAGAUCAUUAAAACUAGUUUCGGGUUUAGGAUUUCUGCAGUUUAGGGUUUAGGGUUUGCGCGACGAAGCCAUUUCGUUGGUCGCACAAAGCCUGCAAAGAACAGUCUUGCGCUACGAAACUAGGAUUCUUUGUCACGCAAUCUCAACCAGCCCUUUCACCCUCUUCCUCCUUGGACACUUAGCCAAAAAAAGUUGCGAGUUUACAGAAAGCGGCUUUGCGCGACGCUGCCGGUAUUCGUCGCGCAAUAUGUAUGCCAAUAAAACCUAAAUCCCAAAUUUUGGCGAAUUACAACUUUGCGCGACGAAUAUGGGAAGCUUCGCGCAAAGUUUUCAAUCUUUCCCGCUAAACCCUAAGUCCCAAAAUUUUGGCGGAUUGACAACAUUGCGCCACGAAAGAAGGUACUGUGCGUCGCACAAAGUUUUCAAUCUCUCCCGCUAAACCCUAAGUCCCAAAAUUUUGGCGGAUUGACAAUAUUGCGCGACGAAAGAAGGUACUGUGCAUCGCGCAAAGUUUUCAAUCUCUCCCACUAAACCCUAAGUCCCAAAAUUUUGGCGGAUUGACAACAUUGCUCGACGAAAUAUGGUACUGUGCGUCGCGCAAAGUUUUCAAUCUCUACCCAAUAUUUUGCCGGAUUGACAACAUUGUGCGACGAAAGACGAUACUGUGUGUCGCGCAAAAACUACCCUGAUACCAAAUUUUGGGAUUAACAAUAUUGCACGACAGAAGUUAUACUUAUGUCGUCGCGCAAGUGUCAAUUAAAAUAUUUUGCGUGACGCUUUUGUUUGUUCGUUGCGCAAAAUCGAAUAAAAUUGCAGAAACGACGCGAUAGCCUCCUUCUUCCCCAGAUUUGUUUUUCUACCCUAACUCUCUCUCUCUCUCUCCGCCUUCAGCUCAGCCCCCUACCCCAGUGGAUUUUGGACGACGGCGCCACAACAGUGGUACCCCGGAGGUUUCCCGCCGUCACCGUCGAGCCAGCCGCCCUAAUUCCUCGAUUUUCACCGAAUCUGCGCCGCCGUCGUUCUCUCUCCUUCGGCGACCAAAUCCGACACCUGAGGUAUGGUUUCUGUCCUAUUUUUGAUGCUUUAACUGAUGGUUGGGUAGGAUUUGUGUAAUUGUUGCAAUAGGGCAGUGGAUUUGAAACCCUAAAUUUCGACCGAUUUUUGAAUUCCAAUUCCGGCCACUUCUGGCCAUUUUUCAGGGUAGGUCCGAGAACAAAAGUGGCUCCAAUUGAUGUUUUGAACCUAGGGUAGGAACCUUGGCCCUUAGUUUUAAGAAAUUUUCGACGAUUGGUAUCGCUUUGGACACCCACGCUCUGCCAGCGCUUGUGGUGGCGCGUGGGGUACUGUAGCAGUCUUGCAUUGGGUCCCAGUGCAAUCCCAUAUUUGUCACGAGCGCGUAGGUGUUUUCGGAUUGGAAUUUGGUUACCGUUUGAGUCUCGAACGGAUUUUGCCUAUUGUGCGAUUUCCGGGUUUGUUAUGUUCGGACCGUUGGAUCGAACUCAAACUCACGUAUGGUGUACCUUGUAUUUCUUGGAUCGUCUAGGAUUCGACGGAUCGUGGAUCGGAGUCCCGAAUACUCCGAACUCGCAAACCCUAGGUCAAGAAUCUUAAUAAAAUUGUAUGUGCUUUCAAAUAUUCGUAUGUUUUAUUAAUUUGUAUGUGUAUUAAUGAAAUUGUGUAGAUGUCAGACCUGAUUAGACGUCGUAGGGCGGUGACGACUACGCAGAGUUCUGAGCCCCCGGCUCAACUGACAUCUGCUGCCACUGCGCCAGCACUGAUGGACCACUUGGCAGUUGGUCCCGCGGGGUCCCAGGCUCCUGCUUCAUCAGCUUCAUUAGUGGCACAACCUGUUAGCGCCAGGAAGCGUCAUCGGCCUGCCAGCACCACCGACACCACAUCCACUGAUGCGUCGGGGUCACAGCCAGGUAUAGAUUUCCUUAAACUCCAGUUAUUUAUAUUUUUGUUUUUGUUUUUAUUUUUGUUUUUGUUUUUGUUUUUGUUUUUAUUUGUGUGUGUAUUUUAUAGUUAAAUUUGUUAUUUAUUUAACAUUAAUGUCAUCUUUCUUUGCAGCCAAGAAGAACACCCGAGGGCCGUGUCGGUAGUUGAAGACGGCGAAGGUCACUCGGGUGACCAACAGUCGUAUCAACAUCGGAUACGACAAGCGACAUCGGGCUGCACCGACGGCGGAGUUGCAUAGCUCCUUGGCCCACGACAUUGGUGAUGUCAUUCCGAGCCAUUGCCCGAUGAAAUGGAAGUCUUGGAAGGUGAUGCCUGACGAGACCAAGAUGGAGGUUCGCGGCCAGUUGUCAGUAUGUAGGCCUUUUAAUUCUUUUUCUUUCAAAUUUUAUAUUUCUAUUAUUUAAAUGUAUUUAAUUAAUUUAUUGCAGACGAACUACAACUUGGAGGACCUGGACGACGAGUCGUUGGCGUACAUCAACAGACUCUUCUCUGAGAGGUACAAAUAGUGGAAGAGCGACUUGCACCACUAUUUUGAGGCGUUUGAUGAUCCAGAAGUCUCUCUUCAGGAGGGUUGCCCGAAGGAGCUUGAGGGGCGGGAGGAUAGUUGGGCGUGGCUCUGCUCUCAUUUUCAGGCGCCCGCUUUUGUGGUAAUUUGUAAUAUGAAUUUCAAAUUUAUUAUAUUUUUCUUACUAAUGUUUUUUUAAUGUUUUAUAUUUAAUUUCAAUUUCAACUAAUACGUUUUAUUUUUUGUAUAACAGAAUAAAGCCAAAGUCAAUAAGGGCAAUAGGAAGAAGAAGACUCUUCUCCAUCAUUCGGGUUCCAGGCCCUUCUCCUAUAGGAUGGAUGCAUGGCGGCAGGUAAUCAUAAAAAAAAUUUUAUUUAAUUUUUAAUAUUUAAUUAUUCUUAAUUUAUUUUUUUGUACUAAUAUUUUUCUUCUCUUGUUCAAUUUAGGGGGGUCCAAAUUCCCAGAGAUCGACGUCUUUGGCGACGUUUAUGUUCGACCUGGGAAUGAGUUGGGCGAGUCCCUUCAUGUAAGUAUUAUUUAAUUUUAAUUAUUAUGUUACGCAUUCAAGUUUAAAGGUUAUUAUAUGAAUGUUUUAAUUUAUAUUUUAUGUUAUGCUAAACAGAUGACGAUGGUGGAGAGGAGCCAGUUGGUUCUUCAAGAGUCCGCCUCCCAACUUCCUUCCGAUACUCCGAUCGAGUCUGUGGAUCCUCCACAGGAUGCUGGGUUUCAGAUCUUGACGGAGACAUUGGAUCAGACUCUAGGGAGGAGACCGGGGAUAUAUUGUCGAGGGAUGGAGAAUGCCAGGCGGAGGGAAGCCAGACCCCGUUCAUUAGCGCAGUCAAGCAGUCAGGUCACUGCUUUGACAGCACAGGUGGCCACUCUUCAGAGUCAGAUGUCGGACAUUCUGCAGUCCCUCGCACAGUUCGGCAUUCCAGUCCCGCAUUUUGAUGCGCCGACCUCUGAGCCCGUCCAUCCUGAGCAUCCCCACCAGACGACGGCCCUUGUAGACCCCCAGACCUCUGAACCGCAUGUGCCAGACGACAAUGUAGAUUUUGGAACAUUAUGAUUAGUUUUUUUAUUUUCAUAAUUAUUUUUUAAAUAUUUCUCUUGCAGCAUACAUUUAUUUUAUAUAAUAAAUAUGUUCUUUACAAUUCUUUUUUUUAUUGGAAUUUCAUUUUAUUACCCAAAAAAAAAAAACCAAAUUUAUUUUUUUAUAAAAUAAAAUAAAAAGUAAUAUUAAAAUUAAAUAAUAAUUAUAUAUAUUAAUUUUGCGCGACGAAAUCUUUCUCGUCGCGCAAAUUUAUAUAUUACGAAAUAAAAAUGUUUCAUUUUUUUAAAUACAUAUAAUUUAUUCUUGCGCGACGAAUAUUUUCGUCUCUCAAAAAGGAUUUGCGCGACAACAGUUUUUCGUCGCGCAAAAUGUGUUGACACGAAUUGCACGACGAAGAUAUCUUUGUGCCGCAAAUAUCUACGACACGUAUUGCGCGAUGAAAAUGUUCGUCGCGCAAAAAACGUAUGCGCGACAACAAUGUUUCGUCGCGCAAUACGUGUAGACAUGAAUUGCGCGACGAAGAACUCUUGGUGCCGCAAAUGUGUACGAGACGUAUUGUGCGACGAAUAUUAUUCGCCGCGCAUCGUUGUGGCGACGAACCCGCUUUCGUCGCGCAUAAGUUUGUGCGACGAACUAUUGCAUCGUCUCUGAACCUUUUGUGCAACGAAGGGUAACCGUCGCACAAAUUUGCGCGACGAGUGAUACAAUCAGUCGCGCAAAGUCUUUCUUCACCAUCUUUGCACCACAGAUUACGCGCGACGAAUUUUCUGUCGUGCUUGAGUUUGUGCGACCAAAUUUAACUCUGCGCGACGAAAUUGGCUUCGUCGCGCAAAUCGUAAAAUGUAGUAGUGGAAGUUAUCAACAUCUAUAGGAACCCCAAUGAAAAGGCUGUUAACUAAUAAUGAAGUAAACCCCUCAAUGUUUCCGCGUAUCAGAUAUCUCUCAGAAUAUGCGAUUCCAUACUCAAUAAGCAACUCCACAUCCCCUGAGGUUUUCACCAAACCACCCAUUAAGGAAACAUACUGACUCAUGUGUAAUUAUCAUUACUCAUCGGGUAAUGCAAUUGUUCAAAGGCAAGGACAUUUCUCAUUAUUUCUGUAGUGAACCCCAAUGGAAAUGGUGGGAUCUUCAGAACCCCAUUGGUGCUACUGAAUUGUAUGUCAAAUAUGUUUUCACCUUGUCGCGCCUCAAACUUGACUCCAGCGUGCUGUAAUUCUGUCAAGCUGGGUAUGGAUGAUGGGAGUUCCCCUCCAGCUUUUGAUUCCAACGGUUGAUAGAGUUUAAAUAUUUUCCUGUAAAGAUCAACAAUAUGUGCCACUGAUCUAAAAGUCUCCAAAUUGUCUUCCAUUUUGUCAACAGGCAAUAGAUGUUCGAAGAAACUGAAAGAAAGACUAAUUAUUGAAAGCCCCUCAGUAAUGCAGUUAUUGUCAGCAUCAGCAGGGAGUGUAAUUUUCUGUGGGUCGAAAAGAUCCUCGAGAAUGAAGAAUGGCAACUGAUUUUCAAGCAACCACAUAUCUGUCCAUACAUCUUGCAACAUACCUGGUUUGUCAAAUAUGCGGUCAUUUUCAUCCCAAAAUUUGAAGUAGUCCUUCAAUAAGAGCUCAAUAACGAAGGCGGCAUCCACUAGAAUGAUUGUUACAAAUUCAUCACUGCUAAACUUGAUGGGUUCUCCAUAACAACGUCUCAAUCUUGCUUCGUGGUCCUUUAUUUUCUUAAUAUAAUCCUCCAAACUCACAUUGGUCCGACCUAUAAAAUCUUGCAGGUAUCUCUGUUUGUGCUCUUCCUAUACGACAUUCAAGCCUUCCUUUCCAUGGUGAAGUGGGCCUAUAGAGACCACCUGAGGUGUGCAGAGCUUUUCAUUCACACUUCGUAGUCGUUGAGGAACUCUGUAGAUACAGCACUUGGAGGAUGGGGGAGACAAGCUAUUGAACCCUUUUCUCAUCGAAUUUGCUAAUGAAAUGUAUGGGUUUUCUAUGUCAUUUUGAGCAGAUUGAUGGCUUCCUGCCAUUUUCCAGCUCCUGACUAUAUGUGGUGUUCCGAUUGUAACAGAUUACAAUAAUGAUGAGUAUGGAUAACUGAAUUACUGAUAAAACAAUCAAGAAACAUUUCGUUAUUUUCCAUUCCCAAUAACGAAAUCAAAAUGUUCAAGGAAAUAUAAUCAGGAUAUUGCAAUUAUAUAGCCAUUCAUAAGCUGCCUGGCAUGGAAUAAGAGGUGGAAACCAAAUCUACUUAUUGGCCAAAGUUCGAAUUCACUAUAUAUAGAUAUAUAUUUUGCCAAAAUCUAAAACUGACCAACCUUAGAUACAAAAACACGGUACAGCCCGGUUAAAGUAAUUCCAAGUGCGAAGAAAGAAAGGAAUUGAGCGUUUGUACCUCUACAGCUAGCCAAAUUUUCUAUUGAUUCUUUAAAUUUUAGAGAGCAAUUACUCUUAAUUUGGUAGGUGUAGGACUGUGCAACUUCAAGCUUUAAUGAAAGAAGCCAAGUUUAUUCUAAGGGGACAAGUCAGAGACAACGAAAUUUUGCUCAGCUUCAUUUUCAAAUUUGCUGCUUAAGAAGGAAAUUUAAUAUGUUUGUUUCACAAAUUGUAUUGUCAUCAAUGAAACUCGUGCACACCCAACGAAAUUUGCAUGGCUUAUUUUCAAAGGAGUACUGCUAUUUCCAUCCUCUGUCCUAUUUUUCCACUCACCUUAUCUUCAAAAUUUUAAAGACAAAAAUAAACCCCUUUGUAAAAUGCUUAAAAAGAAAUUUAAUAUGUUUGUUUCAAAAAUUGAUAUUGUCAUCAAUGGUUAAAGAAUUGCUGGUGACAACAUAUACUUCUUUUCUACUGUAUUAAUUUCUUUCUUUAUUUUUUCUUCAGUAUAGUUCUGCCUUUCUUUUACAUGUUUAUGCGCAUAUUUGACACGUUCAAGUAUACUUAUAUAACAAAUGCAAUGAGUUUGUAGUCACAAAAAUCAAGGAUUGAAAACAAAAAGUAAUAUUAUGUGCAAGAGAAACUUACCUGCAGAAACUGAAGAACUCCUCUAGUUUCUUCUCUGUCGCUAUGUACUCCCGCGUUCAAGUUAUUAUUCUUACAAUGUACAUACACUAUUAUAUAAUGGCGAGAAGGCUCUGAUUAACCUCCUUUUUGCUUCAUUGGAUGGGGCAAGAAUGGAAUUGUCACCGUGGGUGUGGAGGUGAUCUACCAUUUGAGCAAGAAAUUCCCACAUAUUCUUUAACUAUUUUUCAAGCAUGCAUAUUCCUCCCUAUCAAUCUUUGGUCUCUUCUUUUACUAUUUUUCAAGCAUGCAUACUUUGAUUUUAAAUCAUCUUUUCCGCACUAAUUUGCUUCAAUCAAGAAACAGUUAAUAUAUUUUGUAUCAUCAUUAGAGAACACUUGAAACUGCAUAAGUUAAUUUUGAAGAUGAUGGCAGAACCAAAAUGUGUAUAGCUUAUAACUAUAAUUUCUUGAUUACAACAAGAGGUUUCAAGUUUUCAACAACACAAAUAUGAAUCUCCCAAGCAAAGAUAAACAAUAAAGCAAGCAUACGGAUUGUCAAAUUGCCUUCAAUCACUCUAAAAUACUUCAUACCGUCCGACACUGGCUUCAAUUACUCUACAAUACUUCAAUUCAUAUAUUGUCCUAUUUUCACAUGUACAUCCUGCUUUUACUUAAGGGUUAAUUGUUGAUUUACCCCUUGAACUUGUACUCUACUUUCAAUUUGCACCCUCAACUUUUUUUUUUGAAAAUUAGGUGCAUGAACUAAUUUUUAUUGCCAAUUCCCCCUACCAACAUGUCAUCUAAUAGUCUGUCAAAUCAUUAAAAAAUAUAAUAUUUUUGGAAAAAAUUAAAGAAAAAAAAAUUCCUAAGGACCCACAGACCCAGAACCCACCCUCCGUUGCCCCCGCUUGCUGUUUUCUUCUCCUCCCAGUCCCCCAUGACCACCACCCUCCACUGCCACACCAAUCCCCUACCCAACAGACCCCUCACCCCUUCUUUUUUUUCACCCCCGAACCCAGCAUGAGUUAUUGGUUAAUACCAUUUUCUUAAUUGCCAAAUAAAAAAAAAAAACAGAGUUAACCCUCUGUUAAGCUAGCUGACUAGUGGGGCGAAAUGGAGGAAAAUCAAUAUGGAGACAGCGGAUCCGGUCCCGUGUAAGUGUAUCUGAUGGAAUAAAAGAAUGAUAUUAUUGGUGGUGGGUACGGUUAUGUGGAAGUAAUAAUGGGUAAGAGAAGAAACUUGUUCUCUUGUGAUAAUCAAAAGACAGAAAGUAGUGGGAAAAGACAGAAAGUAGUGGGACACUAUUUUAGAUAUGAUAAUGUUCCUUCCUUGAUUGAUGCAAAUGAAGAGAAAAGGGUGGCUUUAUAUAAUAGCCACUACCGACCUAACACAUUAAAAACACAACUAACACCAAACAUAGUUAAUUCAACUAACUUCUACCACACCAUUAAUUUAACACACAACUACUAACAAACUGCCAACUAUUUCAAAGUUACCAGCCGACUAUUAAUGAAGUCUAGAUUACUUUAACAUCCUCCCUUAAGCUAGACUUCAUUUACGCCAAUUAAUUUUCUCAUCUUGAUGAGCGGCUCUUUCUUCAACGGUUUGGUGAACAAAUCUGCCAGCUGAUCUUGGGACUUGCAAUACAGAACCUCAACUUCUUUAUCUUUGAUUAGCUCUCUGAUGAAAUGGAACUUGAUCUUGAUGUAACACCCCGACCCCAAAUUUUCCCAAAUUUUACCCUUAUUUAAUUAUUUAAUUAUUUAAGGGUAUUUUAGUCAUAUUUUUAACCGGAGAGAGUUUGGGACCGUGACUAGUAUUUUUGGAUAGGUCGAGCUGAGACGAGUUCAUAGACACGUAGUGGGCUCGAAUCGGAGUUGUAACGAGAGAGAUAUGGUCAAAAGAAGCCCAGUGGCACAAUCGUAAAUAUUUCGAAAUGGGAUUUUUUAUAAAAACUCAAAUUUUUCUCUCUCUCUCUCUCUCUCUCUCUCUCUCUCUCUCUCUCUCUCGCGACUCCUCUCUCUCUCUCCCGUCGGCCUCUCCUCUCUCUCUCUUCGUAACUCCGGCCACCGGCCGCGGCUGCGGACGGGGCCGGUGUCAAAAGAACCGGCUCGACCUCGGCAUCACGACCCAGCCCAUCCCCGCCAUCGGCCGCCGCUCCAGCCGCCGGAAAAUGGCGAUUUUCGCCCAGAUGUCGCCGGAACUUCAACGCCGUCGAUCUCCCUCCUCCGGCCACCAAUUCCGUCGACCCAGGUAUGGAUUUUGAACCUCUCGAGCUGCUCUAGCUGAUGGUUGGGUAGGAUUAGAUCGAUUCUUAGCGUAGAUCACUCGAUUUUCGAAUUGAAAAUCGGCCGAAACUUCGGCCGCCGUGAUCGGCCAUUUCCGGCCACUUUUUGGGGUAGGUCCAAGAACAAAAGUGGCUCCAAAUAGGGUGUUAUACCUAGGGUAGGAGUUUGGAGCCGUGGUUUUGAGAUUUUCCGGCGGAGCGUUAUCGCUUUGGGCACCCACGCGCUGCUGGCGCGUGCGGCGGAGCGUGGGCACUGUAUAAAAAGUAGCGAUGUAUUCCGAUGAGAUCCUUAGGUUGUCACGAGUGCGUAGGAUUUUGCGGAUCUCAAUUCGGACGUCGUUUGACUAUCGAACGAAUAAUCGCAUAGUGUGCGUUAUCCGGGUUCGAUAGGUUGGGACCGUUGGAUGGUCCCAAAUUUAAUAUAUGUUAAUCUAGGUAUUUCUAGGAUCGUGUAGGAAUUCACGGAUCGUGAAUCGGAACUCCGGAUGUUCCGAAUAAUAAUUUUAAGUUUAUAUUUUAUAUUAACCAUCAGAUCGUGCGAUCGUGAGCAAUCCGACCGUCCGAUCUGAACCAAACUUGCAGGACAAGUGUCCUACACCUGGUAGAACCCAUAGGGACUUCCGGAUCGGAAAUUGGAGGUCGUGGGUUCUGCAGGUCCGUUUGACCAGGGUUAGAGUAGUUUGACUCUUGGUUGACCGUGAGUCUCCCGGAGUAAUCUCACCCUUCCAGGGGGAAUUAUCGGGAGCUAGACUAUUGUGGAGGGUUACACAAUAUUAGAAUUAUUUAUAUAAAUUAUGUGGUUGUACAAGGGUACAACAGAGUCUAGAAUGUCAGUUUGGAGUGCUAUACGCACUACUCUAGGUACCUCCUCGGACUUUGGAAUUUCUACAAGUACCACCAAGUGAAAGUUAGGUCCCACGUGGCGUAGGUUAUCCGGCGUGUCGACAGACCCCAUACGUGGCGUUGGUUGUACCGGCGUAUGGGGAGAUUUGUGAUAUGAUAUUGAGGUCCCGCGUGGCGUAGGUUAUCCGGCGUUGGGACAGGCCCCAUACGUGGCGUUGGUUGUACCGGCGUAUGGGGAGAUAUUAUGAUAGUAUGGCAUGGUCGCACGUGGCGUAGGUUAUCCGGCGUGUCGACAGACCCCAUACGUGGCGUUGGUUGUACCGGCGUAUGGGGAGAUUUGUGAUAUGAUAUUGAGGUCCUGCGUGGCGUAGGUUAUCCUGCGUUGGGAUAGGCCCCAUACGUGGCGUUAGUUGUACCGGCGUAUGGGGAGAUAUUAUGAUAGUAUGGCAUGGUCGCACGUGGCGUAGGUUAUCCGGCGUGUUGACAGGCCCCAUACGUGGCGUUGGUUGUACCAGCGUAUGGGGAGAAUAUGUGAAAUACAGAGAAAUGAAAUAAGGUAUUGCCCAAGUGUGGAAUUGGGUUUUAGGGAAGAACUACUUAUGGCUUGAUCCCUCAAGGAGGGUACGUAGGCAGCCUAAGGUUAUUAGGUGCAGCCGCAGACUAAAUAUUAGUCAUAAAUUGUAAUUGAACUGUUUGGUAGUCGUUUGAGGAAGUAUUGAAAGGCCGAAGGCCAUUUGUGUGAAUUGCAUGAAAUUAUAUUGUGCAUGCUGCCAGUUGGGAAUAUUAAAUGCGUUUUUAUGCAGGUAUAAAUUUUGGGAAUGUCCAAUUUACAGGGGAGACUCUGCCAAAAUUUCGGCAGGAAGUCUCGGUUUUUAGUAAGUGGGCCUGGCAUCGGGGUGAUGUCAGGAAUUCCAAAGGGUUCGUCUCGGGUUUUGAGAAAAUUCGGGGCGGGUCCUUUCACUUGAUAUGCUUACUCUUGCUGUGAAACAUUGGAUUUUUGGAAAGACAAAUAGCUGAUUUGUUGUUGCAGAACAGCUUUGUAGGUCCUUCUUGAACUUGACCCAUCUCUUCUAAAAUACUUUUCAGCCACCUAGCUUGACAACCUGCUGAUGCAAGAGCAACAUACUCAGAUUCUGUAGUUGAAAGUGCCACUAUAGAUUGCUUUUUGGAGGACCAUGAAAUCGCACUUGAGCCAAUGCUAAAGACAUAACCAGAUGUGCUUUUGCAAGUAUCAACAUCUCCACCCAAGUCACUGUCACUGUAGCCAGUCAAAUUUAGAUUCUGAAUAGGAUAAUAAUGCAAACCAUAAUUGAUAGUUCCAACCACAUAUCUUAGGAUUCUCUUUCCAAGCUCCCAAUGAACAUCUUUUGGUGACUCCACUAAACGGCUGAGGAAGCUUACUGCAUAUGUAAGAUCUGGCCUUGUUGUAGUUAAAUACAAGAGGCCACCCACUAGACUUCGAAACAAAGUUUGAUUUACCAUUGUGCUUCCAUCAUUCUUACCUAUCUUAACACCAACCUCCAUUGGAGUAGCAAUUGACUUUGCAUUUUCCAACCUGAACCUUUUCAACAAUUCCUUUGCGUAUUUCUUUUGAGAAAUAUAGAUACCAUUCUCAUUUUGUUUGACUUCAAUUCCAAGAAAGAAAUGAAGCAAACCAAGGUCUGUCAUUUCAAAUCUUUGUGACAUAAUCAUCUUGAAAUUAUCACACAUUUGAGCAUUACUUCCAGUAAAUAUUAAGUCAUCCACAUAUAAGCAGACAAUCAAAAUCUCACCUUGAGAGUUCUUCUUGGUGUAAAGAGUAUGCUCAUAUGGGCAUUUGUGAAACCCAUACUCUUGGAAGAAUGCAUCAAUCCGACUGUACCAAGCUCUUGGAGCUUGUUUCAAACCAUAUAAAGCCUUCUUCAAUCUACACACUUUUGUUUCUUCAUUUCCCUGCACAUAACCUGGAGGUUGAGCAACAUACACUUCUUCUUCCAAAAAACCUUGCAAGAAUGCUGGUUUAACUUCCAUUUGAAAGACUUUCCAACAAUUUUGGGCAGCAAGAGCUAACACCAUUCGGAUGGUGUCAAAGCGUGCAACUGGAGCAAAAACUUCAUUGUAAUCAAUUCCAUAAUUUUGCUUGUAGCCUUUAGCUACCAAGCGAGCUUUGUAUUUCUCAACUUCUCCUUGAGCAUUCAGCUUGGUCUUAUACACCCAUUUUACUCCUAUAGGCUUCUUUCCUUGAGGAAGAUCAACCAGCUCCCAUGUGUCAUUUUUCUUAAUGGAAUCAAUUUCUUGAUCCAUAGCCUUCACCCAAUUUUCAUCCUUUGAAGCCUCUUCAAACAUAAUUGGGUCUGCAUCUACAAAUAGAGCAAAAUUUGUGCCACCAUUAGUGAUCAAAACAUAAUCACUAGAUGGGUACCUUGUGGAUGGUUGAUGAGCUCUUGUUGAUCUCCUUUGUCCUCUGCAAAUUUCUUCUUCCUCACUGCUAUCACUAGAAGAAGUUGAUGAUGACCCUUGUGAUGAAGAUUCCUAUGAUGAUAGAGUUGUUGGUGGAGUUAAAUCUGGAUUUUCAAGGCCAAUGUCCAACAGUAUUGGACUUUGAUUUUCAGCUUCACUCCAAUUCCAUGCUUCUUCUUCAUUGAACUUGACAUCACGACUAACAAUAAUCUUGUUAGUCAAUGGAUUAAACAACUUAUAUGCCUUGGCCUUUUCACUAUACCCAACAAGAAUGCACUUUUCUGAUUUGUCAUCCAAUUUUCUCCUUGUUUUAUCAGGAAUAUGAGAAUAAGCAAUGCUGCCAAAUAUCCUUAAGUGACUAAUACAUGGCUUGAGGCCACUCUAAGCUUCUUGAGGAGUCUUGCCUUCCACACUAUUGGACGAUGCACGGUUCAAGAGAUAUACAGCACAUGCCACUGCUUCUGCCCAAAAACGAUUAGGCAUUGCUUUUGCCUUCAACAUGCUUCUUGCCAAUUCCAUAACGGUCCUAUUUUUUCUCUCGGCCACACCAUUUUGCUGUGGGGUGUACCGAGCUGUGAACUGAUGCUUAAUCCCAUUUUCUUUUAGAAAAUUUUCGAACACAUUGGAUGAGAAUUCUCCACCUUGAUCAGACCGCAAGGUUUUCAAUGCAAAUCCACUUUGCUUCUCAGCCAAAGCUUUGAAAACUUUAAAGUAAUCAAACACCUCUGAUUUAUAUUUGAGAAAAUAGACCCAUGUCUUUCUGCUAUAAUCAUCAAUGAAUGUAAGAAAGUAGCGGUUACCUCCUGUUGAUGUUGUGUUCAUGGGCCCGCAUACAUCUGAGUGCACCAGCUCAAGAGGAUGGGAUGCUCUCCAAGAAUUUCCUGUAAGAAACGAAUUUCUCUGAUGUUUUCCCAGCACACAUGCUUCACAAACUUGUGUUUGAUGCUGUAUCGUUGGUAGGCCUCGUACCAUAUGUUGUUUCCCCAUCAAUGAUAGUGUAUUGAAACUCAAAUGCCCAUAGCGUAGAAGCCACAACCAUGAGGAAUCCUUGAUAAGUGCACUUAAGCAAGCAAAAGAUUCAUACUUUAUGUUCAGAGAAAACAUAUUGUCUCCUGACAUCUGCACCUUUGUAAUUAGAGAGUUGUACUUGUCUCUAAUUACACACUGGUCUUCCCUGAACUGAAUAUUAUGGCCUUUAUGAAGAAGUUGCCCCACACUAAGGAGAUUGUAAUUUAAAUCUGGAACAUAUAACACAUCAGAGAUUCUUUUUUGUUCUCCAGACUUGGAUAGAAAAAGAAUAUCUCCACAUCCUUUGGCCACUAGCUUUCCACCAUCACCAAUCCUUACUUCUGAGUUGUUGGUAUGCUUGAAAUUGACAAAGGCACUUUUGUUGCCUGUCAUGUGAUUACUACAUCCGCUAUCAAGAUACCAUUUUUCUGCACACACGUUUCCUUCCCUGGCAGCUGCAUAUGCAAGUAGAACCACAUUAUCAUUUUCCCUUUCAGAAGCUUUUUCAUGCACAAAGCUUGAUUCGGCUCCUCCAUUUGUUUUGUUUUUGCAUGUUGACUUGAUGUGCCCAUAUUGCUUGCAAUUGUAGCACUGAAUAUUAGAAAGAGAGGAACCUUGUUCUCUUCCUCUUCCUCUUGAAUAACCACCAUAAUCUCCUCUUCCUCUUGGAUAACCAUAAUCUCCUCUUCUUCUUGAAUAACCAUAAUCUCGUGCAGAGCCUUCAUCAUUAGUUUUUUUUAGGUCAUUUGCAUAGCCACGUCCUUGAUUAUUUCUUCCUCGUCCACGAGUAAAGCCGCCUCUUCCUCUUCUAGAACUUCCUCUGAAUGAGACUUGAGAUUGAAAAGCUUGCUCAACAGGGCCAGAGUCAAACUGCUUCAGUCGUAACUCAUGGGAUUGAAGAGAACCCAUUAAACUGUCAAGAGACAAAGUAGACAGAUCUUUGGAUUCUUCAAUUGCCACCACAAUAUAUUCAAACUUUCGGGGACAUACUUCGAAGAAUUUUUUCAGCAACUCUCUGAUCUUCAAUUUUUUCUCCAUUAAUUCUCAGUUGGUUGACUAGAGAAAUGACACGAUUGAAAUAGUCUUCAACAGAUUCUGACUCCUUCAUACGUAACAUAUCAAACUCACCUCUUAGAGUUUGCAGUCUUGCCAUCUUCACUUUAUCUUCUCCUUUAUAUGAUGCAAAGAGAGUGUCCCACGCCUGUUUUGAUGUAAUGCAUGAUGAGAUUCUUUCAAAGAUAGCUUCAUCCACUGCUUGAAAGAUAAAGAAUAAAGCUUUUUUGUCCUUCUUACGUGUCUCCUUCAGCUCUGUGAGUUGUUGUUGAGUGAGGACUGCUUGAUCAUUUGGCUCCACAAAGCCAUUUUCAACCACCUCCCACAAAUCUUGAGCAGCAUACAACACCUUCAUUUGGAUGCUCCAUUGACUAUAAUUCUUCCCUGUAAACUUUGGAAGCUGGGGCUGUAACAAGUUGUUGUUUGAAGCCAUAUGAUUCUGAGUUUCCAGCUCUGAUACCACUUUGAUGGAAUAAAAGAAUGAUAUUAUUGGUGGUGGGUACGGUUAUGUGGAAGUAAUAAUGGGUAAGAGAAGAAACUUGUUCUCUUGUGAUAAUCAAAAGACAGAAAGUAGUGGGACACUAUUUUAGAUAUGAUAAUGUUCCUUCCUUGAUUGAUGCAAAUGAAGAGAAAAGGGUGGCUUUAUAUAAUAGCCACUACCGACCUAACACAUUAAAAACACAACUAACACCAAACAUAGUUAAUUCAACUAACUUCUACCACACCAUUAAUUUAACACACAACUACUAACAAACUGCCAACUAUUUCAAAGUUACCAGCUGACUAUUAAUGAAGUCUAGAUUACUUUAACAGUAUCGAAUCUAGCUUUAAUAUGUAUUGGGUCCUCUGGACAAGAAUUCUAUCCUUUUCGUCCUAACUAAUAUGUAGGGGAAAAACAAUACAUCAAUUAUCCUUUUCGUCCUAACUAAUAUGUAGGGGAAAAACAAUACAUCAAUUAUGAAUUUUUUUUAUCUGGGUUCGAAAUUAAAUAUGAAUGGAGUUUUGGAGGCUUAAAAGUUAUAAGCUCAAGAAAGGAAGGAAACUAUAUGUACAUUUGGGUCGGAGGCAAAGGUCCAGUCAUCUACCGUCCAGGAUAUACAGUAUCAAAAAAGGCUUAAGAAUUGUAAUAAGGUGACAUACGCCCACAUACGGCCAACGCUAGCAUAUUUCGUAAGUGUAUUAUAUGUCUUCUAAGUAUAUCAUAGUUAUGUGUCAAUUUUAGAUCCAAUUGCACACCCAAAAUACAGAAACAAAAUCAUUGAGAAUACACUUUUUUUCACUUAUAUUUUGAAUAUGCAUUGCCUGUAUUUCAUGUGUAUGAUAUAGGGGCUUCACUUAUAGUUUUUGCACAAAACCUCCCUUGAUGAAGGAUGUCUUAGAUUAAUGACAUCAAUGAUUUGUUACAUUUGGAGUACCCAACAUAACAGCUCUCUGAUUAACAAUAAAGUUAUAAAAUUUCAACAGUUUCAUACCUAACAAGCAUAGAGAAACAAAUAAAACAACCACAUUGCUUCGAUCACUGUACAUGCACACAGCUCACUUUCACUAACUACAGAGGCUAUAUUUUCUACAUAUACACUAACUUUUUCUUUCUCCAGCUCUCUUACACCACCAGGCUGGUGACAAACCCAGCUCGCGUCAUGUGGAGGACCAAAAGGAAAUGACAAGGAGAAAACGGCUAAGGAGAGACUUACUCUCAACACUUAGAAGGCAGAGCAGAGAUAACAGAGCACACUGCUUGUAUAAAAGUGAGUAUGAGGAGAAAAAUAGCGGUAGCAAUUGAAAUAGUUGCCCAAGGUGUGUUGCAAUAGUUUUGUCUCAAGUUUGCCUGCCAUUUGUGCCAAGACGUUCUGCAGUACUUGUUGAGGUCUGCACAAAGAAUAGCAAAAUAGAAGUCAUUAGAGUCCACAAUGACCCCAUCUGCAAGGUUGUUGAUCAGAGUAGACCCUCCACUACUGUCACCGAGCAUAUUUUCGACGAUUCCUUGCUUAACAACCAACUCCACAUCCGUUGCGGUGUUCACAAAGCGAUCCACGAUGACAACAUAAUUGUUUAUGUAAUUCUCCAUGCAAUGGCAUUGUUCAAAGGCAAGGAGGUUUCUGAUUGUAAGCUCUGUCUCAUCACUUAUUGCUAAUUUUGGAAUUUCUAGAAUCCCAUUAGCGAAUUGUAUGUCGAAUAAGUUUUUGGGUGAUCCCACCUUAAACUUGACUCCUGCUCUGUGUAACUCUGUGAUGCUGGAUGUGUUUAAGAGUUUCAAGUCGCCCCUUAGCAGGUGGUUUCAAUGGUAGAGGUAGAUACAAAUUUCUACAAAAAUCUACAAAGUGUUCUACUUUAGAAGUACAUAAUUUCUCCAUAUUGCCAUCCGUUCCCUCUAUGUGCAUUAGAGUUUUGAAGAAAUUGUGGCAAAGGUUAAGCAUCGAAAGCCUCUCAAUAUUGUUAUUGUUAGAAGAGACUUUGAUUUUUUCGGGGUCAAAAAGUUCCUCAAGAAUGAAGAAUGGCAGCUGAUUUUCAAACAACCGCAUGUCAGGCCAUACGUCUGGCAACAGCCAUGGUUUGUUAAAUAUGCGGUCAAUUUCAUCCUGCAAUUCAUCGAAACGAUACCUCAACAAGACCUCAAUGAUGAAGGCGGCAUCCACUAGAAUGAUUCUCACAAAUUCAUCACUGCUAACCUGAAUGGUUUCUGCAUAACAACUGCGCAGUUUUGCUUCUUGGUCUUUUACUUUCUGUACAUAAUCGGCUAGGCUUACCCUGGUCCGACGUAUAUAAUCUUGUAAGUACCUCUUUUUGUGAUCUUCCAUGGCUUUUAGGCCUUCCUCGCCAUGAUGAAGUGGGCCUAUAGAGACUACCUGAGGUGUGUAGGCCUUUUCACUCACACGCCGUAGUCGUUCAGGAACUCUAUAAAUGCAACACAAGGAGGAGAGGGAAGACAAGCCAUCCAACUCCUCACUCAUUGAAGUUACUAAUGGAAUGCAAGGGUUUUCAAUAUCAUGUGGAGCUUGAUCGCUUCCUUCCAUUUUCCGCUGAUGUGUUUGUUGUUGUCAAUCAUAAUGGAUGAUAAUGAAAUGAUAGUCACUGACACAACAAUAAACAAAUUUUUCAAGAUGGCUGAGAAAAUUAAUACAAACAUUGCAAUUAUAAGACCAAACACACAAAGACUUUUGAUCCUUGUAACUCUUACAUACCACACUAGUGCCUUAAGAAUUCGAUUUGAAUGCACCAAAUUCAUUCAAAACUCUUCUGGUCAACUCUGUUUCUUGUAAUUAUUCUUGGAAGAUUCUAAUACAUUUUUGAUUGAAAAAUUCCUACUAAUCAUGUGAAUCAGUACCAAAGUUUAUUUCAAAUUAACAUACAAACCCCACUUUUUUUUUCCUACAUAUAUACUUCUUUAUUUCCCCUCAACUUAUUGGAGCUUCUAAUAAAGCAAAUUCUUUCUGUGAUGAUAUCAGAUAGUAGAUUAUGCUUCCAGUCAAAACAUAGACAAACCAAAAUCCCAUUAGAAGAGAAGAAAAUAAUAUACGACAUUCACAUAACCUUCUGCUCAAUUCCAAUUUCCAACUACAAUGAAACAUAAGACACUUAAAAGCUUCAAGAAAUUGGAUGUGCAAGCAAACAUAGCGAAAUUAUGAAAGACAGAGAAAGGUGUUGGGCAUUGAAAACAUACCUGAUACGUAUUGAAACACAAUUUUUUUUUGCCUUUGGUAGAUGGAGUAGCUAGAAAAGCUCAAUGCACUUGCUCUUCUGCUACAUUUCAAUAUAAGAACAUUGUUUGGAAGUCCGGUCAAUUCCUCAAAGCUUCCUUGCCUUUGUUUUGACAUGCCGAUGCCCGUCUUGGGGAAGUUUGAAUAAUCCAUUGCAGGCCCCAUGAUAGGAUUUUUAGUACUUGUGCAAACAGUGUUAAAAAUCACAUAAAAUACUUGCAAGAAUACAAGGCUAUUGUAGUAUAGAUGCUCAUGCAAGGUCGUUUUCCUCAAGGACUAAUUAGCAAUUUAUGUAAAAACAAAUUCCAAUUACUACUUAAAAUAAAAAGUCAAGAAAGAUGAUUAUAAAUUUGGUGGAUUCUAAAAAACAAAUAUUAAACAAAAACAAAUACGAUUGAAAGAAAGAGUUUUGAAUAUCAAUUUAUAAAAACACUAGGGUUUCACCAUCACCUAGCAAUCCUAUGAACUUUUACCAAUUACUUAUGAUUUGCACAUGCCACUUUGAAGGUUAGGUUUUCCUAAUGUAUAUUCUACUUGGAACCUCCAACACAGAACGUAUAUCCAACAUGCAACCCGUCCGGACGUUCGGAUCAAAUCUGAACAUGAAAGACUCAUUAAGUUUUGUGAAAACCCUUUGAAAAACCAUGCAACCCUUAAGACGUGGUGUUCAUCUUAAGUGAAAUUACAAUUAUUAAUCACAAGAAGCUAGCAUAAAUUUCAGGGAACCUUCCGACCAAAAUUGCAUCCAAUUACUUUUCUAAAGAUCCUAAUGGUGAUCAGGCAUUAAGACAAUUAGAUAGUUUAAAAUAGUGAUUAACAAUUCAAAAUACGCAUGCACUCAUCAUAAGCAAUUAAAUAAAAAUCACAUAUUCAUGCUAAGGUUCAAGGCUUCACCCUAGCAAAAGAAAUUUAGUUACGCAUACUCAUAAUUGAAAUCCAAGAAAAUAUCAUUAAGAAGAAAAGAACGAAAACACCUGAAAGUUGUGAAAACCCAAAACCCUAGCAAUUGCUCUCUACAAUGCAAAGUUCAAAAAUAAUUAAGAAGUCCUAAAUUCCUUGUGAGAAAGAGCUUAAAUAUCCCUUAAAACCUAGCUGCCAAUGUACAGCUUUUCUAUCCCUACAAGGAAACUAAUUAAAGUAAAAUAAUACUAGGAAAUAAAGUCCAAAUUGGAAUAGGAGAAUUUGCCCAAAAUCAGCCCAGCCACGUUUUGGCCCCAAAUCUCCUCCAAAUCUGGCCCAAGAUAGCUUUUUUUAAAGACACUACUACAAAAAGUGAAAAAGACGACCAGAAAACAACGACGGUCUAAGUGAAAACCGUCGUGGUUUUUAAAAAGACGACGGUUCUAAAAACACCGUCGUGUAAUACCACCUUAGACAACUAAAAAAUGGAGAUUCAAAUGGCUGUUCAAAAACAACGACGUACCUAAUUAAACAACCGACGUCUAUUUGAAACAGAUUUCCGCAGUGUAAAAUCAAAGCAAACAAAGAACGGCAGAAGUUAUGAAUAGACCGACGUAGAAAGUAAAGACGACGAUUUCAAUAAAAGCCGCCGUUUUUACUCAUAAAAUAACACGACGAGGUUUUCGUAUAAGACGCCGUAUAAUUACAAACAAAUCCACGGCUUUAAAAUACAAAAUAAUCUUAACAGAUGACACAGAUUUGCAAUCAGAGAGACAAUUUUUUGGAAGUUGAUCAACGUCGUUGAAAAUUUGCAAUCAGAGAGACAAUUUUCAACGACGGUUAUAUUAUACCUAACGACGUUUAAAAACAAAUCAACGUCGCUCAACAAAUAUAUUACGUCGUCUUAGUCUUACUUAAGACGACGAAAAACGACGACAGUAGUAAAAAAACAGUCGUUGUUUUUAUAUUCUUAUUUUAUUUAAAUCUGUCGUGUUAGUUAAAAACGACGGCAUAACAAAAAACCGUCGUUUUGUUUCAAACUGAAUUAAUUUAAAAUUUCUUCAGGAAAGCAAAAUCUAUUUAUAAUUUCCUCGGGUUAGUAAUAUUGUGUCGUGUUAGUUUACAAAUUCUAGAACAUUAAUUUCCCUCAUUUUAAAUUUUCUCGGGAAAGAAAAAUCUAUUUAUCACGCUUUGUAAUUGAAAACUAAAACUGAAAGAAUUCUGGAAAAAAAACUCUAUUUAUAAUUUAAAAAUAAAAUGCACGUCGGUUGUAGUACACUUAACGACGUUUAACAAAAUAAUCUACGUCGGUAAUUAUAAAUCUACCGCCAUCUUACCCUAAUAUAGACGACGAGAAAAGACGACGGUAGAACAGAAAACCGCCGUUGUUUCAGUUUCUUUAACAGUUUGGUCCUUUAUCUUUCUGCAGGACUUGUAUAGUUCAAAGCAUUGACAAUGUCUUCAUCAUAUCUCCCAGCAACUACUGAUUCGAUUGCUCAUGCUUUAGAGGCCAUCUGAAGCCAUUUCUAUUCUUUAUCGCAUUCUUGAAACCCAUCUUCUUCUUCUGAAGCUCUACGGAUAAAGGAANNNNNNNNNNNNNNNNNNNNNNNNNNNNNNNNNNNNNNNNNNNNNNNNNNNNNNNNNNNNNNNNNNNNNNNNNNNNNNNNNNNNNNNNNNNNNNNNNNNNNNNNNNNNNNNNNNNNNNNNNNNNNNNNNNNNNNNNNNNNNNNNNNNNNNNNNNNNNNNUUUUUUUUGGGGUUGGUUUUUUAUAGUAACCAGUUAUAACAGUAGUGGUUGUGCAAUGUUUGGUUCCCUUAAGCUUCGAUCCAACCGUGUAGCCAGCUUUAGGUCAAUGUCUCCCAAACCACUCGGGUUUUAGGGCACUAGGUGUAGAACACCCCUAAGGACUUAUUAACUCAAGCUGAAAAGGCUACGAAACCAACUAACCACCCUGCCUCAUGCCAAAACUCUACCUUUUGUCUCGAAAAUCACUGCUGAUUAGGCAGGACUGGCCCGGUUACUAGCAAAGCUUCGGGUGAGGCAAUUAUUACUUUAUAACACAUACUAACUUUAUUUAAAUUGAACAGAAAUUAAAACACACUUGGACAAAAAGUAAGUAUUCCAAUCUCACUCCCCAAAAACCAUAUUGGUGUGAUGUGCAAAUUUCAAAGUAUAAUUCAUGAAUUAGUGUCUAAGCAACAAUAAAUAGAAAAGACUCUACUGUGGGAUUGAUUUUCACUAUGUCCAUUUAUUCUAACGUUUAAAAUAAUCUAUGGAUAUUGACUGAAAAACGAAAAUUUUAAACAAGACUUAAAAAAAACUAAAAAUCUAAAAUUUACUUUCCCACCCCCUAACUUAAAUCACACAUUGUCCUCAAGGUGUGGUAAAUAAUCAAAAGAAACAAGAGCAGAAACAAAACGACUAAAUCCUAGAAAAUGAAAAUCAAAAAUAAAGAAAAUACUCUAAGAAAAGAAACUAGGAAGGAAAAAUAGAAGAAUAAUAAAAUAAAAUAAAAUAAGAAAGAAAAGGAGAAAAACAACAAUAGAAAAGAAAUAGGAAAGAAAAUACCCAAAAAUGAGACACCUUGGGGAUUCAAAGGCAGGACCAGGCGGAGUGUUGCGAAAAAGCGCUGACCAACUCAACCACGUCCACACUGGCAUCAAAUAGGAGCGACAGCUACAAUAUAACCUGCUGUAGCUGCUGCAUCUGUCAUUUGAAAAAUAUUGGAUUCCCUUCUCCUACCCCGAGCUCAGAGCCGAAAGGCUCUCUUCUGUCCAUUCCCAUUUUGCAGAAGAAAAAAGAAUAUUGCUGGAUAAACCAAAGCCUCCGCUGUGUCCAGAGAAUCAGAAAAGGUCUCUGAUUUCUCUCUUCUCAAGGCCAUCCAUCUCCGCCUUCACUCUUCUUCAUUCUCUCCAACACUCACGAUCCUUUCCUCUCUUUCAACCCAAUUACACCAGCGUUUUCAUCUGCGUGAGGAGGCCACAUUUGCAGCAAACACAACCAGUGAGGUUGAAUUAUCUGAUGCACCUGAAUUUUUGGAUGGUUUUGGAGUCCCUAGAUUCCUCAAAUUCAGAUCUGUCUCCAUCCAUGUCACCAGAUGCUAACUUGUUCCAAGAUGAAAACAAGCUGAAGCCGAACAAGAGUCUAUUCUCCACCAGUAAGGACCCCAGAUCUGUGCAUCCCGUAGGUAAACUUUCGAACCCCAGAACUGGUUUUUUUUUUUUUUUUUUUCCGUUUUUUUUUUGUUUUGAAAAUAAAAGAAGUAAAGAGUUUAGAAAAAUUGGGUUGCCUCCCAAUAAGCGCGCUAUUUUAAGUCUGUAGCUAGACUUUGCAGAAGCCUGGUGGUCAAAUCACUGGUUCCUUCAGAGUCAAAGACUCGGCUGCAAUGUCAAAGGGUGUCUCCACGUAGGGUUUUAGCCUAUGACCAUUCACCUUGAACGUGUUGCCUUUAUCUUCAUUAGUGAUUUGAACUGCUCCAUGAGGAAAAACUUGAGUCACUAGGUAGGGUCCAGUCCAGCGAGAUUUUAAUUUCCCUGGAAACAACUUGAGCCUUGAACUAAAUAACAGAACCUUUUGCCCUGGCUGAAAUUCCUUCCGUAAAAUUUGACUGUCAUGAAAUGCCUUAGUUCUUUCCUUGUAGAUGCGAGAACUAUCAUAAGCACCUUGACGAAUUUCCUCUAGCUCAUUUAACUGCAAUUUCCGCUUUUCCCCAGCUGAGUCAUAUGCAAAAUUUAACUCUUUAAUGGCCCAGUAAGCUUUAUGCUCCAGCUCCAUAGGUAGAUGACAGGCUUUCCCAUAAACAAGUCGGAAUGGUGACAUCCCAAUAGGAGUUUUAUAAGCUGUCCUGUAUGCCCACAAAGCAUCAUUUAGUUUGAAACUCCAAUCCUUGCGUGUAGAGCUCACUGUUUUCUCCAAAAUACGCUUUAUUUCUCUGUUUGAAACUUCAACUUGACCAGAUGUCUGUGGGUGGUAUGGUGUAGCCACGCGAUGAUUAAUCCCGUAUUUUGCCAGUAGGUUAGCAAAUGGUUUAUUAAUAAAAUGCUUCCCCCCAUCACUAAGAAUAACACGCGGUAUUCCAAAACGUGGAAAUAUAACCCCCUGGAGGAACUUCAGGACCACUGAUCCUUGAUUAGUUGGUGCUGCAAUGGCCUCGACCCAUUUUGAAACAUAUUCCACAGCCACUAAAAUAUAUUGGUGCCCAUUAGAAGAUGGGAAUGGCCCCAUGAAAUCAAUACCCCAAACAUCAAAUAGUUCAACAAUUAGGAUACUUUGUUGGGGCAUUUCAUUCCUUCUGGAUUGAUUGCCGACCCUUUGACACCGAUCACAUGCCUUGCACCAAUUCUGUGAAUCUCUAAAAAGUGUUGGCCAAAAUAACCCACUCUGUAGGAUUUUCUCUGCUGUCCUUUUCUGCGCAAAAUGUCCUCCUCAAGCAUAGUGAUGAGCAAACUUUAAAACACUUUCUUGUUCAGCCUCCGGAAUACACCUGCGAAUAAUCUGGUCUGCACAAUACUUGUAUAAGUACGGUUCAUCCCAGAAAUAGUGCUUUACAUCAGAUAAAAACUUCUUUUUCUGCUGGUAGGAAAAAUCUGGAUGCACCACACCCUUAGCCAAAUAAUUGACAAUAUCUGCAAACCAAGGUGUGUCAAUUUUGACAGCAAAUAGCUGUUCAUCUGGGAAACUUUCACUCAAUGGUAGAGAAUCUGCCUCUGUAGCUGCUGGAAUAAUUAAUCUAGAUAAAUGAUCAGCCACAACAUUCUCACUGCCCUUCUUGUCUUUAAUCUCUAAGUCAAAUUCUUGAAGUAAGAGAACCCAACGAAUCAAUCUAGGCUUUGCAUCCUUCUUAGACAACAAGUAUUUUAGUGCAGCAUGAUCUGUAUAGACAAUUAUUUUAGCCCCAACCAAAUAAGACCGAAAUUUCUCUAGUGCGAACACAACUGCCAACAAUUCCUUCUCUGUAGUUGCAUAGUUAAGCUGUGCAUCAUUUAGAGUACGACUUGCAUAAUAGAUGACAUGGGGAAGCUUAUCUUUUCGCUGCCCUAAAACUGCCCCGACAGCAUAAUCUGACGCAUCACACAUUAGUUCAAAUGGUAAAUCCCAAUUUGGUGCAGCAAUGAUGGGUGCCGAAGUUAGGAGUGCUUUCAACUUGUUGAAUGCUUCUAAACAGGCCUUAUCAAAAUUAAAUGGUGCAUCCUUAGCCAAUAAAGUGCACAAAGGUCGACUAAUCUUGGAGAAAUCCUUGAUGAACCGACGAUAAAAACCUGCGUGUCCUAAGAAGGACCUCACACCUUUUACUGAUGUAGGAGGUGGCAGCUUUGCAAUAACUUCAAUCUUUGCCUUGUCAACCUCGAUGCCUUUGCUAGAAAUUGAAUGACCCAAGACAAUUCCCUGUUCAACCAUGAAAUGCCACUUUUCCCAGUUUAGCACUAAAUUUGUCGCUUGACAUCUCUGAAGAACUAAUGAUAAAUUCUGUAAGCAUUGAUCAUAUGAAUCCCCAAAAACAGAAAAAUCAUCCAUAAAAACUUCCACAAUAUUUUCGACCAAGCCAGAAAAAAUACUCAUCAUACAACGUUGAAACGUAGCAGGUGCAUCGCAUAAUCCGAAUGGCAUCCUCCGAUAAGCGUAAGUACCAAAUGGACAAGUGAAAGUAGUCUUCUCUUGAUCCUCUGGUGCUAUUGGAAUCUGAUUAUACCCAGAAUACCCAUCAAGAAAACAGUAAAAAGCCCGCCCAACCAACCUUUCUAACAUCUGGUCAAUAAAAGGCAAUGGAAAAUGGUCUUUUCUCGUCCCUGUGUUAAGCUUCCGAUAAUCUACACACAUUCUCCAACCCGUAGUCAAUCGUGUAGGAACUAACUCAUUAUUAUCAUUUUUCACCACUGUAAUACCGGUCCGUUUAGGCACAACUUGAGUCGGGCUAACCCAUUUACUGUCAGAAAUAGGAUAAAUCAUACCUGCAUCAAGUAAUUUCAUAACCUCUGUUCUAACCACCUCUUUCAUAAUUGGGUUAAGGCGGCGUUGAGCAUCAACUGUUAGCUUUACGUCGUCUUCCAUUAAUAUUCUGUGCAUACAUAGUGCUGGGCUGAUUCCCUUGAUAUCCGCAAUUGUCCAUCCCAAUGCAUCUUGAUAUUUUCUCAAUACACGAAGCAAUUUAUCCUCCUCUGUCGGUGUUAAAUCUGCUGCAAUUAUAACUGGCAACGUCUCUGCAGCUCCUAAAUAUGCAUAUUUAAGAUGUUGUGGUAAAGGCUUCAGCUCCAAUUUUGGCGGCUGCUGUCUGGAUGGUUUAAGGGGCUGUUUGGGCUCCCCUAAACUCUCAUACACAUUCCUAAAUUUUGGCAACACUGUGGGCAGACUGUUCAAUGCGUGUAUGUACUCAUGAACACCUUCAUCUUCAAAAUCUGUCUCAAAUGCCCCCUGUAAAACAUGCAACAACUGAUCUGUUUUUGAAUUAGCAUAAAAUCUGUCCUGCACCAUACUGUCUACCAUGUCAAUACGCAUACAAUCUAGCUGUUCAGCAGGACGUUUUGUUGCCGCAAACAAAUUAAACACCACAGAUUGGUCCUGAACCCGUAAAGUCAAUGUUCCAGCUUCCACAUCAAUUAAGGUCCUAGCUGUUGCCAUAAACGGCCUCCCCAAAAUAAUAGGUGUUUGAAGGUCUUCAUCCAUGUCUAAAACCACAAAAUCUGCCGGUAGAUAAAGAUUAUCAACCUUAAUAAUUAGAUCUUCAAUAACACCUCUUGGAUAAGUGAUUGAACGGUCAGCUAGUUGAAGUAUAAUUGAUAUAGGCUUUAAAUCUCCUUGCCCCAAUCGCUGAAAAACAGAAAAAGGCAUCAAAUUAAUACUUGCACCCAAAUCAAUUAAAGCACUCUUAAAAUUAGAAUUUCCAAUAGUGCAAGAAAUAUUAAAACUCCCUGGAUCUUUUUUCUUAGGUGGUAGUUUGUGUAGCAAAACUGCAUUGCACUGUUCUGUCAAAAUAACUUUUUCCAAAUCUGAAAGCUUCUUUUUGCUGCUGCAAACUUCCUUCAAAAAUUUGGCAUAUGAUGGAAUUUUCUUGAUUGCAUCCAGUAAGGGAAUGUUGAUUUGAACCUUGGAUAAUGUCUGCAUAAAGUCCUUGAGUUGCUGAUCUUUUACUUUUGGCUUCAAACGUUCUGGAUAUGGAAUUGGGGCCUCAUAAACACGCUCAGGUACUUGUUUUGGAACAGUUUCUAGAUCUGCCAUAUUAUGUUUUUCUACAGGUUUGGCAGGUUCUGCUGCUGCAAAAUUUUCUGUAUGAUCCUCCACUGCAUGCUGCUCCUUUUCAAUGUUAUUUUCACGAUUGUCAUAGCUUUUUCCACAUCGUAAAGUCCGAACAACUUUGCAAUCUUCACGUCCAUUUGGAUUAGGAAUUGUUUGACUAGGAAAUUUGCCCUUUUAUCUGUCUGAAAUCUGUGUAGCUAGUUGUCCAAAUUGUUGCUCCAAACUUUUAAUAGAUGCUUCAACAUUUUGAAAUCUUUGAUUGUUGCCCUCGAUGAAUGAUUGAGUUGUUGCUGCCAGUUUAGCAAGUUGAUCUUCCAUAGAUGGUUUGGAGGGAACAAAAGGUUUUUGUGCAUGCUGGAAUGGUUUGGCAUUAGUCUGAUUGUCACCCCAUUUGAAAUUAGGGUGAUCCCUCCAUCCAGGAUUGUAAUGAGUUGCAUAUGCAUCAUUCCUAGGCCUUUGAUAGCUGUUCAUCAUAUUGACAUGUUGUUCAACAAGCUCUGGGUAAGAGUCUCUAUGUGGGCAGCCCAUUAUGUCAUGUGUAGCCAUACUGCAUAUAGUGCAAACUGUUGAUGUAGGUGGCUGCUGUGUAGAACUUGCUAUAUGUUGUAGAAGCAUAUCAAACUUUGCAUCAAUUUUCUUAUCCAUUUUUUCCAUUUGUGCAGACAUGUUGGGAGAACCUACUGAUAACUCAAAAAUGCCCCUUUUCUGUGAAUGUUCUGCUGCCCAUUGCUGAGAUUCUGUAGCCAUCAUAUCAAACAGUUCAAAUGCCUCUCUUGCAGAUUUAUUUGAUAAUGAUCCUCCAGCUGAUGCAUUCACAUGGCUCUUAGAUGUAGGAUUAAGCCCAUCAAAGAAAAUAUUCAUUUGUGUAUCUGAAUCAAUUUUAACAUGUGGACACUUUAUGUACAUCUUUGUAUAUCUCUCCCACGCUUCAUGAAACUCUUCAUUAGGCUUCUGUGUGAAUGUCAAAAUCUCCCUCUUGUAAUUCAAUGUCUUGGAUGCUGGAUAAUAUUUGUUCAGGAAUUUUGUGUGUAACUGCUGCCAAGUAGUAAUGCUAUUAGCUGGUAGAGUGAAUAACCAAGUUUCUGCCUUGUCCUUCAAAGUGAAAGGGAAAAGACGUAACUUAAUAGCCUCAGCAGAAAAACCCCUAAUCAAAAUAUUCUUGCAACCCACAAUAAAUUUUGCAAUAUGUAUGUUUGCAUCUUCAUUAGGCAAUCCCCGAAAAGUAGGUAGAAUUUCAAGCAUAUGGUGCCUGAUCUCGAACGAAUCACCCUCUUCUUGUUCAGGAUACACAAUGCAAUUGGGAACAUCAGUGGCACGGGCUUCCAAUGACUCCCUGAGUGGUCUACCUGCCGCAGGUAAUUCUAACGCCAUGUUACUCUCGUUUGCAAACAGAUCCUGCAGAAAAGUGCCCUGCAGUGAACAGUCCCAAGCCCAAGUAACUUCUCUCCGCUGUCUAUGCAGUGUGCGCUCUGGUUCUGGAUCAAAUUGUACAAUCUGUGUAGUUCCUGAUCUGGUCUGGACCAUGCAGUCUGCAAAAUCUGCAACAGAAACAAAAUUGUUCAAUUUCAAUUUUUUUUUUUGGACGAAAAUUAAAAAUAAAAUAAAAUGAAAUAAAUCAGAAAAAGGUUAAACAAAAAUUGUCUAAAAUAGUCCCCAGCAACGGCGCCAAUUUCUUGAUAGGAUUUUUAGUACUUGUGCAAACAGUGUUAAAAAUCACAUAAAAUACUUGCAAGAAUACAAGGCUAUUGUAGUAUAGAUGCUCAUGCAAGGUCGUUUUCCUCAAGGACUAAUUAGCAAUUUAUGUAAAAACAAAUUUCAAUUACUACUUAAAAUAAAAAGUCAAGAAAGAUGAUUAUAAAUUUGGUGGAUUCUAAAAAACAAAUAUUAAACAAAAACAAAUACGAUUGAAAGAAAGAGUUUUGAAUAUCAAUUUAUAAAACCACUAGGGUUUCACCAUCACCUAGCAAUCCUAUGAACUUUUACCAAUUACUUAUGAUUUGCACAUGCCACUUUGAAGGUUAGGUUUUCCUAUUGUAUAUUCUACUUGGAACCUCCAACACAGAACGUAUAUCCAACAUGCAACCCGUCCGGACGUUCGGAUCAAAUCUGAACAUGAAAGACUCAUUAAGUUUUGUGAAAACCCUUUGAAAAACCAUGCAACCCUUAAGACGUGGUGUUCAUCUUAAGUGAAAUUACAAUUAUUAAUCACAAGAAGCUAGCAUAAAUUUCAGGGAACCUUCCGACCAAAAUUGCAUCCAAUUACUUUUCUAAAGAUCCUAAUGGUGAUCAGGCAUUAAGACAAUUAGAUAGUUUAAAAUAGUGAUUAACAAUUCAAAAUACGCAUGCACUCAUCAUAAGCAAUUAAAUAAAAAUCACAUAUUCAUGCUAAGGUUCAAGGCUUCACCCUAGCAAAAGAAAUUUAGUUACGCAUACUCAUAAUUGAAAUCCAAGAAAAUAUCAUUAAGAAGAAAAGAACGAAAACACCUGAAAGUUGUGAAAACCCAAAACCCUAGCAAUUGCUCUCUACAAUGCAAAGUUCAAAAAUAAUUAAGAAGUCCUAAAUUCCUUGUGAGAAAGAGCUUAAAUAUCCCUUAAAACCUAGCUGCCAAUGUACAGCUUUUCUAUCCCUACAAGGAAACUAAUUAAAGUAAAAUAAUACUAGGAAAUAAAGUCCAAAUUGGAAUAGGAGAAUUUGCCCAAAAUCAGCCCAGCCACGUUUUGGCCCCAAAUCUCCUCCAAAUCUGGCCCAAGAUAGCUUUUUUUAAAGACACUACUACAAAAAGUGAAAAAGACGACCAGAAAACAACGACGGUCUAAGUGAAAACCGUCGUGGUUUUUAAAAAGACGACGGUUCUAAAAACACCGUCGUGUAAUACCACCUUAGACAACUAAAAAAUGGAGAUUCAAAUGGCUGUUCAAAAACAACGACGUACCUAAUUAAACAACCGACGUCUAUUUGAAACAGAUUUCCGCAGUGUAAAAUCAAAGCAAACAAAGAACGGCAGAAGUUAUGAAUAGACCGACGUAGAAAGUAAAGACGACGAUUUCAAUAAAAGCCGCCGUUUUUACUCAUAAAAUAACACGACGAGGUUUUCGUAUAAGACGCCGUAUAAUUACAAACAAAUCCACGGCUUUAAAAUACAAAAAUAAUCUUAACAGAUGACACAGAUUUGCAAUCAGAAGAGACAAUUUUUGAAGUUGAUCAACGUCGUUGAAAAUUGCAAUCAGAAGAGACAUUUUCAACGACGGNNNNNNNNNNNNNNNNNNNNNNNNNNNNNNNNNNNNNNNNNNNNNNNNNNNNNNNNNNNNNNNNNNNNNNNNNNNNNNNNNNNNNNNNNNNNNNNNNNNNGGAAGUUGAUCAACGUCGUUGAAAAUUUGCAAUCAGAGAGACAAUUUUCAACGACGGUUAUAUUAUACCUAACGACGUUUAAAAACAAAUCAACGUCGCUCAACAAAUAUAUUACGUCGUCUUAGUCUUACUUAAGACGACGAAAAACGACGACAGUAGUAAAAAAACAGUCGUUGUUUUUAUAUUCUUAUUUUAUUUAAAUCUGUCGUGUUAGUUAAAAACGACGGCAUAACAAAAAACCGUCGUUUUGUUUCAAACUGAAUUAAUUUAAAAUUUCUUCAGGAAAGCAAAAUCUAUUUAUAAUUUCCUCGGGUUAGUAAUAUUGUGUCGUGUUAGUUUACAAAUUCUAGAACAUUAAUUUCCCUCAUUUUAAAUUUUCUCGGGAAAGAAAAAUCUAUUUAUCACGCUUUGUAAUUGAAAACUAAAACUGAAAGAAUUCUGGAAAAAAAACUCUAUUUAUAAUUUAAAAAUAAAAUGCACGUCGGUUGUAGUACACUUAACGACGUUUAACAAAAUAAUCUACGUCGGUAAUUAUAAAUCUACCGCCAUCUUACCCUAAUAUAGACGACGAGAAAAGACGACGGUAGAACAGAAAACCGCCGUUGUUUCAGUUUCUUUAACAGUUUGGUCCUUUAUCUUUCUGCAGGACUUGUAUAGUUCAAAGCAUUGACAAUGUCUUCAUCAUAUCUCCCAGCAACUACUGAUUCGAUUGCUCAUGCUUUAGAGGCCAUCUGAAGCCAUUUCUAUUCUUUAUCGCAUUCUUGAAACCCAUCUUCUUCUUCUGAAGCUCUACGGAUAAAGGAAGAGGCUAUCACAAAUCUGACGGAUCUUCUUAGUCAAAAAAAUCAAGCAGAGGAUCAGGCACAUCUGAUCUUCAGAUUUCCCUGAGAAGCGAACUUUCCUUCGACAGCGAGUGGAGGCCAGGCUUGCAUCUCUUUUGAUGGAAAGCAAGGAGUAUUCAGAAGCACUAAGUGUCCUAUCAGGCUUGAUCAAGGAAGUGAGAAGGCUAGUUGACAAGCUUCUUCUUGUCAACUAGCCUAAAUGUAAGCUCAAUUUCUCUUUGAGAAAGACCUCCAAAUUAUUGUCUUUGAGAUGUGAGAGACAGUGUCUCUGAGAGAGGAAGAACUUGGAACCCUAAAUGUAAACCGCGAAAAUGAAUGAAAGCGACAAAUUUAUAGAAUAAAUUUUUAAAACCAACGGCGGUACUUACCAAGAAACCGCCGUUUCAAUUGUAAAAUCAACGUCGGUAUUACUGACGUAUAUUACAGAACUCCACGUCGGUACAUUAAUAAUCACGACGUCUUAAAUAAUCUACCAUGACGCGAGUUAUUACUUAUGUACUUUAAUUUUUGAGUUUACUACGACGGUACCUACAACACUACUGUCGUAUUUAUUUACCACGUCCGAAGUUAAAUUUACCGACGUAUUUUGUACUUUAUACGUCGUAGUUAUAUGUAACCGCCGUAUUAUUUUUUUGAAAUGGUUUUAUAUGUAAGCAACUUUUCGUCUACUUGACUUACACAUUAGUUGUUUUUAUAUUCUUAUUUUAUUUAAAUCUGUCAUCCAAAAAAGAAACUUUACAUAUUGCAGAAUAUUAAUUUCCUUCGUUUUAAAUUUCCUCCGGAAAAAAAACUCUAUUUAUAACGCACUGUAAUUGAAAAAUAAACUGAAAGGUCACGGGAAAAAAAAUUCUAUUCAUAAUUUAAAAAUUAAAAUCCACGUCGGUUAUAUUAAACCUAACGACGUUAAAUGAAAUGAUUCCACGUCGAACGAAAAAUAUUUCGUCGUGUUAGUUAAAAACGACGUAGUUAAAUGUAACCGCCGUAUUAUUUUUUUGAAAUGGUUUUAUAUGUAAGCAACUUUUGGACUUACACAUGCACUGUUUCCAAACCCGAUUAAAAAUUUCAAUCUCCAGAGAAACCUUUUCGUCUUUUUUCCUUGUCAGAGCAUUAUCAGAGUUUCUCAUCGUCUUCCUCUCGUCUUCUUCGUCGUCCUUGAACUUAAACAUCGAUCAUCUUCCUCUUGCUUUCAUUGCACGCAAAAGGUAAGCUUUCAUUUUCACUAUUUUGGUUACUGUUUUGCAUGCUCAUACGUUUUUUGUUUGAAAAAUCUUUUUACCUUUUUUCUGGCCAAAAUCAUUUUACUUCUUUCCAAGUUUGAUAAAAUAUACAGACAAAAAGGGAAAGUUUCCAACUUUGAAGACAACUACCUCAACUAAAUGAGACGACGGUAGACCACGACGGUUCGUCAGUUGUUCUAGCGUCGUCUGAAAAUUGACAAAGUUGUUUUUAAAAUAAUAGUCUUUUUUUAUAUGCUUGUUUAAUUGCAGGUUUGAUUUCUCUGAACAAUGGUUUUUGUUUUUCCCUUAUUUGAUAAAAUAUAAAGAAAAAGAAACUAGGGUUGGUAUCUAAUAUAGACGACAAAAUAUCUUAUUGUUUUACGUCGUGUGAAUGUUAAUACCACGACGGUGUAUUACUAUUAACGUCGUAUGAACAUAAAUACCACGACGUUAUAUAAAUAAUAGUUUACCACGACGGUGUAUUACUAUUGACGUCGUGUGAACAUAUAUACCACGACGUUAUAUAAAUAAUGGUUUUAAACAUUUAUUACGUCUGAGAUUAUUUCAUUGCGUCGUCUAAAAUCAUAUCAUACGUCGUAUUUUUUUAAUACCGUCGUUUGUGUUCUUAAUGUUUUCCUGAAAUAUUUUCACUUGCAGUUUUGUCUGUUAAAAUGGUUUCUCAACAACAAACUAAGGAUUCUGGCUCCAAGAAGCUUGGAAUGGUAGCUCCUCAAGACAAGUCUUCGAAGGAGAUGAAGUCUUCGAAGAAGAUGAAGUUUGCUUCAUCAUCUGCUGAGACAGAACCAACCAGCCAGACAACAAUCUCUGAUGAUUCAAAGACUGGUCGAGGCAUGAGCACAAUGCCUCGUGUUGUGAAGAGAAAGCUUCAGAAACUGAGGCCAAUUGUUGAGUACAAUAAAAGGGGGAAAGGUGUUGGCCAAGCACAUAUUGAGAUGCAGUCGUAUAUUGGUGUGUUGGCACGCUCCAGGAUCCCACUUGUGGACAAGAAAUGGUCCCAAAUCCCCAAGGAUAUAAAGGAGCAGAUUUGGGAAGCAGUUGACAUGGCUUUUGUCGUAGGCCAAGGGGGCAAGACCUCUGUUUUAGCUUCUGCUUCCAAGAAAUGGAAGGAUUUCAAGUCUACACUAACGAGGCAUUAUAUCCUUCCAUACACCAAUGACAGGGAGAAAUUAAGCCAACCCCCUGAAACAUAUAAAUUCAUAGAGAAAGCACAAUGGGAUGCCUUUGUAGCUUCAAGGCUAUCCAAAGAUUUUGAGUCUGUGCAUUCUCAACAUGCACAGAUUAGGGAGAAACUCGAGUACAAUCAUCGAUUGUCUCGAAAAGGAUAUGCUGGAUUGGAGGAUCAAUUGGAGGAAACCAUGCCUGGGGUAGAAAUUGAUCGAUCUACCUUAUGGAAGAGAGCUAGACAGGACAAACAUGGUAACAUCCCUGAUCCAAAGGUGGCAGAGAAAGCAAAAUUAAUUGUAAGCCUACUAUCACUCUGUUUUAAAUUUUUAUUAAACUGUGAAUUAUUCUUAUUACGUCGUAUGUUAUAUUUUUCGUCGUGUGAAUGAUAUUACCACGUCGAAAAGUUUUUAAAAACGUCGUUAAAGGUCUAAAUAGGAAUCACUACUAAUUUUCUGUAAUUAUAGCAUAAGACGUCGGUGGUUCAUUUUCGCGUCGUUUGAAUGAUAUUACCACGUCGAAACUUUUUUAAAAACGUCAUUAACGGUCUAAAUAGGAAUCACUACUCUGUUUUCUUUAAUUAUAGCAUAAGACGUCGGUUGUUUAUUCAUUUCGUCGUUUUAAAUAAAUAACCACGUCGGUAUAACUACCGUCGUGAUAAGUUAUAAUAACGUCGGUUUAUACGUUAUUGCGUCGUGUGAAAUUAUAUAAUACGUCGUUUGUACAUAAAUAACCGUCGUGUGUUUUUUUGUUUAUCUUUGUUUUAGGAUGAAUUGCAGAAACAAGUCUCGGAAGGCAAAGUCAGAGUAGAUGGCAGCAAUGAUGUGCUGACCAUGGCUUUGGGCCCCGAGCAUCCAGGCAGAGUGAGGGGAGUUGGUGCUGGUGUUUCCCCAAGGCAAUAUUUCAAUUUGCCCAAACCACAGAGGGUGAGCUUUGACGACCAUUUGAAGGACAGUUUAAGAGUUCUCCUUCAAGAAGAGACUAAAAAGAUGGAGGCUAAGGCAAGGGAAGAGGCCUUAAGAAUGGAGGCUAGGACAAAACAAUUGGUAGAGGCUGAGAGGGAGCAUUUCCUGAGUCAGCUUUCCCAAUUAAUUCCCAAUUUUGAUCCAAGCAUGCUUAAACCAAGAAUUAGCCAAAGCCCCAAAAAUCCAAUGUCUGACAAAGCUAGCUGCUCUGGAGGUGAUGUGAGAUCCCUACAUUUGGAGGAUGAUACUGCCAAAAUGGGGAAACAUCAGCCAGAUGAAGAGAAGGAAGAAGAAAAAAGAGAUGAAGAGAAGGAAGAAGAAAAGGAGAAAGAAGAUGAAGAAAAGCAUGACGACAAGGUAUGUUCACAUAACUUUGCCUUUUUUAUUUGUUUUUCAAAAUUUCAGACGUCGAUAUUUUUAUUUAAUCCGUCGUUUGUUUAAAACUUAGACGGCGGACUUUUUUUAAGACGUAAUAAAAUAUUUAAACGACGGUUUUUGCACCGUCGUUUAAAUGGUUUCAGACGACGCUUUAUUCAUAAAAUCGUCGUCUUUAUUGAAUUACCACGACAGUUUUUUCACCGUCGUUUAAAUACUUUUAAGACGACGUUUUAUUCCUUAAACCGUCGUCUUUGUUGAAUUACCACGUCAUUUUUUUUAUUUCUUUAAACAGGUUAUUGAAGUUGGUGCUUAUUCAAAUAUGGAGGCGCCAUCUUCUUUAAAAACCCUUUGUCGUUUUGUGGAAACGACACUCCUGCCUGAGGAUAAGACACUCCAAUUUACAAUUGAUAAGGAGGUGUUUGGUGGUGAGCGCGAUACCUUCCUCCUGCCUGAAGAUAUUACACAAUUUGCAGGCAUGGAAGAAAUUGGAGCUACUGUAUUGGCUGUAUAUAUGAGGUUUGUACUUCUAAAAUAAUACCUCGUUGGUUUAUAUAUUGCGUCGUCUUAACUAACUAACCACGUCGUCUUAACUAACUACCGUCGUGAUAAAUAUAUUAUAACGUCCUCAUCUAUUUCAGUACGUCGUGUGAAAUAUUAUAAUACGUCGUUUUUUUAUACAUAACCGUCGUGUUUGUUUGUGCUGACUUGUUUAUAUUAUUUUAUGUAUUUAGGUACUUACACGAUGUUUUGAAACAAGCCAAUAUGUGCAGCAUGGUUGGCUUUAUCGACCCUGCUACAGUUAGUGCCAACUCUGGCACAAUAACUGAAAGAUCACGACUGGUAGCAGCUCGACUUCAGAAGACAGACGGUGAACAGAUUUUCAUGAUGCCUUACAAUCCAGGGUUAGUCUCCUUAGGAUUUUGUUUUUAUGAUUUUCAAUAAAUGACAGCUUAUAAACUAACCACGUCGGUGUUUUAUUUUAUUUAGUCGUUUGAAACUACUAACCACGUCGGUAUUUAUUUAUCGUCGUGAUAAAUAUAUAAUGUCGUCGUUAUCUACUUUAUUUCGUCGUGUGAAAUACUAUAAUACGUCGUUUUUGUAAAUAACCGUCGUUUUUAUAUUCAUUUUGUGCAGCCGUCAUUGGAUCUUGCUGAUUGUAAGAGCAAAGAAGGAGACCGUCUAUUUUCUGGAUCCUCUGCCAGGUCAUCGUGUGGUCGACGAAGAGGCGAAAAACAUCGUGAACAGUGCUUUAAAAAUAUAUAAUACCCACAUAGCCCGAGCACGACGUAAAAAUGUAAUUUGGAAAACUCUCUCAGGCACACCAAAGCAACCCAGCAAUGUCGAAUGCGGGUACUAUGUGAUGCGCUUCAUGAGGGACAUCAUCAUGGAUCCUUCCUUGGGGUUUGAGAAUAAGGUAAGAAGAAAUUACCUUCAUACAUUUCACGUCGUUUUUUGUAUUAUCAACGACGGUCAUGUAAAAUUAACGUCGUUGAAUGGAUAUACUACGUCGGUUAUGAAAAAUAUCGUCGUCUGUGAUUGAAUUUCUUUUUAUUUAUAAACCCUAAUAGUCAUUGUUUAUGCAGUAUGCCAAGGGAAACCAGGAAGCUUCAUACCCCCAAGAAGCCAUUGAUGAAGUCCGGAAUGAAUGGGCAGAGUUUGUUUUCCAAAUUAUUAAACAGGGCAAUUAUUGAACACUUGAUAUUUAUGUAUAAUGUACAAAUUUUCUCUAUAAUAUGUAAUGUAAAAAUUUGUUGAGGUUUUCUUAAAUUAAAAAAAAAACAAACAUACAAAUUGCUUAACCGACGUGUAAUACUUUUCCAACGACCUAAUAAAGUCAAAAACCGUCGUAUUUUGUUGUUUCGUGUUUUAAACAAAUACGACGUAAAAAUAUAGUUAGACGACGUUCUUUGAACAAUUGAGUCGUUUAUGGUUUACAACAUCUUCAAUUUCUUAAGGGUUCAGGGUAUCAUCGACGACGUUUAUGUAACGACAGCGGUUAAGUCGUGGAAUAUAUAUUUUACGUCGUAUAGUUAAAUAGCCGCCAUGGUUUCUCAUUUUAACGACGUCAUUUUAACGACUUAGUAGUCUAUUACAAUUUACAACGUCUACAAUUUAUUAACACCGACGUGGUUUGUUGUUGUGGUAAGAAUAUUUUAUUAUUUUUAUAUCAAAAUAUUCAAAAUAAAUUUAAAAUAAAUCAGAAAAUUGAAAAGUCAUCUCCUAUGAAGUCAUUGAUAUAUUUUCUUCCACAUAAACCUUGAAAAAAUUCAUUUUGAAUAACAAAAAUUUAAAAUGACCAUCCAAAACAAAAUUGUUUUGAUGAGUCAUAAAAUCACUUCUAGUUUUAUGGUUUAGGGUUUAGAGUCUAGGGUUUAGAGAUUAGGGUUGUUAUUUGUUGGGGUUUAUUUUUAAAGUAUAAUUUUUGGGUAGUCUAGGGUAUAUGUUAGGCUUUAAAACCAUAAAACCUUUUAUAAACUUAAUUUUUUAAAUUGUAUAAUUUAGUUUUAUGGGUUUAGGGUAUUAAUUUUUAACGACGGUGGUUGCGUCGUGGAAUACAUAUUUUACGUCGUACAGAAAAACAUACGACAUGGUUUACGCUUUAAACGACGUCAUUUUAAUAUGUAAGUCGGUUUAUAUAAUUUACAACGUCUUUAAUUUCUUAACACCGACGUGGUUUUUCAGUCGUCGUUAUAUAAAAAAUUCAAAAUAAAUUUAAAAUUAAUCCGAAAAAUGAAGCUUCAAAAUGAACGGCCUUACGUUCUUAAUCCGAAAAAUGAAGUUUCCGUCGUGGAAUAUUAAAUUUACGUCGGUACUUGUAGAACUUUCGCCUUGGUUUUUCUUUCGACGUUUUAAAACGCGCGAGCUCUAAAAAUUUUCGCGUGACCUAAAUUUUUUUAGAUUUGGCUCUUAUUCUUAUACUUCGAACCCUGAAACCUAAAAUUUUCAGAUUUCGCUCUCUCACUUCUGCUCUAAUUAAAAGUUGCACUCUCCAGGCUUCGUCGAAUCUGUGAGCUCGUCCAACCUGUAAGUACAAACCCUAUCUUCCCCUUGUAAAUUCAUUGAAUGAUAUUAGGUUGUUUUGUUAAAGGGUUUUAUGUGUAUGCUUUGCGAUCUGUUAAUAAUGUGCUUAUAGGUAUGGGUUCAUAGAUUUUCUGUUUAAUGGGUUCAUGGAUUACAUUAUCUGUUAUGUUGAAUUGGGAAUGGAUUUAAUUUUGUCGUAUCUUUUAAUCACCCUAUGUUAUGUUGAAUUGGGAAUGGAUUUAUUGUUUUCAUGCUUGGUUUCAUGUAUAUGUUGGUUUCUUGCUUGGUUUCAUAUAUAUGUUGUGUUCUUAAUGGGUUUUGUGUUCUUGAAAAUAAACUGAGACACGACAAAUUUUAAGGCAUACGACGACGAUUACACGACGGUUUUUUUAAACUACCGUCGUUGUAUUACUUAUACAAGACGGUUUUUUCAUAAACCGUCGUUUGUAUUACUUAUAAUAGACGACGUCUGUUGAAAAUCCGUCGUCUAUAUAUGCCAAAUACGUCUGUUUUUGUUUAAAACCCGUCAUCUCUGUUGUGUAUUACUUGCGAUUAGAUCAUUGUAUAAUCUGCUAUAGUGAUGGUCAUUGCCUGUAUUUUCACUUUAUUAUAGAUAAUAGGUUAUAGUGUCGGAGAUGGAUAAGUCAUGGAUGCACUCGGAUAGAAGAUCGAAGGCAUAUGAAUUUGGGGUGGAAGCAUUUUUGAACUUUGCUUGAGAAGUACUUUCCCCCUUCAUUCUUUGAUAUCAUGGUUCAUCUAGUAGUACAUCUUGUCAGAGAAGUUCGUCUAUGUGGGCCAGUAUAUUUUAGGUGGAUGUAUCCGUUUGAAAGAUAUAUGAAAGUGCUGAAGGGGUAUGUUCAGAAUCGUACUCGUCCCGAAGGUUGCAUUGCUGAGCGGUAUAUAGCUUAAGAAGCGGUAGAGUUUUGUACUCAGCAUUUAUCUGAUGUUAGUACAGUUGGAGUGCCUUCAAGCCAAAAGAUGGGACUUUCAAAGCCAUUAUCAGGUUGCACAGUGAGCGUAGUUGAUCAGGACCUGUUGAAUCAAGCACAUCUAUAUGUCUUGGAGAAUACGGAGGAAGUCCUACCUUAUAUCGAGUACGUAUGAGCUUUAUUCUUUAAGUUUCCAUUUUAAAUUAUUUCUUAUGUUUAUCUUCUAUAUUUGGGACCGUAAUGCUUGAAUUUUUCGUGUCAUGUAGGCAACAUAUGAUCCACAUCAAGAUUGCUUAUCCAAAAUUUAGAAAGAGAACAAAGUGGCUGCAGGAUAAGCACAAUAGCACUUUCAUUCAAUGGCUACGCUUCAAGGUAUAUGUUGUUGAAUAACAUAUUUCUCUUUUAAUUUUCUUCUUAUUUAUAUGUUAGAUUGAAUUAAGAUAUGAUUAAUUUGCAGGUUCAAAGUGAACUUGAGGAAGACAAUCAUGGCGUAUCAGAAAAUUUAAGGUGGCUAGCAGCUGGUCCAAACAUGUCAGUGCCAUUAUAUAGGAGCUAUCUUAUUAAAGGUAUUAAAUUCAAUAUCAAGGCACAAGAUGAUGUGCGGACAACUCAAAAUAGUGGAGUUUAUUUACUUGCACAUACCAUGCAAGUUGCUAGUGCCAAGGAUAAAAACCCAAUUCUCUCAAACAUGGGUUUCUAUGGUGUCAUUCAAGAAAUUUGGGACCUUGACUACCAAAAGUUUACAAUCCCAGUCUUUAGGUGUGAUUGGAUAGAUAGUUCUGGUCUUGUAGUCGACGAACUUGGAUUUACCCUUGUAGAUUUGAGUAAAAUUGGACAUAGGAAUGACCAAUUUGUUUUGGCUUCUCAAGUCAAACAAAUAUUUUUUGUUGACGACCCGAUGCAUCGUGGUUGGUCGGUAGUGUUAUCAAUGCCUAAUAGAGAAUAUAAUGAUGUUAUUGGUGAUGAAGUCUUAGGUGAUGUGAUAAUUGAGUGUGAGCCAUUUACUAGAGGGAUGCCAAAUGUUGACACAUUUGAUGAACUGGUGGGUGAGUUAGGCGGUCAAAAUAUUCGAGAUGGGUGUGAAGAUAUAUGGAUUGAAUGAUGCUUAUGUAAUUGGCAGUGUAUGACAUUAAUUUUGUAAUAUAUUGUAAUGUGAUUUCUUCACUUUCUACGUUCAAAUAAAACACGACGUUAUUGUGAACCAGUUAUUCAGCAUAUUUACCGACGUCUUAAAGCAACGUAACAAUGAAGAACCACGACGCUAUUGUGAAGCAAUUAUUCAGGAUAUCACGUCGGGGAAGGAUUAAGAACCGCCAUGUAAUUCAAAAUAACACGACUCCAAUCCCAUAAUACCGACGUCUAAAAAACGAGAUAUAUAAUCUGAACGUUAAAAAAUACGACGUCAUCAUACAUUUUCCACAUCGCAAGUUCUUUUAUAAACGAAGAGGAACGAAAUGAAUUCCGACGGAAAUUCAUUAUAACCGCCGUCUAAUAACAAUUAAACGACGUUAUUUGUAAUACGGCUCUCAUCAUAAUCAACGCCGUCUAUAUGUUCUGUAAUACGGCUCUCAUUUAUUUGGAACCGACGUUGUUUAGAAGUUCAACGUCGUCUAUAUUAUUAAGUGCGUCGUGAGUAAUGAUGAUAGAUAUAAAUACAACGUCGACUAUAUAAAUGCCACUGACGUUGUUUCGCAUUUCAACGUCAACUGUAUAAAUACAUACGUCGUAAAUAAUGACACUGACAACUAUUUCCACGUCAUCUUUUUUAGAAAAAUCGAAGUGGAAAAUUUAUUUCACGACGGUUGUUUGUAAAUAAGAGACGUAGUAUAUUUCAAUAACGUCGUCUUCUCAUGUAUUUAAAGACGUCAUAUUUUUUCUUGUCGUGUAAAUUAUAUUUAACGGCGUAGUAUUUUAGUUGUCGUCGUUGUAUGUAUAUCUUGCGGCCUUGUUCUUUUAACAUGUGUCAUAUUUUUCCUUUUUAACGACGGUGAUUUGUUUGAGUUGGUCGUCUAUUCUCAUCCUCGACUAUUUUCUAGAACUUUAGCAGACUAAACACGUCUGUUUUUAUUGUUUUCCGACGUUGUUUUAUUUAACAACGUCUAAUAUUUAUCGUCGUUGUUUGUUUCUGAAAAUAUGACGUAUAAAUUUUGUAAUACGACUCUCAUAUAUUUGUAACCGACGUUGUUUCGUUUUUCAACGUCUACUCUAUAAAUACAUACGUCGUAAAUAAUGACACUGACAACUAUUUUCACGUCAUCUUUUAUCGAAAAAUCGAAGUGGAAAAUUAAUUUUACGACGGCUGUUUUUAUAUAUGCGACGUAGUAGGUAUCAAUAACGUCGUCUUCUAAUGUAUUUAAAGACGUCAAAUUUUUUAUUGUCGUGAAAAUGAUAUUUAACGGCGUCGUAUUUUUAUUUUCGUCGUUGUAUGUCUAUCUUGCGGCCUUGUUCUCUUAAUAUGUGUCAUAUUUUUCCUUUUUAACGACGGUUUUUUUAGAGAGUUGGUCGUCUAUUCUCAUCCUCGACUGCUUUUUUAGAUCUUUUUGCAGUACAAAGACGUCGUUUUGUAUUUGUUGAUGACGUUGUAUAUUUUAACAACGACGGUGAUUUUGCGUCGUGGUUUAUGAGGGAAAAGAUGACGGUGGAUUCCACGACCAUUGAAAAACCGAAUACACGACGGUGAUUUACCGUCGUCUUUUUGCUUUUUUGUAGUAGUGAGAUAAAAAUGUUCUGAACACUUCUCUAGAAGGCCACGAACCCAUCCGAGGUCAUCUUGGGCUCCAAAAACACAAUAAAAGCCCAACACGUCACUAUUCCAGCACCGCGCACUGCUCAUUUAUUUUAUUGCCAGAAAAUAACCGCUUGGAAGAAAAAUCUGAAAUUUUGAUACGAUCAAGCUAAGUGACUCAAGAACGUCCUCCAACUGGAAUUACUCCAAAAUUCCUCAAUUUGAUUAUGUUUUGCUCCAGAGAGAGUCGAAAGUCCUAUAUUGGAAAUAUAAUUCAAAGUAUCAAAAUUCUUCCAAAAUAUUAACCAAAAUAUACUAAGAAUGAGGUUAAAUAUAUAAUAUAAAAUAUGUCCAUCACCCCACAACAACUAAAGAACCAACAUUUUGUAGAAGGUUUUGUCUAUACCUUUGACUGUAAGUAAAUCUCUUGUAUCUGCUCCUGUGGUUCGGUGAAGUUUCUUUGUGUCCUUUCUGCGGAGUCUCCCAUGCUUGUUCCAUGAAAAUGUUCUAGGAGAAAAUACGGUUGUUUCUUACUAGAUUCAAAUGAUUAAGAAAAAUAAAAACGCAAGAAAAAAGGUAUUUUCUUGAUGGACUUGGUGAUGAAAAAUAUCACUCUCUUUAUAUGUCGUCUUCCUUGGACUUUGAGACCUUGGGUUUCGAUUCUUCUUGAGGAUUGCAUAGGGUUUCUAGGCCCAAGAAUACUUUGAGUUAGUUUUUGCGUUUUGGGCUUUGAGACUUUGAGACUAUAAUGAGUGGAAAGUUAUAAGGGGUAAGUUAUAAGGGGGUCACUUUAUAGCCAUCAGAUUAAUCCAAGGGCUGGGGAGAAUUGAGAUAAAGUUUCACAAUUGGGUAGGUGAGGAACCCAAACCCGAAUUGAAUAUCCAGCACGUCCAAAAAGAAGAAGAAGAGGGAAACACGUCCGAAAAAGAAGAAGAAGAGGCAAGUUCGAAGUUUGAACAGAAAGAACUCAUCUCUCUAAAACACAGAGGUCUGAGAUACCCAAUGAAGGCAACGGCUAACGACAGUUGAAGGCAACAAUUCGCCACUCCGUUCUCCAGACCCCGAAAAAGUAUUUAUUUGGAGUAGAAGGGGCAAAGGUGUGGAUUCCAAAUCAGUGAAGGGGCGAAGCAGUGGAAGGGGAAGGGGAGAAGCUGUAUUCGUUGGAAGUGUAGGUUCCAUUUGUGGAGCAAAGAAAUAGAAAGACCCCACACAGACACCUUGCAAUAACCAGCAUUUGGUGAGUAAUUUAUGGAAUUUGAGUUUAGGGUUAGAGUAAUGGUUUUCCCCAAUUUGUACCAUAAAUUUUGUUGGAUUUGGCAUCUCUUCGUUGUGCUUCAGUUGCAUGUUAAUUUUUGCUUAGGUAUAUGUUAAAAAAGGAAUGAAAAUUAAGUCAAUAACAAGUGAAUAACAUGUCAAUAAUGAUAUGAAUAAGAUAAUGGUGUUGAAUUGGAGGAGGCCCUCAAAACCUUCCACAUUUGAAGCAGUGCAUAGUGCAGAUUAAGAAGAGGCGCUAGAAUAUAUAUAUAUAUUUUAUGAAGUAAAUAUGAUUUCCUUUGUUACUAAAUUUGCCUGAGAAACAUUUGAACAGAUAAUAAUAAACUCAUGAAUAGAACUGCAAAGCAUUUGAUGAGCAAUGUAAGGAAUUUAAGUUUAGGGUUAGAGUAAUGGCAUCUCUUAUUUGUGCUUCAAUUGCAUGUUAAUUUUUGCUUGGGUAUAUGUUAAAAAAUGAAUGAAAAUAAAGUCAAUCACAUGUCAAUAACAUCUCAAUAACAUGUCAAUAACAUGUCAGUAAUGAUAUGAAUAAGAUAAUUGUGUUAAAUUGGAGGAGGCGCUCAAAACCUUCACAUUUGAAGCAGUGCAGAGUGAAGAGUACCUCUCUGGCACUAGAAUUUAUAUAUUUUGUGAAAUAAAUAUUAUUUCAUUUGUUACUAAAUUUGCCUAUGAGAAAUGAGAACAGAUAAUAAUAAACUCAUGAAUAAAAGUGCAAAGCAUUUGAAAUGAAGGUUGAUCUAUGACGAUUGUGGGUGACUGAAGAAAAAGGUAGAAAGAAAGAAGGAUGUGGCAAUUGCUUAGCAAGCAGAUAGCAGAGUACAUGCUUUGCUUUGCUUCCUUCCACUAUAUUUCUUAUUUAUUUAUUUUGGGUUGUGUAUGAGAUGACAAUAAUUGUCAUGUGUGUGAAGUGCAGAACUUGCCUACAUUGCACUCACACGAGUAUGGAUGCAUAAAUAAAACACGUGAAAUUGUUUGUAAUUCACAUAAUCAUUGCAUUAACAGGUAUUUGCACAAAAAUUGUCAUAUUGCUUUGAUGAUGUUAAAGGCUGUGAUGAGUAAUCCCUAUGCUCAUGUACUUUGUAAAAGUUGUAAUGUGCCUGGUUGACUAGUUGUGAUUGUGCAAAUACGUGGUAGUAUAUAUGUUCACGUUAUUUCACAUUGUAUUUGAGGAAAUGGGAUCCAACGUGGAGCUGGUAUGGCCAGAGGCAGAGGUAUAUUCGUCACGGGUGAACAACUGCUCACAUGCAAAUUCAUCUCUAGCUGCAAUUCGAGCGAAGUUGAGUGCGGAACAAUUAGAACAAUUCAAGACAUCAUGCUUUGGCCAUCUUCUGAAUAUAGAUAAGAUUCAGUUUAGCGGGCAGAUUGUGCAUGGGGUUGUGUUGCGUAGAGUAGCGGGGCAGGGUGUGAAAGACUUGGAUGGACUGAGUUUCUUAUUAGGGUGUGACGUUGCUCAGUUCACUCGUCAGGAUUUCUGUUUGAUCACAGGGCUUCGUUUUGGGGAAGUGCCUGAAGUUUCCAGUGGAGAGAGUGAUGAAAUCAGACUUCAGAAAAGAUAUUUUAUAGACGAAGGAAUUACAUGCAAUGCUUUAGAAGAAGCAUUUGUGAGGUGCACAGAGGAAGAUGACAUCUACAAGCAAGCUCUUGUUUACUUUGCUGAGUUAGUGGUUUUGGGAAGGGACAAACAUUUGAACAUCAAUCUAAAUUACCUGACCCUUGUAGAGGACUUGGAUGCGUUCAACAGGUAUCCGUGGGGUUCGGUGUCCUUUGACAAAACCCAAGACAGUCUAUUUUCUGCACCAACAAAGUAUGUGAAAAGCUUGGAAAAUGAAGAGGGAAGAGGGAAGGGGAAAAGUAAGGUAACGGGAACAAGCCGGAGAAAUGAGAAGGGCAAGAAGGAUAAGCAUGGUGAAGCGCAAAUGAGUGGCUGGAGUUUUAAAGGUUUCACGUAUGCUUUCCAGGUACAUGGUAAUAAUGUUCAUGUCAGUUAUGUUUUGUUUUUCUUUAAAACAUAAAUAAUGACUUUUGUCCUGUGAAUUGUGUAGAUUUGGGUAUAUGAAUUAAUUCCUAGAAUGGCGGACCUGAAUUACUGCAAGGUUGUUGAUCCGACCGUUGUCCCGCGUAUUUUGCGAUGGAGAACUACUACGUCUGUUCCAGAGAUGAGAAAGUUGAACAAUUAUUUUUUCCAGAGCAAAGAGGUUUGGUUUGCAGCCCUUGGAACUAUUGAUAAGAUUGAAUGAAAUUAUGAAGUAGAAUGAUUUGAUAUGACUCUUGUCUGUAUUCUGAAACAGUCAGUUCAGUUGCGGGCGCUAUGUCCGAGUGAAGAGGAAAUGAGACAGCCAUAUUGGAGUUGGCCACAGGAUCGCCCUGCUGUUGUCUCAGCAGAGUCAAUUCCUUCUUCAUGUGGUGAUCUUGAUGAGUUGAACAAGGUGGUAAGUUGGUUGAGGUCCGAGUUGUUUCAAGUAAAGCGGGAAAAAGACGUCCUUCACUUAAAGGUCAUACGGAUGGAAAAACUGUUGGACCAAUGUUUAGGUCCUCAGUUUGAGCAGGAAGUAAGGAGGGACCUAGCUUUACUGAAACAGAGGACGAAUCGUUGUGUCAUCUCACAUCUAUUUAAGGGAUAUGGGGAAAUGGAUGACAUUCAAUGGGAUGAAGGGCCAAGUAACAGAAAUGAGGGAGAGGAAAAGGAAGAUGAAGGGAUUGAAGGGGGUGAAGGGCCAAAUAAUAGAAAUGAGGGAGCACAUAAGGAAAAGGAGGGGAUUGACGGAGAGGAAAAGGAAGAGGAGGGGAUUGAAGGGGGUGAAGUGCAAGGAAAACCAAGUGAGGUAGAGGAAGGGCAAAGGAAAAGAAGUGAAGGAGAGCAAGUGCAAGUAAAAAGUAGCAAAGGAGAGGAAGCCCAGAGACAGAGCAGUGAGGGAGAGGAAGUGAAAAGAAAAAGCAGUAAGGGAGAGAAACUGCAAAGGAAAAAAAGGGAGGGCAAGGAAGUGAAAACACAAACAAGUGAGGAAAAGGAAGUGCAAAGAAACCAAUGUGAGAAAGAAGAUAAUGAAGUUAUGUUGCUUGGGGGUGACAUUGGCGAGAGCACGGAGGGGACACUGCUUGAGUUUACUGUCGGGGACAUUGAUUUGGAUGAACCUACAGCUGUGCUAUCUCAGUUGAACGUGUGGUUGAAUGAUAAAGGUAAAGCUCUGGCACAAGGGGUCCAAUUACGGAAAAGGAAGAGGAUCAUUCCUUUGUGGAAGAUCAUUGAAGGCAGUGAAUUGGUUCCAAAAAUUGGGGCACAGACAACCGGACUGAAGAUGUUAGACCCAAUGAAGGCGAUUUCGCAUGAUGAUCUGGUGAAAUUGCUGAAACUUUGUUGGGAAUGGCGCCAGGACCCAAAGUAAGUCCCUUGCAAUUAUAAGAUACAAGCAUGACUGUAUAUAAUUUUUUAUAUACAGUGUUCUAAAACUGUUUUAUAUUCAUAGUUUGGUGAUGCAAUUUGGCAACGUGGAAGCUGAGAUUGAAUUCUUCGCUUCCCUCGUGAAAGCUGAUGGUUGGCUGAAAGGAGAUGUAAGUGUAAUUGAUUAUGCAUUUGUUUUAAUGUACAUACAUUAUGAGAUUGACAAGAAAAACAUGUUGCAGCACAUUGAUUUGGGGUUGUAUCUCAUCCGGAAGCGACAACAACAGUUGGAGACAGAUUCGGUAGAAGUAGCGGACUGGACAACGACCGAUGUUUUUUUUAUGGUAUGUCAUCGGCCUUGACCAAGUGCCGUUAAUAAUUACACAUUUUCCAUACACACACUAGUGGAGGUGUUUAACCAUUGAUUGUUUUGUAUUUCACAGAAUCACAUUCGUACUUGCUUUGCGGAUAAUAAAAGAAAAAAACAGCAGCUUGGGUGGAAAAUCAGGAAAAGUUUACUAACCGUUGUAAAUGGGAAGGUUCCUCCGUGUGGGUUGGAUUGGCAGACCGUCUAUAAGGUGUAUACCCCAUUUAUGUUGACGAAGUACAAGCAUUGGGUGGCUGUAAUGAUUGAUCUGGUAUUGUGUGAAAUCAAAGUGUACGAUUCAAAGGUUUCACUAAUUCCAGAUGACAUCGUAAAGGAAGAACUCGGCCCGCUAUCAAUUACGCUUCCAAAUCUUCUCAACACCAUCGACUUUUAUGAAAAAGGUGUUUAUGCAAACAAUUGCAGCCAAGAUUAGUGGUGUCCGUGGCCAAUAGAGCGUGUGGAUGUUCCACAACAGUCUAAUGAGUAAGCACAACUUGCAAUUUAAUUUUAUUACUUUCAAUUGUCAAUUACGUUAGAAUGUCAUUAGUUGAAUUGAUCGAGUUCUUGUUUUGCUUCAGAGGCGAUUGUGGCAUGUUUGUGUUAAAGUACAUUGAGCUUUUCAGCGCUGAGCUUCCGUUAGCUACUUGCACCUCGCACAACAUGCCUUUUUUUCGGUUGAAAUUGGCUGCGGAGAUAACAAGGGGAGAUGCUUACUUCCCAUGAUAUUGGUUGAAGAUGACAAAUGGUACAUGAGAAGGUUUUGGGAAUGUCCAUUCUCAAACUAAUGUAAAUACACAAUAGAGAAGUACGGGUCCUUAUCGAAUUCUACCGCUAACUCCUUCAUGACAUUUACAUGUUUGUUAACCAAACUGCAUUGAAUUGGAAUUUUAAGACUGCAUAUGUGAAUUGGGAUUUGAAGAUGGCUUUUUAAGUGUAUUACAUCAUUGCAAAGUGAUAUGUCAUUGUUGAUGCAAGCCACCAUUAAUCGCAAUGUGUUGCAUCAUAAUAGGUGUCUAAACAUGCGAAAGGUUUUCCGCAGCUCAGUAGCAUAAAAGUAGAAACAAAGACAAUAUACACAAAAUGAACAACAAUUCACAAAUGCACCGACAAGCAAUACACACACAACAGACAAACAAUAUACACAAACUUGGCCUGCCAUAUACAGAGAAUAGACAUGCAAUAUACACACAGUAGACAUGCAAUAUACACACAAUAGACAUGCAAUAUACACACAAUACUCCCUUAACACACACAAUAGACAUGCCCUUGCCCACAAUAAUGAUGCAAUAUACUUCAGUCCCCAAGUACACCAACCAUAGGGAAGUCGUAUUGAAUAGGAUAUUAAACUUAACAGUUGUUCUUCCUACUAAAAGAAAGAAUAAGGUUCGUUUCCCCCCUUCAUUCUUACUUGAGUGAUACUUGUGGCCCCAAUAAACAUCCAAUUUUGGGGCAAUGAUAUUCCAUAUACAUGCAGCAAACUAUCAAUAAACCUUCAAUAAACCUUCAAUAAACAUUCAAUAUCGUUUCUAUAACAUGCGAAAUACAUGCAGUUACCAAAUAUUACAAAAUGGGUUUAGGGUCUCAUUGGUGGUGCGUGCAACAUGUCUUGUGCGGGAGAACUUUCACAAUCUUUUAAACCGUGCAGUUAAAUGAUCAUUAAAAGAACAAAUAAAAUGACAAUUGAUACAACUAAUAAAACUAAUACCAAGUCCUUAAUGGACUUCAGCAUGUUCAGCACUCUAGCAUCAUACGUGUCAUCUUGAUGUUCUGCUUCAGCGGAGGUUACAUCAACCCAUUCGAAUCCAUUGCAACUGGUGGCUCCCUAAUUGCAGGCAUCAUAUAUGGAAUAUAAUUCUGUCAGAGUUAGACAUAGGUUUUUUUUCACCCACAUACAUAUUCUUUAAAUUAAAACUUACAUAGGAGGUUAGACACUUCCAGAAUGGCUUCCCUCGAUUUUUGUCAGAUUUUGAAACCCGAAGCACCAUUGUAGCUCCACAAUACUGACACCUCUUUGUUUGAGCGGGAGAUGAAGAUGAAGACAUGUUUAAUCUUCUCAGUUGUACCUCUUCUCACUCAGAUCUUCUCACUGAAACCUCUUCGGACUCAUACCUUCUCACUCAUAGUUGUCAUUCAUACCACUUCACUCAUAACCCUAAACUUGUCACUCAGCUCUCUCUCAUCUCUGCCCAAAUCGAGUUAUAUUUCUUUUUUUUGGGAUCAUUUGGUGGGUUGGUCACGAUGUCGACACCUGUACCGUCAGCAUUGUGACAUCUUUUAGCCCGAAAAGCAAUAUAAACUACUUCACUACCAAAUAUAUUUUCUGAAUAAUGACGGGACACUGCUUCAAUUUUAUUAAUUUAUUUAUAUUUCAUUAAGGCAACUAGUUGGAUAAGAAUCCGUCAUUAUUGGUUCCAUUUUAAUAACAUUACUAGGGGUAAUUGGGUGUGGGAAAAUGAAAAAGUAUAUGAUGGGACCUUCUGUCACUAGUCAGUAAUCCAUCACAUUUGUAUCAAUGAAUUUGAUAGUGGGAUAAACCCAAAAAUGGCUAUGCAAAUAGCCAUUUAAUUAACUUUUUGACUGUCUGACUCUGUAUGCACCGUUAUGACGUUUUCCCUUCUUUUGUCUUAAGUUUUAAUUCACUGGGGUUCAGUUUCUUUCAAAAGGGUCAACUUGGAAAAACCCCAACUGGAAACACCUUUUCAAAACACUAUAAACAGAGGCUAAAACAAAACGUGUACCCCAAAUAUUAUCAUUUAUCCCCUCUGCCACUCCUCAAAUCGUUCCAUUCCAAAAACUUUUCAAUGAAUUCGAAACACUUCACUACAGUCGGAGGAAAGAGAAGGAAGCAUGUCCAUUUCGAUAUGCCCGAAGCCUUCAUCCCGGAGUCCGCUUGGUUUCAAGUCAUGUUAUACGUGGCAACCGAAUCAUCGGAAGAUCUCUUCCGUAUGGCAUCUGUGUGACGAUUGUUCCGAACUUUGGCAAACAGUUCACAAGUGUGGAACACCAUUUCAAUGGCAAAGUACCCAGACCAUCCUAUAUGGUACCGUGCCAGACCUGCGGUCCAGCAUUUCUUGCAACAAUGCAGGGCUUGCGAUAACCCUGAGUCCAUAUUUAGAGAAGCAUUCGAAGGUUUUUUCAGGCACGGUAAGGUGGAAGCGUUGUAUGGGAUGCGCAUUGCAGCCACGGCAGGCCAUAUGGAAGCGGCAUAUGUAGUUGGACUACUUGGUAUGUCCGGAAUUGGUCAGUCAAAAGAGGAUGCAUUACAAUUCUUGUGUUCUUUGAAUCAACGUAACAACAUUGAUAUGAAAGGAACCAGGGAUGCUUUGACAGGAAGAUUUCACGGAGCAUUUGUUGCAAGACAUAUCGUAGAUAUGUUUGACUAUGGGAAGAUUAAGUUCAAUCGGUGCAGCGCUUGUAACAACAAUGAAUGGUAUUUUGUUAUUCCAGGCUGGCCUAGUGAAGACAAGAUAAAUCCUGCGUUGUGGACUUGUUGCAAUCGAUGCAAAUGGCACCGUGAGAGUAUUUUUUGGUGCAAACUGAUGCGUGAGUAUGUUGUGCGAGGGAAUCACGUAUUUUUGCAUUAGUUUUAGUACGAAUUUACGGUUUUGAUGCAUUGUGGACUUGCUUCUCUUCACUUCUAGGUUGGCUGGCUACGUUAUACCUAUCUCAGUUUAAAUGUUGUUCAAAUGUUGGUAUUUUGUCAUAAACCGUUUUAUAUAUAAAUGUAUAAUAUUUAUUAUAUAGCGGAAUUAUUACUUACAUCAUAGACGGCUAGGAAUGACAUUUUACUGACACAGAUAUUUUGCUCACCGACCCCAAUCUUCAUAUUUGAUAAACGAAAAGUUAUGCAUGGAGUAAAUAGGUGUCUUUUCACCAGUGCUUGGGAAUGACAUUUUCCCACUUAGCAUAUCCGAAAGGAUUUGGUUACACGUUUCUUAACCUAGGGGGUUGAACAGUGAAUGACGUAGACUAUUUUUUGUGUGUGGAAGGAGUACAAUGGAUGACUUGUAUAUUUCCAUAUUAUGUUUCAAAACAUCCCUUCAACCUAAAAAAUAAAAAAAUUAACAAAUUGAAGAACAGAGAAACCGAUGAGCACUACAAAUGGCCUAUUCGCACGGAAAAUAAAAUUGUUUUCAACAAGUUGGACUAAAUAUAAUUAACAAAUGGACAGCCUAAAAAGUAAUAUCAUAAUAAUUAUAAUAAUUGUGGAUAAAUAAUAAUAAAAUACUAAUGUAACAUAACCAUUAAACAGGGAAUGCAGUAGGAAGAUGAAAUCGCAAUAAGUUCGUAGAAAUUUUGGGAUCGUUUUUCUAAUUUUUGUGUAUUUAGUUAUGAAUUUUCCAAGAAAAAAGGUAAUAAAAUAAUAAUUUAGGGUAAAAUGGGAGGAUGUGGCCAUGUUCGGUAACGUACACUUGUGCAAGUAGUCAAAAGUGACGGGCUGAGAUCGCGCCAGGUGUCAUAUUCUUGUUAAUUUUGGAUUCUUUUGUUAAAAAAUCUUUGAAACUAGGUAAUAAAUAGUAGGAAAAUCGUAAAAAUGGCCCAAAAAUUACUCCGGCCUCCUUUUGACGUCCUAAAACUAGGAGAACCUAUAAAUCAUUCGUCUCGCAAUGAAAUAAUCCAAAUUGUGUUACAUAACUCACUUUCCUCUUAACCCUAAGUAUUGAUGUUUGUUAACUUCAACUUGAAUAACCUACUUCAACAAGCAUCUCCCGUUAAUAUUGGGAAUUAAUUUUACAAAUGCGUAACAAUGAAUCGGAGAAUUCAGCAACGGAGAUGGAGUGUCAAUGAGUUCGUAGCAAUUUUCGGAUAAUUUUUUUAUUUUGUGUGUAAUUAGUUCUGAUUUUUGUAAGGAAAAGUAAUAAAAUAAUAAUUUAGGGUAAAAUGGGAGGGUGUGGCCAUGUUGACUGACGUACACUUGUGCAAGUAGUCAUCAGUGACGGGCUGAGAUCGCGCCAGGUGUCCUUUUGCUAUUAUUUUGGCUUUUUUAGUGCAACAAUCUGUGGACAUAGGUAAUAAAUUCUACGAAAAUCCAAAAAAUGCCCGGAAAAUGAGAAAAUGAAAAUUAUUUGUACAUAACUCACUUUCCUCUUAACCCAAAUUCACGUUAACACGUAUAUUUCGGAUAAUAUUCGAAAUAUAAUUUCUAAUAAUACAAUAUUUAGUUUCACUAUAUACAAUAAUAUGUUUUUUUUAUAAUAAUGUACAUAAAUAAUAAUUGCACAUGCUUUGAAGCCAUCAUUGCAACUACGCCUAGAGCUUUGAAGACGUCAGUUCGUAUUCAAUAAGUUGUCCACAUGCAACUGCACCUAGAGUUUUCAACACGUCAGAGGUAUUCAAUAAGUUGUCCACAUGCAACUGCACCUAGAGUUAUUAACACGUCACAGGUAUUCAAUAAGUUGUCCAUAUGACGCCGCAUUGGGAAUCAGUAAUAUAUUUUCAAUCAUGUCAAAUCACAUAAAUAAUGCCAUACUUUUUCUCAAUAACCUCACACAAGUGAAGCAAUUUUAAAACCCUUAGUGAAUAUUUAUCCUAGUCUAUAUGAGUGAUUAUAUAAUCAGUUGCAUAAUAUUUUUUUCACAGUAUAUGUUAACUUUGAGAGGGAUUCCACAAACAUAAAAUAUAAAGAAAGCAAGAAAUAGUAGGAAAUGAACCAGUACAAAAAACAAUAUAUAAAGUGUACAUAAUAAUUCCAUAACCUUGUCACAAACGCACUCACAAAAGCUUUUCCAUAAACCUUGUCCUAACAUAUAAUAAAUAAAGGCAACAUUGCAUAUGAUGCAACCAUGUCCAAAUCUGAUAAGUGAUCAAAAACAAAUGGACAUGGCAGCAACAUAUGAUUGAAGUAGAUGGGCUCUUUGCAUCUUCUGUUUUCGUAAUUAAAGACAUCAAAAUAUUAAGGUUUAAAUCUUCCAUAGUAGUUAGCAUCAAAAUAGCUUUGAAGCAGAGUGUAACGAAAAUUCCAAUUCCACUUAUUUGCCUCUGCUCAAACACGAGAACCAAAAUGGUUACUUCCCUUGCUGAGUAUAUUUGGUGACGUCGGAAACGGUAAUAGAUGACCAAUCAAACCCGGGUACGACGAGUUUUGCAUAGGAUCGGAAGUAGUCGAAUCCAGCUUGCAUCACACGCUUCUUUGACUCCACUACAUUAGAUGAGUUCUUGUAUUUUUGAACAGCUACACUCUGAAGUCGUUUGUGUCUACGCUUCAUGCGCUGCAACUUCGCCCUAUCCAGAUUGGCCUGCCUUUUGUCAUCUUCAAUUUGGCCUUCCACAAAUUCCAAACGUGCCCUUGCCCUUUGGAUUUCAUCACCAAGUUGAAGAUGCCUCUCCUUCCAAAAAGCAACAACUCUUUCAGACUCAAAACUUCCAACAAAAUGGUCAUUCUGUCUAGCAAUGUGACAUUGCUUGUCUGGUGACUCACUUGCGUGUCGAAGCCGGUCUUUGUUUGGAGGGGUGUUUAUUAUACUCACAUCAAACUUGGUUGUGCUUAUGCUCAUUCUUUGGGGGGAAUGAGUUUGUUUGCUUGAGAGAGUAUCGGUAGAUGGAGACAGAUUCGGUGGAGGAGUGAGUUUUGUGUGGAAGGAGAUUUUAUAUGAAAGGGGUGAUAGUAAUACCAAGAAAAGGGUUCCCGCCAAAAAAUAUUUGGUUGACAAAGUAGAAAUUAUUUUUUUAGUCUGAUACAAUCUAAGUUUAAUCCUAACUAGUUUGGUUGAGUUAACUAAGUAGAUGUCACUUCCAUUGACUUUCUUUCAACAACUAUCAGUGGUGUAAGGAGAGUGUGAGGUUGACAUGCUUGAAAAGCAAAAGCUGACACCUAUUUUUAAAAAAUUCCCGCCAAAAAGUACAUAUGUUGACUACACACAAGCUUUGGUAUGUUGGUCUAUAAACCUAUGUUCCCUUUCUCAAACGAAAUUGCAUAUGCAAUCCUCAUCCUCCCAAAACAAAGAGGAUUAUUCAAGCAUGUCAACCUCUUCAGGCGCCAACAACACAAUCGAACAUGACAAAUUGGAGUCACAGGUUCUAUUUCCACAUUGUACUCGCCGACCCCUUCCUUUUUCAACAUCAUUUGGGAGUGAGGGGGACUCCGAUGAUCCAUUAGAGGCAAUACAUGCAGUCAGUGGCAAGCUGGAUUAUAAUUCCAGACUGAUCAAUUCAUGGCACGAGAAAUGUGUUGAAGACGAGGCAAUUUUGGCUGAUCUUAACAUUAGGGUGAGCAAAGCGUUAUCCCAAAAGAACAAGUACUUGAAGCUGAGUCAUAGCAGGAAGCUGAAAGCUGAGGAGUUGGAUACAGUAAUGAAUGAUGAAAUGAAAGGUUGUUUGAUGAACCAUAUGCGAUGCGAACAGCACCAUACUGAACUGGAGUUGGCAUUCAACGAAGGAUUCGACAAAUUCCGAGCAUUUGCGGCAACUACUCAUACAAGUUAUGAUUGGAACUAUGUGUCCCCUGAUGCUGUGAGAGAGAUACUAGACGAUGGGGGUGACAUGAAUGAGCAUAAGCACGUCAAAGCUGCUCGGAAGAAGCCGACCGAUACGACUAAGUGAUUGCGGCUACCGCUGUUCAGUUAGUUGAGGGUGACCGUGGUAUUGCACAUAUACUCCCUUAAUGUCAUUAUCUAACUUAAAAUAACACAAAUAUCAGUUUCAUUUGCUUGAUAUAUAAUUAUUGGGACUAUGUAUUGCAAGUCAUCAUGUGUUAUAAUGUCUAACAUUAUAUUUUGCAAAUAUGGAAAUAUUAUUCAAGAAGCAGUCAAUAUCACAGAAAGCCGGGAAUCAGUAAAUGCUCCUUAUCAUGUCCAUUUACAUUAAAGAGCUGGAGUACUAAUGUGUUCAAAAAAAACUGACACGUGAGUCAUAAGUAACAUAACAUGUGCUAUACAUUGUUUACUGAAUGGUUUAUGGUUUAUUUGUAUAUAAUAAAAUUUCAAAUAUUGCUGAAGAUUUAUUUCGUGUAUAUCACUAGGGAUAUGAGUGGCCAUAAGCAUGUGAGACCUGCUAAGAAGAAGCUGACGAGUACGACCCAGUGAUUGGCUACCGUUGUUCAGUUGGUUGGGGAGAUCGUGGUAUUGCUAUGAGGAAGCACACAAUAUGUUUUGCAAUCAAAUGUUCUUUUGUGUGUGGAAUUAUGAGUAUUUAUGUAAGUUAGUGUACCCUUUAAUAUUUUUCACCUAAGUAUCGAAAUGCAGUUUUUGAAUGUUAUGUUUUUUUUUACCCGCUGCUUUCUAUUUGCUCUGUUCCAACAAAGUGCUUCAAGUAUCCUUCACUUACAAAAGUGUACAAAAUCGUGCCCCUAAUAACCAGUCGGAAAAAGUGGCUACUGCUGGAAAUGAUUACUGGUAAUGGAAACAACAGCUGGCUGCUGUAAUUGCUGCAUUACCGUGAGGAUUUGAAAAAUGAAUCUCUGUUAAAACAAAUUUCACCCUAAACUGCCCAUUUUACAUGGUAAAAGUCAUUGCUUCUUCAAAUCUUUUGCAGCUACACGAUGCGUGGUCAGAAUCUUUGACAUAUACGACUUCUGCCACUCUUGUUUCCCAAUUUUUUCUUUCGCUCACGUUGAACACAACUUUACAAGCAUCCUCUGUUUUGAGCUCUAGGAAACAUGCUGUACUUUGUAUUAGUUCUUGCUCAAACUUUUGAAACAUUGUCCUUGUGUACAAGGUAGCCAUUUGUUUGUUCAUUGGCAUCGGUAGAAGACAUUGAGCCACUUCAAAUGCAUCUGCGUGAUCAGCAACUAACUCUUUUUCACGUUGAUGAGAAAGUGCCCUCUCAAAUCGUAUUAUGAAAUCCAUCAACGAAUUUCUCCUUGAUAUGUAUUGCUUGAAAAAACCAUGAGAACCUUCCGCUCUUUGGCUGCUUGACAUUCCAGCGGCAAAAAAUUGUCGUGCGUAGGCUGGAACCCAAGAUUCCCUUAAAUCAAACAUUGAACUUAGCCAUGGAUGGUCAGUCAAACCAGCCUUUGUAACCACAAUAUUCCAUUUUGCAUCAAACUCAUCCUUAUUGUCAGUAUCCCAUAUGGCUUUCUGAAAUUCAGGCCAAUACUCCUUAUAAGCGUCACGUGGUAACUUAACAGAGAACUUUGAUGUGAUGUGCUAUAUGCAAAGUCGAUGAAAUGUACUCGGGAAGGCUAUUGAAAUCGCUAUGGCCAUUGCCGCAUCUUGAUCUGUAAUGAUCGUUUUAGGUUCCCCACCUGGCAUGGCUUUCUUAAACUCCUCAAACAUCCAAACAAACGACUCAGUCGUUUCCUUGCUCAAAAAUGUGCAUGCUAACACAAUUGUCUGACCAUGGUUAUUAACUCCCAACAUUGGUGCAAAUGUCAAGUCGUAUCGAUUCGUGUUGAAUGUGGUAUCAAAUACAACAACAUCUCCAUAAAACCCAUACGCCCGUCUAGAAGUUGCAUCUGCCCAAAAACAUCGACUAAACCUAUCAUGCCCAUCUCCCUCAAUCUUGAAAUAAAAAGCCUCAUUUUUUUUCUGUUCAGCCAUAAAAUACUCGGUCACUAGUUCAACAUCGUGGUUCCUCAGCUUCCCAAUCACACUACAUUCAAGAUUGUAGAUAUCUUUUUUGAUAAAACCGAUUUUAUCCAUUCCUCCGGAUUGCACCUCGAAAAUACUUACCUUCUGAUGAAUGGGAAUAUUAACUGAACCCAACUGUUUUGUGAGUACUUUUGUAGAAUCUGAAAUAUGACGGUGUGAUCUCAAUAAAUGCAUUCUUUCUAAGGGUGUCAUCUUAUGAUUGUGUCCCUCUGCAAAAAGAGAAAUGUUAUACUUGUUGCUCCCAUUUGUCUUCACAACCACAAUCUUUGCUUUGCAAUUGCAUCUACUUAUUCCCCGUUGUCUUUUUCUCUCCCGAGUUUCAUCCUUCCUGUAUGCACCUUGUUUGCAACAUACAAAUUCUUUCCUCAAAAUCUCUUUCUUAUUUUUCCCCCAAAAGCUAGAAUGAAGUCGAAUACCAAAGCCAGCCAAGAAUGCAUAUCUAUUAUAGAAAUUGUAAACGAGGUCAAGCGAGUCAAACUUCAUCCCAACUGCUGGUGUUUCCUCAUUUCUUACUUCAGGAAUAUAAACCCUCCCAUUAGCUGUUGCACAUUCAUCACUCUCUGAGCCCCCAGACAUUUUAUCUACGUAUAUUAUUGAUCCACUUCUAUAUUACUGCAUAGCAAUUAUUCAUUCAUUAAUCAGUCAUUACUGCAUCACAACAUAUCAAUGCAUUCCACUUACACAAAACAUUGCCCAAAUUGACACAAAAUACGCAUAGCCUAACUUCCGAUUACACAAAACACAAGCAAAAUUUCAUAAAAGUUACGUCAUCUCUUGUGAAAUAAUCUGGUCAAAAUAACAUUAGAACCAACAUGUUCAACUAAGAACACAAAUGUAAUUCAAACCACCAAUUACAGAACUUCACCCAAUAUCCUCUCCAACUGCUUACUCCUAAUGUCAUUAAGCCUAAGUUUAGGUUCUUUUACCUACAUUUCAUAAUUUUUCACCCCGACCAACAACAAUGAACUAAGUAUAUUGAAUAUUCACAAGGAAAUGACACAUUAUUGAUGCCACAAAUGACGAAUUUCCCACCCUCACAAAAAAUAAACCUAACCCAAUAAAAUCAAUCCAGCAAGUGAACUUACCUCUCAAAAUCAAUCGAGAGCUCUGAAGUCAGUCAGCUUGAAAGAAUGUGGUGGACAUUAGAGAAGACUCUUUGGUAUUUGAGACUCCAUCUCUAUCAAAAUCGAGGAACAACUGCUGCUGCGGCUUCUAGCUACAAAAACAGAUAUGCUACUUUGCUUUCAUCUAGAAUCUUGUCAGCUGAAUGAAAAAGAGAAGGGGUUUUCACUUGAGCCAUAGAAUCAAAACAGGGCAACAGCUAGGUAAGAGCCAUUCUUCGUAAUACCCAGGAUACCAUAGAUCGCAGGCCUCCCAACGAGCUAAUGACAGUGGAGUGACUAUAAGGUUUGGGAGAUUUGGAUCCUUCUAAUUGUGGGUUUGCUUUACAUUCAAAAAGAAAGGAUUGUGUUCUUCAGUUUUUCACAGAGAGGGAAAGAGGGGAACAACUGAAGUUGGGUUUCUAACGGGUUAGAUUUCAACCCGAUUCUACAUGCACCCUCUUUUAAAAACUCACCGUUGGAUGAAAUCCAACGGCUCUUACAUACCCCUCAAAAACACCCCUUAUAACUUCCCACUCACUAUAGAAGCUCCCCCAACUAAAUCCCAAAAGGGAAACAGAUUUGAACAACAUACAAAUUUGAAGGACACACAAAUAUGAAUCUCAGCACCGGUGAGAAAUUAAUUUUAGUUGAGGUUGGUAGGUAGGCAUUGGAAGUUUUUAUUGUUUUUGCUCCAAGUCCCUCCUCCACUCACUAAUACAGAUUACUCGCAAAUGAACUAAAGUCUGCAGGGAUAUAUGGACUCCCCUGUCCAUACGAAUGUUGGAAGAAAUGUGUGUUAAAUUUUAGAGAGACGGGUCUGUGACCCACCACUAGCAACGUUGAUAUUGUCUCCAACUUAACUACAUGUUUAGUAGAUGUGGGGUUUUAUACAAAAAGUAUUGAUGUUAUUGGGAAUGGAACCACUUAUUAUAAGUUAAAAUUUAUUUAGUCAAGUUUCCUAUGUGGGACUUUCUAUUCUUCAACAAGCCCCUUCAUGUGGGACCACCACAUAGUGGGCCACACGUAGAGCCAAGUCCACAUCGGAGUCAAUCAUUCAAGCCCAAUACCUAAACACCACGUAUUGUGUGAGGGGUAGGGGUAAACAUUCAAGCCCAACAUAUGAACACUGUAACAUCCCAACUCCAAAUUUAAUCCCUUAUUUAAAUUAUUUAAGUGAAAUUACAAAUUUACCCUUGGGGUAGGGAUAUUUUGGUCAUUUUCUUACCCGAAAAGAGUUUGGGGCAGUGACUAGUAUUUUUUGGUAGAUCGUACUGAGAUGAGUCUGUAGACAUGUAGUGGGCUCGAUUCGGAGUUGAAACGAAGAAGUUACGAGCAAAACAUCACCAAUGGCAAAACCGUAAAUAUUUCAAAAUGAAUUUUUAAUAAAAAAAACCUGAAAAACCCUCUCUCUCUCUCUCUCUCUCUCUCUCUCUCUCUCUCUCUCCUGCGCACAGCCCCUUUCCCCCCUUCGUUUUUUCUUUCCGUGGCUUCCAAGAGCCACCAUCGCCACCACGAAUCACCACCGGCCAUGAGGCCGGACUCGUUCGAACUGCCGCCGCAUCCUCUUCCUGUUCCGGUCGCUCCCAGUCGCUGCCAUCCGCUGUGCUGGCCGGAAAUCGAAGAAAACCAGCCGAUUUUUGUCAAACUUUCGGCCGCUCGUUCUCCCACUUCCGGCCACCAUUUUGGCCAUCCAGGUAUAGAUUUUGAACCUCUCGAGCUGUUCUUGCUGCCUGUUGUGUUAGAUUUGGGAGAUUUCCGCGUUUUGAAGGUCGAUUAAACGAUGGAAGUUUGGCUGGUUUUUGGCCUCCGAUUCCGGCCACUUUCGGUCACUUUUUGGGGUAGGUCCAAGAACAAAAGUGGUUCCAAAUAGGGUGUUAUACCUAGGGUAGGAGUCUUGAGCCGUGGUUUUGAGAUUUCUCGGUGAUGCGUAAUCGCUUUGGACACCCAUACGCUACCGGCGCGUGUGGUGGCGCGUGGGCACUGUAGAAAUGGGGUAUUGUGUCCCGAUGCGAUCCCCUUGUUGUCACGAGUGUGUAGUGUGCUCGGAUUCCAAUUUGGUUGACAUUCGAACCCCGAACGAAUUUCUCCUAUUGCACGUUAUCCGCGUUUGAUAGGUUUGAACCGUUGGAUAGUCUUGAAUUUAAUAUAUUUAAUCUAAGCAUUUCUAGGAUCGUGUAGGAAUUCACGGAUCAUGAAUCGGAACCCCGGAUGUUCCGAUUUAAUAAUUUAAAGUUUAUGUUUAUAUUAACUGUCAGAUCGUGCAAUCGUGAGCGAUCCGACCUUCCGAUCCGGACCAAACGUGCAGGACGUAUAUCCUAAACCUUGUGGAACCUAUAGGAACUUUCGAAUCAGAAUUUAGAGGUCGUGGGCCUAGUGGCCCCGUUUGACCAAGUGUGGAUAGUUUGACCCUUGGUUGACCUUGAGUCUUCCAAGGUAGUUUUCCUUCCUAGAAGGAUUAUAAUGACCCUAAUGACAGGUCUUGAGCGUUGUUGAGCCAUGUUGACUAGGUUAAGAUUUUUAGAGUGUUUAUUAUUGUCGUAGGAAACUCUUGGACAUUAUUUUAAUAAUUGGAAUUAUAAAAGUGAGUUUUGGGUUCGGCUAUGACUUUAGUGAAUGGACUUUAUUUUUAAAUGAAUAGCAUGGCUUUGUGAUGGAAUUUUUAGGCAUGUGAAUUUAAUGGUUUAUUGAAAUUCAUUUUUAUAAUUAAUAGUUAAUUUAGCAGUUUUGGUAAAGUAUUAGUGAUGUGUGGGGUACUUGGGAUUUUGUUGAGGUUUAUACAAUAUUAGAGAUUAACUUAUAUAUUUAAAUAUAGGUAUGAAUGUAUGAAAAGAGUUUAGAAUGUCAGUUUGAAGUACUAUACGCACUACCCUAGGUACCUCAUCGGAUUUUGAUUACACUAUAAGUACCACCCUGUGAUUGUCAGGUCACCCAUGGCGUAGGAUUUUCCGGCGGAAUGACAGACCCCAUACGUGACGUUGGAAUUUCCGGCGUAUGGGGAGAUGAUAUUAUGAUUGUUAAGUCACACGUGGCAUAGGUUAUCCGGAGUGCUGACAGACCCCAUAUGUGGCGUUGGAAUUUCCGGCAUAUGAGGAGAUUAUGUGAUUGUUAAGUCCCACGUGGCGUAGGUUAUCCGGCGGGAUGAUAGACCCCAUACGUGGGGUUGGAAUUUUCGGUGUAUGGGGAGAUGAUAUAAUGGUUAGGUCACAUGUGGCGUAGGAUUUUCCGGCUUGAUGACAGACCCCAUACGUGGCAUUGGAAUUUCUGGCAUAUGGGAGAUUAUGUGGUUAUUAGAGAGAUGAAUUAAGAUUAUUAUACUGAGUUGGGAACGAAUGAUGUUUGAAAAAGAUUUUGUUUGGGAUUUCUGCAAUUGAUUGCAUGUUGAUGGACUUGGAAAUUUUGUAUGAAAGAACUACGUGUGGCUUGAUCCCUUAGUAAGGGUACAUAUGCAGCUUAGGGUAGUGCCUAGGUGCAGCCGUGUGCUAAACUUUACUCAUGUUGUGUGAUGGAGAUUCGUUCGGACCUUGUUGUUAGUCCUGAAUUUUAGGUGAAAAUGAGAUGCAGUCUUGUUAGGAGGUUUAAAUUUUCUACGUUUAAUAUUUGGGAAUUUAGAUGAUGGAAAUCGCAUUUGGCGUUCAUAAAUGUGUUUGAGUUUAUAUUUGCAUUGUUUAGAGUUAGUUGGUGGUUUCGUUUCGAAUUAUUUGAAGGCCGAAGGCUGAUUAUGUGAUUUAUAUGAAAUUAUCUUGUGCAUACUGCCAGUUGUGAAUAUCAAAUGUGUUUUAUGCACGUUGAAAUUUUUAGGAUUGUUCAACUUACAGGGGAGACUGCCGAAAUUUCGGCAUAAAAUCUCGUGCCCUUAUUCCUUAUUGGGAAAAAUGAUUUAGUUUUAGAAGUGGGUUCGACAUCGGGGUGAUGUCGGGAAUUUUCACAGGAUUCAUCUCGGGUUUCGGGAAAUUCGGGUCGGGUCCUGUCAAACACCACGUAUUAGGUAAGGGUAAAGGCUCAAUUCAGGCCCAGUCAAUCAACCCAUUAUGAUAUCAUGUUAAAUUUCAGAUAGACGGGCCUGUGGCCCACCACUAGUAACAUUGAUAUUGUCCCCAACUUAACUACAUGUUUAGUAGGUGUGGAGUUCUAUACAAAAGAUCUCGAUGUUUUUAGGAGUGAAACCACUUAUUAUAAGUUGUAAUUUAUUUAGUCAAGUUUCCAGUCAACCUGACUUUGAUACCAUGUUAAGAUUUUAAAGGGACGAACUCUUGGCCCACCAUUAGCAAUAUCGACAUUGUCCCCAACUUAACCACCUGUUUAACAAGUGUGGGGUUUUAUCCUAAAGAACUCGAUCUUAUUAAGAGUGGAGCCAUUUAUUAUAUGAAACUUUCUAUUUUGUUAACUCUGUGUAUUCUUCAUCAAUGUGAACACCCCUAAACCAAUCAUACCUGAUACGGAUUGAAACACAAGUUUGUUUUUUGCCUUUGGUAGAUGAGUAGCUAGAAAAGCUCAAUGCACUUGCUCUUCUUCUGCUACAUUUCAAUAUAAGAACAAGGUUUGGAAGCCAGGUCAACUCCUCAUAGUUUCCUUGCCUUUGCUUUGACAUGUCUAUGCACUUCUUGGGGAAGUUUGAAUAAUCAAUUGCAGGCCCCACGACAACUAAGGAACCAACAUUUUGUAGAAGGUUUUGUCUACACCUUUUGACUAUAAGUAAAAUCUUUUGUAUCUGCUCUUAUGUUUCGGUGAAGUUUCUAUGUGUCCUUUGUUGAACGAAAAAAUGAGGUUGUUUCUUACUAGAUUCAAAUACUUAAAAGAAAAAAAGAAAUUAUUGUUUCUUAAUUGAUUUUAUGGUGAACAAUAUCAAACUCUCCUCUUAUACGUCUUCUUCGUUGGACUUGGGGUUGUUUUCCUUAUAUGUCCCUUAUAUAUAUAGGGCCUUUGGUUGAGCCCACAAAUACCUUCAGUUAGUUUUUGGGUUUAGGGGCCUACAGAACCUGCACUAAACAAUAAAAGAAAAUACCUAAUUAGUUUAGUACGAAUUCUAUAAUGAAGGCUUUAUUAGGUAAGAUUUUAUUUCUUAAUCGUUAGAUCAAAUUUGACAGGACCCGUUCCUGAAUUUCUCGGAAAUCAGAGCGAACCCCGUCCUUGUUUCGACAUCACCCCGAUGCAGGGUCCACUUACUAAAAACCGAGACUUUCUACCAAAAUUUUGAUAGAAUCUCCCUUGUAAAUUGAGCAAACCCAACAAAAAUUUCAGCCUGCAACAUACAUAAAAAUAAUCCCAACCAGCAGCAUGCUUACAACAUACAACAAAACGUACUAAAUGGCCUCCGGCCUCACAAGUAAAAUUUAACAUGGGUAAUCUACUGAUGUAAACGAUUCGGCCUUCGAACACUGCUUGCAACCUUCCUGAAGCGACUACUGGCUAAGGGGCGCAAAACAGAAAACAUGUGAGUGGACAAAAACAAGAUUCAAUUAAAACAACAUAGUAACCCCACCGUGUAAAAAUAAUGCUCAAGACAUGUAGGUUUACAAUUCAUAAUUAAAUAUUCAAAAACAAAUUUCAUUUAAAAUUCUUUAAAACCACAAAUCACUCCAUCCAUAAAACCUCAUGCCCACAAUUUUACUGCUCCUACCAACCCACUGUAUAGACUCUAAUUUCUUCACAAUCACAACUAUAUAUAAAUAUAUAAAUUGUAUCAUACAACAUACUCCUCACACUACUUAGGUACAGGGGAAACAAUCCAACCGGAGGAUCGUUUAACUAGCCCGCAGGAUUUUCAGGUGCUAUCCUGAGUCUAGGAAUGAGUGGUCCAACCAGGGGACGAAACUCUAUAGCUCACACACCGGAACAUCCAACGCCACGUGUAGCUCCAAUACUAAGUCCUACAGGCACAGACUGGAUCACCACACACCGGAACAUCCAAUGCCAUAUGUGAUAAUCCCAAGCAAUAUACAGAGUCUUCCCAUACGUCGGAACAUCCAACGCCGCGUAUGGAAAGUGUUCACACGCCGGAACAUCCAACGCCACGUGUGGGAAGCCUAUUAACUGGGGAAAGUACUUACAUAGUGUAAUCAUACAAUUUCUCUCAACAACUCCUCAUACUCAAGUUCUUCCACAAACUCACCUCAACAAUCCCAAGUACCCCACCUAUAGACAAUAUAUAUAUAACUUCCCCAAAAUCUAUACAAAACAUACUCUCGAUAUCCAAAUAUGCCAAACUCACAAUAUAUUGCCAAAGUGCAAUACAAACAUCAAAAUCAACACAUGAAUAUAAUAUAUAUUCAAUAUACCAUUUAAAACAUUAUGCGUAAAUCUUUCAUCAAUAAAACCAUGCGUAUGAUUGAAAACAAAGUCCACUCACAAGUAUUCCUACGCUGCUUGACCACGAGAGAGUCCUGCCUGCUGAGUACGUGCAGUAGGAGCACCUAUUUUGAGAUACAAACCUUUAAUUAAUAUAAAAUUACUUCAAAACGGAAAACACAAAUUAAAUACUUAAAUCCCCAAGUUCCCAGUACAUGUACGUUGAACGAGGUAUCCUAAGGUCUAGUUACAAGUUUGGGAAUCGCUCACGAUUGGACGGUUAUCGCUAACCCACAAAUUUUGAAUUAUUGAAUCGGAACAUUCGGGGCUCCGAUUCACGAUCCGUGAAGUCCUACGUGAUCCUAGGAAUACCUAAAACAACAUAUUUUAAUUGGAAAACGCACAAUAUGCGAAAAUCCGUUCGAUAGUCAAACGAUGUCCGAAUUGAGAUUCGCAAAAUGCUACGCACUCGUGACAACCUGAGGAUCUCAUCAGGACAAAGUGCAACUUCACCACCCUCACCCACGCGCCGGCAGCGCGUGGGUGUGUAGAGUAAAUUCCGGCGAUGGAAAAACUCCACACCUACUUGAGGUCAGGAUCUCAUCACUCAACUACAGGGAGGUUCAAUUAGGACGGCAACUGGCCGGAAUUUCACUUUGAAAUCCAGCCAAAACUUAGGUUUUCUAAUCGGUUCCUAGACAACAAAUCGAUCUAAACCUAUGCAACAGUCAGCUAGACUAAGGAAAAAGAGGAAGAAACCUCACAUUUUUCACUGGAAUCGGAAGGGAGAGGCGACGGGGCGACGUCGGGAAGACUCGGGUUUGAACCAGUCGAUGCCGUUGACGAUUCUCGCAUUUUUCGGGGGGACUUUGGGUGGUUCGGGUUAGUGGCUUCACGACGAGUCGAACGGGACCGGUCUCGGGGGCUGGGGUGGUCGGGUGUGGUGGCGGUGUGGUGGUUUUCGUCUCGGUGAACAGUAACAGGGGAGGGUUUCGCACGCGCAGAGAGGGACUCGGGAGAGAGAGAGAGAGAGAGAGAGAGAGAGAGAGAGAGAGGAGAGAAAAGAAAAAUUAGAUUUUUACUCUCCUCUUUUCAAAAUAUUUACAAGUUUGCCACUAAUGAUGUUUUGAUCGCCAUUUUCUUGUUACAACUCCGAUUCAAGCCUACCGCAUGUCUAGGAAUUCAUCUCAGUACCACCUACCCAAAAUUACCAGUCAUGGUCCCAAACUCUUCCCGUAACAGAAAAUGACUAAAAUACCCCUACCCCAAGGGUAAAUUCAUAAUUUCACUUAAAUAAAUUAAAAAUAGGAAUCAAAUUUGGAGUCGGGGUGUUACAAAAUUGGUUAGUACGAUCCAACGGUUAAUAGAUAAAACUUUACAUAAAAGUCAUAUAUAAGGCCCUCACUAUAGAAUGACUCGUUAGUUUAGUCUCUUGUUACAUAUCAACUGUUAGAGAUAUUUUUUUAAUAAGGAUCUACCAUACCACAUAGUUGGAUAAGACAUUAUACACAACUUUUGUAAGAGCAUCUCCAGCGAGCCAGGCCAGCCCAAGCAGCAAGGGGCCUUAAGCCCGGUAAGCAGCUCCAGCGCUCAAGAUUCAGCCCAGGCAAGGUGUGGAACCCACAAGGAGAUCUGGCCCGUCACCUUGCCUUUGGGUUUCAGUCAGGCUGAUGUCAACGAAAGAAUUUCAAAAAAAUUUUGCCGUUGCAAUGCACGCGCCAACGAUAAAUUUUCUUUGGAUUUCUUGCGUUGAUCCACAGCUACCAAAAACCAACGGCUACAAGCCACGUGGCUUCUCCAAGAGCCUCUGAUCCAAAAAUCUUGUCAAAUCUAACGGCUGUCCAUUUUUUGGCUAAAAAAAUAUCAAAAAAUUAUGGAAACAUUUUCUAUAAAUACCUACAAAUAUUAUUCACUUCCCACACCAAACCUUCAUACAAAUUCAUAUCCUUUCAAUAUUUUUCACUUUCCACACAAGAUUUUCUACUACUAAAUUUCAUUUGUGUAAAAAUACAAGUGGCCUCUUCUAUCAAAGCCGGAGGCGCGUGGACAACCGUGGAAGAUAUUUUGUUGUGUGAGUGUUGGGUCAAAGUUGGUCAUUGCCCGAUCACCGGCAAUGAGAUGAAGUCCUCUCGUAGGAGUUUCUGACAUCGCAGCGAAAGUAAGAUGUGAUAUGAGAAUGUAAGGAAUUUGAUGAGAGGAAUGGGAUUUGAGGAGUUUGAUGUAGGAAUUGAUGUUGAAUUGGAUUUGGGAGGUAUGUAUAUAUGAUUUGAGAGUAUGUGUUUAGGGAUUUUGAUAGGAGGAUUUGAGGAAUUUAGAUUUGAGGGAUUUGGAUUUGGGGAAUUUAAAUAUGAGGAAUUGAUUUAGGGUUUGGGUUUGAAUAUGAGAAAUUUGAUAUGAGAGUUUAGAGACAACUGAUGAUUGAUUGCUCUAAUACCAUGCUAAAAUAUAAAUAUGGUUUGAAUACUUUAGGUUGAGUUUUAUUCUUUUCCAUAAGGAGGUAUAUAUAGCAGUUUACAUGAGUGUUUUACAAGGAAAUAGAUACAGUAAUCAAUUAGGAUAAUAUCUCCUAAUUAUACAAUAAUUUGUCAACUAUAUAGAAUAGGAAAGUAAAUUCCUUAAUUAAUCAAGAAAAUAAAUCUCAUUGAUUAAUUAAGAGACUAACGUCAACAUUUAUAAGCCAUGGAAGAGCAGAAAAAGAGGUACUUAGGAGAUUUUAUACGUCGGACUAAGGUAAGCUUAAAGGACUAUAUCAAAAAAAUAAGGGACCAAGAAGCAAGACUGAGAAGUUGUUAUGCAAACCCAUUAAGUUUAGCAGUGAUGAAUUUGUAAAAAUCAUUCUAGUGGAUGCUGCCUUCACUAUUGAGUUCUUAUUGAGGUUCUAUCUGAAAGGAUGUAGACAUGAAGGAGACCGCUUAUUAAACAAAUCAGCUCCCAUUCUUUAUUCUUGAGGAUCUUUAUCACACAUACAUAAUAACCGACUCUUUUAGGAAUUAUUACAGUACUCAUGAUCAUGAGAGGCUUUCAAUAAUUAAUAUUUCUAAGAAUUUCGUCACAGCUGGAAUAUUGAAUUUGGAGGGGAAGGGAGACAAAUGGAACAGAAUAUCAUCUUCUUCUAGUGUUGGAAAUUUUAUAUUAUUUAAUAAUAUUUAAUUUCUAUUGUGAAUGAAAAAUAAGUUUCUUUAAGAAACGUGUGUCUUAGGCCAGUUUUUCUAACUGGUCGGCUUCCUUAGAUUUGUGCCUAUUGCUUUUCAAAGUAUAAUGAUGCAAUGGUUGUAUCUCGUUCAGGCAAAUGGAAGGUAUAUAGCAAUUUAUAGAACAAUACAGUAAUCCAGAAGAAAUAUUAUGAAAUGAAAAGAAUAAAAAGUAAAAAAAGAGAAGGAAAGGAAUUCCCACCUGCAAUGUAUAUGUAUGAAAGGAAGGACCAAGUUUGUUUUAAAAUGGUAAGAACAAGUUGAUUUAUAAUUGGGUUCAGAUCAACUCAUGGAUUUCUUGCCUUUUCUAUUCUCCUUCCUUGGACAUGAACUGUUUAAUCUUGGCUCUUCCCCAUCAUGUUGGGCCUAUCUUCUUCUUGAGGAUUGUAUAGGCCCAGGAAAUGCUUCAAGAUAGUUUUUGUGUUUUGGGCAUUGGGACCUAACUUCACAAAAAGAAAACAGAUUUGGCCAAAAAACAAAUUUGAAGGACAUUGAAAUUGUACCUGUAGGAUAGGUUAAAACACUGUAAGGGAGGUAAAUAGUACGUUUACAUAGUUUAAGUGUAAUAAAGGAAUAAAAACAUGCCCAGAGGAUUGAUAAGUGAUAUCAAUUCUUGAAUAUAGAGAACGUAAAAUAAAGGAACACGUAUAAAAUUAUUUUAUGUGGUAAAACCCCAUCUCUAGGGAAAAUCCACGGGACUUCUUAGUCCAAAACAAAUCUAUUAUAGAACGAUGAUUACAAGAAGUACUCACACACUUAUCCUAGACACAUUCUAGAUAAUGUUUACUGACCUCUUCGUAACUCAACUUCUGUCACAGGAUGAUCUUUCGACACUUCUUAUGUUGAACGCAAUACUAGUCACGAUUUCUUUCAAGCUCAUUGGAGAAAAACCGCCACAACAGUCUCGGUGCCCUCAAUCUUAUGAGUCACUGAACAUGCAAAUGAAUACAAUAUGAAUGAUAAAAGUGUUUGAUAAAUCACCAAGUUAUGGAACACUUGAUGAUUUAUUUCAAGUAAAAAUUCAGCUUUCCAAAGUUUAUGAAUUGAAAAUAUGAUCGUUAAAGCUCUCUAAACAAAAAAAACGAAGGUCUUAUUUUAUAGACUUUUUCUUUACAAGAAAGAAAACACGUUGAAAACCAAAUCUCCAAUUUCAAGGCUUGACAGAAAAUCACAAAAGUAUCUUUCCUAUUCUAGAGAUUGGUCACAUGAAGUCCAACCAAUAGGAAAUGAGAUAUUUAAGAAAGGAAGAUUUUGAUCAAUAUCAAUAUCAAAUGAAUUCUUAUAUGCCUAGUCAACUAUUAAGGGUAUCUUAACUACUUGAUAUUAUGAUAUGAUUGAAACAUGAUUUCCACGUUAGAAAAUUAAGGGGAUUUUAAAACAUGAAAGUAAUAGGAGAAUCAAAUUGAUUUGGACCAAAAUUGCCUAAAAAGAAAACACUCCUAAAUAAACUUCAAUUCACUUUUAAAAACAGUAAAACUUGAUUGAAUCGUUCUUUAAAACAAUUCCCUAAUAUACAUGCAUGAUAGUGACAUCACUUACCUCUGAAUCAGAUGCCUUUUACGAGUCAAGCCACAAGUUUGUGUUUUGGGGAUUGCUGAGCUGCAUCAAUCCUGCCAAUGUCAAUUCUGCCCCUAGGCUCUCUCAAAGCACGUUUACAAUCUAUGCUAAUAUAUACUAGAGUUUAUGCUAGUAUCUAGAAAAUGCCAACACUAAUUUCGUAACACGUAGAAAUUGUUAGAGAUUGGAAGUUUUUUUCAUUUUUUUCUUCCAGACUCUCCACCACUCACUAAUACAGUUUACUCAUGUGAUGAAUUUACAAAACCUAUUUCUCUACUCUCACAAAGACUAUACUUAGGGGGGGUGUAUUCAAUUAGGAGUCUAGAGCGUUUAAAAAGAUUUUGUUUAAGUGCCAGCUUUCAUAGAACUUGAUGGAACUUUAUAAUUCGUAUAGAACUUGAUAGACUUUCAGAAGACUUCUGUAUAAUUUGUUAAUAAAACUUUCUUAAGCUUUCAUAGAACUUGAUAGGCUUUUAUUCCAGAAUUAUGUAGACAGUAUAUUUCAUUUUAUCCCCAUCCUUGUCAUUUAAAGAAAGAAACUUGAAUGUUUUCAAUCAAAUUUGUUUUUGUUACCAAAGCAAAAACAAAAAGUACUUGUUUGCGAAGGAAGAACAUAUGCACAGUUCAAAAUGAAAAGAAUAAGAAGCAAAGUACCUAUUGGACCAAUGAAUGCUGUGUCAACUAGAGAAGCAAUUGGAUCGGCUGUCAAAGCCAAUGCUACAGGCAAUGCAUCGAUGGUCCAAAUUGCAAUAAAAAAUAUUUUGUAUAAUGGUUCUUGCAGACAAAGACCACAUAAAUUCUGGACUGGUCCAGCUUGAAUAAUAAGGUUAGAUUAGCCGAUGGAUGAGAGUAAAAGCAAAGAAAGUUGAUGAAUUCAUCACCAAUUAUUUAAUAACUGUAACAUCCCACAUUGACCAACGGAGAGGGGGUGAUGUGCCUUAUAUGUACAUGCCCACUUCCAUCUAGCAUGAGUCCUUUUGAGAGCUCACUGGCUUCGGAGUCAUGGGAACUCUGAAGUUAAGCGAGUUGGGGCUAAAGCAAUCCCAGGAUGGGUGACCCACUGGGAAGUUGCUCAUGAGCUUUAGAAACAAAAAUCAUGAGGGCAUAAAGGGAGGCCCAAAUUGGAUAAUAUCGUGCUACGGCGGAGCCGAUCCCAGGAUGUGACAAUAACCAAUAGAGUAUUUAAACAUAAACAACAAUGUUUGAUAAACAAAACAAAUAGUCCAAAUAUUAUCCAAAAAACAAUUCUAAAACCAAUCAUUCCAAACAAACUAGUCAUUCCCAAAAACUCUCAAAAAACCCACUCAUUCCAAAUUAUAGGAUAUCCAAUUUGAGCGCUCCUCAGGAGACAUUUUCAAAAAUGCAUCCUUUUUUGUGUUACUAUGCAACAAAGAGAGCGCUUUAUAAUGAGCACGUUCAUCCAAAUUUGAGGUCUCCUUAAUGGCAUCCCACAUAUAACUCUGCUGCUCUCGCUCUUUUCCCCUUUUUGCCAAUAGGUUAUGGACCUCCCGGAAGUCGGUGACAAUUGAAUCAAUGCUAAGGCUAAUUCUUCCCAUAGCUUGUUGGGUGGUCACAUUUGAGAUGGCAUUCCCUUCCAAAUCUAUUCUAGUUCGUUUCCUCUAGUAACAAGCAUAAAUCCUAGUAACAAGCAUAAACCCUAAUCCCAACCUAUAACCUAAUAACAAGAAAAACACGAUGAAAAAAAAAUCAUGGAAAAAGAAAACCCAACGAGGUAUUGAUCAAAAAAAAAAAUAGGGAGCAUACCUUCACAGAUGGAGGAAGGAAGCUGUUUGUCUUCACAGAGAGAAAAGCUAGGGAAAGAGAAAAACGUCUGAUGAAAUACUUUGGGGGGAGGUUGGAUUUCUUUUGGUCUUUGAUAUUUAUAACUCUCCCCUUAAAACCUACAAAAAUUUAUCACUUAAUGAAAUCCUUCCAAAUAUAUGACCUUUCGAAUACACCUAGAUUUGAUUCAACUUUUUUAUAAUCCUAAUUGAAUACACCCAUAUUUGAGUGGACUUUUUAAAAGUUCAUAUAAGUCCGAAUUGAAUACACCCAGACUUGUAAAACCUCUUUUAAAGUUUGUAUAAAUCCAAAUUGAAUACACCCGGAUUUUUAAAAUAUUUUUUAAACGCUUUAUAAUCCUAAUUGGUACAUCCCCCUUAUUCUCAAAAGACUAUAUCACUUUACCUCUAUCUCUGUGAAAUGUAAAAAGUUGAAACUUUAAUGUCAAACCUCGACAAAAGAUGAACUUCCAUCAGUUGCGUUGAAUUUGGAUUUGUUGAACUAAAGUGGUUUUACUUUCUCUGUCAGUGUUUGAUGACUUAAUUUGGUAUUUACUUCUUUUUUUCCUUGGAAAUGUGUUCCACCAACGUGAGGAAGAAAAAUGUGCACAAAUUAAUAUAUUUAAUAAAAGCCCAAGAUUUCGGAAGCACAUAAUUUCUACAAAAAUCUAGAAAGUGUUCUACUUUACAAACUUCUUAUGUCUAUCAAUUUCUACUAAAAUUAAUUUCUCUGUGGUGCUCAGAUUCAUCAUAUGUGUGUCCUUAAUUUUAUUGGAAAUUAGAAGUUUCCAUAAUUUUUAUUUUUUGGGAAUUUUCUGAACCAAGAAAAAUCAAGUAAAAUUAAUAAAGCUUAAAUUGGAAAGGGAAAAUAUCUAGAGGACGCAUUGUAGGAUUUCUCAUGCCGAUAAUUGUACCCUCUAAAUAUAUAGGGACAUAUUUUUUUUGUUUUCAUGACAUGUGGUCCUAAAAUUAUUGUUCCUAGCGGGCUCUCCACCCCCUCUCAAAUUUACGUGGUCCAUUAUGAUUAACCAUAUAUUUUAUUGACCAUCCAGCUGUGAGGUUUUAUCCCAAAAACCUUAGGUACAUUUCUCAAUUAUGUCUGAUACAUCACAUCAUGCCACAAUUGUAUAUUCACAAUUAUGUCUGAUACAUCACAUCAUGCCACUUGCCUCAAAUGAAUUUAAGUGAGUGUGGCAGUGGGAAGUAAUUACUUCUAGGUGCCCCUCAUCAUUCGUCUAUAAAAUGGUGAAGCCAGUGGCUAUAAGAGCCAGCUCCAACUUUCUUUUAUUCGUCUAUAAAAUGGUGAAGCCAGUUGCCAAGUUAAUUUCAGUCCUAAUGGGGUUUCAUCUCCCACUCAUCUUUGCUAUUCUCAGUGUAAGCUCUGCAAUUUGAUUAACUUUUCCAUUCUCUCUCAUUGUACUCUAUAUAAACGAAAGUUUUGUGUUCCUAUAAUUCUCUUUGAUUUUAUUUAGUACGUACUUAAGUGUCGUCCACUAAUUAAUUACAGUUUGUGAGAUUUGAUUUUAAUUAGAGUUCGAAUUAAUGUUGCAGCUAGCAGUGGUUGCACUGGCAAACCAUGCUGCUCAACCAGCACCUCAACUUUACUGGAACUCCGUCCUGCCAAACACACAAAUGCCAAGAUCUAUCAGUGAACUUCUGCAUCCUGGUUUGUGUUGAGCUCUUUAGAAUCUUAGAUAUCUCUUCUACCUGCCAUUUUACUAAAAUAUGUUCGACCACAUAUUUAUCAGUUAACUACUGUCAUUACAUGAGUGACACUUAUUCACAAAUCGGCUGAUCACUUAUUUUCCAUUUUACAUGAGUGAUAUAUAAUUUGCAGACUCCACAAAUGAAGAAAAUAUCGUGAAUGCUGUUGGGAAUGGAAAGCGCAAACCUGAAAUUUUCCCAUUGAGAAAUAUAAAUUACGUUCAAAGCCAUUAUGGAGUGUUAAAUAGAAAUUACGUUCAAAGCCAUUAUAAAAAACGUCCUCCUCCACCUGAAAAUAUCCCAUUUGCAAAUCGAAAAAAGUACGCACUAGGUUCUCCUCCAUCUGACAAUCAACUACUCCAUUAUAAAGAGUUAGCUAUUUUCUUCUUCGAGAAGGACAUGCGCCCUGGCGCAACAAUGAAGUUCCAAUUCCCUAGAAAUUCAAACACGGCUACUUUCCUGCCACGCGAAAGUGCUCAAUCGAUCCCCUUCUCCUCUAACAAACUACCAGAAAUUUUCAACCAUUUUUCAGUGAAGCCAACAUCUGUGGAAGCCAAAACAAUUAAGCAAACAAUCGAAGAGUGUGAAGCUCCAGGCACUAAGGGAGAGGAAAAAUAUUGCGCCACAUCUUUAGAAUCAAUGGUUGAUUUUAGCACUUCGAAGCUUGGAACAAGAAACGUUGAAGCAGUCUCGACGGAGGUAUUGGAAAAAGGAGCCACCAUGUCCAUGCACAACUAUACAACAAUGCCGGGACUGAAGAAGUUGGCAGGUGACAAAGUCGUUGUGUGUCAUAAGGAGAACUAUCCCUAUGCUGUGUUUUUCUGCCAUGCAAUAAAACAAACAGCAGCUUAUGUUCUCUCCCUGAAAGGCGAUGAUGGGGAGAAGGUUAAAGCAGUAACCAUCUGCCAUCUAGACACAUCAGAAUGGAACCCAGAGCAUUUGUCCUUCCAAAUCCUCAACGUUAAGCCCGGAACCGUUCCCAUCUGCCAUUUCAUUUCCACUGAUGCUAUUGCCUGGGUUCCAAAACACAAAUUUGCAUGAUCAUCACUUAGCACUGUGGUGUAAGAUAUAUGAUGAGAUAAAGUUUUUGGUAUUAGUGGUCGGGUUGCCUGAAAAACACAGAUUACAGAAACUGCUUGAAAUUAACCCGAUCAUGUUUUCUCUUGUAAGACUUCAACUUGUACUCCUAAAGCAAGUUAUAUUUAUGAAGAGAUAUUAAUCUAUAUAUAUUUUAUGUAUAUAUAUAUAUAUAUAUAUAUGCUUUGGCUUUGUGGUUCUACCCAGUGUUUGAGUGUUGAAUUGUUACGUUGGAAUAGGCUGAUAAUGCGUGUAGUUAGAGAAGCCUUCAUUUAUAUCAAAGUCCUCAAACUAUCAAGAACUAAUGUAUCCAGAAACAUAUACCAAGACGCAAAACAACAUAUUUUCCAUGCUCUGUCUGUAACGCCAAAGCAAACUUCCUUUAUCACAUCAUUUAAAGGAUCAAAUUCCAGUACUAAUCUAAUCCAUCAUGUAAAGCAUACAAGUGCCUCCCUAAAUUUGUCCAUUGGAUAUAAAUGUUGAGAAAAUUAGAGUACACAACUCUAAUAUGAUAGUUGUACACAACUCUAAUAUCAUAAAGCAAACAAAAUUUCUAAGUUAGUUUGCUUUAUGAUAGUUGUUUUUUGAAGGGGUCCUUAGAUCCUAUCUCAAAAAGUUUGGCUUUUAUUAGGUUUAACUCUGGUUUUUAUCUCUACCCACUAACUUUUAUCUCUCAUUUUUAUUACCCAUUUUACCCUUUAAAAUAAAUAGGGCAAUAAACUAAAAAUUCUGAUUUAAUGCAUGUUUUACUCAUAAGAGAACUAAAAACUAAAAAUUCUAUACUCUAACACAAAAAAUGAAAACUAAAAACUAAAAUUGAAAUGGUUUCAAGCAAUUGCAUGUCAGGCGCUAUAUAUAAUGUAUUAGCCAUGGUUUGUUUAAUACGCGGUCAUUCGUCAUUUUCCCAUUCAAAAUAUUGAAAUUACGAACUACAUACCAUGAAAGAUAAGAAACUAAAAGCUUCAAGCAAAUAGAAAUGUGCUACAAACAUAGUAAUGAAGAUGUGGAAGCAUUAUCUCAGACGAAUGAUUCUGAAGUGGAAAAAACAAGAACAAAAAAGGAAGUGAGUUAAAUUUGCACCUGCUAUGUUCAAACGACAAAGUUGGUUUCCCUUUGGUCGAUUACAAGAGAAGCUCAAUGCAGCUUACUUGGUUCCUCUGGUAGAUGAAAAUAUAAUUUUUCUCCUAAUAAUAAGGGUAUAGUGCAAUCAAUGAUGGGCUGUAUAGAACAACUUUUUUGUUUUAUGUGUUUAUGUGAGACAUGUUUUGCCAGAUUGAAUUAAUGUCUUCUAGCCAUGUACCUUAUCUUUUUGCCGGGCCAUGAGUUGAAUGUAGAGGCAAAGUAUGGACUUGGGGUCAAGUUUGACUUGUAAAAUAAUUAGGAAUUGAAUGGCUCCUACGUUCAAUUAUUUUAAUUUUUUUUCCCGAGCCAUUCAAUUCCUAAUUAUUUAGAUUUUCGAUUUAGUGAGCAUCCACAAUCAUGCUCUCUAUUUUUAAGUUAAAUUUUAGUUAAAAACAUAUAAAAGUUAUUUAGGAGCUCUCUAUAAAAUUUAAACUUCAAUCGUUUUCUAUAGUUUAGGGAGUCAUAAAUGUCAUAACUCUUUUUUGAUUGGUCCAUCUCUAUUAAAAAAUAAAAUAAAAAAUAGUUAGCAUGAAAUAAAGGUUUGAAAUACUCAUUAAAUAAAGCAGCAUUAAAUUAUAGGGAGCCACUAAGAGUCCUUUCUCUCUCCUCAAGUUUAGGAGCUCCUAGAGGUCUCCCUAUUUUAAGAGGUGGAUAGGGAGUAUGGUUGGAAUUGUAUUUUUACAAUUCCUCCCUAAAAAUUUUCUAUGGAUAGGUGGUUUUAAGGAACCCAUUGUGGAUGCUCUGAUCUCAAAGAAAGAAAACCUCGAGUUUGCAAGCAAGUUUUCUACGUAUGUAUAUAUGAAAAACUGACAUUUAUGAAAAUAAUAAAUCCAUAUUUUUAUGUAAGCCAACUUUCUAAAUCCAUGUACUAUAUUUAUUAGGGAAAUAUUGGAGAAACUGAUUAUUUUGAAAAAUUAAAUGUGAAAAACUGAACAAAAAUUUGACAGGUUACAUAUUUCAACUCAUUCAGCAGCUUAGGUUGUGAAGACCUCAGAAGAGGCUAUGCAAUGAGCCUAGCUAGUGCACUGUUGAUCACUUCAGUGUUUACCGAUCUGUAAUUUUUCCAGAUUGGUUAUAUUUUCCUUUACAUAUUCUUAUAUUUUUCCCAGUUGGGGAGACUUAUAAAUAAACCCAAAAUGGGUACAAUAUCUAUACAGAAGGACAAAAUUAAAGUGUUUGGACAAUAAUCCCCUAUUCAUUUUGGGAUUGCCUAAGGAAUUCUUUUUCUGAUUUUCAAUGAUGCAAAGGACUGUUGUUUGAUGCUUGCCGUAUGGAGCUAAGAAAACUUGCUUUGAUAGUUUUGGACAGAUGCAAGCUACUGUUGUUGGUAGGGGUGGGCACGGUCCGGAUUGGUUCGGUUUUACUCUCAAACCACAGCUGAACCAAUAAGAAAAUAACGGUUCGGUUUGGUUCGGAUUAGCCUAAAAUCAUAAUGGAAACCGAACCAAUCCAAACCACUUGUAAUCGGUUUGGUUCGGAUUGGUUCGGCCGGUUUGUGCCUAACACAAAACCAUGCAUUUUUCAACCUGCUCUUACAUUAUAAUGCUAACAUUUUGCCAUUAUAUCAUUCCAUUCCAUUCCAUCAAAGGCUAAUACAACAUCAUUCCAUUUAUUCAAAGGUUGUCCAAUGUCUAGCAUGCAUCUAAGUUCACAAUUUCCAUCAAAACAAACAUAUACAUAAUUUGCAUUAACCAAGUAGCAUUACAUUUACUCAUUGCAUUCAUCACAAUUCAUAAGAGAUGAGAACGAAUCAAUUUUACUUUAACAUAUUAAACAAAUGCAUUCUUUGUAAUAGUUAAACAUUCUCACAUCAUGAAUAUCGGCAAGCUUAUAAAGCUGCUGCACCAACUUGCUAAUUGAUUCGUCUGUACCAGGAACAACAGUAGUAAUGCGAGAGAACCCCUCAACUUCUGCAUGGCCAACAGCUAAACUCUGGAAACGAGAAACCAGCUCAAUUAUAACAAAUGCCUAAAACUUCUACCUUAACAGAAGACAAAGGAGGAAAUAACAGCAGAAGGAAACCAAAUUUCUCAAUUUAAUAACUGAUAUUUCCAAAGGAUUCUUAAGUCUAAAAUUCGACCAAGACUUGAUUAACUAUUCCAAUGUCUAGCAUGCAUCUAAGUUUAUAACUUUGUUCCUUCUUUAACAAAAAGAACAAGGAGAAAAAGCUAAUAAUAAGGUAUCCUUCUUUAACAGGCAUCAAGCAUAUCACAUAAGCAACAUUUUAUAUACAUUAUUCUAUGAACAAAACUAAAUCAAAGCAAGGUAUGCUACAGUCUUUUUGUACAAUAAAAUAGAUUAACAUAUUUUAUAACCAUAAAAAUGAAAAAUUAGGCCUCAUAGAAAAUACCAUUUUAUUUUUCAACUCUCUAACUUUUUAUAUAACCAGUUAUUGGAGACAAUACAAAAAAUAAAGUAGUAGACAGAACUAGCAUAUUUUACAAACCCAGCUGAUGAUGACGAUCCACCACCAACAAUAUUCCCAUAAUCAAUCCUUGCAUAACCUGAUGGUCGAUGAUGGAACUUGGGUUUUGUAGAGAUGGAUUUCGCUGAGGACAAAUGGGUGGGUUUCGCCGAGUUCGAAUCAUGUUGGCUUGAGUUAGCGUCGAGGGAGAGGGAGAGGGAGAUGUAGCAGAGAGACAAAGAGAGAGGGAGAGGUAGCAGAGAGAGAUGGAGAAAUAAUGAGAGGGAGUUGCGGCUAGGGUUAAGAGACGAAGGAAGGGAGAUAGGAGAGAGGCUCUUCUGAGGGAGAGAGAAUGGUUAGAUAACUUAGAUGUGUCCGUGAGUUGUAGUUUUGGAGUCCAAUCAAGUGUUGCAGGGUACAUGGUACACUCUUAAAUAACCACUCAAACCUUGCCACAUGUAAACUAAAUUAAAUAAAUAAUAAAUUGAUUUAUAAUCGGUCCGGUUCGGUUUAGGACAGUUUUUAAAACUCUCAAACCACAGCUGAACCAAACCAAACCGGUUCGGUUCGAUUUUUCAAAAUGUUGACUUUUUCUUUGGUCAAAACCAAACCAAACCAAUCCAAUAUAAUCGGUUCGGCUGGAUUGACCUGAUCGGCCAGAUUGAUGCCCACCCCUAGUUGUUGGGAUGAUCUUUUCACGUGAAAUGAGGAUGACGAUACUUCUACACUACACAAUCCAACGAAUUCACAUUUCUAUUUCAGAUACAUGUAUAAACAGACAAGGCUUUAAAAUAUGGGAUGCUGCACUGUUGUUGCUGCUGCUGACACUGUUACUGUGUUGCUGCUACUGUUACUGCGCUGCUACUGGAAGAAGGACAAGGACUUCACAUGUUGCUUUCGUCCUUUGUGGAGGAGAGAGACCUAGGACUUGCAUGUCUUAGAUAUUUAAGAUAAGGGGCUUUCGUGCCAUUUUGAAAAUACUUUGGGUGUUUUUGAAAGCUGCUUGUUUCUUUUGGGUUUCUCACUAAAUUUCGCUAUUAGAAGGGAAAAUAAUAAUAAUAAAAAUACAGCUCUUAUUAGCAACAGGGUUACAAAUUCUUCUACAACACACCAACUGUUGUAAAAGUUUGAAGGUGGAGCCCACAGAGGAAGUUUCCUUGCAUCUUCCAGGAACUUUCCCUUCCCUGUAUUUAUCAAUUCAGGAAGUUUCCUUGCAUCUUCCAGGAACUUUCCCUUCCCUGUAUUUAUCAAUUGAGGAAGUUUCCUUGCAUCUUCCAGGAACUUUCCUUCCAUGUAUUUAUCAAUUCAGGAAGUUUCCUUGCAUCUUCCAGGAACCUUCCCUUCCCUGUAUUUUACCAAAACCUUAGCCUAUAAAUAGGCUUGCUCAUUCACUUGUAAUACACACCAAAAUGAAGAGAAGAAUGAGUGAGGAAAGAAAGAAAGGAAGAGAAGGAAGAAAGAGGGUGAGUAAGUAGAGAGAAAAAUAGAGUGGAGAGAAAUUAGUGAGCCACAUAUAUUGUAAACACUAAAGUUGUAGCCCUAUUAUUUUACAUAGUGGAAAAGUUACUACUGCUGCUCUCCGGGGACGUAGGCAUAGCCGAACCUCGUUAAAUACUGUGUCUCAUUUACUUUACGUGCAGCUCAAUAUUCAUACAUAUUCCAGGUUAUUUUUAUAACACGUUAUCAGCACGAGAAGCUCUCAGGUAUAAUUUUUGUGCUGCACUAUUAUCUAUACUACUAACCACUAACAAAAAUGGACCCUUGGUAAUACUAAACAUAUUAUCAGUGGGAGACCGUUACUAAUACUAACUUUUUCUUAUUUUAUUCGGUGGUGGUUUUAACCCCACAUUUAUUUACUGUAUGGUGUAGGUUUAUUACCCAUACAUGCACCUUUACUUUAUCGCAAAUUUAUUUUACCGCAUAUUUAUUUUAUUUACUGUAUGGUGUAGGUUUAUUACCCAUACAACAGUAUUUAUUUAAAAGGGUGGUGCGAGUUUAUCGUCCACGCCUUUGCUUUUAUUUAAAUGUAUGGAGCAGAAUUAGUGCCCAUACAAGCACAAUUUACUUUACCGCACAUUUAAUUUUAUUUAAAGUAUGGUGCGGGAUUAACGUCCAUACAGCAAGCAAUUUAAUUUAUGAAUUUAAUUUACCGCACAUUUACAUUUAUUUAAAAGGGUGGUGCGGGUUUAUCGUCCACGCCUUUACUUUUAUUUAAAUGUAUGGAGCAGAAUUAAUGCCCAUACAAGCACCUUAACUUUAUGAAUUUAAUUUACUGCACAUUUACAUUUAUUUAAAGUGUGGUGCGGGUUUAUCGUCCAUACCAGUAAUUUAUUUAUCAGCAAUUUAUUUUAUGGAUUAAUUGUUUAUUUAUCAGCAAUUUAUUUUAUGGAUUAAUUGUGCUGUAUGAUGAGUUUUUCCAGUAUGCAGAUCAGGACCAGAAGUUCCUUGAUCCUCAUCAUACAAUUACAUCAGGACUUGAAGAUCCUUGAUGAUGAUAUUAAAAUGAGAGCUGGCAGUCUCACCGGUACUGUAUUUGUAAACAUGUGAUUGGACUUAAAGGUCCUUGAUCCCUGACAUGUAAAUAAGGACCUAGAGUUCCUUAAUGAUGUAACAGUACCGUAUUGGUUCAUAGUGCCGUACACAUUGAUGAUAACUGUACUGGCAGAUGAAUAGAUACGUAUUCAUGACUUGAUGAAUAGUACUAUUCACAUGAAUAGUGACGUAUGCAUAAAUAUUAACCAUUUUGGGUAAACCGUCACUAUAUACAAAAGGGAACCUGCAGUUCCUUAAACUCAUGGAUGAGCAAUUAAAUGAGAUGCCAGAAGUUCCUCAAAAUAUGGACAAUUAUGUAAGGGCUUGAAGUCCCGAAAUAUGUACAGAAAAUUGUAAAAAUGUCCAUACCAUGAGAAUAUGUGGCUUUGGCCUGAAGUUCCAAAUUUAACAGUGUUGAGAACCUGAAGUUCCAACAAUUAAAUGGACAACCCUUGAGGUAUUAUUGCAAAUUGUGGUAUGCCACAUAUUUCUUUGGCAUAAGAAGAUGAUGAAUUUAAUAAAGUUCGAUUUUGUUAUAAUCGACACCUCAAGGAAGAAAUAUAUUUUGUGAAUUCCGGUUGUUAAGAAUACACCGCGAAAUGGAUAAUAUUAAUAUAAACCUCAAAUAAUGAAUUGAGACUCCCCACAUAUUUUGUUAUAUCUGGGCCGGAAGCCCAUGGAUCCAAAUAUAUGAGAGAUCCUAAACUUGAAGUUGUGGGUAUAUAGUAGUUAAUGCUCUUCACUACUAUAUUGCGAUAUUAUCAUGGCUUUUACUCAAUUCAUAUUUCAUGUCCAUUUGAAAAGGGCAAAUAAAUUCUGAGUUUGUGCCCAGGCCAUAAGUUCCGGGCUACCAUACGUUGAAAUAUGAAAUUUGGGAGAGUCGAUGUGGUUAUUUGAACCUAUAAGGCACAAGGUUCCAAAUCGUCAUUUUGAAAAGACGUAAAAACCAAAGGUGCAAGUUUAAGAAUGUGCGCAAUUAUUAUUACAGGAACAUACAACAGAUAGAUUUUUUCCACUUGCAAUGAAGGUGCAGGCCCUGUAAAAUCUAUAAAAUUACAUUAUGUUCUGGAAGCCUCUGAAGGAAGAGGACGGCGCCUCUUAAGCUUAGCCAUGAGCUUCUCAUGGUCUCCCAAAAUUCUUUCAUUGGAGACCUGCAGCAUGUCUAGCCUUCUCAGUGUAUCAACAGAGUACGAACUCACCAGUUUCAACAAGGAAUUAUUCUCUCCUUUAAGUUUCUCAACCUCCUGUUGAGACUCAUGAAGCAUUCUUUGGAGAGACGAAUUUUCAGUUGUUAAAUUCUCAACCUCGUUUGCUCUGGCACGCAAACGAUCAGCCAUGUUAGAAACAGAAACAGCACUCUGAAUGCUAAAAGCCAUUGAGUCAUCAAUAGCCUCUUCCUCUGAUCUCCCCGUCAACAACAUUUCAUCCAUUGGAGUAAUGAAAUUCCUAGCUACUAUGACAGCAGUAGCAUCAUUCAUCAUCACAGAAUCAUUAACUGUGAGAUGACGAUUUUUGGAUACAAAGGAUGGACGCCAAACUUGGGCGUCACUGGUAGUUGUGGGAGUAUCAUUUAAAUUGAAAUAAUUUGGGCAGGAAGAAGAGGAAGCCAUUUUUAAGAAGGUUUCGAAGAAAGCCUUAGGAAAACUAAAGUUUCAUAAAAUGAAGGAAGUUAAGUUGAAACGCAAUUGCUCCAAUCAAGUUUUGCAAAGGCAAUAUCUAUAGACGAAAAUAUGGCAAUAUCUUCAGGAUUCCAAUAUCUUCUCGAAUCCCCAUAUUAUCUUUUUCUUUCCCAGAGUCCAAAACUUCACGUGGCCUCUAAUAAUGCCUGUCGGCACUUUCGGCGUUUUUCAAAGUAUUAUUUUCAAAGCCGAUCUUGCUUUACGGAUUUCACGGAACUACUUUUUCAAAAGUAUCCCGAGAAUCUCGCAAUUUUCCUAUGGUUAAUUUGAAAUUCACCGGUUCUACCUAUUUAUUGUAUUUAUGUAUAAAUGUGUUACUAACGAAAUUUUCUUUGCAAAAGACAUCCAGUUUUCUCCAUACCUAGUGAUGCGAUAUCUACUUAUUUUUCUUAUCAGUGAGCACUUAAUAUGCCUGAGAAGCAAGACUAUCUCUGAUCAUACAUUCAGGAAGCAAGACUAUCCCUGAUCAUGUUUCCGCUACAUUAGGGAACUGUGAAGGUGACCUUAUGCUCCAAUCUCCUGAGGUCUUUCUAGACUAGGAGAAAUGAGAGCUUGUUGUUUGCUCCCACCAGCUUCCUUCCUUGAUUGCUUACCUUACCUUGCAAUCAAUAUCACAAUCUUUUUGCAUUUUUUCUCUUUUUAUAACUCUCUGUUCAUAAGAGAUUUUAUUUCUUUAGAAUGAACAUCUGAAGAAUGAAUCCAUGAAGUAAUCCUAACUAUGAGGGUUAUUUGUUUUGACAGAGGCAAAAGAGUUGUGAUUUUUGCUCUUGCAGGAUAUAACUAGAUCAUCAAGCGCUACAUUAUAUUUACUGGGCUGAUAUGAGCUUGAAUGAUACUUGAGAAAAGUUUCUCCCACCUAAGGAUGUAAGCAAUACUUGUGUUAUUUUAUGCUUAUAUACCUAUUUGAUAUUUUAUCUUGAAAGGUAACUAAAUGGGGAGAUAAGUCCGUUCCAAAAGAAUGACUUGUAUGUAUCCAUGAAUUAUUAAUGCAAAUUUUACAGAUUGCAAGUUGGAUACAUUGAUAAUACACUGCACAGAUUAAAGUCCCAUAAGAACAGAAUAUGGGUAUAGCAGUGAUCAAUAUGAUGCACGCCUAUUGCGUAGCAAAUGAUAUGGAUUGAAGUCCCGAAAGGACAAUCCUUUGACAUUUCAAUAUUGAUAUUAUGCACGCCUAAUGCGUAGCAAAUUAUAUGGGUUAAAGUCCCAUAAUAUGGGUUAAAGUCCCAUAAAUUAAUUGACAUGUAUGUAUUAAUCUGUGGCAUGCCUGCAGCAUGACAGAUAUAUGGGUUCUAAAUGUUCCAACUCCCUAAAUGGAGAUUAUCCACGCCCUACUAUAAAAUAACGCUCCAUUGGAGGUUAUAAUCCACAUUCUCACAUAAUAAAAGCCCCCUGCAGUGGCUUGGGUACCCAAAAGCAAAGAAAUGCUUAUAAUUGAUGCAUGCGCAUGCACAUGAGAAUGGUGGGAUCAUGAAUUGAUGAAUGACAAUUUUUGAUCAUGAAUUGAUGAAUGACAAUUUUUGGUUUUAGAGUAGCUACUCAAAUCAUCAAUGGGCUGUGUUGAUUGGAACCACGUUCAAUUAUUAAAUGUCGACAAUAUCAUUGGCCAAAAUGGAACGAGGUAAUUCCAUUAUAAAUGAGAAUGAACGUGAAAGAACAAACCCACAAUACGAACCCCAAAAUUUGUUAAUACUAAAAGUUAUACUUGGGUGUUCGGAAUAAAAGGAAAUAUAUCUACUUUGUAUGACACACUGUUUCUGGCAGAAACAAGGAAUGUUGGGUUUUCUCCAUAUUUACAGAUUCAAUUGUGCCCCCCUUAUUACACAAUUACGGAGACCAACAUAUUAUCUUUAAGGGUUAUUAAUGCACAGAGCAUAUCGCCAGAAGCGAUUUCCUAAAGAUGUAUAAAUAGCUGGGUAAAAGCUAUAUAAUGUGUCAUAAAGUUUAAUCCCUUUUAACCAAAAUCUGUUGAGAGGAUUGAUAUUGCAUAGAGCAAGUCCCUAAAGAACAUGUGCUUGAAGCACAAAAUUUGUACUCAAUAUUAAUAUGCAUAAAUUACCUCAGUGAGUACAUUGAUUAUAAUGUGAUUGCAACACAUUAAAGCUUCUGCAGAAUUCAUGAAAUAUUUGUCUCGAUCGAGCAUUAUGCCAACGAGAUUCUUGCUUAUACUAAGAAAGUAUUAAAGUAUUUUUAUGAGGAUUAUCCGUUGGACACUUUAAUGAUUUUCCGGAAGUAUAUUGGACCGGACAUCAUAUUUUCCAGAUAGGGCUCAACUCCAUCACCAUCAUUUUGGGAUGAUGUGAGGUAUAUUUGAUGCUAUCUAAGCAUAACACCAUAUAGGGGCAUAUUUUUUUAGUGAACUUAUAAAUAGCCCAAGUGUUCUAAGAUAUGCGGACUCAGGAAAUCUCUAUGGUCGCUUACUGGAAAAAGCUAGUCAUGAAGUUUUCAGGGGGAGAUAUUCAUCAGGGAGAGCAUGGUAUUAAUAAAGACCUUCAUACACUAUUGACUCACAGCAGCAGUGUCAACUAUGAUAUUCAGACAGAUGAUCAACAGUAUGGCUUAAAGAUAUUUUGCCAAGCAUCAGGGGGAGCGUGCUGUCAAUACAGACCCUUACCCACUGUACUCUUUUUCCUUCGUCCAGGUUUUUAUCCCACUGGGUUUUUCCUGGCAAGGUUUUAACGAGGCAGUGUCGCACGCGCGUCAAUAUACACAGAAUUUUAUGUUACACGUGAUUAUGUACUCUUUUUCCCUUCGACCAGUUUUUGUCCCACUGGGUUUUUACUGGCAAGGUUUUUAACGAGGCAUAUUCCAUAUCAUUUGUGGUCUCCAAGGGGGAGUGUUGUAAAAGUUUUAAGGUGGAGCCCACAGAGGAAGUUUCCUUGCAUCUUCCAGGAACUUUCCCUUCCCUGUAUUUAUCAAUUGAGGAAGUUUCCUUGCAUCUUCCAGGAACUUUCCUUCCGUGUAUUUAUCAAUUCAGGAAGUUUCCUUGCAUCUUCCAGGAACCUUCCCUUCCCUGUAUUUUACCAAAACCUUAGCCUAUAAAUAGGCUUGCUCAUUCACUUGUAAUACACACCAAAAUGAAGAGAAGAAUGAGUGAGGAAAGAAAGAAAGGAAGAGAAGGAAGAAAGAGGGUGAGUAAGUAGAGAGAAAAAUAGAGUGGAGAGAAAUUUCUCCAAGAGAGAAAAAUUAGUGAGCCACAUAUAUUGUAAACACUAAAGUUGUAGCCCUAUUAUUUUACAUAGUGGAAAAGUUACUACUGCUGCUCUCCGGGGACGUAGGCAUAGCCGAACCUCGUUAAAUACUGUGUCUCAUUUACUUUACGUGCAGCUCAAUAUUCAUACAUAUUCCAGGUUAUUUUUAUAACACCAACAUCAAUCUAGCCCUGAUCCACUCUUUUACAUACUUGAAAACAAAACAAAACACGAAAAACAAAAAACAACAGGGAGAAAAUGGCUCCGGAGAGACUUACUGCUAAUACUUGAUCAAUAACAGAGAUAAUAGAGCACACUGUUUGUAUGGCAGUGAGUAUCAGAAGAAUAAUAGCUGCCCAAGGUGUGUUGAAAUACUUUUGUCUCAAAUUUGCCUUCCAUAUGUUCGUGGUCUUCUCGCAAUACUCGUUUAGUUUGCCAGCAAGAUCACCAAAAUAGUAGUUUCCCUGGUUAAUCAUAAUGGAAACCUUACUGUUGUCACCUAGCGUGUUUACAACAAUUCCAUUGUCAACAAGCAACUCUACAUCCUUUGGGGUGUUUACAAAUUUAUCCAGGAUGAAAACAUAAUCGCUUAAUUAUUUAUUAACGCAAUGGCAUUGUUCAAAGGCAAUGAGAUUUCUAAGUGUAAGCUCUGUGUAAUCAUGUAUUUCAAUUUUUGGAAUUUCCAAGGUGUUUUUCAAGAACUGUAUAUCGAAUAAGUUCUUGCUUGAUUCAACGUUAAACUUAACUCCGGCCUGGUGUAGUUUUGUCAUGCCGGGUGUACUUUGGAGCCCUACAUUUUCUUUUAGGGUUGGAUCUGGCAGAUGUAAAGUUCUAAUAAAAUCAACAAAUUGUACAGGUUUUUUAGGAUCAGGAGGCAUAAAAGACUUACGGAAGGCUGGUGAGUUCUCCAAGUUUUCUAAACGCAGUGCCUGUUGGAAGAACCUGUAAGAGAGUUCAAUUAUUGAAGGCUCCCCAGUCUGGGCACCUGUAAGAUUGUAAAGAUCCUCGAGAAUGAAAAAUGGCAGCUGAUUUUCUAGCAUAAGCAUGUCAGGCAAUAUAUUUUGUAGCACCCAUGGUUUUUUAAAUAUCCAAGCAUUAUCAUCCGGCAAUUUUUCUUCCUGAAAUUUUUCUUCGGAUUUAUUCCUCAACAAUAGCUCAAUGACAAAGGCGGCAUCAACUAGAAUGAUAUUCACAAAAGCGGCAAUGUUAAACUUCUUAGUGUCUUCAUAAUAAUGACGGAGUUCAACUUCUCUCUCCUUUAGGUACCUGAGUUUGUGAUCUUCCAUGGCUUCUAAGUUUUUGCUGCCAUGGUGAAGUGGGCCUAUUGAGACUACUUGUGGUGUGUAGGCCUUUUGUUUUACGUUCCGUAGUCGCUCAGGCACCCUGUAGAUACUGCAGGCAGGGGACAGGGCACGGAAGUUUGUCAACUGAUUUUCCAUGGAAGUUGCUUGGUUUUCUAUGUCAAAAGAAGCUUCAUUGCUGCUUUCUUCCACUUUCUUCCUCCGCAUUAUGUGUUGUUCUGAUUGUAAGUGACGAGGAUGGUGAUGAUUCUAGACACCAUAAUCAACAAAUGUUUCAAUCAUAAUUGACAUUUCAAGAUGCUCCGACAAAAAAUUAGAAAACAUUCAUCACAAAAUGCGAACUCAUACAACAGAUGGGUUGAGAAGAUCCACACAUUGCAAUCAUACAAUCCAAUUGAACAGGGAUUACUCCCUAUUCUCCUCUCUCUCUAAAAAAGAUUUUCAUAUCGAUAACAUCUUAUUGCAAGGGACUUGUACAUCAAGUGGUGAAGAACAGAAAUUCAUAUUCUUUCAAUCAACAAAUUUCGAAGAAGUUUGUUUGUUUUAUUUUUGGGGGAAAAAAAUCUGAGCAUAUAUAGAUGCAUAUUAUACGUAGACCUAAGGUGAAAACAUACCAGAUUUUUACUCCAUUUUUCAUGAGGUUUAAGUUCUUGAUGUAUAUAUUUAUCUCAAGUGUAACAUCCCACAUUGAUCAACGGAGAGGGGGUGAUGUGCCUUAUAUGUACAUGCCAGCCUUCAUCUAGCACGAGGCUUUUUGGGAGCUUAUUGGCUUUGGAGUCAUAGGAACUCUGAAGUUAAGCGAGUUGGAGCUAGAGCAAUCCCAGGAUGGGUGACUCACUGGGAAGUUGCUUGUGAGUUCCCAGAAACAAAACCGUGAGGGCAGAGAGGAGGGCCCAAAGCGACCAAUAUCAUGCUACGGCGGAGCCGAUUCUGGGAUGUGAUAAUUUGGCAUCAGAGCUACUCUGCCGUGUGGUGUGAGUGUGCCGACGAGGACGCCGAACCCUUGAGGGGGGUGGAUUGUAACAUCCCACAUUGACCAACGAAGAAUGGGUGAUGUGCUUUAUAUGUAUAUGCUUGCCUAUAUCUAGCACGAGGCCUUUUGGCAGCUUACUGGCUUCCGAGUCAUAGGAACUCCGAAGUUAAGUGAGUUGGUGCUAGAGCAAUCCUAGAAUGGAUGACCUACUGGGAAGUUGCUCAUGAAUUCCCAGAAAAAAAAAGCUGUGAGGGCAGAUAGGGGGGCCCAAAACGGGCAAUAUCGUGCUACGGCAGAGCCGAUCUUGGGAUGUGACAUCAAGAAUUUAUAUCCUCCCUUUUCAGAUCUCAUGUUCCAGUCAAUACAUAACGAAACAUAAGAAACUAAAGUCUUGUUUAUACCCAUCCUCCCACCCACCCACGGCCAUCCACCCCUACCCCCUAUCUCCAUUAAAUCUACAAGUAGCUCAUCAAUUUCUCCACCAUCCCAAGUUCAAUAUACCACCCAACAACCAUCUUACCCAUCUUCUCAUUGAUCUUCCACCCAACAUCCAACACUAUCUUCAUAAACUCUUUAGCUUAAUCUCUCUGUUGCUUUUGUUUUUUGUUUUUUAGAAAUUAAAUUUUUUAGUUUAUUUUUUUGUUGGUACAAAUUCAAUGAUAAAGAACAUCGAACUCGUCGCAACAUCCUGUUCUAGAUCCAAGCUCUACCACCAUCACAACCCUCUCUUGACCUCCGACCAACCUUAACACCCAACUUCAAAUCUAGGUUGUUUGAAACCCAGCCCCCAACAACCCCCCCAAGUCAUCCCAUUGCAACUGACUUGUAGAUGAAGUAGUAAAGAACAAAAAGUCAUAUUCUUCCAAUCAAAACGUAUCAAGUCAAACAAAAUUUCUAGUUAGUUUGCUUUAUGAUAGUUGUUUUUUGAAGGGGUCCUUAGAUCCAAUCUCAAAAAGUUUGACUUUUAUUAUGUUUAACUCUAGUUUUUUGCAAUUUUUUUUUAUCUCUACCCACUAACUUUUAUCUCUCAUUUUUAUUACCCAUUUUACCCUUUAAAAUAAAUAUAGUAAUAAACUAAAAAUUCUGAUUUAAUGCAUGUUUUGCUCAUAAGAGAACUAAAACCUAAAAAUUCUAUACUCUUACACAAAAAAUAAAAAAUAAAAACUAAAAUUAAAAUGGUUAUCAAACAGACCCUUAUAUUACAAAAAACCUUAACUGACCACCUUAUAUGGCAACUGAUNNNNNNNNNNNNNNNNNNNNNNNNNNNNNNNNNNNNNNNNNNNNNNNNNNNNNNNNNNNNNNNNNNNNNNNNNNNNNNNNNNNNNNNNNNNNNNNNNNNNUAGCAUUCUAAAAAAAGUGGCCUCAUGGCAGCAUUCAUUAAUUGACAUGGCAUGACACAUCAGUUGCCACAUAAGGUGGUCAGUUAAGGUGGUCAAUGUUGUGUGUCCAAAUAGCAUUACUAAAAAAAAAUCAAAUAUUGAACUCAUCAUAAGAGAACACAGAAAAACCUCACUGCUUGCAACUCUUACACCACCACUACACGAACAGAACAACUGCUAAUUAAAAUGAGUCACAUGUCACAUGUCACAUGUGGUACUUAACUCUAAAAACUUAUUUAGAUUAUAUAUCCAUAUUUAUAUAUCCUACUCCUCGAUCAAAACAACCAUGAAACAUAAGUGACUUAAACCUCUAGGCAAAUGGACGGUAUAUAGCAAUUUAUAGAACAAUACAGUAAUCCAGAAGAAAUAUUAUGAAAUAAAAAAAAUAAAAAGUAAAAAAAGAGAAGGAAAGGAAUUCCCACCUGAUAUGUAUAUCUAUGAAAGGAAGGACCAAGUUUGUUUUGCCUUUGGUUAAUGACUAGAAAAGCUCACUUGUAUAUUGCUUUCUCCGGCCGUAGAUGCAAGAGAAAUUUUCUCUUAAUAAUAGCACAAUGAUCGGGUAAUCGUAAGAACAAGUUGAUUUAAAAUUCAGGUCAACUCAUAGAUUUCUUGCCUUUUCUAUUCUCCUUCCUUGGACACGAGCUGUUUAAUCUUGGAAUCUUCCCCCAUCAUGUUGGGCCAGUCUUCUUCUUGAGGAUUGUAUAGGCCCAGGAAAUGCUUGGAGGUAGUUUUUGUGUAUUGGGCCUUGAGACCCAACUUCACAAAAAGAAAACAGAUUUGACCAAAAAAACAAAUUUGAAGGACAUUGAAAUUGUACCUGUAUGAUAGGUUAAAACACUGUAAGGGAGGUAAAUAGUACGUUUACAGAGUUUAAGUGUAAUAAAGGAAUAAAAACAUGCCCAGAGCACUACUACAAUUUUUCCCUGUCCUGGCAACCCUUUGUGAUCGGUAAAAACACCAUUAUUGACGGAACUUCGUCAGUAAUUGCUUCUUGACGACUGCAGCGACGAAAAUGAGUAUAGUCAGUAAAAGUCCCGUCAGUGUUACUAUUACUGACCAACUUUUGCAACUUAUUCGUCAGUAGAGGUGUGUCUCUGACACAAGUCAUGAAGUGACUCUAAAUUAUUACUGACAAAACAAAUAGCCACUAUUAAACAAGCUUUUGUCAGGAUUAUUAUUUUAGGAUGGAGUACUAGUGGCAAAGAUUUGUCAAUAUUGUUUUCAACAAAAAAAAAAAUUCAGUCAAUUUGCUUCUGAGCUGAUGCGCCUUUAGAUAUCCUUUUCUGAAAUGUCUUUUGUUUUCUAAUAUAAUGGAUGUUUUUCUUUAAUAAAAAUUUAAUGGAUUCUGAAAAUGUAAUAACAAUUAUAAAUACUCAUAGAUUGAACCAUUCAACCCCCAUCCUUAUAAAUAUAAACUACCAAUGUCGAUUACAAUAGCCAAAUAUUACAAAGUCUGCCUACAUCAGUAGAGUUCAAAAACUUUAGGUGCCCUUACUAUACAAAAGUAUGCAAUUCCAAAUAUUCAACAAAUACACUACAAAAGCAUGCAUACCCCAAUAGGGUCCAAAAUACAACGUCAGCAACUAUAUAUACCAAAAAUGCAUAACACUAAGUAACUGCAUCUAUUCAAGUCCAUGAGUACCUUGAUCUGAUUCUAAAAAGUCUGUCUCACUUGGGUAUGCAUCCCCCCUCAGCAAUCCAGUUAACCCACCAAUAGGAGUAACUGACCUGGCUUGAUAAGGCAUUUGAUGGAACAUCUGCGGCGAGUAAUAUGACAUAUGGAAUGGGUUUGGCAGCUGCUGGUACAAUGGGUGAUGCGAAGCUGACGAGCACGAUAACAUCUGCCUCAUUUCCUCAAUCUCUUGCUGGUUAUGCUUCAGCAACUCUUGCGUCGCCUUCAAUUCAGAACGCCAAUGAUCCUGGUCAUGUUUGUACCUUUCUUGUAACUCUACAUACUGUGACUCAAGGUGAACAUAGUCGUGCCCUCGCAAUCUCUUGGAUGACCCUGCUUUCGUUUGAAUCCAAGGCACCUGAUGGGGUUUCACCCCAAGUCCUUCACCACGAACACUAUUAUUUGUCUCAGGACCCAUUGCCUCAACAUAAGCCCUUCUUCGUGUCUCUAAAUUAUCAGGACAUUCAUCUUCAACCAAUUCCUUCAACUUUUCCUGCAUUUCAGCCUAACAAAAACAAAAUAUAUAUCCUUCUCCAUCAAAUUGUGGUCAUCAUAGAACUAGCCCAAUAAACUCUACAAUGAUGAAUUGCAUUAUGUAAUAAAAAUUUAGGCCAAUUAGUCUUCUGGACCUCUACUGUUUUGUUUUUCAUAUGCUUAAACAAAUAAAAGAACAUAAAGAAUAGUGAACAAGAAAAAAAAACUACCUCCAAACAACUUUCCAUAUGCUUAAAAAAAAAAAAAAAAAAAAGUCAACCAAAACAAAAUAAGAGAAACAUCCUGGACUAUGGCUAACAAUUCCUCAUGAAAAUGAACUUAUAUAUAAUUAUUCCAAUAUAUAGUCCAUAUGCUUACAUAUUUCUGCUCAGCCACCAAGUUAACCCAUGAUCGAUCUUCGUCACGCCGUGUAUGCUUAUCUUGGAAAAACCAAAUAGGAUCGGGGUCUUCACCAUGUUUCUUAUUCUUAGCAUGCAAUCAAUAAAAUAAAAUAAGAUAAUCAAUUAGCUAACACGACCUCAUAUGCUCAAUAUUUGAAUAUAGUAAAGAGUAAACAUUCAAGUGCAUCAUCAAAACUGACAUAUUGUGCUUUGCUGCGAGCAUAAGACUUUGUUCUAGAUGUGUGAUUCAAUGUUUGUUUACUCCGAUUUUCAACAUUUCUUUUAGCUUGCUCCUUUUAUUAGCAAAAACAAAACAUACUUAAUCAUUGCACAGAUUAUAUAUACUGAGUGUUGUGUAAUAAUACGUACUGCAAUCUCAUCUUUUUCCCAAUGUUCAACCAACACCCUCCAUUGAUCUGGGUCUACACGAGAAUCCCCACAUUGCCACCGUCUUUUACUUCCUGUGAAAGGCUUAUAAUAAGCUUUCUUCAAAUCACUCUUGAAACUUCUCCACAAUUUUUCAAUAUUCUUCAUUGUUACAUCCUUGAAGACAUGAAUCAUAGGUUGUUGUUCAGGACGAAAUUCAAUGGUGCCCUGCAUCCACAAUAAGGUAGUCUUACAUCAAGUUGAAAUAUACCUAUUAAACUCAAUUUCAUGCAAUAAGUAUUCAAUAAUUUUAGGAAAACCAAACCCGUAGAGUGUCCCAGACAUCAAGUUUGCAAGAGUCUGGUACUUUUUCCCAUUUUAAAUACUUGAUCGGAAUUAGAUUGGCAUCCCGCGCCAAAAUACCCAUGUAUCUAGAAAAAUGGGGACUAUUGUCACUAAUAACUCUGCCAAAUGGAGAUAAAUCAACUGACUCUUUUUUGUUAUUUAGAAACCAGUUGCAUUUCCCUUGACCUCGACCUUGCUUCGCCUCCUUGCCUACAUGAAAAGUUAAUUUUAACUGAUCAAUACAACAAGAAAAUAAUAAGAAACUGUAAGGUAAUAAGUUUCUCACACAUUAUUCAAAUGAAAAAUUAGCAUAGCUAUUUGGAGAUGAUGUGAUCGUGAAACAUCCCAUAUUCAAUACAUUUGUAUAUGAUUAAAACAUACCAAUUUAUUAAAAGAAAAAGGAAAAGAAAACCAACAUACCAGUAGCACUUAUAGAACCAUCUCCCUCUAGACUAUCCCUAAAGUCAGCGUUGGGCCCUUCUUGUGAACUAUCUUGAGAACUGCUCAUCUAAAAAAUUUGAUAUGCAUAACAGUGAAGGGGUAACAAAUUAAUCAGACAUCAUUGGUAAAAGAAACUAUUACUUCAACAUUCUAAUACAAAACAAUCUACUAAAGAAAUUCUUGUACAAUAUUCUUAAAAUUACGUAGUCCAUUUAAGCUGACAGCUCAUCAAAAUACAUGAAAAAUUCAAUACUCCAUGUCAUCAUAAAGCUCAUCCUCGUUUUCAGUAGAGAGAUCGUCUGAAGACUGUUCAUCUUCUUCAUCCUCAUUUCCGGGCUCAUGCUCAUCUACCAUCUCAUCCAUAUCAACCCUAAUAUGAAAUUCCUCAUUGUCUAGCAGCUGAUCAUCAAGAUUCGGAAUGGCAUAAUUAUCAGUAGCACUUAAAAGGGUUAUCUAUAGUUGGAGCUAGAUCACUAUCUUCUAGCACAUCAAAAAAAUCUCUUGGUUGAGUUUGGGUUGGCACAUGCCAAUGACUGUCUUCUGGAUCUACAACAUAAAACACUUGUGUAGCUUGAGAAGCCAAUAUGAAAGUGUGUCUUUCGUUUGUCGCAACCGAUUGAAACUAACCAAAGGGAAACCAUACCCAUCAAACCUCAUCCCCCUAUCACUAGCAGUAUCAACCCAAUCACAGUUAAAUAAUGUAAUUUUCCGACCAUUAUCAUUCUGUUCUAUUUGACCCCCGUAAUUAAGUUCAUAAAUCUCUUUAAGAACACCAUAAUAAUCAACAUUGCCAAUUACUGGAUUGCGAUCUCUUGCGCUUGAGUAACUAGAUGUCUCUGCACAUUGAAAUACACCACUAUUCUGAUUCUUCUUUUUAUCGUCUACUGAUUUAAUCCGGAACCUACACCCAUGAAUUAUGUGAUUCUUAUACUUGUUCACAAAUCUACUAGGACCAAUUGAUAGCCAACGCAAGUCCUCAGAUAUUGACAGAUCAUGGGCUGUGUACAAUUUAGUAACCUAUAAUUUAAAACAACAACUAAAGUAAAUAACUUUAAUUAAAAAUAUGGUGCAGCAACAUAAAAUGAAUCAUAUUACAACUAAACAUACUUACAUGAUCCUUGAACCAAGUUGGAAAUAUCUUAUUUCUCAUCCCCUCAAUUUCCUGUAUGGUCUUCCGUCGAUUACUUUGUCUCAAUUCUUGGAAGCAUUUUCUGUUUUACAAUAUAAUAUAAUGACUUGUUAGUUAUUAAUUCAUAAUUGAGGAUUGAAAAAAAAAAAUAUCAACAACUUGCUUGUUUUUAUUCAUAAAUAUCUUACUCUAAAAAAGGGGAAACUUCAUCGCAAUUGAACAAGACCACUCUGCGACAUUGGUCCCAAACAUCUUUGUCAAGAUAUAUUUGUUCAGCUGAACCCUUAGAAUGACAUGAAGAGUCAAAAACUUUUAGCUCCCCAAUGACACCACGACCAAUACCAUCAGCAUUUCGACCCUUUCGAUUCCUUCGAGUCUCAACGUUGCUAAGAUACAUGGUACACAUAGCUAAUCCCUCGUCGACAAGAUAUCCUUGUUCCAUACUUCCUUCAGGAUAACUCUUAUUCUGAACAUAUUUCUUUAAUGUUUGUAGGUAUCUAAAGAUAUGGCAAAAUUGAACAUGUUAAUUUACAAUUAAAAUGGAAAACUAGAAAUAAUAAAUAAGAUUUGAACUAAUUACCUUUCAAUGGGAUACAUCCACCGGUAUGGGGCAGGCCCUGCGAUUGCAGCCUCAUCUGCCAAAUGCAUGAUUAAGUGUACCAUCACAACAAAGAAGGAAGGAGGGAAUAUCUUUUCCAUCUGGCAUAAUGUCACUGCAAUCCGAGGUUUUAAAGCCAUGUAUGACGCUUCAUAUUCCUUCUUACUACAUAACCGUCUAAAAAUUGCACUUAGCUCAAGCAAAACAAUGGUAACAGCUUUUGGUAAUACUCGUCGUAUUGCAAGGGGCAGCAGCUGUUGCAUUAUAAUAUGAUAGUCAUGACUUUUCAAUCCGUGUAUUUUUCUCUCAUUCACAUUAACACAUCUAGACAGAUUUGCAGAAUACCCAUCAGGAACUCUCACAUUUGCCAAGACUUCGCAAAACAUUGUUUUUUCCCUUUUCCUCAUGUCAAAAAGUGCUGGAUCAAAAACUUCCUUACCUUUCCCAUUUAUAUAAGGGUGCUGUUUUCUCCUUAUAUUCAAAAUUUGAAGGUCCUUACGAGCUUUUAUUCCAUCCUUUGUCUUCCCAGGAAUAUUUAACAGUGUACCUAAAAUGUUUUCACAAACAUUCUUUUCAAUAUGCAUUAGAUCAAGGUUAUGCCGUAUCAAAAGAUAUUGCCAAUAUGGUAACUCAAAGAAUAUGCUUUUCUUCUUCCACUGAACUUUGUUACUAUUUAUAUUCGUUGUGGGAUAGGUAUUUGUAUUCCUAAUGGGACAAGAACAUUUUUUGGGUUUUCCUUGCCCAACAAAAACAGCUGACUUCUUUUUGGGUUUUCGAAAUGUGAAUGUCAAACUUGACAAUUUUUCUAAACACUGUGAACCUGUCAAGGGAAUAGGUGGAAGAGCAUGUUCUUCCUUACCGUUAAAGGCUGCUUUAUCUCUUCGAAACCUAUGUUGUAUAGGUAGAAAUCUCCGAUGACCCAUAUAACACAUCUUACUACUAUUUGCCAAAUGCAUUGAGACUGUAUCAUCCAUGCAAUGCGGACACGCUUUCUUCCCCUUCGUGCUCCAUCCUGAAAGAAUUGCAUAUGCGGGAAAGUCAUUAAUCGUCCAUAACAAUGCAGCCUUCAUUGUAAAAGUUUGGUUGGCAAACACAUCAAACGUCUUAAUACCAACCUCCCACAACUCUUUCAACUCAUCGAUUAAAGGCUUCAAAUACACGUCAAUAUUAUUGCCAGGCCCAUCAGGACCAGGAAUUAUUAACGAUAACAAUAAAUUUGGUUGCUUCAUACACAUCCAUGGAGGCAAAUUAUAAACUGACAGUACAACAGGCCAUGUACUAUGGGGUUUGUUCAUAUUUGAAAAGGGAUUAAACCCAUCACUUGCAAGCCCCAAUCGCACGUUGCGUAUCUCCGAAGAAAAUUCAGGGUAUAAGGAAUCUAAAUGCUUCCAUGCACGAGAAUCUGAUGGGUGCCUCAUGAAUCCAUCUUUAGGACAUUCGGUUGCAUGCCAUCUCAUAUCUUCAGCGGUAUGCUUCGACAUAAACAAUCUUUGCAACCUUGGUUUUAAUGGAAAAUACCGAAGAACCUUGGUUGGAACCUUAGCUGAUGUGUUCUUACUCAAAGAACCUCCCACAAUAUUGACUUUGUACCUUGAGGCACCACAAAGUGCACACUCAGUCAAGUCUGAUGUAUCUUUCCAAAACAGCAUACAAUCAUUGGGGCAAACAUCAAUCCUCUUGACUGUAAGUCCCAACUCCCUAAUGAUUUUUUUAGCAUCAUAAUUAUUUUUUGGUAAACAAUUCCCCUCUGGCAACAAUUGUUUAACCAAUUGUAACAGCAUUGUAAAGACAUUAUCGCUUCCCUAAACAUUUAAUCUGGAACAGUCUUACAACAGAAUACAAUUUCUUAUAUUUACACCUAGGGUACAACUCCAUAUCUGCUUCUUCAAGUAACUUAUAAAAUAUUUCAGCCUCAGGUGUUUGGCCAUCAAAGAUAGGUGGCUCUGUCGAAGUCCCAACAGUUUCUCCAAUUAUUGGUUGCACAAAGGCUUCAUUGAGAAAAUCAUGAAUGUCAUCUAUACAAACUUCUUCAUUAUGAACUGAUUCUAUAUCCUCUUGGAAUGGUAAAUUUGUCAUGGGCUCCCCAUGAUGCCUCCAAGGGCCAUUCAUAUAUGUGGGAUCCAUUCCUUUUUCUAUAAGAUGAAGCUGGAUGAUGUUUCUUUCAUAGUGAUAACGGUUACAACAUUUUUUGCAAGGACAUAUGACCCUCUCUCCAAAACCCACUUUGGCAAAGACGUCAUCUAAAAACAUUCUCAUUCCGUCUGCGUAUUCCUUACAAUUUCUCCUUAAAUGUACCCAACUUUUAUCCAUAGUUCACCUAUAUUGAGUGCAAGGCACCAAAUACAAUUAUUCAGCACAGAUCAUCCCUCAUACUUAUUGUCUAUAAAUUCCUAUCAGGUGGGUCAAUUUAUUAUCCAUUAGAUGACCCUCAUGACCAUCUACAUCAAUUCACAAGAAAAACCAAAUUAAAAUAACAAAAACCUGAGUCUAAAGAAUAUAUUAACUAAGAAAUUGCACAUUCAUUCAACUGAAGAAAAGAACUAUAACACCAAACAACUAGACCCACUUAAUAGCUAAAGAAACUCACGUCAUAACAACAAAGUAUACAUAUUAAACAACAUAUCAACUCAUAGAUAAAAGCCCGAUAAUCUCAAUACUAUGAACAAUCUUAUUCAAAAAUAAUAAGAUAACAGCAACAUAAUAGAAAAAAGUAAAGGGAAACACACCUGGAUUCUAAGUUUCCAACAACAAUUCAACACUCCUGCAGUAGAUUAAUACAUACAUACCCACAUAUCAAACUUCACCAACAAAUAAUAAAAAAUUAAAACAAGAGCUUUGAAAAAUCAAAGGAUUCGUGUCACAUCCCGGAAUCGGCUCCGCCGUAGCACGAUAUUGUCCGCUUUGGGCCCCCCUCUCUGCCCGCACGGUUUUGUUUCUAGGAGCUCACGAGCAACUUCCCAGUAGGUCACCCAUCCUGGGAUUGCUCUAGCCCCCAACUCGCUUAACUUCGGAGUUCCUACGACUCCGAAGCCAGUGAGCUCCCAAAAGGCCUCGUGCUAGAUGGAUGCGGGCAUGCACAUAUAAGGCACAUCACCCCCUCUCCGUUGGUUGAUGUGGAAUCUUACAAUCCACCCCCCUUAAGGACCCGACGUCCUCGUCGGCACACUCGCACCACACGGCAGAGUGGCUCUGAUACCAAAUUGUCACAUCCCGGAAUCGGCUCCGCCGUAGCACGAUAUUGUCCGUUUUGGGCCCCCCUCUCUGCCCGCACGGUUUUGUUUCUAGGAGCUCACGAGCAACUUCCCAGUAGGUCACCCAUCCUGGGAUUGCUCUAGCCCCCAACUCGCUUAACUUCGGAGUUCCUACGACUCCGAAGCCAGUGAGCUCACCCCCUCUCCAUUGGUUGAUGUGGGAUCUUACAAUUCGUUUAUAUCUUGGAAUAAAAUCAGUAUUCUAAUUUUUAUAUCUAAUUGGAAGGAUUCAUGGGUCAUUACCUACACUAAAAUACUUGAAAAAAUAAAAUAAACAAACAAAAUAAGAACAAAAAUUUCACCAGAACAGAGGCACAAAAAUCUCACCAAAACAGAGGGCCUCUUUAAUGAAGGACAACCAAGUCAGCCCCAAUUGAAAAGAGCAAAGAACCCCCAGAUUUAAUCUCUCUCUCAAUCUGAAUCAGCAACCCCAAUUGAGAAAAGCAAGGAAAACCCCCCAAAUUUAAUCUCUCUCUCUCAAUCUGAAUUAGCAACCCCAAUUGAGAAGAGCAAGGAAAACCCCCCAAAUUUAAUCUCUAUCUCUCUCAAUCUGAAUGAGCAGACACGAAAAUCACUACCACACAUGACUCCAACUCCAUUAGCUAUGAGGAAGAAUACAAUUCAUUCUUCAAUGAAAAGAAGAGGGAAGAGAUGGCCGGUUUGGAGGAAGUAGAAAAGCUCAAGUAAACAAUUGAAGUUUUUUAUAUAUCAAUAGGAAAAUUUUGAAGUUAAAAAUUAUAUUUAAGAAUAGUAUUGGCAAUCGAACUCGUCAGAAAAAAAGUUGGCUUCCUGGUGUCUGAAAAUUUAGGCGCUUAUGUUUUCACUUCCCGCGUUAAAAGAGACUGGCGCAGUGUCUCGUCAGUAAAGGUAGUAAUGACAAAAGACUUUGUCAGUAUUAUUUACUAGUGAAAAAUCACUUUAUUUUGCUAGUAUUUGGUCUCAGUACUGACUAAGCUGCUCUUUCAUCAGUAUUAGUCCGUCAGUAUAAGCUAAAAUUGUAGUAGUGAGAGGAUUGAUAAGUGAUAUUAAUUCUUGAAUAUACAGAAUGUAAAAUAAAGGAACACGUAAAAAAUUAUUUUAUGUGGUAAAACUCCAUCUCUGGGGAAAAUCCACGGGACUUCUUAGUCCAAAACAAAUCCAUUAUAGAAUGAUGAUUACAAGAAGUACUCACACACUUAUCCUAGACACAUUCUAGAUAAUGUUUACUGACCUCUUCGUAACUCAACUUCUGUCUCGAGAUGAUCUUUCAACACUCCUUAUGUUGAACGCAAUAUUGGUCACGAUUUCUUCAAGCUCGUCAGAGUUCUUCCAACUCUCCUAAUAUUGAAUCCGAUACUAGUCACGAUUGAUUCAAGCUCAUCGUAGAAAAACCGUCACAAUGGUCUUGGUGCCCUCAACCGUAUGAGUCAUUAAACAUGCAAAUGAAUACAUAUAUGAAUGAUAAAAGUGUUUGAUAAAUCACUGAGUUAUGGAACACUUGAUGAUUUAUCUCAAAUAAAAACUCAGCUUUAAUGCUUUCUAAACAAAGAAGACGAAGGUCUUACUUUAUAGACUUUUUCUUUACAAGAAAGAAAAUAAGUUGGAAACCAAAUCUCCAAUUUCCAAGGCAAAAUCACAAAAGUAUCUUUCCUAUUCUAGAGAUUGGUCACAUGUAGUCCAACCAAUAGGAAAUGAGAUAUUUAAGAAAGGAAGAUUUUGAUCAAUAUCAAUAUCAAAUGAAUUCUUAUACGCCUAGUCAACUAUUAAGGGUAUCUUGACUCCUUGAUAUUUUGAUAUGAUUGAAACAUGAUUUCCAAGUUAGAAAAUUAAGGGGUUGUUAAAACAUGAAAGUAAUAGGAGAAACAAAUUUAUUUGAACCAAAAUUGCCCAAAAAGAAAACACUCCUAAAUAAACUUCAAUUCACUUUAGUAAAACAUGAUUGAAUCGUUCGUUAAAACAAUUCCCUAAUAUACAUGCAUGAUAAUGACAUCACUUACCCCUGAAUCAAAUUUGUUAAUGUAUGCAUUUUGAGUUUUUUUUUCUUUUGGCUUCCCUUGACAAUUUUGUAAUAGGAAAAUCAUUGUAGUUUCUCAAGCUCUAAGUUUAGAUUAAGAAUUACUUCUCUAGGUGUUCUUAUCUGCCUACAUUCUGAUGGAAAACAAUGCGUUUGACAAAGGUAAAUUCUGCAUUACACUACAUUGCAUUCACUAAAUUUCUUAAGAUUAUGACUAGUCAUCUUUCUUUCGUAUGACUAGUCAUCUUGCAUUCGUAUGACUAGUCAUCUUUCCUUCGUAUGACUAGUCAUCCUUUGUUUCAAUUAGGAUUUCCAGCUCACUGUUUCCAGCUGGGGCUUAAGCAUUUUUUUGUCCUUUUCUACGAAUUUCUCAGCUUCCAUGUGUCUAUUCUGACCUAGGAAUUUUUGGUAAAAGCCAUAGAAUUCCUCAUUUGGCAGCCGUCACUUUUGGGGACAAGUUGUGGAAAGUUUCAUAGCAAACUUUCGCUUCUUCUUCCUCAAGAGUAACCUUCAUAUUUUUCAUCUUUGAGUUCUCUAAAUUGUUUCUUUUUGAAAACUGCAUUUGAAAUAUGAAAACUUCAUCUUGCUAGAUCAAACACUCUAUCAUAUACAUCUAGGUCAGAUUCAAGAUUGAUUUCUUCAAGAGUAUGGUUUCUUGAAGAAAUUGGUCAUUUUCUCCAUGAAUCCAAAUUUCAUUUCUGUCUGAGUUAGAGCUUGCAAGCUGGUGCCAUGGGAUGAAUGAGCUGAAGAAGGAGCUGCCAUUGCCAUGAAGAACUGAGCUUCAAGCUUUGCUAAGUUGGAGAAGAAGAUUGCACAAAGGAGAUAUAGCAUCUUCCUAAAUAGACCUAGGAAUUUCUUGAGCUUGCUAGUGUUCUUUGUAAGAAUCUUUUUGCUUAGUGGAUUGCCUGGUCGGUUGAUGACCCCCAGUUUUUCCCAAUGGUGGGUUUCUGGGUGAACAAUAUCUGGUUUCCAUCUCUGUAGAUUUUUUGGGUUUGUGUUCUUGAUAGUUGACUAGUCAUCUGAAUUUGUGUGGUUGACUAGUCAUCUUUUUCUGCUGUUUGGUGUUUUCUUGAUUAUGUUGUCUUCACACACUUUUACCAUAGUUGUUGCUAGCACAAGGGAUGCCUAGAUUGAUGGGUCCUUCUGAGUGCCUAGGUUGUCACUAGUAAUUCUCUAGGCCUGCAGGUACAUCUUGGUAUGCUUUGUGUAUGUUAUUGUUUGGUUUAAUUCAUAUCUAACAGUUGACUAGUCAUAAGAGUAUUUGGUCAAGGUCUAGAGUGUGUGAAGUUUGUUGCGUUCUUGAUUGAAUAUCUUUUAAAUUUACCCUUCGUCACCUAAUUACCAAUUUGCAGACUCCACAAAUGAAGAAAAGAGCACAAAUAUCGUGAAUGCUAUUGGGAAUGGAAAGGGCAAACCUGUUCAAAAAGGGUAUGGAGGGGGCGUUAGACUUUACGUUCAAAAAGGGUAUGGAAAACGUCCUCCUCCAUCUGACAGUCAACUACUCCAUUAUAAAGACAUAGCUAUUUUCUUCUUCGAGAAAGACAUGCGCCCUGGCUCAACAAUGAAGUUCCAAUUCCCUAGAAAUUCAAACACGGCUACUUUCCUGCCACGCGAAAGUGCUCAAUCGAUCCCCUUCUCCUUUAACAAACUACCAGAAAUUUUCAACCAUUUUUCAGUGAAGCCAACAUCUGUGGAAGCCAAAACAAUUAAGCAAACAAUCGAAGAGUGUGAAGCUCCAGGCAUUAAGGGAGAUGAAAAAUAUUGCGCCACAUCUUUAGAAUCAAUGGUUGAUUUUAGCACUUCGAAGCUUGGAACAAGAAACGUUGAAGCAGUCUCGACGGAGGUAUUGGAAAAAGGAGCCACCAUGUCCAUGCACAACUAUACAACAAUGCCGGGACUGAAGAAGUUGGCAGGUGACAAAGUCGUUGUGUGUCAUAAGGAGAACUAUCCCUAUGCUAUGCUAUGUUUUUCUGCCAUGCAAUAAAACAAACAGCAGCUUAUGUUCUCUCCCUGAAAGCCGAUGAUGGGGAGAAGGUUAAAGCUGUAACCAUCUGCCAUCUAGACACAUCAGAAUGGAACCCAGAGCAUUUGUCCUUCCAAAUCCUCAACGUUAAGCCCGGAACCGUUCCUAUCUGCCAUUUCAUUUCCACUGAUGCUAUUGCCUGGGUUCCAAAACACAAAUCUGCAUGAUCAUCACUUAGCACUGUACGUAUAAUAAGCUUGGUUGGGUUGCACCCCUGUAUAAUUAUCUCCCUACUUAUUUCUGCCUCUUCAUCAUGUGGUGUAAGAUAUAUGAUGAAAUGAAGUUUUUGGGAUUAGUGGUCGGGUUGCCUGAAAAACACAGAUUAUAGAAACUGCUUGAAAUUAACCCGAUCAUGUUUUCUCUUGUAACGAUAUAGACUUCAACUUGUACUCAUAAUAAAGCAUGCUAUAUUUAUGAAGAGAUAUUAAUCUAUAUAUGCUUUGGCUUUGUGGUUUUACCCAGUGUUUGAAUGUUGAAUUGUUACGUUGGAAUAGGCUGCUAAUGCAUGUAGUUAGAGAAGCCUUCAUUUAUAUCAAAGUCCUCAAACUAUCAAGAACUAAUGUAUCCAGAAACACAUACCAAGACGCAAAACAACAUAUUUUCC